AAAGAACAAGAGCCCUAGGGUGAAAAUUCAAGAGAAAAUUAUUGGAUUUCAAGUAAUCAAGCAAUCAAGCAAUCAAAGGUAAAAUUUCUUGAUUUUGACUUGUGAUCUACCUUUCUCAUACAUUCUUUUGUAUUUUUCAUGGUUGAAUUACAAGAUAUCAUGAAAGAUAGUGCGCUGAUCAAACCUUAGGAGAGAGAAUUUGAUGAUGAUUUAAAUAGAUUUUUAAGAUAUAUGGAUGUUUUUAGUUGUUUAUGGUGUUAAGUGUAAAAAUUAAGCUUGAAAUUCACAUAUUUCUCAUGAGUUCAUCAUUGGUCGAAUCUUCCUUGUAGAGUGUUGAUGGUGGAUUUGAUUUUAUUUCAAGUGAAUUGGUUAGGAAAUGAUGAAUUAUGGUGAAAAAAUCAAGUAGGAAAAAUCAUAGUGUUGAUGCACUCACCAUAGCCGAAAUUCUCAAGAAGAAAUGUGAGGAUGGUUUUGCUAAAUUUUAUGUUAUUUGACUUAUGUUUGGUGAUUUGAAGUAUUGGAGAGAAAUGGAAUUAUUUGGAGUUGAAUUGGACGUAUUGGCCAAUUAAUCGGGUGAUAGAUCGAGUUAGGCCAACACCGCAUGGAGACGAUAAUACGAACAAUUCGCGUUCCAUAUCAUGCAUUCAUAUAGAGUUUAGAUUAGUUUUAUAACAAUUUAGCACAAAUGUGCUAAAUUGCUUGAUUUUGCAUUAUGUCUAGGUGGUGAAUCCUCUGAAAAAUGGCAAAGAAAUUACACCCGAGGAUCAAUAGUCGGAGUACUUCAAAAUUCAAACUCCUGAUACAAUGAGUAACCUUAUCAUCAUCUUGAUUAUCUGAAGUGAAUUUUAAUUCGUUUUAGUGAUUUUAUGAAAAAUGAGUUUAAAUGGUAAAUCUUUAUGUUUUAUAAGCUAAAUGUGAUUAAAUGAAAUGAUUUUAUAAAAUUGUCUUGAAAUUGAAAGAUGGUUUUGAAAAUGGAGUAAUUGGAGACUAAUUGUUGUGUUAUAAAUCAUGGUUUGAAUUGAAUGGCUUAUGAUAAUGUGGGCAUGAGUGGCUAGAUUUGGUAAAUGUGCUGAAAAAGUAUGAACUGUUGAUUUGCCUUGAGAGGCUGUAAAAUAAAAUAAUUGUCAUGUCAUGUUAUUGAAUGUUAUUGAUUUGGUGGGUUAUAUAUUGGUCGCUGCAGUGGACGAAUUUCGUGGAUCAAUCUGUUAGAGGGGCACGGUAACCUUAUUAUAUUCAUACCUCAGUAUGAGAGGCGUGGUUAGAUAACUCCUAAGGUUAAAACUUUAAAGUUCACUUCACGCCAAACCACCACGUGAGGGUGAACUCAGCUAACGUCAAAGAACGGCUAUGUUUUCAAAAUCAAAACAUGAUUUAUGCGUAUAUAACUUUUUAACAGCCUUGGCGGUCUCGGUAGGGAUAGCCCUUGGCCAAGGUAUCCCUGAUAACUAAGUAUGCGAAUGAUUUUGGCACGGGCGAAAGUUUUAAGAAAUUCAUAAGCCAUGUUGAUUACUCAAUUUAUAUGAAUUGAUUUUAUUUGGUUGAAAUGAGUUGAAAGGUGAUGAAUUACAGUAUGUUAAACUAUUUUAUCUGUCUCCAUUUACUCAACUUUAGAUAUUUUAGAUGGUAUUUGUUUACUCACUGAGAUAAUAUAAUCUCACCACCCUCCUUUUCACCCCUUUCAGACUCAGGAUAGUCUGUAGAUAGCUCAUUUCGUUGAGGGUUACAGUUGGACUUGCAUCAUCAAAAACUGUAGGUUUACCGCUUUUAAUAUUUUUGGUCGUUCGUGGGCUCACGUAUCACUGUAAAUUAAAUCUUAUGAUUUGGUUAUCUGUAUUACAGUAUGUAUGGAUUUAUUUAGCUUUUACGCUACAAAAAUUAUUUACCGGUAACUCUAUAAAUAUUGUUUUAUAAGAAAAUAGAAUAUUUUAUUGAAUAUAUUUAUUAUAUUCAAAUAGUUAUAAUUUCACUUUAAAUUAAUGUUUUAGAUAUCUAAACUUAUUUUUGAUUAUGAAAUAUGUGUUUUCCACUUGCAUACUAUAUUUUUAGCUGGUUUUAAGAUUUUUGAGGAAAAAUGACCAAAAUGCCCCUGUGAGACAGAAAUCAUUUUUUUAUUGAUUUAAGUUGGAAAUAACUUAAAAUCUUUUAGAACAUGAUAUUUGGCAACGGUUACUCACAUGGGAAAUGAGAAACUGAUAUUAAAGCCUUACGGGUUCCGAUUGACAUUCAAGAUAAUGAGUGUCGAUCGGGACACCGCUGCGGUUGUCACGGGCUCGAGGAGAAUACCGGGUUGUAACAGACGGAGACCCCUCACCAUCAUAAUGUGAAAUUAAGAAAAGCUAAAGGUUUCUUUUAUCUUUUUCUUUCUAUUUAUAUUAUUUAACUAUUUAUAUAUUUAACCAUUAUAUAAAAUCUUGUAUAUCGUAUUUAACUAUUUAUAUUUUAUACAUUAUAGUUUUAUAUUUAAUAUUUUAAACUUAAAUAAAAAUAUUGGAUGUUGACUACACAUAAACAAUCAAACCUCAAUAGUUCAAAUAAUGAAAAAGAGUAACAUGAAUCAAGACGUCCUAGACUCAAUCUUAAAGAAAUAGAUGUUUUUCAAGUAAAAUCUGAUACUUAUAAAACUAUUAUAAAUCUUUUUUUUAUUAUUUCUUUUGAUUUUACAUGUUAUAUAAAAAUAUUGUAUAUUAUGAAUCUUUUGAUUAUUUAUUAAGUUCAACAUAUUAGUUUUAAAAAUUUUUAAUCCUUACACCUUUUUCAUCUUUAACCCCCCAAAUAAAAAUUGACUAGCUCCACCCCUGGUUGGACCUUGAUUCCUUCUCUCUCUUAUAUAUACUACCGUUAGCAUUAUCUCUUGCUUUAGAUGUCACAGUUUUAAAGAUGAAGAGACAAUCAUCGUCUUCUAGCCGGAGGCAAAACUCCAUUGGUUGCAUGUGUGCCAUUUCCAACCUUCUUUUCAAGCACUAUAAUCGCUCAAAAUUUCUUAUUUCUGGUAUGUUCCUUCAGCUGAUCGCUUUGGGAACUAGUUUUUUGCAGAGAAUUCCAAUUGUAUAUUUAGUUCUAGUAUAAUUUUUCCCCAACUAAUUGCUCCAUGCAUUGAAGAACACGACUGAGUACAUUAUUCCGUACUACUACUGAUUUUCAGGGAAAAAGCAGGCAAAGGAGGCACCAGAAUCUGCAACGAAAGCCCCUGAACAAACGCUAAAAGCUGCAAAUCUUCCAAGGAGUCCAACGCUGGCGGCAGAGUUACGGCGGUCAAACUCCGUUGAGACUCCUCCUAAUACGCUAGUGGCCAGGUUGAUGGGAGUAGAUAAGUUUCCUAGGACCCCAGAAUCCACCGCCAACAAGAGAAGGAAGUUGCUUUGUGCUCUGGAGAAGUGUGAUGAGGACUUGAAGGCCCUUCAAAGGAUCAUUGAACUUGUCAACACAAGCGUCAGCGUUGAACACAACAGUGAGAGUAAGUCUGCUCCAUUAGCUUUUCUUCUUCUUCAAUAGAUAACAUCCACUUCAUAGUUUUUCCUUUUUCAUUACAUUGAAUUUAUUGUUUUCUGUCUCUUCAUUGUAGAUAGUAUGGUAUCACAUAUGCAUGCAUGAGGGGUUCAUUCUUACACAUACAUACACAAAUUAAGGCCCAAAUACGUUGGAAUUUUGUAAUGUACUCGAUAAACCCUGAUAUCUUCUGAUGUCUUUGAGUAAAUACGAUGGAUCUUAAUUCAGCAUUUAGCCUAGGAAAGUUGUAUCUAAUCAACUUUAAACAUUUGGUCAAGCUGGUGCCUAGCUUGUCUAACCCUACCUAAAUGGAAUCAAUUAUGUACAUAUGAAAAUUAUUGUUGUCUCUUUUAAUUGCAAGGCAGCUAUAAAGCUGUGGGUGGUUAGGAAAUUAGUCUUGUCAAUCUGUUUAGGGAGACAUUACCAACUCCGUUACUACCUGGAUCAGAGACUAAAGGUACUGAUUGUACAUUGCAAAUUGAAGAGGAAACACCUUUUCCUCACCUUCCCUAUUGCUUUCCUUGUAAGGUGAGCCACUUGCCCUUAUGUUUCGGAUACCGAAUUUACAAUCAUGACUUGCUAGUGGGAGACAAAAUUAUCCUCUUUAUUGCUACAAGCAAUCAUACAUACUAGCACAUGACCAAAUGACCCACAGCUGUUUUUCUUUCUUUUUCAUUUUCUCCUUUGAAAAGCGAAAAACGUUAACAACGCACGAGCUAAAACAGAUGAAAGAAUCUCUUCUUUGUCAUAUCUGCCCCAAGAAAUUAUACUUACAAAUACAAUGCAAUAUAACGAAAUCUUCACACUGUUCUUCAAACAAUCUUCUUCCUUGUUCUAUCGUUUUCAUACACAUGCAUCCCACAGAUUUUUGCUGGGUGAUCUGUUCAUGUCCUUGGGCUAGCCUGCUUAGGUGCUCAUUUCUUUAAAUGCUCUGGAGCUUCAACUUGGCAGCUUGAAUGUUUUUUUUUUAAUCUUUUGUGGUCGAUGAGAGCACUUGACUUGACAUUUUUCCCCCCACAAUAACAUUUCCAGAUAAUACUACUAAUAUAAUAUAUAGAUGAUAAUUAAGUAAGUAAAGAAACCCUCCCCCAGCUGUUGUUGUUUUAAGAGUGAACCAGGGAUUCAACCCCUGGUAGGAGUGAAUAAACAAAAAGAUAUAACAAGAAAAGAGAAAAGAGAGCCUGCAGAAAUAAAAGAAGAAACAGACCCCAUUGUCUUUGUGGCUUUACUUAGCAUCCAAUAUCCCCACUUUUGCAGGGUAUGGGAGUUGGGCCCCAAAAUAGAAAAUGCAAUAAGAUUAGAGAAGGGUGUGGGUUGAGGUAGGGUCGUUUUUGGGGUUCGGAUUGGUGAAUCAUUUUGAACCAUUUUUAUUUUUUUAUUUUGGAAUUAAAAUAUUCAACUGUGAAAUUAAUAAAUCAUUAUUUUAUAAUCAAUUAUCAUAAAUAAUAAAAAUAGCACAAUUUUUAAUAUUCAUAUUUAGUGUAUUUUAAAUAAGUUUUGUAAUCCAUUUAAAAUAUUCAAUAUCGAAAAGAUUGAAAAAUACAUUAUUUUAUAUAAUAAUUAUAAGUAAUAUCACUUCUUUCAAUAUUAAAAUUUUCAUUUAAAAAACACAAUUUAUCAUUUAUCCAUCAUUGUAGCACAGUUGAAGUCUUUUUGGAUUAUAAAUUCGAGAUUUUAUGGUAUUAAAUUGAAUUAAUCUUGAUUUCAAGUUGUUAUAAGGUUGGUUUGUUUUUUUUUAUAAGUUUAGGUUAUUUUGAGUUUGGAUUUUCAAUUUUUUUCAAUCGAUUUGAGCCACAUUGGUUCAAAUUCGAUGUUAGUUGAGACAAAAUUUUGGAUUCGACUAGAUUUUGCGACCCCUAAUAGGAUUGAAAAAAACCAAUCUCAGUUGAAACCUUUACAUCAUGGGGUGCAUAUAUUCCUGUCCUAGCACAUGCAAACAGAUGUGUGGGCUUGGCUUUCCUUGUCUUGUUACUAAGGCUAUGCACUGCAUGUUUUAUAAAUUUGUACUCCAGGACGAACGCUACAACAUCAUCAGAAGCAGCAACUUAAGAAGAAACCGGGACAAGAGGACACCGCAGGCGCCUGCUGCUUCUUAGAUAGAUUCACAAAGGAAUCAAUUGACGAUGCAAGAAGCCAUCAGGAUGAUGCAGGGUCGCCAUUGUGGAGAAGCAAGGCCAUGAUACAGAGCGUGGAUGAAGUGUGCAAGGAUAUUGCAUGGGGUGAAAGGCGGGAGAUUGGCAGAAUAGGCUUUGCGUUGCAAGAUCAAAUUUCCAAAGAUUUGAUAGACGAGAUUGUUAGAGAAAUGGGGCACCGCUUCACCUAUUCGCUUCCCUUUGAAGCAUGUAAAAGAGGAUUGGCUUUCUAAUUGGACCAUAUGUAUUGUGCCUCUGUUGAGACAAAUUAUGAGUACAAGCUUGCCAAAUCUAAUUUUGAUCUAACAAUUUACACCGCAAAAUUCAAAGGUGUUAUAGCAUAAGAGAAUACUGGAUCUCUUUGGGGACGACUGAAGUACCCUUUCCGUAUUAUUCUGGACGAUCUAACAAUGUCCAAUGAUGAUCCUGGUAGUGGCCUUUGAUACAUGGAAUGCAUUCCCCAGGAAUAUCAAGUGUUAGUUAUGCUUGUUGUGAGUCUUGGCAGCAUGAACGUAGUUGAAGGAUUGUUGCUGUAGGAAUCUCGGCAGUGCAAUAUAUAAUCCUUUAAAAGUGCCUUUGAGAUCUUGGCAACGGAUGAGCAUAACACGAGAAUGUUUCUGACGUCUAGAAGAAUAGAGAAGGUGUUGUCAGGAUUGGAAUAUUGUUGCAGGCAAUGGGGAGUCAUUGAAUAAGUGUAGAGAGGUGACAAACCUUCUCAUAUAGCUAAGAUGGGUCAUGGGUGAGGCCUAAUCGAGGUGACAAAGACCGUGCAAAAGCCUAUCAUCUAAAGGAUUGCUUUCUUAACAAUCUUAAUGUCGAAAGAAUAGGAGACGAGCGAUAUAAUGGUUUGCCACCUAAGGGCUACCCCAACGAUGAUCGAUAUGUCAGUAGUAAGUGUAGUUUGCAUGAACUAAGAAGUAGGUACCAUGUCCAAGAGUUACCUUGCUGCUUGGCCAGGGAAGAAUUGCUCGGGUGUAAAUUACCUCGCUUUUGAGCCAAGAAAGAGUUGUUGACCACAAGAUUGGAACGACCACUUCCUUCCAUGGUGUUUUGUGAUGGUGUUAGUAGAUGAUUGCCAUGGAGCCGUAAUUUGUCAAGCCAAGUCUUAGGCUGUAGUAGUAGUGCCAAAUAUUAUGGCUUGCAAGAAUGUUGUUGAUGUAGAUCAAGAUAGCCUUAGUGAUGGCUAAGAAAUUGGCUUCUUUAUUGUUGAGAUAUAAGCUUUGUCACAGAACCUUUACGUGUGAGGGAGUCCAUUAUUGUCAGAAGGGUCUGCAACUAUUGGCUUGCUCGAAUAAGGGUCUGAAAUGAGGUUGAGACAAAUUUGAUGGUUGUUGUACUCGGUUGUAACGAUAAAAUAGUAAGCCUUGAUUGUUGAAUUUAGGUUUUUCCUCAAAUUGGCUACUAACAAAAGUUUAAGGUGUAAAUUGUAUAAUUCGAAGAAGCACAUGUAACAUUAACUCUUUUCAGAACUGCAAUACCAUACCAGCUCUUAUAAUCGUUUUUGGUCCAAAUUCUGAAAAAAAGACAAUUUUUGGCUGGAAUUGCAACAAAAAUAAAUGAAUUUCGAAAGGAAUGUGUUUGAGGUUUGAGGAGCAAGUGGGUUUCUUCUCAGUAACAUAUAACUUCAGUUUCAAGGACGCGUAGAUUGCCAUCUACAGUGACUAGCACCCAUUCUUCGGUUUUAUUUCGAUUUACCACCACCGAGUGACUACCCUACCCACUCUUUGGUUUCAAUUUAUUUCAGCUAGACUGAACAAGGAUUACUGAUAAUGUAGCCAGAGACAAAGAACAAUGAAAGUUUUAAGAGCAAUGAUGCAAUUAGGCAUAAGGCAAAUCCUGAAAUUUGUAGCGCCACAACAAUAAUGAUCAUGAUGCGGGAAACGUGAGCAGGCAAAUUUGAUCCAUCACCUUUCCUAAUUGAAGCAUCCAUUACACCAAAAAACAACCAAUUUCCCAAGCCGUUAACAUAACUUUAGCUGCAUACUCCAAAAACGGCAUUUGAUUACUUUAUCCUAUCUUUUUUAUAAUCUCUUCAGACUUUUCUUUCUCGCAUCCAUUUUCUUCUUGUCUGCCUGAACUUUCGUCAGGCCUUCCUUCUUAAGAGCAGGGCCUGCUGUUCCUACCAGGGCAGUUCCACUCACUCCUGUUUCAGUUGUUGGAAAUAUAGACUGCUGAUCCUGGUUAUUCCCUCCUUUCGUGGCCGUGAUAGACUGGGCCAGUGGGGAUGGCAAUGAUAAUGCAGCAGCACCACUUGCUGCAUUUUUCUGGUCAACAUUGAGAACCGAAGUAUUAGACUGGUCAACAUUCAACGCCGUAGUUGAUUCACAAAUAGCUCCUGACUUGAACUUGGGUUUUGGCUUUGCAUGAAUUCCUGUAUAAAGCCUGUGUUAAGAACAGGUAAUGCACUUGUCAGACCGGCAUCGUUGUGCGCAAUUCCAAUUUCAUUUCUUUAAAGUGUAGUAGUCACGCUAUCUUUGAACCUCCUAUUUCAAUUACAAAAACAAUGUGCUCUUAUAUACUAUCAAAUCUUCACUGAUCUUAGAAAAGUCAAAAGACCAAAGUGACAUAACUAAAGGCAAAACUUUAAUGAAAUUAUGUGCAACUAAGAAACCAAUGGUGCCUGGAUUUGUCCCCUUCAGGUCAAAAGAACCUGACAAACCAUGUAACAGUAAAAAUGCACUGGAGACCCCAUAAAAAAAGCAUAAUUUCUAAUCAAGAACAAAACAGAACAGUAUUUGUCUUGUUAAAGACUCUCUCACAUAGAAGGCUCUAGGUUUCCACAUUGCAAAAUAUUAAGCAAAUAAUGUGUUUGGUACGCCUCACCUGGCAUGCCUAGCAUACUCAUCAUAAUUUUCAAGCAGCAUCUUGCCAGCCUGCUCAUUUAGAGCAGAUUCUGGAAAAGGCUCAAUCAGUAAACACCUAACUACCUGCAGUAACAAAAUCUGGUGUCAAGGAAGAUAAAAAGCAUGAAACCAAAGUUCUAAUGCUUAAUUAGUUUUAAAAAAAAAAGGAAAGAAAGAAAAAGAAAAAAAAGGCAGUCCUGAGGCAGUUCUUAUCAAACAAACUGAUAAAAAUUGGGUACAGAAUGAAGUCUGGGUAUAAUGGAACUUACAAUGAGUACAUGUCGUAAUCCGAGACUUGGAUUCCAAUCCUUUUUUAGUGUGUUCACACAAAUUUCACCAUUGGUUGCAAUAUUUGGAUGAAAAAUCUUUGUAAGAAAGUAGCCUGCAAUAUAGAUGUUCAGAAUAUUCACUAAUGCACAAAAUAAACUGUUUCUUUGCCAUACGGUAUCACCAGAAAUUUAGAGAUUGAAAUACAGGAUGAAUGACUUAAAAACAAAACACAAAAUUGCAAGCCAUGAAAUUGCAGAAAUUUUUCUCCAGAAGCCCGACAUGACCUAGAUUUUAAAUUUUUGUAUAUCACAGACAUGUUGAAAUCUGAUUAUGUCUGGAUAACUAUAAUCGAUGCAACAUACCUUUUGGAGGGGAGUGAGGAAAAUCAUGAGACAGUAACAACUUCAUACGGAAAACACCAUUUUCAUAUGGAGUCCCAGCUGUAAAGUCAACAAAUCCUCAGAAUCGAAAAGUAACAAGUGUACUACAAAGGAAGUAAAUUUGUUUCAACAGAAUUACGUGCCUGGCCCUUCAAUGUCAGCAUAAAUGAUUGAAAAAUCAUCAUCAUUUACUCCAACUUUAAUGCCUUCUGGUGGGGAUUCAUCAAGACUCUUCAAUUCCUUUGCCAGUUGCUUUAUUACAUUUGGUGGAAGAUUUUCAUUAGUUGCCUAACACAGCACAAAAGAAAAAAAUAAGAAAUGCAAUUCCUAAAUGGUCAAAAUAAAAAUUUCACAUGACAAGUUAAAGGAAAUGCCAUACAAUACAUAUUUAAAGGAAUUCUAUUUUCUUUUCUUUCAUAGCAUAAACAGCUUAAAGCACUAUUAUUCUGAACCUAUAUACCUGAAACUUUCUUCUCUAACUAAGCCAAAAGAGAACAAGGGACUAAAAAAUUAACGAAAAUUUUGUUGAUUUCCACAACAAUCAAAAGAUAUAAAUGGUAUUAUAUAAAUGGCAGCAAAAUUACCAUGCUAGGGGAAGAAAAGGAAUCCUUGACAAAAGACUCAGAACCUCAGCAACACACGUCCGAAAGCUCACCAACUUUGGCACUUAUUUACAGUAAGAAAAGUGAGGAUUCAGCACUGCCAAAAGAAAAACGAAAGAAAUAACCAGAAACUGAACAAUAUUAACAUCUGGUUUUCAAAAUGAAACACCAAAAUAAAAGUUCUUUCCUUUUCAGACAAGUAGGCACAACUAGCAGAUUGGAUAAACAGUCAACCCAACUAUUUUCACCAGAUAAUCAAAAGUAUAAAUCUCAAAUACACAUGCACACACAUGAAUGCAGAUAAAUAUGAUUGAGAUGCAAGACCCAGAAACUCUCGGAACAAAUAGAAAGCGGCACAGACUAAAACUUCCUAUAAGAUUCACAUAUUAAUCUUUUAUGUCUUAUCUAUGUAAUCUAAUUUCAUAAACUAAUUUUUAUGUCUAUCUGUUUAUUUUACCAGAAAUUGAAAAAAUAUGUAAAGGCCAUGAUAGUUUGAGCAAGAUAAUAUUUCUUUUCCCAGAUUACACCACUACAAACUUGUUUUAGACCUCCUUUCCGUUAACUGGUUUUUGGCAAGUGAAACUGCCUUCCAAUUAAGUUGGUUAAAUUCUAAUCUUACAAUACAGUUUGUACAUGGUAAAGGGUAAAGGAACAUGUGGGAGUUGAGAUUAAAGGCUUAAAUUAUGAGUCUAAUUUUCUGAUACCAAUGUAUCGUAGAAAAGUCUUAUGAAUGUUUUGGUACCCAAAACCCCCGUAGAAGAAUAACACCAAAUGCACAUCCAUUUUGAAUUUUGAAGCAUGCUGGGGUAGGCGCAUAAUCAGCAGGAAGCCUCACAAACUCAAGACUAUGACUUUGUUCAAACAAACGCUCAUCCAUACAAUCAAAAUGAAACAACAGCCGAAAGAGACAAAGUUAAAAGAAGGAUUUUUCAAUCCAAUCAGAGCACUUACCCAGUGCAUUUGACAGAACAAACCUAAUAGAGUCUUACACGUUUCCGACCAAGUAUCAAAAGUCAACAAGCAAAGCAAAUUACUGCUCCACAUACAGGUAUACAUAAUCCUAGUGGCUAACUUGAAACCAAGAAAAAGGAAAAACCCAUACAAAAUCAACCAAGAAAGGCAUCUCACAUUUCCCAUUUCACCAAGAAAGCACAAUCGUCGAAGAAGAAAAGGAAUCGAAAAUUUUAUUUAAUUUUCUUUCAAGAGAAGAAAAAAACACACAAAAGAAUGUUAAUCCAAGGAAAGAAAAAAAACAUCUGAGAUCACAUAUAAGAUUACGACAGUCGACCCAUAUUGUUCUGAUGGCAAGAAACGCAAAACCCAGAUGAGGGAUUACCUUAAUGCUUUCCUUUCUCUCGAUGUUGCACAGAGACUGAGAAAGCGAUCUCUCUCUUGGAAGGAAUGAUUGAUUGAUUGGCUGAUUUUGAGGAGAGUCUCCCUUUUCUUUUAUUUAUUUAUUAUUAUUUUAUUAGUAUAUACCAGUGGUAAAUAAAUCCAUUUAUUCAAAAAAAAUUAAAUAAAAAACAAUUGGGUAAAUUCGAACCGACGUGUCGCUCACGAGAUGCACAGGAUCUAUAGACGUCCGGUUGAGAUGGGGUUCGUUUCACGCGCCUGGCUCGGGAAUCAGGAGACAUGAAGCCCUGACCCGCACACCUUCGAAUGCGCGUGGAUUAGGAUCCUACUGUCGGACAGUAACAUAAUCGAAGGUCGUAUGUGAAUUAAAGAUCAGAAAAUGAAAAAAUAAAAAGGAAAGAGAAGGGGGCAAUCUUUGUAAAUUAUGUAACCAAGGAAGGGUAUUUUAGUCAACCAAUUUUUCUGGAGCGGAGCGGUAUAUGUUAUUUUCAACUUUUUUAUUAAUUUUAGAAAAAGGAGGGGUUAGGUGAACGUUCGUGUAGUAGUCUUGUCGGAACGUGGGACAGGAGUCUUCCUCUUUUUGCUCAAAUUUCGCAUUUUACUAUUAAAAUAAAAUUAUUAAUUAAUUUUUGAAGUGGCCCACCCCUAUCUUGGUGACCGUUGGGAGGUCUCCUCCCUAACUAGCCGUUAGCGGCGUUUGCCUGCUAAAUUUCCAUUUUAUUAUUGCCUUUGUUUUUUUCUUGCUCAAUCAUUGGGUUGAAUGGAGAAUUAAUCUGCUUCAAUAAAUUAAGGGGUUGCUUUGAGUUUAUUUGUUUAAGCACCAGAUUUUUCACUUUAAAUUUAAAAAAAAAAGAAAAAAAAUCUUAUUUUUCUUCAGUAAAGAAGAAUUAACUGUUUGGGAAAGGUUGCACAAAUCAUUCUACAUGUGCAGUGAAAAUUUAGUACUUUUUUCUCAAAUAGAUGAGCCAUUCAUGUUUACUAUAAAUAAAUCCUAACCAGUUGGUAGAAAGAUUUUAUAAUUUAUAAUAUUUGAUGUCGAAAUCAAUAGACUUGUUCGUCAAGAAUAUCAUUAUCUGGAGUCCAUAAGAGUUUAGGUUGUUCCAAAUUUUAAACUAUACAAGUGUCCAAACUCUAAUGGCGAUGAUCUUCGAGUAGAAUAACACUAAUUGUAGUUUUGCUUUUGCUACUAAACCUAGUGCUAGUUAGGUGAAGACAUUCAAGGUUUCGCACUUCUCAAGAAAAUAUAAAAAAAAUAGAAACAACACAUUUGAUCCAUGAAAUAGAAUAGAAGAAAAUAGAAUACCAAUUAGAAGGAAACAAAAUAAAAUAAGAAUAUAAUAGAAUAAUUAUUAUGUAGUUUAGUUAAAAGAAUGAAAUUGAGUGAAAAUUGCGAUAAUAACUCAUUCUAAUUUUUUAUUGAUAAGAAUAGCUUGGGAAUAAAAGUAAAUGACAAAAUGACAAAAUUACCUUUUAUUAUAAUAGAAUUUAUUUUCAUAAAACAAAUGCCCUUUAUUAUAAUUUACUAAAUUUUAUACCGAAAAUAAAAGUACCUUUUAUUAUAAUUUAAUAAUUUUUUCUUUUUUAAUAUUUUAAUUUCUAUUUUCAUUAAAAAUUUAAAAUAUUAAUAAGUUUUAAUUUAUUAUUAAAAUAUUAAUAUGAUUUUUUGUUUUAAUUUCUUUUUAUUUUUUCUCUAUUUGCAUUUUUCAUUUUUUUUAUUUGCUUAAUUUCUAUUUUCAUUAAAAAUUUAAAAUAUUAAUAAGUUUUAAUUUAUUAUUAAAAUAUUAAUAUGAUUUUUUGUUUUAAUUUCUUUUUAUUUUUUCUCUAUUUGCAUUUUUCAUUUUUUUUAUUUGCUUAAUUUCUAUUUUCAUUAACAAUUUAAAAUAUUAAUAAUUUACUAAUUUAUUAUUAAAAGAAAAUACCAAUUAAUAUCCAUUCAUUAUUAAUAUUUAAUAAUUUUAAAUUAUUAAUAAUUUAUUAAUAUUAAUAAUUUAAUAAUAUUAAUUAUUAUCCAAAUCUCUUAAAAGGAUUAAAAUUAAUAUUUUGGAUUCAUAAUAUUAUUUUGAAAAUUAUUUCAAGACUUAUGAACACCAAAAAGAUGAAAUCUUAAAAGAAUAUUACAAUUUUAUGAAUAAAUAUAAAUUUUAAUUGAAUUCUUUGAGUGGUUUGAAAACUAUUAUGAGAUUCAAAUAAUAAAUACAAUAAAAACCAGUAAUAAAUGACAAACUAACAAAAAGGAAAUCGAAUCACAACACCCUCCUCCUACAGAAGUCCAAUAUACACACAAAAACACAGGAAUUAGAGCUACCCUAUUAAGAAUGAGAGCACCUGAAUUAGGAGAAAAUGUUUCCUCGAAAUAUAUAAAGAUGAUAGUUGAACAAAACAAUUAUACAAAUUUAAAUCUGCACACUAUAUCACAACAACUAGAUAAAGUAGAAAUCUUAGUGGAAAACCAACCUCAACGUACUCAAAAUUUAUCAACAGGAGAAAAUAGAAUUGAAACCCCAAAAUCUUCACAACCAGUAUUUACACCAUUUGAAGUACCAAAAAAAUAUCACCAGGAACAACAGAAUCAAUUUUUAAAAGAAAUACAAGACAUAAUUGAUGCUUUAGAAAGUCAAAAUUCAGGAAUAGUCAUUAUAGAAACUCCAACGCAACAAUCCCGCACAAUCCAUACCAUAGAAACUCAAAGCUAUGCAGAAGAAUUAGAUUACCAACAAAUCAAUAAAAUGGUUUGGAAAGAACCACAAAAAUAAUAUUAUCCCAAAAUGACAGCCCCAGAUCUAAAUAUUGAAGAAAAACCAAUAUUUCAAAACAAAUAUAAUGCUAAUACAAUUUACAAAUGGAACAUAGAUGGAAUCUUUGAAUAUAACAUUCUCAGUACACUUCAGCAAAUGACAAUGGUUUCAAAUGUUUACAAAACCCAAAACCAAAUUGGUCAAAUUACAGAUCAUGCUAUAGCACACCUCCUAGUUGCUGGAUUUACAGGACAACUAAAAGGAUGGUGGGAUAAUUAUCUUACAACAAAUCAACAAAAAGAAAUAUUAAAAGCUACCAAAAAAGAUAAUGAUGGCAACUCUAUUUUAGAUAAUCAAGGAAGAGAGAUACAAGAUGCUGUUGCAACUCUCAUCUUCUCAAUAUCCAAACAUUUUAUCGGAAAUCCCUCUCACUUAAGAGAUAAGAAUUCAGAAUUAUUGUCAAAUUUAAAAUGCAAAAAAUUAACUGACUUUAAAUGAUACAAAGAUAUGUUUAUGACUAGGGUCAUGCAAAGAUCAAACAACAAUCAACCUUUCUGGAAAGAAAAAUUCUUAGCUAGACUUCCUACAUUAUUAGGAGAAAAAGUUAAGAAUCAAAUAAGUGAAACUUAUAAAGGAAUAAUACCCUAUGAAAAUUUCACAUAUGGAGAACUUAUAAGUUUUACUCAAAAAGAAGGACUAAAAAUUUGCCAAGAUUUAAGACUCUAAAGACAAUUAAAGAAAGAAAGAAAAUUAUGCACAAAAGAAUUGAGAUCAUUCUGCCAACAAUUUGAUAUAAAAAAUGAAUAUUCUUUUUCAAAAUCCUGUUGCACUUCAAGACCAACAAAACAAAAAAGACAUAAGAAAAAUCUCCAAGAAUAUUAUCAAAAACCAAAAUAUAAGAAACAUUAAUUUAUUAAAAUCUCUAUCAAUUGAUACAAAUCAAAUUAAUUCUUUAAUCAAUAAUAAGCAAGAUCCAAUCACCUACUUAAAAGAAGAAGUUUCUUUUGAAAAGAUUAAUCAACAACUAACCACUAAAGAAGUUAAGCAACAGAUUGAGCAAAUCAGAAAAGAAAUAGAAGAGACAAUCUGUUACGAUAUUCCAAAUGCAUUUUGGGACAAAAAGAAACAUAAAGUAGAAUUGCCUUAUACAAAAGAUUUUAAUGAAAAACAAAUCCCCACAAAAGCUAGAGCAAUACAAAUGAACAAAGAAAUGGAAGAAUUUUGCAAAAAAGAAAUUAAAGAUUUACUAGACAAAAAAUUAAUCAGGAAAAGUAAUUCACCAUGGAGUUGUUCUGCUUUCUAUGUAAUAAAAAAUGCAGAAAUAGAAAGAGGAACACCAAGCCUUGUCAUUAAUUAUAAACCAUUAAACAAAGUACUAGAAUGGAUAAGAUAUCCAAUCCCAACAAAGAAAGAUAAUUUUCAAAAAUUAUGUAACGCAAAAAUAUUUUCAAAAUUUGAUAUGAAAUUAGGAUUUUGGCAAAUCCAGAUAAAAAAAACUGAAAGAUACAAAACAGCAUUUACAGUUCCAUUUGGGCAAUAUGAAUGGAAUGUAAUGCCUUUUGGAUUAAAAAUUGCAUCAUCAGAAUUUCAAAGAAUUCUAUUAAAAUUUUAUAUUUAUUCAUAAAAUUGUAAUUCUCACGACCCGAUACUCCCCUCGAGCCCAUGACAACCGCCGCAUUGUCCCGAUCGACACUCGUUACCCAGAAUGUCAACCGAAAUCCCACAAUACUUUAAUAUCAGCUUCUCAUUUUCCCUGUGAGUAAUUGUUGCCAAAUAUCGUGUUCUAAAAUAUUUUAAGCUGUUUCCAACUUAAAACAAAUAAAAUAAUAAUUUUCGUCUCACAGGGGUAUUUUGGUCAUUAUUCUUAAAAAUUUUGAAACCAGCUAAAAUGCAAUAUACAAGUGCAAAACACAUAAUUCAUAAUCAAAAUGAGUUUAAAAGUCUAAAAUCUUCAUUUAAAAUGAAAUUAUGAUUAUUUGGAUAUAAUAAGAUAAUAAAAGAAAUAUUAAGCAAAAUAUUUUAUUUUCUUAUAAAACAAUAUUUUUAGAGUUAUACAUAAAUAAAUUUUGUAGUGUAAAAGUUAAAUAAAUUCAUACAUACUGUAAUACAGAAAACCAAAGUAUAAAAUUUAAUUUACAGUGACACGUGAGCCCACGAAUAACUAAAAGUAUUAAAAGAAAUGAACCUACAGUUUUUGGAUGUGGCAAGUCCAACUGAAGUCCUCAACGAUAUCAGUUGUCUACAAUCUAUUUUGAGCUUGAAAUGGGUGAAAAUGAGGGUGGUGAGAUUAUAAAAUCCCAGCGAGUAAACAAAUACCAUCUAAACCAUCUAAAGUCAAGUAAAUGGAUAUAGGUAAAACAAUUUAACAUACUAAAAUUCAUCACCUUUCAACUUGUUUCAACCAAAUAAAAUUUAUUCAUAUAAAUCGAGUAAUUAACAUGGCUUAUGAAUUUCUUAAAGCUUAGCUCAUGCCAAAAAUUAUUCUCAUACUUAGUUAUCAGGGAUUCCUUGAUCGAGGGCUAUCCCAAACCGAGUCCGCCAAGGCUAUUAAAAAGUUAUAUACUCAUAAAUCAUGUUUUUAUUUAGAAAAUAUAGCCGUUCCUUGGCGUUGGCUGAGUUCGGCCUCAAGUGGUGGUUUGGCGUGCAGUGAACUCUAAAAGUUAUACCUCGGGAGUUACCCUACUCGUCUCUCCAACCAAGAUAAAAUAUGUCAGGAUUCCGUGCCCCUUUAAUAGGCUAGUCCACAGAACCCAGCCCACUGCAGCAAGUAAUAUCCACCAUACAAUAAAAUUUUGACAGCAUGACGUGACUAAUAUUAUACUACCUAGCCUGUAAAUGUAAAACAGAACAAUUCAUACAGUUCACUAAAACCACAACCCAGCCAGUCAUGCCAACACAUUAACAUAAGCCAUCAAUUCAGAUCAUAAAUUUACAACACAUCAGGGGUCUCCAAUUACUCUAUUUUCAAAAUCAUCAUUCAAUUUCAAGACAAUUUAUAAAAUCUUUUCAUUUAAACACAUUUUGUUUAUAAACAUAAAGGUUUACCAUUUAAACCCAUUUUUCAUAAAAUCAUAAAAUCGGAUAAAAAUCACUUUAGAUAAUUAAGACGAUAGUAAGGUUACUCACCGUACUAGGAGUUCGAUAUACUCCUAUUUUGGGGUCUUUGGGCACAAUCUCUUUACCCUUGUUGGAAGGCUCACCACCUAUACAUCAUACAUGACACGAAUUUCAAUAAAUUAUGUUAAUUUAUCAUAAACUAUUUCAGGCUCUAUAAAACUAUAUGAAUGCACGAAAUGUGAUGCAAAAUGUCCGAAUAGCCGUUUAAAUACGGUAUUCAACCUAAUUCGCACUAUUCUCGGUGUAAUUGGCUAAAACCUCUAAUUUAACUCCAAAUCAAUUUCUUUUACUUUUUACACUCCAAUUAUACUUAAAAUACCUCAAUGACUGUGAAUAUGUUUCAAUUUAUCAGUCCGAACUAUAAAUCGAACAUGUAUAUACUUUAGGUAAAAAUUCAGAUUUUCAUGCCAAAAUUUUCCAUUAAAUUUCUAGCCUCAUCAAUCAUUAAAUACCACCAAAAUAUAAUGAAAUAUCAUCAAUUUCAGCCUCAAUAUCCUCCCUUGGAAAUUCGGCCUCUUGUGGGUAAUAGAGAAAAUGAAUUUUUCUUGUUGGCUUUUCUUGCCACACAUCACUAACUAACUAAAAACACUAGAAUAUCUUAAAAUCUAACCAAAACAUCAUCAAAUUCUCUCUCCUAGGUGUUCGGCUAGCAAGGGCUUCAUCAUGAAAACUUGAUUUCUAAGCAUGGAAAAUGGAAAAGAAAGCAUGGGUAGUGUAAAUCACAAGUCAAAAUCAAGAAAUUUUACUUUUAUUAGCUUAAUCCCUUGAAAUCCCACACUUUUUCUUCAAUUUUCCCACCUUGGGUUCUUGUUCUUCUUUUCUUCCUUUUGUUUUCCUUUGGCUGGCCAUAUGAAGAGAAAUGGGCUGAUUUUAUAUUGAUUUAUAAUGAAAAUAAUGAAUGGAUGAGAUUUUGACACAUCACCAUUCCAUUGGUCCAUGUGUCAUACUUAGCCAUUAAGCAAUCUCUCUCCACCACUUAAAUUUUCUCAAUUAUCCAUGAUAAUAUUGGGUAAAAUUCAUGUGCUGGACAAGUGUUGGGUGGUGUAAAAUUACAAUUUUGCCCUUGAAGUGACAAAAUUACCAUUUUACCCUUAUACUCUGAAAAAUAUCGAAAUUAAAAUUUUUCACUUCUCAAUCUCAAAUCAUAGUCCAAUAAGUCAAAUAUGAUCAAAAUCUUUCAAAAAAAUUUUCAUGUUGUCCUCGAGUGGUAAAAUUACCAUUUUGCCUCUAGAUAGUGAAAUUUCCAAUUUGACUCCAAAUUGGUCUUCGAACCCCAAAUCACCAUUUUAAAUCAUUCCUGGACUGUAAAAUUUUCAAUUUCACCCUAAAAUCUUUAUUCGAUCUAGUUCGAGGCUUAAAUCAACUUUGUUGUACCUCUAGGUACAAUACUGACUUUUGUAAAUUUUUCGGCACUCUCCUAGCAUGUAAACAUGCUAUCCAUAACAUGUAUGUCAUGGCAAGUAUUUUAUAAGGUCGGGCUUUACAGUAAUAUUCUUUUAAGAUUUCAUCUUUCUAAUGUUCAUAAGUUUUGAAAUAAUUUUCCUUUUUUGCUUAUUUUUUUUUGAAUAAAGUUGUUUUAUACACCAAUCCUUAUCAAUUUUAAAUUCUUUUUCUAGUACAAAUAGUUCUGAAUUUUGUUCAAUAUUUAAUUUUGGAUUAUUGGUCAUUGAAGAAUAUGUGGGUGACAUGUUGAGAGAAUUUGUUGAACUAUUUUCUUGCGUAAUGUAAAUAGGUUGAGGAAUAUUCGAGGAGUUAUCUACUCCUUAUAAGUUUGUUCUGACUGUUGAAGGUAUUGAGGAUACAGAAGCUCUGGCUAUCCUAAAAUCUGUUGCUAUUUCAGAUGGAUUUUCUCUUAAUAUGUUUAUGCUCCUUAUGGAGGCUGUUAUUUGUUCAGUAUCAAAAGAUUGUCUAGAGGGUACCCUUAGUGGCCUAUUGAAGACAAGUUCUACUAAACCAUCUCUGUAUUCUGCUUCAUGGUUUAUUUCUGUAUUCUGGAUAACGACAGGAUUUGUUGCUCAUUCUAUUUUCCAUCUAUUUGGAAGUUGCACUUCAUGCCAUUGCAUUGUCCUAGGUAUUACUGUAUGGGAUCUAGUCAAUUUGUUUGUAUUAAAAGAGUUUCUCCUUUUAGGCUGUGAAUUAAAGCUUUUGUAUUAAUUACAGAUUACAUUGCUUUGUAAUAUAAUCUAUACACUACAGUUAGUGGUUUAGAUCCUUGCAUCAUUUUAUAAUUAUGAGUUUGAAUUUGAAGUAUUAGUGAGCUUAAGAUAUUUCUAUCUUUCAAUGAAACCAUAAAAUUUAGAAAGCAAUUAAAAUGUAUUGGUCCUCUGCAAAGACUUGUUUCUAUAGUUCCUAACAAAGAAUCAUUCAAAUGAAGAUGUCUUUUAUCUCUUAAUACUAUAAGGAUUGAGGUAUCCAAUCCUUCUUUGGUAAGAGAUUUUGCUCCUACUUGAACUAAUUCAAAAUGAAUAUAAUUAUAUUUUUGAUUUUUGAGUUUUUGAAUGGUAUCUUAAUCCAGUAAGUGGAUAUUUUCAUAUUGAUUUUGAAUUGGUAUUCCUUUUUCUUUUGUUUUUAUUAAAUAUCCACAAAAGGAAUUUAAAUGUAAAGCAUGAAAUGUUGAAGAUUUGUAGAUUUGAUUUUGUGGAACUCUUGAAAUUUUCCAAUUAUCUAUUUCUUGAAUAAUAUUUUCAUAAUGAAUAUUUUCUUCAUUGAUGCUCUAGGUUUUGGUUAGAGUUUGAAUUGAAACAGAAGGUAGUUCUUAAAAAAGGUAACAUGUUUUCAAUGUAUUUUCCUACAUAGAGGGUUUCUACUGUUAUGGUGAUUUAUAUUAAUUUUACCUACAGGGAGAAAUUAUAUCUAACACGCCUAUCCCUCGACUUAACAGACUGGUUUCCUAAGGACUCAACAGUAAUUAAUAUAGUAUCAACCAAACAAUUAAAACCAGAACUAGAAAAAUAAAAUGAAAAGAAAAUGCUUCAAAUUUAAGAAAAUACCUUUUGCUCCGAUGUGGCUCUGAUACCAACACUCUACAGAAACGAUCAUCGAGAGAAUAAUAUUAUUAUGAAAUAUGAUUUAAGAAAUAGAUAGGGAAUACAAGAGAAUUUUUUGAGGAAGUUUGGUUCUUGGAACCUUGUUCUAAGAACUUUUAAGGAGUUCUUCUUCUAAUGAGGCUUUAUAUAGACAGCCUUUUACAUUUGAAUUUGGAUUUCAAUUGCAUUUCAAUUUCAUUUACAAAAGUACUAUCUUUCUCAUGAUUUUUCUUUGGCAAACAACUUUUACUAUGGAUGCCUUUGUCAGAUAAUCUUUUGUAUUUCCCGUGAUUUUUGGUAAAUAGCUUUUUACUAUAGUUAGCUUGUUUACUGUAGAUGCCUUUGGCAGAGAAUCUUUUGUAUUUUUCGUGAUUUUUGGUAGACAGCUUUUUACCGUGGAUGCUUUUGGCAAGGAAUCUACUUUGGUGCUGCUUCUUACUAUAAUUACCUUUGGCAGGGAAUUUGCUUUGAUGCUGCUAUUAUUUUCUUCUUGAGGGAAUAUAAUCCUCAUCUUAAGAAAGAUCUGCUGUGGCUUUGGAGGAAGCAGUCUUUUCUUGUUCUUCUUUUUCAUCUGAGUAUAAGGAACUUAACAUUUCUACCAUUAUCUUCUUAUACUCAGUUUUUGUUUUGGCCUGUGCUAGUAAGGCACUGGCUUGGGAUUUUGCUUGUAGAAAUCUUGCAUUUUGUUGCGAAGCUUGGGGAUCCUUGCAUAAUUGUGGAUUCUUUUCGAACCAUGUUAAUAGAUACUGGUGGUCAUAUUUGUUGUCAUCAAAUUUAUCCCACCAUUUUGUUUUGAAGGUCCUGAUUACCAUCCAGGCUCCAAAAUGGGGAUCAAUGUCAUAAGAAUAAUCCCACGACGUAAUCCAUGAGAUGAUUAAUUUGGAAAACAAAUGGAUGGAAACAUGUAAAUUUGCUUGGUCUUUUUCAAGUUGAAAAUUUUGGAGAAACUUAUCAUAUAAUUACUCUAUUUUUGGUGGAAGGAUUUCCCUUAAUGGUUCAAACCAAUUCCACCAAUGGGAAAACCAUAUUGGAAAUUUGUAUUGUGUUCCAUAUUUAAAAAACAUUAACCAGGAAUGCCGGUUAUAUUUGUUGUUGAAUAAAAAGGUGUUGAACCAUGCCUAUUGGUAGUCCUAAUAAUUAAAAACUGGGCAGUGGUCAACCGUUUUUGGAAAUCUUUGAUAUUGGUUCAAAUCUUUUCCCUAGUCUAUGGGCCUUAAAACCUUUAAGAUUUGGGCCGUAUAAUGGGUUAUAUGUCAAACCCUGCUUUGUAAAAUAAUUAUAAUGUCAUUCACAUGCUCGAUAGAAUGUUUGUAUAUUUAGGAAGUUCGAGAAAUCGUUAAAAGAUGAUAUUGCCCCUAAUGGUACCAUUGAGUCGAUUAAGCCUCGAACUAGUUCAAAUAGGAAUUUUAAGGUGAAAUUAAGAGUUUCACAGUUCAUGGAUGACUCAAAAUGGUAAUUCAGAGUUUGAGGAUCAAUUUGGAGUCAAACCGAAAUUUUUACUAUUUAGGGGUAAAAUGGUCAUUUGCCACUUGGGGACAAAAUGAAAAUUUUUAGAAAAGAUUUUUUUGGGUCCAUUUGACUUAUUGGAGUAUGAUUUAAGUAUUGAAGUAUGAUUUGAAGUUUAGAAGUGAAAAAUUUUAAUUUCGGUAUAAUUUGGAGUAUAAGGGUGAAAUGGUAAUUUUGCCACCCCGGGGGCAAAUCGGUAAAUUUUCACCCCCGACACUUGUCAAGACCAAUGGAUUUUAUUCAUCAUGGAAAUGGAUAAACAUGAGAAAUGUGUGGUGGAGAAUUAAAGAAUUAAAAGUCAAAUAUUUAAAAUUUGAGCCAAUAAAGAAAUGUUAUGUGUCAUGUUUUUAUUAUUUUAUUAUUUCUUUAUAUAAAGACAAAAAAAUUAGCCCAUUUCUCCCAUAGUGAUCAGCCAAACCAGAAGAGAAGAGAAACCAAGGACGAACAAACCCUAGGUGGGAAAAAUCAAAGAGAAAGUGUUGGAAUUCAAGGAUUUGAUCAAGCAAAGGUAAAAUUUCUUUGAUUUUGCUAGUGAUUUACCUUACCCAUGCAUUUUUCCUUAAUUUCCAUGGUUAAAUUACAUGUUUUCAUGAUGAAAUUAUGGCUGGUCAAAAUGGGUAUGGAGAGAGAAAGAUGUUGGAAUUGUUUGAUUUUGAGUUAUGUUGGUGUUUAGAGUUAGUUAAACAUGUUUAGAAACAAAACAACAAGAAAAGAAUCCAUUUUCCCCAUGAACCUUCAAUGGCCGAAAGUUCCAAGAAGAAAAGUGAAGAUAAAUUUGCCUAAUUGUGUGUUAAUUAGUUGUGCUUGGUGAAUUGAGGGAUUGGAAAAGAAAUGGAGAAAGUUGGAGUGAAAUUGGACGCAUUGGCCAAUUUAUUGGAUGAAAAAUCGACUUAGGUCAAUACCGGGUCUAGAUGGCUACCUGUGCAUUUUUCAUUUCAUAUCAUGCAUAUAUAUCGAGCCUGAAAUAGCUUAUGACUGUUAGACACAAUUUAAUUGAAAUAUGUGCCAUGGAUUAAGGCUAGGUGGUGAGCCAUUAGAUACGAGUAAAGGACUGUACCCGCGGACUGAAAAUAGGAGUAUAUCGACUCCUAGAACAAUGAGUAAACUUACUAUCAUCUUAAUUAUCUAGAGUAGAUUUAUUUAAUUAAGUGGUUUUAUGGAAAAUGGUUUAAUUGGAAAAUUAUUGUGUUCUAUGGGAAAAUGAGAUUUUAUAAAAUAAUUUUAUAAAAUUUUUGAAAAUUUAAUAAUGAUUUCAAAAAUAGAGUAAUUGGAGACCUAUACUAUGAUUGUGUUGUUUAUCUAUGAUUUUAAAUUAAAUGGCUUAUGAUAAAUGUGGGUAUGACUGGUUAUUUUUAUGAUUUUAAGAAUAUGUGAAUUGCUUUGAUUUGCCUUGAAUGUGUUAAGUGAGUCAUGUCAUACUAUUGUGAUUUUGUUGGUUGGUAGAUUAUAAAGUAGGCACUGCAGUGACAGGGGUUCCGUGGACCAGCCUAAUUAGAGGGGCACGGUUCCCAAUUAUUGAGCUUACCUCGAUUGGAGAGACGCUUAGAAUAACUCCUGAGGUAGGAUUUGUGGGCACUGCAGUGACGGGGGUUCCAUAGGCCAGCCUAAUUAGAGGGGCACGAUUCCCAAUUAUUGAGCUUACCUCUAUUGGAGAGGCGCGUAAGAUAACUCCCGAGGUAGGAUUUGAGUACACUUCACGCUGGCCACCACGUGAAAUUGGGACUCAGCCAACGCCGAGGAACGGCUGUGUUGUUAGAGGUGAAAUGUGUUUGUGUGUGUGACAAUAAACAGCCUUGACGGUCUCGGUAAGAUGCCUUCGCGGGGUAUCCCCGAGAAUGGAUUUUUGGCAAGGGCCAAGUUUUGAAAAGUGCAUAAGCCAUGUUGAGUAAUUGGAUGAAAUCCAAUUAUUUAUAUGGGUUGGGAUGAAUUAUUUUAAUUGUCUCAUAUUACUCGGCUUUAGAUUAUUUUGAUGAUCUCUGUCUACUCACUGGGAUUUUAUAAUCUCAUCCCUUAUUCCUAUACAUUUUUCAGGCUCAGGACAAUUUGUUGAUAGUUGAUUAAGACGAGAAUUAAUCUCGGAGUUGCAUCUUAGAAAGUAAGGGUUCGUAACCCUACAUUUUAUUAGUCAGUUAGGGGUCCACGUGUCACUGUAAAAGUAAUUUUAUUCUUCAGUUAUUUGAUUUAAAAUAUGUAUGAAUAUAUUUAGCUUUUACACCAUGUUUUUGGCGAGUUUCGGUAUUUUCGAAGAAAAAUGACGAAAAUGCCCUUAUGAGCCAGAAAGUAAUAUUUUAUUGUUUUGAUUUGGAAAUGACUUAUGAUUUUUUUGAAAUGUGAGAUUUAAUAACUGUCGCUCACUGGGGAGAUGCAGAAGCUGAUGCUAAGCCUUGCGGGGUUUCGAUCGGCAUUCGGGGUAAUGAGUGCCUAUCGGGACGUCGCGGCGGUUGUCACUGGCUCGAUGGGAGUUUCGGGUCGUGACAUUAUAAGAGUAGGGUCUUUUUUGUCUGUAUAAUGUUUGAAAAACACAAAAAAUGCUAUAGUUUCUAAUUGGAAUUCUUCAUUAACCAAAAAUGUUAUUUUGAUUAAAUAUCUUUGGAUGGAUACUUUAGUGAGAACCAUCAUAUAUUCUUGGAUAUCUUGGUUUUCUGUGUCAGAAUCUGUAAGAUUUUGAACAUUUUGGUUUUUUGUUGUUUUGAAAAGUUGGAUCUGGUUUUUGAUUUGUUGUUGUUCUUUUUCGAGUUUAGAAAUUUUUGUUUUUAUGGAUUUUAUUUCUAAGUUUAAUUCUUCUUUAGUUGUUUUUUUUUUGGUUUUUCGUAUUUGUCAAAAAUAAUGUUUUUAAUAUUAUAUAUAGGUUCUUCUUGCAAGAUUGCCUUGUCUAGUUUUUUUUUUUAUUGAAUCUUUUAAUUUUUGAAGAUAUUCUCUCUUUAAUGUUGAAUCUUGUAUUUUAUCUACGAUUUCAAUCAUAAAUUCUUGGUCUUUUGUCAAUACAUUAAUUAAAUUUUCACUUUCUGUUGAAGAUUGAGAUGUAGUAUGGAUUUCAUCUAUUUGUAAAUUUUUUGAAGAUUUUUCACUAAUUGUUAUAUCAAUAUCAGAUGAUGAUAUUUCUAAAAGCAUUUCAUUGAUUUUUUGUUCAAUUUCUUCCCCUAGUUGGAGUUGAUUAAUUUUCUUUUUUAUUUUACAAUAUUUUGAAAUAUGUCAUGUUUUUCCACAUCUAAAAUAUUUUAUUGUUAAAUUAUUAAAUUAUAUUAAUAAUUUAAAAAAUCCAUUCAUUAUUAUUAAAUUAUUAAUAUAAUUUUUAUUUUUAUUUCUUUUUCUUUUUCUUUAUUUUCAAUUUUUUCCUCAUCAUUUUCUUUUCUUUUCGUUUCUCAUAUCUAUCACCGAUCAUCAGAAAAACCACUAACGACGUUGGAGUGCUAAUUUGACAUUGGUCACGGCCAGAUCAAGUUGUUGAACCUAUCUGGCCAAUGCACUACUUAUCACUUCCCAUAACCACGUCAACACUCCAAUAGCUAGAUCUAAUUGUGACCAACACUAGAUCGACGUUCCAACUUCGCCAAUGGUUUCUUCAAUGGUUGACAAUAGAAAACUUGGUGGUGCCAACAGCAAAGGACGGUAUUGACUGUGGAAGAGAAUGGCAGCAAACUUGCUUAAAAAUAGAAAAGAUGAAAGGUAGAUCAAGAAGAGAAAGAAAAAAAAGAAGGAAAAUGAAUAAAAAAACCUUUUAUAAUGUAAGGUUAGUAAUUUUUAAAAAUGAUUAAAGUUAUUUUUGUAAAAAAAUUUUAGACUUUAUUUCAUUGGGUGUGGAAUACUUAAUACCAAGGGAGGGUAUAUUUUGAGGACCCUUUAAAAACAAACCAAAUAGAGGAAGAAAGAUUCUUUAGGACCAAAUGUGUCGAAAGAGAAAGAAGAGGACUACGAGGAGGCAUUAAUACAAGGCUAGGAAUUCUCUAAACCAAUACCCAAGGUUAGCCACCGAGAGUCGCUAGUUCUUAAGGUUAUCGACUUGUGGUCGUUGAAAUCUCUCAUCGCAAUUUUGAAGUGUAUGAACAUUUUUGGUGCUAAAGAUGUCAUCUAAAAAAUGCAGCAUAAGCAUCAUAUUUAUAGGUAAAUAUGUUAAUCUUAAUCCCACUAGGAAUUUCCUUAACAAAAGUGAACUUAUUCAAUUAAGUCCCUGAAGUUUAUACUUCUUUUCAAUUAAGUUCAACCUACUUUCCAAAUUUUACAUUCUUAGAUAAUAAGUGUGACCCAUUAGGUACUAAUGUGUUAGGAAUGAAUAUGCAUUAUAAUCCAAGUUGGAUAAGGAUUAGAUGAAUCAUACAACUUGCAUUCAUCAUUAAUUCUCUAAUUGAUUAGCCCAUAUUUAUGAGUUAAAUUUGACAUCUAGUAAUAUGUCAUGACUACUUAAAUAUUAAGAAGAGUUAAAAAGUUUUGACUUAACCUUUUAGUGCUCAAUUUAUCAUUGUAAUCCAAUCUCUCAUUAUCCAAUAUUCCGAUAAGACAUAAAGGAUGAUGCAAUGUCUACUUUAUGCUUGUCUUUACCAUUUUAGAUCUUGAAAUCUUCUUAACUUGUUAAUGAAAUUAUAAAACUCAUUUUGUAAUCUUCACUCAACUUUGACCAAAGAUUUGAUUGAGCUAAAUCAUGCCACAUAUCAAUGGGCUAUCUCUCUUAAAUCACUUAGGGUGAUGUAUCAUUUAUCUUCAUGUGGUUCAUGAUAUUCCUAAUGCACAUCCCAUUGUACAUCCUUAGCUACGAUUACCUAAGCUAAUAUUAAAGUAUAGCAAUUCUCACAUAAGAUAACAUAAUGAUUUCAAGCCUAAGGAUCGCAUAUACAACUGACACAUGAGAAUAUUUUCAUAGACACUUGAGUGAGAUACCUAAUGAAAUUCUCAUGAUGGGUCAUGUUCAAUGAACUUCUUUUCGUAAUAAACAUCCGUAUGUUAGUGUCAAGUAUCCUAAUACUUCAUUUUAUGAAAUCGAUUGCUUACUUCACAAAUAAAAAACAUAACAUAUGCUAAUCUCUCAACUUAUAUCAAUGUCUUGUCUUGAUAAAUUUAUUCCGUAGACAUUUGAAUGAAAUGCUUAAUGAAAUACUCUCGAUGGAUAAUAUUUAGUGAACUUGUUCAUGUAACAAACACCCACAUGUUAGUUCAAGUAUCACCAUACUUUAAUCUAUAAGAUUAAUUGGUCACUUCAUGAGUGAGAAACAUAACCUCAUGACAGUCUCUCAAAGUUGUUAAUGUCCAAUCCUAAUAAAGCAUCAACUAGGAACAUUUUAGAAAUAACACUUUGAUGUAAUAGAGAUCUCAUAAUUAUAACAUUUUGUAAUUCCUUUUACAAAGCAUAUUUUAUUCCCUAGACUUUUAUGUUAUUAGUUUGUUUUUUUUUUUUUAAUUAUGUAAUUUUUAUUGUUAAAUGCCAAGACCCAAUUUGGCCUUUGUAAAGCCCGACCUUAUAAAAUACUAUUCAUGACAUACAUGUGAUGAUAGUAUGAUUGCAUGCUAGGAGAGGCUCGAAAAUUUUACAAAAGUCGGUAUUGUACCUAGAGGUACAACAAAGUUUAUUUAAUCCUCGAACUAGAUCAAAUAGGAAUUUUAAGGUGAGAUUAAGAGUUUCACAGUUCAUGGAUGACUUAAAAUGGUAAUUUGGAGUUUGAGAAUCAAUUUGGAGUCAAAUCGGAAUUUUCACUAACUAGGGGCAAAAUGGUCAUUUGCCACCUAGGGACAAAAUGGGAAUUUUAGAAAAGAUUUUUUUUGACCCCAUUUGACUUAUUGGAGUAUGAUUUGAGGUUUAGAAGUGAAAAAAAUUNNNNNNNNNNNNNNNNNNNNNNNNNNNNNNNNNNNNNNNNNNNNNNNNNNNNNNNNNNNNNNNNNNNNNNNNNNNNNNNNNNNNNNNNNNNNNNNNNNNNNNNNNNNNNNNNNNNNNNNNNNNNNNNNNNNNNNNNNNNNNNNNNNNNNNNNNNNNNNNNNNNNNNNNNNNNNNNNNNNNNNNNNNNNNNNNNNNNNNNNNNNNNNNNNNNNNNNNNNNNNNNNNNNNNNNNNNNNNNNNNNNNNNNNNNNNNNNNNNNNNNNNNNNNNNNNNNNNNNNNNNNNNNNNNNNNNNNNNNNNNNNNNNNNNNNNNNNNNNNNNNNNNNNNNNNNNNNNNNNNNNNNNNNNNNNNNNNNNNNNNNNNNNNNNNNNNNNNNNNNNNNNNNNNNNNNNNNNNNNNNNNNNNNNNNNNNNNNNNNNNNNNNNNNNNNNNNNNNNNNNNNNNNNNNNNNNNNNNNNNNNNNNNNNNNNNNNNNNNNNNNNNNNNNNNNNNNNNNNNNNNNNNNNNNNNNNNNNNNNNNNNNNNNNNNNNNNNNNNNNNNNNNNNNNNNNNNNNNNNNNNNNNNNNNNNNNNNNNNNNNNNNNNNNNNNNNNNNNNNNNNNNNNNNNNNNNNNNNNNNNNNNNNNNNNNNNNNNNNNNNNNNNNNNNNNNNNNNNNNNNNNNNNNNNNNNNNNNNNNNNNNNNNNNNNNNNNNNNNNNNNNNNNNNNNNNNNNNNNNNNNNNNNNNNNNNNNNNNNNNNNNNNNNNNNNNNNNNNNNNNNNNNNNNNNNNNNNNNNNNNNNNNNNNNNNNNNNNNNNNNNNNNNNNNNNNNNNNNNNNNNNNNNNNNNNNNNNNNNNNNNNNNNNNNNNNNNNNNNNNNNNNNNNNNNNNNNNNNNNNNNNNNNNNNNNNNNNNNNNNNNNNNNNNNNNNNNNNNNNNNNNNNNNNNNNNNNNNNNNNNNNNNNNNNNNNNNNNNNNNNNNNNNNNNNNNNNNNNNNNNNNNNNNNNNNNNNNNNNNNNNNNNNNNNNNNNNNNNNNNNNNNNNNNNNNNNNNNNNNNNNNNNNNNNNNNNNNNNNNNNNNNNNNNNNNNNNNNNNNNNNNNNNNNNNNNNNNNNNNNNNNNNNNNNNNNNNNNNNNNNNNNNNNNNNNNNNNNNNNNNNNNNNNNNNNNNNNNNNNNNNNNNNNNNNNNNNNNNNNNNNNNNNNNNNNNNNNNNNNNNNNNNNNNNNNNNNNNNNNNNNNNNNNNNNNNNNNNNNNNNNNNNNNNNNNNNNNNNNNNNNNNNNNNNNNNNNNNNNNNNNNNNNNNNNNNNNNNNNNNNNNNNNNNNNNNNNNNNNNNNNNNNNNNNNNNNNNNNNNNNNNNNNNNNNNNNNNNNNNNNNNNNNNNNNNNNNNNNNNNNNNNNNNNNNNNNNNNNNNNNNNNNNNNNNNNNNNNNNNNNNNNNNNNNNNNNNNNNNNNNNNNNNNNNNNNNNNNNNNNNNNNNNNNNNNNNNNNNNNNNNNNNNNNNNNNNNNNNNNNNNNNNNNNNNNNNNNNNNNNNNNNNNNNNNNNNNNNNNNNNNNNNNNNNNNNNNNNNNNNNNNNNNNNNNNNNNNNNNNNNNNNNNNNNNNNNNNNNNNNNNNNNNNNNNNNNNNNNNNNNNNNNNNNNNNNNNNNNNNNNNNNNNNNNNNNNNNNNNNNNNNNNNNNNNNNNNNNNNNNNNNNNNNNNNNNNNNNNNNNNNNNNNNNNNNNNNNNNNNNNNNNNNNNNNNNNNNNNNNNNNNNNNNNNNNNNNNNNNNNNNNNNNNNNNNNNNNNNNNNNNNNNNNNNNNNNNNNNNNNNNNNNNNNNNNNNNNNNNNNNNNNNNNNNNNNNNNNNNNNNNNNNNNNNNNNNNNNNGAUGAUGUCUGUUUACUCAUUGGGAUUUUUAUAAUCUCACCACCCUCAUUUCCACCCAUUUCAGAUUCAGUAUAGAGUGUAGAUAGCUGAUCUCAUUGAGGACUACAGUGGGAUCUGCAUUUUCCAAAUCGUAGGUUCACAGUCCUCUUUACUUUUGUUUAUUCAGGGGCACUCUUGUUAUUGUAAAUUAAAUUAAAUAUUUUAGCUUACUGUAUUUAAGUAUGUAUAAAUUUAUUUAACUUUUACGCUAUAAAAAUUAUUCACGUAUAACUCUAUAAAUAUUGUUUUAUAAGAAAAUAGAAUAUUUUACUUAAUAUUUCCUUCAUUUUCUUAUUAUAUUCAAAUAACCAUAAUUUCAUUUUAAAUGAAGAUUUUAGACUUUCAAACUCAUUUUGAAUAUGAAUUAUGUGUUUUGUACUUGUAUAUUACGUUUUAGCCAGUUUCAAAAUUUUUGAAAAAAAUGACCAAAAUACCCUUGUGAGACGAAAAAUUAAUAUUUUAUUUGUUUAAAGUUGGAAACAGCUUAAAAUCUUUUAGAACACGAUAUUUGACAAUGGUUGCUCACAAGGGAACAAAAAAACUGAUAGUAAAGCCUUGCGGGGUUUCGGGUUGACAUUCCAAGCAAUAAGUGUUUACCGGGACACUGUGGCGGUUGUCACGGGCUCGAGGGGAGUACCGGGUCGUGACAGCCUUGGACUUUAUGAUUACAUAAGAAAUAAAUAACAAAAUAAAAUAACCCUUAAGGCUCGAGCUUAGAGAGACCUGAGCCUGAAAAUGGACCCAAUCCAAACCAAUAUUCCGACCUUAACUAUUGUCUAAUCCGUAGGAGACUCUUAGACAAAAAUAGCACAUAAUCAAUUUGUCAGCUUCAGUAAUCACUCCCAACAAGCUUAUCUGAGUGUUUGAAAGAAAUUAAACUCAAGGUUUGGACUGACUUUAUGUUAAUAGUAAUAAUAAUUGCAAACAUAAAGAUAAAGAAAGCCUUAUACUAAAAUCAAAUGUUUAAAAUUACAUAAUGUAUCUCUCAUUGCCAGAAAUCUUGGCAACUAUGACAGAAAAAUUUUCUAUCACUAUUUUCUAUCAUAAAUAAUGAGUUAUAGUGAUAGAAUUAUGACUAUUUUGUGACAGAAAAAUUCAUGUGCACUCUUCAAUAAUCAUGUGUGUGUGUGUGUUUGUGUAAACCCCAAAGAUAAGGAAAGUGGUUAUAGUAAAGAGAAUUAUGAAAGAAACAAAGAGGGAUUAAUAGCUCAAAUGAACAUCCCUACAUGCCAUGAAAAGGUAGGACCUCACGUGCAGGGACCCAAUGGCUUGGAUUUGAAAGCCAAAGGCAAAUGGUGUUUUUCAACUUACAAAAAUAUUCCUUUUUCUAUUUAACUUUUCCUAAAAUUAAAUAAGGCGAUUAAAGAUGAAAGGUGUAGUAGAGAUAUAAUAGGCUGGGAUAGCAGGCUGUUAAAGGGGAAGGGAAAUUGUGGAAGAACAAAAUAGAGAGUGGGUCAACGAGUGAGCCAUAUGAGGGGAUCUUUUUGACCUUUUUUACAUUUGUGAGUGACUUUCAAUGAAAUUUCUCUCUAGCAAAAAGAAAAAGAAAAACUCACUUUUCUCCUCUGUGAAAAAAAUGGGUUUUAUUUACUACUAUUGAGCAGUUAAGCCAUUUUGCAGGUUUGAAGAUCUCUUCAUUUUUGUUUCUAUUUUUUUUUCUAAAUUUGAAGGUUUGUUUUUCCCUGUUUUCUUUUUCAUUUUUCAAUUUAAAAUUUCACUAGUUUCUCUUUUCAUUUUGUUUUCUUUUUUUUUUCUUCAGAUUAGUGAUGAUUUCCCUCUAUUUACUUUAUAUUUUUGGAUUUUUUUUAGGAUUUAAAGUUCUACAAUUUCUCUUGAACUCUUCUACAACUCCAAUGACCUUUCUCUUCGAUGACUUUGACGGCUUUGACGACUUUUCUUCCUCUAAUAGCUUCUUGCUAGUAAUUUCUUUCUAGCUUUACAUUUCGUUGAAGUUUGCUUGGAUUCCUUUCAAUUUCGAUUUCCUUUUUCCUUUUUCUCUUCAAAAUUCUAAAGUAUAAUUUUUGCUUCGAUUUAGGGUUUUUCUCUUCAAUUCAUACAUUGACCAUAGAUUUUAAUUUCUCUCUUCAACACAUUUUAUCCAAUUUUAAUUGUCCAAAAAGCUAAGAACUUUUAAUUUAUUUUCUCUUGUGUUUUAUUUCCUUUUUUCAAAAGAUGGACGGAGGGACUUAUAUGUCAUUUUCCCCUUAAUGGUGUUAACUGAAAAAUUAAAGAAAAAAAUCACAAGGUAAUAAAGUGUGAAUAACUAGACAAAAUUGAAACAUUUAAGAGAUCUCUCAAAUAUUCCUUGCACAUUGAAAUCAGAACUUGGUUAACAAUUAUAUUUCAACGUGGUAGUAAUUAAGAUAUGCACAAGUCAAGAACACGUGAAUGUUAAGCAAAGCAGGUUUUAUGGCAGUUAGUUGACUCUUGAUAUAAUUUUUUUAUGAUAUUUUUCUAUUGAAUCAAUAAUCCAACUUGACACUAAAAUAUUAGAAUAAUUCAACUAGCCAACAACUUUUCAAAAAAAAAAAAACAAAUCCAAUUGGCCAAUUUUUUUUUUUUGAAAAGAAAGAAUAAAAUAGAAUAAGUGAAAAUCUUAUCUAAACUUUUCAUUUUGGUCAACUGCAUGUCACAAAACACAUGUGAAAAGGUAGAUAAACACUAGUGACAACACACAAACCCACGAAUGUUAAACACAUUGUAAACCCAUGGCCAAACAAAGGAAUUUUAAUCACUUCCGGUUCAAUGAAAGAUAGAAACAACUCACCAUCAGUAGCAUUGCGUUAGGGGUGAAUGUAUAUAUUCUUUUUCUUCCAUAUGACAUAACCACAAGUAGACUUUUUACGUAUUAUUUUUAAGAUGUUACAAAAUGCUUUCUAAUAUUGAUGUUAAAACCCAAUACUCUAAUGCAAUUGAAACUAUUUAUAUAUUUUGUUAAGUCAUGAUUAUUGACAUUCAUUAAUUUAUUUAUAUAUAGAAUAUGGCAAGUGACCAUUCUUGGAUGUAUUUUUGACUUGAUAAUAAUGGAUUUCUUCAUAAUGCAUUUAAAUGGAGGGUUCAACACUUUAUUGACUUUGCAUUUUCACAGCCAGCUUUUGUUAGUAAAAACAAGAUCAAAUGUCCUUGUACCAAAUGUGAUAAUCAUAAGUUUUAGACCAGAGAUGAUGUGAUUUUUCAUUUAUAUUCAAAACACUUUACUAGUAGUUAUGUAGUGUGGAUUGCACAUGAAAAGAGUUAUAGUAGUAAUUUUGUCCAUGGUGGAUCAUCAAGAAGUACAGAUGAAGUUGUGAAUUUGUAUAGGAGGAUGGUUGUAAACGCUUGCUAUCCAAAAUUUGAUUGCAGAGCGGGUGAGUCAAGGGUAGAGGAUGAAUCACCAAAAACAAGUGCGACUAAAUUCUUUCCAUUAUUGAAUGAUGUCGAUGAGCCUUUAUGGCCAAGUUGUGUUAACCACACAAAACUCGCAAUUGUGUCUCAACUUUUAAAUGUCAAGUUUGAGUUUAAUAUAAGUGAAGCUUGUUAUGAUCGCUUGAUAUCUAUAGUUAAAGGUAUGUUGCCAAAAGAUGUAAAAUUGCCUGAAAAUUUUUAUAAGGCAAAGCAAAUGGUCACAAGGCUCGGACUUAGUUAUGUUAAAGUACAUGUUAUUUUAUGCUAAAAUUCAGUCAAUGACCGAAUGUUUGGUGCACGAGCAUCUUAGAUAUAACCCUAGUGCCCAAAGUGGUAGUAAGGCUUGAAAAAGUAAAAUACCUUGUAAGGUGUUACGUUUUUUGUCACUUAUACUUAGACUCCAAAGACUUUUUAUAUUGACAAAAAUUGCUAAACAUAUGACAUGGCAUGUGGACAAUCAUAAUAGUGAUGGAGAAGUUAGCUAUUUUGUUGAUAGUGAGGCAUGGCAAAACUUAGAUCACACUCAUCACUCUUUUACACUUAAAACCCGAAAUGUGUGACUUGGGUCAUGUACUAAUGGGUUUAAUCCAUUUGGAUCAUCUGCUAAAUCAUAUUCUUGUUGGCCGAUAAUCUUUUGUUUGUAUAAUUUACUCCCAUGGAUGUGCAUGAAGCAAUCAUAUUUGUUGUUAAAUAUGGUCAUUCCUAAUCUAAAGAGUUUGAUAAAACAUAUUGAUGUUUUCUUGAGGCCUUUAAUAGAUAAGUUGAAAUUAUUGUGGAAUGUUAGGGUUGAGACUUUUGAUGCUUUUAGUAAGCUAAAUUAUCAGUUGAAGUUAGCACUUUUAUGAACAAUUAGUGAUUUUCUCGCUUAUGCGAUGAUGACUAGGUGGAGUACUCAUGUGCGGUUAGCUUGUCCUUAUUGUAUAAGAGGAGUAAGGCUUUUCGAUUGAAUCAUGGUGGAAGAACAUUUUUUUUAUUGCCAUCAACAAUUUUUGCCUCUAAAUCACCCUUAUAAAAGGCCAAAAGAUAAUUUUAAAAGGCGUGUGGAGAAUGACUCACCCAUUCCUCGAUUGUCAGAGGCAGAAACGUUGCGUUGAGUCAGUGUGCUUCUAAAUGUCACAUUUGGUACUCAAGUUGGUAAGCACAAAAUCGAUGGUUUUGGGAAAGAUUACAAUUAAGUGAAAAGGAGUAUCUAUAAAGCUUGACCUUAUAAAGUGCUUUUCAUGACAUGCAUGUGAUGGAUAGCAUGUUUGCAUGCUAGGAAAACUUCGAAAAUCGUUAAAAGCCGGUAGUGUACUUAAUAGUAUAACUAAGUUGAACUAAGCUUCGAACUAUAUCAAAUAGAGAAUUUAAGGUGAAAUUGAGAAUUUUAAAGUCCUAGAAUGACUUAAAAUGGUGAUUCGGAGUUCGAGGAUCGAGUUGGAGUCAAAUUGGAAAUUUCGCUAUCUAGGGGUAAAAUGGUAAUUUUGCCACUUUAGGACAAAAUGGAAAUUUUUUUGAAAGCUUUUGAUCAUAUUUGACUUAUUGGAGUAUAAUUUGAGGUUGAGAAGUGAAAAAUUGUAAUCUCGGCAUUUUUCGGAGCAUAGGGGUAAAAUGGUAAUUUUGCCACCCUAGGGGCAAAAUCGUAAUUUUUCACCAUCAGGACACUUGUCCAGCACAUGGUCUUCCCUUAUCCUCAUUUUGACCUUUGACUAAUCAUGUGGUGGAGAAUGGAAGUAUAAUUAUUAAAGUAUAACAAAAAAAAAAGAAAAAUGGACUAAUACGCAUGUGACCUGUGUCAAGUAAAGAUAUUUUAUCAUUUUCCAUAAAAAAUCAGCUCAUAUUUAUCCUAUUUUCUCUUCAUGUGGCUGGCCAUAGUAAGAACAAAGAGAGGAAAGGAAAAACACAAAACCUAGGUGGGAAAAUUGAAGAAGAAGUGUGGGAUUUCAAGGAAUCAAGCAAUCAAAGGUAAAAUUUCUUGAUUUUGACUUGUGAUCUACCUUUCCCAUGCAUUUCUCCUUAUUUUCCAUGAUUAAAUUUCAAGUUUUCAUGGUGAAUUCAUGGCUGACCAAAUGGGUAUGGAGAGAGAAUGAAGUUNNNNNNNNNNNNNNNNNNNNNNNNNNNNNNNNNNNNNNNNNNNNNNNNNNNNNNNNNNNNNNNNNNNNNNNNNNNNNNNNNNNNNNNNNNNNNNNNNNNNNNNNNNNNNNNNNNNNNNNNNNNNNNNNNNNNNNNNNNNNNNNNNNNNNNNNNNNNNNNNNNNNNNNNNNNNNNNNNNNNNNNNNNNNNNNNNNNNNNNNNNNNNNNNNNNNNNNNNNNNNNNNNNNNNNNNNNNNNNNNNNNNNNNNNNNNNNNNNNNNNNNNNNNNNNNNNNNNNNNNNNNNNNNNNNNNNNNNNNNNNNNNNNNNNNNNNNNNNNNNNNNNNNNNNNNNNNNNNNNNNNNNNNNNNNNNNNNNNNNNNNNNNNNNNNNNNNNNNNNNNNNNNNNNNNNNNNNNNNNNNNNNNNNNNNNNNNNNNNNNNNNNNNNNNNNNNNNNNNNNNNNNNNNNNNNNNNNNNNNNNNNNNNNNNNNNNNNNNNNNNNNNNNNNNNNNNNNNNNNNNNNNNNNNNNNNNNNNNNNNNNNNNNNNNNNNNNNNNNNNNNNNNNNNNNNNNNNNNNNNNNNNNNNNNNNNNNNNNNNNNNNNNNNNNNNNNNNNNNNNNNNNNNNNNNNNNNNNNNNNNNNNNNNNNNNNNNNNNNNNNNNNNNNNNNNNNNNNNNNNNNNNNNNNNNNNNNNNNNNNNNNNNNNNNNNNNNNNNNNNNNNNNNNNNNNNNNNNNNNNNNNNNNNNNNNNNNNNNNNNNNNNNNNNNNNNNNNNNNNNNNNNNNNNNNNNNNNNNNNNNNNNNNNNNNNNNNNNNNNNNNNNNNNNNNNNNNNNNNNNNNNNNNNNNNNNNNNNNNNNNNNNNNNNNNNNNNNNNNNNNNNNNNNNNNNNNNNNNNNNNNNNNNNNNNNNNNNNNNNNNNNNNNNNNNNNNNNNNNNNNNNNNNNNNNNNNNNNNNNNNNNNNNNNNNNNNNNNNNNNNNNNNNNNNNNNNNNNNNNNNNNNNNNNNNNNNNNNNNNNNNNNNNNNNNNNNNNNNNNNNNNNNNNNNNNNNNNNNNNNNNNNNNNNNNNNNNNNNNNNNNNNNNNNNNNNNNNNNNNNNNNNNNNNNNNNNNNNNNNNNNNNNNNNNNNNNNNNNNNNNNNNNNNNNNNNNNNNNNNNNNNNNNNNNNNNNNNNNNNNNNNNNNNNNNGGCCAAGGUAUCCUCGAGAAUGAUUUUGGCAGGAGCCAAGUUUUUUUUUUUAAAUACUCAUAAGCCAUGUUGACUAUUUAAAUGAAAUGAAUACUUAUGUUAUGAAAAACUUAUUUGGAUGAAAUAUUUUAAUAGUCUCCUUUUACUCGGACUUUAAAUCUUUUGAAUGAUGUUUGUUUACUCAUGGGAUUUUAUAAUCUCACCACCCUCAUUUCCCUCAAUUUCAGGCUUAAAUUAAACUGUAGAUAGCUGAUCUCAUCGAGGACUAUUGUUGGAUUUGCAUUCUUCAAACUGUAGAUUUAUAGUCCUCUUUACUUUUGUUUAUUCAAGGGCCCACUUAUUAUUGUAAAUUAAAUUAAAUAUUUUGGCUUACUGUAUUACAAUAUGUAUGAAUUUAUUUAACUUUUACGCUACAAAAAUUAUUUACGUAUAACUCCAAAAAUAUUGUUUUAUAAGAAAAUAGAAUAUUUUACUUAACAUUUCUUUUAUUUUCUUAUUAUAUCCAAAUAAUCGAAAUUUCGUUUUAAAUGAAGAUUUUAGAAUUUAAAACUCACUUUUGAUUAUGAAUUAUAUGUUUUGUACUCGUAUAUUACAUUUUAGCCGGUUUCAAAAUUUUUGGGGAAAAAUGAAUAAAAUACCCCUGUGAGACGAAAAUUAUUAUUUUAUUUGUUUUGAGUUAGAAACAGCUUAAAAUCUUCUAGAACAUGAUUUUCGGGAACGAUUACUCACGAGGAAAAUGAGAUACUGAUAUUAAGCCUUGCGGGGUCCCAAUUGGCAUUCCGAGAAAUGAGUGUCUUUUGGGGUACCGCGACGGUUGUCACUGGCUCGAGGGGAGUAUCGGGUCUUGACAAUUCGAUUGGUAUUAGAGCUUUUGGUUUUAAAAAUAAGAGUUUUUUUUGUUUUAAAGUAGUUUUAAAAAAAAUUUACAAUAUCAGAGUGGCCUUAGAUUAAGUUAGGUUAGGUUGAAUAUAAUGCAUGCAUCUGCAUAUAGAGCCUAAAGUUCCCUAAACUUGCUCGUUUUCUCUUAUAGAUUAUUAUGCCUCCUCGAUGCGGACGCCUACCUCUCACUAGAUCGGUUGGGAGGGGAAGGGGUCGUUCUCAACGUCGUCAGCUAGAUGCAGUAGGGGAAGAAUCAGUUGAGUCUACCAUUCGGGCAUCACUUGCUGCUGAGCAAGCUGAGACUCCUCCACAUCCUCCGCCACCUACUAGUAUUUCCGUCAUGCCUACUGAGGCAGCACAGGCAUUGGCAGCUUUCUUUACCUCAAUGGAUAGCCAAGCUCAAACUGGUCAGGCUCCACCUAUAGUGCCUCUAGCUACUUUUUCAGUUCUACCAGUACAGGAUGUAUCCAUUUCCAAGAAGCUGAAAAAGGCUAGACAAUUGGGUUGUGUUUCUUUCACGGGUGAAUUGGAUGCCACCGUGGCAAAAUACUAGAUUAAUCAGGUUUCGGAGACAUUCUCUGAUAUGAGGUUGGAUGAUGAUAUGAAGCUAAUGGUGGCUACGAGAUUGCUAAAAAAUAGGGCUCGUACCUGGUGGAAUUCGGUGAAGUCCCUUUCCACUACUCCUCAAACAUGGUCUGACUUUCUCAAGGAAUUCGACGAUCAGUAUUUCACUUAUUUCCAUCAGAAAGAAAAGAAGAGAGAAUUUUUGAGCUUGAAACAAGGAAAUCUAAUAGUAAAAGAGUACGAGACUCGUUUUAACGAGCUGAUGUUAUAUGUGCCGGAUCUAGUGAAAUCUGAGCAGGAUCAGUCCAGUUAUUUCGAGGAAGGGCUCCGUAAUGAGAUUAGAGAGCGGAUGACAAUAACGGAUAAGGAGCCACAUAAAGAUGUGGUACAAAUAGCUUUACGGGCUGAAAAGCUAGCGAUUGAGAAUAGGAGGAUUCAGACCGAGUUUGCAAAAAAGAGAAAUCCUGGUAUAUCUUCUAGUUAGCCAGUAAAAAGAGGCAAAGACUCAUCUACUUCAGGGAGUACUACCUCUGUUUCGGUGACAUCUCCUUGACCUCCAUUUUCACAAACACAGCAUAGGCCUCCAAGAUUUAAUAGAUCUGAUAUGACUGCGUUUAGGAAGAGUUUUGGAGGUUCUAAUAGAUGUAGGAGGUGUGGGAAGAAUCAUGUUGGGCAGUGUAGGGCACCAGUACGAUGUUAUCAUUGUGGUCAGUCAGGUCACUUUAGGAGUGAUUGCCCGCAGUUGAGACGAGCUACUGCAACUGCUCCAUCUCCACCAGCUCGUAUGGAUAUACAGAGGAGAGAUCCUUCUAGGUUACCAUCGAGGUAGGGAGUGGCUAUAUAGUCUGGUGUAGAGAGUAACACCCCGACAUAUCCACCUUCGAGACCACAGACUCGUACCUCGACACGAGUUUUCGCUGUGACGGAAGAUGAGGCACGAGUCUGACUUGAAGCAGUGAUAGGUACUAUGUCUUUAUUUGAUAAAGAUGCUUAUAUUUUAAUAGAUUCUGGCUCAGAUAAGUCGUAUGUGAGCACGACAUUUGCAUCAAUUUCUGAUAGAAACCUAUCACCAUUAGAGGAAAAAAUUGUAGUUCACACCCAUUUAGGAGAAAAGCUAGUUAGAAACAAUUGUUAUAGAGACUGUGGGGUAAAGGUAGGUGAGGAAGAAUUUAGAGGAGACUUGAUUCCUCUAGAGAUCCAAGAUUUCGAUUUGAUAUUAGGUAUGGACUGGUUAAUUACACAUCGGGCGAAUGUGGAUUAUUUUAGGAAAGAAGUUGUUCUUUAAAAUUUGGAGGGAGCAGAGAUUGUAUUUUAAUGGGAAUGUCAAGUAUUACCGUCUUGUGUAAUCUCGGCCAUCAAAACUUUAAAACUAGUGCAGAAAGGGUAUCCAGCUUAUUUGGCUCACGUGAUCGAUACUUCAAAGGGGGAACCUAAGUUAGAGGAUGUCCCAAUAGUAAGUGAGCUUCCUGAUGUAUUUCCUGAUGAUUUACCGGGACUACCUUCUGAUCGAGAGCUUGAGUUCCCUAUUGAUUUACUUUCGGGUACCACACCUAUUUCUAUCCCUCCAUAUCGAAUGGCUCCAGCAGAGUUAAAGGAACUGAAAGUCCAAUUGCAAGAUUUGGUGGAUAAGAAUUUUAUUCACCCUAGCACUUCUCCUUGGGGAGCACCAGUCCUAUUUGUAAAGAAGAAGGAUGGCACUCUUCGAUUAUGUAUCGAUUACCGUCAGCUGAACCGAGUGACCAUCAAGAAUAAAUACCCUUUACCCUAGAUUGAUGAUCUUUUGGAUCAAUUACGAGGUGCUAUGGUGUUCUCUAAGAUUGAUUUGAGGUCUGGGUAUUAUCAGUUGAAGAUUAGGGAGUAGAAUGUACCCAAGACUGCUUUUAGGACGUGUUAUAGGCAUUAUGAGUUUCUAGUGAUGCCGUUUGGUUUGACUAAUGCCCCGACAGCUUUUAUGGAUCUUAUGAAUAGGGUGUUCCAUCCAUACUUGGAUACGUUUGUGAUAGUAUUCAUAGAUGACAUCUUGGUUUAUUCGAAGAAUAAUGAUGAACAUGCUGCCCAUUUGCGCAUUGUGUUGCAAACUUUGCGCAAGAGACAACUCUAUGCUAAGUUCUCUAAAUGUGAGUUCUGGUUAAAGGAAGUGGUUUUCUUGGGACAUGUUGUGUCUAGAGCUGAAAUUUAUGUUGAUCCCAAGAAGAUUGAAGCCAUCUUGCAAUUGGAGUAACCAAGAACGAUAACUGAGAUUCGUAGUUUCCUUGGCUUAGCCGAUUAUUAUCGGAGAUUUGUUCAGGGAUUUUCUUUGAUAGCAACUCCUCUGACUCGUUUAACUCGUAAAGGAGUUAAGUUUGAGUGGGAUGAUGUUUGUGAGAAUCGAUUUCAGGAGCUAAAGAACCGGUUAACCUUCACUCCCGUUUUAAUACUUCUUGUUAAUGGAAAAGAAUUUAUGGUGUAUAGUAAUGCAUCUAAGUUGGGAUUAGGGUGUGUUUAUGCAGGAUGAGAAAGUAAUAGCUUAUGCUUCCCGACAGUUGAAGAAGCACGAGACGAAUUACCCUACUCAUGACUUGGAGUUAACAGCAGUAGUCUUCGUAUUGAAGAUUUGGAGACAUUAUUUAUAUGGUGAGCGUUGUCAGAUUUUUACUGAUUAUAAGAGUUUGAAAUAUUUGCUCACCUAGAAAGAGCUUAACUUGAGACAGAGACGAUAGUUGGAGUUGAUUAAGGAUUACGACUUGGUAAUUGAUUAUCAUCUUGAAAAGGCAAAUGUUGUAGCGGAUGCUUUAAGUCGUAAAUCCUCAUCUUUAUUAGCAGUACUUCAGAGUUCUUAUUUUUCGAUGUUACUUGAGAUGAAAUCUCUAAGGAUCUAGUUAAAUAAUGGUGAGGAUGGAACCCUACUUGCUAGUUUCGUUGUGAGACCUUUAUUAUUGAAUCAGAUUAGAGAAUUGCAGAAAUCUGAUGAUUGGUUGAAGUAGGAAGUUCAAAAGCUGCAAGAUGGAGAAACUAGUGAGUUUAGACUCAGUGAUGAUGGUACUUUGAUGCUUAGAGACCAAAUUUGUGUCCCUAAGGAUGAUCAGUUGAGACGAGCUAUUUUGGAGGAAGCUCAUUCUUCUGCCUAUGCUUUAUAUCCCGGAAGCACCAAGAUGUAUCAGACUAUUAAAGAAAGUUAUUGGUGGUCGAGUAUGAAACGAGACAUAGCAGAGUUUGUAGCGAAAUGUCUCACAUGCCAACAGAUCAAGAUGGAGCAUCAAAAAUCGUCAGGUACUCUUCAGCCUUUACCGAUUCCUAAAUGGAAGUGGGAACACGUGACUACAGACUUUGUAUUGGGUUUGCCACGAACACAGAGUGGGAAAGAUGUUAUUUGGGUGAUUGUUGAUAGAUUGACUAAGUCCGCCCAUUUCUUGGCUAUCCAUAACACGUAUUCUAUUGAGAAACUGGCGAAACUUUAUAUAGAUGAGAUUGUGAGGUUACACGGAGUUCUAGUUUCUAUUGUGUCAGAUCGAGACCCUCGAUUUACUUCUCGAUUUUGGUUGAAAUUUCAGGCAACUCUCGGAACUAAAUUGAGAUUUAGUAUUGCCUUUCAUCCGUAAAUAGAUGGUCAAUCUGAGAGAACUAUUCAGACUCUAGAAGAUAUGCUACGAGCUUGUGUCAUUGACUUUAUUGGGAGUUGGGACAGACAUUUGUCAUUGGUAGAGUUCGCGUAUAAUAACGAUUUUCAGUCUAGUAUUGGGAUGGUACCAUACGAGGCUUUGUAUGGAAGGAAGUGCCGAACUCCAUUCUGUUAGGAUGAAAUGGGAGAGAGGAAAUUGUUUAUUGUGGAAUUGAUUGAUUUGACAAAUGACAAGGUCAAGAUUAUUCGAGAGCGAUUAAAGACAACUCAAGAUAGGCAAAAGAGUUAUUCAGAUAAACGAAAGAAAGAUUUGGAGUUUGAAGUCGACGAUAAAGUUUUUCUUAAGGUUUCUCCUUAGAAAGGUAAUAAUUUGAAAUUUUCAAGUAUUAAAUCUUAUUAGAUUACACUAUUGUGAUAAUUUGUGGUAUUUAUUGGAUAAUGAAAGGUGUGAUUCGAUUCGCGAAGCGGGGAAAGCUUAAUCCGAGAUAUAUUGGACCCUUCCGUAUCAUUGAAAUGAUUGGGCCAGUGGCUUACAGACUUGAAUUACCCCAGAGUUAGAUCGGAUUCAUAAUGUCUUCCACGUCUCGAUGUUGAAAAAGUAUGUUCCCGAUCCUUCCCAUAUUCUAGAGACACCUUCAAUUGAGUUGCAUGAAGAUUUGAAGUUCGAGGUGCAGCCGAUACAUAUUCUAGAUCGAAAGGAUAGAGUGUUGAGGAACAAGAGCAUUCCAAUGGUGAAAGUAUUGUGGAAGAAUGCUCGAAUGGAGGAGAUGACAUGGGAAGUCGAGCACCAAAUAAGAAGCCAAUACCCACAUCUUUUUGUCGAGUCCGAUAAGUGAAAUUUUGAGGUCAAAAUUUUAUUUUAAGGGGGGUAGUGCUAUAAAGCCUGAUCUUAUAAAAUACUUGUCAUGACAUGCAUGCGAUGGAUAGCAUGUUUGCAUGCUAGGAAAGCCCCGAAAAUCGCUAAAAGCCGGUAGCGUACUUAAUAGUAUAACUAAGUUGAACUAAGCUUCGAACUAGAUCAAAUAGAGAAUUUAAGGUGAAAUUGAGAAUUUUAAAGUCCCAGAAUAACUUAAAAUGGUGAUUCGGAGUUUGAGGAUCGAAUUGGAGUCAAAUUGGAAAUUUCGCUAUCUACGGGCAAAAUGGUAAUUUUACCACUUGAGGACAAAAUGGGAAUUUUUUUGAAAGAUUUUGAUCAUAUUUGACUUAUUGGAGUAUAAUUUGAGGUUGAGAAGUGAAAAUUUGUAAUCUCGGUAUUUUUCGGAGCAUAAGGGUAAAAUGGUAAUUUUAUCACCCUAGGGGCAAAAUCAUAAUUUUCCACCACCAGGACACUUGUCCAAUACAUGGUCUACCCUUAUCCUCAUUUUGACCUUUGACUAAUCAUGUGGUGGAGAAUGGAAGUAUAAUUAUUAAAGUAUAACAAAAAAAAAGAAAAAUGGACUAAUAAGCAUGUGACAUGUGUCAAGUAAUAAUAUUUUAUUAUUUUUCAUAAAAAAUCAGCCCAUAUUUAUCCCAUUUUCUCUUCAUGUGGCCGACCAUAGUAAGAACAAAGAGAGGAAAGGAAAAACACAAAACCUAGGUGGGAAAAUUGAAGAAAAAGUGUGGGAUUUCAAGGAAUCAAGCAAUCAAAGGUAAAAUUUCUUGAUUUUGACUUGUGAUCUACCUUUCCAAUGCAUUUCUCCUUAUUUUUCAUGAUUAAAUUUAAUGUUUUCAUGGUGAAUUCAUGGCUGACCAAAUGGGUAUGGAGAGAGAAUGAAGUUGGAUUGAUUUGAUUCUAAGUUAUGUUAGUGUUUUUAGUUAGUUUAGCAUAUUUAGAAACAAACAACAAGAAAAAAAUUCAUUUUCUCCCAUUACCCAUAAGAGGCCGAAUUUUCUAGGGAGAAUAUUGAGGCUGAAAUUGAUGAUAUUUCAUGAUAUUUUGGUGAUAUUUGAUGUUUGGUGAGGCUAGAAAUUAAAUGGGAAAUUUUGGUGUGAAAAUCUAAAUUUUUGCUUAAUGUAUAGACGUGUGUGAUUAUUGACCCGAGACUGAUAAAUUGAAUCUCAUUCAUAGUCACUAAGGUAAUUUAGGUAUAAUUGGAGUGUAGAAAGUGAAAAGAAUUGAUUUGGAGUUAAAUUGGAGAUUUUAGCUGAUUAGACUGAGUAUAAUGUGACUUAGGUCGAAUAUUACAUUUAAGCAAUUAAUCGGACAUUUUGCAUUCCAUAUCAUGUAUUAGUAGUCUAAAUUAGUUUAAUUUCAAUUUAAUACCAAUGUGGUGAAUUUUUCGAUUUUGUACUGUGUUAAGGUGGUGAGUACUCCGAUAAAGGCAAGGAAAUUGUACCCGAGGACCAGUAGUUUGAUGAUUUCAAAAAUCCCCACUCUAGACAUUGUGAAUAACCUUACCAUCAUUUUAAUUAUCUAAAGUAUGUUUUUAUUCGAUUUUGGUGAAUUUUAUGAAAACGAGUUCAAAUGGUAAAUUUUUAUGUUUUGUAAACAAAAUGUGUUUAAAUGAAAAGACUUUAUAAAUUGUCUUGAAACGAAAUAACGAUUUUGAAAAUAGAGUAAUUGGAGACCACUUGUAUGUUGUAAAUUUAUGAUUGGAAAUUGAUGGCUUAUGUUAUAUUGUUAUUGUGUUGGCAUGACUGGUUGGGCUGUGUUUUAUGAAUUGUAUGAAUUGUUUUAUUUUACCCUUGCAGGCUGGGUAGUAUUAUAUUAGCCUUGUCAUGCUGUUAAAAUUUUAUUAUAUGGUAGGUUUAGCUUGCUGCAGUGGGUGAAUUUUGUGGAUCAGCCUAUUAGAGGGGCACGAAAUCUGGAUAUAAAUAUGUACCUCGGUCGAAGAGGCGUGUAAGGGUAUCUCCUGAGGUAUGGUUAGAGUCCACGUCACGCCGAACCACCUCGUGACGAUGAAUUCCACUAACGCCAAGGAACGACUGUGUUUUUCAAAUUAAAAAUAUGUUUUUGUGUAUAAGAAAUUUUUACAGCCUUGACGGACUCGGUAAGAUGCCUCGGCCAAGGUAUCCUCGAGAAUGAUUUUGGCAAGAGCCAAGUUUUUUUUUUUAAAUACUCAUAAGCCAUGUUGACUAUUUAAAUGAAAUGAAUACUUAUGUUAUGAAAAACUUAUUUGGAUGAAAUAUUUUAAUAGUCUCGUUUUACUCGGACUUUAGAUCUUUUGAAUGAUGUUUGUUUACUCAUUGAGAUUUUAUAAUCUCACCACCCUCCUUUCCCUCUAUUUCAGGCUCAGAUUAGACUGUAGAUAGCUGAUCUCAUCGAGGACUAUCGUUAGGUUUGCAUUCUUCAAACUGUAGGUUUAUAGUCCUCUUUACUUUUGUUUAUUCGAGGGCCCACUUAUUAUUGUAAAUUAAAUUAAAUACUUUGGCUUACUGUAUUACAGUAUGUAUGAACUUAUUUAACUUUUACGCUACAAAAAUUUUUUACGUAUAACUCUAAAAAUAUUGUUUUAUAAAAAAAUAGAAUAUUUUACUUAACAUUUCUUUUAUUUUCUUAUUAUAUCCAAAUAAUCAAAAUUUCGUUUUAAAUGAAGAUUUUAGACUUUAAAACUCACUUUUGAUUAUGAAUUAUAUGUUUUGUACUCGUAUAUUACAUUUUAGCCGAUUUCAAAAUUUUUAGAGAAAAAUGACUAAAAUACCCCUAUGAGACAAAAAUUAUUAUUUUAUUUGUUUUGAGUUGAAAACAGCUUAAAAUCUUCUAAAACAUGAUUUUCGGUAACGGUUACUCAUGGGGGAAAUGUGAUACUAAUAUUAAGCCUUGCGGGGUCCCGAUUGGCAUUCCGGGAAAUGAGUGUCUAUCGGGGUACCGCGGUAGUUGUCAAGAGCUCGAGGGGAGUAUCGGGUCGUGACAGUAUCUUUUGGGAGUUACCUUAUUGGCAUUCAAACUUGAUUCGCCAUAAUUUGGAUGUGAUGCAUAUUGAGUGAACUGUGUUUGAGAACUUAUUUAACACAUUAUUAAAUAUUAAAGGUAAGUCCAAAGAUAACCUCAAGGCUAUAUUGAAUUUGAAAACAUAUUGCAAGCAGCUUGAUUUGGAUUUGGUUGAACAUAAUGGGAAGUUUUUCCAGCCUAAAUCUGCAUUCACAUUAACUGAGGAGCAAAUAAAUGAUGUGUGUCAAUGGGUCAAGGAAUUGAAGUUUAUGAUGGUUUUAUUUCCAACAUAGCUAAAAAGGUACAGAUUGAUGACAACAAGUUUUAUGGCAUGAAAAGUCAUGAUUGUCAUGUGUUCAUACAAUGAUUGCUUCCAAUUACCUUACUAGAGUUGUUGUCAAAUCUAAUUUAGGAAUCAAUAACCGCGUUCAGUCAUUUUUUUUAGGGAUAUUUUCUCUACUGAAUUAAAAGUGGUGGAUAUGGAAAUAUUGGAAAAAAAAUAUUGUGGAGACACUAUGCAAAUCGGAGAAAAUAUUUCCACCAAGAUUUUUUGACUGCAUGGAACAUUUGCCAAUUCACUUAGCUUAUGAGGUUAAAGUUGGUUGACCUAGGAACUUUCGGUGGAUGUAUUCUUUUGAGAGGUAAUACUAAUACUUGUUUUUAUUAAAAAAAAUAAGUAAUUAAUUUAUAUUAAACCAUAAUAAUAUUAAUACUUGUUUUGGAUGUGCUUAAGUGUAUGCAUCAUUUUAAAAAAAAAAGUAACAAAUAGAGCAAAUGUUGAAGCUUCCAUUUGUGAAGCUUACAUUAUUAAGGAGAUAUCAACAUUUUACUCUUUUUAUUUCAAAUCCGAUAUACGCAUAAGAUUGAAUUGAGUGUCACGUAAUGAUGAUGGAGGAGAAGUGGAGUCUAGUUUUAAUUCAUUUGAGUCAAACAUUUGGUACAAAGGUUAUCAUCGAUAUCUCCUUGAUUAUUAGUAUAAAGCGAUUGAAAUUAAUAUCUUAUUAAAUUGUGAGGAGCUAGAGCCUUAUAUUGAGUAAGUAACUUGUGAAAAAUUGGUCUAAAUUAACAUAUCUAUCUAGUUAAGUAACGUUGAUUACUAAUACCAUAAUUGAAUUGUAGGAAAUAUGAUGAGGAAACAAGGAAAGUAAUACCAAAUAUAAGCAAUGGUGAACUUGAGAAAUCACGUGAAACAAAUUUUGCAUCAUGGUUGAGAAAUUUCGUAAAUAUACCAAGAAUUGUAUUUUGCAAUUAGUUGAAUGUUUUUCUAUUAAUCUUAAACUUUUGAAAUGAUUGUUUUUUCUUUAUAGGUUGAAAACAACAAAGAUCAAGUUGAUAGCCAUGUAGAAAACAUAUCUUAUUGUCCCUCACGUUUGGUUAGGUUGUAUAAUAGAUAUUUUGUAAAUGGGUUUAAGUUUCACACCCAUCAAUAUGGGCAAACUUGACAAACAAUGAAUUAUGGGGUAUGUGUGAAAAGGAGUUGGUAUGCCGAUUAUAAUCAUGUCUUUUAUGGAAUACUAGUGGAAAUAGUUGAGUUAUAAUAUGUUGGUCGAAAUAAGGCAAUGCUAUUCAAUUAUCAUUGGUUUGACACUAAAAAAGGUAUUAAAGUGCAUCCUUGUUUUGGUUUUGUUGAAGUUGAGCACAAGUCUAUCCUUUUAACGAACGAGCCAUUUAUGUUGGCCUAACAAGCUCAACAAAUAUAUUGUUAGUUAUCCAUCUAGGAGAAGAGAGUGACGUGGUUGGUGGGCAGUUUGUAAAAUUAAAGCUAGGAGUAGAUUUGAUGUACCAUUAGAUGUAGAGGAGAAUCAAUGUGAAAAAGUUGAAAGGUUUUACCAAGAAGAGGAGUUUGCCUCAAGUAAUGUUUUUCCAAGUUUUGAACUUGAUGAUCCAAAUACUCUUGUUAGUGAAAGUGGGUUAGAAGAAGUUGAGCCAAUUCUAGAACUAGAGGAAGAAAAUCAAAGAGGUUAUGAUGAUGAGUUUGAGAAAGAAGAAAGAAAAAAAGAAGAAGACAAGUAUUUAUUUGAAGAGUCAAAAGAACAAAAUGUCGUAGUAGAGGGCCUAGAGUUCAACUAUUCUAGUAGUGAUGAUAGCACUAAUGAUGAGUCUGAAGACAAUCAAGUUGAUUGAUUUUAUAUAUAUAUAUAUAUAUAUAUAUAUAUAUAUAUAUAUGUUAUUGUCAAAUCUUUACUAGAAACUAUAAGUAUAUCUAACUUUAAUUAUUUUGUUAUUGAAAUUAUUAUGAGUAUUUCUUUAGCUUUUCAUUUCAUGGUACAUGGAAAAUUAAUUGCCUUCUAACACAUUACAAAUUUUAUUCUACAGGUACUGUGGUGACAAGAAGAAGUCAAGCUAUCAAAAACAAAAUAGCAGUAAAAGAUGGAUGAAGAUAUACUAGGUCUAGCAUUUCUAGAUAUUUAGUUUCUAGUAAUGGUGAUGGAGUUCAGGGUGAUAUUCCUCCAUUAAUACCUCCCUUUGCUUUGCCUACUGCUAUUGAGCCUCCUUCCACUCAACCUACUACUGCUAUGCCUCCCUCUAUCCAACCCAUUAUUGUUGAGCCUCAUUCCACUCAGCCUAUUACUAUUAUGCCUCAUUCCAUUCAACUUCUUAUUGUUGAGCCUCCUUCCACCCAGCCUAUUAUUAUUAUGCCUCAUUCUAUUCAACUUCUUACUAUUAAGCCUUUUUUGACUUAGCCUACUGUUGUCAAUUUUCCACACGCAAGUAUAUGUAUCGAACAAGUAAUAUAGAUAGCAAAUCCAGAUUAUUGUUCUCAUAGGGAUUUGUUCCUAAAAUUUUUACUAAGUAAUAAAAUUUAUGACAAAUCAAUCUUAUUUAAGAAACUAAAUUUUUCAAAAAAUUAAUUAAAAAAUUAAAAUAAAGACUAAAUUAACUAACAGAAAUUAAAAUUACUUGAGAGAGGCAAUAUAUUAAAACCUAUGAUUAUGAGUUCAUUCGACACUUCAUCUGAUACCAACUUCUUUUAUUAUUUACAUUCAUGGGUGAUUUUACUAACCUAAACUCCAAAACUAUGUAUAAGUCUCUAUCGAGAUGCUUGCACAAAUACCAACUUAAUUGGGUCACUAUAUGUCUAUAGCAAUCAAUUAAAUAAGGUUCAUUAAGCUAGUAUUCUAAUUUGGCUAUAUAUGGAAAUUACUGUAUGUCUACUCAGAUCACAAAUCAUAUCAAUUAAGUGACGUGAACAUACACUGUUCAAACCUUAGAUAGCGUUUGGUACUUUACAAUACAAUAUGAUUACAGGUAAUGUGAUUGCAAGUAAUGUGAUUGCAGGAAAAAUAACAUUAUGGUGUUUGGUAUACAAACAAAAUAAUGAUUGAAAUGCAAGAAAGACAACAUUGCAACGUUUGGUUUACAAGUACUUUAUUGGGAAUGUAAUGUUAGUUUUCAAAAUUACCCAUAUUUAUUAAAAUACAAGUUUAAUAUACUUGUAUUUUUUAUUGUUAAUUUUUAUAUAAUAUCACCACUUAAAUAUAUUUUUAAUGUCAUAUAUUUUAUUUUUAUUUUUAUUAUAAUAUUAUAUAUUUUAUUUUCAUUUCUUUAAUAUAAUUUUUUAUAUUAUGUAUUUUAUUUUAAUUUCUUUUACCUAUAUUAUAUAAAUUUUAAUUUCUAAUUCUUAUAUUAUAUAUUUUAUUUUAAUAUUUUUUAUAUUAAUUAUAACAUUACAAAAUAUUUUUAAUAAAGUAAUAAAGUUGAAGGGUAAAAAUGUCUUUAAUAACAUUCAGAGUGCAAUGUAAUGUGAUUGCAUUGGUUUUGGACUACAAUCACAUUACAUCCCUUGGCUGUAAUGUGAUUGCAUUGCAAUCUUACAUUGUAGUGGUCUGUUGCAAAACAAACACUGCAAUGUAAUUUAAUUGGACACAUUGCAAGGAAUGUGCUCUCACUUCUCUAAUACCAAACGCUACCUUAGUUCAAUCUAAAAUCUCUCUAUCGAGUCUCAAUUAGAUUCAAAAAUCAAAUAAUUGUUGGCCAAGCAAUCAAAAGCAUUAACAAUAUAUUUGAAUAAGCAAAAUUAUACCCAUUCAUAGUAAAUAAAAGAGAAAUAAAUAUUCAAAUUACAUGUUAAAAUUCACCACAAUCCUAGAAAGAUAAUUUAACUCAUAAUAACUAAUAAAAAUAACAUCCAAAGAAAUUAACCAUGAAUUCAAAUCAAAGAAAAUAAAAGAAACACAAAAGUAGAGAAAUAAACUAAUUAUUGAAGUUCUAUGAUCUCAAUUCUCUCUCAAAUUUUCUUGUUUUCUUACUUUGUUCUUAGUUUCUUUUCUCCAAAAUAGUUGCUUGCUGCCUCCCACUUAAAACCUCUGAAAAAGGUCCCUCAAAUAGGCUCCAAAUAACCUAAUUUUCAAAAUUUCGUUAUUUUUUUUUUUGAAAAAUUGCUCAGCGCCACGGUUAUGAUUUUUUUGGCUCUGUUGUGCUGAAUUUUUGCUACAAUAGUGCCACGACGAUGAUUUCUUAGCGUCGCGGCACUUUAAACUCUGAAAAAUGUAUGGUGUGCUUCAUUUCAUCAACACUGCAUACUUGUUCUCCUCAACACUGCAACCUUGGCUUCCUUAACAUUGCAGCCUUGAGUAACUCAAGGCCGCAGUGCUCCUCCACUUGUUGUCUUGUGCAGAACUACAACAGUCAAGCAUCUUCCAACAUGAUUUUCGCCUCAAUAUUAUCUAAAUUGGAUGAAGUGGUAAAUAUGAAAGUUUUAGUCCUACUCUUAACUUUCCAAUGGCUUAAGAAUCACAUCAAUUGGACUUAUGGAGUGAAACAUAUGCUCCAAAUACCGCAUCAUGUUUAGUCCAUGCAUACUAUUGUAGUGCUUCAAAUUAGACAAAUAUUUUAACCAUGAUCCAAUCAGAACUGAGCAAAGUGCUAAACAUAAAAGUUGUAUCCCUUCAUCUUAGAAUUCUAGUGGUCUAAGAAUCACCUCAUUUGAAGUUCUGUAUAGAAAGAUAUGGUCAAAAUAUCGAAACAUAUACUAAUGAAGCCAUCACUAUACUUGCAUGGAUUUUCAUCAAACGAGCCUUUUUCAUCAAAUUUCCUACAAAAGUAAUAAGAGAAAUCAAUAGUAACUACUCUUAAAGUAAUUUAAAAUAAAAUAACAUAAAAUUAAACUAAAAUAACUUAAAUUAACUACUUAACAUGUAAUCAAACUUAAACUAGAAAAACACCUAAAAUGCUAAAAUCCAAACCUAAAAUCUCAAAAAUCUAGCUACUUAAGCCACCAAAAUGUGUGAAAAUAACUCUCUAUAAUAUAGUUAUCACCUACUACUGUUAUGACUCCUUCCACUGAAUCUGCUAAUGAGGGUUAUUGGAUCUUAAGAGGCAAAGGAUAGCAACCAAUCAAACCAUGUCAUCAAUCUUAAUAGAAAUAGAAUAAGGGGAAAGGGACCAAAUUAAGGAUUUCAAACUCCUAACUCAGUUGACUGGAAAAUCAUUUAUAUUCUUGGAUCUAGGUAUGAUUUAAACUUAAUGUUUCUUGUAUUAUUGUUAGAUAUGAUCUUGUGAACGAGUUUUGAAUAUUACAUUAUUGAAAUAUUGAAUAUGUUUUUUAUUUACAUGAUAGUUUUUUUCAAUUUGAGGAUGUGAAAGAAAGAGUUCCUUUUACGAUAACUACCAUUUUAAAGGCCUUUUAUAAUGGACCUUGGGCAACAUGGAGGAAGGUACCUGUUGCUAAUAAAACUUAUAUUAGAAUACCUUUUAGGUAUUAUUUGUACAAUUGUUUAAGUUAUUUUAUUACGAUGACUUGUUUAAUUAUUUUCAUGUUUCUUACUUUUAAUGAUAGGCAAAAUACAAAUGGCUUGAAGAACAAAAUUCCGCCAUAUAUGAUGUGUGGUUUAAAUGUUGUAGCAAACAAUUUAGUAGUAUGAUGAACAAGGCGAGAAAAACUAUAAAGGAUAAAGCCCAGGACACUAGUGUGGUUGAAAUAGAAAACUUUUUGCCAGAAUUGAGCAUGGUUGAUUGACAAUGUCUAGAUUCAAGAAAAAUGGGAAAAAAAUCCAUGUCAAAUAGUAAUAAACACCUAACAAAGAAGGAUGGUAGCAUUUCUAAACAUGCUAAUCUAUCAAUACCGAUUGUUCACCAUGGGAAAAGAAUGGUGUGUUUGUUAUGAUUAUGUUUUUUGAACUUUGUCAUUAUCAUACUUCAAUUUAUGAAUGUUUUCAUUACUUAAUGCAAGAAAAGGAGCUUGGCCAUCCAGUUACUCAAGCAAAGGUGUUUGAUCACACUCAUAAAGAAACAAAUAGUGAAUUUGUUAACAAAAGUCAAAAAUUGUUAGUGUGAGUGAACAUUACCUAUUUUAUAUAUAUAUAUAUAUAUAUAUAUAUAAUUAUCUCAUCUUUUCUAUUUUUACAUAAAUNUUAGUUAGUGUGAGUGAACUAAUUACUAUUUAUUAUAUAUAUAUAUAUAUAUAUAUAUAAUUAUCUCAUCUUUUCUAUUUUUACAUAAAUUGCUUUACUUCAAUUAGAACAUAAGUGAUGUUAUUGUUUUGUUAAGUAUGGUUAAUUCAAUGUUAUGAAUUAAUUAUAAUUGUUUUAUUUAAAUUGUUACAAGAAAGAUAUGCUUCCACCUUACUCCAAAAGUUUGGUGCGAGUAGCACACAACUCUAAUUUGAUGUCAAGACAUGGCAUGAAAUAGUCAAAGGUGUUGGCCAUGGAUUGUAUGGGUUUGGAAAGGAGGAUCCAAGACACAUACUUGGGACUUCUCAUCCUUGGUAAUCAUCCCAAUUUGCACCAUUUUCUGGAAAUGCUCCAUCUCUCCAACUUGGAACUCAAGAUAUGCAAGAAGUUCUGAAACAAGUUUUAGAAUAAUUAGAUGGAGUUCUAGAUACGCGUCUUCAAUAUCUUUUGAGACAUAAGGGCAUUCAAGUGACAUGUCCAUCCUCUUCAACAUUAAUUCAACUAGUGAUGGCAAUGAUGGGGAAAAUCCAAGGGAUGAUGAUGAUGACAACGAGGGGGUAAUUCCUAUGGAUGAUAGUGUUGAUGUUGAGGAUGCAAUAGAUGAAGCUAGUGGAGAAGAUGAUAUUUGAUAUGGAGUAGGUUAAUUCGAACUCAACUUGAUUUCUUAUAGAUUUCUACAUAUAUUUUGUUAUCUAGUUGAACUAAACUAGACUCAUUUAGGUAGAUAUUUUGUUAACUAGUUGAACUCAACUAGACUCAUUUAGAUAUAUAUUUUGUUAUCUAGUAGAUCUCAACUAGGCUCAUUUUGGUACAUAUUUUGGUAUAGUUGAUCUCAACUAGACUCAUUUAGGUAUAUAUUUUGUUAUUUAUAAUUGAUCAUAACUCAUUUAGGUUCUAAAUAUAUUUUGUGCAUCUAGUUGAACUCAACUACACUUACGGUAUUAUAUUGUUGAAUACAUUAUGGUUGAUUUCAUCAAAAUUAUCUUUGGCGAUGGAUUUAUUAUUGUUAUUAUUGUCAUGUUAUGUGGCGAUGACAUUAUGAUGUUGUGGUAGUUCUAUUGUCACCAAAAUUGAAAAUUGAAUUGUAACAAGUAUUGCAUAUUAUUUGUUGUGAUGGAUGUAAUUAUUUUUGACAAAUAUAAUUUAUUGUGACAUAUUAUUCUAUUAAUGACAAUAUAUAUAUAUAUAUAUAUAUAAUUAGUGACAGAUUUUUUAAUUACAAAUAGAAAUCUUUAAAAAUCAAUGACAAAUUUUUUUAUUAAUGACUGAAUCAAGUCAUUCAUAAACAUAAGUUGUAAUAAAUUUACUGGCAAUGGUGUCUAAAUAGUGACAUAAUUAAUGACAAUUGUCUUGUGUGACAAAAAUUUAUGGUAGAAAAUAGUGGCAAUAUUUUCACAUUAUGACAAAUACUAGUGAUGGAAUUAGUAACAACAUUAUUACAUUGUGACAAAUAUUAAUGAUGAAAUUAAUGACAAAAUAGAUUUCGUGACAACUGUGAUAGAUUAUUGUGAUGGAUUUAGUGACCAUUUUCUUAAAUCUGUGAUGGAAUGAAGGAGGGGUAGUUGCCCGAAUUGAUAAAAAUUUGUGACAAAAAUCACACUAAUUUGUGACAGUAAAUCCAUUACUAUUUAGUGACGGAUUUGAAAAAAUUUAUGAUAGAAGUAUCAGUAAGGCAACUUACAGUGUGAGAAAAUAUCCGUCAUAAUUUUCAUCACUAAUUUCUAUUUGUGACGAAUUUUUGACUUUUUGUGGCAAUUUCUUCUGUCACAAAAAUUAGUAUUUUUGGUAGUGUUUAUAACCAAUCGAUUAGUUUACAAGGCAUAUAUUUACACUUUUAUUUAUUUCAAGUAAUCAAAAUUCAUGUCUUUUUAGAAAUAAAGAAUGUCUUUUUAGAAAUAGUAAAUGCUUAACUACGAGAUGCAUUUCUACACAAUCAAUUGAUUGACUUGCAAGGCAUACAAGUACUCCAUCAAUCUCCCACUUGCACUAAAGCCAACAACCUUUGUAUCUAAUACUAAAACCUUCGAUAUGGUGAUGAUGUUUCUAAAGAUAAGUUCAAUAGCUUCAAACCUUAGAUGUCAUAAAUCACAAGGUUCAAUUGCCUUGAUUGCCUAGAGAACAUAGGUUGUCAUAAACCACAAGCUAUCAAAGUGUCUAUCCUCCAAUUAUGGUGAUCCACAAAAGUGGUAAAUGAGAAAUUCUCCAUGGAGGGAGGGGACAGUCUAGGCUAAAUAGACUAUUGCUAGCUAAGGCUUCUUAGUUUUCUUCUCAAGCAUGCUUAGAGUAUUUUGUGCUCUAGUUGUUUUUACAGUGCUGCUUAAAAAAACUUUUAUUUAUAGGUAAUUACAUUAAUCUUAACCUUAAUAAGAUUUGCAUAACUUUUACACUAUUUAUAAAUUUUCCCAAUUUAUGUACACCCUUUUAAUUAAAUCUUUGAAGUUCCUAGCUUUUAGACAAUUAAGUCCAAUCUUAAUGUGUGUAACCCAUUAGAUUAUUAACAUUUAGACAAUAAAUUUGAAUUAUAAUUUAAAGUUGGAUAGGAUUUAAUAAAUCAAACUCAUUUGCAUUCAGCAUUGAAUAAUUUGCAUUUAUCGAUAAAAAUUAACAUCAAGUAAUGUGUCAUGACCACUCCAAUAUUAAGAGAAAUUAAUGUGGCUAGUUAGACCUAACCUUUAAGCGUACAAUCUGACCAUGCAAUUAGUCCUUUUAUCAAUUAUAUAUAUGGAUUAAUUAUUUAGCUUGAAAAAAAAUUAAUUGAUAAGAUUUUAUUUUUCAAUUUUUUACAAAAUCUAUUUAAUCACAAUCAUAAAAACUUUCAAAUUAGUUAAGUCAAAUAUGCCAAUGAAUUUGGACAAAUUGCCAAACUUCAUUGCGGCAAAUAUUAAAAUUGGAAUGAACAGGAAGAUUCCAUUAAUCUUUGGAUGCAAAACACGAGUUAUGAUUUCUUAUUGUUAGUUAAGAGAGGCAACAUACAACAUUUUUCCUUUGGGCGAUCCAUAAUUGGGCAACUUUUAAAAUCAAGCCAUUGUUCUUCAAUUCCUAGCAGUAAAGCUACCAACGUACCAUGGUUAAUUGGUAUAGUUGAAAAUAUACCAAGUAAUAUCCUUCGACAGAGGCGCAAUGCAUUCUGAAAUCUAAUCCUAUGUAGAUUUUUUUUAAAAAAAAAAUCUAAGCCUAUGUUCUUUUCCAAGUAAUAUCCUUUUAAUUGUUUAAUUAGAUAUAAAAGAAACCCUCAUAAAAAUAUUGAUUUUGAAAAUUCUUAAACUAUUUAAGAAAAUUUAAAUAAAUUUUUAUUCUUUUAUUGUUUUUAACUAAGUUUAAGUAUUUUUAUUUUGAGUCAAUUACAACUAAAAGUUUAUUAAUGGUCAUUAGUUAAAAUACUAUUUAUCUUGUUUAUGUUACGUAGUCUCGACGUGGCAUUAAUAUAGAAGAUGAAAAAUGUUACACCACCAUGUCAUCAUACCACAUCAGCAUAUCAUGUUAUCAUCUAUUAUAACAUAUCAGUAUAUUAUGUAAAUACCACGUGGCAUAAAAUAACAAGUGACAUUUUGAUUAAAAACAAUUAAUCAACUGUUAGUCAUAAGGAACUAUUUUAUCUAAAAUAAAAAUAUAACGUAAUAAAAUAAUAAAGAUUUAAUUAAAUUGUUUUAAAUAGAUUAGGGGCUUUUUAGGUAUUAUGCCAAAGAUUUUUAACUUUUUAUUUUUUUAAUAUAUUUGGGGAAAGGAAGAUUCGAACCUUACUCAUUUUAAAAGGAAGAUCAUAUACCAACCAAUGAACCAAAUGCUCGGGUGCUUUAAUUUUUUAUCUUUACUCAUUAAUAAAGUGAUAUUCAUGAUUAAUUGGUAUUGUACAAAUCCUAGACACAGUCAAUAUAUUAAAAAUUAUAAGGAAGUGCAUUAAAGAUAAUAAGUUUUUUUUUAAAAAAAUAAGGGAAUAAGAAUUCAAACCUUAUUCUCUAUAUUUCAAACCCUGUUCUAUAAAAUAAUUACGACAUCAUUUACAUGCUCAAUAGAAUGUUUGCAUAUUUAAGAAGUUCGAGAAAUCGUUAAAAGACGAUAUUGCCCCUAAUGGUACCAUUAAGUCGAUUAAGGCUCGAACUAGUUCAAAUAGGAAUUUUAAGGUGAAAUUAAGAGUUUCACAAUCCAAGGAUGACUCAAAAUGGUAAUUCAGAGUUCGAUGAUCAAUUUGGAGUCAAACUGAAAUUUUCACUAUCCAAGGGCAAAAUGAUCAUUUGCCACCUUGGGACAAAAUGAGAAUUUUUAGAAAAGAUUUUUUUGGCCCCAUUUGACUUAUUGGAGUAUGAUUGAGGUUUAGAAGUGAAAAAUUUUAAUUUCGGUAUAAAUUGAAGUACAGGGAUGAAACGGUAAUUUUACCACUCUGAGGGCAAAACGGUAAUUUUGCACCCCCAAAGCAUUUUUCCAGCACAAGGUCUUCNNNNNNNNNNNNNNNNNNNNNNNNNNNNNNNNNNNNNNNNNNNNNNNNNNNNNNNNNNNNNNNNNNNNNNNNNNNNNNNNNNNNNNNNNNNNNNNNNNNNNNNNNNNNNNNNNNNNNNNNNNNNNNNNNNNNNNNNNNNNNNNNNNNNNNNNNNNNNNNNNNNNNNNNNNNNNNNNNNNNNNNNNNNNNNNNNNNNNNNNNNNNNNNNNNNNNNNNNNNNNNNNNNNNNNNNNNNNNNNNNNNNNNNNNNNNNNNNNNNNNNNNNNNNNNNNNNNNNNNNNNNNNNNNNNNNNNNNNNNNNNNNNNNNNNNNNNNNNNNNNNNNNNNNNNNNNNNNNNNNNNNNNNNNNNNNNNNNNNNNNNNNNNNNNNNNNNNNNNNNNNNNNNNNNNNNNNNNNNNNNNNNNNNNNNNNNNNNNNNNNNNNNNNNNNNNNNNNNNNNNNNNNNNNNNNNNNNNNNNNNNNNNNNNNNNNNNNNNNNNNNNNNNNNNNNNNNNNNNNNNNNNNNNNNNNNNNNNNNNNNNNNNNNNNNNNNNNNNNNNNNNNNNNNNNNNNNNNNNNNNNNNNNNNNNNNNNNNNNNNNNNNNNNNNNNNNNNNNNNNNNNNNNNNNNNNNNNNNNNNNNNNNNNNNNNNNNNNNNNNNNNNNNNNNNNNNNNNNNNNNNNNNNNNNNNNNNNNNNNNNNNNNNNNNNNNNNNNNNNNNNNNNNNNNNNNNNNNNNNNNNNNNNNNNNNNNNNNNNNNNNNNNNNNNNNNNNNNNNNNNNNNNNNNNNNNNNNNNNNNNNNNNNNNNNNNNNNNNNNNNNNNNNNNNNNNNNNNNNNNNNNNNNNNNNNNNNNNNNNNNNNNNNNNNNNNNNNNNNNNNNNNNNNNNNNNNNNNNNNNNNNNNNNNNNNNNNNNNNNNNNNNNNNNNNNNNNNNNNNNNNNNNNNNNNNNNNNNNNNNNNNNNNNNNNNNNNNNNNNNNNNNNNNNNNNNNNNNNNNNNNNNNNNNNNNNNNNNNNNNNNNNNNNNNNNNNNNNNNNNNNNNNNNNNNNNNNNNNNNNNNNNNNNNNNNNNNNNNNNNNNNNNNNNNNNNNNNNNNNNNNNNNNNNNNNNNNNNNNNNNNNNNNNNNNNNNNNNNNNNNNNNNNNNNNNNNNNNNNNNNNNNNNNNNNNNNNNNNNNNNNNNNNNNNNNNNNNNNNNNNNNNNNNNNNNNNNNNNNNNNNNNNNNNNNNNNNNNNNNNNNNNNNNNNNNNNNNNNNNNNNNNNNNNNNNNNNNNNNNNNNNNNNNNNNNNNNNNNNNNNNNNNNNNNNNNNNNNNNNNNNNNNNNNNNNNNNNNNNNNNNNNNNNNNNNNNNNNNNNNNNNNNNNNNNNNNNNNNNNNNNNNNNNNNNNNNNNNNNNNNNNNNNNNNNNNNNNNNNNNNNNNNNNNNNNNNNNNNNNNNNNNNNNNNNNNNNNNNNNNNNNNNNNNNNNNNNNNNNNNNNNNNNNNNNNNNNNNNNNNNNNNNNNNNNNNNNNNNNNNNNNNNNNNNNNNNNNNNNNNNNNNNNNNNNNNNNNNNNNNNNNNNNNNNNNNNNNNNNNNNNNNNNNNNNNNNNNNNNNNNNNNNNNNNNNNNNNNNNNNNNNNNNNNNNNNNNNNNNNNNNNNNNNNNNNNNNNNNNNNNNNNNNNNNNNNNNNNNNNNNNNNNNNNNNNNNNNNNNNNNNNNNNNNNNNNNNNNNNNNNNNNNNNNNNNNNNNNNNNNNNNNNNNNNNNNNNNNNNNNNNNNNNNNNNNNNNNNNNNNNNNNNNNNNNNNNNNNNNNNNNNNNNNNNNNNNNNNNNNNNNNNNNNNNNNNNNNNNNNNNNNNNNNNNNNNNNNNNNNNNNNNNNNNNNNNNNNNNNNNNNNNNNNNNNNNNNNNNNNNNNNNNNNNNNNNNNNNNNNNNNNNNNNNNNNNNNNNNNNNNNNNNNNNNNNNNNNNNNNNNNNNNNNNNNNNNNNNNNNNNNNNNNNNNNNNNNNNNNNNNNNNNNNNNNNNNNNNNNNNNNNNNNNNNNNNNNNNNNNNNNNNNNNNNNNNNNNNNNNNNNNNNNNNNNNNNNNNNNNNNNNNNNNNNNNNNNNNNNNNNNNNNNNNNNNNNNNNNNNNNNNNNNNNNNNNNNNNNNNNNNNNNNNNNNNNNNNNNNNNNNNNNNNNNNNNNNNNNNNNNNNNNNNNNNNNNNNNNNNNNNNNNNNNNNNNNNNNNNNNNNNNNNNNNNNNNNNNNNNNNNNNNNNNNNNNNNNNNNNNNNNNNNNNNNNNNNNNNNNNNNNNNNNNNNNNNNNNNNNNNNNNNNNNNNNNNNNNNNNNNNNNNNNNNNNNNNNNNNNNNNNNNNNNNNNNNNNNNNNNNNNNNNNNNNNNNNNNNNNNNNNNNNNNNNNNNNNNNNNNNNNNNNNNNNNNNNNNNNNNNNNNNNNNNNNNNNNNNNNNNNNNNNNNNNNNNNNNNNNNNNNNNNNNNNNNNNNNNNNNNNNNNNNNNNNNNNNNNNNNNNNNNNNNNNNNNNNNNNNNNNNNNNNNNNNNNNNNNNNNNNNNNNNNNNNNNNNNNNNNNNNNNNNNNNNNNNNNNNNNNNNNNNNNNNNNNNNNNNNNNNNNNNNNNNNNNNNNNNNNNNNNNNNNNNNNNNNNNNNNNNNNNNNNNNNNNNNNNNNNNNNNNNNNNNNNNNNNNNNNNNNNNNNNNNNNNNNNNNNNNNNNNNNNNNNNNNNNNNNNNNNNNNNNNNNNNNNNNNNNNNNNNNNNNNNNNNNNNNNNNNNNNNNNNNNNNNNNNNNNNNNNNNNNNNNNNNNNNNNNNNNNNNNNNNNNNNNNNNNNNNNNNNNNNNNNNNNNNNNNNNNNNNNNNNNNNNNNNNNNNNNNNNNNNNNNNNNNNNNNNNNNNNNNNNNNNNNNNNNNNNNNNNNNNNNNNNNNNNNNNNNNNNNNNNNNNNNNNNNNNNNNNNNNNNNNNNNNNNNNNNNNNNNNNNNNNNNNNNNNNNNNNNNNNNNNNNNNNNNNNNNNNNNNNNNNNNNNNNNNNNNNNNNNNNNNNNNNNNNNNNNNNNNNNNNNNNNNNNNNNNNNNNNNNNNNNNNNNNNNNNNNNNNNNNNNNNNNNNNNNNNNNNNNNNNNNNNNNNNNNNNNNNNNNNNNNNNNNNNNNNNNNNNNNNNNNNNNNNNNNNNNNNNNNNNNNNNNNNNNNNNNNNNNNNNNNNNNNNNNNNNNNNNNNNNNNNNNNNNNNNNNNNNNNNNNNNNNNNNNNNNNNNNNNNNNNNNNNNNNNNNNNNNNNNNNNNNNNNNNNNNNNNNNNNNNNNNNNNNNNNNNNNNNNNNNNNNNNNNNNNNNNNNNNNNNNNNNNNNNNNNNNNNNNNNNNNNNNNNNNNNNNNNNNNNNNNNNNNNNNNNNNNNNNNNNNNNNNNNNNNNNNNNNNNNNNNNNNNNNNNNNNNNNNNNNNNNNNNNNNNNNNNNNNNNNNNNNNNNNNNNNNNNNNNNNNNNNNNNNNNNNNNNNNNNNNNNNNNNNNNNNNNNNNNNNNNNNNNNNNNNNNNNNNNNNNNNNNNNNNNNNNNNNNNNNNNNNNNNNNNNNNNNNNNNNNNNNNNNNNNNNNNNNNNNNNNNNNNNNNNNNNNNNNNNNNNNNNNNNNNNNNNNNNNNNNNNNNNNNNNNNNNNNNNNNNNAUAGAAAUCUACCUACUUUUGAGAUGCAUAAAUAAUUAAACAAUUACUAUUUGAUUGCAUAUAGGUUUUGAGGUGCACCGGUGACAUACACACCAUGUCUAGAAGAGGUGGUAGUCUCGAUACCUCUCAUAGUGAUAGCGAGGGAUCUCUAGAUUCUACGGCUAGAAGCAAAUGGCACCUUGAUACAGGUGAUUCGGAAGGUGGUCCAUCCCGAAUUCUUGAUAUAGGUGGAAAGAAAUUCAAGAGAAAAGUGUGGAUUUUCAAGAAAAUCAAGUAGAAAAAUGUGAAAUUUCUUGAUUUUAGUUUAUGAACUAUUUUUCCUAUGCGUUUUUUCUUAAUUUUCAUGGUUGAAAAGCAUGCUUUCAUGGUGAAUUCAUGGCUGGUCAAAAUGGGUAUGGAGAGAGAAUGAUCUUGGAUUGGUUUGAUUUUUAGGUAUGUUAGUGUUUUUAGGUGAUUAAUGAUGUGUAGCAUGAAAACAAGUGAAGAAAACCACCAAAGGUUUGGUGUCCAUCAAUAGCCAAAUUCUCUAAGUGAAUAAUGAGGAAGAAUGGGAUGUUAUUCUAGGUGAUUUGAUUAAAAAAUAAUAGUUUUUGGUAUAGGAAUUAAUGAAUUAUGGAGAGAAAAUUAAGUAGAAAAAAUCACAGAGUUAGUGUACCAUUGUUGGCCGAAAGUUCCAAGAAGAAAAGUGAAGAUAAAUUUUACCUAAUUGUGUGUUAAUUAGUUUGUGUUUGGUGAAUUGAGGGAUUGGAAAAGAAAUGGAGCAAGUUGGAAUGAAAUUGGACGCAUUGGCCAAUUUAUCGGAUGAAAAAUUGACUUAGGCCAAUACCGGAUCUAGAUGGCUAUUCGUGCAUUUUUUUCAUUUCAUAUCAUGCAUAUAUAUAUCGAUCCUGAAAUAGCUUAUGACUGUUAGACACAAUUUAAUUGGAAUAUGUGUCAUGGAUUAUGGCUAGGUGGUGAGCCAUUGGAUACGGGUAAAGGACUGUACCCGCGGACUGAAAAUAAGAGUAUUUCUACUCCUAAUACUGUGAGUGGACAAUUUAUAGUCUUAAAUAUCUAGAGUAAUUAUACUUUUUUUAUGCUUUUAUUGGAUGGUGAGUUUAAAUUAUAAAAUAUUAUAUUUUCUAAUUAAAAUAUUUUUUUUAAAUGAGAUUUAUACUAGUUUUGAAAUCAAAUAUUGUUUUGGGAAAAUUGAGUAUAUGGAGACUGCGUUGAAUUUAUGAUUUUAUAUGUUAUUGAAAUUGUGGCUUAUGACACUAUGGUAGCGUGAUGGCUAAAUUUUUGGGAUUGGCAUGAAAUAUAUGAACAGUUUUUGAUUGGUCUCGGUAGACUGGAUUACAUUUUAUUCGCCAUAUUAUGCUACUGAAAAUUUUAUGGGUCUGGUGAAAUAUUAAACGGUCACUGCAGUGGUGGGGGUUUUCGUGGACUGCCUAUGAGAGGGGCACGGUAACCCAAUUAUAUACGUACCUUCGGGGGGAGAUGUUGGAUGAAGUAUCUCUUGAGGUAAGAUUUGAGUGCACCUCACGUUCAGGCCACCACGUGAGAGUGAGACUCAGCCAACGCCAAGGAACGACUGUGUGUCAGAUACGAAAAUAUGUUUAUGGGUAUGAGACAUUUAAUAGCCUUGGUGGUCUCAGUGGGAUACCUUGACUAAGGUACCCACGAGAAUGAUUCUGGUAAGGGUCAAGUUUGAAAAACUCAUAAGUCGAGAAAUUUUGACGAAAAGAAAUUGUUUGGUAUAGAUUGAAACGAAUUUUGCUUUAUAAAUAUUAUUGAGAUAUAACAUUUUUAUAUUGUCUCCGUCUACUCGGCUUUAGAUGCUUUUGAUGGUAAUUGUUUACUCACUGAGAUUAUGUAAUCUCACCCCUCUUCUUAUCUAUUUUUCAAGCUCAGGACAGUUUGUUGAUAGUUGAUAGUUGAUUAAGACAAGAAUUAAUCUCGGAGUUGCAUCAUAGAAAGUAAGGGUUCGUAACGCUACACCUUCUUGGUCAGUUGGGAGCCCACGUGUCAUUGUAAACGAAAUUUCAUACUUUAAUUAUUUUUAUUACUAUAUGAAUAAAUUUAUUUUAUUCUUACGCUACAAAAGUUAUUUUAGGAAGACUUUGAAAAUAUUGUGUUUUAAGAAAAUAUAAUAUUUUAUUUAAUAUUUUUAUUAUAUUCAAAUAGUUAUAAUUUUACUUUAAACGAAUGUUUUAGACUUAAAAAUUUAAUUUAAAUCAUGAAAUAUGUGUUUCCACUUACAUAUUACAUUUUUACGAAUUUCAAAAUUUUCGAAAAAGAAAAAAAAAUGAAUGAUUAAAAUCUCCCUGUGAGACAAAAAUAAAUUUUCAUUAUUUUUGGAUGAGAGAAUGGUCCAUAUUGUUUCAAAACACGAUUUUAGUUAUUGUCGAUCACAAGGGAGGUAAGAAAACUGAUACAAAAGCCUUGCGAGGUUUCGAUCAGCAUUCAGGGUAAAGAAUGUCUGACGAGACUUCGCGGUGGUUGUCACGGAUUCGAUGGAAGUUUCAGGUCGUGACACUAUACAUGAGAUCAUGUACCAAUCAAUAAGUCAAAUACUUUAAUGUCAUUAAAAAUAAUAGGUUGGUUUAAUUAAAUUUAUUAGACACACACACACACACACACACACACAUAUAUAUAUAUAUAUAUAUAUAUAUAUAUAUAUAUAUAUAUAUAUAUAUAUUACCAAAGAUUCCUUUCCCAAGGUCAUGAUUCUACCUCAUCCAUUUUAAUGUUGUGCUUGGAUUGCCUCUCCAACCUUUAAUUCCUUGUGGUUUCCAGCAAUUUCCGAGGCAUCCCUUUGGUUGUUGAUGGUGUUAGUGUUUAACUCUUUUGGCCUUUCCUCUUCAUCGUCCUUGUUGGUUUCUCCAUUUUUCAGCUCAUGUUCAUUAUUGGAGAUGCUAGCAUUGCUCUGGAGGAGGAUCUUUGCAGUCCAAUUGCUCAAUUGCUCAGUGGAUGCCUCAUCUGAAGACAAGUGAAUCAAUUAAUGUAAGAUUACAUGAAAUUUCAACUAGUUGCAUUGCUUACUUAUCUUUUGUACAAGUUCUACCGCUACAUUCUAUCUUAAUUAGUAUGUUUAUUUAUUGGGGUAUUAAUGUACAUCUUUGGCUAUUGAUCAUUUUCAAUAUAUUACUUUUAUCCAUUCAACUUUUAUUUUGUUAAUUUAAGCCACCCAAUUCUCAAUUUGGUGAGAAAAGCCAUGGUCCCUAAAGAAUAUUCCACAAUAUUUAAUCAAUUAUAUGUCACAACAAUUUAAAUACAGCCACACCCACAUGUAUUGUUUGUUUAAGACAAUAAGUCCAAAACGACCAAGUUUUUGUCUCAUACUUCUUAGAAUGACAGGAACAACAAGGUGAGAAAUCACGAGAAUAAAAAUCCCAAUCUAUAAUCUAUAUCUAUAAUUUGUAAUAACUAUGCUUAAAAGAAACCUCAAUGGGCUCAUUGAUCGACACUUGGCGAGUCUCUUGCCUUGACACUUGGCUCUCUCACAGCUAUAGGCUUUUGGGCUUAAUUGAGGGUUUUUUAUUCGACCAAAGUAUUGCUCUGUGACUCUCUUUUUCCUAUCUUCGUCUUCGAUGGACUCUAAAUUUUUCUCUUUUAAUAUGGGGCAUCAAGGCUCUUGACUUGACACUUGGUUAGAUUUUGAGGCGUGGGCUUUAGGUUUAUGGGAUGUGGAUCUGAAGUCUGAUGGGUUUAAGUGUAAGUGGUUUUCAGCUUAACACAUGAUUGGGCUUAUCGGUGUGAACUUGAGGUUUGAUAAGAUUAGGGUUUCAGUUGGGUUUUUGCGGUGUGGGUUCGAGGUUUGAUGAGGUUGGAUUUAUAUUAGAUUUUUUUAGAUUUUUCAUUUUAGGGGAACGUGGUUUGUUGAAUUUGUCAAAAGUCACAUGCUUUUAGAUUCUUCUUCAUUUUCCGUCUCUCUCUUUUCUCUUCUACUGUAUUAUUUUAUCAUCUAGCUGUUUAUAGGUGUAUUUUUAUAUAAAAACACUAUCACAAACACCACCAUGAUAAUUAUGGUAACAGUAUAUUUUAUACAUGUCAAUGUACACCAAUAAUUAAAUAUAAUAAUAUAAUUAUUAUUAUAUAUAUAUUUCACAAAAUAUUCUCAAACUCAAUUAUAAAAAAAAAGGCAACAAGUAGCAUUAUUGGCUUACCUAGUCUUGGGACAGUAUGGCCUUGAGGGUGCCUAAUGAUGAGAGGAUUGUCAAAGGCGGUGGCCAGCUCCUCCGAAGGCAACUUUAACCAGUCCUUAGCUCCUACGAAGUGCACAGAUUUGACCUUGAUUGUGUCUUUGUAGGCGACCUCGCAUAUGCUUGGCUCUCUGAAUUUUGAUCCGGAUAUUGAAACAAAAAAUUGGAAGGGUGGAUGCUCCUUCAACACCUUCCCCUGCAUGCGUUGCCAUACCUUUAGAAUAUCACCCAAAAUGCAGAGAGAAGAAGACCUGCCUCCUAACUCAGAUGCAUCAAUACUUGCAACUUAUAUUACCUGUGCCUGGUAGCCUAACAGAAGAGCACAAAGAGUUGCACCCUACAGCAAGAACAAGGGGCAAUAAGAAGAGAAAACAAUCUGGAAGAAACUUGUUGUGGGAACAAGUGGUGAUGCAUUAAAAUAAAACGUACUUGUGAGAAGCCAAGCAAUCCAUGAAAAGGUCCUUUGGUGGUGAUGUAUUCACACAAGUGAGAGACGCAUUCCUCCAGGUUUGUGUACUCCGUGAAAUCCUUGUUGAACUGGAACCACUCAAAGUACGGAGGAGGGAAUAUGCCUUCGAUGUCAGAUUUGCCUCCAGCUGGAAAUAGUCCAUCAGGAAAAUCCUGUAUAUACAUGUAUUGCAGUUUUGUUUAUUAUUAUGAUUUUCCAGUCUGCUAGAUUUUGAACACUCUUCAUUUUAUUGCACUAUGUUGAAUAUUACUACUUGAGUACCCUAUUUAAUUAGGAAAAUUAUAUUAUUUUAUACACUGAUCAGGGUCAAAUAGUUGGUGUAUUAAUUAGUAUGAAAUAUUAAGCAAACAUACCAUGUCAAAGUGACAGAAAACAGAAGGAUCCCACUUGCUGAUUUGCUUGUGCAGGAAACUCCCACUGGUUCUAAACCCAUGAAGGCAUAAUAUCUUCAUCUUUUGUUUUUGGGCUUCCUCCAUUUCCGCUCCCCUUUGUCUACGUUGAUGACAAUGAAGGUGUAGGGGGUCCUUUUAUGACGGAAAAAGAAAGGUUGUUUCCUCAUACCUAACCCAGUUCCCCGGUUAGGUGUGCUUGGUUGGUGCUGCACGGGCUUACCAAAUAAUAUUCAGGGCUCAGCUGCCUGCCUACACCUAUACUUCAAUUUAUAAAAUCGAUUGUCCAGUUUUAACAUGAGAAACAUAACCAUGUGCCAAAAAAAAAAAAGAUUUUCAUUAUUGCUUGGUAAGAGAAAAGCAAAAGGUAGCCUUUUUUCUAUUCUUAUUCACAUAACCAAAUCAUUUCAAAAUUGAUAAGAUUAGAAAAGAGAAUGAAAUGUGUGAAUUAAGUCUUACAAAUUUAUAAAAUUUUCCAUCCUCUCUUAGAUUUUAUCUUUUUAUUUCCACUUACAAAAGGGGUCAUGGAAAAAUAAUGUAAUUUUCAUUUUCUUUCCUUGUAUUUUUUUUCUACUAUACCAUGAAAAAGAUAACAAAAAUACAUAUUUUUUCUACCCACUUUUCCACCUAUUCUACCAAGCACAUCAACGGAAAGAAAAAAGCAUGUUUUCUCUCUUCCCACAUUUCCCCUCUCCCAAUCUUUACCCUACAAGAAUAUAGAGGGAAAGCAUGUGAUGGAAGUGAUCAUUCAUCACUAAAACUUAGGUCACCAGUGCUGUCAAGUUACAACAAUAACUUCUAAACUCAGGCACUGCAAAACAGUAAAAGGAACAUUUUGAAGCAAAACAAUGGAAGCUAUAAAUUCCCUCAAUUUCAUUUGUGUUUCCGCAGAUCUAACCCUCCUGUCUGUACCCUUUGCAAAAUAAGCCAUACACAGGUUGCCUCAGAAAGCCUGUAAGAGAUAGGACAGUGUAAAUAGAAAACUAUAUCAAAAAUAUGUCUUUGGAACAAGUGACAGAAAAUGACAGCUUUUAAUACUUGAAGUUUCAUUCUUUAAUCUCCGUUAGUGCCCCUACAAUCUCCAUAUCUAAACAGGAUACACUUAUUUGGGGCCAACAAUCACAAAUUGGUUGGACAUGUAAUUAAAUAAUUUUUAACAUCUUUUCUGUUAACACAAGAACUUCCAAUAAGUAGCUUCAAAAGUUUCUCCACAGCUAACAAUGUGGGAAAAUAAAGCUUAACAAUUACAAAUGGUAUCCAAAUGUUGCUUAGUUUUAGCAUGGAAAAAGAAGACUAAGGGAGGGCAGCUUAUAUUUGUUGUGUUGGGCAUGCACUUAAAUUUAAUGUGCAGCCAAGGAACCUAGGAGAAUAGAAGAUACCUUCUCCAGGGAAAACCUUAGGAACGAAAUAUGAGAGGGUAGGUACAGCAGAAUCCACUGCUCCAGCACUGCAUAAGAAAAAAAACACAUCUGAAUAGAUGGUUGGAAACAUGAAUUGCUGCUAGUUGCCUGUUGCCACAGAGAUUUAAAAUCUAUACCAUUUUUUACCAGAAUUUAAAAAACAUAAUAAGAUACUAGUUAGGUCCAGAAACUCAUGUACACAGAUUCAAAGCAUGACAUAUAUAAAGAGUGCUAAAAAAACCAUCAAGCGCUCAUUCAUUGACCUAACAGUCCAAAUCAACAUGUAAGAGGAAUGAUGAGGGUUUACCACAGAAAGCAAUGGUCCCUGUUUAAACUUGUCAUGAAAGGAAAACGCAAUUGGCUUUGGAUUGCUGCCAGGCCCUCUGAUAAAACCACUGAAUUCAUAUUACAGAAACAAAUAUAUAAAUUAGCUGUUACAUAUAUUCAGAACACCCCCACCCACCCACCCCCCCCCCCCCAAAAAAAAAAAAAAAAAAUGGAGGAGAUAAUGAUCUCAUUUAGAUCAUUUGACUUGGCAUUCAAUGACUAUGGAGUGCUCCAUGAAAGCUGUAUGCAGUAACAUUUUUUGUAACCAAAAUGUCAAGCAUCUGGUAAGAUAAGCAGAAGCUCACAUUAGUGAUGCAGAAAUCAAGGGAUUCCUCCUUGUGUCAUAUAAUGCAAUGAGACCUUUGUAAAUGUCAUCCCCUCCUUUAUACGAUACUGCUAAUCGCUCUCCAGAAGCAUCCCAGGCUAUCUUCUCAAUUCCCUGACUGCAUGACAAAAUAUUUGAGAUCAAUUUAACUAGGCAGAAGAAUAUUCUAUGCAUGAAAUCAUAUGAAAUAAUAAACUUAAGCUUGAGAAAAGCUAUAGACCCUGAUGAAGAGAAGUCCGUAAACAUCUGCACAGAUAUUUAGAAGACUUGUCGAGGCUAGUAAUAAUUCGAAAGGCUCAAUUUGGACAAUCACGAGAAUAGAAGUUGGGAGCUUUGAUAGCCAAUUAGCAAUUGGUACUGACUCUUAAUAUACGUAUCUUUAAGUAAAAUGGAUUGCAGAAUUUAUUUUUAUCUAUCAAUGAUUUAAUGAGGUAGGGGUAUUUUAAUUAAUUUAUAGUAUAUCGUUUGGCAAAGGUGAGAUGAUGGUGUUUAAGUCUUGUUUUCAUUUUUCUUUUUAUUAUUAUGACACCCUUGUUUGAUGUCCAACAGUUGGUUUCUGUUUGGAGUCCAUCUUUAUUGAACCUAGAACAGAUGCUUCAUGUGAUUUGAUGAAAAAAUUACAUCUUACCUCAAAGUGGUUAGAACAUAAUUUUAUUUUCAUGUGGUUUCCGAAGUGGCAAACAUAAGACCAUGUGGUUUAAAUAGAUAAUCAAAAGAAUUCUGCUAUUUAAUCUUUAACAAAGUGGCUGAACUGCCCCCAUCUACAUAUUUUAACAUUUUAAAUUCUUUAACAUUUUUUUUCUUAUAAAAGGUGAAAUAGUUGUAUGAAAAUCUGAAAUCCAACUUGAUGGUUAUCUACAUAAUUUUUCCACAUUUUUCGAAGGCUGACUAUAAGGAUAGUUUAGUCAUUCUUAUUUCUAGGAAAAUGAGAUCUGAAAGAAAAACCCUCUGUAAGUAAAGAAAGAAACCUCACAAGGUUAGUUCCACUAUUUUUAAACCACAAGGAACUAAAAUGGGUAAAACAUACCUAGUAAUUUUCCCUUAAUUCUGAGAGUUGAGAGAACUAUUUUUAUAGACAUUUCUUAGCUACUAUGCUAUUAGAUGUGAAGCUAUAUUUCUAAGUUAACCUAGACAACUGCCCACUUUACUUGUACAACUUGCAUAACAAACUUUCCAAACUUGAUGCUCUUCAUCCAACCUUAAUCCCCAUCCUACACAUUUUUUCCCUCAAAUGAUCCCAGAUUAGCCUCCAAACCUUUUUCAAUUGUUCUAGCUUGGGUUAAUUACACAUUUGGUAUAAUUACUUUUUUUCCCUCUUUCACCUUCCACCACAUCAAAAAAAAAAUCACUUACUAAUCUGAAAAAAUUAAUUUACUUCCUCCGCUACAAAAAUGCCUUUCUCUGAGACUAAAUUCCCUUCAGUGAAAACCCAUUUUCUCAUGUACAUAUAUAGAAGAUAAGAUAGGCACAUGUACAAGCAAACUUAAAAUCUCAUUCUUGAGAGCAGUCAAAAACCCCAAAUCUCUAAUAUAAUGAGCAGCAACCCUAAGGCUUGAUAAAAAAAAAAGAGGGAAACAAACCCAUAAGGUAAACCUAAAAUCUCAACAAACAGCUCCAAAACUUUCAAUUUUGCUAGCAAUCUUUUAUCCCUUUGGAUGCUCUCACAUACUAUAAGCAACCUAACCCCAUCAGGAGUUUAGGACUUGUUCAGAACCUUCUCAAGUCUUAAACCUAAGGGUCAUAUUUAGAUAUAAUUAUCUCACACUCCCCGCAACUCAUGAAACUUGAAUUGGAGGCACAUUGAAGCAGCAAUUGCAAAUUCCCAAGAGGUGGUGAGAGUUAGUAAAUGUUGAUUGUUGGGUUAAAACAAAUGCAAAGAGAAUAGAAGAUCACUGAAAUUAUAUGUUAUUUGCAUUUUAAGGAUCUUUAAUUUUAAAUUUUUAUUUCUUAACAAGAUGAUGACAUGUGGUUCACUGAUAGUAUAGGAUAUAUACACAAACAGUGCAUCAAAUAUAAAUUUAUUUAACAAUUACCUUACACUCUUCCGUCUUUCCUCUCUCACCAAACAAGAUAACUAGGAAAAUUAUCCUUAUCCUGUCAUUAAGCUAACAAACUAAGACAUAAAAUCAUCUCCACUCAACUCUCUUUAUCUUCCUAGAUCACCUUCUCCCUCCAUCUAAGCUCUCAAAGGCAUGCAAAGGCAUUAAAAUAUCCAUCUGCUAUGCUAUUAUCCCAAUGCAAUACCACCCAAGUUGACUCUGAAAGUCAACAACCAGAAGAUACCCGACAUGUAUCCAAAAUUAUCCGAGCACAAAACAACUCAGACCUGAAAAAUACAAAAAACCCAAAACGACUAGAAACCUGUAACUACCUAAUGCCAUAACCGGAAAUGACCCCAAUUGUAACUUAAUGACCUUUUACAAAAUGCAAAAUGAUCAAAUUAUGAAGUUAUUUUUCCCCCUUAAUUAAAAUUAAUAUAAACUUGUUUGAGUAGGAAGAGACCACAAACUAGAAGAAAGAAAGGGAGGCUUUUUGUCAUUUCAAGAAGGGAAAAAAAAAGAAAAAGAAAGAAAGAAAGCACAUAAGCUGGCUGAGUUGGCAGCCAUUCUUUUUCAUUUUGGUUCUCAUUCAACCUGCCUCUUUCCAUUUGGUUUUGAGUUGUUUUUCUAAUUAAAGGGUUUUACACUUUUAUGUUUUGAAUAUGGAUAAACAUAUCUACUACUAAUCAUGAGCUGAGAUAUAAAUUAAAAGUAGAUUAAUAUUAUUGAAUCAAUUAGCUUAUAACUUUUAAAUAUAUGAUUUCUUAUUGUUUAUAGUAAAUAUUAAGAUUAGGCCCAUUAAAUUAUAACCAAUUAUACUUAUUAACUUUAAUAAAAAAAAUAUAAAUUCCUUAUAUAUGAAACUAAUAGUCAAGUGUUAAAAUAGAGUCAAAACAACUUAAUAAAUGCCCCAAUGGCAAAUGUUAAGAUUAUACCAACAUUGCAUCAAUAAUCAAUUAGUUUUAAAUAUCAUCACUUUGUAUAAUUUGUAAGUAUUAACAUUAAGUCAAUUAAUUGACUAAUUUAACUCAUAUCACUUGUUUUCAAUAAUGUGGUACUCUUUUUAACAAUGUCUAUUGUUCAACAUUCCAGCUGAAUUAUACAUUAAAAAAAUUCUAACAGGAAACUUUCAAUCAAACUAAUACAUCUAAAAAAACAAAUAAAACCAAGACAAGUCAUUUUUAGGACUCCACUACAAUCUCGAUACCAAGUUAGAUCAGCCUUGAAUCAAACAUUUUAACUAUCAUUAUUUGCUCUAAUUCUUAAGCAUAAAGAUUAGACCAAUUAAUUAGUUAGUCUUGUUGAGUUAUUUUUAAUAAAUAGUUUUGUUUUUAAUAAUAUUCAUUAUUUAAUGUUCCAAUGGAAUUUUUACAAUUGGAUUACACAUCUAAAAUUUUUAAAACCAAAACAAUUAACAUUAUGGAUUAAUUAUGCACUUGGUAGCUGAACUAUAAUCAAAUGUUCAAUUUAAUAUUUAAAGUUUAAAGAUGUACAUUUAGGUAAUAUGAAUUUGUUUUCAUUAACCAUAUUACACAUCCCACUAACUCCUUUAAGCCUAUGUAUGAUGUGUCUCAUAAAGCCAAUAAACGUGCCAAGUGUCCAUAUAAUGCCAUGUUCUUAGUGAAAAUUUCCCUCUCUUUAACCCAUGGCAUGGUAAUGGACCCCACUGAUAAUGUGGCAAAAUGGCAUGGCAUUGUAUGAACACUGGCGUGAUUUAUUGGCUAUUUGGGACACACCAAACUUUGGCUUAAUAGAGACAGUGGAGAUGUCUAAUAUGGUUAACAGAAGCAAGAUUCAAGUACCUAAUUGUGCAUUUUUAAACUUUACGUACCAAAGUGAAUAUUUAACUAUAGUUCAAGUACCAAAUGCAUAAUUAUUAACUAGCAAAAUAUUUAUUAUUCUAUAUAAUUAUAGAAAAAAGCAGACUUCUUAUUAUCAUUAUUUACUUUCAGCUAACUCCAGACUUUUUAUUUCUUCUUUUUGGUUUUUUUCAUUUUGGUGGUUAAGUUGGAGGAUUCAUACUCAAGACCUCUAUUUGCAAGUUGGAUGUGGCUACAAUCAAGCUGUUACCUUGACCUAAGCAGGAGUUAUUUUAAUAAUAAUAUUUCCACAAAGUAUUUUACAAAUUAAAAAUAACAGGAACUAGAAAGUAACUUCCAAUACCUGCCUGUCAAAGAUAUUAUCUCUGGCAAAUCAACCGGUAAUAAGUGGGCAUCUGAAGAGAGUCAUCAAGGAGAAGAAAUUAAACUCUGCCACUUGCACUAUAAAGCUUCAAUCUACAACUAAAACAAUAACAUCCACAGAAACUGGUUUCAAAUAUUAAAUAUCAAAGCAUGAACUUUAUAAAAAACCAAGUUGGUAAGCAUGCUCAAAUACUUUGCUUUAAAAGCACGUCCAGCCAAUCUCCCUUGUAUUAUUUGUCUCUGACAUCUAGGUCAACAUGGUAUAAUGAGCUCUCAACAAUUGUGGAAAGUGUUUUUCACUAAAAUUUCUAAAACCAUAAGAAUGGCAAUUGUAGGCGUCAUUGGCAUUUUAAAGUUUUUAUGGUUUACCCACUCGUCUCAAUUAAAAGGAUGGCUUAAAUAAGAGAGAGAGAGAGAGAGAGAGAGAGAGAUCUGAUCGGUGGAGAGAAGAUAUAUUACUGAAAUGUUAGAUAUUUAUUGAUAAUUUUUGAAGAAACACACAUAAAGAUGGAACUUAUUGGUGAUCUUAAGGUGCUUAGCAACAUGUCCGGUCUUAAAUUUUAGACAAAAUGAUCAACUUCCUAAAAUGAAAUUAUGUCCAGUAAAAAGCAAACAACAUUAAAAGUAAAGUAGAGUUUUACCUUGAAAGAAAAGCAAAGUUAAAAGAAAGAAAUAAAGAAUUUGAAAAUAGAAAGAUCCAAUCUUGCCUGAAGCAAAUGAUAGAAUACCACAGAAGUAAGAAAAAAUUAAACAGAAAUGCAAUGUCAAAGUAUGCUGCUGAGAAGGCCAACUAAACGAGCGUGUGCAGUUCCUCUACCCACCACAGGGAAGGCACAACACCAAGUGCAAACAAAGAGGGUGGGAGAAAAGGGAAACUUUUUUCUUAUUUCUACUUUCCAAAAAGAAAUUAUCUGUCGAAUGUAAACUACAAUCCUCAAUAUCACCAAUACAAGACCAAAAUUUGAAAGCUCAUUAACACCAUGUUUGGGAACCAUGAGGAGAAGGGAAGGAGAGGAAAGGGAGGGGCAAGGAGAGGGUACAGUUCCACUUGUUUGGAUACCAUAAAAAAAGAAGGGAAAGGGGAGGGAGGGGUAAAUUACCAACCUUGUUUGGUUCAUGAGAGAAAGAGAAGGGAAUGACAACUUAUUAUGUCAUAUUACUAUUUUAUUCUUAUAACUUCAAAAAAAAAAAUAAUAAUAAUAAUAAGGUAAUUUUGUCUUUGCAGUAAAAAAUUUUAAUGAAAAAGGAGAAAAUAAAAAACGAAUGUAACAAAUUCUUUUCUUUUUUACUUUUUUUGUGGAUAGCAAAUUCUCUUAAAAACGAGAAAAUAAAAGAAGAGAAAAGAAAAUGAAGGAAAAGAAAGAAAGAAUAGAACAUGAACCAAAAAUGAUAUAAAUAAAAUGGUAGCAACUUUGUAAUCACAGUAUUAACAACAAUAAAAAAUGGUAAAAGAAAAAAAACUCAGAAACAGGGGGAAACCCCAAAAAUAGAAAAACUCAAAAACUAAAGCCCAAAAGAAAUAACAAUCCUCGUCAAUAUUUAUACUUCGAUUUUCUCUUUGUUCCACAUAAUUACAUGCAAGUUUCCUAUUCCACCGCAAAGCUUAUAUUGAUGGAUGGCAGCAAUUCUUUACAUAUAGCUUACAUACCCAAUGAAGGAGGCUUUGAUGCAAAGUGUAUAGAACCCAACGUUGAGGACCUAGAGAAAGCAAGCAGGACCAUACGACCAUCAGGAUCCCAGGUUGCACCCUGACAACAACACACAAUUGAUCACUUAACAAGCAAAUUCUAAUGUCAUAUCAGUCAUAUCCAACAGAAUCCUGUUUAUGAUAAAAUUAUAAGAACCACAAGCUGACAAACUAUAAUGCAUCAAUAACUAUAACAAUAUAGGACUUUAUCCCCUUCGAGGUAAUAAAAAGAGAGGUCAAAUAUUAGUAAAAAAGUAUAUUAGUUUUUCCAAAACAAUGCCAUGAAAAUAUAACCCUUUCAUACUCCAAUAUACUAGCAACCAAGCAUGCAAUGCAAAUGGUAAAAUGGCAUACUGUUAUAUUUACCGAUCACUCCGCUCCAUCUAAAAUUUUGUCAACUAUCUUCAAGAGUGAAUUAGAUAAGUUAAAGGGCAAAUUGAAUUGCUUUGACUAGUUAGAAGGAUUAAAACAUGAAAAUGACAACAAGGGGAGCUAGAUGAGUAACAUGUAUUGCCAAUGAGCAAUGAUAGUAUCCCAUCUGAAUUAAUUAUUACAACUACUAGAGGGAACUUUUACAUAAGAUUCACAUGGAACAUAUAACAUUUUCAUAGAAAGAGGUUUUUGAAUUAUAUAAAGGUAGCAAUUCUUUUAAUGAAACAUAAUAUGAUCCGAAAUAAAUUGAAUGGAUUAUAUGACCAGCUUCACUUCUACACCACUAAUGUUAAAAGCAAGCUAAGUCAAUUAUGCACCAUUCAAUGCCAUUUGCAAGCAUAGUUUAGACAUUUUUAUACUCAAAGUUAUCACGAAGAAGUAUACCCAUAAGGAAAAUUCUGAAGGAAAGAUGAACUCAUAACAUACUUACCAACCUGAACAUACGGUUUUUAAUUCCAAACUACAUAGCUUAAGUUUGAAGAACAAAAGGUGGAAACUGAAUACCUUUUUGGAAAAUUACCAUAAAACUCAGAAUCCAAGAGAAAAUUGAAACAGAUAAUAAAAUGAAAAAAGUGUAAUAAUGAUUCAAGCAGCUAUUAGACAACAUCUCUAUGUCUAGCGAACUGUAACCUUUAAUAAACAAUGUUCAAUGAUUUAAAAAUGAUAUCACUUACCGUGACAAAACCGCUGGAUGAAGACCACGGUUCAGAUGUCCAUGUGUUUGUCUCCCAGAGGUAAAAGGUUCCAUCACUGCAACAGGACAGAGACUUUAGCCUAGAUGUUUGGUUAAAAUUAGACAUAAAACAUCGCAAAGUUUAUGUCCAUACAAUUUUCCAGCAAAAAAGUAAUCUCCAGUCGGAGACCAUUUAAGCACUGAUGUUCCCCCUAAUCCCCGUCGGAUGGGUGUCCCAAUACCUGGAAAUUACAAGAAAUAUCAUUACUCCAAAAUAAAGACUAAAAUCUCCAAAGAAAUAAUGCCUACAUGAACAUAAAUAUUUAAGAUGACAAUAGAAACUAUAUCCAGGCAAACUGCUUAUACUAUGAUGAUCAUUUAGGUUUGUCAAGGAAGAAAUUGCAAAAGGUAUCCAUUAACAGCACUUCACAUCAUCUUCAAAUCUAACAGCACGUAAAUAGUCCAAGGUCCUCUAGAUGCCCUGCAUCAGUAUAUAUUUCAUGUUGUAAUUUCCAACCAUCUUGCACAUUCUGUUGCUCAUAAGACUGAAUUGACGAGAAUGAACAAUGAUGAGUCUUGGAGGAAUUAGUAAUUAUACUCUUGUUAAAAAACUAACUACGUAAAGGUUCCAGAAGCAAAAGAGUACAAAGUGGAUAUAUCUUGAUUAUAAAAAAGUAUGUUCAAACAACAAGUUGAGUGCACAAUGAUUUAGGACAGCUGGGUGCUUAGGGUUUUAUGGAAGCUUCUUGAAUUAUUAAGAAAAGAGAGGAAAUUGAAUGAAGAAGUCCUAAAGUUCUGUAGGAGUCAGACCAAAGGUUUUUUGUUUUUGUUCUUUUGUCCAAUGCUUGGGCUACACAAGAAGGUGUAACUCCCCAUUCUAUAAAUUGCCAAUAAGUUUAUCAUACCUAAGGUUGAGUGCAUCAUCACAAUCAAAUGCACCAGAAAUUCUUUGAUAGUAAUUUUAUCCUCAAAAGAAAGAUUGCAUACAUAUAUGUAGACUCCUAGCAUGCAUAAUCUAAUAAGAACUAGCACUCCUAAUACAACAUCAACUUCAACGAAUAUUUAGACUCUCCAAUUAGGAAGCUAUCCAAUUUAGAAACCAACCUAUACGGAAACUUCAGUAAGAACAACUAUAAAUAUAAAAACAAGAAUAAGACUAUAGACUUAAAACCUGAAAUCUCCAACAAACUAAAAAAAAUACCCAACACUUAAAGUUCUAAAAAAAAAAAACCUGCAACCUUGAACUUAAAGAAUCAGAAACAAACUACAAGGUGUUGACUUAAAAUUAAUAAUAUUAAAAAUAUAAAAAAAAAAAAACCCUGCAACCUUUAACUUAAACAAUCAUAAUUUAAAAAAAAAAAAAAACCAACCUUAAGAAUUAUAAAGAAUCAUAAUUUAUUUAAAAGUAACUAAUCAGCCUAUCCAAACUCCCAACUAAGUUCAUCAUCAACCGAUAUGUAUCAAAUUACAGGGUGCUUCAUCGAAAGGGUUACGAUUGCUUGUUAACAUUUGAAUUAAAAAAUAGUUCAAGAGAAACUAACUGUCAUAAAUAUACCUUGGGCAACAUCCCAAAUUGUGAAUGAUGAGCUUUCAUAUGAGGCAGAGGCCAAAUACGUAGACAAACGUUAUGGAAAACAUUUGAAUAGUUAAAUAAACAACAUUUCUACUCCUACCUUCAACUCCCAAGCAUAAUCUUGUUAAUGAAUUAUAGCAAUAAAAGAUAAAUCAAUAUCACAAGAGUAUUCAUUUCUGGAUAUCUUCCAUCAGGACUCCAAGAAAGUGCACUUAUUUGUUCAUCAUGAGGACUUCGAAAAAAAUCCACCAGAGUCCACCGAGUCCCAGAGCCUCUAGAGAGUGCCCCUAAGAAUGAAGCAGAACCAGAUCUAACUGAUGCUGCAUUCCCUGGAUAAGAUGCCGCCCAAAUGCAAAUUCCACCCCUGAAGAUCAAAAAAGCAUUGAGAAGUUAAGCAUAAAAUAUCAACCGUAUUUGAGUUAAACGAAUAUAUUAUAAUUUUAAUAACAACUUGGAAAAACAGGAUACUUGCUUGCAUGCCACAGAAAGCAACUUUCCACCAUUUGGCCUCCACUCUAGAACUUUAACAUCUCUUUGGGAGUCACUUGUUAAAAUGCAUGGCUCCUUCCCUGCUGUUCAAAAUAUUCAAUAUAAAAGUAACAUUUGUAUGCAUCUAAAAGUGGCCAAGUGAAGUGAUUUUGUUUCACAAAAAAGAAGGAACGAAAACUAGGAGAGAACCAAACAAAGGAUAAAAAUAAGUUAAUGACAUUUUGCACAGAAUAAUAUAAUAAGUUGCCCACCGGAAUCUUCAUAAUCACGAACAGUAACUUGAUUCGAGGCAGAGAUAAAUGCAAGGAUAUGUUUGUGUUGAUGCCAGCUCACACCUUGGAGAGCAACUUCUGGUAACAAAUCAAUCUAUACAGCUUAUCAAAUGAGACUGCAGACUUGAAAAAUUAAAACCACCUUCUCUUUCAACACUAUUUGUGCAUGCGCUUUCGAGAGUAACUAAAACAAUUAAACUAUCUCUAAGAUAAAUAAGUCAGAUAAAUAGGUAAUCAACUAUGGUUAUCAAAUCUCUUCAUGGUAUACAAAUAUCUUCCUAGGCCAAUCCAAGAAAGAUUAACUGUGUCUGACAAGCACUUGGUAUAGCCUGUAAGCAUUAGCACAUAAAAAACCAGCAUUGCUAUUUAAAGAUAAGAAUUUCACAAUAAAAAAGGUUUUAUUUAAAUAAUGAUUCGAGGACAAAAAUGCUGGUUCUCAAAUAAGUGUUAUUCAGAUUAAUGGCAUUGCCAUUUACGGGUGGCCCUUCAAGGUAAAGCUCAUGGUAGUUCAACAAUUGCAGGAGGGAAAAAAGGUGAUCAACCAGGUAACAAAUUUAUUAUAAUAUUGGCCAAAAAAUUAUCAUGCUGGCAUAUUUCUGAUUGUAUGGAAGAAAGCUUUCAAAUUAGAAGUAUAAAAUAGAUUAAUUUUGGGCAACUCUAACCAUCAAUUUAUAUCCAACAACUACUAAAACAAACAUUAUAGGUAUAUGAGAAAACGCUUAAAAAUAUAAAUCGUGAAAGAAAUAAAAACUCACAUCAUUAGGUUGAAAAAUGUGUUUGAGGGAGCUAGCAAUCAUUCCCUGCAACGAGAUUUUAUAAGUGAAAACUUACUAGAAAAGAGAGGAAAAAGAUAUUCCAGUAGAAAGGAAGGAAGCCCACCAAUCCUUUGGGUUGAGAGUUGGCGGCAUUUGUCGUGGGUUGAGGUUGCGUGGGAUCCUCCACCGACUGAAAUGGAACCGGACUGAACACCAUUCCCUGUACAUAGCCAAAGAUUGAAAUUCCAGAUAUGACGAAUAUUCAAGCAGCAAAACUAAUAUAUUAACAACGUACAAGAAGCUUUCCGUAAGUGUCCUUGGCUCCAUCAUCCGACAGGGCCUCCGCAGCAACUGCAUAGUAAUACUGUAGCUGUUAACCAUUUAAAAAGGUACAAAAAAUUGGGAGCGAGGUUUCUGGUAUUUCUGUGUACUAUGUGGAUGAGAGAAGGAGAAAGAGGUACCUAAAUCUCGGUUGAUUUCACAGAUGGUAACCGACCCAGGCUGUGGAAACGAAGGCAUUGUCGCCGACUCUUUCCUCCUUUGUUGUUUCAAAGCGGAACGAAAGAAAGAGGAGUAAGAAGUUUUAAGUGUCAACCGGGCAAGUCUUGUACUAUAAUUUUUUCACCAAUUUAGUCUAUUUAUUUCAAAAUUGGUCAAUUUAGUCCUGUUCUCUACGAUUUUGUGCGAUCAAUUUCUCUACCUCUGUCCAAACUAUUAAAGGUGUUAAUAAAAUGAUGACAUGUCAAAUGAUGCUAACAUAGCACUGAUGUGUCAGACCAAAAAAGAUUUGAAAAAAGAAAUUUUACUAUAUCAAUUUCUUUGUGCCAUGUAAUAAAGACCACAUUAAACAAAAUUGUAGAGUAUAUGAACAAAAUUUGAGAUAUUCAUGUAUGAUUUUUGGUUUUUUAUAAUAACAUAAAGAUAAUUCUUUAUCCAUAAGUUUAUAGUUUAAUCACUAGUUAUGUUUAUGUAGAUAAAGCCCAAUGAAUUAUAUGCCUUGCAAAAAAUUGAAUAUAGAUGCAAUUAUGAGAUCCUUAUACAUCAAAGCAUUGUUCAUAAAGAGUUCCUGAUCAUUGUAUUAUCGAAACAAUGUAUCGAUAAUACUCAAAGAUUAGCACAUGCUAUGUUUCCUACUUAUAAAGUAAGCAUCCGAUCUUAUAAGUUAAAGUAUAAGAAAACUUGAAACUAGCAUUUGGGUGCUUGCCUUGAAGAGCAAGUUUACUUAGCAUCACCUGACAUGAGAAGUGCAUUUGGUAUCUCACUCAAAUGUCUAUGCAAUACUUUUUAUAUGUCAAUCUUAUAAGUACUCAUUGGCCUUAAGACACCAAGUUAUCUUAUAUGUGAAGUGCUAUACUUUGAUUUCAUCCCUACAAUCUUACUAAGAAUGCCCAAAUAGGAUGUUGUUGGGUAUAGCAUGAAGCGUGUGAAGAAAAAUGAGUAAUCAAGAUAACAAUCAUUACCCAAAGUGAUUUAAGGGACAUAUCUUGAUUGUUUUUUAUUAAUAUCAGCUUAUUGAAGUUCUUAGCUAAGACGAUUUAAAGAUUAUGAAAGAAGUUUCAUGAGUCUCUAUAAAGCUAAUGAUCUUACUACAAGAACGAACAUGGAGAUAGCUAAGAGUAGACAUUAUACUAUGCUCUUAUCAUCUCUAAAAUAUAUGAUAAGAGAAUGAAUUACACUAAUAGAUUGUAGAAUAAAAAGUUAGUUAAACCAUGUUGACUUUCUUAACAUUUAGGUGGUCAUAAUAGAUGCCAAUCUUGGUCUAUAGGAUUGAAUUAAUCAUUUGAGAAUUGAUAAUGAAUAUAAUUCACUGAAUCCUUACUUAUUAGGAUUAUAAUUCAAAUCCAUUGCCAACUUGUUAAGAUCUUAAUGGGUCAUACUCAUAAGAUCACUAUGAUAAUAUUGAAAUGGGGUUUUACAAUUAAGAAAGACUUAAUUGAAUAAAGGUUAUGAACUUUUAUUGGGCUUAAUUAAAAUGUUUAAUUAAGCUAUGGUGUCAAAUACUUAAAUACUUAAAGUUAUGUGGUGAUAACUAAAAGUUACUUAAGUAUUAACCCUAAUUAUAAAUAUAUUGUUUUAGACCAAAAUUAGUGUGCUUUUCCUCCUAGUCUUACACUAGCUGUUAGGUACGACAUUAUCAUAUUAAAAACGCAACGGAAUAGAAAAAAUAAAACGCCACACCUACCUCGGAUCACCUUGUUGUUUUUAAUGUGAAUAGAACAUUAUGAGAUAUGCAACCAGAAUUAAUUAUCCUGCCAAAUGAUAUCAUAAUCAAACGGGUAUCCUCUUAAUGCUUAAAACCCAUGUACACUCCAAUGUGUGUAAGACCCUAAGCCACUUAAUCGCUUGGCCUCUAAUGGUGCAUGCAUAGCCGCAAUGGAAUCUUUAGCGAGAUGGGAACUUCCAACCACACUUUUAUGCCAGCAAAGUAGACAACAAAUUGUCUUUCUCUUCCUCUCUUAGUCUCUAACCAAAUCACACAAGAAACUCUUUCAAAAGGCCCUCACAAGGAAUGGCUACACUAAAGAGAAUUGUACUAGUUUUUUGUAAGACUAAAACUAAUAAUCAGAAGUGGUUGAAAAGAUGACUUUAUACCUAGGUUAAUUAACUUAUUAAGUUUGUUAAUAAGUCCUGAAUAUUAUAACCUCUUAUAAUAUUGACCUUAGCACUUAAUAAAACCAUUUUAAUUAAGUCUUUAUUAGUUAAUUAAACUAGUUUAUGAUUUAAGUCCCAACUUAAGUCAUCACAUUCCCAAUUAAAUCUAUAAUGCAACUUUAUGUGUUUGACCCAUUAGGUUUACUAACAUGUUGGCAAUGAAAUUAAAUUAUUAUUCUUUAUUGAUUAAUUUAAAUGAAUCCAAUUCAUAUUAAAUUAAUCAAUUCAAUUCCAUAAAACCAAGAUUGUCAUCUAGCAAUGCAUUGGGCACCCAAUUGUUAGGAAAGUCAAAAGGUUUUUUGAUAACCUUUAAGUGUACAGUUUAUUAGUGUAAUGCAUUCCUUCAUCAUAUAUCUCGGAGAUAAUAAAAGCUUGGGCAGUGUCUUCUCUUAUUGAUCUCCAUAUUUGCUCAUAUAGUUAGAUCAUUGGCUUUAUAGAGACUUAUGUAACUCAUUUCAUAAUCUCCUAAUCACCUUGGCUAAGGAUUUGAUUAAGCUAAUAUCAACCAAGAACUAAUGAGAUAUUUCCCCUUGAAUCACUUAGGGUGAUGAUUGCUAUCUUGACCAUUCAUUUGCCUUCAUAUGCUUUAUACUAUACUCAAAAGCAUCUUGAUUUGGCAUCCUUGGUAAGACCCAUAGAGGUGAAAUCAAAGUAUAGUACUUCACAUGUAAGACAACCUAGUAUCUCAAGUCUAAGGAAUAGUUACACAACUCACACAUGAGAAGUAUUGCAUAGACACUAUAAUGAGAUACCAAAUGCACUUCUCAAGUCAAGUCAUGUUCAAUGAGCUUGCUCUCCUAUGGCAAGCACCCACAUGUUAGUUCUAAGUAUCUAUUACUUCAACCUAUGAGAGCGAUUACUUACUUCACAAGUAAAGAACAUAGCACAUGUUGAUCUUGGAGCAUUAUUGAUGCCCCGUCUCAAUUAUACAAUGAUCAAUAACUUUUAGAAACAAUGCUUUGAUGCAUGAAGAUAUUAUAAUUGUAUCAAAUACAAUUCCUUUGCAAGGCAUAUAUAGUUCCUUGGGCUUUAUCUACAUAAAUAUAAAUAGUAAUUAAAUUACAAACUUAUGGAUAAAGAACUACCUCAAUGUUGUUAUAAAUAACAAAAUGUUAUACAUGAAUAUCUCAAAUUGUGAUUCCCAUAAAAUCGCAAAUUACAUUAUAAGGCUCAUACCAACACUAGCUGCACAUUGUAAGAGCAAAGAGAAAAGUUCUCUUCUCCUAAGUUCAGCCAAAAGAAGGAAAUGGAAAAAACUUGAGUUUUUGAAAACACCUUUGCUAGCACAAGGUCUAGUCACAAAUAGCCCCAACCUCUUGAAAAGGUUCUAAUUCAUAGUAAUCAUGUGGAUUAUGUUGGACGUUGAACGUUUAGACGACAUUAGUUUGUGACUAUUGGAACUUAGUGUGCGUUCGGUUGGAAAAGAGUUUUUACUGCCCUCUAUGAAUUCAUACAUCUUAAGGGCUAAGGUAAAAGUAUUUCCUUUUAUGUUUUUGUCUAUUGGCUGGCCAUGGUGCUCCAUGGUGAUGCUUGGUUUGGGUUCUUAGGUUUUAUUUUUCGUUGCGUUUGUUUUUCAUUUUUCUUGAAAUUGCAUGAUCUUGAGGCAUCCCAACACUAGAUAACUCCAAUCUUGAGAUAAUUCAAAAUAUGGUGAAUCUAAUUUCCAUCCUUUCAGUUCAAGACUCCAAUCGGGCCUUGGUGUGCAUUUGGAUGGAAAAGAAUCUUUUCUGCGCUCUAUGGAUUCGUACAUCCUAAGGGUGAAGAUAAAACUAUAUCUCUUUUUAUGCUUUUGUUUGCUGGUCGCCCAUGGUGCAGUGAUGUUUGGUUUGGGUUCUCGAGUUUUAUUUUUGCUGAGUUUGUUUUUCAUUUUUCUGAAAUUGCACAAUCCCGAGGCAUCCCAACACUUGAUAACUCCAAUUUAACGAUAAUUCAAGAUAUGUUGAAUCUAAUUUCCACCCUUUUAGAGACUUUUUUCAAAAUUGGAUGCCCCGCAUCUAUAAGGCUCGAAUUCUUUUCAAAUUUAAAAUAGUUUACCACCAUCAAGGACCUUACUUAAUAAAAAGCUUAGUCCAAUUCCAUCUCAAUUGCUAGCUUGUACACAUUUGGCCACCUAUAAUUCCACCUCAGCUUUGUUGCUAUUAAUAAUAAUGUAAAACUAAAAUAAGUAAUUCAAUAUAAACUUUAAUUUUUUUCCUCAUCAAAUAAAUCAAUUUAAUGAAAAUCUUUCAAUAGAAUUAGAAUUUUUUUUAUCAAUUGUAUAAAUUUUAUUAAUAUUUAUUAUAAAAAUAUUUAAAAUAGCAAUUUAAAAGUAUAGUAAAUAAAAUGUUCAUUUUUGUCAAAUCAAAAGUUUUAUUAAUAUGUAUAGAUAGUUUGUACAUUUUUAAUACAAAUGGAAAGAUAAUGAUUUCUAACUACUAAAGAAGAACCUUUAAUGUGUAAAAAUACAUUUUUGGUAUAAAUGUAAUGCUAAACAAAAAAUUGUAGAAAUAUCAAAUUUAGUCCCUAUACAAUAGAGCUUUAUUCAAUUUAGUUCUUGUAUUAUAGAAUUUUGUUCAAUUUAGUUCUUAUAUUAUAGAAUUUUGUUCAAUUUAAUUUCUGUACUCUAUAAUUUUAUUUAAUUUUGUCCUUAUGACGUGACACAAAGAAAUUGAUGUGAAAACAAAACGGUUAAAGUACCCAAAAAGUCCAUGUACUAAUGCAUUUUCGUCAAUUUAGUCCAUGUAUUCAAAAUUUUGUCAAUUUAGUAUCUUGAUUUUGGGAAUUAUAACAAUUUAUUCCCUCACUUUAACACCGUUCAAUUUUACCAGCAAAGGUAAUGAUGUUAGUGCUGAUGUGAUAGAUUUUGCUGACGUUUCCAUGAGGUGAGAUAAAGAUUCUAAUUGGGCACUACCACAUCACUCUAACACGUUGAUGUGGCAAUGCCACGUCACUUUGGCAUUUGACGUGGUAGUGUCACGUGACAUUGACAUGUUGCCAUGGCAAAUCAAGAAAAAAUUUUCCAAAAAAAAAAAAUCUAGGUCACGUCAUAGGGACUAAUUAAACAAAAAUUUAUAGUACAUGGAUUAAAUUGAAUAAAAUUGAGGUGUUUAGGGACAAAUUUGAAAAACACAAUUCUUUGAGUAAAUGAUACAUAUACUUAUUAAUAAGCCAAAUGUCUAAGUGUAAAAGAUUUAUGGUGUUAAGAAAUAAAUAUGAAUGUUUUCUUUGUUUAUUAUUUGAUUCCAUAACAGGCACAUUAAUUUAUCUUCUUUACAAAAUUUAGUUUGAAUUCAUUUUCUAUAAAUAAAUUCAAUAUUUUAUAGAGUUAUUUUUAUAAAUAUCAUGAUAAAAUCAUUAUCACUUAAAUUUUCCCUUUUUUAUUAAUCUUGAUAUUAUUUUUAAUGAAAUUAAUUCAUAAUCCAUUUAUAAAAAGAAACAAAAAGAUUUAAUUGUCUUUUUUAAUAUAUGUGUGAAAACCAAAGUAAGCCCAUUAAAUGCUUAAUGACAAAAUAAUUUGCCAAGAAAUCAUCUCAUUUAUGAUGCUUACAUUUGCAUUUGUUGCAAACACUUAUAUGUUAAUGUUUUUAGAACUGUGAUUAGAUGGUCCAAUAUUCCAAUUUGCAAUCCAUUUUAAUUUUGUUAAAUUUAGUCCAUGUAUUAUACAUUUUUGUUCAAUUUAAUCUUUAUGAUGGGAUCCAAAUUCUUUGUUUUAAAUUUUUUUUUCUUGAUCUAUCGCGUCAGCAUUGCCAUGUGGCAUUGUAAACAUGUUAGAGUGACAUGGUACUGCCAUGUUAGCAUGUCAGAAUGACAUGGUAGUCCCACGUCAAAAUCUUUAUUUCAUUUCAUGUGUUGGUCCCAAUAAUAUGUGCUAGAAUGGGGGUGAAUAGCAUAAUUUGGCUCUUUCAAAAAUUGUCUCUAAGUAUAGACAAAUGUAAGAUAAAUGAAAGAAAGAAAAUAAAACAAAAAUAGAGUAAACAAGACAGCAGAAUUUAGAGUGGUUCGAUCCAAGACCUACAUCCACUACCUUGAUUAUCCAACCAAGGAUUUUUCAAAUAAUUCACUAAGAACUGGUGAAAUUCACAAGCUUUCACCAAGCUUUACAAUGGCUUUUAUCAGGCUCAGCCAAAACCUUUUACACUAGUUUUUCCCGGGCAUAACUAUAACCCAACUCCUAACUUUUAAGGCUAAGUUAGAACCUUAACACUUUCAAGCAAACCUAGCUUGAAACAAUCACUUAGAGUGACUCUCUCACUCUAAGAAUACAAAAAAAGAAGUAAAAGAAAGUACCUAUGAUCACAAGUUGAUCUAAAUGGUACAAGGUUGAGUGCAGAAUAUAAAGAAAAAAGAUGGGCGUUUAAGUGUAGUGAGGUGAAGAGAAAAUUUUCUGAUUUAUCAGCUCUUAAUGACUCAAAUCUCUUCCAAAACUUCCAAGAACUCGUGUCUAAUUGUUGGAAGACUUUUUUAUACUUGGAGAAACAUCUCUGAUGGUAGUUUGAUAGUUUUCUAGCCGUUGGAGACAGUUAGGAGUCGGUUCUAGCCGUUACUCUAUCUUUUAGUGCAAAUUUCAAACUUGCAAGCAAAAUGCUUUUAGUCGACUAACCGAUAUCUUAGUCGACUAAGUCGUCUCUGUUUUCUGCUUCCUGUCUUUGGCAAUUCUAGUAGUGGGCACUUAGUUGACUAACCCAUUUCUUGGUCAACUAAGUUGGUUCUAUCUUGAAGCCUAGAUGUUGGCAGUAGUUUCUUAGUCGACUAACUCACAUCUUGGUCAACUAAGUUGAUUCUGUUUCUCAAUAUUUUUCAGCCCGUCAUUUCUCCAAUUUAAAUUUUGGUCAACCAACAUUCUUCUUUAUUUAACCAAAGACCUUUUUUUUGUUGAUCAAUCUUUUUUCUUCAUUUUCAUGAUUUUUGAUAUACGCAUUUGAAAGGUUGAUUUAUUAUUUCCAUAUAACUUUUUGUGCUGCACACUUAGGUAGAAAUGUUAGAUACAAAUGAAAUGGGAAUGUUUUAUUAUCAUAAAAUACUAAUGGAGCCAACAAUCUCUCCAUUUUUUAUGAUGACAAAACAUUCCUUGGUUAAUAGCACAGUGUCCUUUAUUCUUUAAUUUCAGCAGAAAGUGAGGAUUGCUCCCCCUAAGUGUGUGCUCUCCCUUAAUGUGUGCAUAUUUAGCUUAUUCAUUUCAGUAGAUUUUAUUCAAGUCAUAUAGAAAAUGAUACCGUUCAUUCAGAGUAUAUAUAUAUACAGAUCUUUAAGAUAGUUUGCAGCAGAUGAAUGUUGAUAGUUUCUCAUCAAAAUUUCAACAGUGUCUGUCAUUAACAUAUUAUUACCAGAUUUUGUCAUACCAUUCAACAAUCAACAGAUACACUAUACUUAGCAUCCAUAUCCAUUCACAAACUUAAUUGAUAGUAAAGAUCAGUCAUCAGUAUGCAAAUCUCAACAUCAGUGUAGUGACAGACUUUCAUUAACAAUAGUUAAAAUGUCAUAAAUAGCAGAAUAUUAGCAAGGAUUCAAUUAUCAGCGGCAAUAUACUAUAAACAUAUCAGCCAAGUACCAUAAACAUAUAAAAAUAUAAACAACAAGAUUAGAGUUAAGUGUUCAAGUUACCAUCAUGGCACAAACAACAGAAAAAUAACAAAAAAGUUUAUAUUCCCAAAUUGCCCUGGUUCAUUUAUGCUUCCUUCAUUUCUUAAGUUCCUGGUUCCUCCACCCUAACAUUUUUUUUAAUUAAUUUCUUGGUUCCUUCUCACCCUAAGGUUUUGCCAUACUCCCUUUUUUUGUCAGCAUUAAAUCGAGGGGUUUCUAGUCAUCUGAGGUAUAAAAAGGUGUGGAUUCAAUUCUAUAAAAAGGAUUCAGAGGAAAAAGAGAAGGUUCUCGUAGAGGUGAUGAUUUUUUAAGGGAAGGUUCUGGUAAGGAUUUGUUAGAGACAUUGACUGGAUUUUGAGAAGAAGAUACCAGAGCUGGCUUGGAUUUUGCUGUAGUGGCUUCCUUCUCUUGUGAUGCUACUGUGACUUUUUGCUUCUCUUUCCCAAAUUUUACUUUUACUUUAGAAGCUGGUAUAGGUGCAUCCUGUUGAGCUUCUGUCUUUGUAGCUACUUUUUUAACCUGUUUCUCAGCUUGCUCUUCCCGGACCAUUUGUUGGAAGACAUCCAUAAUGGAUACUUCUUAUGAAUUUGGAGUAGAGGGCUACUGUUUCUCAGAUCCUGAACCAAUUACUUCUAUUCCCUGGUCUGACUUGUCCUUGCUUUAGUGUUCAGAUGAUGGAGCCUUAGUUGGUUUAUCAACAUCAUGAUGUGGGUCCUCUAUCUGAAGGACAGGACUGGCAGUUCUAUAAGUUGAGCCUUCAGUUUGAACACCAUGACUUACUUCAUGAGAAACAGAUCCUUCUGCUUGCACAUCUGAAUCCUUAACAGCUUGCUGUGUUGGUGCAACACUUGGUGUUUUAGAGGAAUCUACAACAACAGGUUCUGAUGACAUUUUCUCUUUUCUUUUCAAUUCUUUUUCUAGUUCAGCAAUUUUCUCUUCAAUUUCCUACAGUCUAGCUCCUUGAUCAGUGAGCUUUCCAUCUAUCCUCAUCAAGAGAUUGAAGACCAUUUCAUUGGAGAAUUAUGAGGAUGUUGCCUCUGACUGAGUUGGGAGUGAAGGUUCUCCUCUAGGAGUUACUUUGGGAGUUUCAACAUAAUUUUCUCCUUCAAGUUUGUAUCCCAUCUUAGAUAAACUCUCCAGGUAGAUAGAUUGAUCUUUGCUCUUUAUGUGAUUCAUUGCAUAUCUUGAACUCCAAAUCCCUUUUUUUUGGACCAGUGCAGUAAUGAUAUUCCCAUAUGGUAGAUUAAUCUUUUCCAAUCUACAGGCUUCUUUCAUUCUCUCAAUCAUAAAUCUUCCUAGGUUCAGUGGACUCCCAUUGAAGACAUGUUCCAUUAGCCAAAGGUCCUGCAGACUAAUAUAACUAAAGCUUCCCCCUGUUCCAUGAACAUUAGCAGCAAUGAAAUAAUAUUCAAAUUUGUGGACUAGUGAUCAAACCAACAUUUCUUUUACAAGAAUAUUUCUCUUUCUUUCCACUAAUCACUUCCCACAAGGAUAAAGGAUCUUAGUUUUCUUGGAACUCAAACUCAUUCUCUUCACACUCAAUGUUAAGUAAACUGCCCAAAUUAGUAGUAGUCUUAGUGAAUUCUUUCCCAUUUAAAAAUACAUUCAGACCAUCCUCAAGAUAAUCAUCCGGCUCCUCUAAUUCAUCCUUCUUAACUACUAUACUAGAAUAAAAUUCUUUAACCAAACUUGCACUAUAAGCUCGAUUCUUAAAAGUACUGAAAUAUUUUAGUUUCAUCUCCUUAAAAUAGUAUGAUAAAACUGCUUUAAAUUCAGGCACUUCAUUAAAAUUGUUCCAGUCAAUAAAUUUCCCAUAAGUAAUGGGUGCAUUUUUAAUUUUCUGGAACCUAUCCUCAUGAAUUUUGUUUCUAAAUUUGGAGGAUAGAGAUUUACCUUGCUUUGAUGUUUUUCCUUUUUUUUUUCUUCUUCUCUGUUUUUUAUUCUUUUUCCUUUUGCGACUUUCCAGAUUUUCCAUUCUUUGAUGUAAACUCGAUUUUCUGUUUCUUCUUCAGCAUUUCUGCUUCUGACCCUUUUACCAGUGAUCUUUUUCCUUUCUUCUUUUUAGUAAUUUCUCUACUCUAAGAAGUUUUUUCCAUUUUGAUUCGGAAAAUUUUUGACUGGGAUUCGAGGGUUUUGGUUUUAGCUAAGACAGUUUCAGAGGUGAGAAUGUAGAAAGACUGAGUUUCAGUUUUAGGGGAGAGAAAAUGUAAAGAAAGAAAAAAAAGUUGUCAGCAGUUUUAAUUUCACUUGGAAAACUGUUCGCCUCCCCCUUAAAGAUUGCCUCACUUUAUUUGCUUAAAAAUUUUAAAAUUCUCUCUAAAUUUGGUUAUUCUCCUAGGCGGUUUUUCUUCUUUCUUUAUUGCCCGGUACACAUUAUUUUAUUGUUUCUUCAUUUAUUUGGCUUAGUCUUAUUAUUUAAGACUAAUAGAGCACUUUUAGUUGACUAAGAUUCACCUUAGUCGACUAAAUGCAUUCUGUUUUAUGUGCAUAAGCCAAAAAUUUUCUCACAACUCUUACAGACUAAUCAUUCCUAAAUUCCUUUUAAUUUCAUAGAAGCUAUCUUCAUUUUGAGGUUUGGUAAAAAUAUCUGCUAAUUGAUGCAAACUAUUCACAAAUUCAAUCUUGAUAUCACUUUUCACUAUAUGGUCUCUAACAAAAUGGUGCCUAAUCUCAAUGUGCUUGGUCCUAGAAUGCUGCACAGGAUUUUUGGAUAUGUUGAUUGCACUUGUGUUUUCACAAAAGAUUGGUACAUUAUGAACUUUAAUUCCAAAAUCUCUCAGUUGUUGUUUGAUCCACAAAAUCUGAGCACAACAACUACCUAGAGAAAUAUACUUUGCUUCAACUGUUAAAAGUGCCACAGAGUUUUGUUUCUUACUUGACCAGGAUACUAGCAUACUUCCUAGAAAUUGGCAUGUUCCACUGGUACUUUUUCUAUCAGUUUUGCUUCCUGCAAAGUCUGCAUUCGAAUAGCCUACAAGAUCAAAUGAUGAGUCUCUAGAAUACCAUAAUCCUAAGGUUUGAGUUUCUAAGAGGUAUCUAAAAAUUCUCUUAACAGUUGUUAAGUGUGAUUCUUUAGGCUGUGACUAAAAUCUAGCAUACAAACAUACACUAAACUGAAUAUCUGAUCUGCUUACUGUUAAGUAGAGUAGUGAACCGAUCAUACCUCUAUAGAGCUUUUGAUCUACAUUCUUUCCUUUUCAUCUUGAUCAAGUCUAGUGGAUAGACUCAUUGGUGUGGAGAUUGGUUUCAGUUUCAACAUAUUGAACUUUUUGAGCAUAUCUUGAGUGUAUCUUUCUUGGUUGAUAAAGAUUCCUUUCUCACAUUGUUUGAUUUAUAGGCCAAGAAAGUACUUCAACUCUCCCAUCAUGCUCAUCUCAAAUUCACCCUGCAUUUCUUUAGCAAAGUUCUUGCAUAAAGCCUCAUUAGUUGCACCAAAUACAAUGUCAUCCACAUAUAUUUGAACAACAAUUAAAUCAUUCAUGUAUCUUUUAAUAAACAAAGUAGUAUCAAUGCUACCUCUAACAUAAACUUUUUUAACCAUAAAUUUUGAAAGCCUCUCAUACCAAGCUCUAGGAGCUUGUUUCAAUCCAUACAAGGCUUUAUAGAGUUUGUAAACAUGGUUUGGUUUUUCAAAAUCUUCAAAACCUGGUGGCUGUUCAACAUACACUUACUCUUGAAUGAAUCCAUUUAGAAAUGCACUCUUUACAUUCAUUUGGUACAACUUAAAAUUCAUGAAACAUGCAAAAGCUAGCAACAACCUUAUGGUUUCAAUCCUAGCAAUGGAUGCAAAGGUUUCAUCAUAGUCAAUUCCUUCUUCUUGGUUGUAACCUUGUGCUACUAACCUAACUUUAUUUCUAACUACAUUUCCUUGCUCAUCUACCUUAUUUCUAAACACCCAUUUAGUGCCAACAAUAAGGUGAUUUGAAGGUCUAGGUACUAGUGACCAUACACGAUUUCUUUUGAAUUAGUCAAGUUCCUUUUGCAUGGCCAUUAUCCAACUUUCCUCUUUUUCAGCUUCUUCAAAGUUUUUAGGCUCAAUUUGAGAUAUGAAAGCUGAAAAUUCACAACUCUCUCUAGUUGCUAUUCUAGUCUUGACACCUUGAGAGAUGUCACUUAUGAUUUGUUCUUGUGGAUGGUCUCUUGCAAAUCUUCAACUUCUUGGAAGAUCACUAUGCUGAUUUUUUGUUCUUUGCAAAUCUUCUAGAGGUUAAGUUUCAUCUUCUCUUCUAUAUGAUCUUUUUUCAUUAUUCUUAUUGUUCUCUAAGCUCAUUUCUUCCAUUUAUUUUUCUAGGAUUUCUACAUCAUCAUCAUCAACAUGAAUUUCCUUUUGUAAAGCAUUUGACUCAUCAAAAACUAUAUGGAUUGAUUUUUCAACGGUUAAAGUCCUUUUGUUAAAAAUCCUAUAAGCCUUUGAGUUUAAUGCAUAUCCUAAAAAUAUUACCUCAUCACUUUUUGCAUCAAAUUUUCCUAAGGGCUGUUUUCCAUUGUUCAAUACAAAACAUUUACAACCAAAACCCCUAAAGUGAGAAAUAUUUGGUUUCCUACCCUUGUAAAGUUCAUAUGGUGUCUUAGAUAUCAUGGCUCUUAUUGAGACUCUAUUAAGUAUAUCAACUGCUGUGUUCACUACCUCAGCCCAAAAAUAUUUUGGUAGGUUAUUCUCACAUAGCAUAGUCCUAGCCAUUUCCUUUAAGGUUCGGUUUUUCCUCUCUACAACUCCAUUUUAUUGGGGUGUUCUAGGUGCAGAGAAAUUGUGAUCCAACCCCUUUCAUUGCAAAAUUUCUCAAAUUCAUCACUUUCAAAUUCUCCUCCAUGAUCACUCCUUAUACUAACUAUAGCUAGUUCUUUUUCAUUCUUUACCCUCAUACAAUGACUUAUAAAUGCUGAUAGAGCAUCAUUCUUAUGAGCAAAAAAAAAACCCAAAUGUACCUAGAAUAGUCAUCAAUUAUUACAAAGCCAUAAGAUUUUCCUCCUAAACUAGUUAUGCUUAUUGGACCAAAUAGAUCAAUGUGUAACAAUUCAAGAGGUUUAGAUGUUGAUACAACUUUCUUAGCUUUAAAGGAUGUUCUAACUUGUUUUCCUAGUUGGCAAGCAUCACAUAUUUUCUCAUUUUCAAAUUUUAAAUCCGGUAGCCCAACAACUAAGUUCUUUCUAAUCAAUUUUGACAUAGUAUGCAAGCUUACAUGUCCUAAUCUUCUAUACCAUAACGAGCUGUUAUUUUCAGCAUUUACAAUAAGACAUAUUUCACUAUUUAUUUCAAGAUCCUCAAGAAAUACAACAUGCAUAUUCUUCAAUCUCUUUCCUAUAAAUGAGACUUUAUUUGUACCUAUGUCUAUUACUUCACACUUGUUUGAAUCAAAACAUACUUUAAAUCCUUUGUCACAUAAUUGACUAAUGCUCAAUAAAUUAUGCUUCAAACCCUUAACUAACAACACAUGACUAAUUUGAGUUUGGGAGUUCUUACCAACCGUACCUAUCCCAUGAAUUCUACCUUUGAAUCAUCACCAAAGGAUACGGUACCUCCCUUUCUUUUGUCUAGCUGAGCAAAUAACAUUUCAUCUCUUGUCGUGUUGUGAGCAGCCACUGUUCACGUACCAAGGCUGCUUCUUCUUGAGUUGAGCUCUUGAACAUGUCUCCUUUAAGUGCAGCUCAACCUACAAAACAAAAUUUCAGUUUUUCUUUAUAGGUACCCAUACUUUGAUGAGUCCUUGAGUGUUAGUUGCAAUAUAGGAUCCUUUAGGGACCCAAAUUUUUCUAACUUUUUGUAGGUUACUUCUUUUAAAGUAGUCAUAUGAUAUAUGUCCGUGUUUUCCACAACUAUAACAUUUAGGUGCAGCAUUAUGGGGAUUUUUCUUAAAAUAUGUGUUCCUACUUAAUGUUUUUCCUUUUGAACAUUUAAGAGUUGAGUUUUCAUCAAGUGUUUUUUGCAAAGCUUUUGAUUUAUUUUCCAGCUCUAGUUUUGAAACAUCAAAAUCUGUUUUUGAGUGUUCUAAUUCAAUUUGUAGAAAAUUUCUUUGCUCAAAAAUAGAGUUGAACUAUUGUCUCAUUUUAUCCAAAUCAUUUUCAAGAGAUGUAGCCUUUUUCUUUAAUGUUUUGUAUGUUGGAAAAAGUUUUUCAAAUUCAUCAUAAAGACUAUCAUACUCAUCUUGUAAAUCAUCAAUGAAAAUAUCACAGGGGGAUGAGGAUACCUCAGUUUCAUCAUCUUGUGCCAUCAAACGAAGGUUUGCUUUUUCCUCAGAUUUUUUAUUUUCAGUUUCAGAGCUUAAUGUGUCACUGUCCGACCAUGCAGUAGCCACCAUUGCUUUCUUGGACUUCUUAUUUUUCUUUGGAGUCUCAUCUUUCAGCAAUGGUCAUUCAGACUUGAAAUGACCAGGUUUCUUGCACUCGUAGCAGAUUAGCUCCUCCUUUUUGUUGGAGUCAUUUUUGUUUCUGAUUUUCCAUGAAGCACCUUGAUCUUUUCUAAACCCUCUUCUAGCUAGUCUCUGGUUUCUUCUACCCAUAAGCUUUUUGAAUUUUCUUGCAACCAGAGCUAACUCUUCAUCAUCAUCACAUGACAAUUCUUCCAGCUCUUCUUCAAGGAUGCUGGCUUUAAGUGCAAUGCUCUUUUUCUUUUCCUUUGCUUCUCUCCUAUCUUCUUCUUCUUCCUCUUUAAGCUCCAGCUCAUGAGUAAGGGAAGAGCCAUAAAUCUCAUAUAAGGUAAUAACAUUUAGGUCCUUGACCUCCCUGAUUGUAGUCACUUUAGGUUUUCAAUUUUUUGGUAAGCUUCUAAGAAGCCUUUUAACUAUUUCAUGCUCGGGUAUUAGUUUGCCUAGUUGACUCAAUUUAUUUGUAAUGUUUAUAAAUGUAUCUAACAUGCUGGUGAUGUCUUCACCAGGCUCCAUUUUGAACAUUUCAUAGUUGUGUGUCAAGAGAGUUAUUUUGGACUCAUUGACUUGAGAAGUCCCUUCAUGGAUUAUUCUAAGUUUAUCCCACACUUGCUUAGUUAUUGUACAGCUUGAGACUUUGUUAAAUUCAGUGGGAGUCAAGGCACAAUGCAAUGUAUUGAUGGCCUUAAAAUUUGUUUGAACUUUCUUUGUUUCAACCUCGGUCCAUUCAGACCUUGGCUUAGGCAUCAUCUCAUUGGUAACUACAUUUAAGGUUGAGGGAAUAAAGGGUCCAUCAGUUAUGACAUCCCACAUUUCAUAAUCUAUAGCUUUAAUGUAAAUUGACAUCCUAGCACUCCAAUAAGGAUAGUUAGAGCCAUCAAACAGAGGUGGUCUGUUUGUUAAUUGUUCCUCAGCAACUAUGGAUUUUUGGAAAGCCAUUUGGAUCCUCCCAAAGGGUGUUAGACCUUAAGAACAAGGAACUAACUCUGAUACUACUUGUUGGUCCCAAUAAUAUGUGCUAGAAGGGGGGUGAAUAGCACAAUUUGACUCUUUCAAAAAUUGUCUCUAAGUAUAAACAAAUGUAAGAUAAAUGAAAGAAAGAAAAUAAAACAAAAACAGAGUAAACAAGACAACAAAAUUUAGAGUGGUUCAGUCCAAGACCUACAUCCACUACCUUGAUUAUCCAAUCAAAGAUUUUUCAAACAAUCCACUAAGAACCGGUGAAAUUCACAAGCUUUCACUAAGCUUUACAAUGGCUUUUACCAAGCUUAGCCAAAACCUUUUACACUAGUUUUUCCCAGGCUCAACUAUAACCCAACUCCUAACUUUUAAGGCUAAGUUAGAACUUUAACACUUUCAAGAAAACCUAGCUUUAAACAAUCACUUAGAGUGACUCCUUCACUGUAAGAAUACAAGAAGAGAAGUAAAAGAAAGUACCUAUGAUCACAAGUUGAUCUAAAUGGUACAAGGUUGAGUGCAGAAUACAAAGACAAAGGAUGGGCGUUUAAAUGCAGUGAGGUGAAGAGAAAAUUUUCUAGUUUAUCAGCUGUAAAUGACUCAAAUCUCUUUCAAAACUUCCAAGAACUCGUUUUUAACUGUUGGAAGACCCUUUUAUACUUGGAGAAACAUCUUUGAUGGCAGUUUGACAGUUUUCUAGCCGUUAGAGACAGUUGGGAGUCGGUUCUAGUCGUUACUCUAUCUUUUAGUGCAAAUUUCAAACUUGCAAGCAGAAUGCUCUUAGUCGACUAACCGAUAUCUUAGUCGACUACGUCGUCUCUGUUUUCUGCUUCUUAUCUCUGGCAGUUCUGGCAGUGUGCACUUAGUCGACUAACCCAUUUCUUGGUCGACUAAGUUGGUUCUGUCUUGAAGCCCAGAUUUUGGCAAUAGCUUCUUAGUCGACUAACUCAUAUCUUGGUCGACUAAGUUGGUUUUGUUUCUCAAUAUUCUUCAGCCCGUCAUUUCUCCAAUUUAAAUUUUAGUCAACCAACAUUCUUCAUUAUUUAACCAAAGACCUUUCUUUUUGUUGAUCAAUCGUUUUUCUUCAUUUUCAUGAUUUUUGAUAUACGCAUUUGAAAGGUUGAUUUAUUAUUUCCAUAUAACUUUUUGUCCUGCACACUUAGGUAGAAAUGUUAGAUACAAAUGAAAUGGGAAUGUUUUAUUAUCAUAAAAAACUAAUGGAGCCAACAUCAUGGACACGUAAACAAACAUCUGCCACAUAAACCUUAACGUCAUCACCUGUAAUGGCAAAAUUGGAUGGUAUUAGAGGGAGAGAUUAAAUUGUUUCAAUUCAUAAAAUUGAUGGAUUAAAUUGACCAAAUUUCGAGAACAGAGACUAAAUUGGCAAAAGCAUAUGGAUAAAAAGACUAUUUAGAUACUUCGAUUGAAAAAUUAAGGAAAAUUUUUAUAUUUUAAAAAAAAUUGGUCUAACAUGUCAACGAAACAUCAACAUCAUCAACUAUUAAUUUGGACAAAAUUAGGUAAAUGGACAUGAUUGUACAAAAUAUCAGAGUAUAAGGACUAAAAUGACAAAAGCGCUAUAGUUUAAGGACUUAUAGGAUACUUUGACCAUUGAUUACAAUCUAUUAAAUUAAUAAAUCAUUUUUUUAAAAAAAAUUUGCAACUGAUUGGAUUUGAACCCUUAACCUCUUCCAUUAUCAUUAACAUCUAAACCAUUAGUACAUUUUUUGCUAAACUUGGCAAUUUGUUUUUUCAUAGCUUAACCAUGUCAUGUAAACAUAAGGUAUUAACAGUUAUAUGAGUAAACAUAAACACAAUACGAUUAACUAAUAGUGUUAGGAUUAUUAGCUUUAAAAUUAAGGUAAAAUACCUUUACACCCUUAAGUUUUAAUCGAAAUUUCAAGCGAGUCCAUUAGUUUUCGAAAGAGAAACUUCACUCUAAAAAUGUAAACAUUGUUAACAGAGAUGAUGAAAAGACUAAAAUACCUUUUUUCUUUAUUAAUUUUAAAAAAUAUUAUUAUAUUUUUCAAUUUAAUAAAAAAAAGAGAGCACCGAUUGGUGCUCCAGUACUCUUCUUUUUUAAUUAAUAAAAAAUAAUAAUAAAUUAAUAAAAAUUAUAUAAUAGUAAUAUUCAAAAUUAAUAAAUGGUAAAAUUGUCAUUUUAAUAUUGUCACGUUAUCAAACUAACGGAAACACUAACAGUUGACAAACGGCUGGAUUUAUGCGUUUAACGAAAGAUAUUUUUUUAAGGUAGAGUAUCUAUUUUGAAAACUAAUGGACUUGCUUGGAAUUUCAAUUAAAACUUAAGGGGCUAGUGGUAUUUUACCCUUAAAAUUUUUAUAGUUUUGAUUAUAUAAAAUGAUAAAAUUUGUUUGAACAUUAUUUGAGUGAUCCUUGACAAGUUUUUGAAAUCAUUUAACUCUCAUACAUUUGUUUUUACAUAAUUACAAACUUGAUUUUUAAAGUUAUUGAACUAUAUCUGUAAGCUUGUAUGACUUAGUUGUAUAAGUGCUUAUGAUUCCCAUUUAUUAAAGUCUAACUUAAAAAUUAAAAGAAAUCUAGAUGCACUCAUUAAAGGAGAGUUUUGAAUAUCUUUUUUAAUGAUGACAAAAAGAGGACAAAAUAGAUGAGAAGUAGCAUAAGGUAAAUAAAGAGUAGCAUAAGAUUUGAUAUGAUUAUCUUGUUUAUCUUUUAUUCUGCAUUCUUUAUGUUGUUAUAUGGUUGUUUUUGAACAAUUGCUGGAUUAGUUAUGAUAUAUCUAUGAUUGAUGACUACUCUUAUGUUUAUGUUUAUUGUUGAAUGAUUAUUCAUAAAUCUUUGCAUGUAUGUGGUUAAUGGGAUAACAAAUAUUUAUAUUUUGAUUAAGAAAUAUUGAAAUUUUUGUAAGCACAUAUUAAGGGGUAGUAAUCCCUUACUUGCACAUAGAUAUAAAAUAUAAACAUAGACAUUACACUUUUAAUUUAGAAAUGUUUUGUCAUCAUAAAAAAUAAGAGAGAGAAUGUUAACUGCAUGUGUUUUUUAUGAUAACAAAAUAUUCUCAUUCAUUUAUGUGUAAUUAUAUUAUUUAAGUGUGUAGGAGAAAUUUAAAUUCUUUAACUCAUUUGUCGUUUGAAAGCAAGUUAAGAUGCCUGUUCAAUUGCAAAAUGAAUUAAUUGAUUAAACAAGCAAAGAAGAAAGAACUUUAAUGAAGACAGAUUAGUCUUAACUAAUUAACAUAGAUCCUUAAUCAGUUAAAGCAAUUCUAAGCAUUGCACUAAGGACAGCAGAAAGGACUUAACUAGUAAACACAAAGUUUAAUCAGUUAAGAGGGUAUUUGACACAAAACAGAAAGUUAUUAAUCAAUUAACCAAAAGGGUUAAUCGGUUAAGGGUUAAACUUAAAGUACCUAAAAAGCACUAAAAUUCAAAUUCAAAAUGAAGUUGAUCAUUGAAGGGCGCCAAAUGAAGGAAUUCAAAUUUGAAGAUAUUUUAAUCAGUUAACGUUUAUUUCAACUGGUUAAAGUUGAAAGAAGAGAAGCCUCAAUCAGUUAAAGGGGGGACUAACCAAUUAAAGGAAGAUCACUAGUUGAAGAAGUUUAAAAAUAGAAUGCUUUUGAUCGGUUAAGGCCACUUUUAAUCAGUUAACACAGUAAAGCAGACUGUUAGACAGAAAAGUUUCAACUAGUUAACGCUCAUCUUUAAUCGAUUAAAGAGUCACUAUUAACAAUUUGAAAAUAGCCGUUAGAAGAUAAAAUAACAACUAUUUCUGCUCCAAAAUUGUUUCUAAUGGCUUGAAAUUGUCCUCCAAGUAUAAAUAAAGGUUCAAAUGGUCAAAAAUGGUAAAGAGAAGAUAUCGAAACUGAUUUUGAGCUUAAAAGACCAAAAAUCUUCUUUUAAUACUUGUAUUUCACUUCAAUCCUUUGAAAAAGUGUUUAAACUUAACUUUGUACGUCUUUGAUAAACUAGGUGAUCAAUUGUACUUCAUCUUUCUCUAUUUCUUGUUUACUUAGAGUAUGAGAGACACUUUAAGGGGUAGACUAAGCUUAAGAAAGCUUGGGAAAGCUUGUAAGGGCUUUGAGCUUCGGUUAGAAGCUCAUCUUGUAAAAGUUUGGUAGAAGCUGUCAAUUCCACUAGUUUAAUCAAGUUGGGUUGAAAAUCUUUGAUUGGUGAAGAUUAAGAUAGUGGAUAUAGGUCAAAAGGACUGAACACUAUAAAUAUUUGUAUUUUGUUCACUUCUCUUUACCUUAUCUUUACUUGGUGAUUUUCUACCUUUAUAAAUUUUAAACUCUCUUUUUCAAAAUCCUUUAAAAGUUUUUCAACCUUAAGAACUUUCUUUAAAUGUUUUAGAAAUGUUAUUCACCCCCCUCUAACACUCUAUUGGGACCAACAAGGAUCUGAAACACAUAAAUGAAUAUGUUUAAUAAUUGUGCAAUAUGACACGACAUGACUAAUAUGUUUAUUGAACGUGUCGGGUUAAAUUUAAUAUUACAUGAUAUAAACACCCCAUUUUGUCCGAGGUGUCUCACCAAAACAAAAAAAUAAUAAAUUAAAAAAAAAGAUAAUGAAAAAGAUAAAGGCACAAAAAAAUUAAAAUUAAUUUUUCUUUGAGAACAAAAAAAAUUGAAAAUAAUAAGAUUAAAAUCUUAAUCUAGCAAGUUUUGAAACUCGAUAUUUAAAGAAAAAGAAAGUCCUAAUCUAAAAUCAACACAAAAAUGGAUGGCUACAAAUACCCCCAUUUAUCAACCUAGAGAGGGACUUGGGGAAAAAAUGAAAAAAGAGAGCGAAAACGACGUAAAGGAGGAGGGGAUGAAAAAAGAGAUCUUGUGAUUUUUUUAUAGUGAAAUUUUAGUUUUAGGUUUUGGGAAAUCUGAAGGUUUCCAUUCUAAGGAAAGAAAAGAAAGAAAAAAAAGAUUGGGAAAGAGGAAUAAGCGGUUGUUGAUAAAGAAUAUAGUCGAAUAGUAAGCUUUUCGAUCAAUUUUAGGGAAAGAAAGAGAGAAAAAGAGUGAAGGUAGUGAACAAAAGAAAAAAAGAAAGAGAAGAAGCGAAAGAGUGAAAAUGACAUACAAGAAAGAGGGGAAGAGAAGAAAUGAAAUAGGGUUUGACCUAAUUCAAAUGCAACACAAAGCCCGUUGCAAGCUUGAUUAGAGGCUUAGUUAGUGUUUUGGGUCUUAAAAAUAGACUUAGUCUAUAUAAAAGGUAUGGGUUUCUCAUUUACUUUUUUAUUUUUGUUCAUUAUUUUUAGAAUUUAUAAGAUACAAAAAAAUAUAAAUAAAUAGUUAGGGGUUUCUCAUUUACCUUUUUUUUUGUUUUGUUCAUUAUUUUUUACUUUUAGUAUUAAUAAAAUAAAUAAAGUUUUUUAGGUUAUAAUUAUCCUAGAUUGAUUUUUAGUCAUAAUAGUUUGGAAGAGAAAAAAAUAUAUAAACCACUUAAAAUUCUACAAUAUAUACAUAAAGUUGUAUAAUUAUUUAAAAAUGAAUCUUUUAAAUGAAAAUUUUAAAGAAAGUUAUGAAUAGUAAUUUUCUUAAGUUUUGCAAAGCAAGAAUAAUUAUAGGACCUCGCCAUAAGUAUUGGCUGGUAAUCUCAUAAUUAAUUUUUGCAAAAGAGAUUUAUUUAUAAAUAAUUGUUAUAGACUUAAAAGAUAAUAAUAAAUAAAUAUUCAAAAUUUUAGUAAAAUUAAAUUAUAAUAUUAAAUAAAUAUAUGUGAGUUCGUUGAUGAUAAAAUCUUAAGAAAAUUGUAAUUAAGUAACAAUUUCGAGAGAAUUUCUAGGUGAGAAAAUCUUCUACGAUUUUGCCAAAGGUAUCGAAAAAUUUUAGAAAGUUUUCAAUACAAAGAGUUGCAUGAUAAUAACAAUAACAAAAUAAUAAUAAAAGUGAAAUAAAAGAACUUAUAAAUAAAAAAAUCAUAAAUAAGCAAACUUUCUCUUAUGAUGAAAUUUUGAUAAGGUUAAAAGUAAUAACUUCAAGAAAAUUUCUAGGUGAGAGAUUUUUCUUGAUUUCUGCCAUAAGUAAUGAAGUAUUCAAGAAACAUUUCAAUAUCAAAGGAUUUUUAUGAUUAGAUAAAAUAAUGGUUAAGGAAAAUUAAUUUGAAUAUCAAAAUAAAGGUCACUUAUUAAGGCUAAAAAAGAUAACACAUAGUUAAUUAGGUAUAAUUGUUAAUAGGCGUUGUGAGGGUUCUAAUACCUUCUUGACAUGUAACUGUACUUUCGAACCUAAUUUAUUUCAUAAACUAGAACCUAUUCUCUUUAAUAUACCUAAGUCAAGCCUAGGACCUCAUUAGAAAAAUAGAUUCAUCUCGGUGGUAAAUCACAACUAAAAAAAAAUAUUGAUGACAACUCCUACUACGUCAAACAGUUGAGUUUCAGGACUCACACGUUAUAACAUAUUGGUGACUCCACUGGGGAAUUUGUGAGUCAAGCUUAUAAUUAAUUAUGUGAUAUCCUAAAGCCUUAAUUAGUUUAAUAUUCUGUUUGAUGUUCCUUAAUUUUGAUUUUAGUAACUUUGUUUAUUUUUAUAUUUAUUAUUUAAAGAUUUGUACGUCUUUUUGCAUACAUACAUGAGCCUUAUACCCAAGCUUGGUCCUAUUUAGGAGGAGGUAGAGUACUCUGCUCUUGUGAGGUGAUAACUUCCAUGUGAGCACGCGAAAUACUUCCACUCAAAUUUAACCCUUUCCAUUGGUAACCUGUAAUGGGAAAGGAUUAGGGAGCUUUACUAGUUCAGAGUGAGCGCUAGUAAGGAGCAAUAUGGGAACCUUUAGGUUCGUAUAAAACCUUGCCAACCCAUCACAUAUAAGAGCACCAAAAGUUUGGUACAAGUGAUAAAUGCCUUGAAAUGCAUUCAUUCAUGCAUCAUGCAUGCAUAUUCAUUAUGUGUUUACAAACAGUUCGAUAAUUGUAAAUAAUGCAAUCAUUAUUUCAUUGGCAUAAAUACAUUUUGAUCCAUGUUUAUGGUAAUAAAAAGGUUAAAAGAAUAGCUUGACCACUGAAAAUCCUGAAGCAGCUCGUUCGUCAUUUAUACAAUACUUGAUCUCAAGAUAGAGUCAAAAUUAUGAAAGGUGAGCAAUCAAGUUAAUAGAUAAAAUCAAGAAAACUCAAGAAGAGAUGAUGGAAAAGUUGACAAGAAUAAUGGAAAUGAUGGCUUUUAUUAAAGGAAAAGGGGUUGUUAAAAGAUCUUCUACUCAAAAUGGUUUUCAAUCUCAAGAUGAAGAUAGAAGAGAGCCUUUAUAUUCACUAGGAUUCACUCCACUCGAAGGGCAUGUUGCUCAAUAGGAAUACAAGAUGCCAAGGCCACCAAUUGGGGCAUAUCAAUUCCAACCACUUGUAGGUUAAACAUCAACUCAUGGACAUAUUAUGCCAACUCCAAGUGUUAACUCUUAUGACCCAAUCCUUGUGUCUAAUUUGGAUGAUCCUAAAAAGCAAGAAAAGUUGAAAGCAGUUUUGAAGGCAUAACAAAAGUAUGACGAUUUGGGGGAACACCUUAGAGCCAUUGAAGGUUUGGAUUUCUAUAUUACCAUUGAUGCUACAGAGUUAUGUCUAGUGCUUGGUGUGGUGAUCCUACCCAAAUUAAAGAUUCCAGAUUUUGAAAAGUAUGAUGAGACGAAAUGUCACGACACAAAUUCUGGGCCAUGAUCGGAGCAUGGGCCCAAUGGACGUAGUCCACUAAGCCCACGCAAGCCUAUUAAUCUGACAUGUUCAUCAUUCCAUCAUAAACUACUGAGUCACAUUUCUUAACUUAGGAUCAAAGUAAUAUUAAACAUUGCCACUUCAUACUGACAUACUAAACAAGUGUAUAUACGCUGUCUACAACAUGUAUCUUAAUAAUUUGCAUUAGGUUUGUCUAUACACAACAAAAGAAUACUCGACUCCCAGCGGAGGGAGUCGGACAAAUGUACAGCUAUUGAAUGCCAAGACACUUACCAAAAGAUGGAUACAAGUAUACGAGAACACCUCGUCCUAGUUACCGUGUCAAACCCUGCUUUGUAAAAUAAUUAUAAUAUCAUUCACAUGCUCGAUAGAAUGUUUGUAUAUUUAGGAAGUUCGAGAAAUCGUUAAAAGACGAUAUUGCCCCUAAUGGUAUCAUUAAGUCGAUUAAGCCUCGAACUAGUUCCAAUAGGAAUUUUAAGAUGAAAUUAAGAGUUUAACAGUUCAGGGAUGACUCAAAAUGGUAAUUCGGAGUUCGAGGAUCAAUUCGGAGUCAAAUUGAAAUUUUCACUAUAUAGGGGUAAAAUUGUAAUUUUUCCAUCUGCGGACAAAAUUUGAGAUUUUGAGAGAAUUUAGAUCACAUUUGACAAAUUGGGGAAUGAUAUGAGUAUAAGGGAUAAAAAAUAUGUCUAUGGGCAAUUUUUCAGUUUUUGGGGCAAAAAUGUAAUUUUUGAUUUUUACGGGGGCAAAAGUGUAAAUAUCAAAAAUUACUUCACCAAGACUUUGGAUAAGUUUGAGAAUUUUAUCUAAGUUAUGGAUAUUUUAAGGAAUAAUGUGUGGUGGAGAUUUAAAGCUUAAAAGAUAAGAAUUUAAAAAAUGGACCAAUAAUGUAGUGACAUGUGGCAAGUUUAGAUUAUUAUAUUAUUUAACUAUAAAAAUCAGCCCACACCACCAUUUUCUCUUCAUUAUGGCCGGCCAUAGCAAGAAAACAAAGGGGAAAAGAAAAACAAAAACCUAGGGGGAGAAAUUCAAGGAAAAAUUGGUGAAAAUUCAAGGAAACAAGUGACCAAAGGUAAAAUUUCUUGAUUUUGACUUGUGCUUUACCUUUCCCAUGCAUUUCCCAUCAUUUUCCAUGGUUGAAUCAUGUGAUUUGAGGAUGAAUUCAAUUCUGGAAAAAUGGGUUAGGAGAGAGAAACUUGUUAGAUUAAUUUGAUUUUAAGUUAUGUUAGUGUUUUAAGUUAGUUUAGCAUAUUUAGGAACAAAACAACAAGAAAAGAAUUUAUUUUCCUCCAUUACCAUUAUUGGCUGAAUUUUCUAGGGGAAUAUUGGCUGAUGAUCUUGAUGUUUAUUUGAGGAAUUAUGAUGAAUAAUGAUGAAUUAUGAGUCUAGAAAAAUAAUGGGAAUUUUCGGAGCAAAAAUACGAAUUUUUACCCAUUAGGGGUAUUUUCGUAAUUUGCUAUCGGGACUGAUAAUUUGCACCACACUGAGGGACAUUAAGUCAAUUUGGGUGCAAUUGAGGUAUAGAAACUGAAAAAAAUUAAUUUGAGAUUAAAUUGGACGCGUUAGUAAUUUAAUCGGGUAAUAGGCCGAAUUAGGUCAGCACCGCAUUUAAGCGGUAGUCGGAUAAGUUGCAUGUCAUAUCAUGCAUAUAUACCGAGCCUGAAUUGAUUUUAUAAUGGUCAAGCAUUGAUGUGGUGAAUUAUGUAUUGUACAUUGUGGAUAGGUGGUGAGCAAAUUACACUGGUAAAAGUACCAAAAUUGUGCUUGAAGACUGGGAUUAGGAGUACAUCGACUCCUAGAACUGUGAGUGGACAAUUUAUCGUCUUAAAUAUCUAGAGUAAUUAUACUUGUUUGAUGCUUUUAUUGAAUGGUGAAUUUAAAUUAUAAAAUAUUAUGUUUUCCAAUUAAAAUGUUUUUUAAUAAAAAUGAGAUUUAUACUGGUUUUGAAAUCAAAUAUUGUUUUGGGAAAAUUGAGUAUAUGGAGACUGUGUUGAAAUUUAUGAUUUUAUAUGUUAUUGAAAUUGUGGCUUAUGACACUAUGGUAGCAUGAUGGCUAAAUUUUUGAGGUUGGCAUGAAAUAUAUGAACAGUUUUGGAUUGGUCUCGGUAGACUGGAUUACAUUUUAUUCGCCAUAUUAUGCUACUGGAAUUUUUAUGGGUCUGGUGGUAUAUUAAACGGUCACUGCAGUGGUGGGGGUUUCCGUGGACUGCCUAUGAGAGGGGCACGGUAACUCAAUUAUAUACUUACCUCUGGGGGGAGAUGUUGGGUGAAGUAUCUCCUGAGGUAUGAUUUGAGUGCACCUCACGUUCGGGCCACCACGUGAGAGUGAGACUCAGCCAACGCCAAGGAACGGCUGUGUGUCAGAUGUGAAAACAUGUUUAUGGGUAUGGGUCAUUGAACAGCCUUGGCGGUCUCAGUGGGAUACCUUGACGAAGGUACCCGCGAGAAUGAUAUUGGCAGGGGCCAAGUUUAAAAAAAUUCAUAAGUCGGGGAAAUUUUGAUGAAAAGAAAUUAUUUGGUAUAGAUUGAAACGAAUUUUGUGUUAUGAACAUUAUUGAGAUAUAACGUUUUUAUAUUGUCUCCAUCUACUCGGCUUUAGAUGCUUUUGAUGGUAAUUGUUUACUCACUGGGAUUAUUUAAUCUCACCCCUCUUCCUAUCCAUUUUCAGGCUCAGGACAGUUUGUUGAUAGUUGAUUAAGACGAGAAUUAAUCUCGGAGUUGCAUCAUAGGAAGUAAGGGUUCGUAGCCCUACAUCUUCUUAGUCAGUUGGGGGCCCACGUGUCACUGAAAAAGUAAUUUUAUUCUUCAGUUAUUUGAUUUAAAAGUACGUAGGAAUAUAUUUAGCUUUUACACCAUGUUUUUGGCAAGUUUCGAUAUUUUCAAAGAAAAAUGAUGAAAAUGCCCCUGUGAGCCAGAAAAUAAUAUUUUUAUUGUUUUGAGUUGGAAACAACUUAUGAUUUCUUGAAAUGCGAGAUUUAAUAACUGUCGCUCACCGGGGAGAUGCGAAAGUUGAUGCUAAGCCUUGCGGGGUUUCGAUCAGCAUUCGGGGUAAUGAGUGCUUAUCGGGACGUCGCGGCGGUUGUCACUGGCUCGUUGGGAGUUUCGGGUCGUGACAUACCGACUGCCUCAUGAUCUGAAAACAUGAAGUUUGAAACAGUGAGUAUAAACCCAGUGAGUGAACAACGAAGGGAACAAGCAACCAUAAGGGAGAAUUUAAAAUCAUGAUGCACUUGUUUUAAAACAAUGCAAUUUAAUUUCAUUCAUAUUGAAAACCCCUCAUUAAACCCUUAAAUAUUAAUCACUUGGUAAUGAUGAACCCAUACAUAACAAAUAAUUUGAAAAAUGAAGGCUUCAGUGAUACACAAGCAAGUCAAAUACGACAACGGAUCUUCGCUGCAGCAAGAAUGAAUUUUUGCUACAACGACGUUGGGAUUAAGUUAUUAGCCGAACGAGGGUUCCUCAACUAAUCGAGGGUUUCUCACCAACCCUACUCAUUUUAAACUUAAUUCACUUAUUCCUUAAUAUUAGAAGUCCAAUCUCAACUAUGGUACCAAAGAAAUGGAAAAUGGAGCAGCAACUGAACCAAAAAGGAAACAAAACAAAAAGUUUUUCACUGCAAUGAGAAUGAAUCUCGCUGCAGCGAAAUUUUGGUCCUAAAACAGAAUGUUUCUCAUUGCAGCGAGAAGCUACAGUACCUUUCCCGCUGCAGCGAGAAUGCAUUUUCGCUAUAGCGAGAACCAAACUGGUGAGGCUCUCAAAAACUCGAGAGUUUCUCACUACAACGAGAACGAAUCUCGCUACAGCGAGAAUCAGAACAUCAAGAAAAAAAUGUCCUUUUCCCUUAAAACAAAGCCAUUCUACUAAAUAACAAAAGCAACAUGUAACACAUGCAAACUCCCAAAUUUCAACAAAUCAAAUGCUCACACUUUUGCAUUCCAACCAUAUACCAUAUAUAUAUAUAUAUAUAUAUAUAUAUAUAUAUAUGUAUAUAUAUCAAUCAUCAUGUACACCAUCCUGUCAUCAUCAUGCACACCAUCUUGUCAUCAUCAUGCACAUCAUCCCAUCAUCCCCAACUCAUGCACACUCCCUACUCACACAUAACAGGGUCAUCAUCGACUUAUGCGCACUCCCUACUCGCACAUAGCCGAGUUAAGGUCAUUACACAACAAUGUAUUCAUAUAUAUGUAUCAACAUAAUGUGGUAGUGCAUGAAUCAAUAAUAGUCACAUGUCACAACAUGGAGACAAUUUAUCAAAAGCUUGUUCCCAAGGCACUUGUUGUUAUGAAAAGCUAGAUAAUCCAUUCAAAUGUUUGGCAAAUACAUUAUAUCCCUAAAACAAGUUUUGAAUGCAGUUCACUCACCAAUUUAUUGUUGAGCCCUUAGCUGACUCUAAUUCCCUUAAUGAUCCAAUUGGGGUGAUAGGGCUUCGUUAGAACCUAAAAUCACAUUAGCAUCAGCAAUAGGUCAAUUCACAUACUAUAAACCCUAAAAGCUAUCUCUUAGCUAGCUUUCAAUUUCCACAUUAAAUGGCUAUCUAUGUUCACUAUCUUAAUCACUAUAAAAUGAAUGAACAUCCUCAACAAUAAAACAGCUUAUAAUCUCAAUUACUAGCCAUUAUCCACAGCUAAAAACCAAGCUUAGUUCAUCACUCACCCUAGGGUUUCUUUGUAGUUGAAUUCUCUUUCAAUAGCUUCCAAACAAAUGGGGUAAUUCUCUUUUUCUCUCUCUAGAAUGCCCAACUAGUGAGAGAAAGUAUGAAAAUAAGAUUUUUCAAGGGUUUUAAGGAGAGAGAAUGGAAGAAUACAAGAUUUCUAGUCAAAAGGGCAUAAAGGUAUGAAAACUAAAGCUAGAGAGAGAAAAUUAUGCAAGCUACGUAUCAAGCUUCCAUGGAGGUUGGAAGCAACGUGAGAUGGAAGAAGAAGAAGAAGACAAGCUGCUGGAAAUUCAAGAAGCUGCUGGAAGGAGAAGAUAUUUAUAGCCCAAGCUUAUCCUUUCCCUUGAAAUUACCAAAUUGCCCUUCCACAAAUUAGCUUAUUCUUCUCUAAUCUUUUAUGCAAUCUUUUUGGUCUUUUGACACUGGGACAAGGUCCAUAAUGGUCUAGACAUGCUCGGGUUCAUGAAAACUUAAAAUUCUAACCCGAGGUAAAAAAUGACCAUUUUGCCCCUAUCGUGAAAAUCAUCAAAAUUUUGGUUUCCUUUCCAUUUUACCCAAAUUUCACCAUCCAUUUAUGCCUUAAGACUACUUAGGCCAUAAUAUUGUUUAAAAAUCUUACUUUUAUGGGCUUACUAAAGAAAUGACGAAAUUACCCCUGAUCAGGGAUAUCGCGUAUACUUCCCUUUACAAGUCUAUAAAGGUCAAGGUCUCACACAAAAUGUCCAACGGUCCACAUGACUAUGUAUUGUCAACGAAUAGCCACUUAUACGAAAAAUGAUAAACUCUUGGUUCAUUGUCUCCAAGAUAGUUUUACAAGGUCUGCAAUUAGAUGGUAUGUUAAAUUGGACAGAAAUCGAAUCUAAUCUUGGAAAGACCUUGUUAGAGCUUUUAUAACUCAAUAUAGGCAUGUCAUAAACAUGGCCUCAAAUAGACUUUCUUUGUAAAGCAUAGAGAAGAAAACCACAGAGAGUUUUAAAGAGUAUGCUCAGAAAUGGAGAAAUAUGGCUGCGCCAGUUUAAUCACCUCUUAUUAAUAAGGAGAUAACAAAGUUGUUUAUCAUAUUUUGCAUACUCCAUAUUAUGAAAGGCUAAUUGGCAAUGCCACCAAAAUUUCGCUGAUAUGGUAAUUUCAUGAGAAAUUAUUGAAAAAGGUAUCAAGCAAGGUCGCUUUGAACUUUUUAUGCACAUACUGGGUAAAGAACAACCGAAAUAUGGUGACGAGAUGCCAUGGGUAUAUCUAGGACCAUUUGGCUUGAAAUGGAAUAAUCAGAAGGUCAUUGAGUUACUUGUCACUCGUAAGUCCCUUGCAAAGAAAUUAAGUUAAAUUCUUAACGCUUAUGCUUAAGAGCUUAAGGAAAGGUUUUCUGAAUAAUGGGCUUUUAUUCUAUACCAUUUAAAUAAAAAUGACAUACAUGAUGCAUUCUCACUGUCAUUUCUUUCUUUGUUUCCAUAUCUCUUCAAAUUGUCAUAUCCUUGUGUACUUUAAAUUUUACCCAUCUUUAGGUUUCCCAACAAUGAAUAUGAGAACAAUAAUGACAAAAACUCUAGAUUCGAUUUUGAAAAAAAUACAUGUGUUGAUGAGCUUGAUAACAAAAAUAACAGUGAUAAUUGUCUUUUGUUUCAUGACUUGCUAAGGCUAAUUAAACAAAAAGAAAAUUGAUAAAACCUUAUAAUAAUUUGGAAGAUGUAGAGAAUAGAAAAAAGAAAGAAAGAGAAGAACGAAAAAAAAUAAAGCAUCCUUUGUUUCAUAGUUAUCUAGAAUUUGCUUUUUAGUGUAAGUAAUCAUAUUUGAUAUGAGAAAUGGCCAUCUUUUAUUUUUCUUUCAAAAAUGAGAAAUUAUCAAUUUGCUACCUCUUUGAGCUUAUUGAAUUUUUUAAAAUAUACUUUACUCAAGGAUCACCCUCUAUAUUAAGGGGUAAUUAUAAAGGAAGACCUUGAAGAGGCAUGAAUCCAAUCUUACAUUAAGGACAAAGAAAGAAUACCCUAUAUUAAAAAGGCAAAAACAAAGUAAUUUGAGUUAUACAAAAAAAAAAAACUUGAACUCAACCUAUCAAAAUGGGAAGAUGUGACAAAUAAAGAAUAGGGAUUGAUGUCUUAGAGAGAAUCUUUCUCACGACAAUAAAAGAUUUUUGGUUUGAAUACCUUCAAAAACACAUUUUGGGCCUAUUUAUCCACUUUUUCAAAACUCCUAACCCUAGCUUACAUUACAUACUUACAAAGUCUGUUUUGAUCAAGUAUGGUUACUCAUGUUGAAACGCCUUUUCUUAGAAAAUUUUCAAGUAGCUAUCAUGGCUUUGGCCUUUUUUUCCUUGCUAAAGUUAUCAUUUAGAUGGGAAAAGUUUCAAAUUCUUCUAGUGGAUGAUGGAACAAUCGAUGAAAUUCUAAUAAAAAGAAGAAAAAAGAAGAAGAAAAUUUAAGGAGAAAAUUCGAAAGUAUAGUUUGAACCCAAAAAGGAUUUCUAAAUUGAAAAUCUGAAAAGGCAACUUAGGUACAAAGAUUGAUAGCAUGGGGGCAGCGUGAUGUGCAAAUGCCACAAGAUAAGAGCAAAGGUCAAUUGGAAAUGUUCAAAAGGAAUUAAGUACAUCAAUAGAUAUUUACUUUAAAGGACCUCUAGAAUUAGCUUGUUCAUGAUUGUUCCUUUAUUCAUUACUUGGAUAUUAUAUGUCUCGAUAAAAUCUUGAACCUUUUUAUUUCAUUUUUAUUUUUUUCAUUAUUUAAAAUAAAAUUAUGCUUUUCCUAAUAAUCCUAUAAGUUCUUUGUCUCAUGAACCAAGACAAUUUGUGAUUCAUCAUAUUUGUCACAAAAGUUUGAAUUAUAAUGAAUUAAAUAGACAUAACAAACAUAAAAGACUUUCAUGAGAUUUAAGGGUGACAAAAAGUUCAAAAAUUGAAUCCAAAAGGAAUUAUGAAAUUUCCAUUUUGAAAAAAUGGAAUAGAUGUAUUGAAGAAAAGAUCAGAUUAUUGAAUAAUGUGCUGAAAGUGAGUUGACAAGAGGUUGAAGAUCAUGAAAUUCUAAAACCUGCAAAAAACCAUGAACAUGGAUGCCUGACAUCAUCCUAGCAGUUAAACAUUUGCAUAUCAUGAUGGGUUGUAUCACAUGCAUUCAAUUGAUGAUAUUUGCUUAAGUAACUAAUCAUUUUAAAGUUGUGUAGCUUCAUUUAGAAAUAAGGAGCUCUUUCAAGCAUUUUAAAAUUAUGUAGCCUCAUUUAUAAAUGAAGAGCUUUUCUGAUCAUUUUAAAGUGGUAGUAGUCUCUUUUAGAGAUGGUGAGCUUUUUUCAAUCAUUUUAAAGUUAUAUAACCUCGUUUACAGAUGAGGACCUUUUUUGAUUAUUUUAAAGUUAUGGUUAACUCUUUUAGAGAUGAGAUGGAAAAAAAGAGGAGCUUUUUUCAAUCAUUUUAAAGUUAUGUAGCCUCGUUUUGAAAUGAAAAGCUUUUUCAAUUAUUUUAAAGUUGUACAGCCUUGUUUAAAGAUGAUGAGCCUUUCUAAUUAUUUUAAAGUUGUAGUAGAUCUUUUAGAGAUGAUGAGUGUUUUCCAAUCAUUUUAAAGUUGUGUAGCCUUGUUUAGAGAUAAAAAACUUUUCCAAUUAUUUUAAACUUGUGUAGCCUCGUUUAGAGAUAAAGAGUUUUUUCAAUCAUUUUAAAGUUAAGUAACCUCGUUUAGAAAUAAAGGGUUUUUUUCAAUCAUUUUAAAAUUAUGUAGCCUCGUUUAGAGAUGAUGAGCUUUUUUAAUCAUUUUAAAGCUGUGUAGUCUCAUUUAGAGAUGAAGAGCUUUUUCCAAUCAUUUUAAAGUUACAUAACCUCAUUUUAAAAUUAUUUAACGCUACCUUGUUUAGAGAUGAGAAGCUUUUUCAAUUAUUUUAAAAGUUGUGUAGCCUCAUUUAAAGAUGAGGAGCAUUUUCCUGGUCCAACCAAAGUGGUGUCUAUGUCUUUGCACAAUUCUUGAUUCUCAAGAAAUGUGCAAAGAGAAGUAGUUGUAGACACCCCAUUUUGUCUGGAAUGUCUCAGCAAAAUAAGAAAAUAAUAAUAAUAAUAAAAAGAUGAUGAUGAAGAUAAAGGCACAAAAAAAUUGAAAUUAAUUUUUUUUUUGAAACAGAAUAAAUUGAAAAUAGUAAGAUUAAGAUCCUAAUUCUGCAAGUUUGGAAAUUAGAAUUUUAAAGAGGAAGAAAGUCCUGAUCUAAGAUCAACACAAAAAUGGAUGGCUAUAAAUACCCCUAUUCAUCAGCCUAGAGGGGGACACUGUGAAGAAACAAAAAAAAAAAGAAAGAGGGAAAGUGGCAUAAAGGAGGAGGGGAUGAGAAGAAUGAUCUUGUGAUUUUUUUUAUGGUGAAAUUUUAGCUUUAGGUUUUGGAAAAUUUAAAGGUUUCCAUUCUAAGGGAAAAAGAGAAAGAACAAAAAGAUUGAGAAAAAUGAAUAGGCUAUUUUUGAUAAAGAAUAUAGACGAAUAGGAAGCUUUUAGAUCGAUUUUAGGGAGAGAAGAAAACAAAAAGGGUGAAGGUAGUGAACAAAAGGAAAAAAGAAAGAGAAAAAGUGAAAGAGUGAAAACGAAAUCCAAGAAAGAAGGGAAAAGAAGAAGUGAAAUAGGGUUUGCCUUAAUCCAAAUCCAACACAAAGCCCGUUUCAAGCUUGACUAAAAGCCCGAUCAAUGUUUUGGGUCUCGAAAAUAGAAUCUUAGUCUAUGUAAAAGGUAUGGGCGUCUCAUUUACUUUUUUUUUUUAUUUCUGUUCAUUAUUUUUAAAAUUAAUAAAAUACAAAAAAUAUAAAUAAAUAAAUAGUUAGGGGUUUUUCAUUUACUUUUUUUUUGUUUUGUUCAUUACUUUUUAUUUUUACUGUUAAUAAAAACAAAAUAUAAUAAAAUAAAUAAAUUUUUUUAGGUUAUGAUUAUCCUAGAUUGAUUUUUAGUCAUAAUAGUUUGGAAAAGAAAAGAAAAAAACAAAAUAAACAAUUUAAAAUUAUAUAAUAUAUACAUAAAGUUGUAUAAUUAUUUAAAAAUGAAUCUUUUAAAGGAAAAUUUUAAAAAAAGUUAUGAGUAGUAAUUUUCUUAAGUAUUUCAAAGUAAGAAUAAUUAUGAGACCUCGCCAUAAGUAUUGGUUGGUAAUCUCAUAAUUAAUUUUUGCAAAUAUGAUUUAUUUAUAAAUAAUUAUUAUAGACUUAAAAGAUAAUAAUAAAUAAAUAUUAAAAAUUUUUGCAAAUUAAAUUAUAAGAUUAAAUAAAUAUAUGUGUGUUCACUAUAAUAAAAUUUGAAGAAAAUUGUAAGUAACAAUUUUGAGAGAAUUUCUGUCACGACCCGGAACUCCCAUCAAGCCCGUGACAACCGUCGCGAAGCCUCGACAGACAUUCUUCCCCCGAAUGCCUUUCGAGACUUUGCAAGGCUUUUGUACUAGUUUUUCCAUUUCUCUCUCUUUUUUUUUUUAAUAAUAAAAUAAAAUUAAAAUAUUAAUUAAAAUAAUCUAUUUUAAUGUAAAACAAUAAAUAUAUGUAUAUUUUUGAAACAUCAAAAAUUAAUUUUUUGCACAUAAAAACAAAAUAAAUUUAUACAUACUGUAAUAUAGAAAACUGGAGUAUGCAAUUUAAAUUACAAUGACACGUGGGCCCCUAAAUAACUGAGAAGGUUUAAGUCUAUAACCUUGCUUUCUAGGAUGCAACUCCGAAAUUUACUUCUCGAUGCAAUUGACAGUCUACUGCCUAUUCUGAGCCUGAAAAAUGUAUAGAAAGAAAGGGUGAGAUUAUAAAAUCCCAGUGAGUAGACAGAUAUCAUCAAAAUAAUCUAAAGCCGAGUAAUAGGAGACAAUUAAAAUAAUUCAUCCCAACCCAUAUAAAUAAUUGGAUUUCAUCNNNNNNNNNNNNNNNNNNNNNNNNNNNNNNNNNNNNNNNNNNNNNNNNNNNNNNNNNNNNNNNNNNNNNNNNNNNNNNNNNNNNNNNNNNNNNNNNNNNNNNNNNNNNNNNNNNNNNNNNNNNNNNNNNNNNNNNNNNNNNNNNNNNNNNNNNNNNNNNNNNNNNNNNNNNNNNNNNNNNNNNNNNNNNNNNNNNNNNNNNNNNNNNNNNNNNNNNNNNNNNNNNNNNNNNNNNNNNNNNNNNNNNNNNNNNNNNNNNNNNNNNNNNNNNNNNNNNNNNNNNNNNNNNNNNNNNNNNNNNNNNNNNNNNNNNNNNNNNNNNNNNNNNNNNNNNNNNNNNNNNNNNNNNNNNNNNNNNNNNNNNNNNNNNNNNNNNNNNNNNNNNNNNNNNNNNNNNNNNNNNNNNNNNNNNNNNNNNNNNNNNNNNNNNNNNNNNNNNNNNNNNNNNNNNNNNNNNNNNNNNNNNNNNNNNNNNNNNNNNNNNNNNNNNNNNNNNNNNNNNNNNNNNNNNNNNNNNNNNNNNNNNNNNNNNNNNNNNNNNNNNNNNNNNNNNNNNNNNNNNNNNNNNNNNNNNNNNNNNNNNNNNNNNNNNNNNNNNNNNNNNNNNNNNNNNNNNNNNNNNNNNNNNNNNNNNNNNNNNNNNNNNNNNNNNNNNNNNNNNNNNNNNNNNNNNNNNNNNNNNNNNNNNNNNNNNNNNNNNNNNNNNNNNNNNNNNNNNNNNNNNNNNNNNNNNNNNNNNNNNNNNNNNNNNNNNNNNNNNNNNNNNNNNNNNNNNNNNNNNNNNNNNNNNNNNNNNNNNNNNNNNNNNNNNNNNNNNNNNNNNNNNNNNNNNNNNNNNNNNNNNNNNNNNNNNNNNNNNNNNNNNNNNNNNNNNNNNNNNNNNNNNNNNNNNNNNNNNNNNNNNNNNNNNNNNNNNNNNNNNNNNNNNNNNNNNNNNNNNNNNNNNNNNNNNNNNNNNNNNNNNNNNNNNNNNNNNNNNNNNNNNNNNNNNNNNNNNNNNNNNNNNNNNNNNNNNNNNNNNNNNNNNNNNNNNNNNNNNNNNNNNNNNNNNNNNNNNNNNNNNNNNNNNNNNNNNNNNNNNNNNNNNNNNNNNNNNNNNNNNNNNNNNNNNNNNNNNNNNNNNNNNNNNNNNNNNNNNNNNNNNNNNNNNNNNNNNNNNNNNNNNNNNNNNNNNNNNNNNNNNNNNNNNNNNNNNNNNNNNNNNNNNNNNNNNNNNNNNNNNNNNNNNNNNNNNNNNNNNNNNNNNNNNNNNNNNNNNNNNNNNNNNNNNNNNNNNNNNNNNNNNNNNNNNNNNNNNNNNNNNNNNNNNNNNNNNNNNNNNNNNNNNNNNNNNNNNNNNNNNNNNNNNNNNNNNNNNNNNNNNNNNNNNNNNNNNNNNNNNNNNNNNNNNNNNNNNNNNNNNNNNNNNNNNNNNNNNNNNNNNNNNNNNNNNNNNNNNNNNNNNNNNCAUGAAAUUUCUAGACUUUUUCAAAGUUUUGGUGGAGUAAAUUUUUAAAAAUUACACUUUUACCCCCCGUAAAGUGAAAAAUUACAUUUUUACCCCAAAAAUUGAAAAAUUGCCCAUAGACAUAUUUUUCAUCCCUUAUACUCGUACCAUUCUCCAAUUUGUCAAAUGUGAUCUAAAUUCUCUCAAAAUCUAAAAUUUUGUUCGCGAGUGGAAAAAUUACGAUUUUGCCCUUAGAUAGUGAAAAUUCCGGUUUGACUCCGAAUUGAUCCUUGAACUCCGAAUUACCAUUUUGAGUCAUCCAUGAACUGUGAAACUCUUAAUUUUACCUUAAAAUUCCUAUUUGAACUAGUUCGAGGCUUAAUCGACUCAAUGGUAUCAUUAGGGGCAAUAUCGUUUUUUAACGAUUUCUCGAACUUCCUAAAUAUACAAACAUUCUAUCGAGCAUGUGAAUGACAUUAUAAUUAUUUUACAAAGCAGGGUUUGAUAAUUUCUACGUAUGAAAAUUUUCUAAGAUUUUGCCAAACGUAUUUGCAUGAUAAUAAUAAUAAUAAUAAUAAUAAAAGUUGAAUAAAAGAACUUAUAAAUAAAGAAAUCAUAAAUAAGUAAAAGUUCUCUUAUGAUGAAAUUUUGAGAAGGUUAUAAGUAAUAAUUUCGAGAAAAUUUUUAGGUGAGAGAUUUUUCUUGAUUUAUGCCAUAAGUAUUGGUGUAUUCAAAGAACAUUUUGAUAUCAAAGGAUUUUUAUGAUUAAAUAAAAUAAUGGUUAAGGAAAAUUAAUUUGAAUAUCCAAAUAAAGGUCACUUACUAAGGCUAAAAUAGAUAUCGCAUAGUUAAUUCAGUACCAUUUUAAGUGAUCAUUGUAAGGGAGCUAAUACCUUCCGAACUUUGUCUAUUCUGUAAACUAGAAUCUAUUCUUUUUAAUGAAUUUAAGUCAAGUAUAAGACUUCCCUAGAAAAAUAUAUUCAUCUAGGUGAUCAAUCACACCUAAAUAAAAAAGAUUGAUGACGACUCCUAUUAUGUCAAAUAGUUGAGUUUCAAGACUCAAACGUUAUGACACAUGAUACAAUUAAAACAUGAUUAAACGAUUAACACAAUUUAAUUGUUAAUACGAUUAAUACAUGAUUAAAUUAAAAUAUAUACACUUAAAAUAUAAUUUUAUUAAUCAAAUUUAAAAUCAAUAAUUAUAAAAACAAUGAUAACAAGAUAACAAUAUUAUCAAAUAUAAUAAAAUUCAACAUAAAUAGUAUCCAUAAAAUCUAUUACCAUAAUACAAUAAUCUUUUACUACUAAACUUAAAAAGGUUGAUAACAGUGUCCACUUAUACAGGUUAAACACAAUUAACAUAAUUAAUUAAACAAGUUUAAAUAUGUCUUAGACAUGUUUCGACAAGAUUAAGAUACAAAACACAUAAGAUUAAACCCAAUCCUGUUUAACUCCAUAUCUUUUCAUGUCAUGUCUAAAAUUAAUAUGUCUAUUUUUUUAAAGUAUUUAUCACAUUUAAUACUUAUUAAUUAAUAACUAAAACAUAUAUUUAAAUGGUAAAUAAUAACAUAAUUAAAUCAACCUAUUGAAUUGGGAAUUGUCUCUUUCAUCAAUAACCAAUCUAGUCUAGUCUAGUCUAGUCUGCUUAUUAAAACAGUGGGCAAAUCCCUCACAAGGUAGGAUCCUCCUCACAUUUAUAAUUACCUUGGGUUAAGCAUGAUAACCCAAAACACCAUACCUUUAGUUUUGAUCAAGUUGCAAAGAACUUAGUUUGAGAUUGUGUUCGAACAAAUAGGGAUGGUUAGCAUCUCCUGUAACAGGGAUGAGAUCAACCUUUAGGCUUACGUGUUAAACUUGGUAAUUUAUGUCUUUUGUAUUUUAAUCAUAUCAUGUAAACAUAGAGUAUUAACAGUUAUAAUGGAUAAACACGAAUACAACACGAUUAAUUAUUCAUGUCAGGAUCUAAAAAACAUACACAGAUACAUUUAAUAAACAUACAACACAACAUGGUUAACACAUUUAUCAAUUGUGUUUAGUUAAAUUUUAUACGACAAAACUAUUAGUGUAAGCCUUGCAAGCCAAUCGAUUUUGUGCUUGUAAAACACUAUAUUAAUUAGUCAUAGUUCAUAUUAAAUACAUUAUUGAUAUUUUAUAUAAUGUAUGAGGUAUUUCUUUAUCCAUGAGUUUAUUUAUAAAGAGUUAUGAGAGACUUAUGUAGAUAAAGUCCUUGGAACAUAAUGGCCUUGCAAAGAAAUUAUAAAAGUUAUAAUUAUGAGAUUCUUAUGCAUCAAAGCCUUGUUCCUAAAUAUGUUCCUAGUCACUGUAUUGUCAAGAAUAAAGGCAUUGACAAUGCUCAAAGGUUGGUACAUGCUAAGCCUCCUUACUUUAGAAGUAAGCAAUUGAUCUCAUAAGUUGAAGUAUGUGAGAUACUUGGGGAUAGUAUGUAGGUGCUUGUUAAGGAACAAGUUUACUAAACAUGACCUGCUAUGAUAGUUCCAUUUGGUAUUUCACUCAAGUGUCUAUGGAAAUACUCUCAUGUGUCAGUAAUGUAAGUAAUCCUUAAACUUGUGAUACCAUGUCAUCUUGUAUGUGAAUUGUCAUGCUUUGAUUUCACCUCUACGGGUCUGGAGAUGACCAAAUGUUUAAAUAAGGUGCUUUUGGGUAUGGCAUGAAGCAUGCGAAGAUGAAUGGGUAGUCCAAAAAAGAUUCAUCACCCCAAGUGAUUUGAAGGGGACAUAUCUCAUUUGCUCCUGGCUUAUAUUGAUUAAAAGUCCUUGGCCAAGGCAAUCUUGAUAGGUCAAUAUAGAAACUGUAGGACUAAUAUGGAUAAGUUAGAAAGUAGACACCGAGCUAGACUUUCUAUCUAUUUGGGAUAUAUGAUGAAAGGAUCGAAUUACACUGAGAUAUUGUACAUUGAAAGGUUAGUCAAAUCAUAUUGACUUUCCUGACAUUUAGGUGGUCAUGAUAUAUUGUUAGAUGCCGCUCAUGAUCUAUAAAUAUAAAUAUAAAUUCUUAAUUGAAUUAAUUUAUAUUUAUUGCCAACAUGUUGGGAACCUAACGGGUCACACACAUAAGGUGAAUUGUCGAAAUUAAUUUGAGUUCAAUUGGAUGUGAUCUAAUUGAUUUUAUAGAGGUUUAAUCUAAUUAAGUAUUGGGUUAAAUCAAAUACGAUUUGAUGGAGUAUUAAAUAAAGGCCCAAUUAGCCCAAGACAUAUUAUAAUUCUUAUUGGUUAUAAAUUAGGUCAAUUAACUCUAUAAAAGAAUCCCUUAGCCGCUUCUUGAAGAAAAAGAAGAGUUCUAUUUUAUUUUCUCAUGCGUUGAGAUAGGAUCACAACCAAAAAGAAAGAAACACAAGGGAGCUCAAAGUUGAGAGUUUGCUAGCACAAAUUUCGACUUAGGGAUUUACACGCUCUUAGUGAAGAAAUUUCGGCAAAUCACUAUGUGGAUCACCAUUAGAGGCAAGACAACUAUGCUCUGUGGUUUGAUAAGUUUUAGUUGAUGUACAAAAGUUAAAACGAAAAGCCAAGGAGGACUCCACCAAAGAAAGUAGACUUUCAGGUAUGUCAAAAUUUCUUUUGUGGUUUUUCUAGAUUAGUUUCAAUUAAUGUGAUCCAUGGCUUUGGGGAAUAAAUUUUAAUAAUAUUCCGUUGCGUAUGAGUUGUCUUAGCAUGAUUUAAAUCCCCAACAGUGGUAUCAGAGCCUCCUUUAAUUGAUUUAAUCUAGUUUUAUGUUUAGUUGUUGAAGAUUACAAAAAUUGUUUUGUUUAUAUGUCGGUUUGAUGCAAAGUUUGAAAAAUUAUUUAUAAUAAUUCUGAAUGAAUUUUUUCAAAACUAAUUUAUGUUUUAAAAAGGCCUAUAAAGUCUUGAUUUAUGGAUUUAAAAUCUAGAUUUAAUAAGUCCUUAAAGAUUUUAUAGAUUUGUUUUAAAAGAAUCCAAAUUUGAAAAAUCUGGCAUCAUAACAUGAUCUGUUUUGGAAAUUUUUUUGAGGGACUUAGAGAAGGAGUUUGAACGUGAUUUUUGGAGGGUAGAACGUCAAGAGGAUGAUCUUAACCUCUGAAAAUUUACAGUAUUUAAUUACCUCGUUUGGGUGGUGAUCUGAUGAUGUUUCUGCACAAACAGUUUGCUGGAAUUGUAUUCUUGUGUGACAAGGACUUGCAAAAUCAUGGCUAUUUGUAUUCCGAAUUUACUGAGGUUUUGAGAGCUUUUUGGCAUGAUGUUUGGGGCAUGGGAUGUCUCUGAAUUGGUGCCAAAAUCGCAGCAAACAAUGGAGUAUGGAGCUUCAAAGGAUUUGGGACAGCAUAGGUGAUGCAGACCCAAUAAAAUUACACUAGCUUGUGCUAUUUCUUCUCUAUAUAAUUAAGAGUUGUACUAAUUUGGUUGUGACCUGAAUUUAGACUCCUAAUUGUAAUGGAAUAUAUCCUAAAGAGUUUAGGAUUGCUCCAAAUAAGAUUCUAAAAUCAAAUUGGCAAAGAAAUAGGACUCUUGGCCAUAAAGAUCUAAUUCUAGUUGGACUAGAAUUAUUAAAUUUUCUAAUAACAUUAGAAAGCCUAAUUGGAUUAGGAUUCCUUUGAAUAUUAAAUUUCUAAUAUGAUUAGAACUCCUAUUGAGAAUAAGGGUCAAAUUUAAAUUUCAUAGUCCUAAAAGGUUUAGAAUUACAAAGUCUAUGCUUAAUUGAAUUCCUAGUAGGACUAGGAUUUCUAAAUUGGCACAAGACAUUUAAUGGGACCUAGACAUCAAAUUAUUUGGAUUAAUAUCUUCAAAGGUUGAGUAAUAUUAUUGCCAAAAGACAUAUGAGAUCUUCAAUUUGAAUUAAACAUAAGUUUUAUAUGUUCAUUAUAUGAUUAUGAAUAUAUGAUGAUGAUUAUGGACUUAGACCACUAUAAUGUGUUAUGGAUGGUUAUGGUUGAAUGUAUUUGGUAUUUAUUUUAUAAAUAGGGAGUGUGUGCCCUGCCUUUCCUCUAUUUUAUUCAGGAGUUGUAAAAUUCUCUUCUCAGCUUACUCCCCUCAAAUGUAACUUGAGGUUUCUUUACAUAUAUGUAAUUAGAAUUUAUAGGAUUAGAUUAGGAAGAAAAUUUUAUAAUUCCAAGAUUGAAGGACGAAGGUGCCAAGGAGACAUGAAGAUCACAAGAUUACAAUAUAUGAUGAUAUUUGUAUGUAAUCCCUUAGGAUUUGACCAACUAAUUUCCUUCGAUGGCUCAAGGAAAUUAGAUUAGAUAAAUUCCAUAAUCAUCCUAGUAGUAUGCAUGUGAUAGAUUUAUUUUAUGCAAUAUUAUAAAUGCUAUGCAUGCCAAAUUCGAUGAGACCUAAAUAACAAGAUAAAAGCAACAACAAAAAUCCCUCAUUAAAAUAUUGAGUCACAUGUUUCGCAUGAUUAAGUUGCCUUCCACCAUAUAACAAGAUAACCAAGCUACCUUUUUAAUUGGAGACUUGUUGAGUCACUCAAGGUCAAACUUUUACAUGGGCACGUUUGAGUUAUUGGUGGGUCUUACUCAACUAAAACUGUGUGGUUCGGAUGUGUCACACUUGACCACAUGGUCUUAAAGGCAGGGUUAAGCGAAAUGCAUAUGAUGCAUUUACACAAUGAGUUGUCACCUAACUGAUUUGGGAGUUACAUGUGGAUGCAAUUGAUAAGCUACGUUAUCUACCCAAUUAGGCUUAUUGUGAUUUGUUGAGUCACUUAAGGUUGUCAUAAUUCGAAAGGGGUCCCAGCCCACUAGAAAUACCUAGUAGAGAUUUUCGUAUAAUAGUAAAGGCUAUUAUUACGAAAAAUUAGUGGGAGAAUCAAUGUAAGAUUUAAUACCUCGUCUUAAAUUGAUUUAUAACAUGAAAGGCUAAUACAAAUACUUUUUCUAUAUUUAUAGAUUGUUAGAAUGGGUAUAAUAAUUGCUACUUUGCUUGGCAUACUUGAUGUCAUCAACCUAAAAUGUUUGGACUGGUAUAUCACUUUGAGAAAAGUUCUCAAUAAAUGGAAGGGUGAAAUCUUGACAAGUAAAGAGAUAACUUUAAAUAUGAUUAAGCUUAAUCUUUCUACUGCCAAUCCUAAAUCUUGGAUAAUAGAUUCAAGAUGUGUAUCGCAUUUAUGUACUGACAUAAAGGCUUUAAAGUAUAGUAGAAAGCUUGGUUAAAAUGAGGUAGUCCUAACGUAGGCAAUGGUGCAAAAAUUACAGCAGUUGCCGUUGGGACUUGUGAUCUUAUUUUACCAUCGAGCUUAGUGCUGGAGCUAAAAGAGUGCUAUUGUGUACCAGCAUUAACCAAAAACAUCAUUUCGGUUUCAUACCUAGCUAAGAAUGAUGAUUUUGAAUUUAGUAUGAAGGGCAAUUGUUGCACUGUCAUUCUAAAUGAUGUAUUUUAUGGAUCUGCAACAUGUCAUGGAGGACUUUAUGUUAUGGAUCUUGAUAGCCCAAUGCUCAAUAUAGAUGUCAAGAAAGCUAGAAAAGAUAAUCCAAAUCAAACCUACAUCUGGCAUUGUAGACUUGGUCAUAUCAAUGAGACAAGGAUAGCUAAGUUAUAUAAACAAGGUUAUCUAGAUCCAUUUGAUUAUGAAUCAUAUAGAGCUUGUGAAUGUUGUCUCCUUGGUAAGAUGACUAAGACUCCUUUUACUGGAAAGGCUGAAAGAGCAGGUGUGCUCCUAGGGCUAAUACAUUCGGAUGUAUGUGGACCCUUAAACACACCACCCAGAGGAGGUUAUUCAUAUUUCAUUACGUUUACAAAUGACCAUUCUAGAUUUGGUUAUGUGUACCUAAUGAAGUACAAGUCUGAAGCUUUUGAAAAGUUCAAAGAGUUUAAGGCUGAGGUUGAGAAACAAAUUGGGAAGAGUAUUCUCACUCGUAAAUCGAAUCAAGGAGGAGAAUAUCUUAGUCAUGAGUUUCUAGAUUAUCUAACGGAACAUGGGAUUAUAUCACAAUGGACUCUAUUUGGAACUCCACAACACAAUGGAGUGUUUGAGAGGAGAAAUCGAACCUUGUUGGACAUGGUUCGUUCCAUGAUGAGUAGGGCAGACCUUCUGAUAUCCUUUUGGGGAUAUGCCCUAGAGACUGCUGCUUACCUUCUUAACAAGGUUCUAACCAAAUCGGUUGAUAAGACACCAUAUGAGAUGUGGUAUGGCAAAAGGCCAAACUUGUCUUAUACAAGGAUUUGGGGAUGUACGGCUUAUGUAAAGCGUGCAUCAUCUGAUAAGCUUGGAGCUAGAUCAGACAAAUGCAAGUUUGUAGGGUAUCCUAAAUAAACUAUAGGAUACUAUUUUUACAAUCCCGCCGAGCAAAAGGUAUUUGUCUCGAAACAUGCCACUUUCUUGGAAAAGAGUUUUUACUUGAAGGGAUUAGUGGGAGUAAAAUAAUUCUUGAAGAGGUUCAAGAACCACAAACUAACAUCCCUUUGGAACCUGAGUCGACGGUUGAAGUAUUGGAUGCUCAAACCAACACUCAAGAAACACAAGUGCUCCGUAAAUCUACGAGACAGAGACAAAUUCCAAAGAGAUAUAGAUUUAUGAUGGAAAGAGAUGCUUUGCCAAUUGACAAAGAGCCUACUACUUAUGAGGAAGCAAUAUCUAAUAUUGAUUCUGAUAAGUGGCUAGAGGCCAUGAAAUUCGAGAUGGAUGCCAUGCAUGUCAACCAAGUAUGGACUUUGGUUGAUGCACCUGAAAGGGUAAAACCCAUAGGAUGCAAAUGGGUCUUUCAGAGAAAGACUAACAUGGAUGGUGAUGUACAAACGUACAAGGCUAGGUUGGUUGCUAAAGGUUACAACCAAGUUGAAGGAAUCAAUUAUGAGGAAACCUUCUCACCUGUGGCCAUGAUUAAAUCUAUUAAGAUUUUGCUUACUAUUACUGCAUAUUAUGAUUAUGAGAUAUGGCAGAUGGAUGUAAAGACAACAUUCCUUAACGAGAAUUUGCAAGAGGAAGUGUAUAUGACACAACCUGAAGGUUUUAUAUCCAAGGAGAAUCAGCAUAAAGUAUGCAAACUCCAAAAGUCCAUUUAUGGGCUAAAGCAAACAUCUAGGAGUUGGAACAUUAAAUUUGAUAAAACUAUUAAAGAAUAUGAUUUCGUCAAGAAUCUUGAUGAUCCAUGUGUUUACAAAAGGGUAAAUGGACAAGCAGUUGUAUUUUUAGUACUUUAUGUUGAUGAUAUACUAUUAAUAGGAAAUGAUAUAUCGAUGCUACAGACUGUCAAAAUCUGGCUAUCCAAAAAAUUCUCCAUGAAGGAUUUGGGAAAAGUGGCCUAUGUUCUAGGAAUAAGGAUCUAUAGAGAUAGAUCAAAGAGGCUGUUAGGAUUGUCCUAAUCCACUUAUAUAGACAAGGUGCUAAAGAGGUUUAGCAUGAACGAGUCCAAAAAGGGACAUUUGCCUAUGUCACAUGGCAUUCAUCUCUUAAAGGAUAUGUGUCCAAAGACACAAGAUGAGAGGAUGAAGAUGGAUAGGAUACCGUAUGCAUCGGUUAUAAGAUCCAUCAUGUAUGCCAUGUUAUGUACUAGACCAAAUGUGGCGUUUGCUUUGAGUGUCAUGAGUAAAUACCAAUCAAAUCCAAGUGAAAAUCAUUGGAUUGUUGUGAAAAAUAUCCUUAAGUACUUACGGAGAACUAAAGAUGUUUUCUUGGUCUAUGGAGGGGCUGAACUCCAAGUUAAAGGAUAUGAAGAUGCUGCAUUCCAAUCUGAUAAGCAUGACAAUAAAUUGCAAAGUGGAUUUAUAUUUACCUUAAAUAGCGGUGCUAUUAGUUGGAAAAGUUCCAAGCAAGCAACAACUGUAGAUUCUACAACCGAGGUUGAAUACAUCUUCGCGUCUGAGGCAGCAAAAAGGGGAGUUUAGAUCAAAAAGUUCGUAACUGAACUUGGUGUGGUUCCUAGCAUUGUUGAUCUUGUAACUUUGUACUGUGACAACAAUGGAGCCAUUGCGCAAGCAAAGGAACCAAGGUCUUAUCAAUGAUCCAAACAUGUAUUAUGGCAUUAUCACUUGAUCAGAGAGAUCAUUGGAAGAUGUGAUAUUAAUAUAAAAAGAGUACCCUCUCACCAAAGUUCUGUCCCAACAAAAAUAUGAUCGCCACUUGGAAGGCUUUGGUAUUAGAUACAUGGGAGAUUGGCUUUAGUGCUAGUGGGAGAUUAUUAGUGUAAGCCUUGUAAGCCAAUCGAUUUUGUGCUUGUAAAACACUAUAUUAAUUAGUCAUAUUUCAUGUUAAAUACAUUAUGGAUAUUUUAUAUAAUGUAUGAGGUAUUUUUUUAUCCAUGAGUUUAUUUAUAAAGAGUUAUGAGAGACUUAUGUAGAUAAAGUCCUUGGAACAUAAUGGCCUUGCAAAGAAAUUAUAAAGGUUAUAACUAUGAGAUUCUUAUGCAUCAAAGCCUUGUUCCUAAAUAUGUUCCUAGUCAUAGUAUUGUCAAGAAUAAAGGCAUUGACAAUGCUCAAAGGCUGGUACAUGCUAAGCCUCCUUACUUUAGAAGUAAGCAAUUGAUCUCAUAAGUUGAAGUAUGUGAGAUACUUGAGGAUAGUAUGUAGGUGCUUGUUAAGGAACAAGUUUACUGAACAUGACCUGCUAUGAUAGUUCCAUUUGGUAUUUCACUCAAGUGUCUAUGGAAAUACUCUCAUGUGUCAGUAGUAUAAGUAAUCCUUAAACUUGUGAUACCAGGUCAUCUUGUAUGUGAAUUGUCAUGCUUUGAUUUCACCUCUACGGGUCUGGAGAUGACCAGAUACUUAAAUAGGGUGCUUUUGGGUAUGGCAUGAAGCAUGUGAAGAUGAAUGGGUAGUCUAGAAAGGAUUCAUCACCUCAAGUGAUUUGAAGGGGACAUAUCUCAUUUGCUCCUAGCUUAUAUUGAUUAAAAGUCCUUGGCCAAGGCAAUCUUGAAAGGUCAAUAUAGAAGCUGCAGGACUAAUAUGGAUAAGUUAGAAAGUAGACACCGAGCCAGACUUUCUAUCUAUUUGGAAUAUAUGAUAAAAGGAUCGAAUUACACUAAGAUACUGUACACUGAAAGGUUAGUCAAAUCAUAUUGACUAUUCUGACAUUUGGGUGGUCAUGAUGUAUUGCUAGAUGCCGCUCAUGAUCUAUAAAUAUAAAUAUAAAUUCUUAAUUGAAUUAAUUUAUAUUUAUUGCCAACAUGUUGGGAACCUAAUGGGUCACACACAUAAGGUGUAUUGUCAAAAUUAAUUUGAGUUCAAUUGGAUGUGAUCUAAUUAGUUUUAUAGAGGCUUAAUCCAAUUAAGUAUUGGGCUAAAUCAAAUACGAUUUGAUGGAGUAUUAAAUAAAGGCCCAAUUAGCCCAAGACAUAUUAUAAUCCUUAUUGGUUAUAAAUUAGGUUAAUUAACUCUAUAAAAGAAUCCCUUAGCUGCUUCUUGAAGAAAAAGAAGAGUUCUAUUUUAUUUUCUCAUGCAUUGCGAUAAGAUCACUGCCAAAAAGAGAGAAACACAAAAGAGCUCAAAGUUGAGAGUUGGCUAGCAUAAACUUCGGCUUAAGGAUUCACACACUCUUAGUGAAGAGAUUUCGGCAAAUCAUUGUGUGGAUCACCAUUAGAGGUAGGACAACUGUGCUGCUGUGGUUUGAUAAGUCCUAAUUGGUGCACAAAAGUUAAAACGAAAAGCCAAGGAGGACUCCACCAAUGAAAGUAGACUUUCAGGUAUGUCAAAAUAUCUUUUGUGGUUUUUCUAGAUUAGUUUCAAUUAAAGUGAUCCAUAGCUUUGGGGAUUAAAAUUUUAAUAAUAUUUCGCUGCGUAUGAGUUGUCUUAGCAUGAUUUAAAUCCCCAACAAAAACAUGAUUAACAUGAUUAAAAUUUAUAUGAUUUAUAAUUUGUUUACAUGAUUAACAUGAUUGAUACGAUUAACACACAAUUGAUACAAUUAACAUGAUUAAAAUGCUUAAAUUAAAAUAUGUACAAGUAAAAUAUAAUUUUAUUAUUCAAAUUUACAAUCAAAAAUUAUAAAUAUCAUAAUAUUUAUAAAAUAUAAUAAAAUUUGAAAUCAAUAAAUCUUAAUUAUCAUAAAAAUAUUAGUACUUAUAUGAAUCAAUAAAUAAGUCUUAACUGUACACUAAAUGUGUAUAUAUGACACGAUUAAAUAAAUAAACAAUAGAUGAAUUAUAAGCUAUACGAGAUACACGAUAACAUGAUUAACUAUUUGUAUCUUAGACGUAUCUUAGAUGGAUUUAAUGGGUUUAACAUAAUUAAUACAUGAAAUACUAUUAACCUAAAUUCAAACAUGCAAAAUUAUGUAUCAUGUUACCAUAUUACAUACAAAAGUACUAAAUCUACGUGUUAUCGUGACUGGCUAUUUACCCACUUUGAGUUGGAUCUCUAAUCCAUAGCUAAUAUUCCAUGUUGAGAAUAAGGAAUAAAGAGAAUAUGACAAGAACUACUAUUUUAUCAAUUUUUUAACUUUCUAAUUCUUUAAUACACAUCUUUAACAUAAUAGUUAUAAAAUUUAUAUAUGCAUAAAUAAUAAGAGUAAAACGACACGCAUUAUACCCACCACCUCUCUCUACCCAUGAGUUAAACUAUCAUUAAAUCAAUAUCAAGACGGUUGAACAUAAAAAUAUGUAUGCCAUUGCCAACUAGAGGUAAUACGUGUACACUACUUGAAAGAUGGAAACCUAAGAGAGUGAAGAGAGAAUUCAGCAAAGAGUUGCCUAACAAAAGUAAUGGAUUUAUUACUAUAUUAAUUACAUAAAACUCUAAAUUAACAGUAAAACAAGUAAACAAUUUUAGAAAAUGAGUGGUGUCAUAUGACACCACUCCCUCUAAGGUAGGUCCACCCUUGAUUGUAUAUAAUUUGUAUUACAAAAUAUUUGUUAGGCAAUAAGCUCUGGACAAUGGGGUGUUUGUCAUCAUCCAAAAAGGAGAUGGUGGAUCCAUAUUACUUUUUAUGACAAUAAACAAGUGGAGGGAAUCAAUUGACUAACUCCCCUCAAAGAUAUCCUAAAGAUACAAAAGUAGAUAAGUUAGUUGAUUAAUGUAGUCAAAAUCAAACUCAACUGAUUAAUUAGAUUGAUUAAAUCCAAAAUAUUCUAUUCAAAAAAUGACUAAGUGUAUAUCAAAUCACUUAAGAAUCUGGCAACAUUUCCAUUAAACCAGACUUAAUUAAAUAAAACUAGAUUGCAAUUGAUUUCAAUCUAUUAAAUUAAUAAAUAAUUUUUUCAAAAAAAAUAUGCAAUUGAUUGGAUUUAAACCCCUAACCUCUUCCAGUAUUAUUAAAAUAUAAACCAUUAGAUAAUACCUUUUUAUCAAGCAUUUAUCGCAUUUAAUACUUAUUUAAUAAUCAAAACAUAUAUUUAAAUUAUAAAUACUGAGAUAAUUAAAUAAACCCAUCCAAUUGAGAAUUUGUCUCCUUCAUCAAUAACCAAUUUAGUAUUUGUUUGAUUUGAUUUGAUUUGAUUUCUUUCAACUUAUCUACCUCUUAAAGUAGAAGUCAAGUUAAACAAAAUUUUGAGAAACUUAAAAAAAUAGAUUUUUUUAAAACAAAAUUUAAGAAAAAAAUUUUAAAAAAAGCUUUAGAUAAAAGCUUUCUCUUAUAUUUUUUUGAAAUUACGUCAUCUUUUACAGAAAUACCUUUUUCUCUCAAUAACAUAAAUAUUUUUUAUGAUAAUUUUAAUCAAAUUAAAAUUUAUAUAAUUUAUUUUAUCAAAUAAUUUAUCGAACAAAUUUAUCUUAAUUUAAAAGUUAUUAUAUUUUAUAAAAACUUUAUGAUAACUUUUAAAUUAAAAAAAUUAAAUCAAACAAGUUCCUAAUCUAGUGCUAGCGUAAGGCUAAGGACUACCUAACUCACUUUGGAGUUGAAUCUCUAAUCCGCAGUUGAUAUUCGAAACCCGAAUAAGGAAUACAAGUAUAUGACAAGAGCUAGUAUUUAUCAAUUCCUUUUAUAAACUUAUAAUUAUUUAAUAAAAAUAUAUAACAGAUUGGUUAUUAUAAAAUUUAUAUAUGGAUAAAAGAUAAGAGUAAAAUGACGGGCAUACCCACUACAUCUCCCGACCUGGGCGGUUAACCUAUGAUUACAUCAAUAUCAAGGUGGUUCAACGUAAAUAUAGGCAUCCACAGAGCUUCUAGUGGGCGCCACAUUCUUUAAUGGGGCACGCGUAGCUACAGGGCACAAGCAUUCUCACCCACCCCCACGUGAUAACCUUAAUCAUUUGUUUUUCCAAAAAAUUAUUUUAUAUAUUGAAGUUGUAAAGUUUCAAGUAAAUCACAAAUUUAUUUAAAGAAUUAAUAAAUUAUUAUAGUUUAUAUUUAUAAAAUAAAUUAAUUAAAUAUAUUUUAAUUAAUUCUUAAAUAAAUUAAACGAGUUUAAUAUAUUUAAAAUACGAAAUUUUCAUCCCAUAACUCUGUUGAUAUAAUUAAGACAAAAAACAUGAUUACUUUACACCCAAAUUCGUUUAACUCUAUAUCAUAAUUAUCUUGUCGUAUGCAAAAUAAUCAUAUCUAAAUGCAUUGUUUAAAAAGAAAAACAAUACAAUCUUAUGUUGCUCAUUUCCACGAUAAAAAUUAUUUAAUUUGAGUCACAUGAAGAUAUGUUGAGAGUGAAUUAUUAAAUAAAUAUAUGUCCAGUUAUAUAAAUUAUAUUGUUUAUAAUAAUAAUAAUAAUAAUGCAAAAUGUUAUUUUAGAUGAAUGCUUGAAACCCAAUGAUUUGUUGCUUGAUAUUAUGUAGCGUUUGAUACUUUACAAUGUAAUGUGAUUGCAGGUAAUGUGAUUGCAAGCAAUAUGAUUGCAGAAAAGAUAACAUUGUAGUGUUUAGUAUAUAAGUAAUAUAAUGAUUAAAAUGCAGAGAAUAUAACAUUGCAGUGUUUGUUUACAAAUACUUUAUAGGGUGUGUAAUGUUAAUUUUCAAAACUACCAUUAUAUAUUAAAAUACAAAUUUAACAUGUAUUUUUUUAUUGUUAAUUUUUAUAUAAUGUCAUUUUUUAAAAAUAUUUUUAAUUAAAUAUAUUGUAUUUUUCAUUUCUUAUUGCAAGUAUACAUUUUUUUAUUUUUAAUAUAAUUUCUUAUAUUGUAUAUUUUAUUUUUAACUUUUUCUUUAAAAGAUAAUUUUUUUUUAUUUCUUAAUACGUUUUAUAUAUAUACAUUAAUGUGAUAGCUUCAUUUCUUAUAACCAAUAACAAAUUGGCAACAAAAUACUCAACAGAUUGUGAGUAAUUUUUUUUAAAAAAUGAUUGGUAAAAAUAUUUUUAAAGAUAUUAUAAAAUGCAAUGUAAUGUGAUUACAUUAGUUUUAGACUGUAAUCACAUUACAUCUAUUUGCUGCAAUGUGAUUGCAUUACAAUCUUAUAUUGCAAUGGUAUGUUACAAAACAAACACUGCAAUGUAAUUUAAUUGAGCACAUUACAAAAAAUCUGACUUUACAUUCCUCGUACCAAACGCAUCCUUAAAUACAUGAGAAUCAGAAUCUAGUGAAAAUAAAUUCUAUGGUGUAAUAUAAUAACAUAAAAUCUGAAUGUAAACCGAUGCAUAAAACCUUUGAGAUUAAAUUUAAUUAAUGAAAAUCAGAAUGUACUGGAAGGGCGAAUCCUUCCCCUUCCAUAGCCCUAUCUAGCUAACUGUCCUAUGCAUUCUUUUUGUCUCAUUUAUAUCUAAAACAUAGCCAUACAUGGAAAUGAGGUACGACCUCGCCUGUGGACGAAAAGGACGUAGGUGAGGGAAGACAGAGAGGAUAGCAAAAUAAUUAAAAAAAACGUGGUAAUUGAUUUGUAUUUUUGGAAGGAGAAAGAAUGGAACAACUAGAAAAGGACAUGUAAAGAUAAGAAAAGAGACAGACGGUAUCGAAUGAUAAGAGGAUGAGUAGCUGGAGAUGCUUUACCGGUCACGUGCAACGGAUUACGUUCUGUCUUUUCUUUUUCCUGAUUAUAGUUAUGUAUGAUAUGAUAUUUGGUCCAAGGUGGUCCUUCUCCUUCCUACUUAGAAAGCAUUAAUAAUAAAUAAAUACAAGACAGAAAGUGAAAGGAAUUGGGCAAAAUGGGAAACGUAUCUCCCUCGUGAUUCCGUGGGCAGCCAAUAACACAUAUUGGUUGCCUCCCUCCCUCAAGAGGUUGGUUUGGGUCUUAUAAAUUGCAACUCGCAAGCCACAAAUAACAAGGAUAUAAUUACUUCAAUUUGUUUCUAUUGUCUGCUUCUGCAGAGACAAAUGGGGAAAAUGGCAAGUGAAGCGUUUUUUGUUGUUGUUGUUGCUGCGGCUGCGGCGGUAGUGUUGGCCAAUGCGUUGCCGGUGAGGAGCGAACGUGGGGGCGUGGAGAAGGAUGAGGUGAACAUAUGGCCAAUGCCGGCGUGGGUGAGUCACGGCCGCGGCCAUCUUUACAUGAGCAAUGAUUUCGUGCUCUCCACAGAGGGGAGCGGCUAUGGGGAUGCGUCUGGGAUACUCAAAGACGCAUUCCACAGAAUGCUUGCUGUCAUCACACUGGAUCAUGUUGUUGAUGCCAAUUUUUCUGCAUUGCAUGAUCAACCUCUGCUCCAGGGUUUGCGUAUAGUUAUUAGCUCUCCAAAGGACCAGGUUCCUCCUUCACUCUCUUUUAUUAUUAUCUAUUUCUAUUGUCUUCACCCCCUUUUUCCCAGAAAAAUGAUCACUUCACCCCUUACCCAUUACCCAUUUUUAGGAUUUCUUUUUUGUGCUUUCUGUUAACAAAAGAAAAUUAAAACUAAAAAGAAAAAGGUUUGAGAUGACAUAUAUUCGAAUACAAAUUAAAGUUCUUUCCUUGUCUGAGAAUGUCGUGUUGUACACAAGACACAGGUCAAAGAUUUAUGCUGCAAACGCUGAUAACGAAGUUAUAAGUUACUAUUACGAUUGGUGGAGCCUUUGAUUUAAGACGGUGAUUAAUGUUUAUUUGAUUUGGAGUAAUUCCUUUGUGGUUUUGGUUGCAGCUACAAUACGGCAUUGAUGAGUCGUACAAAUUGAUGGUCCCGUCACCAGAAAAGCCAGCUUACGCCCAUCUUGUGGUAGGCCUAACCAAUCCUAUUUGUGCCAUCUUUUCUUUCAUUUAUUUAUUUUAUUGUUUAUAUUUUUGGGAACUCUUGGAUGAAGGGAUGCACUUAUAUCACAUAUGGUUGAGCUAAGUGCUCAAAGUGCAUUUGUGUCAUCCACUUAAGUCAUAAGUCAUUGCAACAAACACCUACUUAAUAAUUUCAGAAUCACCCCCUCCUUCUGUUUCCUUCAAAUCGUUCAUUAUUUAUGUUAAGUCAGUAUCGUUGGGUGACCGAUUUGACAAAUCUUUAAGCUGUCAGGAAAUGGCUCCAGUUUUAUAUUUACGUCCGAGCAAUGUAAUUGUUGACUUUUAACUUGAUAUUCUGAGGACUUUCAUUGACCUUUCUUAAAUUAGUAUUUUAUGGAUUGCUACUCCAUCACAUCAUAUAAAAUCACUUACCAUAGCCUUAUACACCAACUUUAUGGGUGUGUUUUCCGGAAGGAUUAUGCCUUUCCAGUACCUUUUCUUUUCUCUUUCACAAGAGGCAAAUUACAAGUAUCUACCCAAAGGUUAGGCUUGAUAUGAGGUUGUGUGCUAGACAAAAUUCCAAAAUAUUGGUUGUUUAAAUUCACUAGUUUAUUUGAAUUAACCGCUAAUUAUAGAAUCAACUCAAUCCUGUUACAAAACAAUGCAGGCGCCGACGGUUUAUGGUGCUUUACAUGGCCUUCAGGUUAGUGCUAGUAUAAUUCUUGUUGCUACGUUGUCAUUGUUCUUGACUUUAUUGUAAAUUCAAAAUUCUUAGAAAUAUGUGGCUUGUCAUACAACGUUGCAGACAUUCAGCCAAUUAUGCCAUUUUAACUUUACAAGCAGGGUCAUUGAAGUUCACAUGUCCCCAUGGACUAUCAUUGAUCAGCCAAGAUUUUCUUACCGAGGCCUCUUAAUUGGUGCGAUGCUUCACUUCUAUAGCAUGUUUGAGUGGUUCAUGGUCUUGAUUUCCUUUGAAACUAUGAUAUCUAUUUUUGACUUACAUUGAAAUAAUUAGGGGCUUAUUUAUGUUAUUUUGCUUUAGCUGUUAGCUAUAAUUAAAAUAUAUUGUUUUACUGCCCAUUUUGGCAAUUCUAUAUCUUCAGCAACCAGCAAGAUGAAAGAUGGAAUAGCAGUUAAGCUGCCGAUCUUCAUGGGUUUGAGAAAAUUAUACCAAGAAAAAAGUCUUUUUUUUUUUUAUCCUGUUUUCUGUUUCAAUACAAUGUUUUGACUUUUUUGAUGUGCAGAUACAUCUCGUCACUAUCUGCCAUUGCCAGUUAUUAGGAAAGUUAUUGAUUCCAUGACCUAUGCAAAGCUGGUAUGUAAUGCAUUAAUAACAAAUUUCAACUGGAAUAUUUUUCUCCUCCUGAUUGUUUUCACCAAGUGGAGAUUUGUUUAAUACAACAGAAUGAUAUUAAGCCUAAAUGCAGUAACUGUUUCUUGCUUUCACACAGAAUGUAUUGCACUGGCACAUUGUAGAUACACAGUCUUUUCCUUUGGAGAUACCUUCAUAUCCCAAAUUGUGGAAUGGUGCUUAUUCAACUUCAGAACAAUAUUCAGUGGCUGAUGCUGCUGAAAUUGUGAGGCAUGUGAUUUACCUCUUUCUCACAGGAUUCAAAUAAUAAUUACUACUCUGAUAACUUUGAUUCUUUUUGAUAUGUUUAUUUUUAAUCUUUGCAGUUUUGCUCAAAAAAGAGGAAUAAAUGUAUUGGCUGAAAUUGAUGUUCCAGGACAUGCUCUCUCAUGGUAGCACAGGCUUUCUCCAUUUUUAAAGCAUAUUCUUCUUAUUGCUAGUAAAUAUGCUUUAUUUGACAAAUAAGCAUUACUUUAUAGUAUAUGAAGAUGCUAAUUUUUGUGCCUAUCAUAAAGGUUUGGAAAUUUUAAUUAGUGCUCUUUAAAAUGAUGGAGAUAUCAGGCUCUAAUAUCUUAUUUAGUGAAUGAAAGUUACAAAAAGUAAAAACUUAAGCUUUCUGAUAAUUGAGCAAGGACUUUAGGCUGGUAAUUUAACUAUGAUUACCUUAACAUAGGUACUCUUGAGGUGGAGAAUGCUGAAGAAUUUAUUGAGGAUGCAUGGUACAAAAUUGUGCGCAAUGGAUAAAUUUACAGUUUUAGGUUUGCAGAAUGCAGAGGAGAGUUUUCUAUAGUGCGAGGAUUAUUGAUACUGGCUCAGAUACAAGGAGGGGUGGGAUUUGAAAGAAUAUGUGUUGUAAAGAACAUGGAAAUUAUUACAUAAGCAGGAGAAGAAUUGGGCUAAGAGAAUUAAGGUCUAGGUAAGUUUGUAAGUUUCAGCUAUUUAGAAUUCAAGAUAGAUAGAUAGAUAUACAGCCCUUUGAUAAAUCUUAAUAAUAAUUACAUGGGAAUUUUAGGCCGUAUAAUGGUUGGAUAUUUGAAAAAGCCAAAUGAGAAGAAUAUUCUUGAUAACUUACUGCUAUAGUUUUUAAUUGUAGUCCUAUGGUUCUUGAACUACUAGUAGCAAUAUUCCGGUAACUUGACACUUUUUGAUGUCACAACUUCCCAUCUAUGCUUUCUUUCCCCAAGAAGGUGAAAAGAACUAGUGAAAAGCACACUUCUAGAAAGUGCAUGAUCUUGAAAUUUCUUUAAAAUUAGCAAUGAUUAUGGGUUACAUCUUUCCUUUUUUAUUGAAGAAUGAAUGCUGGCUGACAGUACUUGCAGCAACAACCAAAUGUACUUGCAGUAAGCUCAGCUAAAUUAAGGUCAUUUUUUUUUUUGUAGUUUACUCCUUUGUCAGAAGUGAUAAUGAUGGGAUAUGAUCAAAGUUAUGGAAAAUUGAUUUUGUUUCUGAUGGUUAAUCAAAACAUCAAGGCUGGGGAUUUAACUAUACAUUAGGGAAGGUUUUUAGGUGGGAAAAUUGAAGAUCAUAUUUAGGUGUAAAUUGGGAGUUUCAGCAGCUGAUAUUUUGCAACUUUAGAUCCCCAGAACAUCCAAUGUGCUAGUGGCGGUAUUGGUUGUUCCUUCUCUAUUUUAGCUAGUAUAUGGAAGUUAGAGGCUACUUCUUCUUUGAGCUUCUCCAGCUUUGCAUUUGCUGUCAGUUGUUCUCAUGAUAGCUAGACUCAACAACUCCCUAAUCUUGGGUAGAGAGAAUUGUUGAUGAAUCCUGCUUGUUUUACCACCUUUUUCCUUCACUAGAUAACUAAAAAGUGCAUCAUUUCAUCUCUUCUAGAAGAAAUAAGAAUAGUUUCAAUUAUCUUAUUAAAAAGUCAUGGUACAACUUAAACAUAGAAGGAAAUUCUAAGACCAGGACAAGCAAUUUGAGAGAAAGUUGCAUGCAAUAAUAUGUGGUUUUCUUGCCAAUUACUACAAGAGAAUUGAAACUAAACAGCAAUUGCUCACAGCACCACCAUCAGUUUUGUCAAAUGUUCCAUUUAAUUAUGAAGAUUGAUGACCCAAAUUAUACUAAAAUAUAUUUUCAACAAACCCAACUAUCUAUGUGGUUUGGAUGACCCAAGUUAUAAUAAAAUGGUAGCUCUUGCAUAUUAAAUAUAUUCAAAAUCUUGUAAUAUAGAAGCAAGCAACAAACACAAAUAUACAGAUAUUGCAAGAUGGAAGUCAUGGAGUGUGUCCAAAAAUUAUUUGCUGUAUAUUGGCCUUCUCCUAUAUUGUUUGGAUUAACUUUGGUUUUAAUUCUUUAGGGGGACUGGUUAUCCUUCUUUAUGGCCAUCUAAGGACUGUCAGCAGCCGCUUGAUGUCAGCAAUGAAUUUACAUUUAAAGUAAUAGAUGGAAUUCUUUCAGGUGAUCUCCCUACUUUCCCUUCAAUUCAUUACUUUUAUUAUGAAAUGACUCAGCAUAUUUUCUUUCUUAUAUAGAACAACAUGAAAGGAAAUUCAACUAAUGACAUUGGAAUUUUUGUUUCAGAUUUCAGCAAGAUCUUUAAAUUUAAAUUUGUUCACUUGGGAGGGGAUGAAGUUGAUACAAGUAAGUUAAAUCAUACUAUCUUAUAAUUCCUACUGAUAUUAUUAUCGAUAUUGUCUAUCAUGCUAAUUAUUAUUUUUGGUUUGAGGCUUUUUUUGGGAUAAAAUUAUUUUCUUCAUAAAAAUCUUUGAGGUAGAUGAUGGUAACCUUUUCAUAGGAGUACUUAGAUAUUCUUGAUUUAUUUUGUUGCAUACUUCAAACUGUGUUCUUAGCAUUUCUUGAAGUUGUUGCUUUCUAUUAGCAUAAUUCACAUCAACUCAUUUCAAUUGCUUUAAAUGUUCAACCAGAAUGGAAAAGGUAUUUUGGUCAAGCUUAUGUUAAAAGUCUAAACGAACAUUCUGUGACCUAAAGCUGCUGCAUGAUCCUUAUACCCUAAAUUCUCUGAUAAUAUAUGACAUCGAAAAUAUAAUAUUUUCUCAAGUUCUUGUGUUUGGCCCAAAGCUGUUGACCCUUUGUUCCAAGCUGUGGUAAUGGCCCCAAAAAGAAAAAAAGUGAAGAAAAUGAGAAAUUAACAAAGAUGGUAAAAUGGAAAGGGUUUUUUUCUAGAUAUUUUGGGUUUUUAUAUUCUCAUGAAUAGUUUCCCUAAGUGACAACUUUGUAAGGAACCUAGCCUCUAUAUUAUGUAUGUUGAUAGAUUUUGACUUCCUAGUGUUGGGAUAAGCUGUGCAAAUCAGUAUCAAGUGUAGCGGAUAUUUAAAAUUUUUCCCUCAAGCAAGAUCAACAAUAGUUGUUUAAUAUAAAUAAAUCCUAACUAGUUGGUAGAAAUUUUUACUUUAAAGCCUUCAAUGUUGAAAUCAAUAGGCAAUUCAAAAAAGAUGUUGAAAACUUCUCCCCACAGAGUUAAGUUGUUGCAAACCUUAAGUUGUCCAAGCGUCUAGCUUCUAAUGGUGAUCUACACAUACUUCAAAUAGAAUAAUACCAAUGGUGGUUAGGGGUUUGCUUUUGCUGCUAAAUUUAGUGCUAGUUAGGAUGAGGCUAACCAGGUUUCUCACUUCCCAAGGGAAACCAAAAACCAAAAAUGGAAGAGGAAGAAAAGAAGAAGUCGUCUAUAUUGAAGGAUACAACACCAAAAUUGAUGCCUAGGGUAUCACACUAGAAGCCACCAAUAUCCAGGGAUAAGGGGUUGCUUGGCUGCUGAAAUCUCACCUCUCAAUUCUCAAUUGCUUCUUAGGGUUUUGUAUGCCAAUUGUAAUGCCUUAAAAUUCCGCAUAAACAUCUUAUUCAUAGGCAAAUAUGCUAAUCCUAUUCCCAUUUUUCCUUGACAAAAUUGAACUUAUUCAAUUAAAUCCUUGAAGUCUAUAUUAUACCUCUUUUCAAUUAAGUUCAACUUAAUUCCCAAUUUUAUAUUUUUACAUUAAAAUCCUUAAUCUGUGACCCAUUAGGUUUUGCAUAUGGUGGCAAUAAAUAUGCAUUAUAAUUAGUUUGAUAAGGGAUAGGUGAAUCAAUCAUAUUGCAUUUUUCAUCCAUUCGGUAAUUGAUUAAUUCAUAUUUAUAAGUCAAGAUUAACAUCUAGAAUAUGCCAUGACUAUGUAAAUAUUUAGAAGAGUCAAAAGAGGUUUGACUAAAUCCUUCAGUACUCAGUUUAUCAAUGUAUUUUAAUCACUUUUCAUCUAAUACCUUGAUAAGAUAUAGAGCACAAUUUAGUGUCUACUCUAUGUCUGUCUUUAUCAUUCUAGAUCUUGCAAUCUUUUUAACUCAUUAAUGAUAUUAAAAACUCAUUUUCGAAUCUUAAUUCAAUUUUGGCCAAAGAUUUGAUUGAGCUAAGUCAUGUUAAGAGUCAAUGGGAUAUCUCUCUUAAAUCACGUUGGCUGAUAUAUCUUGUAUCUAUCAUUUAUAUAUUUUCAUAUGGUUCAUGUUAUACUUAAUGUAUACUCUAUUGUAUAUCCUUGGUUAGGACUACCUAGGUUAAUAUCACAAAAUAUUAAUCCCCACAUAAGAUAACUUGAAAAUUUUAAGUCUAAGGAUUACUUUCAAAACUAACACAUGAUAAUGUUUUCAUAAACACUUGAGUGAUAUAUCAAAUAGAAUUCUCAUAGUGGGUCAUGUUCAAUGAACUUAUUAUUGUAACAAGCAUCUUUAUAUUAGUUUCAAAUAUCCCAAUACUUCAACCUAUGAAAUUAAUUGUUUACUUCAUAAGUAAGAGACAUAAUAUAUGCUAAUUUCUUAGGUUAUAUUAUUGCUAUGUCUUGAUAAAGUAUUGACUAAGAAUCGUUUAGGAGCAAUGCUUUGAUACAGUGAGUAUUUCAUAAUUAGAACAUAUUAUAGCGGAUAAACUACAUUGACCUCCUUACGUUUUUGACCAUAAUUACACGCAGGUUCAUUAGUAUUAAAAAUGGACAGUCCUCCCCAAAAGAAUGUUUUUGCUAGACACAUAAGUCUUGCUGUUAGUCAACUGUUGAUGUUUCUGUUAAUUUAAUGAUGGGGAAAUAUUUUGAGGACAAUUUUUCUCUUCAUUAAUUUUAAAAAUUACCAAAGUAUAUAAACUAAUUUUUCAUUUUUUUUUCAAAAAAAAAAAAUCUCUCUACCCUACCUUUCCUUUCUCUUAGGCAAGUCAGCGGCUUUCCCUUAUGCUGGCCGGUCACCCAAUGGUCGGAUUUGGCCGUGGAAUGCCAGACCCAACUGAAUAUCUGCAGAUCACGCUCCUUUGGUGGAGCGCAAUCUCAAUGCUCCCCCUCCCCUAGGGGAGCAUCUCUCAGGCUGUAGCCACACUUCCCCUCCCUUAUGGGAGUGCCGAUCGGGGGAGAGGGGAGCACAGCCAGAUCCAAGAUCGCACUCCCCUAAGGGAGUGUGAACUGGGGAGAUAUAGCUGGAUCUGGCAUUCCACAGCUUGAUCCUGCGGCAAGGUGGCUGACUGGUAUAAGUGAGCACUGUUGGCUGGCUUAAGAAUAAAAAAUAUAGUGAAAAAGGGAAAAAAGAAGAAGAAGGGUAUUUUAGACAUUUCACUUUUACCCAUUAACGCUGUUUACACGUUUGGGGUGGACUGUCCAUUUUGAAUAUUAAUGGACUUGCAUGUAAUUACGGUCAAAACUUGGGUAGGUCAGCGUAUUUUACCCUAUUAUAAUUCUUAUGCAAAAUAUAUUAACUUCAACGGCUUUAUCACCUAGACCUCUAUUGAGUAACAUGACAAUUAACUGAAAUUCUAAACUCUCUCUAGACUAAGCUCUAAGGUAACCUCUUAAGAGGUAAAAAAUUGUUGCUAGCACUCUCGUCUUCAUAGAAUGGUCUCUGGUUCAUCAUAUCAAUAUCAAACAAGUUGUCUCCAGAACAUAGCUUAUGAAAGAGGGCAAGAGGCACAUAUCUUAUGGACUUAUUCAUCAUUUUCUAAACAUUAUUCUUCACAAUAUGUUUUAUAUAAUUUUAAGUUUGUCAUUUUACAUUUAUAUCUUAACAAUUUCAGGUUAAUAGUUUAUUGAUCGGACCACUUGUAUUUCUAAUUUCAGGUUGUUGGACCACAACUCCUCAUAUAAGCAAAUGGUAAGAAGUUUAAUAUUGCGCCAUUGAAUGAAAAUGACUAUUUAUUCUGAUUAUUUGUUUAUUCUGCAUUACAAACUUUAUGGAAACUAGUUUUAAACUGGUGCGAUGCAUGAAAAUUCAAAUAUAUAUAUCAAUAAUUUCAUUUAGAAUAUAAGUUAUCAAAUUUAUAAAGAAACCAUAAUUUAUAUAUCUCAAUUUUUUUUUUCAAUUUGGUAUAUCUCAAUUAAGUAAGUGAAAAAAUUGACACUGAAGAUAAAUAUGUAACUUUUAUCUUAUUUAUUAUUUAUAAAAUCAAGUAAAUGUCAUGAAUCUCAAACUUUUUUCAACAAUCGAUUCUUUUAAAUUAACAUAAACUUGGUUCCAUUAGGUCUCAUACUCUUCUGGGUUUUCAUUGAGAAGAACAUUCCACGUGAUUUUCGUUGGGUUUUGAUAAGUUUUCAUGCAUCUUUUGCAUUUCUUCAAUUGAAAAUUUUGAAACCAUUUCUUUCGCAAAAAAUUGGGGUUUAGGGUUUUGGAAAAACUAGUUCAAUGUUGAUUAAGUCUUUUAAAAGUAUAUUUUGGUUCAAGUUGAUAAUGACACUUGAAAGUAUGCUUUGUUCAAGUUUGUUCAAUUUUUUUUUUUUUAAAGUAUAUGUGCCAUCAUGUGAAAAUAAAACCAAAAAUUAAUUUAGAUGUGAAGAUGAAAGAUAAAAAUGUAAAUUAAUUUCUUUUCAAAACGAAAUGGAGAAAAACUUGAUCAACUAACAUAAAAGACUAAAAACUUGAAAAGUAGAAACAUUUUUGUAAAUACUUUUUUAAAUAUUUUUUUCAUAACAAACCAUAAUUAAUUUUCAUGUAGUAUUUUAGUUUAAUAGCUAACGUAGUCCAUAUUAGAGGUGUCCAUCAAUCAAGCCUCACUUUUCAAGUAUCAAGCCCAAGGUUGGUCUGACUCGUCCAUUUAUAUACUACUUUAUUAUUAAUGAAUAAAACAUUAUGUUAUAUUAUUAUUUUAAUAUUCUAAAAUAUUUUUAUAAUUAAAAUUAUAUAAAAAUAUAAUACUUAUUAAUAUAAUUAUAUACUCGUGUUGGGUCGGGUUGGGCCUGCUCAUGGGCUUGAUGAGCAGUUCAGCUCAUAAACACCUUUAUUCAUAGUUUAUAAUUUAUAGUUUGAAAAUGUCCAUGUGUCAUGUUGGGUCUCCCUUUUCAAACAAAAAUUUAAUGUUUAUUAAUAAAAUAAAACAGUCAAGUUGGGCCGGCUUGGCCUGCAGGCCUAGGUGAGUAGCUUGGCCCAUGGACACCUUUAGUUCAUAGUUUAUAGUUCAUAAUUGAAAAAGAAACUUUAUUGUCAAGAUUAAUAUAAUACAUAAUAAUUUGACAAAUAUGUUGAUGAAACUAAUAGAAAAGAUAAAAACUUGAAAAGUAAACAUUAAACAAUUGAAUUAAACACAAAUAUUAGAAAAAAAUUAAUUAAUCAACCUUAAACACAAAUUUUUUAUUGAAAAGUAACCUUAAACACAAUUAAAAAGUAAUUGACCAACGAAGAAACAAAGAAAUUGAUCAAAUAAAAAAAAUAUUUGAAUAAGAGCAUAAAAAAAAAUGUAUUGAGGUCACACUCUUUUGGACCUAAGCAUAACUAAUAUCCAGCACAGCUAAAUGGAAAAAAAGCAUAAACCAAAUGAAAAAACAAAACUCACAGCAAAUCUAAAUGUAACAGUAGUACAAAUAAAGCCAAAUGGAAUGCUUUAUGAAACAAAUAAAUGGAGCAAAUAUUUAUUCACAGAAACAAAAAAAAAAAGAGAAAUAAAAUGCAGAAAAAAUAGUGAAGCAUACCUUCAAACCCAUAUUCUAACCCACAUAGUGGAGUCCAAUAUAUAGUAGUCAAAAUAAGUGUACACGGUAAGAAUAUUGAAGAUUUAAAACGGAAUAAAUAUAACUAAUUUAGUUGGAAUAUUUUAUUUUUAUUUAAUAUGAUCAAGUUAAAUCAAAUUCGCUAAUGAGAGGACAUAUAGCACAUAUUCAAGCUAUUUUCAUGUCAGAAAGGUAGGGCAUGCACAUAACACUUUUUGUUUUUGCCAAAAAGUUGUCUUAUAUAUAUAUUUAUAUUAGAUGUUACUACUGUUCUUUUUCAAAGAUUUAUCUUGCUUAUUGUUGUUCUCAGAUUGUCCACCUAGGAAAAUUUGUGAUGCCAUUGAAUGGUUGAAAGAGAAGGUUUUCUGUCCAUAUCUUUUAGUAGUUUUUGAUGUAACAUUAUUUUAGCCUACCUCAACUCGUGGGAAGAGUCUUAGUUUGUUGUCGUUAUAACAUUAUCUAUUUCAUCAAUUUCCUUUGCGUUCCUUUGAUGCAUUCAGUACCACCUAAAGCUGCCAUUGCUUAAAUUACUUCAUACUUGUUCUGUUGUUGUUGUUGUAAUUAGUACAUGAACGUCAUACUUCUUAACUUCUUUUAUUUAAUUCCAUAUGAUUCAUCGUGGCAUGAUAUUUAUUGUGUUCCCAAAAUCUAUAUCAUCUAGAAGGCCUCUUACUCUCUUUGCUGGUUGGUUUGCAGGUUAAAAAAGAAUGGUAUGAAUGAAUCUCAAGCAUAUCAGUACUUUGUCUUGCGAGCACAAAAUUUAGCUUUGUCCCAUGGAUAUGAAAUUGUUAACUGGUAUUCAUCCUCAAGACUAUUUAGUCAGACAACAAUUUUUUACAUCCUAUUCACGUAUAGAAUAUAACAGGGAGGAGACCUUCAACAACUUUGGCAAUAAAUUGAGCAGGAAGACUGUGGUUCACAAUUGGUAUGUCAUACUCUUUAUAACUCAAACCUGGAGAAUUUUUUAUGCAUUAUGUCAUUCUAUAGACCUGGUGCGGCUUCUUUUUGCAAAGAGAGCUUUUUUCAAAAAAAAAAAAGAUUCAAAGCAUGUUGUCUGUUUUUCUUCCCCUUCGUUGCAGAGAAGUACUCUAUAGUUCUAUACUGUAUAUAAAAGUAGUUUUAAGUUGAGAAGUUUUUGAAGACAGAAUACCAUAUUGCAACUUAAAUCUACCAAAUGGAAUUUAUCAUUUUAUAAGGGUAAAAUUAUGCAAUUAGUCCUUUUACUCUAUCAAAGUGGUGGAUUUAAUCCCUGUACAAUAAUUUGUAAAAAUUGAGCCCCUGUAUAAUAAUUUGUAAAAAUUGAGUCUUUGUACUUUCCAAUUGACAAUUGUUAACGGUGUUAAAAAUUUUCUAUUAUCUAAUAAUACCAUGUAGGAAAAAUAGCAUUGACAGUUUAAUUGAUAAAAUCUUGUGCACCACUAACAACAAAUGUGUAUGAAUUACAAUAAGUAUGUCUUACUACACUUUUAUGUGGGGUUGUAAUUGAGUUGAGCGAAGUCGUUACAAUGCCAAGCUUGAGCUCGGCUCAAUCUUGAUCAAGUUAUAAUUUUUUCCCUUGAGUUCGACUCAAUUACUGAUUGAGCUACUUAGACUCAACUCCAUUAGUCUUGACUAUCAUUAACAUAAAGUAAGAAACUUAAAACUUGACUAGGGCUCAAGUUUAAAUUCAAAACACAAAAAAAGUUAAAAUUUAAUAAAUAAUAUCAUAUUUUAUCUAUACAUAUAUAAUACUCUUCCUAUUUCAAAUUGAAUAUCCACUUUUCAAAUGGCGCAAAAUUUUAGGAAUAAAACAUGUUCUUUUAUUUGCUGCUUUUGUCCUUAAAAGUUGUAAACGUUAGAGGGGAUCACCUGGAAUUAGUAUUCAAAGAAGGGAAGCAUUGGAAAAGUGUUUUUCAUUUUGGAAAAUGGAUAUUAUUUUGACAUAUCCUAAAAUAGUAAAGUAGACAUUUAAUUUAAAAUGGAGUGCAUAUUAAAAAACAUGAAAACUUGAUGAGUUUUGCAAGUCACAUGAGUUGUAUAUUGUGCUCGAAUUUGGCUUGAGCUAUUACUUCAGUGGUACCAGCUUGAGCUUGGCUUGAUAGUGAACAAAUCAAACUCAAGUAUUCAUCAAAUUGAGCUUGAAUAGCUCAUGAGUAGCUCAAUUUGCUGACACUCCUACUUUUAUGGUUUUAAAAUUUCAUUUAAAAUUAAUAAAGUUGAAAUAUUGUUUUCCAAAUACAAAAAGUUAUUAGAAGUUAGUAAUGUUGCUUGUGUAAUAUGAUUCAUGUGCAAUUGCAUGUAGGGUAUCUUGUAGACUGAGCAAAGCAUGGGCAUGUUUUUUGAGCCAUGACUUGUUUCUUGGGGCAGGAUGGUACUGGAAGCCUCAAUUCUUAUUUGUGCCCUCUAGUGAUUGUUAAAAAGGGUCUGGUAGAUGGUAGUUGAAGCUUCUGUGCAUGUGCAUUUUCUUCUUAACAAAAAAAAAAAGAAAAAUAAUAAUAACAAUAAAAUUAAAAAGACUUUCUGCGUGCAUUUUAUUUUCAUUAUUUCCAGCAACUGUUUAAAACUAUGGAUUGUAUCAACUGGUUCAUCAGGAAUCAGUUACUUAUCCAGUUCAAAGCACACCUGCCGACUAGAUUAGGUCAAGGGCCUGUUGGAAUUGGCAUGGUCAAAUUAACGGACUGGUUUUAAUUUAUAAAAAUCAAAUUUGAUUACAAUUUUACUUCUGAAAUUUUUUUGGAAGUUGGGUCAUUUGAACUAUGAUCCUCUUAAUUGUUAUAAAACAAUUAAAACUUGAGCUAAACAAUCAUUUUUAUUGUUAGCUUUUAACAUGUUAAUACCUAUGUCAUCUUGUUCCUAGGACAGGGUACUACUAGAUAACUUAAUUUUUAGUUGUACCCCCAUCCAUUGACAUUAAAAAGGGUCUAGUAAAAGGUGGAGCCUUUGUGCAUGCAUUAUAUUUUGCAUUCUUAUACAGCAGUUGUUUAAAAAAAGGAUUGGACGAGCUGGUUCUAUCAGUUGAAUUGGGAUCAAUUGCUUGUCCUGUUUGGAACACAACCAUCACCUUAUAUAUGGUCCAAAAUCUGUAAAAGGUUGAACCGGACUGGAUUGGUUUGAUUUACAAAAAUCAAAUUUAAACUGCUUUUUAGAAAUUUUAUAAGUUGUAAGGUGUGAACUCUUACCUCAUUCAAUUUUUAAAGAACAGUUAAAACAUUCGAGCUAAAAAAGCAUUACUCUCAAUGUUCUUGUCAAACCUAUUGGAUCUAGAAAUGGUCUCCCAAAUGGUUAUUUGUCCAGUCUAACUUUAGAAACAUUUAAAAUUUUAGAUUCCUUGUUUAUACUGCGUAUAAUUUACUUGGAGUGAUGGCAUGUCAAUGCUGUAAUAUAUAUUGCUUGAUCGAAGAUUUCAGGUGGGUUAAACUUUUGCUUAAGGUUUCUUUGGCAGGCUUGGUGGUGGUGUUGCUCAACAAGUGGUUGCAUCUGGGUUAAGGUGCAUUGUAAGCAACCAGGACAAAUGGUACUUGGACCACUUGGACACUACAUGGCAAGAAUUCUAUGCAAAUGAGCCUCUCACAAAUAUUACAAACUUGAAGCAACAGAAAUUAGUUAUUGGAGGGGAGGUAUGCAUGUGGGGUGAACGCAUUGAUGGUUCCGAUAUUGAACAAACCAUAUGGCCACGUGCUGCAGCAGCUGCAGGUAUUUAAUAUAAUAUCUUAACAUUAGAUUUCUUGCAUACUAUGUUGUUCUUGCUAUACAAGAAAUACAAAUACCCUAGAUUCCACCAUUCUAAGGUGGAAUUAUUAGGUCAGCACCUGGAGCUCCCCUAUGCAAUAUUGAGUAUCUUCAGUUCUCAGAGGGAAAAAAUGUUUUUGAAAAACAUUUUACAUACUUUCUUUCUUAUUCCAUGAACAGGAUGAAUUUUAUUAGAUUGGGGAAAUACUUGUUGUUUAGACUACAGGAAAAUGAAAAACUACCAGUACAUUAAGGUUUACGCAGGAAAGUAACUGCCAAGUAUGAUAGGUCUUUCCAUCCUUCUGUUCUCUUCUUUUUACCCCUAUAUAGCUAGUGCAAUUUUUAACAUGCACUCUUUGUUUUUUAAAUUAUGACUAAAAAUGCUGCCUUGAGUUGUUUGAAAUUCUGAAAAAAUAGAAAAUAUUUAAAAUGGUUUGGGGAUGUGAUUUAUGUCAUAAGCUUCCAGGCAACCAACUUCAACGACUUCUGGACAGUUAAAUAGGCUGUAGGAGUCAUGGGUGGGAAUAUAUGGUGGGGCUGAAUCCAUUUUAGUAGAGUCAUCGUCAUAUGUUGCUUGUUAUGUCUGCAUAUGAAGUUAAUUUCACUGGCUUUUGUCUCUGUUGUGCUUAAAGGUAAUUGUAAUUAGUCCUUUAUUAUCAGAAAUUAUUUCUGGUUAGAAGCACCUUUAAAUUUUAUUGUUUAACACGGGAUGAAAUUAUGCUUUAUUUUUUGAAAGAAUGCCCUUAGUAACAUGGCAUAGAGACUCCUUAUUAACUUUAGUUUUAAAUUCUAUUGAAAAUUCAGAAACCUAAACCGAAGCUGAAGUAUUGUCUUGAUUUUCAUCCCCCUAACCACAUUCUUCCUUUCCCUAUCGAAAUUGAAGAGCGGCUGUGGACACCCUAUGACGAGCUGGCAAAGGAUCCAAGGCAAGUAACAGGAAGGUUGGCACACUUCAGGUGUUUACUGAAUCAAAGAGGAGUUGCAGCUGCUCCAUUAGCCGGACAAGGCCGUGCUGCCCCUGAAGGUCCAGGUUCUUGCUAUGUGCAAUAAUUUGCUGAAUCACUUGUAUCAACUGAUUCCUGGUUGUUAAUUAGGCAUUGGACUGGAAUAACUCCCAUUUCUGUCUCCCUUACAAUAAUAGCCAAUAGGGGAUGCUUCUGGUAAAAGGUCAGAUAAUUCUAUCAAUGCAAGUCUCAUUUUCCAAUAUGCAAGGAGGGAAAGAAUGCACCGGGUGAUGAUCUCUAAUAAAGCAGAGUUUGAAUCUCUAGUGCUCAUGAUAAAGGCAAAAAAGAUCAAACCGUCGAAUGCCACGACCUUGUAAAAAUAUAUAUAUAAUUUAAGAAUUGAUUAAUUAUUAAUUAUUUAAAUGUCAUUUGUUAUUUUAUAUGUACUCAUGUGACGUAAAUACGGUGUUAAUGAAGAUGGUUAAGAAUACAAGAUUUUUCCUAAGUAUCAUGUUACAAUUGUGGCACACUUAUUACGUGAGUGGGAAAGAGAUUAGGUGAUCAAAACAUGGGUGGUUUACCUCCUAAAUGCAUGUGGGACCCAAAUUCUAUCUCCCUAGUAAUAUGAAAGAACAUACAUAUUUUUAGUUCUUUAUCAUGUUUUGAGUUGUUUUCACUUGAUUUAUGAUGCUAAUCUCGAGUAAUCCUUAAAUCAUUAUUGGAUGAAAUUUUUAUUUUUACUUUACUGUUCCCAUCAAGUAAGUAGAAAUAGAAUGCAAAAACUUAUUCCAAAAUAUAAUCUCAGUGUUUAACACUUCGCCUAGCAAUGGUUCCUUAGCAAGUGUUGGCUCUCAAUGUAAAGACUCGUAAAUGAUUUAGACCCUAAUCAACAAAACAUAAGAGAAUUUAGAGAAAGCGAUAUUUACAUUUUAGCUUUCAUAUUUAUUGCAUUUUUACAUUCACUUCUAAGACAUUCAACGUUGCUACUAAAAGGUCCAACAUUUUCCUACAUUAAAUUUUAUUUACAUUGCCAGCUUUGUGAUCAAAACAAGAAUAUGCCCCAAACUUCACUUUCAAAGCAAAGAAAAAUAGCUGAUUCACAAAACUGUCUCACGAUCUACCACGUUCCCAUCAUAAUGUAAGACAUGCUUGUACAGAUGAUCCCAAAAGCUGACAAUAAUACCCAAUGUUACUCAAGUUGACAUCGUUUGCAAUCUUAUAUGCUUAUACUUUUGUUCCGCGUUGAAGCGUCUUGCACUUUCUGUAAACUCUUUUGAUAACAGAAGCUUCAGUGCAUCGACUCCCUCUUGCAAAGCAGUAUCAAUCUUGUCCGAAAACAAAGGCAAAGUACACAAUGAAAAUGACACUCCAAAUUAUUAUUAAGCUUAAUCCAUUUAAGUUUUAAACAAUGUCUUUAUCCUAAAAGCAAUGCCUUUGGAAAACUAGGAAUCAAAUUAAAGACCAAGGGAUCAACGAAUAACAGGCGGAAUGAUUCAAACCCAAAAUAUGUUACAAAGCAAGGAUGCAUAUGCAAAAGGAGAUACACACCAAGGAUCAUGUAAACCUAUAUAUGAGAAUCUAUGUGUGCAUACGUCUAAAUGGUUUCUUCCCCUAAUCUACAUGUCAAUAAAGAAGGCAUACUUCACAUCAACAGGGUGACACAUCACAAUGCUAGAACCCUUUUCCUUCAUCAGUAUCAAAAUUAUAUUCUCACAAUGCUAGAACCCUUUUCCUUCAUCAGUAUCAAAAUUAUAUUCUCACACUUUGAAUGGAAAAAAAAGCUCUGGAAUAUCAGUUCGCAUUGCAGAUACAUAUUUAACUCAAAAUACUUGUUUCAAUUAUAAGGAAAUACUUUUCCUGCAAAUUUAUGCCAAGAAUUUUCAAUGUAUAGGACUAUUGUCCUUGAGUUCAUAAUUUUUGGAAUAAACCUUUGUUUUCACCAGAUUAGAUCCAGAUUCGACCUGCUGGGGCCAAAAUGGCCCCAACAGACCGGAUUAAGCUGGCUGGCGCUGCAUUCAAUCCAGAGCAGACCAGCCAAAUGGCCUCAAUUUGAACAUAUUUGGCCAAGCUGCCGCCAAAUAAAGCAUUGGCAAGGGAGAGCUGGCCAGUUAGCAAAGUCUGGCAGUGGUGAGCUCACUGGCGACAAGGAAGAAGAAAAGCAAGGAAGUACAAAAAGAAAAAUAGAAGAACUGAAAAAAAGAUGUUUUUUAAAUGAAUUACCUCUUGCGCAUAUUAACUUUAUUCAGCAUAUUUAACUAAUUAUUUUGCCAAGUAAAACAAAUUUUUAAGGGAAUAUUCCAAAUCCUGUAACCCCCAUGGCUUGACUGCACUAAAUUUAGAGCACAUAGCCUUUACUAAAAAAGCAAUAAAAGUAGGUGGGAUUAAUUAUAUUUUUUUUAUAAAGUUUAAGUGCAAAAUCAGGUAUUAUAAUAAAACUUUUUCAGAACAAGAUGUGAACACCUUAAAAAUAAGUUAAUUAUAGUCAAGCAUGAUCAAGCAGUGUAUUAAAUCUUACUCGUUCUCGAGCUGAUGCAUUAAACUUUUGCAGCAAAAAUGCCUUAGGAUCCAUUUGACCAGGCGGCCUACCAAUACCUAACAAACAAAUCAUGACAAUUAAACUAUUCAAUGAAGAAAUAGAGCAGAGAUGAACUAGAUCAAGUAAUAUUGGAUUUCAAACUGACCAAUUCGUAGCUGUGCAAACUCUCUGUUCCCACGAAAAUGAUAGAUUACACUCUUCAACCUAGUAAAAUAAUCAAUACUGAGCUAGUUUCCACAAGCAAAAGAAAAGCAUUUCUAAAAUAAAGAAAAACAAAACACACCACAAAUACAUAAAUAAAUAUACAAGAAUAGCCCACAUCUUGCAAACUAAGAGAACAUGGACAUAUACCAAUAUAGUGGCUCAUACAUUCAGAAAUUUACUCCUCUUUCUCCUCCUUUAUUUUUCUUUAAUUGAACAUGACAUAACUUUUCAAAAAAUCGUUCAUAUUCAUUACAUAUCAAUCCAGUAUCCAAGAAUAUUUUGUUGAUAUAAGGGUGUUAAGUCACAUUGAUUUGCUUGACAUUUGAAACCUUACCGUUACAACUAAUACCAAACAAGCACACCUUUUGAUGCUAAAAUGAAUGAUACCUUGCAGUUAAUAAACUAGUUGCAAAACUAGAACGGUUAGAUUCAACAACAAACUUUGAAUCAAGAUCAUUACAGUGAAUAUUAGACACAGAUCUUAAAGACUCGUAUUACAAAGAUUUUAAUAAACAACAAAAUCAAAGAAGCAUGCACAUGCACCAGCAGUGGCUAUAGACAUCUAUCUGCACAAACACAUGUUUGAACCAUGUUGAGGAAAUGACAAGCAUCAUUUCAUUCAAAAAGCAACAUACUGAUUUUGCACCACUACUUUAGGUCCAGCGGCACAAAAACAUCAGCAGUAACCAAUUCAGCAAUUAAAGAAAUGGCUUAAACAGUAUUGACAUACUAGGUAUUGGAGACUGAGAACAGGGCAGAACUUCACUAUCUUGCAGCCUGUUACCGUCUAGCUACGCUAUGGUUGUGGAGAAGAAUGUUGAAAACCUCAAGACCAAUGCUAACUAGGGCAAAGAACAGACUGAUGGCUGAGGCCUAGGCUCAGAACUAAUUACCUCAAAGAGAGAACCACUUUUAACUAACAAGUUUUUUUUUUUUUUACUCGAUAUGAUUCACCUAAUGAUAUAUACCAUAGACAUCAAUGUCUUUGCCCCCUCUUGUUCCUUUCCUCUUAACCACUUGAGGUGGGGAGCAAAUGUUUAGCAAAAGAAAUAGUAGAGGUUGAAACAUUGCUUGUGCUGCAACAAAGCAUUUUGUAAAGAGAUAAGGAGAGGACUCAAGAAAUUCAAUGCAACUCUAUAUAUAAUGUUUUCUUAGGGUUAAGUACAUAAUAUUCUCUAUUCUUACCCAUUAUGGCUUCCAUGACCACCUUUGUUUUGAAGACGAAGCACUCCACAUGGUAAGUCCAUGUCAUCAUGAAACUACAACAGGAAAACAUUACACGAGCAACUACGAAAUGUUAUCAAUUAUCUUUUGUGAUAAACAAAACCAUAAUGAAGUAUCAAAACCUUGGAGAGACAUAAAUGCCAGGGAAUGGAAAACUUACCACAAUCACUCGAUUAAGGGGUAGCUUGUAGUAAGCUGCAAGUGGUCCAGUCUACAAUUAAUUUGCAAAAGAGAGCACAAGUUAUUGCUAGUAUGAUGUCUAUUAAUGAAAUUUCACACACGUAUCAUCGAACUACAGUCAAUAACUUUUUAACCACAAAAUUAUUAGACAUUUAUCCUCCAAACAAAUGAUACAAAACAAUCUACUGAGAUCCUGACCAAACUAAUUUACAAGUUUCCGCAAAAAAGAUAGAGAUUUACAAGGAAUGGAGGAGUUUUUUCAAUUCCCACUACAUUAACCACUCCACCUCCCCCACAAACUCUUUUUCUUUUAAAUAAAUAAGCCUCUUUAAAUUACAAUCUUUAAUCAGGAUGUUUAACCCAUAUAAGUUGACAUCACUUUAUUAAAGUGAUGAAUUGUUAUUGUUUGCCCUUUCCAGCUUAACUUUUAAGGAAGAUUAUUUGUUAACUGGUAACAUCAUAGAAUUCUAUUGCUCACUUAUUCUACAACACAAUGGAAUAAAUUUCACACUUCUAAAUAAGGUCUUACUUGUUGAAUUAUUUGUAAUUUCCCCAAAACUCAAUGAUAAAACAAAGAAGCACAUAAAAGGUGCAAUGAUGCAGCGAUGCACCAAAUAAGCCAUGAACGUUGCAGCUCAAAAUACGAGAGCUCCUCCUUAGAAAACAAAAAUUGAAAAACUUGAUUGCAAAGGGAUUGGCUACUGAUCCAUCAAAAACCGGAUAUAGGUGGAAAGGCUGCAAAAGCCAAAUACUUUUCCAAUUUGUUGUGCAGAGUUAAAAGCUAAACAUGUCAAAUGACCAAACAAGAAGCCUUGUGUCUCUAUAAAAAUCAAGAUUGUGACACUGAAAUGUUAGGCAUUAAAGAAACCAAUAGGCAAACAAAAGUAAGCCAUUGAAAAUCUUCAAUUAAAAACAAUGGAAAAUAAGAAUGUUCAAUGAUUAUCCUCGAUUCCAGCCCUGUCUUAUAAAUUAUGAAAUAUUGCUAGUGCAGAAGGCAUUUUUUGAUUGUUUCUUCAUAUAUCAAACAUGAAAAAAGCAAGUUAACAGUAGCAAACAAAUUUAAUCAUUGUUAUAUGGUUCUGUAUUGUGAUUUUAAGAAACCAAUAAUCGCAGGAAUGAAAAUGCUUUGAACAUGCUAAACUAAGAAAUAAUAUGUUCAAAGCGCUCACGGAUUCACCACUCAAGUUCAUGUAAGUUUGAGGCUUAGCAAGGAGAACAGCUGAAUCACCCACAAAACCUGAUAGUCAUCAAAGAGCAAUGAUAUUUCACAUACACAAAAAAACAGAAAUUCUUUUAAAAAAAAAAAAAAAGAAAAGAAAUUGAAGAAGAUGAAAGACCUUGUCCAAAGAUAGCCUUGCAGUGAAGGGUAUUCAUUUCAACCCCUUGAGUUUCAGCAAAUUUGUCAAUCAUCUCGAAACCCACCUGCUUCAAGUAAAAUGGGAAGUUAAAUACUGUUAAAAAUGCUAAAAAAAGAAAAGAAAGAACUAUGAGAAACUUGGCAAUGUGCCGUACAUUGUGUCUAGUUCCUUUAUAUUUAUCGCCAGGGUUACCUAAACCCAAAAACAGCCAUGGCCGUGGAGCACCGCUACAAAAGCAUCGCCUAGUAAUCAUCUCUGUUUGAUCAUGGAAAUAGUCUAUGAGGAAAAAGAAAAAGAAAUUAUGAGAAAAAACAAUGGGAGAGGGACUUGGAAUGAGGCAGAGACCAAACGAAGGAAAACAACGAAACGUGCGAGGGAGAAAGAAACCUGGGAGAGGCCUGAUUUCCCCUUUGCCACGCGGCUCGACGGCUAGACAUUACUGGCUGGGAAAUGUAGGGAAAAAGAAAGGUUCGGUAUGCGAAGUUCAAAAUUUUUUUCACAAAAGUUUUUAUUUUUUUUCAAAAAAAAAUUAUAUUGUUGACCAUAAAAUGUUUUUUCACCUGUCUCCUCUGAAUCUCUAAAAUCCAUCACACUUCAAAAAAUAGUAUCCUCUUUUCGUGGGAAUGGAUGGCAACGGGUAUCUAUUAUAGGAUACUUGUGGAUAUCUGAUCUAGUUAUAUAGAAUUAAGAUAUUUUAUAAUUAAAUUUAAGCUAGAUUCAAGUGGUAAUUUUAUUAUCCGCAUCGAGUUGGAUACCAUCUCUUAAAUACUCGAUAUUCAAAUUCGAUUAUGUUGAUUUUUGAGUUUCUUAGAUACCCGAACCUAUACUUAUUUAUAAAUUUGUUAUUAUUAUUUAUAUAACAUAUAAUAGAUAAUUAAAUUAAUAUUUAAAACUUUACAAACAAUUCAUUUUGUUAGAAAUUCACGGAUAGAUAAGAAAUAUAGUCUGUCAAAUUAUUAAUGUGAUGUCAUUAAUAUAUUUAAAUUAAAAAAUUAUUAAAUUAUUAAUUAUGUUUAAAUAAUAUAAAUAUUAUAUUACAUUACAAAAUAAUAUAAUUAUUAUAUAUAUAUAUGUAUACUUUUAAUAAAAACAUAUUUAUUUUUUAUUUUAUGUUAAUGUUAAAAAAUUAUAAUUUAUAAAAUUAAUAAUUAUAAUAUAUAUAUCGUUAUUUAUAUAAACUUAUAAUAUAUAUAUUAAAGAGAAGUUGUCAAUUGUGAGAACUUAACUAUUUUUUUAAUUUCAUGUAAUUAAGGAUAAACUCAUAUAAUUAAUUAAAUUAAUUUAUAAAAUUAUAAUUAUUAAUUAACUUGUAAUGUCUUUUAAUAUAUAUACUCUAUAUAUUGUAUUAAUUUAUAAAAAAAAUAUAAUUACUAUUAUUAUAUAUAUACUUUUAGUAUAUACAAUUUAAAUAUAAACAUAUUUCUAUUUUGUGUUAACUUUAACAAAAUUAUAACUUAUAAAAUUAUUAAUUAAUAAUAUAUAUGUCUUUGUUUAGAUAAGCUUAUAAUAUAUAUACCUAAAGAGAAGUUGUGAGAUUAGAAUACAAUAAAACCUCUAUAAAUUAAUACUCGAUAAGUUAAUAAUCUCAAUUAUAUAAUAUUUUUAGUCGAUUCUGACUUGGGACCAAUGUAGUAAAUUAAUAAUUGACUAAAUUUAUAAGAUAAUGCAUUUGAAAAAAACACAUAGGUCUCACUUGAUAUAUAAUUUAAUAAUCUCCUUAUAUAUCAAAAUUAUACAUAUACAUGACUCAAUUAAGAGACUUUUAUAAAAUAUAAUUUCAAUGUUACUUGUUUCUUCUUAAAAUUGAUGUCUUCUUAGACUUUAUCUCUAAUUUUUCUUAGUGUAUUAAGAAGCUCUGACGUAAUGUUCUCGUAUUGUAAGAAAAAUUAUGCAAUGUGAUUAUUGCUUUGAUUUCAUCUUUGUGUAAGAUAGGUUCCAGUAUAGAAUUAUCGUCUUUAAUUUCAUCUUUUCUGUUAUUUCUCAUGGCGUUCUUAUUAAUUUGCUCGUUACAAAUAAUAAUAAUUCGUAAUUUAGUAAUUAAAUAAUAUUCGUAUAAUCACAAUUCACAAUACACAAUAUAUGUAUUAAGUUCAAUAUUUUGGAAAAAAUAAAAAAAACCUUGAUAAACUAAUUAUUUAUUAAUUUAUGUAUAAAUUAAUAAAUUAUUAAUUUAUUGAUUAAAUAAUGUCUUGAUUAAUUAAUAAAUUUUCAUAGUCCAAAAAGUAUUAAUUUAUAGAGGUUUUACUAUAGUUUUGGAAUAUAGUUUUUUUUUUAAUUUCAUGUAAUUAAGGGCAAACUUAUAUAUGUAAUUAAAUUAAUUCAUAAAACUAUUAUUAUUAAUUAACUUGCAAUGUCUUUUAAGAUAUAUGCUUUAUAUAUUGUGUUAAUUUAUAAAGAAUAUAAUAAUAAUAAUUAUUAUAUAUAUACUUUUAGUAUAUAUACUUUAAAUAUAAACAUAUUUACUUUUUAUUUUGUGUUAAUAUUAAAAAAAAUUAUAACUUAUAAAAUUAUUAAUUAUAAUAUAUAUACUUUUGUUUAUAUAAACUCAUGAUAUAUAUACCUAAAAAGAAGUUGUACGAUUAAAAUAGUUUUGGAAACUAAUUAUUUUUUUUAACUUCAUGUAAUUAAGGACAAUUAAACUUGUAAUGUUGUUGCCUUGUUAUUGUAAAUUUGUAAUGUUGUUUAAGUUGUUAUUUCAGUAUUUAUUUUUAAUUAUUUAAGUUGAUGUUUGAGAUAUUUGUUUUUUAUUAUUUAAAUUUAAAUUUAAAUUAUUGUUUAAAUUUUAUUAUCCAAUUACUUUGUCCUAAGCAUACGAGAAAGUAUAUAGUUGACAAUUAGAUUCGACCACAUGGUUAAAAAGAUUACUAAAUUAUAUUGACAGAAAGCUAUGAUUGUCGAAAGUGACAAAAUGAACUUCCAAUGGCCAAAUUCAAUUAAGAAAGACUGGUAAAAGGAGCCAAACAACUAGAUCUACUACCGUUAGCCAUAGAAUUAGAGGCAGAGAGGAAAGGGCUAGUAAUGCCCCCACCCUCCAAAAAUUUUAAAAUUUUAAAACAUAUCUUUAUUUUUUGAAAUUUUAUAUUUUGCCUCUACAAAAAUUUUAAAAUUUUUAUAUUGUACCUUUAAUUUUUGGAAUUUUAUAAUUUUACCUCUAUAAUAAUUUUUUGUUUGGUGAGAUAUCCUACAACAAUUAGUCAACAACUAAUUUUAAUAGACUUAGAACUUAAAAAAAACCUAUUGCACUAGAAUUAUUUCCAAACCCCACUUCCCCAAAACCUCACAACCACCCUUUUUUGUUUUCUUUUCUUUUUAUCAAAUAGAAACAAAACUCAAUUUUCAUAUCAUUAUAAUUGGUAAGUUUGGUUUAUUCACUCUUAGCACAUCUUUGGACCCUUAGAAUGAUUUCGAAUCAUUUGAUAUUGAAAGUAUUUGCAACCUUGAAAAUAAAUAUUACUUGAUGAUUGUACUAAUCAUGAUAAAAUGUAUUUAAGCUAUCAAUUGAAUUUAUUCAAGCUUGACAUUUUUCAUAAGCAGGCUUUAAAAAAUAUAUUUGCACUUUUUGAGCUAUGUCAAGUGUUGAUGAAGACAGCAAUAUCAAAAGUUUACUUCAUUGUUAACAGAUUAAUCCGGUUUGUCUUAAUUCUUCUAGUUUCCACUGUAAGAUUAAAGUGUGCAUUUUUUGCUAUAAAACUCAUUAAGAACAAAACUCGUAAUAAAAUAUCAAAUGAUUUUCUUAAAAAUUUGUUGAUUAUUCUCAUUGCAAAGAAAAUCAUUCGAAGCUUUGACAUUGAUUCGGUGAUAGAUGCCUUCAACUCUAUUUCUAUGAAAAACAGUUGAGCUCAAUUAAUGAUGCACAAUCUCAACAUACAAUAAUUAUUAAAAAAUAUCUUUAUUUUGUACUUAAUACAUAAUUGAAAUUAUUUGUGUAAUUUUCAUAUAAUUUUUUUUAUUUAAGUUACUUGCAUUAAACUAUUUUAUAGACAUUGUUUUCGCCUCUCUAAACGUGAAAUCUUGACUCCGUCAUUGCAUAGAAUGACGCGUCAUUGGCUCAAGUCUAAGCAACUCAAUCUCUUUGUUGCAAGGAUGUUAUGGAGCGCCACUAGCCAAAUCUAGUCAUUAGUAGCGUUGCUUGGUCGGAGACUAGAUUGCGUCAUUCACCCAUCAUCAAUUAGUUGUAGGGCUGGUCCUUGGGUAAGGCCACUCAAGCAAAAGGCUUUAGGCUUCAAAUUUGAAAAAGCCUAAUAUUUUUAUAAUAUAAUAUAAUAUAAUUAAUUAUAUAAAAAAUAUAUAAAAAUUAAGAUAAUUAAUAAAAUAUUUACUUAUUCUCUAAUGCCUAAUAUAUUUUUAUUUUUUGUCACUUUCACACCCCUAUUAAUUCUCAACUAAUUAUUUUAUUUUUUAUUAAAAAUAUGUAAAAGUCAAAGAUAAUUAAUAAAAUGACAUUCUCUCAUUUCUCAAAUUAUAUGCCUAAUAAAUCUCCACUUUGUUUAUCACUUUCCAAUUCUUACAAUGCUAUUAAUUCUCAACUAUUUUUUCUAUUUCUAAUCAACUAAUGGUAAUAUUUAUUUAAUGAUCUUCAACCUGUUAUUUUUUUCUCACCUAUUUUUGUUAUUCCAAUCAACUAACGUAAUAUGUAUUUAAUAUUUUCAACAAUUAUUUUUCCUUAUAUAUAAAACUAAUUUUUUUUUUCAAUUUAUAAUAUCCAUUUUUGAAUUCUUCUUGCUCAUUUGCACUUUCAUCCUUUAAUUUCAAUUUUCCUCCAAAAAAUACGUAGAAAGUUUGUUAUGCUAUAAUUUUCAUAAAGCAAUGAGCCUCAUUUGCGGCUUGCAAUAAACAUUCAACAAUUAAGUAUUAUUAUUCUAAUCUUUGCAUAGUUUUUUACUUUAAGUUAGAGUUUGUAUUAUAUUGUUAUAUUGUCAUAUUGUCUUUAUUUUAUGUGAUAGUUGAUUUAUUUAAAUUAAAAAUUUUGAUUGUUGAUUUUAUAUUAGACAUGUAAAAAAUAUAAGAUAAUUACAAUAACUAAAUAUUUUAUAUACUUCAUAAUAAAUAUUUGAAUAUAUCAAAUCGAAAAUAUGAAUCUGGUUAUUCAAAGCUUAAAAAAGAAAAAUUGAAAGUUUAAUACAAUCUCAAAAAGAGCACUUAGAUAAAUUUUUUACAAGUAAUAAAAAUAAUUAAUUAGAAAUUAUUAAAGAAAUAUUAGAAGAAUUCGAUUAUAAAAGUUUAAUUAGAAAUUUUGCAUCUCAAAAAACUAGAAGAAUAAAAUUUUAAUAAUUUUUUUUCUUAACUUCAAUAAAAAAGACCUCAUUUGAAUAUUUUGCUUUACGCUUUUAAGAUUAUUGAGCUGUCCCUGAUUAGUUGGUGAGGAAGAACGAAAAAGAAAGAAAAAAGAAAAAAUUAUAAUGAAAACAUUAUUAAAACUUCAAUUAAUUAAAAUAAAAUAAAAAUAAAAAAUUUAAUUAUAAUGAAUAUAAUUUUUUUAUAAUAAAUUAUGAUUAUUUUUAUAAAAGGGUAAAUCAAUCUUUUACAUUUAUUCCUUUUAUGCUAUUUGGCGGAAUUGCGUUUAUGCUUGACAUUUCAAUUUAGAGGUUUCAAGGCUGGUCUUGAAAACAAUAGUAUUUGGUUUGAACUCUAUUUUUGAUAAUACCUUUGAUAGGAAGUACUUUUUUUUUUUUAUAAGUGCUUAAUCCUUGAUGUAUAAUCUCUUUUUGAAGUAGCUCAAUUGCAUUCAUUUUAUAUAAUAAUAAAUGACACAGAGCAUGUUUUAACUUAAAUUUUGUACAGAGUUUUGACGUGUUAAACCAAUAAACCAACUCAAUUGUUAGAACACAAGAUUUCUUAUACUUGGAAUGAAGUUUUUUUUUUCUUUGGGGUAUGAAAUAAAAUUCAUUCCACGUGAUAAUAAGAGAAUAAAGAAACCUUAAAUGAUUUAAAUGGAGGAAUAAUGUCAUUUGCGGCAAAUAGUAGUAAAUUGACAACUUCAAGUAACACAUAGGGUGUGUUUGGUUCACAAAAAAAAUAAAGUGAGAAUGGAAUAAUUAUUCUGUAAGAAUAGAAUAAGAAAUGAAUAGUUAUUAUGUAGUUUGAUUUAUAAGAAUGAAAUAGGAUAUAAAUUAUUAUUAUUAUUAUAAAUUAUUCUAUUGUUUGGUUGGCAGGAAUAAUUUUAAAAAUAACUAAGGAAUAAGUGAUAAAUGAAAAAAAUAUAAUUUAUUAUAAUAUUUAAUUUUUAAAUUAAAAAUAUUUAUUAUUUUAAUAUUUUAUUAAAAAUACUAAAAACAUUGUUAUUUAAAUGUUUAUAUGAUUAUUUAUUUUAAUUUACAAAAUAUUAAUAAUCUAUAUUUCAUUUAAAAUGUUAAUAAUUUAUAAUAAAAACAUUAAUUUUAUUAUUUUAUUUUAUUCUUUAUUUGUAAGAUAUUUUAUUAUUAAAAUUUUAAUUUAAUUUUUAAGUUUAAAAUAUUAGCUUUUUAUAAUUUAUAAUUAAAACUUAAUCUUUUUAAUUUCAAAUUCAUUUUAAUUUAAUGAGAGAAGGAGAAAGGUAGUUGGAUAGAGAGAAAGAAAUUAAAAAAAAUGAAUAAAUUGUAUUUUAUUAAAAUUAAUUAAGGCCAUUUUUGUUCACUAAAUUUUUUACUUUAUUCCUUACAUCUUGAAAUAGCCAAUACCAAGAAAACCUUGGUAGUAGCUAUUCCCCCAUCUCCCUCAAUGACUAUUUGAAGGAAUGGUCAUUCCUUCCAACCAAAUAACAUAUUAAAGAAAGAUUAAGAAUAGGUGGAAUGACUAUUUCAUUCCCCAACCAAACAUGCUAAUGGUCCCAAGAUAUUAAGACUUGAUCUCUUAAAGAAAUAAAACUUUACUAAAAUGAUUUUAGUAACUUACCUAAUUUGAAGAGAGAACUUUUAGCACUAAAGGUUUUGAAUCACUAUUUUCAAAUUAUUUGCCUAAUAAUAGUUUAAACAAACAUAUAAGAUCAAUAACUUGAAUUGAACAUAUGUUUUAUUUCAUUGUUUGAUUAUGGAUGUAUGGAUGGUCAUAUGUGAUGAUUAUGAACUUAGGCCUAUUGGAUGUAAAUGAAUGUAUAGUUAUAUUUUUUAUGGUAUUUUUGAAAUAGUUAUAUUUUACAAGUUUCUAAAAUUCUCUUCUCAUCUUACUCCUCUCAAAUGUAACUCAAAAUUUUUUUUCUAAAUUAUGUAAAAGUUAUAUAGUUUAUAAAAGAUUAGAUUAGGAUAUAAUUUUAUGUAAAUCCCAAAGAUAGAAGACGAAGGCAAAAUGGAGAAACCAAGGGAGUUAUGACCAAGGUUUAUGAAAACCUAUGAAUGCAAUUACCUAAGAUAUGACCAACUAGUUUUCUUUUGAUGGCUCGAGAAAACUAAUUUAGAUAAAAGUUCACAAUCAUUCAGUAGUAUAUGCAUUUAAUAGACUUAUUUUAUGCAAUUUUUAAAAGUUAUGCAUGCAUGAUGAUGAAACCAAUAAUAUGAAUAUGUUAAAACCUAAUUGUUAGUGUAGAAGUCUCAAUAACAAUAUACUAAGAGGGGGUGAAUUAGUAUUUAUAAAAUUUUUUUUAAAAAAUCUAUUUAUCAAAAUCAAACCUUUUUCAUUCAAAAAUGUUUUUUAACACCAAAAACAAAUUUCCAACAAUAAAUCACUAAGUAUGAAAAUAAUGAAUCAAAGUAAAAUAUUUUUCUUGAAAUAAAUGCUAGCUAUGAAAGGUAAAGGAAAAAUAUUUUCCUAAAAGAAAAACAAUAAAUCAAUAUAAAUUUAUUUUCCUAAGUCAAGAAUAAACAAUAAAUAAUAAUGCGAAAACUAAAAAGAGACACAAACAAUUUAUAGUGGUUUGGCUUUUUCGAUGCCUACAUCUACUCCUUUGGUAAUCAAGGAAUUUCAAUCCACUAUCAAGGAUACUUGCUUUUUAUUGGGAAGUAAUAACCUUUACACAAUCCAUAAAGAGAUUCUUACUUUUUCACAAGAUUAAGCGAUAACCUUUACAAUGGCUUUUUAUGGGAUCAAGUGAUAACCCACACAAUCCACAAAAGAUUCUUACUUUUUAAAUGGGAAGCAAUACCCUUACAAAAUAGCUUUUCAAGGUUAAGCUAGGACCUUUACAAGAUGUGUGUACAAAGGAAUAAUAGCAAGGAUUUGCCUCACAAAGGUUGGAUGCUAAAGAUUUUAGCUUGAGUGUAGUGAGAGAAGAAAUUGCAGCAUGAGUAGAGCAAAGAUUCGACUUUGAAAGCUUGAUGGAAUAAAAAAAUGCUAGAGAGUGAAGAUAAGCUUAUGGGUAGUCUUUCUAGGGUUUGAAACUUUGGUUUAGGUCUUCUCUACUUCAAAAGGGCUCAAAUGAAUCUAUUUAUAGCUGAGGUAAGAUUUUAAGCCGUUAGACACAAGUUUAAAUCAAAUCUGGUAGUUGCUGAAGCUUGAUGGUUAACUACAAUGCUCCUAGAGUUGAUUAUGUUCUUCAAAUUUCUCAAUAAAGGCUUCCAUAGUCGAGUAUAAGCUUUCUCUAGUUGAUCCAUUUCUUGAGAAUGUGUGUUUUGCAAUUCUAGCCUUCUAUAGUCGACUACCACUCACUCAGGAUUGACUAUGGCUGUGUGAUCUUGACUUUUUUUUACCUUUGACUUGCUAGGGUCAACUAUACUUUCUUUAUAGUCAAUUAUAGCUGUGUAAAGUUGACUUUUUUUUUUUUUUUACUUUUGACUCAUAAGGGUCAACUAUUCUUGGUCUAGGGUCGACCAUGUCUAUUCAAAACUUGAUUUUCUUGAUCUUUCUAAAGUAGGGUCAACUAUAAACACUUUAGGGUUGACUAUAACUUCAUAAUCUUCAAGUUUCGCAUUCUUUCAGCCUUUAGAUUGACUUGAGCUUCAUUAGAAUGGAUUCUUGACUUGUAUCUUGAGGUUUCCUUAGCCUUUUGGUGCUUCUCUCCAGCUACUUUCUCAUUGCCUUGUACUUAUAUUCAAAUAAACAUUUCAAGGCAUGUUUGCUCUUGAUUUCUUAACUGAAAAUGCAUUGUUUGAAAGCUUGUAAGAUGUUUUAUAAGGAUGCAUGGCUUUUCAAACAAUUUUUUAACCUUAGGGGACUAAAAAUGUAAUUGAGACAAUUUUAAUGCUUGACAUUAAGUUCAAGAAGACAUGUGAUUUUUGUCAAAUCAAAACACGAUGUAGUUCAAGUCUAACACCAAUAAAUCAAUAUACAUACUUAAAUCCCUCAUAAAUUAUAUUAAGUACACGUUGCAAACAUGGAUUAGCUACCUUCCAUGUUCAUUGCAAAAAUCAAAGUUCUUUUAUCGUUAGUUUGUUAAGUCACUCAAGGUCGACUUUAACAAGAAUAUGUUUAUGCUAUGAUAGUUGGUCUUACUUAACUAACUUAUAUGAAUAGAAUGAGUCACUCAUAAUCAUAUAAUGUUAGAGGCAAGCGUUAGAUGAAACAUAUAGGAUAUGUUUUGACAAGGGGUUGUCACCUAACAAAUCUAGGCAUCAAAUUGUAUAUCAUAUUUGUUAAGUCACUCAAGGUUGUGGUAUAUUAAAUGGGAUCUUAUCCCACUAAGAAUUAGGAAUUUCUUGAUUUAAUAGUAUGGGAUAUUAUUUUGAGUAAAAUAGUGGGAGUAACUAAUAAGAUUAUUGCCUUGUCUUACUAUUGUGCAAAUGCUUAAUAUUUAUAUACAUUCAAUCUUUGAAAUUUAGCUUGUAAAAAAUGAGUAACAACUUAUUACUUCAUAGCAUAAUAGAUGCUAAUAUGCUCAUUAAAUUGAACUUUUUGGAUUGGUAUUGCAAUGUGAGAAUAGUUCUCGAGCACGAAAAGAAAUCGUAUGUCUUUGAAAAUGUUAUUCUUUAGUCCUUUCUAAGGACACUCGCGAUGAAGCUUGGGACGCCUAUCAAACUCAGAAAGAUGAUGAUGAUCAAGAAACAUAUGUCAUGCUUGCUAGCAUGACCCUUGAAUAACAGAAACAUCAUGAAAACAUGGAUGCUCAAACUAUGAUUUUGCUCUUAAAAGAAUUGUUUGAUAAGCAAAGUCAUAUUGAAAGGUAUGAGACAUCAAAAGAUUUAUUUUGCAGUAAAAUGGUAAAAGGUAGUUCUAUUAGUGCUCAUGGCUUGAAGAUGCUAGGCUAUAUUGAAAAGCUAAGGUGUCUAGAUUUUGUCAUUUUUUUUGAACUUUGUGUUGACUUAGUUUUAUAGUCUUUACCAAACAACAUUUCACAAUUUGUGAUGAACUUUCAUAUGAAUAGAUUGUAAGCUAUGUUGCCCAAAUUGUUGAAUGUGCAAUACACAACUAACAAAUCCAUCAAGAAAGAAAAUAGUGUGUCAUUGGUCCAUUCAUCUUUCAAAUCAAAGAAUAAGCCAAUAAGGAAAAAAAAGGGAAGAAAGCAAAAGAUAUAUUGCCAAGGCCAAAAAACCUAUUGGCGAUAUUGAGAAGGAUAAAAGGAAAAAUAUUUGCCAUUAUUACAGUUAAAAGGGUCAUUGGAAAAGAAACCAUAAAGUUAAUUUACCUACCUUGAAGGAAAAGAAGAUUACUAAAUCCUCAACUUAAAGUAAAAUUAAUGAUUAAGCAUAUGACAUCUAUUGUAGGUAUGAGAUACCUAACAUAGCUCCCAUUUAUAUGAUAAAUUACAAAGGCUAAGGAAUAGUAGAUAGCAAAAAUGAUAUCCUCAUUCAAAUCGCAUAACGUGUAAAGGUUGGUGCAUGAGCUUGCAGGGACCAUCUUCUUUAAGAAUUGGGCUAUUUUGUUUUGGGAACCAUGAGGUUGUUUUCAUACUAGUUAUUUUGAAACUUUAUUUACAUGUUGAUGUUUUAUGAAGUUUUCAAUUUAGAAUUUAGAACAAUGAUUGUUAUUCUCUAAAUUAUAUUUGAAAAUUGUACAUAUCUCAUAAGUUGGAAUUGAAUAUGCUUAAUAUUAAAGUUAUUUAUUGAUAGACAAUCUAUCAAUGACGAACAAAUAUUGAUUUCUUAAAAAUUGUUAUAAUACUCCUAAAUAUGGUUCCAAGCAAAUUAAGUUGACAAAAUGUCAUAUAGGAUAUGAUAGAUACAAAAAAUGAUUUUGUCACACUUUAAUGGUUUGGGAUUGCAUAGUUUAUAUGCAUAAAAUUUGUGGCAUAUCCUCAAAUGUCUAUUAGAUAUCACCCUGCACAAAAGUAAAGAUUCUUUGUCUUAAAACAUGCUAUUUUUUAGAAGAAAGAGUUCUUGCUAGGAAAAAAUGGUAGGAGUAAUGCAAUGCUUGACAGGUUUAAGAGUCAUAAAAUCAAAAUCCUAUGGAACUUAAGCAUAUGAGUAGUGCAUCAAAUGCUCAGUCAAAAACUUAUAGUAAAACUCCAAAUAUCAAGUAAGAUACAUAAAGAUUUAGAGGAAUGAGAUUUUUUGUGAACUAAGAAUUUACUACUCAGAGAAGAUGAGCUUAUUGAAUAUGAGGAAACAAUGUCUUGUCUUGAUAAAGCAUCAAAUAGGAACUAUUUAGGAGUAAUGCUUUAAUGCAGUGAGGAUUUCAUAAUUAUAACACAUUUUAUUAUGCAAAGCAUAUUUACUCCAAAGACUUUAUCUUAUAAGGAAUAUGAUAGGGUAUUAUUCCUAAACCAUGAGACUAACAUAUGUUAUGUUUCUUACUUGUGAAGUAAACAAUCGAUUACAUAGAUUAAAGUAUUGGGAUAUUUGGAAUUAACAAAUGGAUGCUUGUUACAAGAAAAAGUUCAUUGAACAUGACCCAUCAUGAGAAUUUCAUUUAGUAUAUCAUUCAAGUAUUUAUGAAAAUAUUCUCAUAUGUUAGUCAUGUUAGUGAUCCUUAGACUUGAGAUCACUAGGUUAUUUUAUGUGGAGAUUUUUACACUUUGAAACUAGUGUGUUACCUGUGCAUUGCUUCAAAAAAAUGUUAUUUUAUGAGUACUAAUUGUGAGAACUAUUUGAAGUGAUGUAAAGAACUUUUUAUAUUAAUAGUUAUAGAAGUUAAAUAAAAAGUUGGAAUAUGAGUACAAAAUGGUUUAAACUACCAAAGUAGUAAGUAAUGUUCACAAAAAAUAGAAUAACAUAUUUCAAGCUUAUAGACAAAUGAAGUGUUUGAAUAUAUGCACAUUAAUGUUACAAAAAAUUGCCAUAAAUUGUUUGUUGGGUAUUACUUGUUUGUUUUGCAGUGCUGCUCUUGUUAAGAAAAAUUAAAGGCAGUGUGAUUGGAUAAGUCACAUUAAGUGUAUCUAGCUAAAAGCUACAAAAAAGUGUACGUAACGUGCGGGUCCAGAACCUGACCGCUAGAAAUGAAAAAUUUAAGGAGUUGCCAUCAAUCUUUUUUAUCUAGGUGUGAUUGACCAUCUAUUAAAUUUGUUCUAUUUGACAGAGUGUUAAAUUGAUUUUAGGUGUAUUUAAAGAAAAUAAACUGAUCUGUGAAUUUUUAGAGUUAGGUUCAAGAGUACGGUUACACAUAGGGAAGGAUUAGCACCCUCGUGAUGCCUGUUCCAUGAACGGUACCAUUUAAUUAUAUGUUAUCCUAUUAUAGCCUAAACCAUUGAUUUUAUUCUUAUGUUUUCUUAAUUAUUAUUUAUUUACUUUAUUCUUUAUUUUAUUAGCAAAUUAAACAGUUUAUUUGAUUUUACGAGUGUGAAGUGUACGUGAUACAAUUAUGAAAUGCAUGGCAUAAAAUCCGGAUAAUGCCAAACAAAAAACUUUUAUUGAGGAUAUUUCUUGAAUCUGCCUGUCAUAUGGGUGGGAUCCGAAAAUAUUCUCUCACCUAGAGAAUUACUCAAAAAACUCACAUUCGCAAGUUUAACGAAUAAAUCUCAUCAUCAAGGUAGUCGUUUACAAGUAAAGACAAUAUUUUCGUAAAUGCAAAUCCUAAUCUUUGGACCUAAAAAGUAUAUUUUUUUGUACUUCAUCAUAUUUUCAGAAAAUAUACAUAUUUUUAUAUCUUUUUUUAAUGAAGGUACAUAAUAGGCCUAACCAAAUACAACAAGUCACACAAAAUCCAACCAUCAAAGUCUAAAACAAUAACUUAAAUACAUGAAAUGAAAUGGCCCAAAGGAUUACCUUCUCUAGGCUUGACAAGAAACCCAAAAACAAUAGGCUCAAAAACAAGUGGGCUAAGUUUGAGAAUAAGGCCCAUCAAUUGCAAACCACCAAGCCUUCAAAACACAGCGGUUGGUGCUUUUGUAAUAGCUUUAGAAUACCCCAAAAAAUAGUAUUGUUUUGGCACUAACACACUUAAUCCUUAAGUAUAAAAGCCCUCUUUCCCAUUUUUUUUUCUUAUUUUUUCUCUCUCUAGGUACGAUUCCUCCACCUUCGCUCUAAAACCAAACCCUAAAACCUCUCAUUUCCCUUUCUCCCCUAAGCCAUAUCUCUACCGUCGCCUAGAAAAAACCUCCUUUUUCUCCCCCAAAACUUCUUCUUUCCCUUCCGAUCAAAAAUAAAAAAUAAAGAAUGCCAAACCCUAAAACCUUCCCUCAGUUGUCCUCCUUGUUUUCUUUUUUUUUUUUUCGAUGUUUUUGCUCUUUUCUUUUGGUUUUUGUUUUUGUGUUUAGUUUUUUAUUGUGGCUAGAAAUUUCUGCUGAUAGAGAGUAGGAUCUGUUUUUUUUUUUUGGUUCUAAGUUUUCAGAAAAUAAGAAUCGUUUUUAGGGUUUUUGUUUUGGGUUCUUGGUUGCUAAGAAUUUUUUUUUUUUUAGGUUGGUUGCUAGAUUUGUUUCUUUAGAAAAUGAGGAUUUUUUUGUUGAAAUCUAGCCUCUCUAGUUUUUCUUUCAAUCUGGCCUUCUUUGAAAUCUAAAAUUUUGAGGGUUCUUAAAUAACUCGAUUGUCUAAAUUUUUGGACAAUCAGAAGGUGAAAUUAUGCUUCUUCUGAGCAUGAUAUCACAGAUAAAGGCCUUCAAGUCAAAGAAAAUCUAUGGAGGUGACCCAAAUUCUACUCCUUAAGGGGCAUUGAAUGCUCUGUGCAAGCAUGUUUCUUGAAGUGUUGACUAUGGAAGCAAUGCUUCUCAAUUUUUUUUUCAUUGUGAUUUAUUCAUUUUAUUUAUUAUUUAUUAUUAUUUUUUAUUUGAGAAAGAAAAAUAGGUGUUUACAAUUGCCUUUCUUUGCAUAUUCUUGAGAAUUAGGAAUAAUGCAAAGACGUAGACAUCGUAUUCGACCUAUCUUAAAGUAAGUUCGAUUUAAGCAAUUGAAGUUCCUAAACUUAAUUUAGGUUUGACCUAUCUCAAAAAAGGUUCAAUUUAAAAAAUUUUAGAAUUCCUAGACUAAAUCUACGUUCGUCCUAUCUCAAAAUAAGUCCAACUUAAAAAUUGAUAUUUCUAGACUUGAUCCAAGUUCGACCCAUAUCAAAACAUGUUUGAUUUAAAAAUUGAAAUUCUUAAACUUAAUCUAAGUUCGACCUAUAUCAAAUAGGCUCAACGUAAAAAUUGAAAUUUCUAGACUUAAUCUAGGUUUGACCUAUAUCAAAACUGGUUCGAUUUAAAAAUUAAAAUUUCUAAACUUGACCUAAGCUUGACCUAUAUCAGAACAGGAUCAAUUUAAAAAAUCUUAGAAUUCCUAGAUUGAAUCUAGGUUCGACCUAUCUCAAAGUAGGUUCAAUUUAAAAUUGAAAUUUUUAGACUUGAUCUAGAUUCGACUUAUAUCAAAACAGGUUCAAUUUAAAAUUGAAAUUCCUAGACUUGACUUAGGCUCUACCUAAAUCAAAACAAGUUUGAUUUAAAAAUUGAAAUUCCUAAACUUGACCUAGGCUAGACUUUAUCAAAACAAGUUCGAUUUAAAAAUUGAAAUUCCUAAACUUGACUUAGGCUCAACCUAUAUCAAAAUAGGUUCAAUUUAAAAAUUGAAAUUCCUAGACUUGACCUAGGCUUGACUAUGUUAAAACAGGUUCGAUUUAAAACUUGAAAUUCCAAAAUUUAAUCUAGGUUCGACCUAUCUCAAAACAAGUUCGAUUUAAAAAUCUCUAAUGCCAACUUAAUUGGAUUAACAUCAUUUUUAAACUCAUAUUGGUGUCAACUAAAUUUGGCUUGGAAUCUCAUGUGCCAACUUAAUUAGGCUUAAAUCCUUUCUUCAUUGGUUGUUUUAUGAAAAUGAAAGACUCAAAUCCUUCCAUCAAAGUUUUACAACCUUAACACUUUAGGUUGGGUCAAUUUUCACUUUUGAAGCUUGGAACAUGCAUUAAUUUUGAUUCUUGUUUUGAAAAUGAUCAUGUGCAUGGCUAUGCAUGUAUGCAUAAUUGAAAUGAUAGAAUGCUUUCAUGUUUAUGAUUCAUUAAGGUUCCUUGAACCUUCUCUCGCUUCAUCCAACCUUUCCACUACAACUUUCAAUCAUCUUUUUUUGUGCUUUUUUUCAUUGGUUGAAAUUCUUAAUUUCUCUUAGGCGCACUUUCUUUUGACAAUUGACCUUUUUUCAUGUUGAGGUUCUUUUUUCUUUUUACCUCAUCAUUAAGUCUUUUAUUGAACAACAAAUGUAGUUUCUUGCUUAAUUAGUUCAUUUCCUUACCAAUCAUCAUUCAUUUCCAUGACAAUCAUCAUGUGGAAUUAUGUAAUGGUGGAAAGCAAGGCUUGAAAUAAAGAAGGAAAGGAUAGUUUCAUAUAUAUAAAAGUGUAAAUAACUUAAAAGAAGGAGAAUUUACAAAGCAAUCAUUAGAUCUUUCAAAUAAUGAACAAGAAGACCAUUUAGAGUAAACAGUAUGAUCCUUUAACUUCAAAAAUUAUCCUUGAUUGAUGUCUUGAGCAAAUCCGAAGAUUAUGGAUUCCAUGACUUCUCUUUGUUUUGCAAGGUUGACGGACUCCAUCAUCAAUGUGUUUUUCAUACUCAAUUUGUACUUCAUCUGAGCAAGCAUCUUUAGAUCUACAUUCUACAUUUCUCCUUUUGGUUUCAAGCCGCCCUUUGCAGGUUUUCAAUAUGAGCCACCUCUUUUGGAUUCGAGUCGCCCUUUUCGAAUUUUCAACACAAAUCCCUCCCUUUUUUUUUACCUUUUUUUAGGCAUAAUAUUUCUUUACCACAUCCGCAUUUAUUGGAUUAACCAAGUCUCCUUCAUCCAUGUCAAUUAAAAUUAAUGCUUCUCUUGAAAAAGCCUUUUUCACCAUAUACAAUCCUUCCUAGUUCGACAUUCAUUUUCCACAAGAAUCAUUUUGGUUAUGGAGUAUCCUUUUGACGACUAACUCCCCUUCUCGAAAAUGCUUAGGAUGAACCUUUUUCUCGUAUGCUCGCAUCAUCCUUCGUUGGAAUAUGUGGCCAUGACAAAGUGCCGCGAGUCUUUUUCUCUCAAUCAAAUUCAAUUGUUCAUAACGAGAUUGGAUCCAUUUAGCAUCUUCCAAUUCUGUCUCCAAAUACAACAAGUCACAUAAAAUCUAACUAUUAAAGUCCAAAACAAUAACCCAAAUACAUGAAAUAAAAUGGCCCAAGAGAUUUACCUUAUCUAGGCUUGACAAGAACCCCAUAAACAAUAGGCUCAAAAACACAUGGGCUUGGUCUAAGAAUGAGGCCCAUUGGUUGCAAAUCAUCGAGCCUUCAAAACACAUCGUUUGGUGCUUGUUGUAAUAGCUUCAGAAUACCCCCCAAAAUGACAUCAUUUUUACACUAAAACACCUAAACCAUUAGCAUAAAAGCCCUAUUUUCUUCCUCUUUUCCAUUUUCUCUCUUAUUUUUUCUCUCUCUAGUUGCGACUCCUCCACCUUCUCCCUAAAACCAAACCCUAAAACUUUUUCUUUCCCUCUCUCCCCCUAAGCCGGAUCUCUACUAACAACAUAGAAAAAACCUCCCUUUUCUCCCCCAAAACUUCCUCUCUCCCUUACGAUAAAAAAUAAAAAAUAAAGAAUGCCGAACCUUAAAACCUUCCCCCUCCCCCCCCCCCAAUGUCCUAUUUGUUUUUUUUUCUUUUUUUUGUUAUUUUUUUAUUGUUUUUUCUUUUCUUUGGUUUUUUUUUUUUGUGUUUAGUUUUUUAUUAUGGCUAGGAAUUUUGGUUGGUAAAGACUAGGAUUUUUUUUUGUUAUAGGUUUUCAAAAAAUAAGAAACAUUUUUAGGGUUUUUGGUUUGGAUUUUUGGCUACUAGGGAUUUUUUUUAGGUUGGUUGCUAGAUUUUUUUUUUAGAAAAUGGAGAUUUUUUUUGUUGAAAUCUGGUCUCUCUAGUUUUUCUUUAAAUCUGACAUUUUUCAAAAUUUGAAAUUUUGAGGGUUUUUAAAGAACUCGAUUGUCUAAAUUUUUGGACAAUCAAAGGUGAAGUCAUGCUCAUUUUCUGAGCAUGUUUUCAUAGAUGAGGGCCUUCAAGUCAAAGAAAAUUUACGGAGGUAACCUAAAUCCGGCUCCCCGAAAGGCAUUGAAUGCUUUGUGCAAGCUUGUUACCUGAAGUGUUGAUUAUGGAGACCAUGCGUCUCAAUUUUUUUUAAUUGUGAUUUAUAUAUUUUAUUUAUUAUUUGAGAAAACAAUAGAUGUCUACAAAAAGAACUGUGCAUAGUAUUGAAUUGAUAAUCAUUCUUAAACAAAAAAUUUUUUGGCAAGCCUGAGUGGAUCUCAAUAGAUUUUCUUGGACACCAUCCUACCUCAAAAUAAAAUAGUAAAUAUAUAAGAAGCUAACUCUAAUUUGUAUUUGAUCAAUAGUAAGUAGAAAUAAUGUAAAAAAAAAAAACAGUUGGAGUUGAGGUUUGAAAACCAAACUAGUAAAUUAGCUAUAGUAUUUUUAUUAUAUAAUAUUGAAUCCAAUAAUAUGUAUAACAUUAUGAAAAUGUCCCUACAUUACAUGAAAUAUCAAAUAAGAAAAAAAUUAUCUAUAUAGGUAAACAACACGUUUAUGGUAAAUAUUGUAUGGUACUACAUUUUUCAUGAUGGUGUAAGUCAUGACAAAAUGACAUGCCAUACUUUCAUCAUAGUAUAAUAAUUUUGUUGUAUUAUAGUGAUGAGUUUAUAUAAUAUAUUAAUAUGAUGAUUCUAAUAGUGAUAAGCAUGUAUGUGACAUACAAUCUCUCUGGCUAGGGUUGUGCAAACGAGCAGUUCGGUUAAUUCGGUUACUGAAUAUCUAAUAACCGAACUAACUGAACUCUUAUAUAAAACUAACCGAAACCGAAUCGAAGUAAAUUACUAACCGAACUAAUCGAAAUCGAGCUAACUUGGUUAGUUCGGUUCGAUUACCAAAAAUCGAACUUAAUAAUUUUUUUUUAAUUUCUGUUUGCCUUAUGAAUUUUCAGGCCCAUUUUACUUUUGAAUGGACAGGCUACCACAAAGCUAUACAAUUUAUAAGUCUAAGGUUUUAAGACAAUGGCUUUUAAGCUUGAUGUGCUAAAACAGAGUUAUGCAUUGAUUCACAAUUGGGUUAAGAAAAAACAAACAAAUAAUAAAAUAGGAUUGUGAUAGGAUGAUUUACAACACCGUAAUUGCUUCCAAAAUAAUAAGAUAUUAAUGAUCUAGAAUGUAUACAAGUACAAAAUUGUAAACCUAUACGCAACAACACAAAGGCAUUUACUUAUAAUGAUAGGAUAAUCAAUUCAGUAACCUUUUCUCAAAGGAGAGCGCCAUGAAUGGGAGGGUGCGAUGAAUUUCAGCUCAUCCAGGUUGACAGACAUCACAACCACACAGCUGAACAUCAAACAACAGACAAAAUGAAACAAGAGGGGGUUCUUUCGUUCAGUCUAAGCCAUGUUUCGGUAGACAAAGAAAUUCCCUAUGAAGGAAACACGUUUGCCUGUUCAAAGAGGUAGAGAUGCUAGCGAUUCUUGUAAGUAACUUGUUCAAGCUGUGGUCCCCAUCUGUUCAAAACCAAAUUAAACUAUCAUCAAGAAAUAUGAAAAAGAAGAAAUAAAAAAAGAACUCAGAAAAUGAGCUAAAUUGGCAACAAUUUAAACAAACUUGAAGCAACAAAAACUCUCAUUUCGUUCCUCGACAACUACAAACAAUUAAUGUCAACCAUCUCACAUUUGAAACACAAGAAUACAUAAAUAAUCAUUGGAUACAUAAACAAAUUUUAUUGAUGGUGGCAGCAGAAUAAAUAAAACUUACUAGUCACUUGAUGAGGGAAAGGCAGUCGGUAGCAACAAGAAACCGAACCAAAAAUUAGAGACAAACUUGGACUUGCUCAAGAUGAAGGCAAAAACCAGAAACCAGAAAGGGCAAUCGGCAGAAACUAGAUUGGGCGAAAGUGAAGAUCGGACGUUGACGGAUGACAGCUGGCAGAAACCAGAAAAGGCUAGAGACGAUAGUGGAGAGUGGAGAACUGGAGAUGGGAGAUUGGGAGUCACGAGAGACAAGACGUCAGAAAUUAGAAAGAGGAAGUGGGGAUUUAGUUUAAGAAUUUUUUAGGUAAAAUUUCAAAAAUAUCUUUCAGUUAGUUUGGUUAGACAUUUUUCUAAUCAAAACUGAACCGAAGUAAUUACAUUAACCGGAUUACUUUAACCGAAUAAACCGAACAGAGAAAAUCAAACUCAUUUCGAUUCGGUUCAGUUAUUCGAUUCGGGUCCUAUUUGCUCACCCCUAUCUCCAACACAUACAUAUUUUAGUGUUUUAAUUUAUUUCAUAUUUUUUAAUUUUGAGUAAAGGGGGGAAAAUGAAAGAAAAAUGUGAUUGACGUGUACAUCUCUCUAUCAAUCAAUCAUUCUUGAGCCCUAUGUUUGUUUCCACACUGAAACCCUUUUUUCCUAAAACCACUCUUAAACCAUUUGUCCAAAAUCACACCCAAACUCUACUUGCCACCAUAUAUAAAUCUUAGAAAAAAAAAUUGGUGGAUUAAUUUUUUUUUCUUUUUUUUUAUCAAAAGACCAAAAAAUCACCAAAAAAAAAUCAUUCACUGUUACCUCCACCACCCACAACUACUAAGCCACUGUUAAAAUCCAAAUAGAAACAAACCCAGUUAUGUCGAAACUCCACUAACUAAAACCAAUCUCACAAUUCUUAGAUAAAGAAAACAAAUAGCAAAAAAGAACAAAAAAUUGAAGCUUUUCUAAAUAAAUCAAAUCUCACCUUUUGUGAGUUGGGUAGAAUUCACAUCUUCAAACUGCAAAAACUAGAAGCAGAACAAAGAAGGCUAAAAACACAAAAAGCAAAAUCUAAUGGCAAGAGAUAUAAGUAAAAAAAAAACCCAAUCGAUGAUAUGCAUUACAUUUACAAAAAGAAAGAGGAAAACAAACAUAGAAUAGACACUACACCAUGCUUUAUGUCUUAUUAGGUAUAUUGGAUGAUGAAGUAUUAAAUUACAUUGAUAGAUUAAGCACUAAAAGGUUAAGUUGAAUCUCUUUAACUUUUCUUAAUAUUUAGGUAGUUAUGACACAUUGCUAGAUGUCAAUAUUAUUUAUAAAUAUGGAUUAAUCAAUUAUGGAAUUCAUGAUGAAUGAAAAUUGUUUAAUUCAUUUAAUUCUUAUUGGACUAGGAUUAUAGUGCAUAUUUAUUAUCAACAUAUUAAGUGCCUAUUUGGCUUGACUUAUUUUUAGCUUGUUUACUGCUUAAAGCAAAAGCUGAGCCAAAUAGGAUUUCGUAAAAAGCUCUUAAAAAAAGUAACUUUUUUUUAAAGAAUAAAAUCUAAAAAAAGCUUAAAAAUAAGCUCUAAUUAGGUGCUUUCUCUUCUCUUUUUUUUUUUUUAAAAAAACACACCAGCUUAUUAAGAGAGUUAUUUUUUCCCAAAAAGAUCCUUCCUCUCAACAAAUACUCCCUCCCUCUCUCCCUUUCUGUAAAUCAUCAUUCUAAGAUUUUUUUUGUUCUUACAAAAAUUAAAAAAAAAUCCAAAAUUCAAAACUACAUUAAGGUAUUAUUUCUUUUUUCCUUUCUAUUUUGUUUUUCAUUUUAUUUUCUAUCAUUUUUUUUGUACUUUGAAAACUCUCUUUAUUAGUUGAUAUUUCUCAAUUUAUUGUUUGAUAUGACAAUUAUGUGAUGUUUAUUCAUUCUUAACUUCUUUAUGGUGUAUAUAAUAUUUGAUGAUUAUGAUUGAAAUAAUUAAUUAAAUAGGUCAAUGGUAUUGAGAUAAAUUAGAUGAAAAUUGAGAUAAUAUUUUGUGACACCUAGUACCCUUGAAUUGUGAAAUCUCGACCUUCAUAGACUUGUAACUAGAAGUAGACGCGAUAACAUGAACCAAGGGUAAUUUCAUUAUUUCUCAUGGUGAGCUCUUGGAAGUAGUUUUUUAAUGUUAUUACGGUCUAAGUAAGCCUAAGGAAUAAAUGAAUGAUGAAAAAAUAAAUGAAGAAGAUAGAAACAUUGAUAAUUUCCACAAUAAGGGUAAAAUGGUCAUUUUACAUCUCGGGUCUAAAUUUUUAGGUUUUCAUGAACCCGAGUAUUUCUAGACUAUUAUGGACUUUAUUUCAAUGUCAAAAGAGUAAAAAGGUUACACAAAGGAUGGGAGGAAGACAAAGUGACCUUGUUAAGGGCAUUUUGGUAAUUUACAUGAGGAAUUGGAUAAACUUUAGAUAUAAAUAUCUAAGUUCCAGCAGCUUCUUCUUCCAUCCAUCUCUUCUUUCCAUUUCAUGUUUUCUUUACCCUCCAUGGGAAGAAAACCUUGAAUCCUCCAUAAAUCUCUCAUAGAAAGUCCAAGUUUCAUGUUUUUGCCCACUCCUUCAUAGGGCUUAUCAUGCUGUUCCACUUUUACACCUCAACAGCCUUCAAAGGUCUUUCUUUAGUACAUUCACUCACCAGCUAGACGUGUAGAGAGAGUGUGUGUGAUUUCCCUUAUUAGCUUGAAGAAUUUUGAAAGAGAAUUCAACUACAAAGACCAUCAAGAUGAGUAUGAGUUAGGGUUAAUCUCUUUAGUUGUUGAUAAUGUCUAGUAAUUAGAUUUGUGAGUGUUUUAUUGUUGAGGCUGUUUAUUUAUUUUUAGUGUGACUAGAGUAGUGCAAAUAAUAGCCAUUUAGUAGUAGUUGGAAAUUAGUUAGGGAUGACUAGUAGAACUUGAUUUAGGAAAUAGCUUUUGGAAUGGUAUUAAUGCCUAGUUGGGUUGAUAGCAAUGUUGUUGUGUGUGAUAGGUUCCAACGAAACCCCACACCUCCAUUCGAAACAUUAAUCAAAGUUAAAGCCCACCAAAACAUCAACAAAGACUGGUGAGUGAACUUGCAUUUCAAAAUGUUUUGAGAAAUGCCUACAUGUUUAAAUAAAUAAUUUGAAAGUUUCAUUUGUUUUUGCUUUAAAAAUAUACUUGGGGAACAAGCCCUUGAUGAAAUGUUUCUAUCUUGUGAAAUGUGUAAUAUGAAUAGUUCAUGCGUUCUCACAUUAUAUUGAUAGGUAUAUUAUGCUUUGGAUGCUCCUUUUGUGUGAUAAUGAGAACCCAGCUAUGUGCGGUGUGGGAGUGCACAUGAGCUAAUGAUGACCCAAUUAUGUGCGGUGUGGGAGUGCACAUGAGCUGAUGAUGAUGAUAUUGCAUUGUGCGUGUAGAGAGUGCACAUGAGCUGAGUGUGGCGGGAUGGUAUGUGUAAAACCCGACCCUAUAAAUACAUGUCAUGACAUACAUGCACUGAGUGGCAUGUUAUUAUACUAGGAAAGCACUUAAGAAAAGACGAAACCCCGAUAUCGUACCUAACAGUACACUUGAGUUGAUUUAACCUCGAACUAGUUCAAAUAGGAAUUGUAGGAUGAAAUUUAAUAUUUUAUAGUCCAGGAAUGACUAAAAAUGAUUGUUCGGAGUUCGAGGGUUCAUUUGGGGUAAAAUUGAAAAUUUUGAUGUUCAAGGGCAAAAUCGUCAUUUUACCACCCAAGAUAAUAAUUUGAUCACGGAGUGAAAUUUUUGAUCAAGAUUAACUAUUUGGAGUAUAAUUUAAUGAUAGGAAGUGAAAAAGUUUAAUUCUGGUGAUUUUUGGAGUGUAGGGGCAAAAUCGUAAUUUUACCACCUACGGAAAAAAUUUGAGAUUUUGAGAGAAUUUAGAUCAAAUUUGACAAAUUGGAGAAUGGUAUGAGUAUAAGGGAUGAAAAAUAUGACUAUGGGCAAUUUUUUAGUUUUUUUAGCAAAAAUGUAAUUUUUCACUUUUACGGGGGCAAAAGUGUAAAUUUCAAAAAUUACUCCACCCAGACUUUGGAUAAGUCUGAGAAUUUUAUCUAAGCUAUGGAUAUGUGGGACAAGUGUAUGGUGAAAAUUUGGAAACAAAUGGAUGAAAUUUUAAAAAUGGGCUAAUGGGAAAGUGACACAUGGUAUUUUUUUUAAUGAAAUAAUAUUAUUUUAAUAAAACGUCAGCCCAUUUAAACCCCAUUUUAAGUGCUGGCCGGCCAUAAGGAAGAACAAGAGAGGAAUAGAGAGGAAAGGAAGNNNNNNNNNNNNNNNNNNNNNNNNNNNNNNNNNNNNNNNNNNNNNNNNNNNNNNNNNNNNNNNNNNNNNNNNNNNNNNNNNNNNNNNNNNNNNNNNNNNNNNNNNNNNNNNNNNNNNNNNNNNNNNNNNNNNNNNNNNNNNNNNNNNNNNNNNNNNNNNNNNNNNNNNNNNNNNNNNNNNNNNNNNNNNNNNNNNNNNNNNNNNNNNNNNNNNNNNNNNNNNNNNNNNNNNNNNNNNNNNNNNNNNNNNNNNNNNNNNNNNNNNNNNNNNNNNNNNNNNNNNNNNNNNNNNNNNNNNNNNNNNNNNNNNNNNNNNNNNNNNNNNNNNNNNNNNNNNNNNNNNNNNNNNNNNNNNNNNNNNNNNNNNNNNNNNNNNNNNNNNNNNNNNNNNNNNNNNNNNNNNNNNNNNNNNNNNNNNNNNNNNNNNNNNNNNNNNNNNNNNNNNNNNNNNNNNNNNNNNNNNNNNNNNNNNNNNNNNNNNNNNNNNNNNNNNNNNNNNNNNNNNNNNNNNNNNNNNNNNNNNNNNNNNNNNNNNNNNNNNNNNNNNNNNNNNNNNNNNNNNNNNNNNNNNNNNNNNNNNNNNNNNNNNNNNNNNNNNNNNNNNNNNNNNNNNNNNNNNNNNNNNNNNNNNNNNNNNNNNNNNNNNNNNNNNNNNNNNNNNNNNNNNNNNNNNNNNNAAAGUGCCAAAAAUAGGUUAAAUACCGCGUUUAAGCCGUUUAGGCUAUUGCAUUUCAUACCAUGCAUUAGUAUAGGAUUUAAGUUAAUUAUAUAGUGAUUUAGCAUCAAUGUGAUGAAUUGUGUAAAUUUUUGUUAUGUGUCUAAGAGGAGAGCCUUCCGAAAAAGGCAAAGAAGUCGUACUCGACGAGUAGUGAUCGGGGCGCUUAGAAAGCUUUUAGUUUGUACAAACGGUGAGUAAACUUAUUAUUAUUGUAAAUUAUAUAGAGUUUAUUUUUAAAUGCCUUUAUGUAUUUUAUGAAAUGAAAACGAGAUUAAAAUGAGAUUUUUUGAUGUUUUAGGAAUAAAUGUGACAAAUAAAAAUAUGUUGUAUUGAUUAUGAAAUUGAGUAAUUGGAGGCUGCAAAUUGACUUGAAAAAUAUAUAUUUUCCUAGGAAUGGCUUAUGAGAAAUGAGUAUAUGUGGCUAUAUUUUGUGAGUGCAUUGGGAAAUUUAUGUAAGUUGUUUUUACUAUGCAGGCUGGAUAAAUAAAUAAAAGCUACGUUAUACUGUCGAAAAUUUAUUAAAAUUGGUGGGUUAGUCACUAUAGUGACGGGUUUUCGUGGACUGCCUAUUAGAGGGGGCACGGUAAACCUAGUUAUAUAGUUACUCCGGUUGUAGAGGUGAGGAGGGUAACUCCCCGGGUAGUAUUAGAGCUCACUUCACGUCGAACCCCCACGUGAAUGUGUAACUUAGCCAACGCCAAGGAACGGCUGGUUUUAAAAAAAAAAAAUGUGUUUCACGUGUGAAUAUUUUAACACCCUUGACAGACUGGGUUAGAUGCCUCGGCCAAGGUAUCCCCGAGGAUUAGUUUUGGCUUGAGCCUUGUUUUAAUAAAAGACAUAAGCCUUAACAACUGUUUUGGUAAAUUACAAAUAUUUUAUGGUUUAAGAAAUAAAUUGAAAACAUUAUGAAAUGGGUUGAAAUUUGUUGUUUAAACUUGCCUCCAUUUUACUCGCCUUUAGAUAUUUAUGAUAAUGUCUGUUUAUUCAUUGGGAUUUUAUAAUCUCACCACCCUCCUUUCCACCCAUUUCAGGUUCAGUAUAAACUGUAGAUAGCUGAUCUCAUCGAGGACUACCAUUGGAUCUGCAUUUUCCAAACCGUAGGUUCACAGUCCUCUUUACUUUUGUUUAUUCGGGGGCCCUCUUGUUAUUGUAAAUUAAAUUAAAUAUUUUGGCUUACUGUAUUUCAGUAUGUAUAAAUUUAUUUAGCUUUUACGCUAUAAAAAUUAUUCACGUAUAACUCUAUAAAUAUUGUUUUAUAAGAAAAUAGAAUAUUUUCCUUAAUAUUUCUUUUAUUUUCUUAUUAUAUUCAAAUAACCGUAAUUUCGUUUUAAAUGAAGAUUUUAGACUUUUAAACUCAUUUUGAAUAUGAAUUAUGUGUUUUGUACUUGUAUAUUACGUUUUAGCCAGUUUCGAAAUUUUUGAGAAAAAAAUGACCAAAAUACCCCUGUGUGGCGAAAAUUUUAUUUUGAUUGUUUUUGAUCUAAAAUAGUAUAUAUUCUCUAAAAACUCGAUAUUUAACAAUGAUUGCUCACAGGAAAGGAAAGAAACUGAUAUGUAAGCCUUGCGGGGUUCCGGUUGGCAUUCCGGAUAAUGAGUGUCAAUCGGGACGUCGCGGCGAUUGUCAUGGGCCUGAGGGAGGUUCCGGGUCGUGACAAUUCGAUUGGUAUCAGAGCUUUUGGUUUUAAAGAUAAGAGCUUUUGGUUUUAAAGAUAAGAGUUUUUGGUUUUAAAGUGGUUUUAAAAAAUUACAAUAUCAGUGUGGCCCCGGAUUAAGUUAAGUUAGGUUGAAUAGAAUGCAUGCAUUUUCAUAUAGAGCCUAAGGUUCCCUAAGCUUGCUCGUUUUCUCUUAUAGAUUAUUAUGCCUCCUCGACGCGGACGCCCACCUCUCACUAGAUCGGUUGGGAGGGGAAAAUGUUGUUCCCAACGUCGUCAGCUAGAUGCAGUAGGGGAAGAAUCGAUUGCGUCUACCAUUCGGGGAGCACCUGUUGCUGAGUAGGCCGAUAGUCCUCCACAUCCUCCACCUCCUCCGCCACCUACGGGUAUUCCCACCAUGCCUACUGAGGCAGCACAAGCAUUGGCAGCUUUCUUUACUGCAAUGACUGGUGGAGCUCCGACUGGUCAAGUUCCACCUAUAGUACCACCAGUUACUCCUUUAGUUCCACCACCGGUACAAGAUGUAUCCAUUUCCAAGAAGCUAAAGGAGGCUAGACAGCUCAGUUGUGUGUCUUUCACGGGUGAGUUGGAUGCCACUGUGGCAAAGGACUGGAUUAAUCAGGUUUCAGAGACUCUCUCUGAUAUGAGAUUAGACGACGACAUGAAGCUGAUGGUGGCUACGAGAUUAUUAGAGAAGAAGGCUCGUACUUGGUGGAAUUCAGUGAAGUCCCAUUCCACUAUUCCUCAGACGUGGUCCGAUUUUCUCAGGGAAUUCGAUGGUCAGUAUUUCACUUAUUUUCAUCAGAAAGAAAAGAAGAAAGAAUUUCUGAGUUUGAAACAGGGGGAAUCUAACUGUAGAGGAGUAUGAGACUCGUUUUAACGAGUUGAUGUUAUAUGUGCCGGAUCUGGUGAAAUUUGAGCAGAAUCAGGCUAGUUAUUUCGAGGAAGGGCUCCGUAAUGAGAUUAGAGAGCGGAUGACAGUGACUGGUAGGGAGCCACAUAAGGAGGUGGUAUAGAUGGCUUUACGGGCUGAGAAGCUCGCGACUGAAAAUAGGAGGAUUCGGACUGAGUUUGCAAAAAGGAAGAAUCCUGGUAUGUCUUCUAGUCAGUCAGUAAAAAGAGGCAAGGACUCAACGAUUUCAGAGAGUACUACUUCUAUUUCCAUGACAUUUCCUCGACCUCCAUUUCCACCAUCACAACAGAGACCUUCGAGGUUUAACAGAUCUGCUAUGACUGGUUCUGGAAAGAGUUUCGGAGGUUCUGACUGAUGCAAAAAUUAUGGGAAUUAUCAUAGUGGGCUAUGUAGAGGGCCAACAAGAUGUUUCCAAUGUGGACAGACGGGUCAUAUUAGGAGUAAUUGCCCACGGUUAGGACGAGCCACGGUAGUUGCAUCAUCUUCACCAGCUCGCACUGAUAUGCAGAAGAGAGAUUAUUCUAAGUUGCCACCAAGACAGGGAGUGACCAUACGGUCCGAUGUGGAGAGUAAUACCCCGGCACAUCCACCUUCGAGACCACAGACUCGUACCUCGACAAGAGUUUUCGCUGUUACGAAAGAUGAGGCACGGGUCCAACCUGGAGCAGUGACAAGUACUAUGUCUUUAUUUGAUAAAGAUUCUUAUGUUUUGAUAGAUUCUGGCUCAGAUAGGUCUUAUGUGAGCACCACAUUUGCAUCAAUUGCUGAUAGAAACCUGUCACCAUUAGAGGAAGAAAUUGUAAUUCACACCCCUUUGGGAGAAAAGCUAGUUAGAAACAGUUGUUAUAGAGACUGUGGGGUAAGGGUAGGCGAGGAAGAAUUUAGGGGUGACUUAAUUCCUCUAGAGAUCCUGGAUUUUGAUCUAAUAUUGGGUAUGGACUGGUUAACUGCACAUCAGGCGAACGUGAAUUGUUUUCGAAAGGAAGUUGUUCUUCGAAAUUCGGAGGGAGCAGAGAUUGUGUUUGUAGGGAAACGUCGAGUAUUACCGUCCUGUGUAAUCUCGGCCAUCAAAGCUUUGAAAUUAGUGCAGAAAGGGUAUCCGACUUAUUUGGCAUACGUGAUUGAUACUUCAAAGGGGGAACCUAAGUUAGAGGAUGUCUCGAUAGUAAGUGAGUUUCCUGAUGUAUUUUCUGAUGAUUUACCGAGACUACCUUUUGAUCGAGAGCUUGAGUUCCCUAUUGAUUUACUUCUGGGUACCGCACCUAUUUCUAUCCCUCCAUAUAGAAUGGCUCCGGCAGAGUUGAAGGAACUGAAAGUCCAGUUGCAAGAUUUAGUGGAUAAAGGUUUCAUUCGCCCUAGCAUUUCUCCUUGGGGAGCACCAGUUCUAUUUGUCAAGAAAAAGGAUGGCACUCUUCGAUUGUGUAUUGAUUACCGUCAGCUGAACCGAGUGACCAUCAAGAAUAAAUAUCCUUUACCCCGGAUAGAUGAUCUAUUUGAUCAAUUACGAGGUGCUAUGGUAUUCUCUAAGAUUGAUUUGAGAUCUGGGUACUAUCAGUUGAGGAUUAAGGAGCAAGAUGUACCCAAGACUGCGUUCAGGACUCGGUACAGUCAUUAUGAGUUCUUGGUCAUGCCUUUCGGGUUAACUAACGCACCGACAGCUUUUAUGGAUCUCAUGAAUAGGGUGUUCCACCUUUACUUGGACAAGUUUGUUAUUGUGUUCAUUGAUGACAUAUUGGUUUACUUGAGAGAUAAUGAUGAGCACGCUGCCCACUUGCGUAUAGUAUGACAAACUUUGAGGGAAAGACAGUUGUAUGCAAAGUUUUCGAAGUAUGAGUUUUGGUUACAGGAAGUGGUAUUCUUGGGACACAUAGUAUCGAGAACUGGAAUAUAUGUUGAUCCUAAGAAAGUAGAGGCAAUUUUACAAUGGGAGCAACCUAAGACAGUGACGGAGAUUCGUAGUUUCCUCGGAUUAGCUGGUUAUUAUCGGAGGUUUGUUUAGGGGUUUUCCUUAAUAGCAGCUCCUUUAACCCGUCUAACUCGUAAGGGAGUUAAGUUUGUGUGGGAUGAUAUUUGUGAGAAUCGAUUUCAGGAGCUAAAGAACCGGUUAACCUUCGCUCCCGUUUUAACACUUCCUGUUAAUGGUAAGGGAUUUGUAGUAUAUAGUGAUGCCUCAAAGUUGGGGUUGGGGUGCGUAUUGAUGCAAGAUGAAAAAGUUGUGGCUUAUGCUUCUAGACAGCUAAAGAGGUAUGAAGCAAAUUACCCUACCCAUGAUUUAGAGUUAACAGCAGUGGUGUUUGCUUUAAAAAUCUAGAGGCAUUACUUGUAUGGUGAGCAUUGUCGGAUAUUUACGGAUCACAAGAGUUUAAAAUAUUUGCUCACCCAAAAGGAGUUUAAUUUGAGGCAAAGGCGAUGGUUGGAGUUGAUAAAAGAUUAUGACUUGGUGAUAGACUAUCAUCCGAGAAAGACGAACGUUGUAGCUGAUGCCUUAAGUCGUAAGUCUUCAUCGUCUUUAGCAGCACUUCAGAGUUAUUAUUUUCCAGCAUUAAUAGAGAUGAAAUCUCUUAGGGUCCAGUUGAGAAAUGGUGAGGAUGGAUCCUUAUUGGCAAACUUCAUUGUGCGACCUUCGUUACUUAAUCAGAUCAAGGACAUUCAGAGGUCUGAUGAUGAGUUAAGAAAAGAAAUUCAAAAACUGACCGAUGGGGGAGUUAGUGAGUUCAGAUUUGGAGAGGAUAACGUCUUGAUGUUUAAAGAUCGAGUUUGUGUUCCUGAGGGAAACCAGUUGAGACAAGCGAUCAUGGAAGAAGCCCAUUCAUCUGCCUAUGCAUUACAUCCCGGAAGCACCAAGAUGUAUAGGACUAUCAGGGAGAAUUAUUGGUGGCCGGGUAUGAAGCGAGACGUAGCAGAAUUCGUAGCAAAGUGUCUCGUAUGUCAGCAAGUUAAGGCGGAGCAUCAGAGGCCAGCAGGUACACUUCAGUCUUUACCUGUUCCCGAGUGGAAAUGGGAGCAUGUAACUAUGGAUUUUGUUUUGGGAUUGCCGCGGACACAGAGGGGAAAGGAUGCGAUCUGGGUGAUCGUAGAUCGGUUGACUAAGUCCGCUCACUUUUUAGCUGUCCAUAGUACAUACUCUAUUGAGAAGCUGGCUCAGCUCUAUAUAAAUGAGAUUGUGAGGCUACAUGGAGUUCCCGUUUCUAUAGUGUCAGACCGAGAUCCUCGAUUCACUUCUCGAUUCUGGCCAAAAUUUCAAGAAGCUCUCGGAACCAAAUUGAAAUUUAGCACUGCUUUUCACCCACAGACGGAUGGUCAGUCAGAGAGGACUAUCCAGACCUUGGAGGAUAUGUUACGGGCUUGUGUCAUUGACUUUAUUGGGAGUUGGGACAGACAUUUGCCAUUGGUGGAAUUUGCUUACAACAAUAGCUUUCAGUCUAGCAUUGGUAUGGCACCAUACGAAGCUUUAUAUGGAAGGAAAUGUCGUACUCCACUUUGUUGGGAUGAAGUGGGUGAAAGAAAGUUAGUGAGUGUGGAAUUGAUCGAGCUAACUAAUGACAAGAUCAAGGUUAUACGAGAGAGGCUAAAGGUAGCCCAGGAUAGGCAGAAGAGCUAUGCAGAUAAACGGAGAAAAGACUUGGAGUUUGAGAUCGAUGAUAAAGUUUUUCUUAAGGUUUCUCCUUGGAAAGGUAAUAAUUUGAAUACUUUGAAGUAUUAAAUCUUAUUGAUUAUACUAUCAUGAUAAAUUAUGGUGUUUUAUUGGAUAAUGAAAGGUGUGAUUCGAUUUGCGAAGAGGGGAAAGCUCAACCCGAGAUAUAUUGGACCAUUCCGAAUCAUUGAAAGGAUUGGACCAGUGGCUUAUCGGUUAGAAUUACCUCCGGAGUUAGAUCGGAUCCACAACGUUUUCCAUGUCUCCAUGCUUAAGAAAUAUGUACCAGAUCCCUCUCACGUCCUCGAAGCACCUCCGAUCGAGUUGCAUGACGAUUUGAAGUUCGAGGUACAACCUGUGAGUAUCUUGGAUCGAAAGGAUCGAGUACUGAGAAACAAGAGUAUUUCAAUGGUCAAAGUGUUGUGGAAAAGUGCUCGAAUGGAGGAAAUGACAUGGGAAGUAGAGCAUCAGAUGAGGAACCAAUACCCGCAUCUAUUUGUCGAAUCUGGUAAGUGAAAUUUUGAGGUCAAAAUUUUAUUUUAAGGGGGGUAGAAUUGUAAAACCCGACCCUAUAAAUACAUGUCAUGACAUACAUGCAUUGAGUAGCAUGUUAUUACGCUAGAAAAGCACCUAAGAAUAGACGAAACCCGAUAUUGUACCUAACGGUACACUUAAAUUGAUUUAACCUCGAACUAGUUCAAAUAGGAAUUGUAGGAUGAAAUUUAAUAUUUUAUAGUCCAGGAAUGACUAAAAAUGAUUGUUCGGAGUUCGAGGGUUCAUUUGGGGUAAAAUUAGAAAUUUUGAUAUUCAAGGGCAAAAUCGUCAUUUUGCCACCUAAGAUAAUAAUUUGAUCAUGGAGUGAAAUUUUUGACCAAGAUUAACUAUUUGGAGUAUAAUUUAAUGAUAGGAAGUGAAAAAGUUUAAUUCUGGUGAUUUUUGGAGUGUAGGGGCAAAAUCGUAAUUUUGCCACCCACGGACAAAAUUUGAGAUUUUGAGAGAAUUUAGAUCAAAUUUGACAAAUUGGAGAAUGGUAUGAGUAUAAGGGAUGAAAAAUAUGUCUAUGGGCAAUUUUUCAAUUUUUGGGGCAAAAAUGUAAUUUUUGACUUUUACGGGGGCAAAAGUGUAAAUUUCAAAAAUUACUCCACCGAGACUUUGGAUGAGUCUGAGAAUUUUAUCUAAGCUAUGAAUAUAUGAGACAAGUGUAUGGUGAAAAUUUGGAAACAAAUGGAUGAAAUUUUAAAAAUGGGCCAAUGGGAAAGUGACAUGUGGCAUUUUUUAAUGAAAUAAUAUUAUUUUAAUGAAAAGUCAGCCCAUUUAAACCCAAAUUUUGAGUGCUGGCCGGCCAUAAGGAAGAACAAGAGAGGAAAUAGAGAGGAAAGGAAGAAAAAAAGAAAAACCAAAGAGAAACAAGAAAAUUCAAAGGGAAAUUCGCGGUUUUCGACCGUUUACGCGUCUAACGGUAAGAUUUUUCGAUUUUAGCUUGAUUUCUACCUUUCCUAUGCCUUUAUUUCCAUUUAGCAUGCUUGAGGAGAGAGAUCAAAAAGUGAUAUCAAGGGCUGGACGAAAUUCUAGGGGAGAGAAAUUGAAAUUUUUAGGUUUUGAUUUUUAGUUAAAUUGAUAGUUUUAGUUAGUUAAAUGUGUUUAGAAAUUAAAUUGGGCAAGAAAUCAUUAAAUUUUCACAAUACCCACUCUUGGCUGGAUGCUCAAUGCUGUACAAUGAUGAUGAAUUGAUUUUAUUCUAAGGAAAAUGAAGAGAAAAUGAUGAAAAACGAUUAAACGUGAUAGAAAAACAAAGUAGAAAAUUAACCGAGUUAAUGUCCCAUUUUUGGCCGAAUUUUCCAAGGAAGGGAGUGAGCUGAUUUUGUUGUUUUUAGAAGGUUAUUGGCUGAUAUUUAAUGGUUAGAAAUGUUGGAGAGAGAAUGGGAUGAUUUAGAGCUAAAAUGGAGCGCGUUAGCAAUUUAUCGGGCAAAGUGCCAAAAAUAGGUUAAUACCGCGUUUAAGCCGUUUUAGGCUAUUGCAUUUCAUACCAUGCAUUAGUAUAGGAUUUAAGUUAAUUAUAUAGUGAUUUAGCAUCAAUGUGAUGAAUUGUGUAAAUUUUUGUAAUGUGUCUAGGAGGAGAGCCUUCCGGAAAAGGCAAAGAAGUCGUACCCGACGAGUAGUGAUCGGGGCGCUUAGAAAGCUUUUAGUUUGUACAAACGGUGAGUAAACUUAUUAUUAUUGUAAAUUAUCUAGAGUUUAUUUUUAAAUGCCCUUUAUGUAUUUUAUGAAAUGAAAACGAGAUUAAAACGGGAUUUUUGAUGUUUUAGGAAUAAAUGUGACAAAUAAAAAUAUAUUGUAUUGAUUAUGAAAUUGAGUAAUUGGAGGCUACAAAUUGACUUGAAAAAUAUAUAUUUUCCUAGGAAUGGCUUAUGAGAAAUGAGUAUAUGUGGCUAUAUUUUGUGAAUGCAUUGGGAAAUUUAUGUAAGUUGUUUUACUAUGCAGGCUGGAUAAAUAAAUAAAAGCCACGUUAUACUGUCGAAAUUUUAUUAAAAUUGGUGGGUUAGUCACUGCAGUGACGGGUUUCCGUGGACUGCCUAUUAGAGGGGCACGGUAAACCCAGUUAUAUAGUUACUCCGGUUGUAGAGGCGAGGAGGGUAACUCCUGGGGUAGUAUUAGAGCUCACUUCACGUCGAACCCCCACGUGAAUGUGUAACUCGGCCAACGCCAAGGAACGGCUGGUUUUAAAAAUAAAAAUGUGUUUCACGUGUGAAUAUUUUAACACCCUUGGCGGACUCGGUUAGAUGCCUCGGCCAAGGUAUCCCCGAGGAUUAGUUUUGGCUUGAGCCUUGUUUUAAUAAAAGACAUAAGCCUUAACAACUGUUUUGGUAAAUUACAAAUAUUUUAUGGUUUAAGAAAUAAAUUGAAAACAUUAUGAAAUGGGUUGAAAUUUGUUGUUUAAACUUGCCUCCAUUUUACUCGCCUUUAGAUAUUUAUGAUAAUGUCUGUUUACUCAUUGGGAUUGCAAAAUCUCACCCAACUCCUUUCCACCCAUUUCAGGUUCAGUAUAGACUGUAGAUAGCUGAUCUCAUCGAGGACUACCAUUGGAUCUGCAUUUUCCAAACCGUAGGUUCACAGUCCUCUUUACUUUUGUUUAUUCGGGGGCCCUCUUGUUAUUGUAAAUUAAAUUAAAUAUUUUGGCUUACUGUAUUUCAGUAUGUAUAAAUUUAUUUAGCUUUUACGCUAUAAAAAUUAUUCACGUAUAACUCUAUAAAUAUUGUUUUAUAAGAAAAUAGAAUAUUUUCCUUAAUAUUUCUUUUAUUUUCUUAUUAUAUUCAAAUAACCGUAAUUUCGUUUUAAAUGAAGAUUUUAGACUUUUAAACUCAUUUUGAAUAUGAAUUAUGUGUUUUGUACUUGUAUAUUACGUUUUAGCCAGUUUCGAAAUUUUUGAGAAAAAAAUGACCAAAAUACCCCUGUGUGGCGAAAAUUUUAUUUUGAUUGUUUUUUAUCUAAAAUAGUGUAUAUUCUCUAAAAACUCGAUAUUUAAUAACGAUUGCUCACAGGAAAGGAAAGAAACUGAUAUGUAAGCCUUGCGGGGUUUCGGUUGGCAUUCCGGAUAAUGACUGUCAAUCGGGACGUCGCGGCGAUUGUCAUGGGCCUGAAGGAGGUUUCGGGUCGUGACAGUAUGCAUGAUGAUGUAUGUAUAUAUAUAUAUAUAUGUUAUAGAAAGUUUAUGAAAAUAAUUAUGAUUAUGUUGUAUGUUGGCAUUGUUAAUUGCUCCCAAAUUGCUUUUCAUUUCAGCAAGAAAAUGACUUUUUAAUGUAACAAUACCCGUUUUAACUAAAUUACUCUAUUUCUCGUUGCAGCAAGAAUGAAUCUCACUGCAAUGAGAAACUCUCGGGUUGGGGGGUUUACACUGGCCUGGUUCUUGCUACAGCGAGAAACUCUCGGGUGGUUCCAAAAUUUUGGUAUAGUGUUUUCACUUUGACAAAGAUUUUGACUAUCUUUCGGUCAGAACUGGGUAAAGUGGUAAACAUCAAAGUUGUAGCCCAGCCUCUUAGCUUUCUAAUGACCUUAAAACCAUAUCAAUUGGACUUCUGUAGUGGGAGAUAUGCUUGAAAUCCCGAAGUAUAUGAAAAUAGAGAAUGCCUUUUCGCUACAGCUAGAAAACCCUCUGUUGCUUGUAUUGCUUGGCCAUUGCUGAAAUUUUCAUUCUAUUCAACUUAAAGGUUUAUCAUGGAUCUUGUAACAUUAAAAGAUUAAACAUUCAAAGUUUGAAAUGAGGGCUUUUAACGAAAAAUUAGACUAAAUUGCAUGGUUUUAUCGUAAAUGCAUCAUGUUUUCUAAAACAUUCCUUAUCAUUGCUUGUUCCCUUCUUAUGUUCACUUACUAAGUUUAUACUCACUCUUUUAAAUUACAUGUUUUCAUAUCCGUAGAUAGUUGGGACCGAGAUUAAGGCGUCCACUUGCAUUCACUCUUGGUAGGUAUCAUGGCAUUCGAUAGCCGUACCCUCACCAAAGUCACUCCGCUGGUCGUCAGAAGUCUUUUAUAUGAGUACAUGUACAUUAAAUGUAAAUUGCUAGGAAUCACUUGCCAACGAUGUGUGUAUAGUUUGAAAUGAUGGUGCCAUUAUGAGAUGGCUAUGAAUAACCUUAUUUUGAGAUCAUACAAAUGUAAAUUUUUGGUAUCGAUGUUGUAUUAUGAAAAUACGUCUAGUUGCAAAUUACAAAUGGUGGUCUAGUAAUGCUGAUGAAAAAUUGAUGGGAUAGUGAACGAGAUUACGUAAAGAGGCUUGCUUGGGCUUAAUGAGCUACGUCUACUGGGCCCAUGCGCCGGUCAUGGCCCAAAAUUUAGGUCGUGACAUAUUUGUUGAUUAUAGUUGUUGAGAAAAUACUGUUCAUGGAGGUGAACUUUGUUAGUAAGGACAUCAAUAGCUAAACAUGAUUUUUCUGAAUUAUUAUUACCACCUUAGACUUCUCUUCUUUUUUUUUGGGUUCUCCUCCAUUAUUAGGGUUAAGAGUUCCACUAGUCGACUCACUGCUUUCUUUCAUCUCUCAUUUUUUUUAUUUGAUUCAAUUUUUUUCUCUUGAUUUUAUUUAUUAUUAUUAUUCAAUAAAAAAUUAUUUAUGAAUUAUCUGUUACUUAUAAAUUAUUUUUGAAACUUUUUUUUAUGAUUUAUUGUUAAUUAUAAACUUUAUGUUAUAUAAAAAUCCUUUUAAUAUUUUCAAAAUUUUAUUUUAAAUUGAUAAAAAAUAAAAUUAAUUUUUUUUAUUUUGAACAAAGAAAUUUGUGAUUAAUAAAAGUUAUUUAUUAAAUACCCUUUAUGGUAAUUUUAACUAAAAUUAGAGUUUAUAUAGGUUGUUUUGCCAAACAACUUAUCUAUAAAAAAGAGCUUAUAAAAAGUAAAUUUAUCAAACAAUUUUAGCUUAAUUUUAAAAGCUAUUAUUUUUUAUAAGAGUUUUAUAAUAGCUUUUAAGUUAAAAAAAAAUCAGGCCAAACAUACUAUAAGAAUUUAAUAAGUCACACACAUUAAUGAUUUCAACAUUAGAAUGAAAAAUUGGGGAUUGAGUUAGACUUACUUGGUGAAGUAUAGACUUUGAGACUUAAUUGAAUGAGUUCAACUUGUCAAGGUAAUUCAUAGAAGGAUUAGAAUUAACUUAUUUCCUUAUAAAUAAAUUGCUUAUACUACACUUUAAAGGCAUAAGAGAAACACCAUUGAGCUAUAAAACCCCGAGAGGCAAUUGAGAAUUGUGAGGAGAGAUUUAAGCAACCACAAGUCUUCCUUAACCUUGAGAGUUGUCGACAUUGAGUGGAUUUCCCUAAGUAUCAAUUUUUGAAACUCCUAUCUUUGGGAAUUAAUAGUUUUUCUUUUUUUUUCCUCAUUUUUUUUUUUCCUUAGGAAAUGAGAAACCUUCAUUGCCUCUUUUUAUCUAGCACAAAGCUUAACAACAAAAGCAAACCCUAAAUCACUCUUGGUGUUAUUCCACUUGUAGUCUUUUUGGAUCACUGUCAGAGACUAAACACUUGGACAGUAUGAGAUUUGCUGACAACUUAAGCUUUAUGGGGGAAAAUAAUGAGAUACCUCUUGAUUUCAACAUCAAAGGCUUUAAUUAAGGUAUUAAAUCUUCUAUCAACUAGUUAGGAUUUAUCUAUAUUAAACAACCAAUGUUGAUUUUACUAGUGACAAAAGUUUUAAAUUUUCACUGUGCAUGUAAACUGAUUUGCAUGGCUUUUCCCAAAAUGGUGCAUAAAAGAUCUCAAAACCUUAGAUAUUUUAGUCUUCUGAUUUUGACAUCCAAGGUUCAGAGAUAUAAAAAUCUUCUCUCUUAGAUAGGUUUUUUAUAUUAAACAACCAAAAAUUAAUCUUACUAAUGAGAAAAGUUUCAAAUUCCAAUUGUAUUUUGUAAUUUGAUUGCAUGGCUUUUCCUAACAUAAUUAUUAUUUAUAUUUUAAAAUAAGUAAAUCAACUCAAAAUGUAUUUGCAUUGAAAUUACUAUUUUAUUGUAUUUAAUUUUGUUCUAUAACGUAAAAAAUUAUAUAAAAGAAGCUCAAUUGGGUAAACAGUGAUUUUAAAAAAUGAAAGGUGGGCCAAGUAAUUAGGUUAGACAUAAAAAUUAUAGAAAUUAGAGAAGGUUUGAAAACAAUUUGGAAAGAGAGGCUAAGGCAGUGAUUUUGUCGGUAAACAUGAUUAUGUUUAUAUUGUACUUUAAUUAUAAAUAAUAUCUACACAUGUAAAACAAAGAAAAAAAUUAAAAAAAUUAUAUUUAUUAAUGGAGUUAAAGAUUAUAAGUCAUAAAUUGAAAAAAUAAUUAUUUUUAUUUAAAUUCUAAACAUAUUCUUUAAUAAUAUAGUUUUAGAUAAAAAUAUGUAAUUUUCGUAUUAAUUUAUUAAUUAAAAAUUAAAAAACACUCAACAUGCUAAAAUUAAAAUGAGAAUUCUAUUUUUUAGUAUUUUUUUUGUUUAAAAUUUAAAUCUUAAAGAUUGAAAUUCAUAAAAAAAUAAUUUUUCAUAUUUCAAUUAAAGAAAAGAAUAAAAGAAUUUAAUAAUUAAUUAGAAUUAAAUUUAUCAAAAACAUAUUAAUUAUAUCGUAUAAUUCAUUUGUAUCGUAAGAUAUAUGUCGCAUAGCGUAUUAUAUACUUUCAAUAUUUAAUCAAAUACAAUAUAACUAUCUAUACAUAUUGUAUAAAAUUAAUAACUAUUAUUAUUAUUAUAGGUCGAUAUACUGUCACUAACCAAGAUAAAGAAUUAGUGACAUAGUGACAUAAGUUCAACAAUAUAGUGAGCUUGAAGUUUGAAGAACAGGUAGAGCCCUAGAAGCCCACGUGCACCCAAACCCCCACUGUGCACUUUCUUCAGCUACUUCACUCACCAUUCAAGGCUCAACAUCCACUGUCCGAUCAUAAUCCUCAUCGAAGCGUAGAUGCUCUAGAAGGUACUCGAUCUUCGCUCACAGAUCGAACACGCCAUUUUUAGUAGUAGUAAUGGGUAAAUAUCGACUGCAAUUGUGGUGCACAGCUUAUUAUACAACUGCAUGGACCGAUAAUAGUUAGUGGCUGAGUGCGCAGUGGGUCCCUUUUUUAACCUCCUUUGCUGUCUGUCAUGUUGUGUUUCCUUAUCAUUGAUCAGAGCAGCUCCACUCGCACUCUGGAGAGAGUCCACUCACGGUCUUAUCAAAUUCAGAAAAUUGUGAUUUUUUUUAUCUUUUUCUUUUUUUACAUAAUAUUUAAAAAUUUUAAAUAGAUUAUUAUUUUUAUUACAAUUAAUUAAUUUUUAUAUUUUUAUUUUAAAUUAAAUAAAAUUUUAUAAUUAAUAAUUAAUUAAAUAUUAUUAAUCAAAAUAUCACUUAUUAUAUAAUAAAAAUAUUUUUAUUUAUUUUAUUCUCACACUUGCCUGCAUAGUGUAAACUGAAAAUUAACACUGACUAUUGAUGAUAUUUAAAUGUCAUAGGGGUACCCUCAAAUUCUUCACUGUUGUCACUUAUGUGUGCGUGCGUGAAGAUUCAAAUUCCUCGGUUGCAUCUUAACCUGCACCCUCGUCACAGCAGAUAACAAGCAAUACACUUUGGGGGGGAGAGAGAGAGAGAGGGGAAAAAGCCAUCGCUGAUCAAUCAUAAAAUAAUGUCCCAAAACUCAGCCAAUCCCAUCACCACACCCAAACAAAAGCAGAAGCCAAAGCCUGAGAGAGAAAGAUUUAUAAUAGAUGAGGAAACUUAACUAGUACUUCAAACCCAAAACAUGAGAAACCCAGCCACAGCAACAACGCCGGCGACAAAAAUAACGACGACAACGACAAGAAACAACAGCGGAGCCAAGACUCCCUGCUGCAUCAAGGUAGGGCUGAAGAGGGGGCCAUGGACCCCAGAAGAGGAUGAGUUAUUGGCCAGUUACAUCAAGAGGGAAGGUGAAGGACGGUGGCGGACUCUGCCGAAGCGGGCGGGGCUCCUGCGUUGCGGCAAAAGCUGUCGCCUCCGUUGGAUGAACUAUCUCCGACCCUCCGUGAAACGAGGGCAGAUCGCCCCUGAUGAGGAGGAUCUCAUUCUGCGCCUUCAUCGCCUUCUGGGCAAUCGGUAGUUCAACAUUUCCCUGCACAUUUGAAUAUGAAUUUAUGUUGUAUUUUGGGCUUCGUCUCGAAUUCUGGUAUAUCAGCUCAGUUGGGUGACCUUUUCUUCUCUGUUCCUUUCUAUAUUAGCUAGGGUUUCCAAGCGAAUAUGAUCAAGUGUUGUAGAUUUAGGGUUUCAAUGUUUUUUCCAAGCUUUCAAGUAGGUUUUUUUUUUUUCUUUUGGGAAAUCCAGAUCAGACGUACUCAUCAAAACUGAUGAGCAACUUUCUCUUUCGAAAGGGUUUUCCAUUUCUUUCUGCAUUCACUACUUAAAUGAAUAUCGUUAAGAAGCAGCUCUAAAUUCUCUCUCCAUCUUUAUCUUUAUCUUUCAUAGUCUAUCAAUGAAUUAUCUUCUCUCGCUACUGCAGUGCAACAGAAACACUUAUUACUUUGUUUUCGAUGGUCUUUCUAACUGGGCUUUUCGGGCAGAUGGUCACUCAUAGCUGGAAGAAUCCCAGGGCGUACAGACAAUGAGAUAAAGAACUACUGGAACACUCACCUGAGUAAGAAGUUGAUCAACCAAGGAAUAGAUCCAAGAACCCACAAGCCUUUAAACCCUCAACAGUCACCAAGCGAUCUCAAAGCUUCUUCUUCCUCCAAGGCAAACCGUGGGGGUGCUACAAUCCCUAAGCCAAAUAAUCCUGCUUCUUCCAGCUUGGAAGAGACUAGUAGCGGUCAAAUCACCGCUCACAAAGAAAAUGAGUAUUUCCAGAGCAAUAAUACUCUUCAUCACUAUCAAACUGAGACAGCAAUGGCCCAUGGAUUCACCAGUCUGCUUAAUUGCGAGGAUUCUGGAAUAGAAAUGAGAAGCAACCAAAACCAAGGGAUAAGCAAUGAGGAAGAUGAGGAUAUCAAUUACUGCACUGAUGAUGUCUUCUCCUCCUUUCUGAAUUCAUUGAUAAACGAAGAAGCUUUCGCCAACCAGAAUCAAAUGCAACAGCAGACCAAUGUGACUGCACAAGCCGAUGCAUUGGUUUCAGUUACUGCAACAACUUUUGGCCUUGUCCAAGGCUGGGAAUCUCCCAUCAUGUCUUCAAAUUUCAACCAAAAUGACCCCAAUAGGGUUAAAGAUCAUCUCAACUAGCGUCUUCUGAAGCGUCAGCUUUCAUUAUGAAAUUGCAGCUGAUUAGCUUGAUAUAGUAUUGUAGGGUUUGGUUUUUUUAUUUUAUUUUUUUAUUUCUGUGUAUGUUAUAUUCUCUAUUCUUGUUCCACUUAGUCAUCCUAUUAUUUCCAUUUUGUUGUGUUUGCAGAUAUAUAUGUAUCACUGUAAGCUAAGAUAUAAGUGGAGCAAUGUAUUGAUACAAACUUGUGUCAUUGUGUGUGAUAUGUAUUUUUCGUUUACGUAAUUAAAAUAUCUAAGCUUAUUUCAUAAAAUUCCUUUCAUUUGUUAACUUCAGCUUAAUUAUUUCUUGACUUCUCCUUCCAUCAAUUAUCUACAGCCUUGAUUAUUCCACUAAUGGCAAAGUUUCAAGAGGUGAAAUACAUCAGACAUUUUGUUAAUUUAAUUAGCAAUUAUAAUGGAUUAGGAGAUAACGAAAGACAAAUGCACCCAACGAUGCAGUAGAGUAUUUUUAAGUAGCUCAUAUAUAAUCAUGUAGAACAUUACCGAGGAGGAAAUAAACACAUAUAAGUUGCAUUAAUUGCAACAUAUGCUGUGUGUUACGGUGGAGACUUAUGGUUGUGGUGAUGACUUUGUUUCACAUAUGCUUUAUGCUUAUGGCGUGAGUUGUUUGCAAACUUAAUUAUAGGAUGCAAAUUUAGCUUUUAUGCGUAUUUAUGUCGAUAGAAUAUUACUGGGUUUUCAUCUAUAUGGUCUGUUUUGAUCAUACUUUUGGUUCUAGUUGAAGUUUUGUAUAAGUUUCUAUGAUACUUAAUAAAAUAACUAGAUUGGAUUAAGAAAAAAGUUGCAACAUAUGUUGUAGGUGUAAAUUUACGAAUGAGAUGAAUUAUGUCUCGGAGAAGAAUUUUAACACAUAUGUUUUGGUGUUCUAGCUAGCUAGAUGCAAGUGUCAUGUCAAGUGUUUUUAAAAAAAUAAGUAAGAUGCUCCAAUUUCACAUUGGAGAUGUAGAAGGAUUUUGAAAAGUUUAUGGACGUGAGCAUUGUACACCUUCUAAAGUUAGCCUUUUGGAAAGGGAGUAAUAGUCUUGUAAUAAAGUGAUGUUAGAAUAGACCUAAAAAAGUAGUUGAAUUGAGUGGAAGAGAAUGUCAUGCCAAGUAUUUCAACAAAAGUAGACAAGGGGUUUCAAUCCUACAUUGAGCAAGUAGGAAAAUUUUAAAAAACACAUAAUUUUUGGGAGAGAGAAUAAUAGUCUCAUGACACAAAGACAGCGUACAUGCUAUUUUCUUAGCUUCUCAUUAUCCUUGAAUCAUAUUGGCUUGGAUUUGUUUUUCUUUUUAUGAUGCACUUAAGGGCUUUCACCUUUUAUCCUUUGAGUGCCGUAGCUUUAAUAAGAAAAAAUUAUGCAUAGAAGAAUAUGGCUAAUGGGGUUGUAGUGACUUUGGCGAGUUUUGAGCAAGAUUCUGAUGAAUAUCACAAACUUGGAAAGAACAACAUACAAUCAUACUGCUAAGCUACUGAGAUGUUCAAUAGUCAAAGUUAAACAGGAAAUACGGUUGCAUCAAUAACCUACAUCAUAAUGUUGUGUUCUUUGCCCGUAUGUGUAUGAUUUAUCUACAAAAUGUCCUCAACUCAUUACUAUAUAUAUUCAAUAUUUGAUUACUCAGGAAUUUUUUUUGGUAUAUAUACAUAACUGUCUGGUAUUGUGCUACUGUAGAGUACGUUACUUCUACACGUCGAGAGAAUUGACUGAAGACAAGGUAAAUUGUUUGUAGUAGAAUAUUGGCGACUAGAGCUAUAACAUAUUUGACUGUAGGACAAGCUAAGUUUUGAUUUCUCAAGAGCUUGCAAUCCAUUAUCUUACAAGUUUCUGCUUAAUUUUUUGUGGAUGCUUACGUUACGUGUGAAUUGUUAAGGAGCAGUUUGAAAAUGUCAUCUUAUAUAUCUUGGUAUAAUUGGUUCGAGUCCACCAGUAUCAUAUGUUAUCUGCCAUUGUUUUCUCUAAUGCAAGACUUUGUUUAAUGGAUGGCAUAAUGAUGAGUAGACAUCUAUCUAGCUAGAUGUCAAACUAAGGGGUAAGGCUCAUGAUGAUAGCCAAAUAAUUUGCAAGUACACAACAGUGAACACUCUUGAACAUUUUUAGUGAUUAGUAGUAUCUGAAAGAGUGAAGCAUUACCAAAAGGCUAAAAGACACUUGGUUUGGUCACUUAACUGCAUAGUACGUAAGUACAUAGAAUUUGAAUGCAGUAAAACAAGAGCCUGGUUUGUGUAAAUAUAGCCCAAGUAUUCUUCGAACACUAAUUUCUUCCGUCAAAAAGGUGUGUAUAUACAUAGCACCAAGUCGUUGUUAAGAUUUUCCUAGUCUAGACAUUUACGAUCCUUCUUAACACUUGUUGCCUCAUUAAAAUUCAUUUCGUUUUGACCCAAAGUUUCAAUGAUCUUGUAAAGAUGUUGCCAAUAUAUUUUUCUUUUAGUGUGAUGAAGGAAAAAUGGCUCCUUGUUGUUAGUGCUACUCUUUGGUCAAUUUGGUUAGCAAGAAAUGAUUUGCUAUUUACUGCAAAGGAAUGGAUAAGAAAGAAGUGGUGUGAGAGCUAAAUAUUGGAUUAAUGUCUUAGAGAAGGAUAUUGUCGUGGAUGAGGUAGGUUGGUGGACAAUGCCGUGGCUUUCCAGUAGACCACUUAUCGGUAAGGACUCGAAAAGGGCUGUUUGCAUCCCUCCAAGAGAUGAUGAGCUGAAGCUCAACGUGGAUGGCUUGAUUAGAGGAAAGGUAGGUCUGGCCAGGUGUGGUGGUGUUCUUAGAGAUAAAGAUGGGAAUGUGGUGGGGAUUCUCUUUGGAAUAAUCCAACAAUGCACAAGUCUUGGCUAUAUCAGGACAGCUCUUGACUUGUUCAUCAUAUCCUCCUAGGGAGGCUUAAAGUCUCUGGUUAUCUAAUAUAUACAACUCUAGUGUGGCUCUCUCAUGGGUAAACAACACAACAACUAGACCUUUCGCGUCGUACCUUUUAAGGAAGCAAACACUUGUGCAGAAUCUUGUGUUUGUGUUUGUUCAUCACAUUAAGGUCUUGUAUUUGUCUGUUGUAUAUUUUGUUCUGUAAGGGGUGACAAGGAGCUUGUUGGUAUUUCCAAUAUGUUGUAGCCUAAGGGGUUCAUGUCUAUAUAUGAGGUGAUUUGUUUCUUUUUUUUUUUCUUAAGCUUCUAUGAGGUGUUUUGUAUCAUUCAUUUGAGAAUUGUAAGUCUCCUAAACAGCCUAUAUAAGUCUUAUAAAUUUGAGAAUUACCUAAGUCGUAUAUAUAUUUUAUGGUAAAUCCUAGUUCCACAGUCUUAUGUCAAGGUAGUAAAGUGUUCUAAAUCAGUAAUAGAUACUAUUUUUGUUCUAUUUUCUUUGUUUUUAUCUGAUUUUCAUAACAUUUAAAAGAAAAAGUGGGCUUUAAUUAGUAUAUUUUGUAUUAAGAAUUUUACAUAUUUUUAUGAGAUUGAUGUUUAACAAUUUUCAACAUCAAAAAAAUGAAAAAUAAAUUCACAAUAUAUAUAUAUAUAUAAGAGUAUAUGAAAUGUUUGAUAGCGCAAUGAAGCAGUAUGUAAGUAAACAAUCAUAACUAGUUGUCAAGGGAACCAACUUACUUGUACUAUAAGGCCUCAUGAGUUGGAUAUCUACAGUAUACUUGUUGUUGUAUUAUAGCUGCUUCCUCCUCAUUCCUGAAUUUGAUCACAAAUAUUUUCAUACAUUAAGUUCUAUAUAUCUAUAUAAAUAAAUAAACUAAAUGUAAAUAUUUUUUCUCUAUUAAUUAUCUCAAAAAGUUGAAUAAGUUACGUAAAUAACUAUAUGAAAUCCGAUAACUCUAACAAAUUGCAUCCAAUCAAGUAAAAAAAAAAUAACGUAACUAUCGCAUAAAUUAUCAUAAAAAUUAUCACAUUAAUCAAAAUAAAAAACUUCAAGCUUUUAGGUGUCUUUUUCAUUUAAAAAUUUUUCAAAAAAUAUACCUACAGCGUAUAACCAUUUAUAUGACAACUAUUAUUUUUUCCUAUCAUUAGGUUGGAUGGAAUCUGUUAAAAUAACCAGAUCAUUUUAUAAUAUAACUAGCAAAUUUUAAUGACCUAUUUGGGACAACUUAAAACGCUAUGGUCAAAAUAAGAAUUUUGUGAAACUUCAAUGACCAUUGGUGUAAUUUACUCCAAAAGAAAGCAUCUUUAUAUUGAGAACUUGAUUUGGGGCAGGCAAGGCCUUCUGCGGCUCAGCCUGGUUUCAAGUUAAUUAGGGCUUAAGCCCUCAGCCUAGACUCACAGAUGGGCUUUUGUUAGGCAUGUGGCCCAUUUUGAGUAUUCCUACCUUCUUCACAACAAGCGCCCGACCCAAGUGUUGUGCUUGCAUUUUUACUUUGUUCUGCACCAAGCUAAAGUUUUUUUUUAUUAUUAUUAUUAAAGAAAGAGAGAUUUAAACUUUGUUCUUUAGGUAGGGAUUAUAUAUUAAUCAAUAAACUAAAUGCUUGAGUGCUACACUAAGUUAAAGUUAAUAGUUAAACUAGCUAGAUAAACACGUGAUUGUUUAAUUGAAUUUGAACCAAUAAAAAUAAGUAUAUAAAUUUUUUCAUAUAAAUGAAAUGAAUGUCAGAGAAUAUAGGUGUAUACGUUACCGAUGACACUGAUUUAUCCACAAAGAAAAGUUUUACAUUUGGAUUGACAAGAAUUUAAUUUGUAUUAUUUAUAUAUAUAUAUAGAAGGAAAGGUUAGACUACAGUUGCGAUCAUAAAGAAUAUAAACAUGAAGUUAGGUUGACUCAACACCCAAAAUAUAUAUAAAUAUAUCUGACCCUCAACUAGUCUUAAACUACCAGUCUUUGAGAUUGGUAGCUGGUUGAAUCGUGGAAUCCAAAGUUUGUAUGGUUUGACCUCUUAUUUCUCUCAAUUUUUUCUAUCUAUUCUUCCACUCUAAACGAACCGUUCCACAUUUUCACUUUAAUUCAAAAAACAACCAUAAGUCCUAACAGUCAACCCUUGUCCCUAUACUAUUCAAAGUAUAUAUAAAUAAUGUGGUUGCAUGAAAUAUAUAUGUAUAUAUAUAUAUAUAUAUAUAUAUAUAUAUAUAUAUAAAGGAUCUCCUAAUAAAUAAUAAAUAGACUUGCGAAUUUAUCAUGUCUGACAUAUAGAUUUAGGAAUGAAAGGAAAUUAUUCUCCUCCGCGCCCACCCCCCCCCAAAAAAAAAAAAAAACAUGCUGAGAAAAGUUUUAAUCAGUCCAAUAAUUAUAUCUCAUGUUCAACUUCUAGCUUUUUCUUCCAUGUAAAAUCAAUUUAACCAGACAAAUAUCACAUCCGUCUCAUAAUCAUGGUUUAUAUUUUUUUGGUAAUUAUAACCUAAACCUUUUUGCUUCGACUACAUCAAAUCAUAUCAUAUAUAUCAUUGUGCAUCUCAAAAUAUAAUAAUUAAAAAUGUUGGCAGUUUAAUCUACUUCCUAAUUACCCAUCCCCAUGCAUGCAUUUACCAUAUUUAUAAGUUUUCACAACCUACUCUUCUUAUUUCCUUUCCUAUAUUUAUUGAAAUUAAAUUUUCUCACACUAAUUUAAGAGCAUAUUACACACUGACAUAUGAUUUCCUAUCUGGUAUAUGGAUAAUUCUUUCUUACUACAUUUUUAUUUGAAGAUUAUUAUCAUAUACACCACAUCGAUAAUAAAAUUUUAAAUUUCACAAAAAAAAAAAUUUAACACAUAUACAAUAACUAAAUGUAUAAAAAUAUUAAAAUUUUAAAACCCCACAGCAAUUUAUAUUUUAACUUGAGAUUUAAAGUGAGGCUGCAAAUAGAGUUUCUAACCUUGAGUCUUGGUGAUAUUCAUAUACUCUUGUCUUGUACCAAGAUAUAAUGUUAUAACAUAACUAUAUAAUGUUGGAGAGUAGAAUAGUUAUAUUCAGUAUUCAUUAUCUUCCCCCACCCUUUCUAUACGCAAUAAAUAUAUAAGGAAAUAGGAUUAUUACUAGUUCUAUUAUUCAAACCUACCCUUCUCGAUCAUCUCUCUCCAUUUUCUUGAAAAUCACAAAUGCAAAUAGGGAAUUCCUAAACUGGAAUUGUUAAAAGCUCUGCAUAUGCAGCUGCACUACGUAUUGGUUUGGCAACAUUAGGUACAGUCUCUGUCAACGAUUCAACCUUAAACGUAUAGCACAACUGAGAAACACUAGGAAAGAUAUGAUCAUGCUGUAAUCGAGAUGGAGACAUUAACGUAUGGUGCUAUACUUUUUAUAUGGAAACAAAAGGCCCUAUAAGUUUCAUUGUUGUUCCGAUCUUAAACAAUAUUUUGCAGUUUUUGCAUCAACAUAACUCUAAGAACAACACUAAUGCAGAUAACAAGAGGCCUGGAAAGCCUCUCGAGUGGGAAGUCUAUCAGGCCUGACCGGUUAAAGGAACGUUAGGUGUUGGUUUUUUACGAAGAAAAACAGAGCGACAAGCACCCAACUAGUACAAGUUUUGUCAAAAAUAUUUGACAUUAUAUAUGUAAUCUCCAACAAAUUAAUUCAGCAACCACAAUGUUAUUCACAUAUUGUAACCAUACCAAACAGAUGGAGUCUUUAAAAGGAAAACGAAUGACUUAAGUCUAACCUGAAAACUUUGUGCUGGAAGAGUCGUCCAAGGCGGUUCCUGCUUUCCUGAGCAGAAUGCAUUGGCAUGAUAUUGGCGAAACGAUGAUAAAAAAAAAUGGGGUCAAGAAGAUCUUUGCAAUGUAGACUUAGAAUAAAGCAGAAAAGAAAAGAGUAUGAGAGCAGAAGAAGAGAUUCUGAAGUUCUUUUGUAUCAGAAAAAAAGAAGCAGACUUAAUAGUUAUUUAUGUGACCACUCAUGCUUUGUAUAGACUUAUGAAAAAAAUAUGAAUGAAUAAGGUGUACGUAAGGAUAGAAAGGACAGGUGUAGGUUUCAUGUUGGACGAUUGGAGAUAUUUGUGCCCAAUUGAGAGAGGUAAAAUGGGCAUGAGCCUUCAAGUUGAAGGGUACGUGUGGGAUUGAAUGGUAGAUUUUGAUUUUGAGAAAACCGGUUGAGCAGGUUGUUUGGGGCCGUCGGUGUGGACCAACCAAACGUUCUAACCAGCAAAACAAAAAGGGUCUGAAAAUGUUAGACAGGAGCAUCACCAACCUUUCUUUUGUGCUUUCCAAGACUAAUAAGUACCACUUGAUCUUACUAUGUUUUAUUAUUGUUAUUACUCUCAAACUCCACAACGGUCCCGUCAGACGGAGAGCGUAUCUAGCAAUUGGGCCCAAACCACUUUUGCUUCGUGGGGGGAUGGGUGACGUUGUUAUUAUUGGGUUGGAACUCUCGAAGCAACAAGUGCAUGGUCAAAGAGAAGUGAAAAAUGCAUAUUGCUAGGGGAUGAUGAUCAUAUGCAUGAUAUAUUGCCUAAAAAAGUCUUUUUCUUUUAAGAAAAGACGUCACUUUACCGUAUUAAAAACAUAUAUCUUCUUUGCGAAUAAGUUACAAAAUAGUGAUGGAAUCCAGAUUAUUCGUUAUGAGAAAGAUGAAUAAGAGAUAAGACGAUAAUGAGAUUUUAAAAUAAUAAAAUUUGAAAAAAUAAUUCUAUUGUAAUAGGUUUUACCUUAAUUUUUAAAUAUAUUAAAAUUAAUUAUUAAUUAAUUGUUAUGAGAUAUUUUGAAUAAAAUUACAAAAUUUUAAAACUUUUGAAAGAUAAGAUCUGCAUUAACCUCCAUUCAUUCCGCCAUUGUCUUAAAGAAUCCCUAUAUCUCUAAUGCUCGAGAUUUUGACUCAAAUUCAAGUAGGUUAUUGAAAGAUUUAAUUAUGAUUAUAGAUAAUUAAGUUUAUAUAAAAAGUUACACUUUUUGAUACCCUAAUUAAAAAUAAUAUACAUAAUAUAUGUUACUUGAACUUUCAAAAAAAGUACGAAGUUUGCUCAUAAACACCAUUAGGUCAUUAACACAAAGCCUAUAAGAACGUGUCACGUGUGAUUCUAUACAUUAAAUUAAGUUUAUUAAAAUUAUUUUGUCACCGUGGAGGACAUGUAUCACAUACUAAUUAUUGGCUUUAUUGACUUUUUUUUAAAAAUUUAAUAUAAUCAAUUUUGUUUUUUGUUCUAAGAAGAUGAUUUUUUUUUUACUUUAAAAAUUACUUUUUUCUUUUUCUUUGAAAAUUGAAAAAUAAAAGAAAGUGAAAUUACAAUUAUGAUUGUUUCUUUUUUUUUUAUUUUAAUAAAUUAAAUCUCUAUGUUUUAGUAAAUUAAUGUCGUGACAAAUUACAUGACAUUAAAAUUUAUUGUCGAACUGAAUAAACAUCAUUAAAUUUUAUUGUGUAACUGACAAUAUGACACAUCAACGCAAAAUAUUUUUUCUUUUUUCGGUCAACAACACUAGAAUCUAAUUGGUCACACUAAAAUCAAGUUCAGCCACCCACCCAGUCAGGUAGGGCUGUUAGGGCAUUAGCCCAUUGUUACAGUGAAUGGGUGAGCUCUGAAAUGUGGCGUUGUAGAGCAAUAACGGAGGUGGUGGAAGGAAGUGGGUAGGCGAAUUCAAACAAACGUGAUACGGGGUCCGUUAAAGGAGUUAGGUGCCUCGGGCUGUGUGCAAAAAUGGACAAAAUAUUGUUAUUUGAUAGUUGAAACUUGAAACGCGUAACCACGGAAAUGAAAUGAGCGAGUGAAUAGCAGCAGAGUAUUGAUUGGAUUUUCCAGGGAAGCGAAGGUGUCGAAAGCCAAAAGUGAAAAUGGCGACAGUGAAGAACGGGCAGGUGGUGUUGAAAGGGUACAUAGAGGGAGCACCAAAAAAGGACGACAUGGAGAUGAAGAUUGGGACAGUGGAGCUCAAGGCACCCAAAGGCUCAGGUGCUCUUCUAGUCAAGAAUCUCUAUCUCUCUUGUGACCCUUACAUGAGAGCUCGCAUGCGUAAUUUCCAUGGUUCUUACAUCCAACCUUUUGUCCCUGGUCAGGUAUUCUCUUCUACUGAGAUAAAGGACUCAAUGUUCCACAUUUUCAACUUAGCGACAUUUUUAUUUUCAUUUUUUGAUGAUUGAAGCCCAUCGAAGGAUUUGGAGUGGCAAAAGUCUUGGAUUCUGAUAAUCCAAAUUUCAAGCCAGGAGAUUUCAUUUCGGGAUUCACUUGUUGGGAAGAGUAUAGCUUGAUUCACAAUACUUCACAAUUGAGAAAGAUUCAACCAGAUGAUUCUAUCCCUCUCUCCUACCACUUGGGUCUUCUUGGUAUUGCUCCUUUCUUACGCAAUCUAUUAUGUUCUGACAGGAUUGAUUAUAUAUGAACGUAUUGCCGUGUCUGGAAUUCUUCCUUUCAUACAUAGUUUAGCAUUUUUAGAUCAGCCAAUACCUUGUCUGAUGGUGACAACUAGAGCUUGUUUGUCUAACGGAAAGUGGAAACUAUUUGGUUUGAAGUUUUGCUUUCUUGACUUGAUAACACAAAUGCCCAUGAUCGAUUUUUGCUUUACAAAUCUCUUUGCUGUAAACCUUCAAGAGUUGUGCUUCUUGACUAUUAUUUUAUCUGCUUCAAGGUUUUUUUCUCCAUGAAUAGGCCACUGCAGCCACUCACUAGAUUUCUGCGCUUUAAGACCUAUAGUUCUUGUGGCUGACCAAAGAAAAUUAUGAUAGAAAGAAUCAGAGAGAGAACAUUUUCUCUAUUAAUAGUUGGAUUUAUAACUCUAUUCAAACUAGAAUUAAUAACCUACAACAUGAAGUAAAGUAGAAGUUCUGAUGUUUAGUCUAGGUUUGUAUCCUAGAUGGGUAGAUUAAAUUAUUUGGAAGCCUUCCUAUGGAGUUAGAAUGUUCAAGAGUCAUACCUACAUGGAUUUGAGGCCUGGUAUCUGACAUCAAUAUGUCAGGGUAAGGUGAAAAAUCCAUGUGACAUAGGCUUGCCUGUCUUUUGUAUCUAGCUUUUAACUCUUUUUUUAACUUCUGAUAAGGAUUAUUUAUUUCUCUUCUGUUUUUUUCCAGAAGCUUAAAUUUCGAGAUUUGAAAUUUCUCUAAUGACAUGAACUAACGUUGGCAAUCAUGCCUCAGUAACUACACUUAUUUUACAGCUAAUCAGUGUUCAUGAAUUAAGCUGUUCUUUGAAAAGUAUGACCAUUUGGGUUGUAAAGAAAGAUGAGGUUUUCUAACUGCCAGCAUGUCAUGUGCAAAAAUUUGUCUCCAAUUUUCUGGUUCGCUUCCUCAACCCUAUGUUUCAUUACCACAAUGAAGAAACAGACAAUGUCAUUUGCAAAUCAAGUUAUGCUGAUAACCUGUUUAGUGUUUAAUUUACUCAGAUAGAGCUAACUUGUUUAUUUGACCAAGGGCCUCUGUACCAACGGGAUAUUAAUUUCUCCUGUUGUUGGAAAGGGUAGUAUAUUAGACCCAGUUAUCUGCAUUUGCAGAUGCAUGCUGGUGCACUGUUGCCUCUAGCCUGUUCAAGGAUCACCUAAACAUCAAAAGCAAUGGCUUGCUAAUUAAUUUACCCUGCAUGGAGUAAAGUUGAACUUCUUUCACUUGCUAAAAGGGAAAGUGCAAAAUUGGAUUGCAAAGCCCUAGACUUUAGUUCAAAUUGAAACUGCAUUAGCUCUUACUUCUUUGGCAUGAUAAACAAUCCAGCAUAAAGCAGACUCCCACAUUCUCUAUGCUUACAGGUUUCUAUUUUUUUUUUUUUUUUGCAACUUUGAGCUGGUCUAGCCACUAACUGAAUGAAAAUUUACUUAUAUUGGAGCGCAACUUGCAUAAGAAAAAAUGAGCAUAGUUAUGAAUUUACUGGCAUGAUUAGCAUAAAUCUCAAGUAGAGGUAGUCUAUAUUGCUUUUAGCAGGCAAUGCUAAUAGGAAUUUUGUGCUUCUCAUUUGCCUAUUUGUUCCUGCAAAUGUUUCUCUCAGAGCUCCUUGCAAUGGAAAAAGAAAAAAAAAUGUCAUUUAUGUAGAAAUAUUAAGUGGCUAGAAUAUUAGAGUGUCUUUCUUUUUCUGGAUAAAAAAAAAUUGAUUAAAUUCCCGAAUGUUAAAUGACCAGAAAAAAAGAAGAAACCCACAAAUCUGCUAAUUAUGAUCAAGAGAUUAAGAGAAACAAAACUGACAAAACAAAAAGAACAUCUUAAGUACACUACUGCAUUGUAGUUUGUGUCUGAUAGUUGUCCAAUCAAGAGUUUUAUAUUUAUGUAGGCUACAUCUGAUGCUUUUUUAGAAUCUUGAGAUCCUUUUUCUUCCAAAUAUGCUUGCUGUGCACAGAUCAUACACCUUUCUAUUGUUGAUUGUUAUUCUGUUAAUUUGGGUUUUGUUGAUCUGGUGACAUAUUUAGGUGCUUUGUCUAGUUUUUGUAUGUAAGAGGAAGCAUUAGGUCAAGUUUUUCCUAACUAGUCUUGAAUGGAACAACAGGGGACUAUUUUUUUGACCAGUAACCCUGUUCAAGAAGAUGCUAUUUGCUUGUUUGUCUGGUAGUCCAAACCAACAAGUAAGAUAAAAUAUGUUUGCAGUGUUGCCUGAAACUUAUGUCUUUGCAAAUCAAAUAGCUGAGUUUAUGACAAAGGGCAUAUAAUUGAUUUUUCUUAAUAAUGUUUUAAGCCAUUGCUGAUUUAGAAAUUUUAUGCAGGUAUGCCAGGUUUUACUGCUUAUGCUGGAUUUUAUGAGAUCUGCAGCCCAAAGAAAGGGGAAUGUGUUUUUGUCUCUGCAGCUUCAGGAGCUGUUGGCCAGCUUGUUGGCCAACUUGCCAAGUUACAUGGCUGCUAUGUAGUUGGAAGUGCUGGGAGUAGCCAAAAGGUAAGUUUCUUUUUUACAAAAUUGUGCCUAUGUUGAAUUCAAAUAAUUCUCAUUCAUUAACAAUUAAACAAUGAUAAUACAAGAAGAACUGAUGCAAGAAAAGCAAUGAUUUUGGCGUAUAGGUUGAUCUUCUCAAGAACAAGCUUGGAUUUGAUGAAGCUUUUAACUACAAAGAGGAGACAGAUCUAGAUGCUGCUUUGAAGAGGUCAGUAAUAAGACUUUCCGAAUAAAAUUUCCCAAAAUACUAAUUUUGCUACCAGAUGUCAACAAAGGAUAUAUUUGAAUUAGCCUUUUUUUAAUUAUUCCUGUUUUUAAUUGAUACAUCUUUAGCAGAAAUAGUAUGAUGCCCUAACCUAUAAGUUUUUGAAUUCAAUGGAGUUGCCAAUAUUUUGGGGAAUCUCAUGUACAUAUUCUAGGUAUUAGAGGUGGCAAGUGAGUCUUUGGGUCCAAGUAAUUUCAGGUUUAGAUUCGCUUCAGGUUGGGUCGUUUUGUUUAUAGGUCAUAUAUUAAGAAAUAGGCUCCGAGGCCACAUUAACAUUCCACAUAGACUAAUGUAUUUAAUAAUUUUCUUUUUAAUUAUAUUCAUAUAUUUAUUAAUUAGAAAGGAAACAAAAUCCAUUGGUUAGAAAUAGAAUAGAAUUACAAUGCAAGCUUUUCUUUCAGUACGUAGAGAGCACUACUAACAGUAGAUAAUAUUAAUAAAAGAGUAUUAUUUAUUAAAAUAACUUAACACCAUUAGUUAGUAAAAUUGGUCUAUCUUUAUAUUUAGGAAUUAGAAAUGUAUCAAUUUGAUUAAAAAGAUUCAAUUGGAAUUCUAAAUUCUAGUAAAAAUUGUUAAAUGAAAGUACUAAUACCAUGCUUUAAAAAGACAAAAAAAAAAAAAAAAAAAAAAGAAGGAAAGCUUAAUUAGUCUAAUUGGUUAAGUAAACUACUUAGUUACUCUACAAAUCAUGAUAAUUAAAAUUAAUUGAGAUAAUGUUGAUCUAAUUUUGAUAUUUGGCUAUUUGGACAUUAAUGGAGAAUGAAACUACAUUGGCUAGGUUUCAACUUUUACCACUUGAGUACUAAUAUUAUGGAGUAAAAUGCAAAAAUCAUCUGUGGCAUUUGUGUGAUAUUUCAGUUUUAUUUGUGAAUUAUAAUAUUCAAUUUUUGGAGCUGUGACUUUUGAAAAAGUUUCAAAUCCAUCCAUUCUACUAACCACCAUUAAAAAUUGAUGCUAUAUGCUACCUUAGUGCCACAUGGGCAUUGACAUGGCAUAUAUCCCUACCAAAAAAGUUAAACAAAUUCACCUUUUUUUUGCCAUGUGAACAUCCAAUUGUGUUAGGUCACCUAUGUUUUGUCACGUGGCGUUGAGGUGAUAGAUUCUAUCAUUUUAAUGGAAGGUUGAUGGAAUGGACAAAUAUGAAAUGUUUUUAAAAAGUCCCAAAUCCAAAAUUUGAGUUAUAAAAUGGUAGAUAGAAAUGAAAUAUUGUCCAAAGGUCAUACAUGUUUGAUGCAAUCACUCAACUUUAUGUAUAAUCAUAAAGUAUUUAAAUUAUAGUUAGAAAAGACAACUAGGUUUUAUUGGUUAAUACAACUAAUUAUUCUAAUACUUGUAACUUGUAAGAAAUCAAAAUAUAUUUAGAUUAAAUUGAACUAAUAUUACUAAUCUACUUUUAAGUGUAUUUGAGUUUAUAAUAAGUAGUUAUUUUAUUUGUAUCUUGAUUUUAUUUUUAUAAAUAAUAAUAAAUUAUUCAAAUUUAAAGUUAAAUUCGUUAAAUGAGUUUUUAAUAUUUUUCGUCCGUAAAAAUAAAAAAAGUGGCAGGGCUAAGAAAGAGUGAGAGCCAGAAAUGCUGAAAACGAAAAACCUACAACCUAGAAAGAAACCCUCUCUCCCUCCCAAUAAGCCAAAAUAAAAAUGUAAAAGUUGAAAGAAAUAGUUAGAGCUGAUAUGUCUAAAGCCCAGAUAAGCAAAAAGAAUCACCCUUUUGCCACAUUGAAAUCCUUUGUUAUACGAGACUUAGUAGGUUCUUUACGUGUUGAUAAUAAUAUAAAUUAUAAUUCAUUACUGAUUAGAUUUUAGUUUAAAUCAAGUAAUUGACAUUCAUCAUCAAUUUAUAAAAUUGAUUAAGUCAUAUUUAUAAGUCAAGAUUUAUACCUAACAAUGUAUCAUGACUAUCUAAAUAUUAAGAGAGGCAAAGAGGUUUGACUGAACCUUUUGGUGUUCAAUCCUUCACCAUCUAAUAUCUAGAUAAGACAUAGAGCAUGGUGCAGUGUUUACUUUAUAAUUGUUUUUGUCAUUUUAGUUUUUGAAGCUUUUCUUAACUUCUUAAUGAAAUUCGAAUUACCCUUUUUUUUUUGGAAUCUUCGUUUCACCUUGGCCAAGGAUUUCCUUGAGUUAAAAGACAUGUCAAAAAACAAUGGAAUAUCUCCCUUAAAUCAUUUAGGGUGAUGUAUUUUUUAUUUAUCAUUCAUUUAUUUUCAUGUGGUUCAUGUUUUACUCAACAUGUACUUUAUUGCAUAUCCGUGGUUCAGACUACCUAAGAUAAUAUCCAAGUAUAACAAUUCUCAAAUACGAUAACUGACGAUCUUCAAGUUUAAGGAUCAAUUACACGACUAACACAUGAGAAUGUUUCAAUAUACACUUGAAUAAUAAUAUCAAAUGAAAUUCUCACAAAUAGUCAUGUUCAAUGAACUUUUUCUUGUAACAAGUAACCAUUUGUUAGUUUCAAGUAUCCAACAUUUCCAUUUAUGAAACCGAUGCUUACUUCAUAAGUAAUAGAUAUCCAUUCUCUAAAAGUUUAGUGGACACUUGAAAACAUCACAUCACUACACACCCUUAAAUGCACUUUUAUCCGAAGUGUUUCUUCACUAGGAAUAGCUUUGUAGUAAAUGAUUUUUCGUCUGCAUUUGUCCCUGUAAUUUAACAGAUGAAGUUACUUUGAAAUGCCUCAUAAUUAAUACCUAAAUCUCUAGACAGGUACUUCCCACAAGGCAUUGAUAUCUACUUUGACAAUGUUGGCGGGGCCAUGUUGGAUGCAGCAUUACUAAAUAUGCAGGUUCAUGGCCGUAUAGCAGUUUGUGGAAUGGUGUCACUACAUAGCUACUCUGAUCCAAAGGGAAUCCACAAUUUGUUUUGUCUUGUAACCAAGCGCAUCAAGAUGCAAGGAUUCUUGCAAAGCGAUUACAUGCAUAAGUUCCCACAAUUUUUGGAACAUGUCACUGACAGCUACAAACAAGGGAAGAUUGUGUACAUUGAAGAUAUGACUGAAGGAUUAGAAACUGCUCCUGCUGCUUUUGUUGGACUAUUCUCCGGUAAAAAUAUUGGGAAGCAGGUCGUAUGUGUAGCCCGAGAAUGACUCUUCUGAACAGGUUGCAUUGGUUUAGGGAUGGACAAACUCAAGUUGUAGCAGCUGUGAUGCUUUUGUGCCUUUUAUUGAACUUUUUGUAUUUCACUUGUCUGGUGCUUGUCUGGGCAAGUUUUUUUUUUUCAAAAAAUAAAAUAAUGCUCAAACUUACCCCUUUAUUAAGGAUUUGUUUGUUUUGACGUACAAUAUUUUUUAAAAAACGUUUCAAGACUUAUAUUGGUUGAAAGAUGAAAAAUUAAUAUCAAAUGGUCAACGGGAAAAACACUCGUUGAUCAUGUAAAAUGUCUUACGUUUUUCAAAACCAUAAGACAUUUUUCGAAGAACAAAAAAAAACAUUUUAUACUAAGUUUAGGAAUAUAAGUUUGAUAAAUAUUAAUAUUUAACUUAAAAUAUUAAAAUAUCAAAAAAAUAUUUAAUUUAAAUAAGUUUAAAAUAUUAAUAUUUAAAUUAUUCAACACUAUUAAAAUUAAAAAAAUAUAUUUUUUAAUGAAAUCUUUCAAAACAAUUAAAAUUUUUAUUUAUAAAUUGUAUAAAUCUUACUAAUAAUUAUAAUAAAAAAUAUUUCAAUACUUGUUAUUUGAUGAAUACACUUAUAAAUAUAGACUUUUGAUGUCUUAUACAAUUGACGAAUAUUUAUAUUUUUAGAGUGUUAUGUAAAAAGGUGGUGUGAUGAUUUUUUUUUUUUAAAUUGGAGCUUAGUUUCAUUGUAGAUAUGUGGUUAAAUGUUUUAGAAAAUAUCGUUAUUGAUUGUCUAUUUUCAUAUACAUUCCUAAUUUUGAUAUCAAAUUAGUGAAAGUCAAAUGUGACCAUUGUUUUAUAAUCAACUUCUAUUUAUCAUUUUAACAUCCGAAUAACUCUACUAUGAUGGUGGAAAAUAUUUUCCAUAGGAUGAUCCAAAGAACAGAAAAUGUUUUUGAUAAUUUAUCCAAACAACAAAAAAUAUUAAAUUUUACUAUAAAAUGUUUUACACAAAAUUUUAUUCCAACAAGUCACUUUCUGAUUAUAAAAUGAACCCUGAAUUGGGGUUUCAAAUUCACCCCUUUACUUGGUGCAAUGUUAUCACUUCAAUUCAGACUGGAGUGCUGCUCGUGUGAUGCGCUUGAGCAACAUGUAUAAUUUCUUGAACAAAAUGAGAAUAACAUAGCAUGAUUUUUUAUUUAAUGGACAUGGAAAUAGCAUAAUUUAGUAAUAAAUAUAGACAUAAAUAAAAUAUUUUAUCUACUAACAAAUGUAAUCCACCAAUGUAUUAUUUAAAAUAUACUAUAAAGUUCUCUUGGUUUAAUUGAAAAUUUUCAAAACUUCAAUUAAUCACAACUUUUUCAAUAAGUAUAAUCUUAAAGAGAAAGUAAGGUAUAAUAGAAUUUAAAAUUUAUUCAAUUGAUCUCAAUUUGUGUUUAAUAAGGCAUAAUAUAUAAUAAUCUAAAUAAGUUCAAAUUAUCAUGCUCUUCACAUAAGAAAGAAUGCUAUGUAAAAAAAAAAUUACCUCGUAUCUAGUCACAAAUAUCCAACAUUUGAAUAACUAUAUAUGUAAGUUGGUACUAAAUAAAAGGUAUCUUAAAAAUAUAAUAAUUGAAAAAAGCAAUUUAAAAAGGUCAAAAAGGAAAAUAAAAAAAAUUAACCAUGUUAGGAUAUUAGUUCAAAAGAUAAACCUCAAGAGGGUAGUGAAUUGAGUAUUUUAAAAAAAUUCUUUGUAGAGCCUUUGAGGAAAAAUUAAUCUUAAGUAAGAUAAGGAUGAAAACCUCUUUGAAACUUAAGAAUGAAGAGUUAUUGAAACCUUUUUGCAAGUGGUUGUAAAAUGAUUUUAGGAAAUCAAAGAACAAGAAAAAGAAAUUUCAACAAGCAAGUAGAAGACACAAGAUUUAUAGAGGUUCGGCUUCGAGGCCUAUGUCCUUUCCCUUGGCUCACCAAAGAGUUUGAAAUCCACUAUAAAAAUUACUUUUUCAAAGGCUCAAGCAUAACCUUUACAAUGUAUUGCCUUAUAUGGAUCAAGGACAAUCUUUCAAUAUAAUGCCUUUUAUAGAUCAAGUACAACCUUCCAAUACACUGCUUUUUAGGAAUCAAGCACCUAUCUACCUUUUACUUAUGUUAAUGUAUAACCUCUUACAAUAACUCUACGUUUCUAGGGUAAGUUAUAAUAUUCACAAAGGAUUAUAAGAUAAUGAAGAUGAAAGCUUAAAUGCCUUUAGAUUGGCUGAAUGAAGCUGUAAUACAAAGAGAAAAUGAAGGCUUAACAAGAAAGUAAUGAACACUUGAUUUGAACAGUGAUUUUCAAGGAAUUUGAUGUUGAAGCUUUCACUCUUGCUUAGGAAUUCUUCUCUUGGCGUUCUCUCUCUUCCAAAGUGUUUUUCAUACCUCUAUUUAUAGGUAUGUGCUUUAUCAUAGUCGUUCAAAGAUAUGAGUUCAAAAAUAUGUCCAUUAUUCAUUUCUUGUUCUGGCUUGUCUGAUAUGAGGUAUUGAUUCCUAUGACACGAGUCUCAAUACUUUAAUUGCCAGUUUCAACUGAGGUCUCGAUACCUCUGUUAUAUGUCUCGAUACUUGUUCAUCCUUGGCAAUUUUCAAACUGAACCAUGUCUUGAUACUUUUGUCCCUUAGUCUCCAUACAUAGUAGCUUGCUCUUUGAAAAACCAUGUUUGGAUAUGAUGUCUUGAUACUUGGUAAAAAGGUCUCGAUACUUUGACACUUACUCUUCAGAAUUUGAAGUUCAAAGAAUGAGGUCUCGAUACUUUAUCAAAAAGUCUCCAUCACAUCUCAUUUCUUGGAGGGAUCAUGAUUGACGCAUAGACCCAGACGAGAAUAACUCGUUAGGCCCAAGCAAGCCUCUUACCAUAACAUCAUUAAACAUUCAUCAUUUCACGCGGAAGCAUUUUAUAACAUCAAUUUACCUAUAAAAUCAUCAUGCAUGCAUUCAUAAUACCCAUUAUACAAUUAAGAAAUUUCUCAGACUUAAUAGUAUAAGCUCAAGCAUUUGAUACACACACACAUACACACACACAUCAACGAGUGCCACUAUCACAGUACAUAAUAUCACUAUCAUCAACAACACCCUCAAGGGUUCAUAUAGGCUUUCGAGCCAUCAUCAUAAUAUCAUACAUAAAGUUAUCUAUGUAAAAUGCCAAACAUAGGCCACAUUAACAUAACAUGUUCGAAAUCCAUAAAUACAAGCAAAUCCAAAAAUAUAAACAUAUGAUCGACUCAUCAAUGGAGCGUGAUCGACCCUUUAGGCAUCAAAUGGCUACUAGACACCUAUUAGAAAAUGAAGAUCAGAUACUAGUAUCCAUAACACUGGCUGCUAUCAAAAUGUUAUCACUGAUUUGCAACAAAAUAAAUGGAAAAAAUAACGUGUGAGUCACAAAGACUUCGUGAGUGGAUAUGAGAAGGGGACAAAUUAGAGGAUAAGAGUGUCUCAUAAACAUGCACUUAUAAUCUCAUGCCAAUUAUCAUCAAUUUAAACUUUAAUCUUAUGAACCAUGGUGUUUAAACACGUUGUAAUAGCAUAUAUGACGUAAACAAGUGUGAAUAACCACUGGAAAACCUUUUUACCCUUAAAAAGCUUUCAAAUAAGUUAAUACAUUAAAUUACAGAACUCAUCUAUCGAUAGAUGAUGAACAUCUAUUGAUAGAUUGGAAGCAAAAUGCUUCCUGUGGCAUUCUACAUGCUAUUUAUCAAUAGAUGUUCUACAUGUAUCGAUAGAUAGCCUCAAAACCUCUGUUUUCUGAGAAAAAUAGAGCAAUUUUACCAUUCCUUAAGUCCUCUUACCUCUUGGGACUAUCUCUACGACUCAUUUCAUUUCUCUAAUCACAUACCCAUGCCAACAUUACGUAUGGAUCAUAAACAUUAUUCAAAAUGAACUUAACAUGCAACAUGUCUCAAAGAUAACAAGUAUUAUCAUUCCAUUAACAUUAAACUCACACAUUGUGAUGGAAUAACCACCAUCAACCUUGGAUUGACAAUGUACAACCCCAUUGCACCUUGGGCGUUUAUGAUGCAUCAUAAGAGUAAAGUCGUCACUACACCCCAUGUGAGUGGAAUCAAUCACACUCGUUAAGCUUUUGUGCUCAUAGCAUUUAAUAUGUAGAAUGUCCAUCACAUGCAUGCUUAUUCAUCUCAUAAGGUAUAUGAAAUUUCACAUCAUAUAUACAUCUCAUGGUAUUUCUUCAUGCCUACUCUUUCAUCAUAUUGUAUGUAAAACAUGCAUUACAUACAUAAUCUCAUAGCAUUUAUAAUGCUUCCUCAAACAUCUCAUGUAAUAUAUAAAAAACACAUCAUAUACAUAAACAUAAUAUCUUAGAUAAAAAUCAUCAUGCAAGCCAUCACACAUUUCAUGCCUCAACAUGUCUAGUAUACACCUCAUACAUUCAUGCAUUAAUCAUAAAUCAUAUCUCGUAUCCAUAUUAGUUCGAAGAUUGGAGUAAUCAAAUGGACUCAAACAUAAGGUGCUUGUCCCCUGUUGUUGAAAGCUAAUACAUAAUAUCAUAUUUACAUAUAUAGUAGGUUGAAAACAAAUUUUAAAAUAUUUUCCUCAUCGACAAAUAAAUUUUUAGUUCAUAAAUAUUUGCAUAAAAUCAUAUUCAUCAAUAAACCUUAAAUCAUUCUUCAACUUCACAUAUCAAAAUAGUUUUGAAAGUGGUGUAUCCAUUUACCUUAUAAUAAGCUCGAUUACAACUCUGAUUUCGUGUAAUCCGGUGCAUUUUCAAGCAUUCCCAUCUCACAAUAUUCGUAACAAUCAAUUUCUAAACUAAUAAUCUUAGAAUAAUUAAUCUAGAAACUUUCGAAAUUUAUUCGCUUUUGACUAUAACUACUUUCGAAAUUUAUUCGCUUUUGACUAUAGCUACUUUCUCUCUUUAGACUAAGUUAGAAAUGCAUAAAUCCUCUAAACUUACCUUAGAUGAGCUUAGAUGUUGAAGGAAAUCACAAAAACCUUAGCUUUAAUCCUCAACAAAAAUUUUUGGGCAAAAAUAAUAAAUUUCUAGCAUUAAAAGUGCGAGCUUUAAAGGUUUUAUAACAUAAAAAUGUCAUUUUUAGCUUUAAACUUCAAAACUAAGAUCAAAAUAAUCAAAAGCAAUGAUUUUUCAUCAAAAAUGGGUUGAAAGGGUUUUAGAGAGGUUUUACUUCAAAAAACAGUUAAGGGUUAAAAAACCCUCAUGUAUUGGGUCAUAUUUAUAGUUUGGGAAGUGAAAAUAUGCUUUUACCCUUUUUAUUUUUGUGAAAAUGGCAUCAUCUAUCGAUAGAUGAGCUUUAAAACCCUUUUUGGAAGCUUUCUGCUUGCCAUCUAUCGAUAGAUAUUUGGCCAUCUAUGGAUAGAUCUGCUCAUCUAUGCAUAGAUGUUUUUUAAGGCAGCUUUGAUAAACUUUUCCUGAAUUGUGUCUAUUGAUAGAUGAAGAACAUCUGUUGAUAGAUUAGGCCCAGAAAGCAAAAAUAAACCUUAGAAACAUCUCCAAUUGAACUCCCUUUAACACCAAACUUUGUAAAUCAUCUUAAUGCAUCAAAACAUGAAUUUUUUUUAAGAUCAAAACUUACUUUUGAACAUUCCAAACACAAAAAUCAUCUCAAAAUAUUACACCAUGAAAUUUUCCAUUCAUAAAAACUAAAUUUCAAGUUUUCAAAACACAAUUUAACUUGCUCAUCUAAAGAUUUCUAACUUAGUAAAUUUCACAUUAGGGUGGGGUUUAAUAGUCCCAAUACUUUGACACUUGAUCUUUAGAAGUUGAGGUCUAGACUUUAGAGAUGAAGUCUCAAUACAUUGAAGCUUGGGUCUCUGUACUUUGGGACUUGCUCCCUGGAAUCUAGCAUCUUUGAAAUGAUGUCUCAAUACUUGAACUCUAGGUAUUGAUGCUUCAACACUUGUCUUCUGAACUUUGAUUUUUCAUGGGUGAAGUCUCGAUACCUACCAGAGAUGUCUCGAUAAUUCUUUUUCCUUAGUUAGGCUAUUUUUGAGGCAUAUUGAUCUUGACGUCUCGAUAAACACUUAAUAUGUUUUGAUACCUUACCCAUUUUAAGCUUAUUUCAAGGCAUUUUGAGCUUCAGACACUUAGUCAUUUUUCAUUUAAAUGCUUAUGGGUUUUGUGAAGUUUUAAUACACUUAAUCGUUCACAUUUUGAUCAUUUGAUUUUGUCAUUUUAGAACAAAGAUCAAUUGUAAAGCUAACAAUCUCUUUUUUUUUUGAUAUGACAACACUUAAUUAGCAAAAUUGGUUUUAAGAAGCUCCCCUUAAGUUUUUAAACUUAAGCAUAUUUGAAAAAAAUAAAAUUCCCCUUCACUAAAUGCUAAGUUUUAAAAAAUUUAAGUGCAUAUGGGUGCAAUUUGCUCAAAAUAUUUCUCCCUUUUUUGUUAUAUCAAAAAGAAUGUAAAGGACAAAUCAUGAUAAACCAUAUGGAGGAUCAAUUUAGAGCUAUGGCACUAAAUGAAAUUGAAAUAUUCAUAAGAUAAAGUGGUAAGCAUUAGAUAAUAAUAAUCCCGAUAUGAACAACUAUAGAAGCAAUAUUAUAAAACAACCAUCAUUCAUUCACAGUAGAUAAUAUUGAAUCAUUUACAAUCAUUAUAUAUGGCAUUAUAAACAUUGAAAGAACUUAACAUCUAAAAGUAGUUAGCCAAGCAACUAUGAACGCAAAAGUAUGAUGAUGUAUGAAAUGCAUUUAAGAUCAUCUAACUAAAGAGAAACUAAAAUAGUGUUUUAAAAUACAUCAAAACAUUAGAGUUAUUUGCCCUAAAAAUAAAUAUAAAGAGAGAAGUUGAUGGCAGGGUCUAUAGGGUUGAUGGCAGGGUCUAUGGGGUUGAUGGGUGGGUCAGUUGGAUCAACUGGAGUGUUUGGAAUAGUGCUUACAUUAGUUGGUGAAGUUCGUAUUGUCAGAGGAUCAACAAGUAUAGGAGAUUGUGGCAGAGAAACAAUUGUAAGGAAUGAAUCAAUGUCACGAAGUUCAAUGAGUGUGGCGAAAUCUCUCUCAUUAUUAGUAACCCGACCUCUAAGCUCAUUGAUAUUGCUAAGAAUCAUUGCAAUGCAUGUAUAGAGAUGGGCCUUCAUUUGAGACUCCAAUAUAGCUUUUCCGAUAAUAGAUGCACUAGUCGGUGCCUCAUCCUCCUCACAAUCACUACUUGGAAUAGUUGCUACCUUUCCAUGAGCUUAUGGAGGCAAGGCAUUUUUUCGAUACCCUUGUCCACCAAUCAACCGGUACCUAAACUUGUUGAUCGUGUGCUUCUCAAUAGUCAUAUGAACCUUAUGCUUGACUUGAGGAUCAACUCUAGUGUUGACACCACAAGAAUUGAUAAAGUGGCUUAUCACUAUCCAAUGUACCAAAAUAGUACUUUCCCCAACAAUUACUUGCAUUAUAUCCCAAAAAAUGAAAUAAGCCAAAUUUGUUUUAACAUUGUGCUUGAGGUGGUGCAGAAAAUAAUGAUCCUUACUCUUCACAUGUGAGUAUUUUCACCCACUCGGCCUAAGAUUCCAAGAUAUGAUCAGAUGUAGCAUCCUAUCGUGCAAGGUUAAUUGGUUUGCACUAAAUUGUCUCAAUUUAAUCGGUGGAGGGAAAACCAAAGAUUCUAUUUACAGGUCACUUUUAACAAACUUGUCUCUUAAAUUGUAUAGCUUUAUACUAAAAUCGUGAAUAUGCAACACGUGACUAAUCCUAGAGGUGUUGAUUUGCAUGCUCUUCCUCGUAACAUAUGUAACAAACAUGUCCAUAUGUGCAUAUGGUUCUUCAUCAUUAUAAGUAGGGUUGUCGUUGAAUAUGUUUGUGGCAUUGAAAUAAAUUACCUGAACCAAGUUCUCAUAGUAAGUUCUAUUCAUCUUCAUAAAGUUAAUCUAGGAUUUUUGGGUAAGGUUUUCUACAAAGGGGAAUCUUAGACUCUCUAGAUAUUCAAAAUUGAUAGGUUUGCUAGGAUAUACCUUGAGAGAAGAAAAGAAGUCAGUGUACUUCUUCCUUUGUAACUAAUUUUUGAAGUUUUUCUCAAAUUUGCGAGUAGGCUUUAUCAAAGACUUGCCCUUAACCUGUUGAUGCUUUGUAGCUCUCUUGGUUCUUGGUGCCAUGAGUAAGGUUUUUGAGAUUUUUGUUUAGGGUUUGUGGAUUUUUGAGAGAACUUGAGAGAGUUUGAGAAUGGAUUUGAGAGAGAUGAGAGGAAUGGAUUUUAAAAAAAAAAAACUGAAGAGACUUGAAAAUUAAGCUGAAUGGGUGGCUAACCUUUUUUCUUCUUGUUGAUGGGUAUCAAUACCUUCGAAAGAAAUAUCGAUACUUUAAUAAGGGGUUUCUGUUGCUUUUGGUUGCUGCAUGUCCAGUCUCCAUACAUGGUGUAAAAGUAUUGAAACCUAGCCAUUGCUUUACAAAGUCUUGAUACACUGGAUGAAAGUAUUAAGACCCUAAUGCAUAUCGAGACAUUGAAUGUUUGUCUCGAUACCUUGUCUUUACAGCUUAUAAAAGCAUUGUUUUUGUCUUUCAUCAUGUGAGGGUCCUUUGAACAUUUUUAAAUAAAAAAUAUUGAUCACUUUUGAAUUGAAAACUCAUUUAAAGUUCAUUUUGGACUUGUGCAAGUGAGAUUUCAAAGAUUUGUUGAAAGAUUUUAAAGUAGAAUGACUUCUUGCAAUGUAUCUAUGUAUGAUAUGAAAUGUAGUAUGCACAAUGACAAUAUACUUCAUAAAUUUUCAUCAAAAUCAUAUAAAACACAAAAUCAAGAAUGGACAAGAAUUUCAAGUGAACAGUAGUAAGUAUAUUAACAAAAGAAGCAUGUUCAUUAAUUCUACACUAAAGCUAAUAUCCAUUCUACUUGCGAUUAAGUAUAAUGAUGAGUAAGUUAUAAAUGCAUAGAGCUUUGGAUUAAAGAACUCACCUUUCUAAUCUUUGUCAAGUCUCAAUGAUGUGCUUAUUGAAUGUGAUGUGAUCUUGUGCUUAUCCAUGCCAAACCUUUUUGAGCAUUUCUCUUGUAUUCAUGACUUGCAUAGUUUCCUCUUUCUAGGAUGAGUAGUUUUUGUUUCUCCUUUAUCUUGUUGAAUUUGUGGCUCAUGAAAUAUUUUAUCAAUUCAUCAUAAUUCCAACAUCAUUGUCAUUAAUUCAUCAUCAACAAGAUUCAUCAUCAUUGUCAUCCCAAGAUAUUGUCAUGUUUCACAUUUGGUUGGAAGAAUAUACUCCAAAGUUUCAUUAAGAUAGUCAAGGUUUGAAAUAUUAUUAUUAUGUACCAAAAAUACCCUUAGACCAUUUAAGCUUGCAAGUAAACACUCACAUCCAAUAGUAACAAGUUAAUAAGUAUUUUUAUCAUGAAACAAACUUGUUCAAUUUUUAAAUCAUUAUAAACUCAAGGAUGGCAAUCAUUUCUCAUACAAGUAUACUUUUAUCAAAAUCAUUUUUGGCCAACUUUAAUUUUACAAGACAAGAUUAUUCAAGUGAUAUGUAAUCUUGUAAAGUUGACUUAUCAGACUCAAAUUUUCUUGUUUGGCUUACUAGAAGGAUGGGAAUGCAAAACAACCAUAUAAGCUCAUCUUGCCAUCAUAUCAUUAACAUCAAACAUUUUUUACUCAAGAUCAUGCUCUAAAUCAUUCGUUUUCAAGAAAUUGAUGUGAAAUUAAUUUCACAAAACAUGAGUUAAAAUGCUCUUCCAUCAUCAAUAAAAUUUAAUUAAGGAAAUAUUUGACUUUUGGCAUAAGCAUGAGAACAUAUUCAAGAUCCAAUAUAAGCACAUACUCAAUUUUUAGACUCAAAAACUCAUACUACUUUCAAGAUCAUCCAACUUAUAACAUGUAUCAUAUUAAAUUAGCUUUUCAUAAUUAAGAUUUAUAAAUAGAACACAAGAGAGUAGAUAGAGAAUUGUGCUUUUGGCAUUAGAGUAAAAAUAGGCAAUUAAAAUCUCUUUUAAGAAAGGCAAAUAAUUUCAGAAGCCAUACUAAGUUAUUGCAAUGGAGGCAAGAUAAUAACAACCAACCACGAUUUUCAAUUUGACAAAUAAAUGACUUUUUAAAUAAAAGUCACUCAUUUUCCAUUGUGUGUCUAGAAAACAUUCAAUCUCCAAGAGUUUGUUCAUCCUUGCUAUAGCUUACCUAAAAGAAACUUUCUCAUUUGACUUUUGGCAUCCAAAAUUCCUUUGGAUCCUUAUUGUUAGUCUCAACACACAAAGUUCCCUUUUGGAGUCCACACAUGUUUACCUUUAUAAGGUAGAUAAUUCUUAAGUAUAUGGAUAAAAAAAUAAAAUAAUCUAUAAUUAAAUUUUAAAAAAACAAAUAAGAAUUCAUUUAUUUUUCAACUUCAUAUUUGGUGCCCACUCAAUCAUUUUUCUUUUUGCAAGUGUCAAAAAUGUUUUUCAAUUUUUCAUUUUCUUUUCCUAAAAUAUCAAGACUCUUUUGAAAGGAUUCAAAAUCUAUUUUCAACAUUUUAUUUUCAUUUCCUAAAUCAAUUUUUGCACUGAUCAAAAACUCAUUUUCAACACUAAGUUUUGAAAUCUUUUCUUUGUGUCUCAAGUUAAUUUUCUCAAACUCACAAGCAAGUUCUUCAAAAACAUCUUCCAAUUCUUCAAAUGAAUAUGUAAAUAUGUCACAAGGUGAAGAGUUUACCUUCCAUUCUUGGUUUAAAGAUUGGAUUUGGCUUGACUCUUUUACUUUAGUCUCCUUGUCACUUGUUGAACAUUUUCUUUCACAAUCCUCUUUUUCUAUUUCUUUUUCCUUCUUUGCUUCCCCAUCAACUCUUUUAGUUAUUUCUUGGAUGCUAUCACAUAAAGAGAUUUUAUGGUAUUUUCUUUCUCCAAUUGUAGUAAAAAGAGUGUGCAUGGCUUUGGCAUUGAGGUGUAACACAUCUAAGUCUCUUGAAUCCCAUUCACUUAUUUCCUUGGUCAACUUAUAUGGACAUUUUUUAAUUAUCCUCCAAACUUCAUAGUCAUUGGCUUGAACAAAUAGAUUCAUUUCAUCCUUCCGGUAUAUGUAGUUCUUACCAUUGAAUAGAGGAGGGUCCAUAAUUGAUUUCCUUUAGCUGAAAGUUGUUGUAAUGAGAUUUAUGUCCAUAAAAGUAAUAACACCAGUUUCUUCAACUGCUUUUUGAAUUGUCACCAAUGGUCACAUCUACUCUUUUUACUAUCAAGUUUACAAAUUCUUCCUUGGUAUCAGACAUAUGUCUAGAGAAUUCACCAUCAAGAUACCAUGGUUCUUUAUUUUGUGCACUUGACUCCAAACAUUCUUCUUUAUCUUUGGCCUUUUCAAGAGCCAUGAGGCAUAUGUUGUCAACUUCUUCAUCCUCUUCACUUUGGGACUCAUCCUUACCACUCCAAAUGGCUACCAUUGCCUUUUUCUUUGGAUUCUUUAGAUAGCUCUUUUUGACAUUUGGGUAUUCAUUGUCAAACCCUGUUCUAUAAAAUAAUUUCGACGUCAUUUACAUGCUCAAUAGAAUAUUUGCAUAUUUAGGAAGUUCGAGAAAUCGUUAAAAGACAAUAUUGCCCAUAAUGGUACCAUUAAGUCGAUUAAGCCUCAAACUAGUUCAAAUAGAAAUUUUAAGGUGAAAUUAAGAGUUUCACAGUUCAGGGAUGACUCAAAAUGGUAAUUCGGAGUUCGAAGAUUAAUUUGGAGUCAAACCGAAAUUUUCACUAUCUAGGGGCAAAAUGAUCAUUUGCCACUUGGGGACAAAAUGAAAAUUUUUAGAAAAGAUUUUUUUUGGCCCCAUUUGACUUAUUGGAGUAUGAUUUGAAGUUUAGAAGUGGAAAAUUUUAAUUCCGGUAUAAUUUGAAGUAUAUGGGUGAAAUGGUAAUUUUGCCACCUCGGGGGUAAAUCGGUAAAUUUUCACCCCCAACACUUGUCAAGACCAAGGGAUUUUAUUCAUCAUGGAAAUGGAUAAACGUGAGAAAUGUGUGGUGGAGAAUUAAAGAAUUAAAAGUCAAAUAUUUAAAAUUUGAACCAAUAAGGAAUGCCAUGUGUCAUGUUUUUAUUAGUUUAUUAUUUUUUUAUAAAAAGGCAAAAAAUCAUCCCAUUUCUCCCAUAGUGAUCAGCCAAACCAGAAGAGAAGAGAAACCAAGGAAGAACAAACCUUAGGUGUUAAAAAUCAAAGAGGAAGUGUUGGAAUUCAAGGAUUUGAUCAAGCAAAGGUAAAAUUUCUUUGAUUUUGCUAGUGAUUUACCUUACCCAUGCAUUUUCCCUUAAUUUCCAUGGUUAAAUUGCAUGCUUUCAUGAUGAAUUCAUGGCUGGUCAAAAUGGGUAUGGAGAGAGAAUGAUCUUGGAUUGGUUUGAUUUUUAGGUAUGUUAGAGUUUUUAGGUGAUUAAUGAUGUGUAGCAUGAAAACAAGUGAAGAAAACCACCAAAGGUUUGGUGCUCAUCAAUAGCCGAAUUCUCUAAGUGAAUAAUGAGGAAGAAUGAGAUGUUAUUCUAGGUGAUUUGAUUAAGAAAUAAUAGUUUUUGGUGUAGGAAUUAAUGAAUUAUGGAAAGAAAAUUAAGUAGGAAAAAUCACGAAGUUAGUGUACCAUUGUUGGCCGAAAGUUCCAAGAAAAAAAGUGAAGAUAAAUUUUGCCUAAUUGUGUGUUAAUUAGUUGUUCUUGGUGAAUUGAGGGAUUGAAAAAGAAAUGGAGCAAGUUGGAGUGAAAUUGGACGCAUUGGCCAAUUUAUCAGAUGAAAAAUCGACUUAUGCCAAUAUCGGGUCUAGAUGGCUACCCGUGCAUUUUUCAUUUCAUAUCAUGCAUAUAUAUCGAGCCUAAAAUAGCUUAUGACUGUUAGACACAAUUUAAUUGGAAUAUGUGUCAUGGAUUAUGGCUAGGUGGUGAGCCAUUGGAUACGGGUAAAGGACUGUACCCGUGGAUUGAAAAUAGGAGUAUUUCUACUCCUAAUACUGUGAGUAAACUUAUUAUCGUCUUAAUUAUCUAGAGUAGUUUUAUACAAUUAUGUGAUUUUAUAAAAAAUGGCUUUAAAUGGUAAAUUGCUAUGUUUUAGGAGAAAUUGUGAUUUUAUAAAAUGAUUUUAUAAAUUUUUUAAAAAAUUGAAUAUUGGUUUUGAAAAUAGAGUAAUUGAAGACUGCUUGCUUGUGUUAUAAAUUGUGUUUUAAAUUAUAUGGCUUAUAACAAUAUGUGAGCAUGAAUGGCAAAGUCGGUAUUUUUAUCAAAAUUAUAUAUACUAUGUAUUCAGCCUUGAGAGGCUAGAUUGCGAUAAAUUGCCAUGUCAUGCAGAUAAGGAUUUUAUAAAUUAGGUGGUAGAUAAAAUAAAGAUUAGCUACUGCAGUGGCGGGGUUCCGUGGACCAGCCUAUUAGAGGGGCAUGGUAAACUCCUUUAUAUUCUCACCUGGGUCGUAGAGGCUCGUAGGGUAUCUCCUGAGGUGGGCUUUUUGAGUGCACUUCACUUUAACCACCACGUGAAGUGAGACUCAGUCAACUCCAAGGAACGACUGUUUUUUUUUAAAUAAAAGCAAGUUUUAUGAUUAUAUAAAAUUUUUCACAGCCUUGGCAGACUCGGUUGGAUACCCUUGGUCCAGGUGUCCCCGAGUACAGGAUUUGGCAUGAGCCAAGUUUUGAGAAAUUCACGAGUCAUAUUGAUUAUUUGGUUGAAAUGAAUAUUCGUGUUGUGAAAAAUUUGCUAAAAUGAAUUAUUUUUAAUUGUUUCCCUUUGCUCGUCUUUAGAUAGUUUAGAUGUUGUCUGUUUACUCACUGGGAUUAUGUAAUCAUAAUCUCACCCCUCUUCCUAUCCAUUUUCCAGGCUCAGGAUAGUUUGUUGAUAGUUGAUUAAGAUGAGAAUUAACCUCGGAGUUGCAUUCUAGAAAGUAAGGGUUGGAAGCCCUACACCUUCUUAGUCAGUUGGGGGCUCACGUGUCACUGUAAAAGAAAUUUUAUACUUCAGUUAUAUGAUUUAAAGUAUGUAUGAACAUAUUUAUCUUUUACACCAUAUUUUUGGCGGGUUUUGGUAUUUUUGAAGAAAAAUGACAAAAAUGCCCUUGUGAGCUAAAAAAUAAUAUUUUAUUAUUUUGAUUUGGAAACGACUUAUGAUUUCUUGAAAUGCGAGAUUUAAUAACUGUCGCUCACCGGGGAGAUGCGGAAGCUGAUGCUAAGCCUUGCGGGAUUUCGAUCAGUAUUUGGGGUAAUGAGUGCCUAUCGAGACGUCGCGGCGAUUGUCACGGGCUCAAUGGGAGUUCCGGGUCGUGACGUUCAUAUUUAGAUUGUCUCGAUUUUCUACACUCAUAACAAAUAAUGUGCUUUUUACUUGAUUCUCAAUUUAAUGGCUCUUUUCUUAAGUUUCCUUUUAAUGCAUUCCUUCUAAUUGAUCUUCUACCUUUACCCCUUAUUUGUUUCCCAAAAAUCUAUUGAACGUUCUAAUUAGCAAGGCUACUUCCUUAUCAUCUUUUUCAUCAUCAUUCUCUACACUCUUCUUGUCAUUUUCUUGAGUAGCUUUAGGAGCUAUACUAUUUUGUUUUGUCUUUUUCUUUUGUUGCUUUUUCUCUCACUCUUAUGUUUGAGUGACAUCUCAUAGGUAAGAAUGGAGCUUACAAGUUUAUCUAGUCUAAAAGUGUUCAAGCUUUUAGCUUUCUUCUAUAGUUGUUACUUUAGCUCUUCUAUCUUUUAGCAAGCUAUACAACUUCUUCACUAAUUGUGCAUUAGGGAAGUGUUUCCUAAGUGCUUUUAAUCCCACAACAAUAUUUGUGAAUCUAUUGCACAUUAGGGUUAUUGUCUUUCCAUUCUUUGUUCUAAACAAUUUAUUAUCAAGAGUAGGUAAUCUUAUUUUUGACGUUUUGACUUAAAUGGUGCCUUCAUGUAAGGUUUCUGAUGUGUCUCAAACUUCCUUUUCUUUUUCACACAUGGCACUCUAUUGAAUUCUUCAGAUCCUAAGGCACAAUAUAAGGUAUUUAUAGCUUUUGUAUUAAUGUGCAUAAGCUUCUUAUCUCUGUCAUCCCAUUCUCUCAUAGGUUUAAUGACUAACCUUUCAUCUACGGCUUUAGAAAAGACAUGAGAACCUUUCAAAAUAACGUUCCAAACAUUUAUAUCAUUAGCUUGGUUGAACAUUAAAUAAAAAGGGAAUUACCAUAGAUUGGCCCUCACCUAAGGGAGUGGCUGUAGGAUGCAUUGCCAUGGCCUUUGAGCUUCAAAUGGAUCUCCACUCAAGGUGUUUAAAUCUACAAAUUGAGAUUAAAGCUUUGAUACUAAUAGUUAGGAUGUUAGCUCAAAAGAUAAACCUUAAGAGAGAGGGUGAAUUGAGUAUUUUAAAAAAUCUUUGUAGAGCCUUUGAGGAAAAAUUAAUCUUAAGCAAGAUAAGGAUGAAAACCUCUUUGAAGCUUAAGAAUGAAGAGUUUCUUAAACCUUUUUGCAAGUGGUUGAAAAAUGAUUUUAGGAAGUCAAAGAAAAUGAAAAAGAAAUUUCAAGAAACAAGUAGAAGACAUAAGAUUUAUAGAGGUUUGGCCUUGAUGAUUACAUCUUCUCCUUUGGCUCACCAAGGAAUUUGAAAUCCAAUAUAAAAAUUAUUUUUCAAAAGCUCAAGCAUAACCUUUACAAUGUACUACUUUUUUUGGGUCAAGCACAACCUUUCAAUACAAUGCCUUUUAUGGAUCAAGCACAAUCAUUCAAUACAUUGUCUUUUAUGGAUCAAGCACAACAUAUCUACCUUUUACUUAGAUUAAGGUAUAACCUGUGACAACAACUUUACCUUUCUAAGGAAAGGUAUAACCUUCACAAAGGAUUACAAGAUAAUGAAGAUGAAAACUUAAAUGCCUUUAGAUAGGCUAAAUGAAGCUGUAAAAACAAAAAGAGAAGGAAGGCUUAGCAAGAAAAUAUAAGAACUCAAGCCUUAAGAAACCAAAGAUAAUGAACACUUGAUAUGAAGAGUGAUUUCUAAGGAAUUUGGUGUUGAGGCUUUCACUCUUGCUUAAGAAUUCUUCUCUUGGUGUUCUCUUUCUUCCAAAGUGUCUUUUAGACUUCUAUUUAUAUGUAUGUGCCUUAUCAUAGUCGUUUAAAGACAUGAGUUCAAAAAUAUGGCUGUUAUUCAUGUCCUUUUCUGACUUGUCUGAUAUAAGGUAUUGAUACUUAUGACAUUGGUCUCAAUAUUUUAAUUACCAAUUUUAAUUAAGGUCUUGAUACUUCUGCUACAUCUUGGCAAUUUUAAGAAUGAAUCAUGUCUCGAUACUUUAGUCCGCUGGUCUUGAUACAUAAUAGCUUGCUCUUUGGAAAACCAUGUUUGGAGAUGAUGUCUCGAUACUUGGCAAGCAAGUACUUUAGCACUUGCUCUCUAAAAUUUGAAGUUCAAAGAAUGAGGUCUCGAUACUUUAUCAAAAAUUCUCAAUACUUUGGAACUUGCUCUCUGGAAUUUGAAGUCUGGAGAUGAAGUCUCGAUACAUUGAAACUUGUGUCUUGAUACUUUUGGACUUGUUCUCUAGAAUUUGGCAUCUCUUAGCCAAUGUCUUGAUACUUGAAGUCUAGUUCUCGAUACAUUGGCACUUGUCUUCUGAAAUUUGAUCUUUCAUGAGUGAAGUCUCGAUACCUACCAAAGAUGUCUUGAUACUUCUUCUUCCUUAGGUUGUUUUUGAGGCAUAUUGAUCUUGAGGUCUUAAUACACACUUAAUAUGUUCUGAUACCUUACCCAUUUUAAGCUUAUUCAAAGGCAUUUUGAGCUUCAAACACUUAGUCAUUUUUCAUGUUAAUGAUUAAAGGGUUUUGUGAAGUUGUAAUAGACUUAAUCACUCACAUUUUGGUAAUUUGAUUUUGUCAUUUGAAAACAAGGAUCAAUUGUAAAGCUAACAAACCAAAAUAUGCAGUCAUCACAAAAGGAUUUUUUUUUAAAUCUCUUUUUAGUCAAAUAGUGUACCAAAAACUGUAAAAAUAAUAUCAAUAGACAUGAUAGCAACAGAAGAUCAAAUUGAGCCCAAAAAAGGAUAAUCAGAAAAAUGAGAAUUAAAAGGAAAUAACAAUAGCCAUCACCAAAGCUAGACAUCAUAUGAAUGCACAAAGUGAAUCAAAUUGCUCUAAACUAGAUGUUAAGAACAAAGUGAAAAAAAAAAAACUCAUUUGUAUGAAGAAUAAAUGACAAAUAAACAUAAAAAUUGGUUAUUGGAAGGGUUAGGAUUAGAUUUUUACCAGUGGAGAAAGGUCUACCUCAAAAGGCGAAGUAUAUCUGUCUAGUUGUUCACUUUUUAUCAAUUUCUACAUGUUUAGAUGUCGAUCAUAUGAGAGAGAAGUUUAAAUAGGAAAAAAGGGUUUGUCCUGUUGAUUGACUUUUAAGAAGUCUAUUUUCUUAUUGAGUUUUUCUUCAUCCAACCUUUGAUUAAAGAGGAGUGGGAUAAAGAUUAAAGAAAAAGAUGUUAAUCAGCUUAACCUGGAGUUCUUUCUGGUUGCUCUUCCUUCGCAUUAGAUUAUUGUCCUUCCAUGCUUUCCUUGUCUUUGUCUAUCACCAAGAAAUCAUUUAUAACAUCAAUUACAUAACUUAUUUUAUAGAGAAAAGGAUCAAACUGAUUUAUAAAGCAAAGAAUAAGGAAAUAAUUAAAGAUAGUGAAUAAUUGAACCCAUUAAAAGAAUAAACCAUUAAAUAUACAAAAUAAUGGUGAAUUCAAUAAAAAAAUGUUUGACUUGCCUUACAUUGAUAACAAAUAAAGGACAGCAAUCUGUAGCUGAACAAUGAACUGCCAAGAAUGAAAACAAAUGGGAAGUCACAAACCAAACUACAAAGAUAUCCAAAAGCAUAACAAUAAAGAAAACAUACAUAGCAACACUGAUUAAAUAUUGAACUAUGAUUGGACGAAUUGGCAUACAUGUUUACAUAAAUAUAAAAAAAAAAAACCAUCUAAAGAAAACAAAUUGAAUGGAACAAUAAACAAUAAGAAAUCUGACCAAAAAGGACCUUUAUUCUUCCACUAAUUGUUGACCAAGCAAAGUAUGUAAACCAAAUUACUAUAAUAACAAGAAAAACAAUAACAGAAGCUGUCAAUCAAAAAUAUUUUGAGACUUUACAAAAAAAGCCUUUAUCCUUCUAACUAUUCCCUUUAACUAAAAAAGUACUUAACAGUAAAAUUACAAGAAACAAAAUUGAUUAAACAUUAAAACAAAUACAAUAACAAGAAAAGACAAUAACAUAUAUUGUGAUUAAAAGAAAUAUGAAAACAUAAACAUAAUAAACCCAAAGUGCACAAAAUCAAAUGGUAUACUUUUUUGUGACUUCCUCGAGAGAUCAACUUUUCAAUAUGUCAAACCAUGGUUCAACUAAAUUGCAUUAUUCUUUCUGUCAAAAAAGGAAAAAAUAGAAUGAAUUGCAUUGCAUCAGAUAGAUUCAAUGUUAAUGUCAUGUCACAAAUGGAUUUGCAAAAAUUACAAAUAAACGACAGAAUCGAUUUACGUCGUAUAAAUGAAAUGUUGAAAAAUAUUCAAAUUAAAAUAGAAAAUCAAAAAAAAAAAUCACAAAAUAAAAAAAAAACAAAGAAUUACCAAAACAAUUCGUGAACCCAAACCUAAAAAUAAAAGAAAUUAACUUGAAAAAUCAAUGGCAUUAACUGCAAAGGAAAAAACCCAAAAGCUUAAACAAGAAAAAAAUUAUAUUAUCAAUUUUCUUUCAAGAUCUAAUAAAUCAACCAACAAUAGAAUAUAUUUUAUGAGAGAAAAGAGUAGAAAAGUCUUUUCGCAUCUACAUUGAUCAUGGCAAAUUAAAGAUCACUGCCAAGAAAUUGAAAAAUAAAAUAACGUGAAAAAAAUUAGAUAUAUGAAAAUGAAAGUAUAUAUUUAUGUAAAAUAAUGAAAUAAAGUUUUAGACCUUAAAUGGUAUUUGGGCAGCCUAACAAGGCAUGAGAACCACUUUCUUCACCAAAAAUAGAGCUGAAGUUGCAAUCUCCACGUUUCCUUCAAAAAGGGUACACAUUAAGAAGAGAUAAGCCAUGGACUAAUGCACUGGAAGAAAGGAAAUAAGACUAGCAUAGACUAAACACCAAAAAAGACCAAAAAAAUGCAUUGGAAGAAAGGAAUUAGGACCUGCACACACCAAACACCCAAGAAAAUGAAGAAAAAUGCACCACAAGAAAUGAAGAAAGAAAAUAAAUUCAGAAAAGAGAAAACAACCAAAGAAGAAAAGAAAGAAAAGUAUUGAGCCUACACUGAAAGAGUUGAAGAGCUGAAUAAGUGGUCUGCCUGAACAAUAGUAAUCGAGUUCAAGAAAACAGACAAAAGGAGAAGACCCCAAUGCACCGUUUCAAUAAUAAUGGGGUAGGAAGAAACAAGAAAGAGCCUAUACGCAACGUUUCAUUAAAGGAAGAAGUAAUCAGACAAAAGAGAUAAAAGCUACACCAUUUUAUGUACAAUUUUAUUUCAAAAAUUAGUUAAUGUAAUGAUUAGUUACUUGUACUUUAAUAACCAGCUUUACCUUUUCAGCUUAAUGCUGAAUCUUUGUAUAUAAACCUUGUAAAGUUUUUCCCUAUUGAGUAAUGAGAAUAUCCCUAUUCUCUCAUCAUCUUGCGUUGUUUUCCUAUCUUUUCUGACAUGGGAUCAGAGCAGGGAACAAAAUCCCUGUAAAUGGUACCCUUCAACUAGUGAUCGGGAGAGAUUCACAACUGGAAUUUCUCAUCAUCUACUCAUCAACAUUUUAGUAAGUUUUCUGAUAAUUGUUUUCUUAUUUAAAGAUCUCAUUACCUUUCAUCCUAGUCUGUUGAUUCGAAAUACAAUAUGUUUGAAUCUGGAUCAAAUGAGUCAAGGUCUCAAAACACAGUCCAAACUAAAACAUAACCUUUACAGAUCUCACUAACAAGGGACCCUCAGUCACCUUAUUUCCUUCACCACACAAGAUAAUCUAAGUUCAGUAGUGGUUAACCCCAAGCUGACCACUAACAACUAUGUGGCUUGGAGUCGAUCGUUCUUAUUGGCUUUUUUUAUUAGAAACAAAGUAGGCUUCAUUAAUGGAACCAUAGCUAAACCAGAUAUAUUAGACCCUUUGUUCUCUCCCUGGACUCGUUGUAAUAACCUGAUAGUGGCUUGGUUGCUAGAUUCAAUCUCACCACCUAUAGCCUCAACUAUUUUCUAUAUGGACACGGCAUCAAAAAUAUGGGCUACAUUGAAAUAACACUUUGCACAGUCAGAUGAUACUAGGAUAUGUAACCUACUGUACACUCUUGGGAAUAUCACACAAGGGACUCGAUCAGUUGACACAUAUUUCAUUGAAUUGAAGGGAGUUUGGGAAGAGUUAAGAAACUAUAAACCUCUAACGCAUUGUGAGUGUGGGAAUUACAAUUCAAACUACUUCAAGAAAUACUUUGAACAGUAUAAAAAAGACAUGGUUUUUAGAUUUUUGAAUGGCCUAAAUGAAUCUUUCUCUAUUGUGAGAUCCCAGAUUAUUUUUAUGGAUCUUAUUCCAACUCUUGAUAAAAUGUAUAGCCUUGUCCUGAGGGAAAAAACACAGAGAAGUGUGCUCUUUCAGACACAACCAACUUUUGAAAUAACUAUAAUGUUUACUGCAGCAGAAGGAAAGAAGAAAGUGAAGAGGGAUAUAAUUUACAAUCACUAUGGAAAGAAGGGGCAUGUGAAAGAAAAGUGUUAUAGGCUGAUUGGAUUCCCAGAGGAUUUCAAAUUUACCAAAGGGAAGAAUAACUUCAGAAAAAGGAAAGCAACUGUGAACAAUGUUUCUACACUUGUUGACUCAUCAGCUACAGAGAAUCAACCUGACAAUGAAGAAGAGUCUGGAGGGAAUGCAUCUAUGUCUCAGAUGUCAAUCAUUAAGCAGUAAGUCAGUAGACUGAUGGAGCUCUUGAGUGAGAAUGGUUUAACAAAUUCUGAUGGUAAGAACAAUUCAUCAAACACCUCGCAAACAAACCCUUCUUUGAUUAAUUCAGCUUUUGCAGGUAUAAUUUCAGGCCAUUCAUGCUUUAACACUGUCAAUAACAUGCCUUUCAAUUUUAGAAAUGUUAAUGCUCACAUGAUAAAAUCAAAAUUCUAGAUUAUGGACUGAGGAGCAUCAAAUCAUAUUGCUUAUUCCCUAGAUAGUUUCAUUUUAGCUAGACUUGUCAAUGAUAGUUUUGUUUUACUGCCUAAUAACAAAAAAGCUAUUGUCAUACAUGUAGGAGUUGUCAAAUUGACAUCAUUAUUAACUCUACAUAAUGUUCUUUAUGUUCCAAGUUUUAGAUUUAAUUUGCUCUCAGUAAGACAACUCACUAGGAUGAAAAAUACCUGUGUUUUCUUCACUGACAAGUACUGUAUUUUCAGGACACCCCUUCAUGAACAGUGACUGGUGUAGCUAGGGCUUCUUUAGGGUUGUAUGUCAUGGAACCUAAGAAAUAUGAACAAGAGUUGUCAGAUUAUUGCUUUGAUAAACUUGUCAAGUUACCUUUCACUUUGUUAGCCAAUGCCUGUAAUACAGGACAUAAAGUUUUUGAUUUAUGGCAUUUCAGACUUGGUCAUGCUCUUUGUGAAAGAAUAAAAGUUAUACAUGAACAAUGUGCAGAUUUUAAAUGUUCUAAUGAAUUACUUUGUUAAAUCUAUCCUUUGGCUAAGCAGAGAAAGCUACCCUUUCCAAUACAUGUUCAAAACACAAAAAUUCCAUUUGAAUUGAUGCAUGUUGAUAUUUGGGGACCUUAUGAAAGUCCAACCUUGUCUAGUCAAUGUUAUUUUCUAACUAUAAUUGAUGACUAUACAAGAUUUACCUAGAUUUUUUUAAUGAAAACUAAAUCAGAAACUUCUAUGAUCAUUCCUGCUUUCAAUGCCUUUGUUCAAAAACAGUUUAAUCUUGCAAUUAAAUGUCUAAGAACAGAUAAUGCCAAAGAAUUAGGACUGCUAAAUUUCUUUGCAAGUAGUGGUAGAGUUCAUCAAUUGUCCUGUGUUGAAGCUCAUCAACAAAAUGGAAUUGUUGAGAGGAGGCAUCAACACAUUCUGGUCGUUGCAAGAGGCCUAAUGCAUCAGUCAAAUGCACUUGUGCAUUUUUGGGGAGAUGCUGUCCUAACAGCAGUACACAUCAUUAAUAGGGUACCAAGUAAGAUUCUUCAUAAUAUGUCACCAUACGAGCUUUUGCAUAAAAAACAACCUUCAUAUGAUCAUUGAAGAGUAUUUGGAUGUUUAUGUUUUGUGUCCACACUAACACAAAAUAGAAAGAAACUAGAUAAAAGGUCUGUUAAAUGCAUUUCUUAGGGUAUCCAAACAACAUGAAGGGUUAUAAGGUUUAUGAUCUUGAUGCUGACAAAGUUCUAACAUCAAGAGAUGUGAUUUUUCAUGAGUAGGCAUUUCCAUUUCACACUAAACAGCAUGGUCAGCAAUCACCAGCAUUUCAUUAAACACCUGCUCUGCAUGACAUAUAUUCUGAUCAUUCCAAUUAUAACCUUGUUGUUGACCUACCUCAAAACCUUGACCAAGUUGAGUUGCAGCAACCUGAACCUAUGUCACCAGAAUUAAGUCAUACCAAUCUAAAUACUAGUGAUAUCUCACCUAAUUCAUCACCAGUUAACAGUUUGCCUACUGUAGACAGCACCAGCCAACCUGAAGAAAUACCUGAGCCAAUCAAUAAUGAAAACACUUCAGUACCUGCAAGGAAAAGUUCAAGAAUCAGACAUACACCAAAGUACUUAGAAGCCUACUAUACAAACUUACCAUCAUCAAGCAACAAUGUCACUUCACAUCCAAUUGCCAAAUACUUGUCAGCAUAAAAACUUUCUCCUUCACAUAAAUCAUUUACCACCUCACUAUCACAUAUACAAGAACCUGCUUCCUACCAUCAGGCUGUGAAUCAUUCUCACUGGAGAGAGGCCAUGGCUUUUGAAUUGCAAGCUUUAGAGGAUAAUGAUACAUGGACUGUUGUACCUCUACCUUCAAAUAGUCACACAAUUGGUUGCAGGUGGGUAUACAAGGUUAAACUUAAUGCAAAUGGUGAUGUAGAAAGAUUCAAAGCACGCCUUGUUGCUAAAGGAUACAAUCAAGUAGCAGGGUUUGAUUAUCAAGAAACAUUUAGCCCUAUAGCAAAAUAAUCAACUGUGAGAGUAUUCUUUGCAAUUGCAACAACAUGUAACUGGCAUUUAUCUCAGUUAGAUGUAAAUAAUGCUUUUCUAAAUGGAUACUUAGACGAAGAAGUAUACAUGGAUUUACCUGAGGGGUAUUCUGUCAAAAGGGAGUAUACAGCAAAUGAUAGACUAGUAUGCAAGCUGCACAAAUCUUUAUAUGGUCUAAAGCAGGCAUCAAGUCAGUGGAAUGCAAAAUUUUCUACAGCCAUCUUAAACUGUGGUUUUCAACAGUCAACUUCAGAUCAUUCACUAUUUACCGUGAAGACAAGUGAUGGAAAUUUCAUAACAUUACUUGUUUAUGUAGAUGACAUCCUGCUAGGAAGUACAUCAGUUCAGAAGUUAGACAAAGUCAAGGAAUUUCUUAAUUCUCUUUUGAAACUCAAGGAUUUGGGGACAGUUAAGUAUUUCUUGGGUUUGAAAAUUGCUAAAUCUCCUAAAGGUAUAUCUAUAUGUCAAAGGAAGUACACUCUUGAUCUUUUAAAAGAAAAUGGACUUCUUGGAGUUAAACCAGUGAGUACACCGAUUGAUUACAAUCACAAGCUCUCCAGAAUCAGAAAUAAAGAUGUAUUAUCAGACCUUACAAGCUACAGGAACCUAAUUGGAAAGUUGAUAUACUUAACUUUCAGUGGACCAGAUAUCUAUUAUGCUGUGCAGGUCUUAUAUCAGUUCAUGGAUAAACCUGGAAAGGAGCAUCUAAUUGCAGCUCAUAGAAUACUGAAACACUUGAAAAGGUCACCAAGGCAAGGAAUAUUGAUGAAGUCAAAAUCAACUUUGAAAGUAUUAGAUAUAUUGACAGUGAUUGGGCAGGGUGUCUUGACACUAGAAUGUCAGUUUCUGGUUUUUGUAUCUUCAUUGGAGACUCACUAGUAAGCUGGAAAUCAAAGAAGUAGUCAGUAGUUGCAAGGAGUUCAGCUGAGGCAGAGUAUAGAUCAAUGGCCUCAGCAUGUUGUGAGAUGAUUUGGAUUAAAAAUCUUUUGGAGGAUUUUGGAAUCAAAUAGGGAGAAGCAAUGAAUCUUUAUUCAGAUAGUCAAUCGGUUAUACACAUCAGCAAGAAUUCAGUGUUUCACGAGAGGACUAAACAUAUAAAAAUGGAUUGCCACUUCAUCAAAGAAAAGGUCCUUAUUGGUUUAAUAAAACCAGGGCACAUUUUAACCAGUUUACAAAUUGCAGAUAUUCUGACAAAGGCCUUACAGCCAAAUCAGUUUUACAAGCUCUCAAGCAAGAUGAACGUUCACAAUGUUCACCGUUCCUCUUGAGGGGGAGUAUUGAGCCUACACUUAAAGAGUUGAAGAGCUGAAUAAGUGGUCUGUUUGAACAAAAGUAACCGGGUUCAAGGAAACAGACACAAGGAAAAGACCCCAAUGUACUGUUUCAAUAAUAAUGGGGUAGGAAGGAACAAGAAAGAGCCUAUACGCAAUGUUUCAUUAAAGGAAGAAGUAAUCGGAUAAACGAGAUAAAAGCUACACCGUUUUAUGUACAGUUUUUAUUUCAAAAACUAGUUAAUGUAAUGAUUAGUUAGUUAUGCUUUAAUAACCAGCUUUACCUUUUCAGCUUAAUGCUGAAUCUUUGUAUAUAAACUUUGUAAAGUUUUUCCCUAUUGAGUAAUGAGAAUAUCCCUAUUCUCUCAUCAUCCUGCGUCACUUUCCUAUCUUUUCUUACAAAAUGAAGAGAAUAGAGAAAAAAAAAAGAUAAGAGAGGGCAAAAAACCUAAGAAGAAAAGAAAGCAAAAAAGAGAAUAGACAAAGAAAUAAAAACAUAGAGGGCGAAAUGAAAAAAGAAAAGAAGAAAGAAAGAAAGAAAGAGAAGAGAGGGCAGAAAAUCUAAUGGGGACAGAAAGAGCAAAAACCAGAAAGAGAAGGAAGGAUAUGGAAGCAUCGGGAAGAAAAUAUGUAAAGCUAUUAGGCAGAGGACAUGAAAACCAAAAAGGAGAAGGAUAUGAAAGCAAGAGAGAAAAAGACCAUUUUCAUUUUUUGAAAAUGCUAAAUUAACCUCCUACAAAGAAUAAAGUAAAAAAAAUAAAUACCAAACAUGUCUCAGAUCCACAUAGAGCCCUUUAGGGGCUUCCUUGCCUCUUGCCACAUGUUGCAACUAUAGAGCCCUGUUGGGGCUUCUUUUUAUAUAUGAUGACAUGGCUUUUAAUUGAGCAAACUAAUUACUCUUCCAUUGGCCAUUCCACGUGGCAAGUAAUUAGGAUGGUCUCAGGACAAAUUUAGUAUGUAGGUAUAGAUUUUUGAUGUAUUUUUUACCCUUAUUUGAAUGGAAAAGAAAUAAAGAGGAUCUUUUCAAAAGCUAGACGGGGUCAUGGACCUUCUAAACUAUUGAAAACCCUAAUGAAUAUAUUAUUUUAUGAAAAAAUUAUUCAAUUUAUCAUACAUCUUAUGGGGACAUAUUUUUUAAAAAAUAAUUAAUAAAUUAACAUGAUAAUGUAACCACUAUUAGUGAAAUUUAAAAAUUUCAUAUUUGAUGCAUAAAUUAAUAACCUUUAUUUCAUAUUAAAUAAAUUUAAGCUGGUCCCAAAUCAAAAUGUUUUUAUUCAACUCUAAAACUCUGUUUUUGCAUGUCUAACUUUUAAAAUUUUUUUUUUCAAAAGCAUUCAGUGCAACAUCUCUAUAUGUAUGUAUGCUUCUCUUUAUUAUUAGCUGAACUCAUCUUUCCCACUCAAUUCAACUCUUUCCUCUAUAUACAAACAAUAAUAGAAGUGGAUUUUUUGUUACCUUCUUUUCCCGUUCACCCACCACCUAUCAAAAGGUGAUCAUUUGUUGGUUAGAAAAAGAAAUUAAGGGUUAAAAAAUUAAACAAAUAAAGCUGAAAAAAUUGAUUUUUGAUCAAAAUUCAUUCUGACUAUCUUAUUAGCAUUGCUUUGAAAAUAGGAGAAACAGAUUUCAAGAAGAGAAAGAGAAAUUGAAUUCAUAAAGAGAAAGAUAAAUUGGUUCAAAAUUGAAUGUAGGCUUGAUGUGAGGAAAGGAUAAUUCCAAAAGAGGAAGGCAACUUUAUGAUUUGAGUAAGGUGCAUAGGAUUUUGGAUUAUUAUGUAGUUUUUUUUUUGUUUUUUUGAAGACUAAUUUAUUUAAGGUAUACAUUUAUGGCUUAUUAUAAAAAGCAAGUGUCAAAUAAAUGUUAUUCUACUUGUUUUGUGGUUUGAAAAUUAUUAUUUAAGCUCUCUUGUUGGGUUGUUUGUGUUUGCAUGUGGUUCAAGCGGUCCCAUUUAUUGUCUUUUUUUGGUUGUUUUGUCGAUACAGAAUGAUUUUUGUUGGUUAGACCACUAUGUUUGUGUUGAUAAAGUUGAUGUGUGCCUUGCAAGCCAAUUGACACAUUUUGUACGAAACAUUGAUAUUGAUUUUAUCCAUUACAAUUACACAAUGUUUUCUUUUACUUUUGAGUUUACACAUUUUAUAUGUUAAUUACUUAUAAGAUAAAGUCCACAGCAAAUAUGCUUUGCACAAAAAUUUUGAAAUGUAUUAUAAUUAUAAAAUCUUGGGAUAUUGGUAGACUUCCUCCAAAAGCUAUUGUGCGAUUUCGAUGUCUAUUGAAAUCCUGUAACGUUUUACUUAAAAACCCUUUUUUCAUCCGAAUGCAUCUCAAUAAAUCCAACCGUAUGCAACAACUUUGUCUGGACUGUAAGUUUUCUCUUCAAUCAAUAAGAUUGGAAAGCAUAUAAGAUUGAGAAAACAAUUGUUGACUUCAUAUGUUUUUGAUAAUAACAAAAUAUUCUUUAUUCAUUACUGCCUAAUUUCAUUAUUUAAGUGUGCACGAUAUAAUUUAUUCCCUCUAACAAAUUUUUUAAUUAAAGGCAAGUCAAUAAGCUUGCUAAAUUUGAAGAUGGGUAAAUCAAUUAAAGAAAGAAAAAAGAAAGUGAUUAAUGAAGAUAGAAAACUAGUAGCUAAUUAACAUGACGCCUUAACCAAUUAUAGCAUAACUGGUGUGCUAGACAAAAACAAGACAAAAAAGCUUUAAUCAGUUAGGCUUAACUAAUUAAGACGAUGUUGAAAGUUGAAAACAAAGUCAAUGUAAAAACUUAGUGAAAAUUGUUAAUUCCACUGAUUUAGUGAAAUUAAGUUGAAAAUCAUUGAUUAGGAAAUCAAAAUAGUAGAUAUAAGUCAAAAAGACCGAACCAUUAUAAAUACUUGUAUAUUGUCUGCUUCUCUCUACCUUUCCGUACUUGGUGUUUUUAACUCUAAUAAGUUUUAAACAUUCUCUUCUAGUUGAUUAAGAGCUCUACAAGCUCAAAAGGGUUUUUUUUUUUUUUUCACAUGCUCAAAAGGAUUAACCUCAUAAUUUUUAAUGUUAUUCACUUCUCUCUAACAUUCCAACAAAAACUUCUAUCUAACAUUCCAACAAAAACCAAUUAAUGAUAUCAGAACCAAACCCUCAUAAUUAUAACUUUAUAUCCUGUAUAGUGUGAGGAAAAAAUCGAAAGAUUAAUUUCUCUAAAAUAUCAAGGGUAUUUUUGUUCAAUCAUGAUAAAAAUAACUUUAUAUCAAAAGUUAUUUUUAAAAUAAACUUAUGUGAAGGGUUAUUUCUCAUAAUUUUCUUAAAAAUUUAAGAAGCUAGCCUGCAAUAAAAUGCAAAGGAAGAAAAAAAACAUUAAUUAUUCCAAGAUAUUACCCUUAUGAUAGAAUUACAGUUAUCAUUCCUUUUCAUCCUGACACAUUUUGCUAUCCCUACUAGAAUAAAAUAAUACAUUAUUUUGAUGCAAGCAUAUCGGUAAAUGCUAAAAUAACUAAACAAGAAAUGUAAAAUAAGUGUUGAUUCAUGGAGACAAAGGGCUUCUUGCUUCAUUUCUUCUGGGAAACUUUCCAAUUACAUACCAAUUUAGAGAGCAGCAGCAACUGAAAGAAAAUUUUGCACACUACGAGUUUAGAGAACUGAAAUCAAGUGGGGAAGGCAGGUCCAAGGAAACAUCAAUCUAGGCCCAGCUUCCAAUUUGAUCGACAUAUAAGAAACACCUGAUCACUGAAAUUCCUUGCAUACCAUCCAUUCCAGGUGUAACUAUGUGGCAUAAGAAAUUAUGAGCAAGAAAGAUACCUAAAAUUAUGACUAACAAACACCUUCCACAACUGCCAAAUAAUUUCAGUAGGGCUUUGUGGAGAGAAAAGAUGGCGUUCUCCAAGGAUAUACAAACCAGGGAAAUGUGGAAGCUUUAUUUGGUCUCUCAUAAUGCAAAUUGACAUAUACUGCAUUCUCUUGAUUCCCACCAGCUAAAUUCAACUAUACCUAAUAGCAAAUAUUCCUAUCAGCCCAAAUGUCUCCAACUCAAGUCUUUACCAUGCAUCAACCACAGUCCCCAUCAAAUGCACAGUAGCCAAUCCACUGCACUCUUUGUUUCCUGCUCAGCUCAAUUAAAGUAUCUUGCACUGCCAAAAUUUUACAAACAUGUAAACAGCUCAUCUACCCUUGCCAUGUGGUGCUCGAUAGUAGGUCCUGUUCCCCAUUAUUUAUCAUGCAAGUUGAAAAGUUCAGGCACUCCUAUCCAUGUAAAUAAAGCAUGCACCUGAAUCUGGUGGGAGAACAAAAGCUAAGGACCAAAAAGAAAUCAAGAAUCUGAUCUGGCGGUUGUAAACGAUGAAAGAAGUCCUGCAGCUUGUACAGGUAAAAUGUCGCCAAAUGUUGACAUGGCAGCUGCUGAUCUAUCCUUGAAUAUGCCCACUUGCCCAUCCGUUAACAUAGAUCCCAGUUUUAAAGUGCUCUCUCCGAAUCUGCUGCCAACCUGGCCAAUACAAGGAAAAUCACUUUUGAAACCUUAAAUAUGCAUAACAAAUAAACAGCAAACCAUCACAUAUGUUGUUCACACAAUUGCAGUAAAUAUUUACAACUUGCAAAUACGCCACUUUACAGAAUGCUAAUUGCUCACAUAAGGACCAACUCUUUACCCAAUCUCUCAUUUCGUGAUCAAACCUUUUAUUUUGUCCAAUUUAAGAUCAAACAUUUUCGACAUUUUUCAUAUCAGGACAAAUUUGUACAGAAAUUGGAGCAUGUCCUUUAGGCACAUUUAAGUCUCUUAAAGCAACAUGUGUCAAAAAAUAGUGCCUCAUGUCCAUUGAUGCAAAUUGCAUUUUAAAUUAAAAAAAAAAAAGAAAAUCAGUUAGAUUUUCACUUUUCUUGUUUUUAUUUUAUUUUUUCCUUCUCUUUGUGUAAAAAUAUUCUUUGAGCUUUGUCAACAUGAAGCCAAGAACUAGAAGCAGCCUCCACAAGCAUCAGACCAUAACCAAAGUUCAUGAAAAAUUUGACAAGGAAUAAAAGGGGAAGUGGAUGGUUACUGGUUUUGUCCAAGAUCAAGAAACACCAAAAAUAUACUCAAAAAAAAGGCAGGGAUGAAUUGAAAAUUACGAUUGGAAUCGGAGAAAAAAUUAUAUACAAUUCAUGACAAAAUCCAUAAGUACCAAACCCAUAGCCAAAAUUCAUCAGUACCUAAAGAAAAUAUACAAAUAUGUAAAUCACACAAAAACACAAUCUCAAGUAAACCACAAUAAAACCAUAUCCAAAACUCAUCAAAAGGGAAAAAUAAAAGACAAAAACUCAGUGGGGUGGGUGACUCUGUGUUAAGGAUUUUAAAACUCCAAAAGAAAGAGGGAGACUAUGGGUUUCUUAGAGAGAGAAAUUAGAGGCUAAGCGGAAAGAGGAGAGUUUUUUUGAAACAGUAAAGGAAGCAGAUGAGAGAAAAAGAACAACCUAAGAAGAAGAGAGAUAAGAAGAAUCAGGGCAGCAGGCUGGCAAUCCAAGCUGCAACAAUGACAGCAACAACUUGUAACAUGAUUUUUGGUAGGGAAAGGAAGAAAGCUAAUUUUACAUUUUUUAUUUAGGCUUAAUGUUGGUUUUUUGGGCUUAAAAUUCACAUGUUUAUCUUCUGACUUAUUAUUUGGCCACUUCAUGUGAUUAAAUGGUGCGUGAGAGAAACUUUAAUUUUGUUGAAAAUUUUCCUAAUAUCAAAAAUGUAAAAACAUUAUAUCCUAAAUUGGACAAAAUAAAUUGAUCAUGAAAUCAGAGAUUGGGUAAAGGUGUGAUCCUAAUUUGAGCAUUUAGCACUUAAAUAACUAUAUAACUCAAACCUUAUUUAACAAGUUAAAUUUCCUCUAAUAUAGAUUAGAAGGGCUCAUAGAAGGUUUCCUAAAACCAAUUCACAAUCAGCCACCCAGCCAAACUACAUAUUGAAAAAAAUUAUUAGAUGAAGAGCAGAAACAGCUGAAUGAAGAUAUCCAAUAAAGGCCUUGAUCAUACAUCAAAACAAGUGCAGCAUUAUUGAUGAAAACUGCAACAGUUAAAACAUUUAUAGUCAAAUGUUUACCCCAAAAAAAAAUAAAUAUCGAUUCUAUAAUGCGCUCAACCCCGGAAAUUGCAGAUAAGUCUCAGCAAGGGGCUGAGACUUGAGAUGCAUUCCAUUACUUUUCUUUCUUCCUUACUUUGAAAUAUACUCAUCAUCACAAUUCAAGUUUGGGGCCCACCACUGACCAACCAAUCCAGUUGAGAUUCAAUAAGAAUACCUCCUUUAGGGAAACUAUUAGAAAACAAUAUUUAUGGUCAAUCAAUUUAAAGUCCAUUAUCAGAAUUCCCAUCAGGAAAACCUUCAUUUGUCUUCUUUUUCUUCAUUGUUGAGAAAAUAGAUUUAGCAAAAAACAGACAACUUUGUUUAGGGUCGCACGUGAUUACCAUUCCGACAAAGUGAGUUGUUCAAAUUUACUUCUCGUCGGCAUGUACAACAAUCCUUUGUUAAUUGACAAAUCAAAAUUUUAGCUAGUUUCUUCCACUUCGGCAUUUCCUAUUUCCGACAAGGAUGUGAGUGGUUAGUCAGCAUUAAUUGGUACUUGUUGUCCCUUCAACGUAACUUAAUGGGACCACUAAAGCAAUUCGAACACUCAACUUUUACACAUUACUCCUAACUGCACAUUUCAUCACAUUAGGACAAAAUAAACUUGUGUAAGUCUAUCUGUCUGUCUUCAAUCUAUUAGCUACCUAGAUUUCACAUUUUCAAUAAGAUUAUGUGGUUUCGUGAGUUCUCCGGAUUCAAUUUAUAGUUUGUUCAGGGUAAAUUACAAAUAUAUGCCUCAUGGUUUCCAUGUUUUUGUGAAGAAGACCCUAUAAUUUUUUUUCCUUGGCACUUAAACAACCUUGGGUUUUAUUCCAUUACCAUAGGGUAUUCCAACAUUAAUUUAAAAAUGACAAAAAUACCCUAAUUUAAAAGGUAUUUUUGUUGAAACUUAAGGGUAUUUUUGUUAUUUUGUUGCCUGACAUUAAUUUCAUAACAUCCUAAUGAGAGAAUGAAGCCUCAAGGUGCAAAAAAAAAAAAUAACCCUCAUAUUUAAAAGGUAUUUUUGUUGAAACUUAAGGGUUUUUUUGUAUUUUUGUUGUCUGACAUUAAUUUAAUAACACCCUAUGAUGACAAAAGGAAACCUCAAGGUGACAAAAAAAAAAAAAAAAUCACAGGGUGUUGUUUGCAAGGAGAUGAAUCUCUCUAGACUAGAUUCAAAUAAAACCGAACCGAUCUAUUCUAACCAAUAUACUCCAGAGCCAAAGCAUACAGGACAUCGGCAAGCACACUUUUGAAGGAUAAACUGCACUAUUUUAAUAGGAAAACUUUGACUCAUUAGACAGCACACAUUAGAUAGACCUUUAUUUAAAAAAAAAAAAUGAUGUAUAGCUUCACCUGCAUGAAUGACUUUAGGAAUGGCGUUGCAACACCAAAACUCGGGUUAUCAUCCAAAUCAACUUUUCGAGAAAGCUCUCCAUUUGUAUAAGCUUUCCAGGAACUUCUUGAAGUAAUAUCAUUUGAGGCAGCUGUAAUAGGUGUCCCAGAAGUCCCUCUCGAGGACAAUGCUGGAGCACUAGAUGACCAACAAGAAAUUAUAAGAAAACCAUUUACAUGAAUAAACAGUGUAAGCUAGAAAAUAAGAAUGUGUAACAGAAAAAAAAAUGCAGCACUGACCUGAUUGGAAGAUAUUUGAAGCGUGGAACGACAGAACAUCUCAUAAUAUUUGACUCUGAAUUAGUAGGCAGUUUCUGCAUAGUAUCUGUGUACAUCCGAUUAAGUUGAACAAAGAACCCAAAGAGGACAGCAUGCCGGAGAUACGACUGCCUCUCAUUCUCCCAUAAGUAUGGCUCAUACCUUAAAAUUAUUUAGAAAUACAUAUUCAGUUAUGCCUUAAUCCCAACGACAUCACGAGAACAUAUAAGUAUUUUCUAAAUGAACUAAUGGCUCUAAAAACUAACUGGUAAGUAAAAUGCACCUAAAGGAAACUUCGAGAGAGCAGAUGGACAAACUGGCAAUUGAUCUGAUUUUUACACGGUUUGAUUACGAACACCCAAGCUGCAUUUUGAUAAAUAACCAUACACAUUUUAUACAUUCCAAGACUUAUAACAAUUUGGUCUACAUAAACAAAUAAAAUAAUAUGCCAGAUAUAACUUUGCAUUAAGUUCUGCAAUAUACCAAGAAAAACAGUCAGGAAACUUCUAUACAAGUAGAUCCAUAUGUAGUAUAUGGAGUUGCUGAUUUUUGUGUUGUUAGAUGUGAAGCUGGAGGUGAUGGUAGGCAUGGUGCUCAUCAGAUGGUGAGAGAGAGAGAGAGUGAUGAGAUUUUAGAAAGAGAAAGAAAAGAAGAAUAAUAAUUAAGAAAAAAAAAUGCAGAAGCAACAGAAGAAAAGGGUUGACUUUUCUACUGAGAGAGAGAGAGAGAGAAGGAAAAUGAAGGAAGAGGAGAAGAAAGGAAUUUCUAGGAAAUACAAAGGAAAGAAAAAGGAAAUAAAAAGAUGAACCAUGGAAGACGGUGGUCUCUAUCAACUAUGAAGGCCCAGCUAAUAAAAUCAUCAAGCUUUCCAGCUCAAAAAAAUUCCAUUCUUCACUGUCAAAAUUGUUUAAUUUAUCAAAUGCCUCAUCAAAUCCUGCUCAUUGGCUUCAACAAUCAUCAUCUUACUUAACAUUUUCUUGUUUUGAUUUCAUUAAUGAUUCAAACUUUAGGUGAUUAUUAUGUAGUAACAAUCUAUGUUACUCAGACUCGAGGGUGAGGUUGGAUAUGGGUAUGUGUCUGACAAGGAUAAAUUUUUUCUAAGUUUUCCCAUAUAUUUGGAGGGUUGGACCUCCAUUCCAUGUUCGUCGCAUACGUGUCAGACAUGAGCAUUUGAAGGAAAAUGAAGUGUCCGAGCAACAUAAGUACGAAUAAUUGUUCAAUAGGCUGAUUGACAAGUAGUUUUAUUUUUUACAUUAAUUACCAUUUAUGGGAGUCUAUUAAUCAUAUAAGUGUAGAGUUUAUAAUUGGAAUAAAAAUCAUGAAUUUGAAAAAGAAAAAAAAAGAACCCAUGCUAGAGAGAGAAAGAUGCAAAGAAAAUGGUGAACAAGGGAAAGAGGCAGAGACAUUAAAACAAUAUAUAGAGGGUGGCAUACAAUGGAAGAGAGAUAAACAGUGAUGGAUGAAGAGAUUUAAGGCAAAAAGCUCCUCUGGUAAGUGGUAGUGGAGGAAGAGAGACAAAUGGUGAGAUCUGAGAGGAGUGAAGAAGGAAGAAAAAGAAAAAUAGGGUAUUUCAUCUGGUGUUGGCAAAUUCCAUGUUUCACAAAUGCAGGAGAAAGGGGGGCCUUUUACUCCAAAAAAAGUAAACCCUACAAAAGGACAAAUAGUUGACUAACGGUGAGUUCUGGUCAAGGGAGGGAUAUGCGCAUUUUGAACUAGAGUCCUUUGAUGAUCUUAUUAGGGGUUUUUUUGGAAUUCACCCUCUCCAAAUGCAUCCUGGUUUCCCUUCUGGUAUUGAAUGAGUAUUAUGCAGUCUCUAAUAACAGUUCCUAAAAGUUCUGGAAGUGUUAUCAAAACAUAGAUUUCUCUUCAUCAUGUAAAAAGAAUUGAGAAAAAAUGAGCAUAAGGAAACACUUACGUGAGCCAAUCAAUGGGAUCUAACUUCUGCGAAAGAGAAUAAAUCAACCCAUCAAUGCGUUCUCUAAUAAAAGACUUUGUCUGAAUUUGAUCCUGCUUCCUUUUGAAUGAUGAUUUAGACUUUGGUGUGCUAGAAAACUCUUCAUUCACAUUGAAAUCACCCCCAGAAAGAACAUCAGCAGCAAAUCUUAUGUCUAACAAGACCUGCAAAAUUCCUUUCUCUGACACUUGAGCUCCACAUGCCUCUCUAGUAGAGAGAAAGUUUUCGUAAAUAGAAAUUACCUGCAUGAUCAAAGCACAAAAUGAAGAAAAACAUAAGUACCAAACACUCUUAGCAACUGGACCUAGUAUAGCAUAUUUUCCCACUAAGAAUAUAGCAAACAUAAAUUAGAGCUAGUCAAAGUUUUUGAAAAGAAACCAGAUUAAAAGAAUACACCAUAUGAAACUUAUCAAGAUAGAUGCAUAAUUUACUUCUUCAUUUAAAGAAAUCAUUUACUACUUCACACAGAUGUAAUCACCAAUUAAUUUGCUUUGUAAAGGAUCUAGAUAAAACUUGUAUAUUCUUUUCAAGUGAAUUUUUAGGAAAAUCAUAGUUGUCAAUGCUGUAUAUCAAGAGUGUAUCACUUAUGGCAGAAUCAACCUCAAAGAAACCAACUCCACAACCACACUCGCCCUUCCCCACCACCAAAGAGAGAGAGAAAGAGAGAACACAAAAACACAAAAUAAAAAGAAUAGACCUCUCAGCAGUGGCACAAAGCAAGUGGACCAAAGUAAAUACAUAAAAGUAACACCAUAUUUCUCAAGAGAACUACAAGUCAUAAGUCCAUUGUGCCUGUAUACUCGAAAGACACUCAUUUGCAAUCAACUGCUUUAACCCCAAUCAAGAAUUUUUAAAUCCAAGAUUAAUAAUUUUGUUACAUAAACAAGGGCAACAACAGAAGACCUGCAUACAACUCCUAAAUCAUUCUAAGAAGUCCAAACUAAACAAGUAAGUUGGACCAAAGCACUAUUUAAAUUGACACAGAAUUUUUUAAAAGCCUUAAGGGUAUUACCAUCAUUAUAUAAGUAGGCAAACCAUACAACAGCAAUGACUAGUCAACCAAAAGAAAACUUGCAGAUUUUUUUUCUUUCUUCUCAUUUCUUUUCUUUUCUCCAUUGAACAUCACCUCAUAUCAGCACAGCUCAAAGCAAAACAACUUUGCAGACACAGACUCUACUCUACAAAACUCAAAACUAUCUUCUUCUCCUAAUGUGAAUACCAACUUUAUGAUUACAAAAGUCAUGCUGAGCAUUAACAAGGUCAUACUCAUUGAUGCAUAGCUUAUCCGAUAAGAAGCAGAUACUAUUCAACCAGUACCUUAGUAAUUAGUAUCAAUGACCAAGUAUUCAAAGGCCAAAUGCCUGAAAAUCAGAGUAGAACCAAAUAUAUAUAUAUAUAUAUAAAACGUAAAAUAAGUAAAAGCUUCAAGAGGAAAAGGAACUAGAAUGAAGAAAGGUGAAAGGAAUUUAAGGAGGCAACAAACAAAUGAAAAGCCAGAGGAGAUAAGAAAGGCAGAGGCUGAGUUUAAUCAGUUCUGCUUUGCAUGGUUUAAGGAAGAAGCUGAAUAGAUGAAUUUUCAACACAAGAAGUAGGUGCGCAUUAUUCUUCUUCUACUCUGGGAAAAGUACCCUUUAGUUUCCCAUUGUGAUAAAGAAAAACAUAUAUUAGAUCAAAACUAUGAUUCCUGUUAUAGGAGGAAGGGGACACAGUAAUGCUGUUUGGAAUAUAACGUCAGACAAAAAAAAUAUUUAAGAGGCUGCGGAAAAGUAAUGAUGUCAAAUAGGCAUAAAGAGAAUUCAAAAAUAGUCUAACCAUGAUCCACUGUUGCACUAGAAAACAAUUCGAUAUGCUCAAACUUGUUCCCAUGACAUGGCAAUAUACCAUGCAUCAAAGUAAAGUCAAUCAUCUUGAAAGGUGGUGAACGGGUUAUAGAUCAUAUAUUGUUAAUUAUGUGAAGAAAAGAAUGGUAUACAUUCACAUAUUAGUGUAUGAUUUAUUAAGCACAUAAGCAUUAAAAAAAUGUAAAGGUAAAUUAUUACUAAACUUCUAUUUCAUUACAACCUACAUUUUAUAAUUUCUCUUUUUUACCUGCUUUAAGGAUAGUAUGUGGUUAUCUUUAUGUUUAGCAUACUUAAAUUUCUCCAUGCAUACAUUAUAGGCUCACAGUUACACGGUCUCGUUUAUUCAAAGGAAAGAGAUCAUAAGGCAACUUUUGACUGAACAGACUCAAACUUAAUAUUCUUUCAGCUCUAAUAAUCCAUGGAUUGAUUUAAGUUAAAAACCUGAGAAAUAACACCUCAAAGCUUGGUUUCGUUUCAUGUUAACCCAAGUGAAACCAGAAUAGGUCGCAAUCCAAGUAUUGCAUAUUAAAAAUUGCAACAGAAAAUCAGAUGGAAAAUCCCAAUCUUAAUAUGCAUCGAGAUGCCAAAAUUCAAGAAAGUAGAGACAUCAAAAGGCAUUUAUCAAAGGAACUGCGAAAAAAAAAGCUUGCCAAGGGAUGUGAGUUGAGAAACUAUGAUCUAACAAUCUGGACCCAAUAAUCAACAGCUAGAAAAAUUAAACCAUCAAUUAAAGCAUGAAUGUACAUGUUUACAAGAAAAUUAAUUUGGAACUAAGAACAUCAAGAAAGCAAUAAAAGUACACCCAGCAUUGUUAAGUUAAGCAGAAUAUAAACAAGAUUGUUGUAGAGUUCCUGGAAUAACCAGCAAAUACGAAUAAGCAGUUAUACAAAGCAGACUUCGUACCUUUUCUAUAAGGCUUAAUGCAAACUUUUGCACAAUUGAUUUGUCAAGAACAUGGCCUCCAAUACGAUGAAUUUCUUCACAUGCUCGACAUAAGAAGGACAUCACAUAAAGAGAAGGCAUAGAUGGGAGUGAUAUUUUCAUCUCUGAUGACCCCUCAUCAGACUGUUCUUGCUUAACAACUGUCUCUUCCCAGCCCUGUGAAGCAACUUGUAGUUUCGAACUUAGUAUGCAUAUAAGCAACAACUUCCAUUCCACAAACAAACCAUACUCAUUUCAAUAAAGAUUACUUUAUAUAGCAUAAAUACCAGUCAAGCCUCAGUAUGAGUGUUAGAAAGUUUUAAAGCCACCUGACACAAGGCAAAGUGCAAUACUUUUCUCAUGAUUUCGCCUUUACAAGAUACUAAAAUUUCACGUGUUUUCUUGAAAUAUUGCAAUGGACUAAUUUGAUGUGUUCGUAAAUCAUAUUUGGAAUUCUACAUACCUAAGAGAAAAUGUAAAACAUAAAAUUUAUAAUGAGAUGUGUAUUAGCAUGUGUGUGUGAGCACUCAAGAAUAUAAAUCUUGCAUAUAUAAAGGAAAUACGGUCAGGAAAAAUGCCAGAAGAGUCAAGAAGUUGAAGGAACAACUCAAGCAUUGCCAAAGGUACACUCACAUCCACCCCAGAUGAAGCACAACGGAGCCUCCAAAGGUUUUUAGAAAGCAUGCUGCAAAUGAUUCUAGAGAGUUAAUUUGGCACGUCCACUUGUGAAAAGCUUAGUUGGACUUUGCAUACUUUAUUUGUUGCUCUUAAAUCUUAGAUUAGUUUUAAAGUUGUAAAUUCAUAUUUUACUCUAUUUUCUUGAGAUUUAAGCAUCAACCAUAUAAUCAUAACUUUCUUGUUUGCAGGGAAUUUCAGAUUUUUUGUCUAGGAUCUUAGUUUGGGUUUCCUUAUGCUAUUGGGUUUUGUUUCAAGUUAAGUUUGUUAGUUUUUGAUUUGGAGUCUUAAGUGUUUGUUAAAGCCCUCAUUGGACGCUGUAUAAAUAUCAAUAUAUAAUUAUUUAUGUGAUAAGGAAUGCUAGGAGUAUUAGUUCUAAUGGAAUUAGGAACACUAGGAGUCUAUAUUAAUAUCAAUGUACUCUUUUUAUCAGAGAUAGAGAAUAGAAUCAGAAAAGGUCUAACAUUAUCGCUUUUGUGAUUGUGUGAUGCAAUCAAUCGCAGGUGUGACUCCAAAGGAAACCUAUGUGUGAAGCAUAAUGGAUUCCUCCAAUCAACCUUAUGUGUGACCCCUAAGGAAGCUUAGGUGUGAAACAUACGGAUUUCUCUUUAUUCAAUUUUUCAUGUUUUCAAAAGAAUUUCACGUUACAAAAUUGCCAUAAAUUCCGAUCACCUAGGGUAUGUUUAGGAUUGCUUUUGUUUUGUGCUUUAUGUUUCUGUUUUCACAAAAUUAGAAAAUAAAACAGGAAGCAUGUUUGGUGAUCCAUGAUGGAAUGUUUUUGCUUUCAAAAUUAUCCAAAACAGCAACAAAGUUACGGAAAUUGUAGGAAACAAAACAUUUCUUGUUUCCUACAAUUUUAAGAACAUGUUUUAUAAAAAACAGAGUCAGCAAUGGAUUUUUAAGUGUUCCGGCUUUCAAAUAUCAGGCAUGACACCCUCUAUCCACUUCUUAGAGAAUUCACUCUCUCUCUCUCUCUCUUUUUUUUUUUGUUCCUUCACCUGGCAAAAGGCAACAAGGACCUCCAUUAUUCGUUCUUUAUUAUUUCAGAUUUCUUCUCUGUCGUUCCUCCAAUCCCUCAGUUGCUUGUCCAAACUCUAUUCCUUCAGCAAUGAAGCUCUCACCCUACUUAAAGGGCUUUAGUCUUUAAGUAAAUGUUUCUCUAUUCUUUUGCUUCCCAAGCUUUUUUUUUUAUCAACAAAAGGAAAAGGAUAUACGUUUCUGAUAGAUCUUGUCAAAAGUUUUCAUUUGAAUCCUAAGGGCAUUGUUUGGUAACCAGGAAAAUAGCUUCAAGUCAUUUUCCACAUUUUAUGAUGUUUGAUAGACAGAAAAUGAUAUGGUCAAAGGAAUAUCACUUGUGAGUCAGAAGAAAAGAGCCCAAAAAAAGAAGACAAUUCCCAAGCCUUUCUGCUACAACAAAGCUCAGUUCCUUUCCCCUUCAUAGCCCUUACUACCAGCUGCCACCCUCAUGACCAACCACCAACAACCACAAUAGAGCAAAAUUCUGUUCUUCCUCCGAUCUCUCUCUUCCUCUUGUUCUUCAUAUCAUGACCCAAAUGCCCUAUGAAUCUCUCGGUUUUCCUUCAAUCUCCACCCUCAUUCACCACAGACCUUCCCUUGGCACCUCAAAAGCAACCCCUGCGAAUGGGUUUGAACCAAGCUCACCAAACCAGAACCUGAGACAUUGGCCAAAAAAGCAAAAGAGCCACCACUUGAAACAGCAAUGCCCUAUUCCAGUCAAGACAACAUGUUUUCUCUUCUCUUUUUUUCAAAAUUUGCUACUUCUAGAUAAUUUUCAUUUUGAGAAUUUUUUUGGGUUUUGAUAUCUAAAAUGGGUAUGAUGGAAUUUGUACUGGUCCUGCAGGAUUUUAGUAUGAUCAAGAAACAUUUACAACUUUUGGGUUUGUCAUUUGUGGAUGAAGAAAUGGGUGUCAUUAUUUGGUUUUUCCCUUUUAAAAUGCUAAUUUAUUGUUCUCGAUAAUAAUAUUUCAUCGUUGAUGUUGAACUGCUUGCUCUUAUUUGACAUGAAAAAUAUUGACAAAUUUGGGUGUAGAGAAAAAUUUGAAUACUUUUCCUAGCAUACUAUGUUGAUGACAAUACCAAAUGACCACUAGCUGUCCUACAUCAAUCACAUAAGUCAGACAAAACUAUCACGAGUAAAUGUGAUAAUUCCCCUUUUGAAAAUCAUUACUGCUAAAUCAAAAUAAUAAAAAGGAAGUUCCCACAAGAGUACACCCCAUUCCAACUACUUAUGCUGAUUACUGACUAGCACUUGAAGUUUACACAUCCAUCUUCCAAAAAUAUAACAAUUGAAUAGACCAACCAAAACAUGUCAAAGAAGCACCUACAAGAUCUUGAAAACACCUUACCUCAAUUUUCAUUCUACCGUUUGAUCCAUCAUUAAAAGAAACAAAUCUCUGCCAUUAAAAGAGCCCAGAGCUAUUCAAAAUAUAAUUAAAAAUGACCUCUCUAUGUCAGAAAACAUCCAACAAGGAGCUGCCAAAUCAAACAAGGCAAGUUAGGGGAGUGACAAGGGGAAGAAUUAACCAACUUAUGGAGUACAAAAUGGUUCUGGUUUUGGUAACUUCUAAGGCAGGCCACAAGUCACAGAUUCAAUGUUUUGGUUGCAGUAAACAAGGGCAUACCUCAUAUGCUUGUCCAUUUAGAAGGGUCAAUCUUGCAGAAUGUGAAGAAGGCUUAGAAAAAUUAAAAGCCACUUCAUGAUGAUUUUAAUGAAGACCACAAGGAAGUUUUGAUGUUUAUCCAAUUCAAGGAGAGUCACUGGUAGGGGAGGAAGAUAUGCUUAGUUCAGAAAAAUUACAGAAGCUGGCUGGAGUUAUCGGCCAUUGGAAGAAACUCUUGUGGAUUCCGGUUGAGCGCUAUAGAAACAAUGGAAUCUUCUAACAUUUUAUUGACCUAAUAAAACAGAUAUUAGGUAACAUUUUAUUGACCUCAUUGGGAACCUAAUAUGCUAGUUACUGGAAUGCCUUCAUUGCAACGAGCACAAAUGAAAAAAACCAAUUGAGGAGUUGCUUACCAAGGAUUUGGUAUAGGAGAGUAAAAUAGCCCAGAAGACACCAAAGGGGUGCUGUGAGUGGUUAGUGAUACCGUUUGGUCUCUCUAAUGCUCUAAGGGCACGUUUGGUUCGUGGAAUAGACAAGAAUAGAAUAGAAUAGUUAUUCUAUGGGAAUAGAAUAAAGUAGGAAUAGAAUAAAAUAGCUAUUACUUUGUUUGGUAUUGUGAAUAAAAUAAAGCAAGAAUUGCUAUUAUGACUUAUUGCAAUGUUUGGUUGAUAGAAAUAAGAUUGGAAUAAGAAAAGAAUAGGUGAUAAAAAGGCAGAAAUAACCUUGACCAUAUUAACAUUUAUUUUCAUAUAAAAAUCCAAUUAUCCUUAUUAUAAUUUAAAUAUAUAUUUAUCCCAAAAGACAAUUAUCUAUCAUAAUUAUAUUUUAUCCCAAUUGCUAAAAAUAAUUAUAAUUUACUCAUAUUUUUAUCAAUGAAUAAUAAUUUUAAAAUAUAAUUUAAUUAUAUUAUAUUUUAUCCAUCAUAAUCAAUUAAAUUUUGUGUAUAGAUGUUUAUUUUUGUGCCUCAUCAUAAUGACUAAAUUAAACAAAAUUGUAUAUGAAAGGGACUAUAUUGAAUAAAAUUGAGAAGUACAUGGAGUAAGUUGAACAAAAUUCAAGAGUACCUGUUAAUGCUCAAUUUUACAAUAAUUUGUCCAACGUGGAAGUUAAUGUUGAUAACUAUUAAUUUAUCUAUCUAUUUAUAUGUAAAAAAUUAUUAAUAAAAACAUAAUACUUUUAUUUAUUUUAUUUUUAAAUUGUCAUUUUAAAUAAAUAUUAUUGGUUAUAUUUUCAAUAACAACUAUAAAUUAAUAGUGAUAAAAUUUAUCUGAAACAACCCCUGUACACAUCAUAAGUCCAAAAAACCAACACCCCACAGGAAGGCCACUGUACUCCCCCUCCAGGAAAACAAAAAGAAAUCCCAGAAAAUUGCAGUCACCCAUGGAACAAGAUAAACAAAAACAUCCUUGCCUCCCAGAGCCAUACUCUCCCAAUCCAACAGAGCAAAAGAGGGAAGAUAACAACAAAAUAAAAAACAGCGAAAAAACGCAGACAAGAGAAUCAAGACUCAAUAACACCCAUGACCCCCAAUCAGACUGAAAGCCGAGUUAACAAAACUGAACCUGUCCACCACACUCACGAUAAAAGAACAGAAACUAGAACACUCUUAAUAUCUCACUCUGAAGAUGAAUGGUAGAGCGGCGGAGAGAAAGAGGGGAAGAGCGGGGAAGAGAAAGAGGGGAAGAGAGGAAGAGCGGCGGAGAGAAAGAGGGGAAGAGCGGCUGAGAGAAGAGGGAAAGGAGGAUGAGAGAGAAAAAAAUUGUUUUAUAUGGAUCAAGUUGUAAUUUUGUAAAUCUAAUAAGGGUAUUUUAGUCAUUAAACAUUUCAAAGCUAUUCCAUGAUUCACGGAAUAGAUAAAACCAAGGAGAGAGUUGGGAAUACUUAAAGUAGACUUUUCCCCCAUUUUAAGGAAUACCGACUACUGAGGAAUUCCUAUUCCUCAUUCCACUUUUAAACCAAACAAGGUUACAAACUAUAGCUGGGAAUAGAGGGGGAAUAGCAUACCAAACGUGCAGUAAGUACAUUCAUGCAAAUAAUGACUAAGUGUUUUUCUUGUGUUACAAGAUUGUAUUUUGGGAUUUAUUGUCUUGGAAGAUGGACUAAAACCAGAUUCAGGGGAAAGUGUGUGCCUAUUGGAAAGUGGCAACCACCUAAAUCAAUCAAAGAAAUUCAAAGGUUUUCUUUUAUUUUGGGGGAGGGGGGAUUUGAACUGCACAUUGAGUGGGAGUUUACAUGCACCUACCAUUGAGUAAAAUGCCCAGGUGCAAGUUGAAAGGAUUGAUGGGUUAGCUUCAUCGUAUAGAAGGUUCAAGGAGUUUCUGUUUCAUUAUGAGCCAUAUCUCUAAAUGCUUGAAGAGGGACAGCUUUGAGUUGCCAAAUUCUGCACAAAGUGCUUUUAUACAGAUUAAGCUUUUGCUGACAAAGGCACUAGUUUCUGUACUAUCAGAUUUUGUGAAGUUAACUUUUGUAGAGUGUAAUGCGUUGAAAGUUGAAACUAGAGCUGUUUUUAGUUGAGACGGGAGGUCAAUGGAAAUAGUAACGAGCAAGUUACUGGUUUUCAAGAACACAAAAUUCAGUAGUCAAAGUGAUCAUUAUUUCAACCAUAUUAUGAAGGAAUUGUAUAAAUCUGCUGGUAAGAAUACUUGGAUUGCAAAAUAUGAGCUGAAAAUGACUAAUCCAGAUAUCUUACAUUAAAGCUACCAAAGUUCUCACUAAUGAGGAAGGCUUUUGUCAACCCGAGGAGAUUGAUGCAGUAGCAUUCCACAGUUUAUCUCAAUUGGUUAUCUUGAUAUGUGUUCUGUAUGUUUGCUGCUUAAUUAUUUAAUGAUUAGUAAUAUGCUUGUAUUUUAUUAAGAGGUCAUGUGACUAAGAUGUGAUCUCUUAAUAAGUUUGAAAGGCUGGUAUUAGAUGGGAUUUAUGUGUAUCAAAGAGCUAGGAUUAAAAGCUGUUGUAACCCUAAAAUGGACACAACAAGGAGCAAUACUAUUAUGGAAUAUUAUCCGUUAUUGAUUCUAUAACCCUAAACCUAACUAUCUUGUUCAACUUUUAUUUUAUAUCAAUAUGCCUUCAAUUCUGGUUUUGUUCAAUCAUUGUGGUUUUCUUUUUAUUUGUUUCCACUUUCUGCAUAUUUUACAAAGCAUAUCAUUUCAUAGCAAGCAGCCUUGAUAAAAUGGAGAUUUCAUUCUGAAAGUGUUUAUGCAUUUGAUGAAAUGUUGGUCCUAGGAUUAGCUUUAGUUGAUUUCUGUAAUUGUGCCCGUUGCCACACGAUGCUAUCAAGUUAUAUUACUACAGCACAUUAACUGACAAUUUUUUUGAAACAGAAGAACCAACCUGAAUCAGAACAUGUUCUAAUCAAAAGCGAAAUCUCUACAUUCAUUACUAAAAGUUAAACCAGAACAUAUAAACAUAAAAAGUAAAAGAUAAAAAGAAUGCUUCAAAAGGGAUAACUCAGGCGGAGACAUAAACUCAUAUGCAGGGAGCAAUCUCGAAGUAGAAGAAAAGAACCUUUUUUUUCCCCCAAUGAUAAAGUUUCAGCAAAACUCAUUUUAACCAUGACAAAGAAAUCUAUGCGUUUCUUUUACAGGUAUAAGCCUGUUUUCUAGGUUACUGACAUGCAAACAAACAGAAAGGAAAAGAGAGAAUAAAGAAGUGGCCCAGUAAAUGCUUACCCUUAAGGGGGCUGUUGCAGAUAAUCCAUCAUCUUGUUCAAGCUCCAGAGAGAGAAUAAGUGAAAGCCCAUCAGAUAGCCAUGACAUCCACAAGCUGUAAGCUCUGAUGCAGAGCUCUCGUGUAAUCUUACGAAGUUCAUCAAGUUUUGGGCUUGCACUUUCAUUUGCUCCGAGCAAUGCAGCAGUAGCAGCUGAACUUUGCCUCUGAGAGCUAGUGACCAUUUGCAUUCCAAGGCUGUCAGAGACAGGAGAAUUGGUGGCAGCUCUAGACAGCCACAACAAGGAAGGUAGCUUCUCAAAAACUGCAGGCACUGUGUACUUCACCCAGAACCGUGGAGAACCAAGAAUCAAAGGAAUGUGUUUAGAGUAGUUCUCAAAUGCAAACAAGAGUCGGCCAAUAAAAAGAGAUCUCUCAACAAUUAUAGGAGGAGGCACUGAACCACCUUCCUUAUGUUCACUUUCAAUGGAACUGUAUAAAAAAUCAAGCUCAGUUUUGAGUUCUUUCAAUAUCAUUGACACGCUGUCAUAACAUUUCUUCUGCAGAUAUGGAACUAGAUCCUUCAACCUCAGAGAUGCCUUGGCAGACUCUAAGAAACUCAAUAGAUCCUCAAGAAUACUUUGGCAGCAGCUGUCCACUCCAUCUCUAAUUUGACUCACUUCAAGACCAAAGUAGGCAUUGAGACAACUUUGGAAAUUAUCUUCCUCGGGCAAUGCUUUAUUUCCCAAUAGUGGACCAGGCUUCUUAACAUUAUUAGGCUCUGUAAACCAAACCCCACCACUUGUAGAAGGCCUAUUCAAAUAUGCCUGAAAAUCCAUCUUCUCACCAGCAGCCACCCCAAUAGUGUGGAUCACGUCUGACACGUUGACAGCUCUGGUCAGAUCCUCAAAUCCUGAGUCAAUAAUCACUUUCAUCCUCCUAACAAAAGCAUCUUCAAAUAUCUCAUCCCAAAGAUCCAAAUCACCUUCCAAAACAAGUUCUCGGAUCCUAUUCCAAGGCAACUCAAUCUCAGACCCAAAAACACUUUUAAGCCAUUCCAAACUCCCCUCCAGAACCUCCUUACUGUCCAUUGUCUGCCUUAUCAACUUCUCAGCCGUUCCAAGGUCUUGGCCACUAGGUAUGGCAUCGAGCAGAUACCUUCCAUUAAUCUUACUGACGAUCUGUGUUCCACAAUCCCUCAACCACCUCAAACAAGUGUUAGAAAUGAAAGUUUUAUGGAGCAUAACUGUUACAGAUUCUAAUUUAUCCCUGAAAGAUUUCCACAACCUGACCUCAUCAUCAGGAUUUGGGAUCCCACCGAACAACUGAGAAGCAGGGGGAGAACCCAAAAUAACCUUAUAAAAGAGAGGCAUAUCAUUCAAAACAUGCAAAAACAAUUCCCCUACCUGCGCUAUGCUAACCUGAAUUAUGCUCAAAAGGUCACAAAACACGGAAAUGGCAAUGGAAGAGGUAGCAUCAGCAUUACCAGCAGAAGCAGUCAAUGUGUGCAAUAUCCAAGUCUUUCUGGUUUCAAGAAACAACCCCAGCACCUGCUCUGGAUCCAGAUCAUCAAUUACAGCAACGGCAGCCAAGGCAUCUGCAUAAGCAGCGACGGGCAGGCCCCGAUCCAUCAACCUCUCGCGACUUCUCUGCGAAAUCUGAGCCUUGAAGCUCUCAACGAUCUGCCACUGGUGCUGAAGCAGAGGGAAAUUGGACAAGAUGUUGUUGUGAUCCAAAUCACGAUUGGGAAGCAUCAAGUUGGAGUGGACGUGCUUGGCACGGACAUACCUGGCGGCCGCCUCCAAGAACAUGGACUCGUCGAGACAGCCCCAGAUGUUCUCCGGGGUGUCCACCAGGUACUUGACGCGGCAAGCGAUCCCAUAGAUGCGGAGGCGAGUAGUAGGGUUAGGGGUUCGGAGUUUAGGGGAUGGAGCUUCCGAGACGGAGAGGGAGAGGGAGCAGAUGGAAUGGUGGAUGGAGGAGAUGUUGGAGGAAAUCGACUCGGAUGCCGAUUUCAUUAGGAGGAUGGAGUCUGCCGAGUCAAUGAGGUCACGGUAGCGGGUGCCAACCAGCUGCCGGAGCUCCUCCUUCUUGUCUUGGAUCUGUUUGUUGGUGGCGGAUUCCACAUUGCGGAUUUCGGAGAUGGGGUUAGUGCGGAAGAGCGAUUCGGCGUCUCGAUCAUCCCCGGAGCCUGAGGAGAAUCUCAUUCUCAUUUCGGAUAACAAUAAAUCCUCUCAAUUUUGGAUGCCCCUGCCUCCGUUAAUCUGACUCUAACCAAGCAAACAAGUACUGAUACGCAUUUUGUUUUUCGAGUUUUUUUAUUACUUAUUCUGGGAAAAAUGUGAUGUGACUCGCCCUGCGUUUUUGGUAUGCUUCUCCCGGGACCUCAUGGCGAUAGGUGAGUCGUCAGAUCGUGCGUUUGCCUACGGCUCCAAACGUAACAACGUUUGGGUCUUUCCUUUCCAUGAGAUGACAACGUUUACCCAAAAACAAUUACGGUAAGCUAUCUCUAUCUCUCCAAAAAUUACACCCAAAGGUUAUAAUAUGAUUACUUAUAUUGUAAUGGUUUUAUUGUAAAAUAAAUAUUAUAAUUUAAUUUAAUUAAGUAUAUUACAAAAAAUAUACUCUCAAUUCCCUUAUACCAAACACUAGCUAAGUUUUAAUUAUAAUUCACUCUUGGUUUAUUUGAAUUGAAAAUAAACAUCAUAUAUUGAAAAAUAAAAUAUGGCUGAAAGCGCUUUCCUAAACUAGCAUUGCUUGAUGAUCAAUUGCACAAGAAAGUCCAAAUAUGCAAGCCUAUAGUGGGUGAUUCAAUGAACCAUACUCCAUUGGUUGUUCACAACAACCCUCCAGGACAUGCUCCUUAGUUCAAAUGGUGAAGAAGCCUAUUCCCAAAGUGACAACAAAUCUUUUGAGGAUUCAAAAGAUGAUAAAGAGUCUAAGAUGGAUUGUGACUCAUAUGAGUCUGAUAAGAAGGAUUUUGAAUAUGGCUCCAUCAAAGGGUUUCCUACAAUCACGGUUUCUGAUUAGAGGCAGUAUGCAUUAGCAAAGAGAUGGCAUAACUCAAUUAUUGUACGACUGCUAGGUCGCCCAAUUUCAUACCUAAUACUUUGCGAGAAAGUUGCUAAUCUUUGGAAACCAAUAAGAAGAUACACUAUUGUGGAUUUGGAUGACAACCAUUUUAUUGUCCACUUUGUGAAAAGGGAUGAUUACUUGAAAGCCUUGUUAAAUGGACCAUAGUUAAUUAUGGGGUCUUACCUAAUUGUUAAUCCCUAGACGCUUAAUUUUUUAACAGAUAAGCAAAAACUCACUACCGCUGCGGCUCGAGUUCAGUUCCUAACAUUCCGUUUCACUUGUAUCACAAAUCAAGUUUUAGGCGAGUUACCUCUUUGAUUGGAUGUCUGUUGAAAAUCGAUUAUAAUAUAGGCUCUGAAAAGAUAGGUAAGUUUGCCAGUGUGGCUGUAGAGCUUGAUUUGUCAAAGCCCUUUGUGUCAAAAUUCUUCCUAAAUGGUAAAGAACAGUGAAUUGUUUAUGAAAGAUUGCCUAGGAUUUUUUUCACAUGUGGUGUCUAUGGGCACACCAAAAAAGUCUGUACUAAUAAAAAAGAGGCCUCGAAAGUGACGGAAUGAGGUUAUUUAGAAUAGACUAAGGAGAAAUUAGAUGAAUCUCCUUAUGGCCCUUGAAUGCUUGUCUGGCGUAGAAAACCAUGAAGAUUGGACAAAAAGUAGUCAAUUGGAAAUCAAAGCUUAAAGGGACACACUAGCUCUGGUUCACUGUUUUUGUAUCAGAGGAGGAGAAUUUGAAAGCCUUAAGCCUAGUGACAAUGGUGUGGCACUAGUGUCUGAUGAAGAAGCGAUGAAGAAAUCUAGUUGGUUGCUAAGUCAAAAAGAUUUAAUGAGGCCAACCAAAGAAGAAUAAUAAGGUGCUUUCUAGUGGUGCCAAAUUUAAUGAGGAAUUGAGCCAACCUAUGGUAAUUUUGAAUGCUAAUAAUGGGGCGAAUAAUGACACCAAAUCAAUGACAAUGCAAAACCAACUCUUUGAAUGAUGACAUUUUAAUUGGGAAGGAUAGUCACAUGGAGGAACUAGUAGCAUGGACAUAGUGCAAGGAGAUUUAGUGCAAGAUGGUAGUAAUAUUAUGGCUGGGUCUCUAUCUCAAACCAAUUUGACUUAGUUGCAAGUGGAUAAAUGUGUGCCAACUACUACCACAUUGGAUUGAAACAAGCAUUCAAUGGUCAAACCUACUAAUAGUUCAGGUCCAAGUAAUGCUAUGAUUCAACCACCUCAUACUUGAAAUCCAAGAAUUGUUAAAGUAGAAAUGUAUAGAGAAAACAUUUUAUCAAAAGGUAUUGAUAAACCACUAGAUAGAAGUGGCCUCAUUUGUUUGCAACUGUUUUCUUUAAAAAAAAGCUCAAGCAAAAUAUGGUGGAUCUUCAAGCCACACAUCUAUUUUUUCUCUAUAUGAGGAGAAGAAUAAAAUUGUUGGUAAUCACUCAAAGGAUGGGAAGUUUGAACCCUUAUAUAGUUUGGGGACUAGUAUUGCAUGUCUAGCAAAUAUAUUUGGUUGAUGCUAAUAAUGAAGUUGCUUAAACCUUACCUCUUGUUAUUUUAUAUUAUUAUGAAUAUGAAGCUUUUCAUUUGGAAUUGUCAAGGUGCUAGAGAUAAGGGCUUUCCUCAAAUUGUUAAUGAUUUUGUUAGAAUGGAUAACCCUUCAAUUACGAUUUUGCUAGAAUGUAGGAUUUGUGGUGCAAUAGCAGAUAAGGCUAUUAAUUCUCUUAGCUUUGGAAAAACACAUAAAGUUGAAGCUUCUGGUUUCUCUGAGGGCAUCUAGUUGUUGUGGAAGGACCAUUUGUAGGUUUCAGUGAUCCAUAAUCAUCUUCAAUGUAUCCAUUUAGUCAUAAAUUAUGUUUCAGGUUCUUAUUGGUUGUUAACAACUGUAUAUGGACAUCCUAAUAACAAACUUCGUAAAGCCCUAUAGACAAAACUUUCUCAUUUUGCAAAAAGUGAGAUAAAACUUGGUUUUUAUCUAGGGAUUUUAAUUCUUUUCUUUUUUCUUAUGAGAAGAUGGGUGGCUUAACACAUAAUAGCAAGCCUUUUCAGCAUUUUUAGAGAUUUAUUAAUGAUUUUGGUUUAAUUGAUCUUGGUUUUAGUAAGCCAAAAUACACUUGGAUGAGAGGUUUGGUUUCUAAAAGGAUUGAUAAGAAGCUAUGUACUAUCGAUUGGAGAUUAUAGUUCAACAAAGCCAUUGGUCAACAUUUACUCCAAAUUAAAGCUAACCAUAGGCCAUUGUUGAUUUCGUUAGAGGUGGACAGAUAAUUGAAUCUCAAGGUUUCAGCUUUAGGCAGCUUAGAUCUCCCAUUCAGGGUUUGGUGACUUUAUCAAACAAAGUUGGGAUUCUUCUUGUGAUAUUCAAGUUGUUAUGGAUAAAUUCUCUGACAUGGCUUGACAAUUGAAUAAGGAGGUCUUUGGGAGCAUCUUCAAUAAAAAGAAAAAGCUUCUAGCAAGAUUAAGAGGCAUUGAAAAAACUUUGGAGGUUUGGUCUUUUAGAUAUUUAAGGGAAUUGGAACUGAAACUGAUAAAGGAGUAUGAAUUGAUCUUCUAACAGGGAAAAGCAUAUUAGAUGCAAAAAUCCAAAGCAAACUAGCUUAAACUUGGUGAUAAGAAUACCAAAUAUUUUCACCUUCAUGUAAUCUGUAGAAAAAUCAAGGCUAAAAUUUUACAACUCCAUGGUGUGGAUAGAAUGUGGCUUAAGGGUCAUGAUGCAAUUAGAUUACAUGUAGUUAUUUUUUUAGACAAUUUUAUACUAGGGAUGUCAUAGUGCCUUAGUAUAUCCCAUUAUAGGUAAAUUCCCUACUCUUGCACCUAAAGACUAUGAAACCUUGGCUUAGCCGAUUUGUGAAAAGGAAGUACAUGAUGCCUUAUUUGAAAUGAAGCCUUUGAAAGCAUUUGGGAUUGAUGGUAUACAUGCCUUAUUUUUCCAAAAUCAAUGGAGUGUGGUGGGUUAUAGCAUCAUUAGGUAUGUACAGAAUGUGCUUGAAGGUGGUACGAUUGGAAAUGAUUUAUGUAGGUAUCUAUUUGUCUUAAUACCAAAAAUGGUGUCUCUUGAAUAUAUCUCAUAAUAAAGGCUAUUAGUUUAUUAUCUAUCAUUUUCAAAGUUUUGAUGAAGGUAAUUACUAAUAAGUUGUGACCAUAUAAGAAUGCAUUGACUAAAGAGACACAAGCUAGCUUCAUUUCGAAACGGUUGAUCAUUGAUAAUGCCAUAGUGGCCCAAGAAUUGAUGCACUCCUUUAGGAAGGAAAAAGGUAUAGUGGGUUGGAUGAUGUUAAAGAUUGACUUGGAAAAGGCUUACGACAAACUCUGUUGGGAUUUUAUUAAUGACACAUUGAUUAAAGCAAGAGGACUAGUAAGAUUAUUGAUGUUUUAAUUAACAGUUGGAGAUAUUCCAAUUCUCAGAUCCUAUGGAAUAGGGUUCCUUCUAAGUUUUUUGUUCCUUCUAGAAGGGUGCGAUAAGGAGACCCGCUUUCUCCAUAUUUGUUUCUUUCAUGCAUUGAAAGAUUAUUGCAUGGUAUUAAUGAAGUAGUGUCACAAGGAGUAUGGAAACCAAUUAAAUUAGGUCGACGAUGUCCUCCCUUGUCUUGUUUAUUCUUUGUUGGUGAUCUAAUUCUUUUACAAAGGCUUCAGUGUCCUAGAUGAAGGUGAUCAGAGGAGUGUUGGAUGAUUUUUGUGUCUAUUCAAGAAAAAAGGUUAAUGUUCAAAAAUGUUCAUUUUGUUGUUCUACAAAUGUGUCAAGUGAGUGCAUUGAUAAUUUAAAAGCUUGUUCAGGAUUUAAUUAUUCUGAAAUUCUGGGUACCUAUCUUGGGGUUCCUUUAUUCCAAGGAAGAAAAGGGAUUACAUCCUUUAAUUAUUUGGAGGAUAAGGUGCGAAGUAAGUUAAGUGCUUGGAAGGCUUUUUCACUUUGUUUUGCAGGAUGACUCACAUUGGUGACAUUAGUUUUAACCAUUAUCCUGUACUAUGUGAUGCAAACAGCAUCAAUUCUGCUAGAGUGUUGUAAGCGAAUUGAGAAAUAUUGUCGUAAUUUUCUUUGAGGUGGUGAUUUUCAUAAUAAGAGAGUCCACUUGACUUAAUGGAAUGAGAUAUGCAGACCAAAGGAAGAAAGAGGUAUGGGGGGUGGUGAAAAACAACACUUAAUAAAUAAAGCUUUUUUUUAUGAAAUUGGUAUGGCACCUAAUGACCCAUACUAAAUCUUUAUGGAUUCAUAUUCUCAGUGGCAAAUAUGAUUUUUAUGUUGAUUGGCAGCCUAUUUCAAUUUAUUGUCAUGGCGUAUCUCACCUUUACAACUCUUGGAGCAAAUUAUUGGGAUCUUUCAAGGAAAAUGUAUGGUGAGUUUAGGUGAUGGCUUAUUAAUAUAGUUUUAGAAGGACAUUUGAGUGGAGAACUCUCCUUUCAGUGAUAAUGGGUCACUUCCUAACAUAGUUAUAAAUGAGAGUUUCCGUGUUCAAGAAUUUAUGCUAGCUAAGGGAGAGUGGGACCGUGAGAAGCUAGCUAUUUGUUUACCAAAGCAUUUGGUGAGCAAGGUUACUGCAUUCACGCUUCCUACAUUGAUCUAUAAACUAGAUGCUCUUUAUUGGGCCUCAUCAGUAUCAGGGAGAUUUACUAUGGCAUCCAUUUAUGAGGUAUUAAUGAAAGGAUACUCAACUUAUCAUCAUCAGCCUAACAAAAAAUAAAAUAUAGUAUGGAAAUGGAUGGGACCCCAACGGCUCUACACUUUGCUUGUGUAGUGUUUGCAUGGCAAGCUCUUAUCUAAUAUGGAAUGAAGGAAGAUGAAUAUGACCUCAUCUUUUAUAUUUUCUCUUUGUGCUUCUGAUAAGGAGACCAUUCUUCAUUUGUUAUGGGAUUGCCACAAGCCAAAACAAUUUGGAUGAAGUUAUGGAACUAAAUUGAUUAUGGGAGGAUUCUUUAAACUGCCUCUAUUAGAGUGGAUAUUGCCCAACUUAUAGAACUACAAGGUUCGCAUAGAGGAUAUUCCUUAGUCUAUUCUAUUUAGGCUCAUAUGCUGGCAUAUCUGGAAGUGGAGAAAUGUCAAGGGUUUUGAAGACAAAUUGAUACCAGUAAAAAGCAAAAUAAUGGUGCUGAAGAGUUGGGCUGCUGCAUCAUAUAAUGCCAUAGUGAUACCAUGCACACAUAAUGAACCAAUUGGUUAUAAAAAUUAAACGCUCAUAGGUUGGCAGAACUCGUUGCAAAGAUGGGUGUCACGUCCCAUUUUGUGGUGGGAUAUAUAAUCGACACAUGGACUCAAAUAGGUAUAGCCUGCUAGGCCUAAGUAAGCUUCAUUCCAUUCAUUCAUUAAACAUUCAUAAUCAUGUGCAGAAGCAUACAUUCAAUCAUCCAUACACAUACAUUGAAAUCAUAAGCAUGCAACCACAAGCAACAUUACAUAGCUAUGGAACUUCUUAACAUGAACAAUGUAAGGGCAAACAUAUCAUAUAUCAUUAAAGUGCCAUAAUCUCAUGCAUAGUAUCAUAUAAACAUUUUAUCAACACCCUCAGGUGCCCAUGUAAGCUCUCGAGCCAUCCUUUGCAUGUAUAACAUAACAUUCAUAAGUAAAAUGCCAAACAUUGGCUACAUCAUCAUAAACAUGUUCAUUAUCCAUAAACAUAAACAAGAUCGACUCGCUAGUGGAACAUGUCUUGACCUCUAAGUUGCAAGUGGCUUUUAAAGUACCUACCAAAAGAGGAAUGGAUCAUGUCUCCGUGACACUGGCUAUUAUCAAAAGUGCUAUCACUAAUCUCCAACAAAAAUAGUGAGGAAAAAUAACGUGUGAGUCACAAAGACUCCGUGAGUGGAUACAGGGAAGGGGACAAGCCAAUGGGGAUAGUGUGUCAUAUACAUACACUUGUAAUCUCAUGCCAUUCAUAAACUAUUUAAUCAUAAAGUUCAUGAAAUGUGGUAUUUAAAUAUCUUUUAAAUAAUAUUUACAUGGAAAGUAAGUUUACAUAACCUUUAAAAACCUUUUUGUUGUUGAAAAGUCUUUAUCAUGCAUAAUAAUCCAAUUCUGUCUUGCUUUUAUCGAUAGAUGAGGGUAUCUAUUGAUAGAUGGGACAUAGAAUGCUUCUUGAAGCAUUUUAUCUUUUAACUAUCGAUAAAUGUUUUUCAAGAAUUGAUAGAGGGCUUCUAAAACUUGAUUUUCUAGGUAAAAUCCUGCACUUUACCAUUCCAUAUGUCUUUCUAUCUUAAGGGAUCAUUCCCUAGGCUAAGGUUCUAUUUAACCAAGCCAAAAACCACCACAUUCUAGUGUGAAUAACAUCAUCAUCAGACGUUACAUCAUAACAUAAACAUUCAACAUAAAACACAUCAUUUUCAUACUCAUUCAGUCAUAAUUUACACUCAUUAACCUCAUUCAUCUUGACAUCUUUAACUAUGAGUGGGUCCAUCCCAUUCUGGUGAAUAGUGGUACAAACUCGCACUAUCUUGAGUUCUUAGUGGGCUUUCCUGGAUGGCACAUCAGCUUCACCCACAAACUAAUAAGUGGUCCUACCUUACUCAAGCGAGUAGGGGAUAAGGUCCUUAGUGCCGGCUAGUCCACCUCGCAUGAACAUCCAUCAUAAUUGCGUGAGUGACACAUCGACCUCUCUCACAAUCAUCAUAAGAUCUCUUAAGCUUAGGAUUGUCCUCAACUUUAGCUUACAUCAUAAACAUGAGCAUUUUCGUAAAUCAUUCUCAUGCAUGUAAAUGUUUUCAUACUUAGCCCACAGUGUACAUGAAUUGUUCCUUAACACAUACAACUUAUGGCUUACAUAUCAUUUCUUAACUUAAGAGGGAAAUCAUACAUCCUCUAACGUAUAGAUGUCAUAUGUAUAUAUGUCAUAUCUUUCAUUAUCUCAUAAGUGAAAAUUCAUACAUUCAUAAUUAUAGCAUCAUUAUGUUCAUACAUAGGAUCAUGGAUGAAGACUCAUGCAUCCAACAUUAUUUUACAUGUUACAUUAUGUCAAGCAUGUGCAUCAGAACAUUCAUACAUUAACAUGGAUAAUGCCUCGUACCCACAUUAGUCCGAAGGCCAAAGUAAUUAAUUGGAAUACAAACAUAAAAAAGGCUUGUCUCCCCUUAUCAAAAACUAAUACAUAGUAACAUAUAUGUAGUAUAGUCGUAAACAAUUUGAAAAUCAUUAUCCUCUCACAUCACAAAUAAUUUCAAAUCCAUUUCAUACCUAUUGAAAACCAUUAGAACACCUUGAACAUUAAAUUUUUUAUAAACCAUCAAUGUAAACAAUAUUUCAUCGUGCAUAAAUAAUCAUUUCCAUUGAAAUCAUGCUAGCUUUACAUAUUAAAAUACUUGAAAAGGUGUAUCCACUUACUUAAUUAGAGAUUUGACUCCUAACUCCAAUCAUGACUCUAUUUCGACAAAAUCCGUGGUAUUUUCAAGCUUUUUUAUCAUACAACAAUUAUCACAAUCAUUUUCUAGAAUAAAAAUCUUGUAAUAUUCAUUCUAGGCACUUUCAAAACCUAAUCACUUUUGACUAAGACUAUUUUCUAGUUAAAAUCUAUGCUAGAAACCCAUAAAUUGAUUCCUCUUACCUUAAGUGAGCUUAGAUGAUUAGAAAAACCACAAAUCCUUGAGCUUUAUCACUAAACAAAAAUAUCUAGGCAUUAAAACAAAUAUUUCAAUUAUGAAAAUCUAAGCUUUAAUGAUUAUAAAGCAAAAAAAUAUCAUUUUUUUUCUUAAAAACCCAUAAAUAAGCUUAAAAUCGUCAAAAACGAAGAUUUUGGCACAAAAAUGAGUUAAGAUAGUUUUGGGUUAAGUCUUACCUUGCAAAAUGUGGUUGAGGGUUGCCAACUCUAAAAAAAUGUGAUAUAUUUAUAGUAUACGAUGUGAAAAUACGUUUUUAUCCUUUUUUAUUUUUGUGAAAAUGGCAUCUUUUAUUGAUAGAUCAAGGCUAUCUAUCAAUAGAUAGCCUUCAAGGUCCUUUUAAAAGCUUUAUAGUAGCUAUCUAUCAAUAGAUAGGGGUCAUUUGUAAAUAAAUCUGGCUAUUUAUGGAUAGAUCUGGUCAUCUAUCCAUAGAUGUUUUUCAAUGUAGCUUUGAGAAAACAUUUCUAGAUUGUAUCUAUCGAUAGAUAAGGUCCAAUAAGUAAAAAUAAACCUUAGAAACAUGUUCACUUGGACUCCUUUUAACACCAAACUUAUCAAAUCAUCUUAAUGCAUCAAAACAUGAAUUUAUCUAAGAUUAAAACUUAGUUUUGAAUGUUUAAAACAUACAAUCAACAUGCUCACCUAAGGAUUUUCUUAACAUUUACAUUACGGUGGGAUUUCACAAUAGGUAUCAAUUAAUUCUGAUGGGGCUCUUCGAUAUACGCUUAACUUGGAAGCUGCUGGUGGAGUUAUCUGUGAUCAUGUUGGCCAAUGGCUUGGCAGUUUUUCAGCUACUGGGGGUGAAUGUUCUUCAUAUCGAGCUAUGUUAUAGGGUGUACUUUAUAGCUUUCAGCUAGCUUGAGAUAAAGGGUUCUAUAAAAUAUGGUUAUAAGUAGAUAACAAAAUAGUGGUCAAGGCAAUUUUUGCUAGUUCAUCUCAUUCAUGUGAAAAUUUAGAUUUGCUUGAAGCUAUUAGAAGAUUGUUGCAUAAGGAAUAAGAGGUGAAAAUUUCCCACAUCUAUAGAGAAAGGAAUAAGGUUGUUGAUUGUUUAGCUAACAUAAGCUUCAACUUAGGUACUAGUUUGUGCUUCAUUGAUUCUCCACUUAGGAAAAUUAUAGCUAUCUUAUCUAAUAACAUGUUGGAAUUUGUUUUCCAUGGAUGAUUAGAAAUUAAUAAAAUUUCUCCUUCCAACAAAAAAAAAAAAGAAAAUAGACAUCUUAAAAUCUCAAAUGUUAUUAAUGAAUUUUGUUAAAUGACUAAAAUACCCAUCACAUAAAUAAUUAAUUGUCUCAUUUUGAAGCAAAUUCAUGAAUCAUUGAUCGCUAUAAACUCGUUUUGCACCUUUUCAUUCACAACCAAAAAUCAAGCUUUUUCUGAUAGAAUUUUCUAUUGGAAAAGUUAAAAUUCUAUUGAAAAUGCCUUUUUCAAUGGAUUUCCAAUGGAAAAAUUCAUUGAAAAUUCUAUCAGUAAAAGCUUUGUUGGAAAUACCUUUCGUUGUAAAUUAGUCAAAAAUUUCCAAUGAAAAAUUUCGUUUGAAAAUUUCAUCCAAAAAAAUACAUAAUCCAUCGAUUGUAUUGUAGGAAAUUUCGUUGGAAAUUCUUUUCAAACAGAAUUCCGUUGGAAAUUUUUGAUGAAAAUUUUCAUUAGAAAAGAUUUCCUACGAAAUUCAGUUGGAAAUUACCAACAAAAUUUUUUAAUUAGAAAAGCAUUUUUAGCAAAAUUUUGUUAGAAAUUUUCGACUAAAUUUUUCGUUGGUGAUGUAUUUCCAACAGAAAUUCCUUUACUAAUUUUCGACGGAAUGUUCUUUCAGUAAUGCCUUUCUAACGAAAAUUUCCAAUUAAAAUUUCGAUAAUAAAUUAUCAAUUGACAUUCAAAAUUUAUAAGAGAAACACGCAUUAAAAACUAAAAUUCUAAGUCAAGUUCAUACAAUUAAAAAUAAUCAUAAAUGCACAAUAUCUAAAAAUGUCAAACACAUAUGAAUAUAAAAUUAAAUGUGUUAUUAUAUGCCCAUACUUAAAAAAUAUCUAAAUCUAACAACCAAAAAGAGACAUCAUAUCAUGAAAUUUUGCAUUGUUACUUGUCAAUAUUUGAGCUUAAAGUAUUUGCAUUUUCUUAUUUCAAAAGUGCAUUAGUCAUGAUCAUUGUUUUCAUAUGUGUCAUAAAUUCACUCAUGCUUUUCGCCAUUGUAUUAUUAAUUUCUUCACGUAUUUCUCCACGUAUUUCCUCACAUAUUUUUGCAUGUAUCUUGCCCAAGUUUUCUAAUAGAUUUUUCACUUCUUCUUCCAAUGCAAUUGUGGGACUAGUGGCGUUUGAGUUGAUAGGGCCACACCUUGACUCAGAUGUUGCUGCAUGGCUAUGUCUUUUUCCAAAGUUUGAUGCAUAAAGCAUAUCUUCAAACCAUACCCACCUGUAUGGUCUAAAAGUCUAAACCAUUUAAACCAAUUUCCUCUUCUUGAACCUUCCAAGAAAGAGUAAACUAAUGUGCUAUAUAUUUAAUGCUAUGCAAUCAAAAAGGUCAUAAAAGAAAAAAAUAAAAAUAAAGAAUUCCCAUUAACUCUGUUCAAUGUAACAAGCUUCUGGAAUACAACAAGGAUAGGUAGAGGAUUGGUGAACAAAGCCUAGCAUGACAAAUACCUAUUGAAGCAAAUGCCUCUUUUUACUAGAAAAAGCACUUUUCUUCUACCGUUUCCUGAUUCCCACUUUAACUCUCUAUAGACUUGAAGUCUAAAGGUGAAAAGAAUAAAAAGUGCAAUAACAACAAACAUAACAAUGAAAUUAAAAUCAUCAGAAGAUAACAGGCUUUUUAAGUAAGCUCCAUUUAUGUCAUUCUUAGUUUACAUCAAUGAUACUGAAAAUAUAAAAGAAAUUAGUAUAGAAAUAGACCAAGAAGAGCCCAAAAAAAUUCCCCUUCUCAUCAUUCUUCAUUGAUGCAUUAGUAUUUCUUAAGAAAAAGACAAAAAAAUCAAAUCUAAUUAAUCAAAUCCAUUAAGUAAUUUUUAACAUCUAGUGGUUGAACAAAUAUUGGAGAAAUGUCCUUAGAAUUGGGUUAUCAUAUCAUCAAAAUUCAUAGCUAAAAGCUUUGUUUUCCAACCUGAAAUCAAUGACAAUCUUAUUCAGAUUGCUUUCUUCUAGCCCUCAUGUGGCUAAAUCACAAAUUUCCCUUCAAAAAACCAUCAUAAUCAUUUAUAUUCAUCGACUUCUUUUUUUAUUUUAUCUCAAAAUAAUCGAUUAUCUUUUUAUUAUAUAACUCAAAAUCAGAUGUUCACCUUUUUUUAAUUCUAUUUCCUUCCCAACCUAACUACCAAACCUUCUCUAGGAAGAAAUUCUAAAGAACAUAAACAGGCUAAAUUAAAUCUGGGUUAGGUCAUUUUCAUGCUAUGAACUGAAACUAGAAUUAAAAGCUACCAGUAAAUAACCCAUUGUGCUGAAAUAUUAAAAGGUAGGUGUUAUGCUAGUAUCAAACUACAAUGGUUGAAAGGCUCUGUUCUUUUUACUUCCUCUUUGGUUACUUACCUAUUCGUAAUUAAUUAAUCAUAUUCUGCAUUUAAUAUGUAGGUCUACUUUGGGCAUGUUUAAGAGGGAUGGUGUAGAAGUAUCUUUCCUUGAUAGUGAUGUUGGCUUUUAUAUAAGAAUACGGACAAGUGAAGUUGUCAAAGUAAACAUUCUUGGUCAUAGCAUUCUAAUUAUUAAUAAAUGCAAUAGAUGAUACUAACUAUGUAUGAUGACAUGUUUGUAAAGCAUUCUUCAUCAUAAUUUCUUGUUUAGUAGUAGUAGCUUUUGUUGGCUCCAUUAGUUUUUGAUGAUAAUAAAACAUUUUCACUCAUUUAUGUCUAACUAUACUACUUGAGAGUGUAGGACAAAAAUGUAUGUCAUUAAUAAAUUAAGCAAAUAUCAAAACUCAUAAUAAUAAGGAGCUACAAUUGAGACACAAAACAGGAGCCUCUUAGUCAGAUAACUAAGGGAGUUAGUCAACUAAAAUUCAAAAAUCAAGUUGGCCGGUCCAUAAACAGAAAAGACUUAGUCAACCAAGAAGCAUGGUUAGUCAACUAAGUGUUCGCUGCUAGAAACUUUAAUCAGAAAACAAAGAAGACUUAGUUGACCAAUAAGCAUGGUUAGUCGACUAAGUGCUCAUUACCAGAAACUAGGAUUGGAAGACAAAAAAGACUUAGUCGACUAAGAAGUAUAUUAGUCAACUAAGAGCACACUAUUUAAAAAUUUGAAUUUGAAUGCUAGAAGACAGACCAACAGCUAAAACUGUCUCCCAACUGUUUCCAAUGGUCAACAACUAUCAAACAUCAAUUAGAGUUGGUUUUUCAAGUAUAUAAGACACCUCUAAUGGCUAAGAACAAGAUUAGAUGCUUUCAAGAUCAAAAAGAGCUCAAAAAUAGCAAAAACUCUCUCCAUACUUUCUGCACUUCACUCCAAUCCUUGUAAUAGAGUUAAACACUUCAUCUUGUACCAUUCAGAUGAAGUUAGUGAUCAUAGGUACUUCUUUAUUUCUGUUCUCGUUGAUUACUUAGAGUGUGCGAGUCACUCUAAGGGGAUUGAUCAAGCUUGGGUUAGUUUGAUUGGGUUUAGGGUUUUGGGUUUUGGGUUUUGGUUGAUCUCGAGAAAAACCAUUGUUAAAGGUUCUAGUUGAGCUUACGAAAAGCCAUUGUAAAAGCUUGGUGGAAGUUUGGGAAUUUCAUCGUUUAUAGUGAUUUGGUUUAGAAAAUCUUGGUUAGAAGAUCAAGGUAGUGGAUGUAGGUCUUUGACCGAACCGGUAUAAAUCUUUGUGUAUUGUUUACCCUGUUUUACUUUUCAUUUUAUUUUUUUUUAAAUCAUUUCUUCAUCUUGCAUCUAACUUCUCAUCAUUGACCUUUAACUUGCCCUUAAUUAGAAGUCAAGUUUAGUGACAUUCAAAAAGGUGUUAUUCACCCCAUUUUGUAUAUUUAUUUAGGACCAACAAGUGAUAUCAGAGCCUAUCCUUCAUUCUUAAGGCUUAACAUCCCAAGAGAAAUCUAAAUGGCUCUUCGAAAAUCUAUAGUUGUUGAGGGACAGUCCAUAAAUAGACCACCUUUGUUUGAUGGAUCGAGCUACCCCUAUUGAAGCAUUAGAAUGUUAAUCUACAUAAGGGCCAUAGACUAUGAAAUGUGGGAUGCCAUCACUGAUGGACCCUUCAUCCCCUUGACUAUAAAUGUUGUGACCAAUGAAAUAAUUCCUAAGCCAAAGUUUGAAUAGACUGAAGCUGAAACAAAAAAGGUUCAGACAAACUUUAAGGCAAUAAACACUUUACAUUGUGCUUGAACUCCUACUAAGUUUAACAAAGUGUCAAGUUGUACCACUGCCAAACAAGUGUAGGAUAAACUUAGAAUUAUCCAUGAAAGGACUUUACAAGUCAAGAAGUCCAAAAUAGCUCUUCUAACCCACAAUUAUGAAAUGUUCAAAAUGGAAUCUGGUGAAGAUAUCAUCAGCAUGCUUGAUAGGUUCACUAGCAUCACCAAUAAACUUAGUCAAUUAAGUAAGCCAAUCUCUGAACAUGAAAUAGUGAAAAGACUUCUUAGAAGCCUACCUAAAACUUGGAAGCUAAAAGUGAUUGCCAUUAGAGAAGCUAAGGAUUUAAAUGUCAUUAGUCUUAAUGAAAUAUGUGCGUCUUUUCUCACUCAUGAGCUGAAACUUAAAGAAGAAGAAGAAAAAGACAAGAAAGAAGCAAAAGAAAGAAAGAAAAGCAUUGCCUUAAAAGCAAGCACUCUUGAAGAAGAAUUGGAUAAUCUGUCAUGUGAUGAUGAUGAAGAAUUAGCCAUGGUAGCAAGAAGAUUCAGAAAACUUAUGGGACAAAGAGAUAGGAGGCUGGCUAAGAAAGGGUACAGAAGAUAUCAAAGUUCUUCAUGGAAAAUCAAAAAUAAAAAUGAAUUCAAUAAGAAGGAAGAUGUAAUAUGUUAUGAGUGUAAGAAACUUGGACACUUCAAAUAAGAAUGCCCCCUAUUGAAGGAGGAAACUCCCAAUAAAUAGAAAAACAAAGAAGGCUAUGGUGGCUGCAACCUGGCUUGAUAGUGAUGUUUUAAGUUCAGAUGUUGAAGAAGAGAAAGUGGAAGAAAGAGCUAACCUAUAUUUGAUAGCCAAAGAUGAUGAAUUCGAGGUAUCUUCUGCUCCUUGUGAUAUUUCAAUUGAUGAAAUUCAAGAUGAAUAUGAAUGCCUCUAUGGUGAGUUUGAAAAGCUGGCAUCAAAAUAUAAAGCUUUAAAAAGAAAGACUACAUCUCUUGAAAAUGAUUUGAAAAAGAUAAGGCAUGAGUUCAACUCUAUUUUUGAACAAAGAAAUUUUCUUCAAACUAAAUUAGAACAUUCAAAAACAGAUUUUGAAGUUCUGAAAUUGGAAUUGGACAACAAAAUUGAAGCUUUACAAAAAGCAAUUGAUGAAAAUACUGCUCUUAAGAGAUUGAGAAAAGAAACAUAAAGAAAAAACACAUACUUUAAGAAAAAUUUUGAUAAUUUCUCACCUAGAUGUUAUGUUUGUGAUAAACUUGGUCAUUUAUCUUAUAACUAUUAUAGAAGAAGAAGCACGCAGAAAACAAAAAUGAUUUGGGUUCCAAAAAGAUCUUAUGUAGCAGCUAACCUUCAAAAACCCAUUAAGGAAUGGGUACGUGUUAAGAAAAACUGAAAAUCUAUCUUGCAGGUUGAGCCAAACUGAGAAGACAUAUGUUCAAGAGCUCAACUAAAGCAGAAACAUCCAUGGUACAUGGAUAGUGGCUGCUCAAGACAUAUGACUAGAAACGAAAUGUUUUUUGUUCAUCUAAACAAGAAAAAAUGAGGUACUGUAUCUUUUGGAGAUGAUUCAAAAGGUUUAAUUCAUGGUAUGGGAACUAUUGGUAAGAAUUCUCAUGCUCAAAUUAAUCAUGUGCUGUUUGUUAAAGGUUUAAAACACAAUCUAUUAAGUAUCGGUUAAUUAUGUAAUAAAGGCUUUAAGGUAUAUUUUGAUUCAUAUAAAUGUGAAAUGAUAGACAUUAACACCAACAAAAUUUCAUUCAUAGGAAAAAGAAUAAAAAAUAUGUAUGUUAUAUUUGUUGAAGAUCUUGAGCUUGAUUGUGAAACAUGUCUUAUGGUAAAUGAUGGAAAUGAUAACUGGUUUUGGCAUAAGAGACUUGGACAUGUAAGCAUGCAUACCAUUUUGAAAUUAAUGAGAAGAAAUUUGGUUAUUGGACUACCUAAACUUAAAUUUGAGAAUGAUAAGAUUUGUGAUGCUUGCCAAUUAGGAAAACAAGUUAGAACAUCUUUCAAAGCUAAAAGGGUUAUUUCAACAUCUAGACCUCUUGAAUUGUUGCAUGUUGAUCUAUUUGGUCUAAUCAAUGUAUCUAGUCGAGGAGGUAAAUCAUACGAUUUUGUGAUAGUUGAUGACUACUUUAGGUACACUUGGGUCUACUUCCUUGGUCACAAAAAUGAUGCAUUACCUGCAUUUACAAAUCAUUGUAAGAAAGUUCAAAAUGCAAAAAGACUUGUCAUUGCUAGCAUUAGAAGUGAUCACGGAGGUGAGUUUGAAGGGGAUGAUUUUGAAAACUUUUGCAAUGAAAAAGGUUUAGACCAUAACUUUUCUGCACCUAGAACACCUCAACAAAAUGGGGUUGUUGAGAGAAAAAAUCGAACUUUAAAAGAAAUGGCUCGAACCAUGCUUUGUGAAAACAAUCUACCAAAGUAUUUUUAUGCAAAAGUUGUUAAUACAACAGCCUACAUUCUUAAUAUAGUUUAAAUAAGGGCCAUGAUUUCUAAAACCCCAUAUGAAUUAUCAAUAAGGGCCAUGAUUUCAACUCUAGAACAUUUCCCAUUUUAGAAGCUUUGGCUAUAAGUGUUUUGUUUUGAACAAUGGAAAACAUUCCCUAGAAAAAUUUGAUGCUAAGAGUGAUGAGACAAUAUUUUUAGGGUAUGCAUUGAACUCAAAAGCUUAUAGAAUUUUUAACAAAAGAACCUUAACAAUUGAAAAAUCCAUUCAUGUAGUUUUUGAUGAAACUAAUGCCUUGCAAAAUGAAGUUCUUGUUGAUGAAAAUGAUGCAGAAGACCUUGAGAGACUAAUGGAAGAAAUGAGCUUAGAAAAUAAGAAAAUAGUGAAGAAAACUCUCUUGGAAGAGAAGUAGAAGCUCUGUCCUUAGAAAAUCUGUGAAGAGUUGAAAAUCAACAUAAUGACCAUUCAAAAAGCUGGAAAUAUUCCAAAGAUCACCCACAAGAGCAAAUUAUUAGUGAUCUUUCAGAAAGAGUUAAAACUAGAAGAGGAAUUAGAGAAACAUGUGAAUUCUCAACCUUCAUCUCACAAAUUGAGCCUAAAAACUUUGAAGAGGCAAAAAGAGAAGAAAGCUAGAUAUUGGCCAUGCAAGAAGAACUUGAACAAUUUGAAAGAAACCGAGUAUGAGCAUUGGUUUCUAGGCCAUUCAAUCACCUAAUUGUUGGUACAAAGUGGGUGUUCAGAAACAAGGUAGAUGAGCAAGGUAAUGUAAUUAGAAAUAAAGCUAGGCUAGUGGCUCAAGGAUAUAAUCAAGAGGAAGGCAUUGACUAUGAUGAAACAUUUGCUCCUGUUUCUAGGAUAGGAGCCAUAAGAUUAUUGCUUGCAUUUGCAUGUUUCAUGAACUUCAAAUUAUUUCAAAUGGGUGUGAAAAGUGCAUUUUUAAAUGGUCUCAUUCAAGAAAAAGUCUAUGUCAAACAACCCCUCGGAUUUGAUGAUUUUGAAAAGCCUGAUUAUGUUUUCAAACUACAUAAGGCCUUAUAUGGAUUAAAAUAAGCUCCAAGAGCUUGGUAUGAAAAACUCUCAAAGUUUUUAGUUGAAAAAGGGUAUAUUAGAGGAAGUAUUGAUACAACACUAUUCAUUAAGAAGUAGUUGAAUGAUUUAAUUGUGGUUCAAAUAUAUGUGGAUGAUAUUGUAUUUGGUGCUACUAAUGAGGCUUUGUGCAAGAACUUUGCUGAAGAAAUGCAGGGUGAGUUCGAAAUGAGCAUGAUGGGUGAACUGAAAUUCUUUCUUGGCCUUCAAAUCAAACAAUACAAAGAUGGCAUCUUUAUCUAUCAAGAAAGAUACAUUCAAGACAUGUUGAAAAGGUUUGAUAUGCUAAAGCUGAAAUCAAUCAACACACCAAUGAGUUCUCUACCAAGCUUGAUAAAGAUGAAAAAGGAAAAAAUAUUGAUCAAAAGCUUUAUAAAGGUAUGAUUGGAUCUUUGCUUUACUUAACUGCUAGCAGACCUGAUAUUUAAUUUAGUGUAUGCUUGUGUGCACUGUUUCAAUCACAACCUAAAGAGUCACACUUAACUGCUGAAAAAAGAGUCUUUAGGUAUCUCUUGGACACACAAAACUUAGGAUUAUGGUAUCCUAGAAGAACAUCUUUUAAUUUUAUUAGAUAUUUUGAUGUUGAUUUUGCUGGAAGUAAAAAAGAUAAAAAGAGCACUAGUGGCACAUGUCAGUUUCUAGAAAAGAUGCUCGUAUCUUGGUCAAGUAAGAAAUAAAACUCUGUUGCAUUUUCAAUAGCUAAAGCUGAAUACAUUUCCUUAGGAAGUUACUGUGCUCAGAUUAUGUGGAUUAAACAACAAUUAAAAGAUUUUGGAGUAACCAUGCAUAAUGUUCCAAUAUUCUGUGAUAGCACAAGUGCUAUCAAUAUCUCAAAAAAUCCAGUUCAACACUCUAGAACCAAGCACAUUGAGAUUCGAUAUCAUUUUAUCCAAGAUCAUGUGCUUAAAGGAGACAUUAAGAUUGAAUUUGUCAACACCUUGCAUUAGUUAGCAGAUAUAUUUACCAAACCCUUAAAUAAAGAAAGAUUUUAUGAAAUUAGGAGAAAUCUAGGAAUGGUUAAUGUACAAGAGCUUUAGGCAAAUUUUUGAGCUUUUCUCUCGUAAGGCAGUAGAUACUUAGUUGAUUAAGAGAAUCACUUAAUUGAUUAAAAGCAUUCUAUGUUUAUUUUUUUUUAGAAUGAUAGACUUAGUCAAAUAAGAGUAAAACUUAGUCAGUUAAGAAAAUAAAAUAAAAAUAAUAAAAUUUAAGGAAAAAGAAAAGCAUAACUGGUGAAGAAGAAAAGGAAAAAUCGCUUAACUGAAAAAUAAAAUAGGAGGUAAAAUUUUGAAUUUUGAAAAACGGGGUAACUGACCACAUUAAAAAAAGGGGAGAGUAAUAACCUUUCUUAACUCCUUACUCUCUUUUUUUAUUCUAUCCCAUUUGAAAUUGCCCCUCACAAAACCGAAACCUCAUCUCUAAAACCUUCCAAACCCUAAAUUUGAAACUACUUAAAAUCGAUGGCCAAAUCCUCAUAACCAAGCGGUAUUCUGGAAAAGAAGAAUGGAAAGCGACCCAUGGGAGAGACCCCACCAUUCAACGUCCAAAAGAAAAGGAAGAAGAAUGAGCCAAUUUCAACAAUUGAGAAAGUAGGGAAGAAAUAGGAAGAGAAAGUAGCGAAGUCAAAGAAAAAGAAAGAGAAUGAAAAAUUUGGCAAAAAGGGUAAUUUUUCUUCCACAAAAUUUAGGAAUAAAAUUCAUGAAGAAAGAUUUAGGAAAUUAGAGAAUGCAUCCAUCUCUUGUAGAAAAUAUAUUGAUUGGGAUAGGUUUAAUGAAGUUCUCGAAAUCAAAGAGGGCUUGUUAGAAUAUUUUGAAGAAAUGAAAAUGAAGAAAUUAAGUGUUUUUGAAAAUAAGACUUAUAGUGCCAGCCUAGUUAGAGAAUUUUACUAUAGUAUUGCAUUAAAUGAAAAUGAGCUGGAUGAUCCAAAUGAUUUUGUUGAGGAUGGUAUUAAUGCAUUUCUAAAUGGAAAGGAGUUUGUAGUAACUGUUGCUAAUCUGGGAAAACUGUUAGGCAUUGAGUGUAAUGUUGGAAAUUAUGAAAUCCCAUAAGAUUAUGAUCCCUCAUCCUUAUGGGAAGUAAUCAUAACGAAUAAGGAGAGAUAUUCAUCUAAAAGCUAUACAAGUUUUAUCAAGAGUCCAUAAACUAGGAUUCUGCAUUAUUUUAUAGCUUCAACAAUUCAUGGAAGAGGUGACAGCUUCAGCUAUGUGAGUCUUCAGGAUAUGUGGCUGAUGGAGUACGUUUUCAAUGCAACUCCACUGAAUCUAGGAAGAUUCAUGAUUGAAAGAAUGAAAGGGACUUGUCGAGUUGACAAAGUGAAUCUGGCUUAUGGAAAUAUAAUCGCUUCUCUAGUAAAGAAAAAGGGGAUUUGGAACACCAAAUAUGAGAUAGAUGAAGUUAAGAACAUAGAUCAGGCUAUCUAUCUAAAAGUUUGCCAAAAAUUGGGUAUAAGCUGGAAGGAGAAAAUUUGUCAAGAUCCCCAAAGAUACUUCAAAAGAAAAGUAUCCCACAUUUGCUUAGAAAAAGGUAAUCCCAUCUCAGAUUUCAAAUGAGAUGAUUCCGAAUUUAUUUAUGAGAAUUGAUGGGAAACAUACUGAUCAGUUUGUAAGAAUUCAAAAAAUUUAAGAUAAUUUGUAAGAGCUAGGAAAUUUGAUGAAAGAAAAAGGAAAAUCACCUUCUAGUCCUACAACUGAAGAUACCUCAGCAGCACCAAGUUCACCACCACUAGGACAAACUGUUGAGAAUUAUGCUUUUCAAGCUGAAAGUGAUGAACCAGAAUCUGUUCUAGCAAGAAACUACCCACCCUUGAACUUGAAAUUGAAGAAAAAGAUAAUGAUAACACAAAAGUGAUAGGAUAUUUCAAUGACAAUUCUCAACAGCAUGAUGAGACACAGAUUGAUAAACCAUCACCAGCAAACUUUGAGGAAAUUCUAAUUAUGGAUGUCUUUCACCAGAUGGUAAGGGAAGAGGAAACUAAAAAAGAAGCGGCAAAAAGCAAAGCAUAGAAACCAGCAUCUGUAAGAGCUUCCCUUGAAUCAAUUCGUACCACAGAAAAGAGUGAACAAACUGGGCAAAAAAAAGAGGAAAGAAGCUGCAUUUGCACAAGAUAAACCCAAGCCUAUUGGAAAAGGCAAAACUACUAUGGCAACAAAGACCAAGUUCCUCAAGAGGAGAAUGUCUUCAAGAUUGGGCGGCAAAGCUAAACCUUCAGUUAAAUCUUCUGUUCAGAAUUCUCUAGAUGUUUUAGACACACCUUUACCUGAUUCCUCACCACAAUGAUCACCACUUGUGUCAUCCCCAAGAACCAUCGACGUUCAUUUUGGGACUGAUGAGUCCAUCCCCUCUAACUCUUCCUAGACCAAUAGACCAUCCCUAUUUUGCUGAUGAUAAAAAAGGGGAAAGGGAAAGUAGAAAAAAUUUAGGGGAGAAAGUAAAAGUAAUUUAGGGGUAAUUUAGAAAUCUGACUCUGAUGAUGCUCGGUUGUUUAUGAUACUGUGUUAUUUUAAUUGCUGAUGGUUGAGAUUUGGAUGUUGAUAACUUACUUCUGUUUAUGCUUUUAUGUUAUUUUUGUUGGAUUGUUAAUGGCACUUGUUUUUAAAAUGGAUAUGGUCUGUUGAUGAUAAUAUGUUGAUGACAACUAGUUACAAUAUUGAUAAUAUUCUGUCAUCUGUUACUGAUUAUUCUGUAUGCUUGUAUGAAGAUAUUCUAUUAAAUGUCUGAAUCCAUGUUUGUUAUUCUCUUUAAGAAAUAGAUAAAAACUUGUUGAUUUGCUAAAUUGGAUAAUAAAAUGACUUGAAAAGAUCAUGCACAUAUUAAGGGGGAACCCACACUCAGGGGGAGAAAUCCUAAUCUGGUGUAAAACAAAAAGAACUAAUAGACACUGUACUUUUAAUCAAAAAAUGUUUUGUUAUCCUUAAAAAGGGGGAGAUUGUUGACUCCAUUAGUUUUUGAUGAUAGUACAACAUUCCCACUCAUUUAUGUCUAACUAUACUACUUGAGUGUACAAGAUAAAAAUGUAUGUCAUUAGUAAAUUAAUCACUCAAAAGCAAAUAUCAAAACUCAUAAAAAUAAGGAGCUACAAUUGAGCCACAAAACAGAAGCCUGUUAGCUGGAUAACUAAAGGAGUUAGUCAACUAAAAUUCAAAAAUGAAGUUGACUGGUCCAGAAAUAGAAAAGACUGUGUAGACCAAGAAGCAUGGUUAGUCAACUAAGUGCUCACUGCCAGAAACUUCAAUUAGAAACAGAGAAGACUUAGUCAACCAAGAAGCAUGGUUAGUCGACUAAGUGCUCACUGUCAAAAACUGGGAUUAAAAGACAAAAAAGACUUAGUCGACAAAGAAGUAUGUUAGUCAACUAAGAGCACAUUGUUUGAAAAUUUGAAUUUGAAUGCUAGAAGACAGACCAACGACUAAAAUUGUCUCCCAAUUGUUUCCAACGGUCAACAACUGCCAAACAUCCAUCAGAGUUGGUUUUUCAAGUAUAGAAGGCACUCUCAAUGGCUAAAAACAAGAUUAGAUGCUUUUAAGAUUAAAAAGAGCUCAAAAAUAGCAAAAACUCUCUCCAUACUUUCUACACUUCACUUCAAUCCUUGUAAUAGAGUUAAGCGUUUCAUUUUGUACCAUUCGGAUCAGGUUAGUGAUCAUACGUAUUUCUUUAUUUUUGUUCUCCUUGAUUACUUAGAGUGUGUGAGUCACUCUAAGAGGAUUGAUCAAGCUUGGGUUAGCUUAAUUGGGUGUAUAGGUUCUAACUUAACCUAGGAAAAGUUAGUUUUGGGUUUUAGUUGAUCUUCAGAAAAACCAUUGUUAAAGGUUGUGGUUAAGCCUUUGAAAAGCCAUUGCAAAAGCAUGGUGGAAGCUUGGGAAUUUCACUAUUUAUAGUGAUUUAGUUUGCAAAAUCCUUGGUUGGAAGAUCAAGGUAGUGGAUGUAGGUCUUUGACCGAACCACUAUAAAUCUUUGUGUAUUGUUUGCCCUGUUUUACUUUUCAUUUUAUUCUUCCUUAAAUCAUUCCUUCAUCUUGCAUCUAACUUAUCAAGAUUGACCUUUAACUUGCCCUCAAUUGGAAGUCAAGUUUAGUGACAUUCAAAAAGAUGCUAUUUACCCAUCCUCUAGCACAUUUAUUUGGGACCAAUAGCUUUUCCAAAUUUUAUACAUCAUAUUAUCAAAUGUGCCAGUCUCCUUAAGUGGGAUCAUAUGGUGGAGUUAAAAUAUUGUAAUUUCCUUCAAGUAAUGGUGAAUAGUACUAAACUUAAAAAAUGCUGGAAAAAAUGAAACAUCCUCUAUUAGUUGCCCUUCGCAUUGAAAAUAAGCUAUCCCAUUACUUAACAGUAGAAUUCAUUUGCCUUCACACUUUCUCCCUUUAAUUUCUUAAUAUAGAAAAAUGAUAUUAAGAUGAUAUACCUAACCUUAACUCUAUUUCUACAAUUGUUUUUAUGAAUAAGAUGAUAUACCAAACGAAACUUAAAAACAGAAAAAUGAAAAAAAAAUAGAAGAAGAAAAGAAAUAGAAACUCAAGGAGAUUUUCGUACGAAUCGUUUCUCUCUUACAUAACUACCUUGCAAAUUGAAGGGAAAGAAAUGCUUGUGAAAAGAAAAAGGAAAACACAAGAUCAAAAACCCUAGAAAACGAUGCAAUCCAAACCACAGUUGGCCAAACUCAAAAAGAAAAAAUUGAAGCAAAAAAAUCAUACAAAAACAAAAGGAAAAAGGUUUCGACCUAAAGUUUGUGCGGUUCACAACUAAGGAGGCUUAGCUUCAGUUUUUCUUUAAGAGUUGUUGGCUUCGAGUUCUGGUAUCUUUUAUAGCUUCUUCAAAGCUUUUUGUUCAGUUCAAAAGGAAAGAAGAGGUGAAGGGAGGUUGUAGAAAGCCCAUCGACAGAUAGGGACAACGAAGGAGGAGUGAUUUCUUUCUAGAUUUUGGAGAGAGGGAAGAGGGAUUGAUAAAUAAAAAAACAAAAGGAAAGGAAAAAAAGAAAGCGACAGCAACCGACACUGUUUAGUAGAAAGAAUGCCUUGUAAAAAGGAGUAAGGCUCAAACCUGUGAAGUCCCAUUAAGGAAAGUCCAAGGGUGUUGAGCUUCUACCCAGCCCAUUGAAGAAGUUUUUGGACCCCUUCUAUAUUUUUGAGCCCAUUUCAUUUACAUCCACACAUAAGUUCGAGUCUUUAUAGUCUAUGUAUCAACAAAAGUUUAAAUAAUUUAUAUUUUAUUCAUAAAUAAAUAAUUAUUAUUAGUAAAUAAAUUUUAAUAUAUUUAUAUUAAACUUGUUAUGUAAUGAAUAAUUAAUAAUAAUAAUAUCAUUAGAUAUUCAUAAUAUAUUAGACAUUAAUGAAUAAUGUAACAUAUUUAUUAUUAUUAAAUUAUAAAAAAAAUUAAUAUUAUUUUAUUAUUUAUUUAUAAUAUACUAUUAUUAAUUAUUAAAUAACUUUAUCAUUUUGUAAAAUAUUAAUUACUUAUUUAUAAUAAGUAUAAGUAAUUUUUUUUGAAAAGUACACAAUUUUAUUGCUUGAUACCAAAGUCAAAAUAACUUUAGAUUUUAUAAAUUAUGUAUAAAAUUAAAAACAUGAAAUAACCCUAAAGCACUUUAAAAAAAAUCCAAUUUAAGGAUACUGGGUAUCUAAUAUAAUAACUCCCCAUCCUAGAAUACAAUUAAAUGAUUGUAAAACCAUCUUUGAUUUACAAUCACUAAUUAUCACUAAUGCAGCUAAACCAUAACAGCUUUCAAUCCACGGUUUUCUAUCUAUUACCAAAAGCUAACCAUUCACAUCCCAUAGCCAUUUAAAGUAUUUCCCUACUGCCUGUGUCCAAUUCAAUCAUAAACACUAGUGAUCCACUCGACCUAAGACUCUUUUCUAAUUAAACUAGAGAGUCCUAGUUAAAACUUAACUCAAGAUAAUUAAAUUCAAUCUAAAAUUUGAUAUGUACAGUCCUUAUUCGUCACUAAUAACUAAUAUGUUAAUUUUAUAUAAUAUAUAUUUAUUUUUAUUGUAUAUAUGUAAUCAUAUAAAUGUAAUCAUAUAAAUAAAGUUAAUAAAGUUACUAAUAAAUGUUAUAAUUGCUAAUAAACUAUUAUUAGUUUUGUUAAUAUAUUAUUGAAUUUUAUCAUCUAUUUCUAUAAAAUUAAAAUUUUUAUUAUGUUAUUUUUAUAAACUUUUUAAUUUUGUAACAUUCAUGACCUGGAACCAAUUAAUUUAAAAUUUAGCGAAAAAUCCAGCGGGCUUUAAAUAUUUUUGGUGCUUUAAAUUUUCCAACAAAUUAUUUUUCGUUGAAAAUUUCUAAUGGAAAUCCGUUCAAAAUUCUAUUAGAAAGUCUGGUGACAAUAAAUUUUUUUUGUGCAAAAAAAAUUUUCGACGGAUUUUCAAUGAAAUUUAUCCGUUGGAAUUAUUCUGUUGGAAAUCCAUUGCAAAAAGUCAAAAGAAAUUUUCAUCUGAAUUCCGUUGGAAAUUUGUUGAGAAAUUCCAAAGGAAUUUUUUUCGUCGGAAAAAACCACUUUUCUUGCAGUGAUUCUUUCUCACCACCAAUUGGUUAAGAUUAUGUUUUUUAAGCUUUUCUAAUUAGUUAACUAAUUAAUAAUCAGUCUGACAGCCAAGAAGCUCAAAAGAAAGGUUGGUUCAUCGAGUGCUUUUAAUUUGUUUUGUAUUAUUGAAACCUUUAAAUCUUCUUUUCAAAUCAGAAGUGAUUAGGAGUGAAAACUUGAGGAAGCAUUAUUGUUGUGCAUCGAUUCACCGUUUUUGUGCAUAUGUGGUAAGCAUUUGUGUGUGUUUUGAGUUGGAGUUAAGUUGUAUGAUUAGGGUUUCUUUAAAAUUUGGAGAUUUCAUGUAACAUCCCAUCCCCCAAGAAGUUAAUUUAAUGGACAGAAAAAUGAAUUAGGGGUGUUAAUAAUAUGAGAAGACAUGUGGUAUUAAAGGAGGUAAUGUGGAAAAUAAAUAAUAUUUAAUAACAAAAUAAAAUAAUAUUAUUUAUUAUUGGUGGGUGACAAAGAUGAUGAAAUAUCGAAAAUCGAUUUUAAGGCAUUAGUUUAGGCUGAAGUGGGGGAGAGUACAAAAGAAUUCUAAGGAGAUUAAGUAUUGCUGGGACCCAUAUGCCAUUAUUAAUAUAUUUUUAAAUAUUAUGGUGAUACUUUGGUGGAGUGUGAAUUUGAUAUUUUAUUAGUAUGUGUAAAGGAGGAAAAGUUUUGAAGGUUAAACAGUAAACAAGAAAAAGUAAGAUGACUUGUAUGCAAAUAAACCAUUUUUAGUUUAAGUGGACAUAUUAAUAUAAUUUAGAAAAUGUGUGAAAUUACAAGGCAUGGAGUAAUUGUUUGUACAUGGAACUACAAUAAGUGAUCAACCAUGUAUGGGAGUUGUAUGAAAAAAUAAAACCAUGGUCAAAUCAUCGAUGGUAAAGGUAAAAAAUGUAAAAUGAUAAUGUGAUGGAAAGUUAGAAGGACCCGCCACUAUAGAGACAAACUUAUGCAAGUCUUUAUGAAGUUUGCCACCUUGUGUAGAAAGGAAAAAGAACACUUAUAAAAUAGGUGGAAAACUUCUUUAUAUAGUGCCAUAAUCAAUUAGAGCCAUUGGGAGCAAUUCAAGGUAGAAACUAGUUGUUGGAGCAUUGAAUGUUGAUUUGUUGUGACUCUAGGAUUGACCUUUCAAGUUGAGGGGGGGGGGGGGUUCGAUUCUUGCUUCAAAAUUUGUCCUCAAAUAUAAUUGGAGGAUUAAGCUUUUAAACACAUGGGGUCAAUCCUUCAAGGUUCCAAUAGCUUCACUUCUUUUCUGCAUCUACCUGGGAUUGACCUCUUUAGCUUAGACGGUUGAUCUUGAGUUCUUCUAGUAGCUAUUUUAGUUUUGUUUCUUCUUGGGAUUGACCUUUUCUACUUAGACCUUACACUUGCAAUUCCUCUAUAAAAAGGAAUCAUGUAUCAACUAAGUAUUAUACUAAUGUUAAUAAUGUUUUUUUUAAAAUGUUGAUUUAGAUUAUAUUCAAAAGUUCAUACAUAGUAGAUAAUCAUACGUAGGAAAGGGCAACUCUUUGCCAACCUAAAAAAGCACCUGUAAUAGAACAAAAAAAGAAGCUGCAAUACCUAAAAACCUUUGAUAUCCCCCAAAACACAAAAGUUAUACAACCCCCAACAUCUAAAAGAUUGUUUCAACCUUUUCCUUCCAAUCAAAGGAAACCUGGGCAAACAAAAUAAAAAAGAAAAGGACUCUAUAUAUGAUAGACCACAUUUGUCACGACCCGAAACUCCCAUCGAGCCCGUGACAAUCGUUGCGACGUCCCAAUAGGCACUCAUUACCCUGAAUGCCUAUCGAAACCCCGCAAGGCUUAGCAUCAGCUUCUGCAUCUCCCUAGUGAGCGACAGUUAUUAAAUCUCACAUUUCAAAAACAAAUCAUAAGUCUUUUCCAAAUCAAAACAAUAAAAUAUUACUUUCUGGUUCACAGGAGCAUUUUCGUCAUUUUUCUUCGAAAAUACCGAAACUCACCAAAAAUAUGGUGUAAAAGCUAAAUAUAUUCAUACAUAUUUUAAAUCAAAUAACUGAAGAAUAAAAUUACUUUUACAGUGACACGUGGGCCCUCAACUGACUAAUAAAAUGUAGGGUUACGAACCCUUACUUUCUAAGAUGCAACUCCGAGAUUAAUUCUCGUCUUAAUCAACUAUCAACAAAUUGUCCUGAGCCUGAAAAAUGGAUAGGAAGAAGGGGUGAGAUUAUAAAAUCCCAGUGAGUAGACAAACAUCAUCAAAAUAAUCUAAAGCCGAGUAAUAGGAGACAAUUAAAAUAAUUCAUCCCAACCCAUAUAAAUAAUUGGAUUUCAUCCAAUUACUCAACAUGGCUUAUGCANNNNNNNNNNNNNNNNNNNNNNNNNNNNNNNNNNNNNNNNNNNNNNNNNNNNNNNNNNNNNNNNNNNNNNNNNNNNNNNNNNNNNNNNNNNNNNNNNNNNNNNNNNNNNNNNNNNNNNNNNNNNNNNNNNNNNNNNNNNNNNNNNNNNNNNNNNNNNNNNNNNNNNNNNNNNNNNNNNNNNNNNNNNNNNNNNNNNNNNNNNNNNNNNNNNNNNNNNNNNNNNNNNNNNNNNNNNNNNNNNNNNNNNNNNNNNNNNNNNNNNNNNNNNNNNNNNNNNNNNNNNNNNNNNNNNNNNNNNNNNNNNNNNNNNNNNNNNNNNNNNNNNNNNNNNNNNNNNNNNNNNNNNNNNNNNNNNNNNNNNNNNNNNNNNNNNNNNNNNNNNNNNNNNNNNNNNNNNNNNNNNNNNNNNNNNNNNNNNNNNNNNNNNNNNNNNNNNNNNNNNNNNNNNNNNNNNNNNNNNNNNNNNNNNNNNNNNNNNNNNNNNNNNNNNNNNNNNNNNNNNNNNNNNNNNNNNNNNNNNNNNNNNNNNNNNNNNNNNNNNNNNNNNNNNNNNNNNNNNNNNNNNNNNNNNNNNNNNNNNNNNNNNNNNNNNNNNNNNNNNNNNNNNNNNNNNNNNNNNNNNNNNNNNNNNNNNNNNNNNNNNNNNNNNNNNNNNNNNNNNNNNNNNNNNNNNNNNNNNNNNNNNNNNNNNNNNNNNNNNNNNNNNNNNNNNNNNNNNNNNNNNNNNNNNNNNNNNNNNNNNNNNNNNNNNNNNNNNNNNNNNNNNNNNNNNNNNNNNNNNNNNNNNNNNNNNNNNNNNNNNNNNNNNNNNNNNNNNNNNNNNNNNNNNNNNNNNNNNNNNNNNNNNNNNNNNNNNNNNNNNNNNNNNNNNNNNNNNNNNNNNNNNNNNNNNNNNNNNNNNNNNNNNNNNNNNNNNNNNNNNNNNNNNNNNNNNNNNNNNNNNNNNNNNNNNNNNNNNNNNNNNNNNNNNNNNNNNNNNNNNNNNNNNNNNNNNNNNNNNNNNNNNNNNNNNNNNNNGGCCAUUGAAGGUUCAUGGGGAAAAUGGAUUCUUUUCUUGUUGUUUUGUUUCUAAACAUGUUUAACUAACUCUAAACACCAACAUAACUCAAAAUCAAACAAUUCCAACAUCUUUCUCUCUCCAUACCCAUUUUGACCAGCCAUAAUUUCAUCAUGAAAACAUGUAAUUUAACCAUGGAAAUUAAGGAAAAGUGCAUGGGUACGGUAAAUCACUAGCAAAAUCAAAGAAAUUUUACCUUUGCUUGAUCAAAUCCUUGAAUUCCAACAUUUCUCUUUGAUUUUUCCCACCUAAGGUUUGUUCUUCCUUGGUUUCUCUUCUCUUCUGAUUUGGUUGAUCACUAUGGGAGAAAUGGGCUGAUUUUUUUCCUUUUUAUAAAGAAAUAAUAAAAUAAUAAAAACAUGACACAUGGCAUUUCCUUAUUGGCUCAAAUUUUAAAUAUUUGACUUUUAAUUCUCUAAUUCUCCAUGUUUAUCCAUUUCCAUGAUGAAUAAAAUCCCUUGGUCUUGACAAGUGUUGGGGGUGAAAAUUUACCGAUUUGCCCUCGGGGUGGCAAAAUUACCAUUUCACCCUUAUACUCCAAAUUAUACCGGAAUUAAAAAUUUUCACUUCUAAACUUCAAAUCAUACUCCAAUACUUAAAUCAUACUCCAAUAAGUCAAAUGGACCAAAAAAAAUCUUUUCUAAAAAUUUUCAUUUUGUCCCCAAGUGGCAAAUGACCAUUUUGCCCCUAGAUAGUGAAAAUUUCGGUUUGACUCUAAAUUGAUCCUCGAACUCCGAAUUACCAUUUUGAGUCAUCCAUGAACUGUGAAACUCUUAAUUUCACCUUAAAAUUCCUAUUUGAACUAGUUCGAGGCUUAAUCGACUCAAUGGUACCAUUAGGGGCAAUAUCGUCUUUUAACAAUUUCUCGAACUUUCUAAAUCUGCAAACAUUCUAUUGUGCAUGUAAAUGACGUCAUAAUUAUUUUAUAGAACAGGGUUUGACAACAUUCACAAGACAAAAAGAUCCAAACAAAGGAAUGAAGCAAAACUCCUUUAUAUAAUGCCCAACCGCAAGGAGUAAGAAAGCAAAAGACAUCCGAUGAUAGCCAACCAUGUCCUUUGAGAUUGAGCUAGACCAACAAGGUUCCCAAGCCUUUAAGGAUUAAAAUAAAAGCUGCCUGCAUGAUGCUCAGCUGAUGCAAGCACAAAAAAAUAACUUGUACAAAACCAAUGGAAACAACCAUAAACACCAAGAAAUAAAAAUAACAGCAAACAUCCAAUACCCUAUUAAAACAAGCAUAAAAAUUAGGCAUAAGUAAUGCCAUCACAUAAAACCCAAAGUAAUUCAUCAGACCUUUGUACCCUGAUUUUGCUAAAGAAUUAGCAAUUUCAUGUGUAGACCUUGGAAUUUUGCUGAAAUUGAUUUCCUUGAUUUGAGAUUUAAAGAAAUCAACUUUCAAUAUGAUGGGCCAUAGUCUUUAAGGAGUAGAACAUGGAUCUCUAAUCCACUUUACAACAUUUUUAGAGUCAUUCUUGAUUAUAACUUUAUGAGAUACAACCCACUUUGAUGUUGCUAAAGUCUGCAAAGCCUUACACAUUGCUUUAAUCUUAGCUUCAUUAGCAUAUGAUACUCCAAUCAACAUCGAGAACAUGAGGAGGAUCUCACUAAAAUCAUUACGAAGGACUCUUCUAAUGCCUAUUUCCCUAGGGUUACCUUUGGAGGCCUUGUCAACAUUAAAUUUAAGAACUCCAUAAGUGGGGCUUGCCAUCUGAUGGAAGGCUUAGAUGCUUUACAUUUUUUAAAGUCAAACCCAUUAUUAGGGAACCUCUCUAAUUUUGCAAUAGAAAAUUCAGGUUAAGCCAUCUGGCCUUUAUCCAUGAAGCAAUGCGUAGCUUGAUCUCAUUAAACACAUGAGCAUUGACCCAUUGUUUACCUUUAAACAACACCUUGUUGUAAGCAAGCCAAAUAGACCAAGUAAUAGUUGGCAAAGACAACCUACAAACAUUUUCAUUACUAACAACCUUUGUAGCCUCCUUCCAUGCCAUAAAGUUAAUAAGAGGAUUUUUGUGAUUAACCCACAUAAAACCCCAUAGUCCAACCUACAUAUACCAUAAUAACCAAGUUUCUUCACAAGAAAAGAAAAGAUGUUCAGUUGAUUCUCUUUCACUCCUACAUAACAAACAGUAAGUAGAGUCCACUCUUAAGAGCCCCUUAUAGAGAAGGAUUUCUCAAAUUGGGAGUUUCCCUUUAAUCAACAUCUAACAAAACACCUCAACUUUGAGCAGUGCUAGUCCUCACUAUAAAGUUUUUCAAUGGUUAGCUUUAAUGUUGGUGAGCUUCAUCACUUUUCGAUAGAAAGAUUUGGUGUUAUAGUUUCCAUUAGGGGUGGCCUUCUAAAUUAAUUUAUCAACAAAGUGUUUUCUCAAAGUUUGGUCAUUGAGGAGUGAUUGAAAUUCCUCUAAUUGCUCUUGCUCUCAGCCAAGAGGAUCUCUCCUUAAGGUAACCCACUAAUGUCACACAUCAUUAAUUCAUUUACCAGAUAGUUUAAUAGGCCUAUUUUUAGCAUUAAAAAGCAUAUGAAUUCCUAAGAAACUAAAUUUUAACGUAAUUCCCUUAAUCCAUUGCUCACUCAAAAAAUCAAUCAUUUUACCAUUAUCGACCAACAAAUUUAGCUCCUUCUUGUUGAUGGAAGAUGAGCAAUCAAAAGAAAAAAGAGGUUUACUAAUAUUAUGCCAAACACCUGACACCAUCCUUUAAGAUCUAACGAUGGGAAGUAAACAUUCCAUUCCUCCACCAACUUUGUUAACUAUAACUGUCACGACUCGAUACUCCCAUCGAGCCCUUGACAACUGCCACGGUGUCUCCAUAGACACUAAUUACUCGGAAUGCCAACCAGAACCUCGCAAGGCUUUAAUAUCAGUUUCUCAUUUUCCUUGUGAGUAACCAUUUCCAAAUAUCACAUUCUAAAAGAUUUUAAACUAUUUCCAAACCAAAACAAUAAAAAAAAUAAUUUUCGUCUCAUAGGGGUAUUUUAGUCAUUUUGCCAUAAAAUUUUGAAACUAGCUAAUAAUGUAGUAUACAGGUGCAAAACACAUAUUUCAUAAUAAAAAAUAAAUUUGGAUGUCUAAAACAUUUGUUUAAAAUGAAAUUAUGACUAUUAGAAUAAAAUAAAAAUAUUAAAUAAAAUAUUCAAUUUUCUCAUAAAACAAUAUUUUUAAAACACUGCGUAAAUAAUUUUUACAGCGUAAAAGCAAAAUAAAUUCAUAUAUAUUGUAAUAUAGUAAACCAGAGUAUUUAAUUUAAUUUACAGUAACAAGUGGGCCCUCGAAUAACCAAAAGUAAGAAAGACUGUGAACCUACAGUUUGGAAGAUGCAAAUCCAAUGCUAGUCCUCGACAAAAUGUGCUAUCUAUAGACUAUCCUGAACUUGAAAUGGGUGGAAGUGAGGGUGGUGAGAUUAUAUAAUCUUAGUGAGUAAACAAAUAUCAUCUAAAAUAUCUAAAGCUGAGUAAAUGGAGACAUAUAUAAUAGAUUAGCAUAAAAUAAUUCAUAGCCUUUCAAACUCAUUUUUAUGAGAUAAAAUAAAUUUAUUUCAUCCAAAUAAUCAUUGAGGCUUAUGAUUUCCUGAAAAGCUUGGCUUGUGCCAAAAAUCAUUAUCAUACUCAGUUAUCAGAGAUACCUUGGCCGAGGGCUAUCCCAACUGAGUCCGCCAAGGUUGUUAAAAAAUUAUAUACACAUAAAUCAUGUUUUUAUUUUGAAAACAUAGUCGUUCUUGGCGUUGGCCGAGCUCACCCUCACGUGGUGGUUUUGCAUGAAGUGAACUCUAAAGUGUUAACCUCAGGAGUUAUCCAUCCGCGCCUCUCAUACUAAGGUAAGAUAUAACGGGUUUUACCGUGCCCCCUUAAUAGGCUGGUCCAUGAAAACCCGCCCACUGCAGUAAGCUAAUUGAUAUCCACCAGAUCAAUAAAAUUCCAACAGCAUAACGUGGCAAUUAUUUUACAACACAGCAUGUCAAGGCAAAACAACAGUUUAUACAUUUUCAACACAUUUACCAAAUCCAGCCACUCAUGCCCACAUUAUCAUAAGCCAUUCAAUUCAAACCAUAAUUUACAACACAACAAUUAGUCUGCAAUUACUCCAUUUUCCAAAACCAUCAUUCAAUUUUAAGACAAUUUUAUAAAAUCAUUUCAUAUAAUCACAUUUUGCUUUUAAAACAUAAAGAUUUACCAUUUAAACUCAUUUUUCAUAAAAUCACAAAAACUAAUUAAAAUUCACUUUAGAUAAUCAAGAUGAUGAUAAGGUUACUCACAAUGUCUAGAGUGCGAAUUUUUGAAGUACUCUGACUACUCGUCCUCGGAUGCAAUUUUCUUGCCUUUAUCGGAGGACUCACCACCUUGACAUAGUACAUAAUCGAGAAACUUACUACAUUGGUACUAAAUCAAAAUUAAACUAAUUUAGACUAUUAAUGCAUGAUAUGGAAUGCAAAAUGCACGGGUAACCAUCUAAAUUCGGUAUUGGCCUAAUUCAUCUUAUCACCCGAUUAAUUGGUCAACGCAUCCAAUUUAGCUCCAAAUUGCUCCAUUUCUUUUCCAAUACCUUAAUUCCCCAAACACAAGUCAAAUAACUUAAAAUUUGGCAAAACCAUCUUCACUUUUCUUCUUAGAAUUUUUGAUCAGUAAUGGUGCAUUAACACCGUGAUUUUUCCUACUACUUUUCCACACAAUAAUUCAUCAUUUUCUAACCAAUUCUCUUAAAAUAAAAAAAUCAAUUUCAUCCUCACUCGAUACAAGGUAGGUUCGGCCAUUGAUGGGUGAUGGGGAAAAUGAAUUCUUUUCUUGUUAUUUUACUUCUAGACAUAGUAAACUAACUAAAAACACUAACAUAACUUGAAAUCAAAUUAAUCCAACAUCAUUCUCUCUCCAUACCCAUUCGGCUAGCCAUAAAUUCACCAUAGAAACAUGAAAUUUAACCAUGGAAAAUAAGGAGAAAUGCUUAAGGAAAAUAGAUUUCAAGUUUAAAUUGAGAAAUCCUACCUUUUUCACUUGUUUUCCUUGAUUUUCCUCACUUUUUCUCUUGAAAUUCUCCACCUAAGGUUUGUUCUUUCUUUGUUUCCCUCUUUUCCUUACUUGGCCGAAUAUUUGGAGAGAAGUGAGAGGUUUAUAGGCUGAUUUUUAAAGGAAAUAAUAAAAUAUUCUAAGCUUGACAAGUGUCAUUUUAUUAUUGGUCCAUUUUUAAAACUUUAAAAAUUUAAACUUUUUAUCUCCACCACAUAUAUUUCUCACUUAUCCAUAACAUAAAAAGUCAAUGGAUGAAUUCUAUGAGCAUGACAAGUGUUGGUGGUGUAAAAUUACAAUUUUGCCACUAGGGUGGCAAAAUUACCAUUUUACCCCUAUGCUCCUAAAAAUACCAGGAUUACAAUUUUUCACUUCUCAACCUCAAAUCAUACUUCAAUAAGUCAAAUGUGAUCAAAAUCUUUCAAAAAUUUUCCAUUUUUUCCUCGAGUGGCAAAAUUACCAUUUUACCCUAGAUAGUGAAAUUUUCGGUUUGACUCCAAAUUGAUCCUCGAACCCCAAAUGACCAUUUUAAAUCAUUCUUGAACUGUAAAAUUUUUAAUUUCACCCUAAAAUCUCUAUUUGAUCAAGUUCGAGGCUUAAAUCAACUUUAUUGUACCUCUAGGUACAAUACCAACUUUUGUAAAUUUUUUGGGACUCUCCUAGCAUGCAAAUAUGCUAUCCAUCACAUGUAUGUCAUGACAAGUAUUUUAUAAGGUCAGGAUUUACAGCAUUACCCCCCUUUACAAUAAAAUUUUGAUCUCAAAAUUUCACUUACCGGAUUUGAAGAAAAGAUGUGGAUAUUGGUCUCUCAUCUGGUGCUUGACUUCCCACGUCAUGUAUUCCAUUCGAGCAUUCUGUGGCAUCCCUCUCGGGGGCCCACUCCAAGGUAUUGUUAUAUUCGGGUCCCCAUCACUUGACUUACUCGUAUUCGCCACGCCUAAGGGUGGCACGACAGGCCCUGUAGGACCUUCUCGCCAAGCUUCAAACUCGAGACCUUUUGCUCCCUCCGAAGGGAACGCCUUUAACUUUUUGGAUGUUUUUAUUCCUCAACACUCGAUCCUUUCGAUCUAGAAUACGUAUGGGUUGCAUCUAAGUCAAAUUAUCCUUAAAUCAUCAAUCAUGCAUGUUUGCUUAACUAUCCACAAUUCCUCUACAUUGACCUUUUAUCAAACCUUCCAACAUUCAAGCAUUUAUUUCACCAUUAAUUAUGGGUCUAAAUGGUCAACCAACUUCUAUUCCGUUUUACAUACCUCCCUACAAAUUCUAUUCAAGCAUUUCAUAAUACAUAAGGAUCAAACACCUUUUAUUUAUCCAUAUAUAUAUAUAUAUAUAUUUAACAUCACAGAUAAUUUAAAUUUGGUAACCAUUAGUAACCAUAUUCUCAAAAAGAAACUCUCGUAUUUUUAUGAUCAAGUACUUAUUAAGUAGAUCUUGACUAUUACUACAAUACAUUUAAAUAAAUAAACAUACUUUUGGAUGUAUCUUUAUAGACUUAAUCAAUCCUUAAAAUUGUUAGGUCAUAACCAACUGGUUAGUUAUACGUCACAUACAAACAUAUUCAACUUGUGAUUCCUCAAAUUUACAUCCAGACACUAGAUCUCAUGGCCUCAUUAGUUUAUCAAUCUGGAAAUGAAAAUAAACAUUUAUCUCCCCUCACGUACACUUUAAAAUCAAAGUAUCAUUUAUUAAGAUUUUUCUGAUAUCAACUUCCUUCAGUCCCUUUUUCCUUAGAAGAUUAAAUCCAUAAUCAAUCAUUUUGAGUCAUUGGCUUAUGCCAAUUAAGGCAGAUUUUCACACCUUUGAUUACAUGAAUUCGAUUGCACAUAUUCACCUAUAAGCUAUAAACCUUUCCCCAAAUCUUUAUAUACCAAAACUGAUAUAUUAUUUAUAUCAUUUCCAAUCAUAUGCUUGAGUUUCAUCAUGCUAUAUCCUCACAUCACAAUGUCAUUAAUCACAUCUCACUUGCUAAAUGUCACUUAAAAACUUAAACUGAUUCGAAUCAUGCAUGCCUUAAGCAUUUUCAAAUUCCAAUUUCCAUACUACCUUAGGAAAUUUUCAUUAUCAAGCUUCAUUAUCCAAAUUAUCUUCAUUCAUCCUUUGUUCUGUUCUUCCAUACUAAUGUGAUAUCAUUCUCCCUAGACCAAUCUGCAGUUUGUACUUAAAACUGUAAGACUUGAAAUAAGGUUCUUCUAAGUACUUUUCAAUGUCAAUACGAAUUUCACUUCCAACUUACGGCUUCCUCUUUACAGCCACAUAACUUAAUGCUAGCUUCCACAAAAUCCAUAGCAAAACUCUUCUUGAGUAUUUCCUUGGGAAUAUCUAUCUUAGACUUAUGUCUCACAGCAUAUGAUCACUUAACUUGUGACUUAGCCGUUAGGCUCCUCAAUAAGUUUUAAAAAUCUCGAAUUCUGUACUUGCCGUGUAUGACUAGAAAUUUUUUUCUCAAAGAUGUUUAUGCAUUUCUAAAACACUUAAUCUUAAAGGUAUAUAAAUGCGUACUUAUCCAUUCAAUCCCCAACUCAUCUUCAUAGGUUUCUAGGGUGCCACACAAUUGGCCUCAUGUUGUUACUAACCCUUGUUAUUUAACCGAAUCAGGACAGAAAUUGCAAAUUCUCGUAAUGAUACUCUAUAUAAACUGGUUUUCUAUACCAGUCUCGUAAUUCUUCAUUCACACUUUCAUCACUUGGUAUCUUAUCUCAAGGUAGCCAUCUCAAGAAUUUUUUCAAUUUUUUCUUUUAAUUAUAUGCUCAUACACGAGGCGAUAAAGAAGCUUUUCAAUUUAUUUAUGUAAACAUUCUCCAGAAUUUUUAAAACUCCCAAAUAAUAAAGCUCAAUGAACAAUAGCCAAAAUUCAAUUUGUAAGCUCAUUAUUGUGCCAUUCCCAUCAUACUCGUGCAUCAUAGGCAUCAGGUAUUCAGAGCAUUGCUGCGUUGGACAGUCAGUGCUGCUGUGCUGUAACUAUUAGAAAUUUCCUCAUCAAAGCUAUUUGUCUGCAUUCAAAGUCACCACAUCGAUCAUUCUCAACCAGUGGGUUUCCCUUCUAGACAUAUAUCAUGAGUUCCAUAAGCAUAGGUACCUUCUAUUUUCUUGUCAUACACACUAAGCCAAGUCAAUACUUUCAACUCAUGUCAUCUUUUGACUUUCAUCAUCAUUCAUAAAAUCCCACCUUAAAACAUCAUUUCCAUACGGUGUAAUGAAUUCAUGAUACAUAUACCACCCCACACAUAAUUUGUUCACUGUCCACAGCAUUCCUCAAAUUUAUUGUCAUCCAUAUCUAAUUAUCUUCCUUGUCUUGUACUCCAAUAAUUUAUUGACUUUCAGUAUAAUAACUACGAAAAUAGUUUGUCUUUCUCCACACUUUACACUCACAAUCCUUAUUAAUCAAGAAUUUAUCUUUUUCAACUUCCAUCAUUUGCCUCCAAUGGACCAUAUUUAUGGCAGAUUAUCAUUUCAUAAUAUUAUGGUAUCAUUUUAUAAUUCCCUCCAUACUUAAAGUUAUAAUCCUUAACUUAAUCACAUUAAUCACUCAAAGUGUCAUAUAGAGCCUCAUUGAUCCCUUCCAUAUCUUUUCAAAUUGUAACUACAAAUAAAGAUUCCCAAUUUCACAUCUCCAAGAUUGAUUGUUAGUCUUACCACACUGUUUCCCAAUAUCCUGUGCAAUUACAACACACUGAACCCGCUUAUUAUAAUGUGUUUGCUCGGGAAUCAUCUUCUUUGUCUUACAACUCAUAUAGUUCAAUCACUUCAACUUAAAAUCGUUAUGAAAUUAAUCCACCCGAAUUAACAUCUUAUGCUUAUCUUAUUAUUAGUUCAAGUGUUUCAUGAUCAUGAAUACUACAAUUUACAAAACUAGCUUUUUAUCAUACGUACUUUAUUAGAACACUAAUUUCAACAUAUUUAAUCUACCCUUGGUGGUAUGUCAAAAUCAUCCCUGUCUCGGUUCUAAUCCAGAGGAAUCUCUCCUCUGCAUAUCCAUACGAGCUGGUGGAGAUGGAGCAGCUACCGUAGCCUAUCUUAACUGUGAGCAAUCUCUCCUAAUGUGACCCGGCUGACCAUAAUAAAAACAUUGUACAGGCUCUCUACACGGCCCGAAAUGAUAUCUCCCACAAUUUUUGCAUCUAUGAGAACCUCUGAAACUCUUUCCAGAAAUAGUCAUCGCAGAUCUGUUAAAUCUCGGAGGCCUCUACGGUGUCUAUGAAAAUAGAGGUCGGGAAGAUGUUACUGAAACAAUAGUAGUACUUCCUGAAACAGAUGAGUCUUUGCCCCUUUUUGGUGGCUGGCUAGAAGAUACAUUCAAAUUUCUCCUUUUUGCUAACUCAACUCGCAGUCUCCUAUUUUCAUUCGCAAGCUUUUCAGCUCUUAAAGCCAUUUGCACCACCUCUUUAGCUACGGUUGCGUCCGACUCACCCAUAAAAGAAACACAAUCAGGUUGCCUAGCCUCUUUAAGCUUAUUAGAAAUAGAAACAUCCAGCACUGGUGGUGGGACAGGAGGUAGGGGUGGUGGUACUGAAGGAGCAGUUGGAGGAAUUGUAAGAAAAGCUUGACCAGUUUGAGCCUGGACAACAAUAGCAGUAAAGAAGGCUGUCAAUGCCUAAACUAUCUCAAGAGGCAUGGCAGGAAUACUAGUAGGUGGCGAAAGAGGUGGAGGAUGUGGAGGAGUCUCAGUUCGCUCAGCAGCAGGUGCUGCCCGAAUAGUAGACGCAGUCGUUUCCACCUCUAUAGGAUCUAGUUGAAGAUGUUGAGAACGACCUCUUCCCCUCCCAACCGAUCUAGUGAGAGGUGGGUGUUCACGUCGAUGAGGCAUGAUAAUCUAUAAGAAGGAAUAAGGCAAGUUUAAACAACCUCAAGCUCUACAUGCAAAUACAUGCAUUCUAUUCAACCUAACCUAACUUAACUUGGGACCACACCAACACUGUAAAUUUUUAAAACAACUUUAAAAUAAAAGCUCUGAUCUUUAAAACCAAAGGCUCUGAUACCAAUGUAAUUGUCACUACUCGGUACUCCCCUUGAGCCUGUGACAACCGCCACGGUGUCCCAAUAGACACUCAUUACCUGGAAUGCCAAUCGGAACCCUGCAAGGCUUUAAUAUCAGUUUCUUAUUUCCCUUGUGAGUAACCGUUGCCAAAUAUCACGUUCUAAAAGAUUUUAAACUAUUUCCAAAUGAAAAUAAUAAAAAUAAUAAUUUUCAUCUCACAGGGGUAUUUUAGUCAUUUUUUCCAUAAAAUUUUGAAACCAGCUAAUAAUGUAGUAUACGGGUGCAAAACACAUAUUUCAUAAUCAAAAAUAAAUUUGGAUGUCUAAAACAUUUGUUUAAAAUGAAAUUAUGACUAUUAGAAUAAAAUAAAAAUAUUGAAUAAAAUAUUCAAUUUUCUCAUAAAACAAUAUUUUUAGAACAUUGCGUAAAUAAUUUUUACAGCGUAAAAGCAAAAUAAAUUCAUAUAUACUAUAAUACAGUAAACCAGAGUAUUUAAUUUAAUUUACAGUAACAAGUGGGCCCACGAAUAACCAAAAGUAAGAAAGACUGUGAACCUACAGUUUGGAAUAUGCAAAUCCAAUGCUAUUCCUCGACGAAAUGUGCUAUCUAUAUACUAUCCCGAACCUGAAAUGGGUGGAAGUGAGAGUGGUGAGAUUAUAUAAUCCCAGUGAGUAAACAAAUAUAAUCUAAAAUAUCUAAAGCUGAGUAAAUAAAGACAGAUAAAAUAGAUUAGCAUAAAAUAAUUCAUAGCCUUUCAAACUCAUUUUUAUGAGAUAAAAUAAAUUUAUUUCAUCCAAAUAAUCAUUGAGGCUUAUGAUUUUUUUGAAAAGCUUGGCUCGUGCCAAAAAUCAUUAUCAUACUAAGUUAUCAAGGAUACCUUGGUCGAGGGCUAUCCCAACUGAGUCCGCCAAGGCUGUUAAAAAAUUAUAUACACAUAAAUCAUCUUUUUAUUUUGAAAACAUAGUCGUUCCUUGGUGUUGGCCGAGUUCACCUCACGUGGUGAUUUUGCAUCAAGUGAACUCUAAAGUGUUAACCUUAAGAGUUAUCCAUCCGCGCCUCUCAUACUGAGGUAAGAUAUAACGGGGUUUACCAUACCCCUCUAAUAGGCUGGUCCACGGAAACCAGCCCAUUGCAGUAAGCUAAUUGAUAUCCACCAAAUCAAUGAAAUUCCAACAACAUGACGUGGCAAUUAUUUUACAACACAUCAUGUCAAGGCAAAACAAUAGUUCAUACAUUUUCAGCACAUUUACCAAAACUAGCCACUCAUGCCCACAUUAUCAUAAGCCAUUCAAUUCAAACCAUAAUUUACAACACAACAAUUAGUCUCCAAUUACUCCAUUUUCCAAAACCAUCAUUCAAUUUCAAGACAAUUUUAUAAAAUCAUUUCAUUUAAUCACAUUUUGCUUUUAAAACAUAAAGAUUUACCAUUUAAACUCAUUUUCCAUAAAAUCACAAAAACGAAUUAAAAUUCACUUCAGAUAAUCAAGAUGAUGAUAAGGUUACUCACAAUAUCUAGAGUGCGGAUUUCUGAAAUACUCUGACUACUGGUCCUCGGAUGUAAUUUCCUUGCCUUUAUCGGAGGACUCACCACCUUGACAUAGUACAUAAUCGAGAAACUUACUACAUUGGUACUAAAUCAAAAUUAAACUAAUUUAGACUACUAAUGCAUGAUAUGGAAUGCAAAAUGCACGGGUAACCAUCUAAACCCGGUAUUAGCCUAAUUCGUCUUAUCACCCGGUUAAUUAGCCAACGUGUCCAAUUUAGCUCCAAAUUGCUCCAUUUCUUUUCCAAUACCUUAAUUCCCCAAACACAAGUCAAAUAACCUAAAAUUUGGCAAAACCAUCUUCACUUUUCUUCUUAGAAUUUUCGGUCAAUAAUGGUGCAUUAACACCGUGAUUUUUUCUACUACUUUUCCACACCAUAAUUCAUCAUUUUCUAACCAAUUCUCUUAAAAUAAAAAAAUCAAUUUCAUCCUCACUCGAUACAAGGUAGGUUCGGCCAUUGAUGGGUGAUGGCGAAAAUGAAUUCUUUUCUUGUUGUUUUACUUCUAGACAUAGUAAACUAACUAAAAACACUAACAUAACUUGAAAUCAAAUCAAUCCAACAUCAUUCUCUCUCCAUACCCAUUCAGCUAGCCAUAAAAACAUGAAAUUUAACCAUAGAAAAUAAGGAGAAAUGCUUAAGAAAAAUAGAUUUUAAGUUUAAAUUUAGAAAUCCUAUAUUUUUCACUUGUUUUCCUUGAUUUUCCUCACUUUUUCUCUUGAAAUUCUCCACCUAGGGUUUGUUCUUUCUUUGUUUCCCUCUUUUCCUUACUUGGCCGAAUAUUUGGAGAGAAGUGAGAGGUUUAUAGGCUGAUUUUUAAAGGAAAUAAUAAAAUAUUCUAAGCUUGACAAGUGUCAUUUUAUUAUUGGUCUAUUUUUAAAACUUUAAAAAUUUAAACUUUUAAUCUCCACCACAUAUAUUUUCUCACUUAUCCAUAACAUAAUAAGUCAAUGGAUGAAUUCUAUGAGCAUGACAAGUGUUGGUGGUGUAAAAUUACAAUUUUGCCACUAGGGUGGUAAAAUUACCAUUUUACCCUUAUGCUCCGAAAAUUACCAGGAUUACAAUUUUUCACUUCUCAACCUUAAAUCAUACUCCAACAAGUCAAAUGUGAUCAAAAUCUUUCAAAAAUUUCCCAUUUUGUCCUCGAGUGGCAAAAUUACCAUUUUACCCUUAGAUAGUGAAAUUUUCGGUUUGACUCCAAAUUGAUACUCGAACCCCAAAUGACCAUUUUAAAUCAUUCUUGGAUUGUAAAAUUUUCAAUUUCACCCUAAAAUCUCUAUUUGAUCUAGUUCGAGGCUUAAAUCAAUUUUGUUAUACCUCUAGGUACAAUACCGACUUUUGUAAAUUUUUCUAGACUCUCCUAGCAUCAAAACAUGCUAUCCAUCACAUGUAUGUCAUGACAAGUAUUUUAUAAGGUCGGGCUUUACAAUAACUUUAUGCCAUAAGCUACCUAUUUCGUUAUCGAAUUGCCAAAUCUAUUCAGUAAAUAGAGCUUGGUUUGUAGGGACAAGUCCAUAAUACCCAAUCUUCUAAAAUCCUUAUGAAGACAUAUGGAAGGCCAAUUAACAUGAUGUAUUUUUCGACUAUCCAUUGAUCCUCCUUAAAAAAAAAAAACUCCUUUGAAUUCUAGCAAGCUUCUCCUUAAUGCUAACUAGAAUUUGGAGGAUUGACAUUAAAAAGAUGGGGAGACUUCCAAGGAUAGAUUUAAGGAAAGUUAGCUUACCCUUCAUUGAUAAAUACCUCAAUUUCCACAUAAAUAGCUUGGAUUCAAACUUUUCCAUAACAAGUUGCCACACUUUGAGCGAGUUGACUCUCCCUUCCAAUGGAAGUCCCAAAUAAGUGGUAAGAAGAGUGUCGAGUUUACAUCUAAUCCUCUCGGCAUAACCACUGAUCUGAUGCUGAUUAACACCCACUUCAAAAAAGUAAUUUUUAUGGAAAUUGAUUUUGAGCCUUAAAAUUGCUUGAAAACACUUAAGAACUCUUUUAAUAUUUAAUAAACAAUCCAACGAUAGUUUAUAGAUAAGUACCGUAUCAUUUGCAAACUAUAAGUGAGAUAAGAUCAAAUUCUCACUACUAAUGCUAAUUUCUUCGGUGAUCUACUUAUUCACCGUUUUAUGCAUAAGCACACUAAGAGCCUCUACGACAAAGGGGAGAAUGGACAGCCUUGUUUAAGAACUUUAAACAUCUUGAAUUGUCUCGUAGGUGACCCAUUAACCAAGAUUGAGAUAUUGGCCAUAGAGAUAUAAGAGCUUAUCCAUGUGCGCCAUUUUGUUCCAAACCACAUAUAGCUCAUCACCAAGUUAAGAAAGCUCUAGUUAACACUAUCAAAUGCCUUUUCAAAAUCAAUUUUGAAAAGAAUCCUUCUUUACCUUCCUUUUUCAAGAAAUUAAUGAUCUCAUUAGCUAUAAGACUACAAUUGAGGAGUUGUCACCCUUUAAUGAAUGCAAACUGAUUUUCACCCAUAAUUUCAUCCAUGACUCCUCUAAGAAGAUUGGCAAGAGCUUUUGUAAUAAAUUUGUAUAGCAUCCAAUAAGGUUGAUGGGCCAAUACUUACUAAGUGAAGAUGAGGAGGCACAUUUAAAGACCAAAGUAAUGAAGAAAAUAUUAACACAACCAUCUAUGGAGUUCAUAUGGUAUAAAUCAUCGACAUACCUCAUAAUGUCAUCCUUAAUAACUCCCCACUACUUUUUGAGAAAAUUAAAGUUAAAUCCAUUUGGACCAGUGGCCUUGUUACCGUCACAACUAGUGAUAGUUUCCUAAACUUCUUUCUAAGUGAAAAGUUGUUCAAGGAGUUUGGCUGAGCUUUCAAAAAAUGCUUUAAAUUGACAAUUUAUCUCUCUUAAUCUUACUUUGGAGCUCUUAUUAUAUAAGUUAGCAAAAUGGUUAACCAUAUAAUUUCUUAACUUCCAACUCAUCAACAAGAUUUCUAUUGACCUCGAAUCUACUGAUGGAGUUGACCUUUCUCCUCAUAAAGGUAACAACAUGGAAGUACUUGGUGCUCUUAUCUCCUUCCAAGACCCAACGCACCCUUAACUUUUGCUACCAACUCCUUUUUUCACUCCAUAAGAGCUGCCGAAGAUCACUUUUCAACUUUAAGAUCUGAUUUCUAAUUUCGUUGUUUGUAAUAUCAUCCUAGAGAUCAAGUUCAAGGUCAUGAAUAAUCAUCUCAAGUUGCCUGAUCUUUCUUUCAUCCAACCUAUAGUUAAAUUUUUGCCGAACUUUGAUGUUAGCUUUGACACCCAUAAGUUUAUGCCACACCCUAGCUUGCUUAUUGCUUAGACCUUCUAUUUCUUUCCACGCUUUAAUAAACAUAUCUUGGAAGCUUACCUUGUCUUACCACUUAUUGAAAAAGUGAAAGAGUUUGGGGCCCUCAAUCCCUCUCCACCGUGGAGAGCAUAAUUGGAUUAUGGUCAAAAAUGGAUUUUGGUAAACAUUCCUAUUGGAAUUGUGAUAGAUUUUUGAGAUUUUCGUUGUCACAAAAUCUAUCCAACCAACUAAAGAAGGCAAUUUCUUUAUUGUUACUUUAGGUGAACUUAUUGCCAUUCAUGUCCUCUAGGAAGUAGCCUUAUGUCCUUAAUAAAAUCCACAAAUUGGCUAAUAGUGUGGUACCCCGUACCCCCGUAUAGUAGUCAACAUAACUGUAUCGAUAAUACGAAGGGCUAAUUGACGUGGAUUUAAGUAUCAAAGAGCAGUGGCGGGUGAAAGGAAUUUUCUAAAGUAAAAUAUUUCGCACGUGAGGAAAUAACAAUUAAAUAAUAACAUUUUUAUUAAAGAUGAAUUAGCGAGAUAAAAAGUGAUUCGGAAGUGAAUCAGGGCAUAAUAAGACAUUUUGUACUCCAAGGAGAUAAGUGGAAAAUCUUGAAAUAAAAUAAUAUUAAAAUAUUAAUAUUUUAUUUGAUGUCGAAAUUAGUCAUGAAGGAGGAGUAUAUGGUCAAUCUAAGUGGCAGAGAAGAAGAAUGUGAGAAUUUUGAAGAAAAACGACAUUAGUGGGACUCGCGUGUCUUUAUUAAAUAAAGCUAGUACGGGUAAGUAUAUAUUUAAAUAUUAUGGUGAUACCGCGUUGAAGUGCAAACUUUAUAUUUUGUUUGAACACAUGUAAAGGAAGAAAAAUAGAAGAAAAUUGGAAUUAAAAGAUUGUUUGGAGGACUAAAUUAAAAAAAAGAGAAAUUUUGAGGGUAAAGUGGUAAUUUUUCCAUGAGCUUGUUCAAAGCUUCCAAGGAAGCUUUGACUCUUUUCUUCCUUAUCCAUGGCUGAUCCUUAUCUUCUCCAUAAGGCAUUUUCUUCUCCAUCUUCUUUCUCCCAACAUGGCUUUCUUUCUUCACCAUAAAAAUCAAGUUUUUUCUUUUCCUUUCUCUUCUUUUCUUACUUUCCCUUUCUCCUACCCCUUUAUUCACCCAACCCACAACUCUCAACCUCAUUUUUCAUCCCAACUAAACCCUAGGAGAGAGAAAGGAAGAAAGAAGAAAAGAAAGAAAGAAAGGAAAAAGGAAGAGAAAAGCUCGAAGGAGGCUUGACCUUGAAGGAGAAAAAUGAAAAUUGAGAGGUUUUCCUCCCCACCCACACGCCAUCAUUGAGGUUGAAAAGAAUUUGGUGGUUUGCCUUAUGGAUUUCAAGGUAAGGAAGGUAGAAAUUAAUGUUUUAUUUGAAAGCCUGUAGUUUGAACCAAUUAUGAUGUGAGGUUUUGUUAGUGGUAGCAAGGAUCAAUAAAGAUCCAAGGAACUAGAGGCAUGCAUGUGGAAGAAUCUUGAAAUGCAUGGUGAUUUUGAACUAGAUUAAGUGGUGGGUAAGCGUUCUAACCUCUAAAUCACAAGUAGAAAGGAAAAAAGAGAUAUGUAUUGAAUGUUUGUGCUUGUGGCAACAUGUAAAAGUAAAUUGUGGUGCAUGUGAACUUAGAAAAUGCUUGAUGGAAGUAAAUUUAUAGUUGCUGCCAUAUGCUAGGUUAUUGGUGUAGAAAUGAUGGUUGAACUUGAUAAAUAUCCUUAGAAAAGGUUAAUAUAUGUGCUAGAGUCAUAAAUGAGUUACCGGUAUUUAUAAUCUAAAGAAUUAUGCAAGCAAAGGAUAAAUGCCACUUUGGUAAAAAUGUGUCAAGAUAUAAGUUGGUUGAAUAACGAUUCACGAUUGAAUGAAAAAGAGAAGUAGAAAUGAUAUACAUUAAAGAUAUUGAAAUUAGAUUGUUGCUAAGAAGUGCAAAAGUAAAGAUAGUGUACUGUGGUGGCGUGCCGGAGGAAAUAACGAGUGACCGGCAAGUAGAAAUAGCUAGAUACGCCUCCGAACUAAUAGCGAUGUAGUAUUUCGUUAUCGUAAGGUGAGUGAACUUACAUUUAAAAGGUUUUGAACAAAUGCAUAUGUGUUGAAUGAAAUGCUAGAAUAUCCUUGGUUGACUCUUUUCAAAUUUAUGCACGAGAACAAGCUUUUCACAAGUGAUACUUUUACGUUUUUAAAUGCAUAAUGUGAUGAAUAAUGUAUUUGAAAUAUUAUGUUGAAUUGCCAAUUGAAUUGUGGCAUGUGAUGUAUUGUUAUGCAAAUAUUCUUGUUACAUGUUGUUAUGUGUGCCAUGCAUUGAAAUGUAAUGUUGAAUGAUAAUUAUAACCGUACGUGUGCGGUGUGAGAGUGCACAUGACAGUGCCAAUAAUGUGCGUUAUGGGAGAGCACACGUCGAUAAUAUAUGCCAGUGCGGUAUGGAAGAGCACAUGAUGAUGAUAUAUGCCAUGUGUGGUGUGGGAGUGUACAUGAGGAUAUUAGCUAUGUGCGGUGUGGGAGUGUACAUGAGCUGAGUUGAGGUUGGCGGGUGUAUGUGUGGAGCCGUGGUGACUAGUGUGGGGAUGACCUUGGUGUAUGUUUGAAUUAUCUAUAUAUUUAUAUAUACAUAAUGUAUACAUGAAUUUUUACACUCAUGUGCACUUGUCCUGUAGAGUAGAGAUUUUUGAAAAAUGUAAUGUGAUUGAAUUGUAUAUUGAAAGUUGAUAUUUUUAAAUGUUUUCAAGAUGAGUUGAAAAACAGCAUGGUAUCGAGUUUUGUUUAUGAUAAACAAAUUGCAUGGUUUCAAUACAAGUGCAUCGUGUUUUCUAAAAAAAAAAAAUCUUCCGUAUCGUUUGCUUGUUCCCUUCCUAUGUUCAAUCACUGAGUUUAUACUCAUUCUUUUCAACUUCAUGUUUUAGUUUUCGGGAUCGAAAGUAGUUGGAUCUUAGGUCGAGGUGCUCCCUCCUAUUCAUCUUUCGGUAGGUUCACUACGACUCGCAAUGAUAGCACCCACGCCUAGAGUCACUCCAUUGGUUGUCAAGGGUUUGUUGUAUGUUUAUGUGAUGGUUUAAUAUAAAUUGUGAGAUUUAUUGUGAACUUUGUAUGUACUUGAUUUUCAUGAUUUUAAUUUGAAGAGAUUGUUAUUAGAAAUCACAAGUCUUAGAUCCUAAAGAAAAAGAAGUGAUAGAUGGACUACUGAUGGGUUUACAUAGAGAGGCUUGCUUGGGCCUGGUGGGCUAUGCCUAUUGGGCCCAUGAGCCGGUCAUGGCCUGGGUUUUAGGCUGUAACAAAUAGCAACAAAAUUGGCAAUGGCACUUGUAACGCCCCAACCUAUGUAAAGGAAUUCAAGCAUGAAAACAAGGUUUGCCUAGUGAGUUAGGUUUAUUGAAAUACAUAUGGUUUAUAAGUGAUUUCAUCUAUAUAUAUAUAUAUAUAUAUAUAUAUAUGCCAUGAACUGUUAUUGCAAAUUGUGAUUCAAGUAUGCUGAAUCUAUUGAGUAUAUGUUAUGAUGCCAUAUGUGCAUAUUAGUUCGAACAUGAGCAACUAUAUGAUAAGAACUUGUAAGCCACAAGAAUGUUUAAUGCAAAAAGGGCUGAAAUUAAAUGACCAUACGUGAAUAUGUAAAUAUGUAAGCAUAUGCAUGAUAAAAUAAUGUAAAAUAUGUUGUUGGUCAUUAGAACAUGAUAUGUAUUUUGAUGAGUUUAAAGGUAUAUUUGAUGAUUAUAUUAUGUAAGGUAAAAUGGAAAAUGUUCUUGGAAUUUGAAAUCCUUGAGUUUAUAAUGUUAAGUUUCCAAGGAUAAUAGGCAGAAUACUUGAAUUUUUGGUAUCAAGGAUAAUACUCGAUAUCCUUGUGUUGUAGUUUUAAGUUACCAAGGAUAAUACUCAAUAUCCUUGAGCUGCAGCGUCCAAGGUUAAGACUCAAUAUGCUUGGUUUGUGAUUUUAAGUUUCCAAGGAUAACAAGUAAUAUCCUUGAGCUAUGGUGUAUAUCUUGCCAAACUUUGGGAGAAAGACUAAAUUGAAAGGAAAAAAAGAGAAAAAAGUUGAGAGACUAAAUUACAAAUAUGAAAAAGUUUGGAAGACCAAAUAACAAAUAUUAAAAAAUUUAAAGGACCAAAUUGUAAAUAUUGAAAAGUUCAGAGAACUAAUGAGCAAUUAGCCUAAUAUAUAUCCACCCUUCAAUUAAACAAAUAAAAGAAAACAACAGGCUGAAACAACGGGUAAAAAAAAAGGGGUUGACUUUAGAACUUCCACCCAACAACAUUGGUUUUUCCAUCCAAUUCAUUUUUUUAAAGCUAGUUUUGAAGUUUUCUUUCUUCCAACAGCAUGCAUGUUGUUCCCCAUGGAUUUUGAGCUUCCAAAUUGGUGAUUUGAGGCUUUGAAAUUAGUAACCAAGGUGAGAGUAAGCUUCCUUAGUGCUUGACUUUGAGAUUUAACCGGUUUUAAUCUUUGAAUUUUUACUAUUCCAAUAACUAUUCACUCUCCAUGGUUUGAUGAUUUUGGAGAUUUUAAUGGCUUUAAGCUAGCCAUUAAGGUAAUGAUUUGAUGUCUAAAUGUGUAAGAGACAUUAGAUGGUUAUUUAAGGCAUGAGAAAAGAGUUUAUUGUAUACAUUGUGUGCUGGAAAAUUUACAAAUGCAUGUUUGUUAAUGCUAGGAAGUUAGAGGAGUAGUAUGUAAAGCUCUUAUAAGUAUUUAAUUCAAAGAUCAAGAUAAAUUUAGUCAAUAAGGUUUUAAAGAAGCCAUUGAGCUAGAAAUAAGUUGAGUAAAGGCAAGCUACUUCAACCUAGUUCAAUUUCAAAGUAAAUUAAUAUACUAGCACAAUUAUGAGAUUUGUACAUAAUUUCAGAUCUUUACAAGUGCUGGUUUGGUGAAGGGAGAGUCGCCAAGGACAAAGGCAAGCUAAAAAGAUAAGCUUAGCUGGAAAAUAAGUUGUGAAUGAUGUGAAUGAGACAUGGCAAUGAAAGUAUGGUAGAAAUGAUCUACAAAAUGCUAGUUAGAAUGUAGUUAAAAAAAUGAUGAAGAAUUAAGCACGUUAAUGAUUAUUAUACAUUAUUCAAUGCUAGGUUGCAUUGGAGGCACCAAGUCUUGCAAUUAGAAGUUUGAUCAGCUAUGUGGCCUAGUUAUGAUUUGAGCUGCCACCAGGUGAGUGGAUAUUAUAUCCAAAUGGUUUUGGAAAAGCAUGAAAGAAGGUUUUAAAAGUAUGAUGCUACAUAACUGAUUUUAUAGAAAAGUGCAUGAGAAUAAGCUGUUUUGAAUUAAAUUCUAUGAUAUUAUGUGAACCCUAGGUUUGGGUGAAAUGUUUAUACACAUAAGCAUGUAUGUUUAGCCAUGAACAGAUUAUGAUUAGAUGAAACGUUUAUCCACUUAAGUAUUUGUUGAUCUAUGAAUGAUUUAUGACUUGAUGUACUCUAAGAAGCAUGGUAACUAAGCUAUAUGUCAUGUGGAUGUAUAAUGAUUGUUCACUAAGUGUUAAGUUAAAUAGGUAUUAUGUUAUGUUUUGUAUGAUAUGAAUGAUAUGUUAUGUGAUUAUUAUGUUUAAUGAUGCAUUGCAUGGCCUUAGUGGGUUGGAAGCAAAGCACCAAAGAAAGGGGUCAGUGUACCUAAUUAAAGUGAGGGUUGGAGUACCAUAAACGUGCAUUUAGUCUCUAUAUGGUUAAUAACACCACUGAAGCUAUAUGCACGAUGAUGAAAGUUAAGUACGCAUUCUGCUAUGAAAUUGCAAAUUAUGUAUGUAAUGUUUAUGUGUGUUUUAAUAGGUAAGACUCAAUUGUUUUAUGCAUGUUUGAUGGGUAAGACCUAAUUGUUUAAGGUUUAUGUAUUGAAGUAGGGAACCAAGAAAGGCAAAUGACAAUUAAGGGUAUAAGUGCAAAAGAUUGAUAAAAGCCUAUGAUUAACAGCCUUGAAAUGGAUACAUGUGUGUAAGAUCUUGUACAUUAGACUAACAUAUCGAGAUAGGUUAGGUAAAAUUUAAAAAGCCUUUUAGGAAGCUUGCCCAUUUACACUCUUAACACCUCAUAGUUCAUUGUUUGAAUUUGUAUGUAAGUUAUGAGCUCAGUAAGAUACCGAAGCCUAUGAUUAAAAUCGAUAUGUGAGUUCAAGUAUGUAUAUUUUUAUAGGUGGAACCCAAAUGCAUCACGGAUUUGUAUAGGAUAAAUGUGCAUGUUUUUAAGAAAAUGAGCAUGGUUUACAAAGUUUCUAGAGUUGUUACUUAUUCCCCUAUCUAUCCCUCAUUGAGUAAUUGUACUCAUGUCAUGUGUUGUAGAUUCGAAGAUACUCAAGCUAUAGAUACACGAGGGAUUUGUGUGUAUAACAUGGUAGACUUAAUGACCAAGGCAUUCAACAAUACCUUCCGCACUUAAGAGUCACUCUGCUAGUAGUUAAUUAUUAGUCAUGUUUUGUGAUUGGCCAUAUGGCCUUGUAUGUACAAAUAUAUGUAGGUUAUAGAACAUUAAUGAAUUGUCCAAUAUAAGUGGAUGUAGCCACGAGUUGGCACAUAACAUAUAAGUGGUAUAGUCCAUGUAUGAGUACAUGGUGCAUAUUAUGGCACAAAGUUGCGCCUUAUAUAAAUGCCUAGUGUACGGUAAUGUGGCCACAAGGUGGCAAAUGAAAGAAAUGUAUAUGAAAUGCUUAUUUUAAGUAACAUCAGAUGUUUUGCACAAUGUAGUGCUUUGUGUAUAUAAGUAAAGAGGUUAUAAUGUUGAGUAUGGCUUAUGUGAUAGUAAUGCAUGUUCAAAUGAUGGACUAGGUGAUUAUGAAAGAUAAUGAGGCUUACGUGGGCUUGGUGGAUUACCUCCAUCGAGUCUUCAUGUAGGUCACGGCCUAAGAUAGGGGCGUGAUAGCACUUAUCCUUUCCUUAUUGCUUUUAACUAUGUUAAAAUCACCACCAAAAACCCAUAAGAUAUUCUAUGAGCUCAAUUUGACAAUCAGUUCCUUCCACGACCUCAUUCUUUCCUCAUCCCUAUUCAGAACGUAUAUAUUACCCACCCUAUAUUUAAAAUUCUAAUCCUUAAUAUUACCAAUCAUCAAAAUGAACCUACUAUCAAUGAGAAAGCUAUCUAAAUAGAAAAAAUAUCUUCCUCUGCUGCAUCAAUAGAAUUGAAAACCAACCAUUUAACCCUACCAUUUCCACUUCACCUUAUUGAAAAUCUUUCCUUUUUGUUUCUUGAAGCAUUAAAAGCUUCGAUUUGUGCCUAAGUACAAGAUUUCAAACUACCCUUUUCUUCUUUGGUCUUUCUAUCCCCCUGACAUUCCAAGAAAUACAAUUCAUAAAUGAAAUAAAAAAACUUAAGACACAUGGACUAACCUCAAUUAGGGUGAUCCUUUCCCCUUUGAGGUGGCUUUUCUUCCAUGUGUACAUUUGUUGUGAUCAUGAAUUCUUUUUCAUUAUCAUAAACUAGGCUAAGUUGCUUUCAAACAUUGAAAGUAAUAUCGGCUUCUUUCAUCAAACAAGAAUUUCUUUGAGUAAUAUCAUUGUUUGACAAAGAAUUGUUAGAGUAACCUGCACCUUGGUAUUUGUCCCCAUCAAGAAUUUCUCGAACCUUUUUCUUGAUUUUUCUUCUUUUCUGGGCUUUAACUUGAUGAAUAUAUAGUUGAUGCCCUUCAUAAUUAGCAAUACCUUACAAUGAUGAUCUUUCUUGGUGCACAACCAAGUCCUUUGUCUCAUUGAGAGGCACCAAUUUUUCAUCAUUGUGAAAUAGGGUAUUUUUAUACUAAUACACAGGGUUGCAUAGGCUUUGAUGGCCCUUUUCUAGCACUAAUUAUUCCACUUAAGCCCUAGUUACUCCUGGCCCUCCAACAAGUUCAUCAAAGGAUAAUCUGUCUUCGGCCCAUAUUUGAGGUUGAUGGUUGAAUUACUAAAUAAAAUCUUGGGUUGAAUUUGGGGUGAGUACGAUUCAAUUUGGUUAGUUUUCGGUUUGAUUAUGAUGAAAACUAACAAAAAAAGUUACUUUUUAAACCCACUGAACAAAACCAAGUAAGAGAUCGGUUUCAGUCGGUUGAAAUUGACCUCGGUUCAGUCAAUCUUUGGUCAACUUUUGGAGUCUGGGCCUUAAUUAUUUUAAGUGGGCUGACUCGGGCUUUUUUUGUGUAACCCUUUGUAAAUGGCCUUUUUGUGUAUGACUUGGGCUUUUUAAUGUAAGUCUUUAUAAAUAGCUAUUUUGGGUCCAUUUAUUUAUAUGUAACACUUUGAAUCUAGUUAUUUCUUUUAAAUAUCUAAUAAAAGUAAUCUUUAUGCAAUAAAUAAACAUUAAUUUUUAUAUAAUAAAUAAACAUUAGUUUCAAAAGUUCUAUAAGUUUAAGCCAAUUAAUUAAAUAUGAUCACAAAGAAAUUAAUAUUAAUCUUCAUACAAUAAAUAAACAAAGAAGAGAUAUCCUUCAUGAUUUUAAUUUUGGAUUAAAAGUUACACAACUCAAAGUUCCACAACAUAAAUCACUAAAUUUCAAAAAAUGGACCUCCAACUCCAAUUCAACAAUUUUGCAGAACAUACUUCUAAAAAGGUUAAAAGCAAAUAUAUAAUUAGUGUAAAUUAUUGUGGUAAAAUAAUCUAAAUGAAUUAUAAAUGUAAUGUAAAUAUUGCAUAAUACCUAAUGAUAACAUUACUUGAAAAGUGCAAAUAGCAAUUAGAAAUAACACGUUAGUCUAACUCAGGUUCAGACUUAGCUAUUGUCUCCAAUGCAAUCUUAGCCAAAUCUAAAACAACAAAAUAACAAAUAUGGUAAAUUGACCUUUAAACAUAUGCAAUAUUUGACAAAUCUAAUAAAUUAAAUAACAAAUAAAACUAUAAAAUAAUUAUGAAAUCAAGUUUAUCAAGCUCGUCCAAAUCAUCCUCAAUUAAAUCUAGAUCAUCACGUGCCAAUCCACGUACCCAAUCUUAAGCACAAAUAAGUACUUGCACAACCUUAAGAGUUAAAGAACUCCUUUAUGCAUGAAGCACACAUCCACCUAGACUAGAAAUGGAUUUCGAAGCAACCGUUGAUACAAGAACAACCAAAACAUCACGAGUAAUAAUGGCAAGUAUAGGAAACCCUAAAUUGAUUGAGUUUCGACCACAUGAGAACAUCAAACUCAUCAUCAUCGAAACCCUCAUCAUUCAUAAAGAUAAAUAUUUCCCUAAUUCCAUUUUCAGCUCUUUUGGACUUAGUGUUUAACUAGUGCUUCUUGAAUCUAUCCAAUUUUUUUUAGUACGUUCUGUGUCUUUGCCAAUGAAAGUUGAAGCAAUACUAUCACUACAACUACCACUAGUGCCUUAUCCCAUGGAUGUUGGACACUCUUGCCCACUUUCACCAACAUGAAAUGAAGGUUGUAACAUAUUUCUAUAACAAUGAAAAAACUCAUCUAUUGUUUGUGUCACCAAAGAAAAUAUCAUUGAAGCUCGUGCAUGAGGAUACAUUUUUAGCAAAGUGAAUUAACAUAAGAAACCUUUUUCCUCUGAUUGAGUAUAGCAGCAAUGAACAACACCAAAUUCAUUUUAUCCACAUUCCCCCAAUACUUGUCAAAUUUCUCUUUCAUCUUAAUUGCCAUAGACUGUAAAUCAACAUUAUCACCAUUUUCCCAUUCAAUUAAAGUGGUAUACACAUCAGAAAUGGAAUCCGGUAAAGAAUUAGUAGUUAUGUAAGAUGUGCUUGAAACACUCAAAGUCAAAUCAUAAAAUUCUCUCAAGAAACAAGAAAUCCUCCUAACAUUUGCCCAAUCUCUGUCAUCAAGCACCCUACUCCCAACCUUAUUAGCUCAGGUAUGUACCUAUUAUCACAUAACUUAAAUGAUGCAAAAGCCCUUUAAAAUUUCAAAGUCAUAUCCAACAUAAAAAAAAAAAGUAGAAUUCCAUCUAGUGCUCAUAUCCAAACACAAUAAACAAUUGCUCUCAACUCCUGCACUAGCAGCACACUCCUUAAACUUGGUUAAUCUAGUAAAGAUUGUCUAACCUAUCUCACUGCCCCCCUAACACGAGCAAUUGAGGCAUUUAUAUCUUUCAAUCCAUCAAGCACCACAAGAUUAACAGUAUGAGCAAUGCAUCUCACAUGAAAAAAUCUACCUCUUAAAAUACUAGUUCUAGCAACAUUAAAUCUUUUCUUCCAAUGUCCUAUUGCAACAUCAUUUAAACUAGCAUUAUUAACAAUGAUAGAAAAAAUCUUUUGGAUCCUCCAAUCAAGCAAGCAUUUACUAAUUUCCUUCCCAAUGGCCUCACAUUUCUGACUAGUAAUUAGACAAAAGUUCAAAAUCAUUUUUUCCAACUUCUAAUCAUUAUCAAUAAAAUGAGCAGUUAGACACAUUUAAUUAAUUUUUUGUACCGAAGUCCAUGUAUUUGUGGUGAGACACAUUCUAUCAGGACAUAAUCUUAACAAUCUUCUCAUCUGAGUUUUUUCAUUAGUAUAAAUCUUAUAACAAUCCCUAGCAACAAUCCAUUGUGACGAUAUACGAAAUCAAGGACAUGCUUUGUUUAUGUGUUUUCUAUAUCCUAGAUGUUUCACAAACCUAAAAGGCAAUUCAUCUAAAAUGAUUAUCUCGGCUAAACUCCUCUUAAUUGUCUCUUGAUCAAACUUCCAACUACCGAACCUAUCUCCUCCAAAAGUAAAAACUAAUUCCAUUUGCUUGUUCUCCUCACUAUCACAAACCAAUUUCAACUUCAGACAAACUUUAAUAUGAUUAUUCAAUGAAGAUGUUCUAUUUUUUUUUUUGGUAUCAACACACAAUUCUUUACCGCGAUGAGUACAUUUAGCCUUCUUAUUACCUUGCUUAUCAACAUAUUAGGUGAAGUGAUCCCGUACAACCGAUAUAGAUUGAGGUGGUUCCCUUUGCUUCCGCACUUUGUUUACAACUUCACAUGUUUUGUUGGCUUCAGUAGAACUAGCAGUAACAUCAGGUGUAGAUGUUGGCGUUGGUGUCUCAUUAGUUGCCAAAUUUGUUUCCUCAUUAGUUGACAUUUACAAAAAAAAAAAAAUUAAUACCCAAAUAUUAAUUCUAAUCCUUAAUUCUAGCAUAUUGCCAAUCAUUUUAAUUGAAAAUCCAAACAAUAAUUCUAAACAUUAAUUCCCAAACAUAAUUCUUAAUGUUUAAUUCUACCAUAUUGCUAAUCAUUUUAAUUAUAUAUCCAAACAAUAAUUCUAAACAUUAAUUCCCAAACAUAAUUCUUAAUGUUUAAUUCUAGCAUAUUGCACAAAUCAUUUCAAUUGAUUAUCCAAACUAUAAUUCUAAACAUUAAGCUCUUUGAAAUGUUUAAUGUCAACUAAGGUUAAAGUAAUCUAUGGGUAAGAAAAAAAUAAUUCCCAAAAAUUAAAAACCAAACAUAUCAUAUUUUUUUCUAAUCCUUUAGAAUUAUUUUUAUUUGCACUGAUAUUAUUUUUUAAAAGCAAAAAAACAACAAUUGAUACUCAUAUUCUCUGGCAUAUUUCUCCUAUAGAAUGAGUUUUAACCAAAAAAGUGAAAUUCAUAAUCUCUCAACCCUUCUCUCUCUUGCUAUAUUCACAAAGCCAACAGUCAAGAAAAAAAAUUAGGUAUAUUUUUCAUUUUUCAUUCAAUUUACCUUGCUGCCUAAAAAGGUAGGAAUUAGUGGCUGGUAGCAGUCUAGAGCAAUAUCGACAAUGGCAAAUGGAGGGGUUGGUUAUUGAAUGGGUGAAGCGAUGAGUUAAUAAGGAGAGUUAAGGUUUUAGGGAAGGGGAGAUUGCCAGAUUGGGGGAUAAGGGGGCUAGUCGACUAGGUUAUUUGGGGGGGUUAAUGAAGGGUAAGAUAGACAUUUAAACCCCUUCAAAAUAAAAUCUGAUCAGUUGUUCAAUUGAUUCAGGGGGGGAAGUCCCCCUUGAUGAUCAAAUUGAUCGAUCGAAGAGGCUGAUCGUUACAACAGACGAUUGUGACAACAACCUUCAAGCCAAACCGUCAGUUGCUCGAUUGCAACCGACCACUGCUCACCCUUAGGUUGAAUCAUCAAGGAUUCCCUUGACCCAAUCUCUCCCAAUACAAUUAGGCUUUGUCCAACAAGGGGAAUUAUUACUAGUGGAUCCUGUAUCAUUGCUUGGGCUUUUCUCACCCCAAUAGAUUGAGGUAGUGUGGGCUUUUAACAAUAGCCUCAAGUUUCCCUUUUUCCCCUUUUCAAUUGCAUAACUUCAACUUUUUCUUUACCUUUAUCUUUAAUUUUCCCUUCUUUAGUCAGAUGCUUACUUUUUGUCAUAUUCCACGUGUCCUUAUUUAACUUGUUCUCACCCACCAAUGCAACAGAUCUAUCCUUUUUCAAAAAAUUAUUAUGCAAAGACUUUUUUGCCCCUACUACUUCCUCCUCCUUGAUAUGAGUUCCUCUAGCAACCAUUGUAUUGGCUUCGUUGUCAUCCCUCCCUUGUGCCUUAUUCUUACUUGGUACUCGAACUUCUUUCAUGACUUUAAAUAUGAUUGGCUUGCCAUUAAUAGAUACCUGUAAGGAUUUCGAAAUAACUUAGCAAGUUGUCCCCGUGAUCAAAAGUCUAGCAUAAUCGAAUAUAUCCAUUUUAGUAGUAGGACUAUCAAUUCUUAAAAACGAACCCAAUCUAUCUCCAAUCUUUCUAAAGAGGGACUCUUGCCAAUAAUGAAAAGGGACAUUGUGAACCUUGACCCACCAAUAUUGAUAAUCUUCACCAUAGACAUCAAAAUAUGGUUAGACAAAUUCAAACCAACAAGAUAACCACUCAACUUGGUCUUUCAAGUUACUUUCCAUUACCUUCUUAGUAUCAAAAGCUAAGAGAGUUGUUCUAUCACCCAUAGGCUUAACUGAGGCUUGAAUACCCAGGUUAGAUAAGUUCAAUUUGUGGGAUAAUUUUGACCUAGCCAUGUGCGGUGUAGGAGUGCACAUGAGUUGUGCUGACCCAGCCAUGUGCGGUGUAUGAGUGCACAUGAACUGUGCUGACCCGGCUAUGUGCGGUGUGGUAGUGCACAUAAGUUGAGACAGAGUUGGGGGCGAGGCCGAUGGUUAUAUAUAUGUUUAUAUAUGAUAUAUAUAGAGAGAGGUUUUGGAAAUUAUAUUGUGGUUGCAUUGAUUUUUUAAUGUUAAAACUUGGGAAACGAUUUCCACUUGAUUUUCACCGCAGUAAAGACAAAUUUCUGUUGUGACAAGAAAUUGAGUUAAAUUGCAUUGUCUUCAACAUAAAUGCAUCAUGAUUUCUAAAACCUCCCGUAUUGAUGCUUGUUCCCUUCCUAUGUUCACUCACUGAGUUUAUACUCACAUUUUUAAAAUUCAUGUUUUAGGUUUCCUAAGUUAAAGGUGAUUGGAUCCUAGGACGAGGUGCUCCUCCAUGUACAUUGCUCAGUAGGUUUAAUAUGACACUAAGUGUUAUCAAUCGUGCCUAGAGUCACUCCGUUGACGGUCAAGGUCUAAUUAUGUGUAUGUGAAUAUUUAAUGUGAAUAUUAAGAAUCAUUGUUAAUCUAUUAAUGAAUGUAUUGGUGGAUGAUGCCAUUAUUGAUAUAUGAUUGGGUUUUAUGAAUCGUUUUCAAAGAAAUGGUAUUUGAACAUUUCAUGCUUUGGAUUCUAAAAGAAUAGGGAUUAAUGUAUAAGAUCAAUUAAGUAGGCUUGCUUGGGCUUAAUGGGCUGAGCCCAUUGCGCCCUUGUGCUGGUCAUGGCUUGGAAAUUGGGUUGUAACAGAUGUGGUAUCAGAGCUCUAGAUUUAGAUGAGUCCUGGGAAUUCCUGUGUGGUUAGCGGAGUUGUUGGAGUCCGUGUAAAGUCUUGUCCUUGGAUUGUGGGUGCGCAACUCAAGUCAAGGACAAGAGGCUACAUGGGCCCCUACUUCAUUAGAAACUUACCUGUUCUUAUGAUGUCUAGAUGGACGAGUGAAUAAUACUUGGUUGUGUAUAGGUGGAGGUGCACCGGUUACACACGUCAUGUCUAGAAAAGACGGUAGUCCCGAUACCCCUCAUAGUACAAGCAAGAUAUCGCUAAAUUCCACUACUCAAAGCCGAUAUAUGCCCGAGGGUGAACGCGUAACAAGUAACUUGACUCGAUUUUUGAGUGGAUCGGUUUCGUCGAAAGGUAAACCCUUAUUUAAGAGCUUGAAGAGUCUCGCAAGACUGGUGCGUAAUGAAAUCGAUCUAAGGAAAAAGAACACGAACAAGAUGAAAAAAAAAGGAUUAUCUGUAAUUAUCGUCCUAGAAAGGUAUCUGUAUCCGUUGUCCGAUACUUUCCUCCUGGUUGUAGGAGAGGUGCUACACCUGUUAGUAAGGAGGAAUUUGAGAGGUAGCAACAAGCUUAGAUUAAAGAUAAAAUAGAAAAAUCUCAGGAGAUGGAAAAGGACCUAGAAGAGGAUCCGUCGAUGUGCCUGGAUUGUGGCGACGAGGAUCCUAAAGACACAUAAUAUUUUCGUUAAAGUUCGUAUCACUUUAAGUCUAGACAGAUGCGGUGUAAGGGAAAUAUUAGUAGUUAUCUGUACAAAGGAGUUAAGAGUUGGCUUUUAUUUUGUAUGACUUAAAUGGAUUAUGAAGUAGCUGUUUUAAUGACUUGAUGCAUAUUGGAGUCCUUUGAUACGAUAGAGAUAAAUUAGCGAUAUAAUGAUUUAGGGAGGAUAUUCACCUUAGUGGCAUCAUUGGUCGCCUUGGAUAAUUAUUAAGGAUCGACGUAGAAACUCAUUAAUGGUACAAGAAACUAUGAGACCUGACAAAUGAUUACCAAUUAAUCAUGGAAAGGUGAAGUUUGGAAUUCUAGUUGCAGUUACAAUUCGGAAGAAUAUGGGAGAAAUCAAUAAGGCUAUAGGUGACACUUAGAAUGGAUGUUGUGAUUAAGUCAAGGACUGUAAAAUUUAAGUAUGGAGGGAAUUACAAAAUGAUUCCAUGACAUUACGAGGUAAUAAUUGGGCACAAAUAUAGCCAAUGGAAUUAAAUUAUGGAACUUGGGAAAAGGUGAAUCCUUGAUUUAAUAAAGAUUAUGAAUGUAGAGCAUGGAGAACGAUGAACUAUUUUCAUGGUCAUUUGUACUGAAAGUCAACAGAACUAUUUGAGUUACAUGACAAGAAAGACAAUUAAUUAUGAAUGUUAAGGAAUCGUGGAAUGUCAUAAAUGGUGGAUAUUUUUGUGUGUGGUAUUAUAUAUUGAGAAUUUGAUGCACAAUAUGGCAAGAUUGUCCUAAGGUGGAACCUAUUGGUCGAAGAUAAAUGUUAAAGGAUAAAAGGAGAUUGAAAAUAUUGACUCAGCUUAGUGCAUAUGAUAAGCAAAAGAAAAGAUAUGCCUGGUCAUGAAGAUUGUGGGAUAGGCUUGGAGGAAAGCCAAAUGGUUGAGCAUGAUCCCUGUAGUAACUUUAAAGAUGGAAGAACUUAUUCGUGGAAGAAAUUUCCAGCAACCACAGUGCUAUAGCACUAACUCUUUAGCGUUGUAGCGUUGAAACUAUCCCAUGUCUAGCAGCCGCAAUGUUGCAGCACUGACUAUCCAGCACCGCAGCGCUACGAAUACCUCAUGUCUAUGAUGCAUGAGCAAGAUGGGAGUGGCACGAUAAUGAUCUUACAAGUUGAAUUAUGGUCAUUGGUCAUUGAGCUAUGUUAUUUGGGAGUUUUUAAAUGUUUCGGAGAAUGUUUACAUGAACAAAUUGAAAAGUUUCUUUAUCGCUUUGUAUAUGGGCAUAUAAUUAAAAGAGAAAUUAAAAUAUUCUUGAAAUGGCUACAUUGAGAUAAGAUAUCAUGUGAAGUAUUAAGAUGGAUAAUAUGUUGACCAAAGUCAAAUCCUAAGAAAUAAAGGAGACGAGAGAUUAAGCCUUGUUAAAGGCUAAGGAAAAGUGAGCGAAGAGUUAGAUGAAUAUAUGAGAGAUGGGUAAGGGAUGUCAAUACCAAGUAAUGAAUGUGUGAAUGAAGGAUUAAAAGGGUGGUAUAGCAAAUGGGAUAAUUCAAAAUAUCAUUAUGAGAAUUUACAAUUCUUGUCUUGACUCAGCUAAAUGAAAAGGGUUAGUAACAACACAAGGCCAAUUGUGUGGCACACUAGAAACCUAUGAAGACAAUUUGGGGAUUGAAUAAAUGAGUAUGUACUUAUAUAUCUUUAAGAAUAAGUGCAUGUCUAUAGAACGACAUGCUUGGGAUGUUAAUGAGAACAUAAGAGACUAAGUGUUUCGAGAAUGCACAAACCUCUUUGAGAAGGAAUUACUAAUCAUACACAACAAGUAUAAAAUGUGGGAUUUUUGAAACUUACUGAGGAGCCUAAUGGCUAAGUCACGGGUUAAGUAAUCACAUGCGAUGAGACAUGAGUUUAAGAUAGGUAUCCCCAAGGAAAUACUCAAGAGUAGUUCUGCUAUGAAUCUUGUGAAAGCAAGCAUUAAGUUAUGUAGUUGCAAAGAAAAAGCCGUAAGUUGAAAGUGAGAUUCGUAUUGACGUUGAAAAAAAAAUACUUAAGAAAAACCUUGUUUCAAGUCUUGCAAUUUCAAAUACAAACUACGGAUUGGUCCGGGGAGAAUGAUGUCACAUUAGUAUGAAAGAAUAAAACAAAGGAUGAUCGAAGAUAAUUUGGAUAAUGAAGCCAAUAAUGAAAACUUCCUAAGGUAGUAUGGAAAUUGGAAUUCGAAAAUGCUUAAGGCAUGCAUGAUUCGAAUGAGUCUAAAUUUUAAGUGAUUCAUUAAAGUUGAAAUGCAACAAGGAUGUAAUGUAUAUAUUAAAGGUAUGAAGAAUAAUUGAGAAAUAAGAUGACUUUUAGAGAUUGUGGUAUUACAUAAGAUGCAAUGAUCAAGUAAGAGAUAAAUCUUUGAAGGAUCAACGAGGUUAUAAAGCAUAUACGAAUACCAGAUUGCAAUUUAAUGAAAAUGACAUUUGGCGAGUGAGAUGUGAUUAAUGACAUUGUGAUGCAAGGGUAUAUAGUACAAUGAAACUUAAGCGUAUAAUUGGAAAUGAUAAGAAAAGAGUAUGGGCAUGAAAAGGAUGUGAAGCUAUGCAUAGGCAUAAUGAGAAUUCUUAUGGAUUACAUAAGAGAUAACUUAUGGUAAGAUGCGAGUGGAACGGUGAUUUAAAUAUAUAAUAAGGGUAAUCUGAAAUUGAUUAUACCCCAAUGCUCAUAGAUUAAAUAUGAGAACGUUGACAUGAACUAUGAGGAUUCUUAUAUUGAAUCUUGGAUAGGGAUAGGGAUGAAUAAAUGAAGAUGUAGUCCAAGGCACGCGAACACAUGGAUCCCUAUGCGCAACGAGGAAUGCUGAUAUUUGGAAAUGAAUGUACACACGUAUAUGUGAAAUUGAUGACUUGACCAACUGAGGUGAAGAAUUGUUCUCAGUAAUUUGAGAUUUGAACUUUAUGUAUUUGAUGAGUUGUAUAGAUGGUACAACGACAAGAAGUCCCAUUAGAAGUUGAACUAUGAUGAUAUAAGAAAGUUUGGGAAAAAUAGUCAGAGAAAUGAGAUUAAAGAAAUAUAAUCCAUAACGUGGGAAUAAUUGAAGUAUGUGGCGUAAAUGCAAGAUAAACCUGAAGUAUGUGGGAAUAAUUAGAGGCAUUAACCUUUUUCGACGUUGAGACUAUGUAUAGAAAUGAACAUGGCAUGUUUAUAAUGCUAUAGGUUACAUAAUAAUGUAUGGGGAUAAGAUGAAUGAAUGAAUGUCGAGAAGUUUGGCAAGGAGCAAAAUAAUAAGAUGGUGAUUAGGCAUACAUAAGUAAGUAUAAUAUGUGAUUGAAAUUGGUAUGAUUGAGAUAGAGUUAUCGUUCAAAUUUAAUGAUAGUGAUAAAGGCGUACUCAACAUCUUAAAAUAAGAGAUAAUGAUCGUGAAGGCUACGAUCGAUUUGAUUCUAAAGGAUGAUAACACACAUAAGUGAGGCAUUCUAAUCGAACUGGAGGUAAACGAGGUGAAUGAAUGAUUGGAGGUUUGACAAGAAUCGAAAUAAAGAUAUGUUUGAGGUUAGUGACGGAAUUAAAGGCAUACUUCGGAUCUUAUUGAUAAGAAAGAAUAAUUGAGAAGGGUACCAUGGUUUUGACUCAAAGAUGAUAAUAGAUAUAAGAUACGUACCCUAAUCUUGUAAAGUGUUCUAGUCAAAUUGAAGGUAAUGAAGUUCAUAAAUCAAAAUUCCUUAUGAAGAAGGAAAAGGAAUAAGAUCAUAGAGAGAGAUUGAUAACUCGACACCAACGUGAAUUCGAGGACAAAUUCUAUUUAAGUGGGGGAGACUAUAAUAACCCGUACUUUGAUAUGGUGACUAAUAAAGCUUAUUGGAUGCCAAUUGAGGUUAAUUAUAAUGUUUAGAAAUGAUGAAAGAUGAAAGGAAUGGUUUGAGAUAAAAUUUUCGCACACGAGGAAAAAAUAAUAAAAUAAUAAUUUUUUUUUAAGAAGAAUUUGCGAGAUAAAAAGUGAUUCGGAAGUCAAUUGAGGCAUAAUAAGGUAUUUUUGGUACCAAGGGGACAAGAUGAGACAAGAGGAAAUUUUGAAAUAAAAUAAUAUUAAAAUAUUAAUAUUUUAUUCAGUGUCAAAAUUUUUCAUGAAGGAGAAUAUGGGCAACCUAAGUGGGGGAGAAAAAGAAUGAGAAAAAUUUCGGAGAAAAAUGACGUUAAUGGGGCCGCGUGUCUUUAUUAAGUAAAGAUAGCGCAGGUAAAUAAAUAUUUUAAAUAUUAUGGGGACACUACGUUGGAGUACCAACUUCAUACUUUGUUUGUACAUAUGUAGAAGAAGAUAAUUAAAGGAAAUUAGAGUUAAAUGAGUGUUGGGAGGACUAAAUUAAAAUGGAAAGAAACUUAAAGGGUAAAAUGGUAAUUUUGCAUAAAGUUUGGUCAAAGCUUCCAAAGGAAGCGUUGACUCUCAUCCUUAUCAGCCCGAAACUGUCCUUAUCCUCCCAGCAAGAUAUUUUCUUCUUCAUUCUUGAAGCUUCCAACGCCAUUCUCUCAUUCUCCCAUGGAAAACUAAUUUUCUUUCAUUUUCUUUCCUUGUUUUCUUUUCAUUUCUUUUCUCUUCUUGCUUCAUUCUUCUCCCAACUUCUUGUGCACCAAAGUUACAACUUCUAACCCCAAUUUCCAACACAUAUAAACUCUAGGAGAAGAAGAAAGAAAAAGAGAGAAAGGAAGAAAAAGCUUGGUUUUGGUGAUUCAAGCAAGGAACGGUAAGAAUUCUUGUUUUUGGCUUGAGUAGUAUUUGAAAAUGAGUUAGUGACUUAGAGAAAUCUCUUGUGGCAGCAAAGAUUGGCUUGAUUGGAGAAAAAUUGAUAACAUGUAAGCCAAUAAACCCAUGGGUACAUGAAGGACUCAAAGUGGAAAAGGAAAACGGUAAGCUUAACACUAUGUCUUAAAGCCUAUGGUUAGUUGAAUAUUGUGGGAAAUUAUGGUUGUUGAAAGGAUCUACUUGUAUAAGCUAGUUGAAAAUUGUUAAGAUUGUAUGGCAUGUCAUUUGAAAGAAAUGAAAAAGGAAUAUUGUGGAUGGAGGAUUGAGAAACAAAGUAUUGAAAGUUAGAUAGAUAACGAUGCGCGUAAACAAGGAAAUAAUUAAGUGAAAGUGUAAAACCCGACCCUAUAAACACAUGUCAUGACAUACAUGCAUUGAGUAGCAUGUUAUUAUGCUAGGAAAGUUCCUAAGAAUAGACGAAAUUCGGUAUUGUACCUAAUGGUACACUUGAGUUGAUUUAACCUCGAACAAGUUCAAAUAGGAAUCGUAGGAUGAAAUUUAAUAUUUUACAGUCCAGGAAUGACUAAAAAUGAUUGUUCGGAGUUUGAAGGUUCAUUUGGAGAAAAAUUUAAAAUUUCCAUGUUCAGGGGUAAAAUCGUCAUUUUACCACCUAAGAUAAUAAUUUGAUCAUGGAGUGAAAUUUUUGAUCAAGAUUAACUAUUUGGAGUAUAAUUUAAUGAUAGGAAGUGAAAAUUUUCAAUUUCGGUAAUUUUUGAAACAUAGGGGCAAAACGGUAAUUUUGUCGUUUCGGGGUAAAAAUCGUAAUUUUCACCACCCAAAACUUGUCAAAAUCAUAAGAUUUAUUUAUUUUUGGUAUGAAUAACUAUGGUAUGUUAAGUGGUGAAAAAUUAAAGUUUAAAGGAUGAAAUUUUAAAAACGGGCCAAUGGGAAAGUGACACAUGGCACUUUUUAAUCAUUUAAUAUUAUUUUAAUAAAAAGUCAGCCCAUUUAAACCCCAUAUUAAGUGAUGGCCGGCCAUAAGGAAAGAACAAGAGAGAAAAUAGAGAGGAAAGGAAGAAAAGAGAAAAACCAAAGGAAAANNNNNNNNNNNNNNNNNNNNNNNNNNNNNNNNNNNNNNNNNNNNNNNNNNNNNNNNNNNNNNNNNNNNNNNNNNNNNNNNNNNNNNNNNNNNNNNNNNNNNNNNNNNNNNNNNNNNNNNNNNNNNNNNNNNNNNNNNNNNNNNNNNNNNNNNNNNNNNNNNNNNNNNNNNNNNNNNNNNNNNNNNNNNNNNNNNNNNNNNNNNNNNNNNNNNNNNNNNNNNNNNNNNNNNNNNNNNNNNNNNNNNNNNNNNNNNNNNNNNNNNNNNNNNNNNNNNNNNNNNNNNNNNNNNNNNNNNNNNNNNNNNNNNNNNNNNNNNNNNNNNNNNNNNNNNNNNNGUACAAUGAUGAUGAUCUGAUUUUUAUUCUAAGAGAAAUGAAGAGAAAAUGAUGAAAAAUGGUUAAAUGUGAUAGAAAAACAAAGUAGAAAAUUUACUAAGUUAAUGUCCCAUUUUUGGCCAAAUUUUCCAAGGAGGAAAGUGAACUGAUUUUGGUGACUUUAGAAUGCUAUUGGCUGAUAAUUAAUGGUUAGAAAUGUUGGAGAGAGAAUGGGGUGAUUUAGAGCUAAAAUGGAGCGCGUUAGCAAUUUAUCGGGUAAAGUGCCAAAAAUAGAUUAAUACCGUGUUUAAGCCAUUUUAGGCUAUUGCAUUUCAUACCAUGCAUUAGUAUAGGAUUUAAGUCAAUUAUAUAGUGAUUUAGAAUCAAUGUGGUAAAUUGGGUAAAUUUUGCAAUGUGUUUAGGAGGAAAGCCUUUCUGUAAAGGCAAGAAAGUCGUACCCGACCAACAGUGAUCGGGGCACCUAGGAAGCAUUUCAUCUGUACAAAGGGUGAGUAAACCUAUUAUUAUUGUAAAUUAUCUAGAGUUUAUUUUUAAAUGCUCUUUAUGUAUUUUAUGAAAUGAAAAUGAGAUUAAAACCGGAUUUUUGAUGUUUUAGAAAUAAAUGUGACAAAUAAAAAUAUAUUAUGUUGAUUAUGAAAUUGACAAAUUAGAGGCUACCAAUUGUCUUGAAAAUAUAGUUUCUUAUGAAUGGCUUAUGAUAUAUGAGUAUAUGUGGCUAUAUUUUAUAAUUGCAUUGGGAAUAGAAUGUAAGCUGCCUUUUACUAUGCAGGUAGGAUAAAUAAAUAAAAGCCACGUUAUACUAUCAAAAUUUUAUUAAAAUUGGUGGGUUUAGUCACUACAGUGACGGGUUUCCGUGGACUGCCUAUUAGAGGGGCACCGUAAACCCGAUUUCAUAGUUACUCCAAUUGUAGAGGCGAAGAGGGUAACUCCCGAGGUAGUGUUAGGGUUCACUUCACGUUGAACCCCCACGUGAAUGUGUAACUCGGCCAACGCCAAGGAACGGCUUGUUUUAAAAAUAAAAAUGUGUUUCACAUGUAAAUAUCUUAACAACCUUGGUGGACUCGAUUAGAUGCCUCGGCCAAGGUAUCCCCGAGGAUUAGUUUUGGCUUGAGCCUUGUUUUUAAUAAAAGUCAUAAGCCUUAACAACUGUUUUGGUAAAUUACAAAUAUUUUAUGGUUUAAGAAAUAAAUUGAAAACCUUACGAAAUGGUUUGUAAUUUGUUGUUUAAACUUGCCUCCAAGUUACUCGCCUUUAGAUAUUUAUGAUAAUGUCUGUUUACUCAUUGGGAUUACAAAAUCUCACCCACCUCCUUUCGAAAUAUUUCAUGCCUGUGGUAGCUUGUAAAUACCCGAUUUUGUUUGAGGAUUAUAGUUGACCCCUCUAUCUCACAGACAGUAGGUUACUAGCACCAACAUUGGGUGUAUUUUGGGCCACUUGUCAUUGUAAUUAUUAUUGUACAUUAUAACUUUGUAAAUUUUUGUAUGUAUGAAUUUAUUUUACUUUCACGUUACAAAAGAUUAUUUACACGUGUUUCUAUUUUAUAUUGUUUUAUAUAAAAAAUGAUAUAUUUUUGUCUUUUGAUUUACUUGAGCCAGAAACGACUGGUAAAUGUUUAAAACGGAAUAUUUAAAAACGAUUGCUCACAAGAAAGGCAAGAAACUGAUAUGUAAGCCUUGCAGGGUUCUGAUUGGCAUUCCAAGUAAUGAGUGUCAAUCGAGACAUCGCGGCGGUUGUCAUGGGCCUGAGGGAGGUUCCGAGUCAUGACAGAAAGUGAGAAUGAUUGUUGUUGCCAUAUAUGUGGAUUAUGUGUGGAAAUAUAAGAUGGAUUUGGGUGGAAAUUAUUUAGAAAGGCUGAAGUAGACACGUGACAUCAUAAUUAAGUUAUCGGUGAUAUAAUUUAAGGAAUUACAUAAGCAAUGGAUGUAAGUAAUAUUAGUAAAAAUGUAUUAAGAUGUGAGUUAAUUGAAGAUGGUUUCAUGAUAGGAGGAAAAAUAUAAAUUUGAGUAAGAAUUAAUUGAUUGAAAUGCUGCUCGUAUACAUAUGUAAUUAAAUAUAUUGAGUUCAUAUUAUUGCUAGGAAGUGCAAAGAUAAAGUUAGAGUAUUGUGGGGGCGUGCCGGAGUAAAUAACGAGCAACCGGCCAGUGAAAAUAGUUAGAGACACCUCCGAACAAAUAGCAACUUAAUAUCUCGUUGUUUCCAGGUGAGUGAACUUGUAUUAAAAUGUUUUGGAAUAAAUGAUUUUAUACUUGAUUGAGCCACUUGAAAUAUUUUGUUGGUUUUUCUUUAAAAGUUGCAUGGGAACAAGCCCUUGAUGAAAUGUUUUGAUAUUAUAAGAUAUGAACAUGAUGAAUUCAUGAGUUUCUACAUUAUGUUGAUGUGUAUAUUAUACAUUAAAUGAUAUUUUUGUGUGAUAAUUUUGACCCAGCCAUGUGCGGUGUAGAAGUGUACAUGAGCUGUGCUGACCCAACCAUGUGCGGUGUAUGAGUGCACAUGAGUUGUGUUGACCUGGCUAUGUGCGGUGUGGUAGUGCACAUGUCAAGCCCGACUCUACAAUAUGUUUAUUAUGCCAUUCUUACAUAAGAAUGCAUAUUUGCUUACUUGGGUAUCUCAAAAAUCGUUAAAGGACGGUAUUGUACCAAAGGUACAAUUAAGUUGAAUUAAACCUCGAACUAGUCCAAAUAGAGAUUUUAAGAUGAAAUUGAUAAUUUUAAAACCCCAGAAUGACUUAAAAUGGUGAUUCGGAAUUCAAGGACCGAUUUGGAGUCAAAUUGGAAUUUUCAUGACCUAGGGACAAAAUGGUCAUUUUACCACCCAAGGUUAAGAUGUGAGUGUUGGAUGAAAUUUUUUACUAAGAUUGAUCAUUUGGAGUAUAAUUUGAGUUUGAGAAGUGAAAAAUUUUAAUUCUGGCAUUUUUUCAAGCAUAAAGGGUAAAAUAGUCAUUUUGCCAUCCCGAGGGCAAAAUUGUAAUUUUGCACCACCCAACACUUGUCCAGCACAUGGAUUUUACCCAAUAUUAUCAUGGAUAAUUGAGAAAAUUUAAGUGGUGGAGAGAGAUUGCUUAAUGGCUAAGUAUGACACAUGGACCAAUGGAAUGGUGACAUGUGUCAAAAUCUCAUCCAUUUAUUAUUUAGCUUAAAAAUCAACACAUAAACUCUCCCAAUUCAUUUCUCAUGGCCGGCCAUAGCAAGAACAAAGGAAGAAAAGAAGAACAAAAACCCUAGGUGGAAAAAUUCAAGGGAAAAGUGUGAAAAUUCAAGUAAUCAAGCAAUCAAAGGUAAAAUUUCUUGAUUUUGACUUGUGAUCUACCUUUNNNNNNNNNNNNNNNNNNNNNNNNNNNNNNNNNNNNNNNNNNNNNNNNNNNNNNNNNNNNNNNNNNNNNNNNNNNNNNNNNNNNNNNNNNNNNNNNNNNNNNNNNNNNNNNNNNNNNNNNNNNNNNNNNNNNNNNNNNNNNNNNNNNNNNNNNNNNNNNNNNNNNNNNNNNNNNNNNNNNNNNNNNNNNNNNNNNNNNNNNNNNNNNNNNNNNNNNNNNNNNNNNNNNNNNNNNNNNNNNNNNNNNNNNNNNNNNNNNNNNNNNNNNNNNNNNNNNNNNNNNNNNNNNNNNNNNNNNNNNNNNNNNNNNNNNNNNNNNNNNNNNNNNNNNNNNNNNNNNNNNNNNNNNNNNNNNNNNNNNNNNNNNNNNNNNNNNNNNNNNNNNNNNNNNNNNNNNNNNNNNNNNNNNNNNNNNNNNNNNNNNNNNNNNNNNNNNNNNNNNNNNNNNNNNNNNNNNNNNNNNNNNNNNNNNNNNNNNNNNNNNNNNNNNNNNNNNNNNNNNNNNNNNNNNNNNNNNNNNNNNNNNNNNNNNNNNNNNNNNNNNNNNNNNNNNNNNNNNNNNNNNNNNNNNNNNNNNNNNNNNNNNNNNNNNNNNNNNNNNNNNNNNNNNNNNNNNNNNNNNNNNNNNNNNNNNNNNNNNNNNNNNNNNNNNNNNNNNNNNNNNNNNNNNNNNNNNNNNNNNNNNNNNNNNNNNNNNNNNNNNNNNNNNNNNNNNNNNNNNNNNNNNNNNNNNNNNNNNNNNNNNNNNNNNNNNNNNNNNNNNNNNNNNNNNNNNNNNNNNNNNNNNNNNNNNNNNNNNNNNNNNNNNNNNNNNNNNNNNNNNNNNNNNNNNNNNNNNNNNNNNNNNNNNNNNNNNNNNNNNNNNNNNNNNNNNNNNNNNNNNNNNNNNNNNNNNNNNNNNNNNNNNNNNNNNNNNNNNNNNNNNNNNNNNNNNNNNNNNNNNNNNNNNNNNNNNNNNNNNNNNNNNNNNNNNNNNNNNNNNNNNNNNNNNNNNNNNNNNNNNNNNNNNNNNNNNNNNNNNNNNNNNNNNNNNNNNNNNNNNNNNNNNNNNNNNNNNNNNNNNNNNNNNNNNNNNNNNNNNNNNNNNNNNNNNNNNNNNNNNNNNNNNNNNNNNNNNNNNNNNNNNNNNNNNNNNNNNNNNNNNNNNNNNNNNNNNNNNNNNNNNNNNNNNNNNNNNNNNNNNNNNNNNNNNNNNNNNNNNNNNNNNNNNNNNNNNNNNNNNNNNNNNNNNNNNNNNNNNNNNNNNNNNNNNNNNNNNNNNNNNNNNNNNNNNNNNNNNNNNNNNNNNNNNNNNNNNNNNNNNNNNNNNNNNNNNNNNNNNNNNNNNNNNNNNNNNNNNNNNNNNNNNNNNNNNNNNNNNNNNNNNNNNNNNNNNNNNNNNNNNNNNNNNNNNNNNNNNNNNNNNNNNNNNNNNNNNNNNNNNNNNNNNNNNNNNNNNNNNNNNNNNNNNNNNNNNNNNNNNNNNNNNNNNNNNNNNNNNNNNNNNNNNNNNNNNNNNNNNNNNNNNNNNNNNNNNNNNNNNNNNNNNNNNNNNNNNNNNNNNNNNNNNNNNNNNNNNNNNNNNNNNNNNNNNNNNNNNNNNNNNNNNNNNNNNNNNNNNNNNNNNNNNNNNNNNNNNNNNNNNNNNNNNNNNNNNNNNNNNNNNNNNNNNNNNNNNNNNNNNNNNNNNNNNNNNNNNNNNNNNNNNNNNNNNNNNNNNNNNNNNNNNNNNNNNNNNNNNNNNNNNNNNNNNNNNNNNNNNNNNNNNNNNNNNNNNNNNNNNNNNNNNNNNNNNNNNNNNUAUGAAUUUAUUUUGCUUUUACGCUGUAAAAAUUAUUUAUGCAGUGUUCUAAAAAUAUUGUUUUAUGAGAAAAUUGAAUAUUUUAUUCAAUAUUUUUAUUUUAUUCUAAUAGUCAUAAUUUCAUUUUAAACGAAUGUUUUAGACAUCCAAAUUUAUUUUUGAUUAUGAAUUAUGUGUUUUGUACUCGCAUACUAUAUUUUUAGCGGAUUUCGAGAUUUUUGAGAAAAAAUAACCAAAAUGCCCUUGUGAGAAAAAAAUUAUUUUUUUCUAUUGUUUUGAUUUGAAAAUAGUUUAUAGUCUCUCAAAACAUAAUUUUAGUAACUAAUACUCACAAGGGAAGCAAGAAAAACUAAUGUUAAGCCUUGCGAGGUUUCGAUUGACAUUCCGAGUAAUGAAUGUCUAUCGGGACGUCGCGGCGGUUGUCCCAAGCUCAAUGGGAGUUUCGAGUCAUGACAGCACAUAAGCUGAGACAGAGUUGGGGGUGAGGCCGGUGGUUAUACAUAUGUUUUUAUAUGAUAUAUAUAUAUAGAGAGGUUUUGAAAAUUAUAUUGUGGUUGCGUUGAUUUUUGAAUGUUAAAACUUGAGAAACGGUUUCCACUUGAUUUUCACCGCAGCAAAGAUAGAUUUCCAUUGUGACAAGAAAUUGAGUUAAAUUGCAUUGUCUGCAACAUAAAUGCAUCAUGAUUUCUAAAAUCUCUCAUAUUGAUGCUUGUUCCCUUCCUAUGUUCACUCAUUGAGUUUAUAAUCACGUUUUUAAAAUGCAUGUUUUAGGUUUCCUGAGUUAAAGGUGAUUGGAUCCUAAGACGAGGUGCUCCUCCUUGUACAUUGCUCGGUAGGUUUAAUGUGACACUAAGUGUUAUCAAUCAUGCCCAGAGUCACUCCGCUGACGAUCAAGGUCUAAUUAUGUGUAUGUGAAUAUUUAAUGUGAACAUUAAGAAUCAUUGUUAAUCUAUUAAUUAAUAUAUUGGUGGAUGAUGCCAUUAUGAAUGUGUGAUUGGGUUUUAUGAAUUGUUUUCAAAGAAACGGUAUUUGAACAUUUCGAGCUUUGGAUUCUAAAGGAAUAGAGAUUAAUGUAUAAGAUCAAUUAAGUAGGUUUGCUUGGGCUUAGUGGGCUGAGCCCAUUGGGCCCUUGCGUCUGUCAUGGCUUAAAAAUUAGGUUGUGACAGUAAUCAAGCAAGUUAUGAUUCUGAUAUCGAGGGUAAAGUUAUUGAUAAGUCUAGGGUAUGCAUUCCUUAUGCACUCGAUGAGUGUGGAAAAGUGAGGUUGGUCGAGAAUUUGUUGUUUAACGGUAUUAGUCAAUUUAGGGAGGUCGUGACAAACUAUAUGAUUGAAGAAAGAAUUGAAUUAUAUAGGGCUAAGAAUGAAAAGACUAGGUAUGAGGCAUAUUGUAAGGGGAAUGGUUUUUAAUGGAUGAUUCAUGCAUCAGUCUAUUUAGAUAGGAAGACAUUCAAGAUUAAAAAGCUUGUGGAUGAAUAAGUCAGCAAUAACCAUGUUGCUACAACAAGUGUGUGGAUAGCCAAAAAGGUAGUUUAUCAGUUGCAUUAUGAACCAAAUAUGUCUUACAACUUGAUAUAGUAUAAACUAACUCGGAAGUAUGGUAUCAUAAUUAAUCCCAAGAAGCUUUAUAGGGCUAAGAAAAGAGCUUGAGAAUUUGAAAGGAUCAUGCCAGGUCAUACACAUACCUGUAUUUAUAUACUCAAAUGUUAAGUGAUAUUAAGCUUGGUAACAUUAUUAUCAUGCAAUUAGAAAGCCUUGAAAUUAAUAUUAAUGUUGAUGAAUCUUUUUCCCAAUCAAAGAGGAAGUGCCUAAAAUCAAACUCCCAAUUCCCUUUAUCCACCCAUACUUCUUUCACCGUAGCUCUCUUAUUAUUCACAAUUGGAAAGAGUCUAGGGAAAAUUUCCAUAAAAGGGAAAUUAGAAACCCAUUUAUCAAGCUAAAACAAAAUGUGUUUUCCAUCACCCACAACCCACCUACAACUCUGCUUACUGACAGCCAAAACAUAAUUUAAAACGUAACUAAGCUCUUAGUUAAUUUUGGGUAUUAGGAGUCUCAAAAGCCAAGAAGGAAGAAAACGAAGAAAGGAAAAGAGAAAGGAAAAAAAGAAGGAAAAAAAAAAGGAGGAAAAAGGAAAAGGGGCCACUAAUGGUGGUGUCUUUAAGAAGAAGAAAUAAGAAAAAAUUGGCAACAAGAAGAAUGAGGAAGAAGAAAGAAAGGAAAGAAGGAAGAGGGGCCACUAGUGAUGACACCACUAGAGAGAAGAAAAAAGGAAAAGAAAAAGAAGAAGGGGAAUGGAAGAGAAUAAAGAAAGAAAAAGAGAAAAGAAAAAAAAAGGAAAGAGAAUCGGUUGGCUAUGUGGCUAUUUUUUUUUUAUUUGACAUGUAAAUGCCAUGUUAACAUAGUCUGAUAUGCUCAAGGUUAUGUCAACAUCUCUAAUGGUCAGUUUAAACGGAGUUACUCAUAUGAAUCAAAUUGCACACAAUGUUCAAAAAACUACGAUUAAAUUAUCAAAAUUUUGAAUAAAGUAACUCAAUUGAACAAAACACUUUUGUAUAAGGACUUCUUGAGUAUUUUGAUCAUUUUUAUAUUGUUAUUUUGAUUAAUUUCUGUUAAUUAUAAUUUUUAGUAUAAUUAUAAAUUAACGAUCAUAAGACUUAUCCCAUGUAUAGAGAAAAGUUCUAAUUCUAUUGAAUCAUUUUAUUAAAAAGUGAUUUACUUAUCUUAGAAUUCUAUAUUCCCUAUAUUUCUAAACUAUAACCAUAUUAAUUGAAUAAAUAAAAAACUUAAUUUCAAAUAAUGAAAAAGAGAUUUAAGUGCAACUAUAUAUCCAACAUCUAAUAAAUUUUUUAUUAAUCUUAUAAUCAAAAUCUAGAAUAAUAAAAAAAAAAACUAAUAUGUUAAAUCAAAUGUAAUGCAAGUGACAUUAAAACUCAUAAUUGACAAAAAAAAAGUGUUAAAAGAUUUUAGCUAGGCUAUGCUUGACCGCCACUCAACGUAAAAUCUCUAUUCCUUUGAUGAACUCCACUUAAGGCCUUGCAAAGGCACUUCCUAAUUUACUCUGCUUAUAACCCAAAAGAAAAAAACAGAAGAUUAAUUUAGAUUAAAAUUCCAACUGUGCAUCAUUAGAACCAGACGCUUCGUUUGCUUAUUACUAAAAAGAAUAACAACCAGCAAAUUAUCAGUUAAAAUACCUGCAUUUCUUCCAUGAGAAAAUUGCAAUCCCAGAGCUAUAACUCGAAUCCCACUAUAGUCCCAUAAGUGUUGAAAUAUUAUACCUACACUGUUUUGUAAUUAAAUUGUUACAGGUAUAUAAAUUAACAACAAAUGAAUUACAGAACCAAAAUUUUUGAAGUAAGCCAACUCAAUGUCCGUGUUGUCUCAGUCUCGGCAGCAAGUUCGACUGAAGCUCCACUUGAGCAGGCUUAAUCAAUUUCCAAGUUGUUCUGUUCACUUACAAGGUCGCUGGACAUUCGGGAUGGUAUUCUGUGACGUUCUAGAAUUCUGGAAGUAGCAAUUCUGGCUGAUUCAAACUUUAAUGCAACUACCCUGUCAUCAUCCAAAUCAAACCUCAAGCUCUCUGUGCUACAAUUUUCUACAAGCUGGCACAAGUGCUUUAGAUUUUGAAUUUCAAUUCCAUUGACUUUCUUGACCUGUCAUCCACAUAGUUUAAUUUUCUUAGAAGAGAAUUAACCAUGCAUGCAAUAUAUAAGAAUGCAUACAUAAUUACAUGGACACACUCCAGGUUUAGAAUUCAAAUCCAGUAACAGCAUUAGUACAAACCAUUAAAUUGAGUGGGUCAACAAACAGCUAGAAUUGUCUUAUCAUUCCCAACCAACAAACGCUAUGCAAACAGACAUCUGAUCCUUAAUUAGAUUGCCUUGGAAUUUCCAACCAGUAUUUGCCCAUUAUCAGAAUUGAUGCAGAAUGCAAAUGAGCUAAUUCAAAGAUUAACUUACUUAAAGAUUUUAUUUUGUUACUUUGUCGUGUUUUACGGGCUUUAUUUGCAAUUUUAUACAUAGAUUUAGGGUUAUAUUUGCUAUUUUCAGCUAAAUUAGGGCUUACGAUCUUAGAUUGUGUUUUUCUUAUCCUAUUAGGUUGUAUUCUAAGUUAGGUUAGUUUUUUUUUGGAAUCUAAGAACUUUUUAAGCUGUUGCUUCUACUUAAAUUAUUGGAAAGCUUUUAUUUGGAGUCUAAGAAUUUUGAAGCUCCUACUUCUACUUAAUAUAUUGCAAUAAGAGUCUGUUUCUUUUAGAGUUAGGAUUGGUAGCAUCCUAUAUAAAUCAAUGUACACAUUCUAUUGACAUAAACAAUAUUACGAGAGAAUUUAUAGCAUUAGUCCUAUUGUGAUUGUGUCAUGCAGAAAACCUUAAAAGUGUGCUCCGGAAAGAACCUCAAGUGGGAAACCUAGCUUUUUUGCAUUUUUCUUGUUCUUGUGAUACAAUCAAGGAGCCCUAAAAGUAAAGCCUUAGGAUCAUAUUUCUUCUUCUCUUUUUUUUAUUCAAUAUUUCUUCUUUCCUCAAAAAUUGACAAUUGAAUAUUGCUAUAAAACCUAAUAUCCUAGCUCUCCUACAUCAUCAGUUGGGCUUGGCCGAGUCAAACUAUUUUGCUCCGAAUGCAAACAGUUAUAUAGUUAUAAUUGUCUUAACUGACAUCUGAGAUUUAUAAGGUCACCAGUUUUAUGCCUAGUGGUUUCCUAUCAUUUGAAGUGGCCCCUUCAAUAAUUACUUUCUCUUGCUCCUUCCAUCCCCACCCCCAACUACCAAGAAACACACAAGCAAGCAUGCUAGUUGUUGGUUUGUAGGAAGCUCAAAACAUAAAAGAAAGAUGAUCAAAAGAAAAAUAAGAAAGAACCUGUAAUUCAGCAAGACGCUCAUAGCCCGCAUUGAUAUCAUCCAUCAAAACCUGAACCAAAUAACUGCUUGUCAAGAAAGUGAAAGUACAUGGAACAUAGAAAAUCCUACGCUUUAGCAAUUAAACCCUAACGAAUUGAUUAAGUUUCCCCUUUUUUGGGGGCAAGAAAAACUUCAAGAAAGAACUUUUCCAAAUUUUGAGAUUAAGCUUUUUUAUAAUGAGUGAGAAGGUAUGGACAGUAGCAUCCUAGAUUUCAAAGGCAAAAUCAUUUGCCAAAACAAAUGAAGCUUCUUCUUACAUCCAUUCAUCUAUGACACAGAUUUUGCUUGUCGCGGAGCUGAAUUUUACAAACUACAAAGUUUUCUUCUAAAAGAAGCCAUUAUGCACUAAUGCUGUCAAAGAAGUCAUACAGACCUGAGACAGGAUUACGAGUUGUUCCCCAGCCUGUUUAGGCAGCUCUCUUAGAGCACGUUCACAGAGUCGACGGGGUGACGUAUUAUACCAGUCUUCCCCAUACUCAUGUAGGUAUGGCUGGGUUAGUGGAACAAAAACCAGACCAGCAAAAAUGUAAUAACUAGGAAGCUUAUCAAAUUGAUGAACUGGAACCAGUGGCUGCAACUGUAAGAUCAAGUAUAACAAAACUAAUAAAUCCAUAUUGUAAAAAUCAAGGUUAAUUUCAUCAACAGUCAAACAACAAACUAACAUAGAUGCUUUUUUUCCCUUUACUUUAUCAUGAAUUACAGCAAUCACAGAUUUUGCAAGUUGAGGAAAAAAAACACAAAAUUGACAAAAGUAAUCCUUUUUUGGUCCAAGAAUCGAGUCCACGAUAAAUGUUAGAUCCUUAAUUCAUUAGGACUUGCAGUUAUGGUUUUGGUUUUAGGUGUAAGAAAGGAGAAACAAAUUGUAGCAUACAAUUUUAUGCCUUUUUAUUAUUUCUGUUGUGAGGUUUUGGGGGGAGGUGUUACAGCAGGAAAGGCUAUGCCCGUGGCAUCAGCAUGCAUGAGCAUAACAAUUUCAUACAGAGGAACAUGAUGGAUGUCCAAUCUCCAUGGUUGUGAAAGCUACGUUUGUCCAUUCAAUCCACAGUGAUGUUUUUCUACCAUGAGAAAUAUCCUAACUUUCCAAUUGUCUUGGAACUGUAGCCAGUUCCUAGCAAACCUUGAUCAGACGUUAUGAGGAUGAUAUCUAUUGUACCUUGAUCAGUAGCAAAAACUUCCUUCUUCCUCCAUAUGUGAUGGUGUUUACAAUGGUAUUGUUCAUUUCAUUGAAGCAGAUGAUGCACUAGAGUAUUUCACCCUCAGUCAGCUUCUAAUAGCGCUCAAUUAACAGCUAUAAUAAAUGUUUUCUGGGCACAGAUCUGACAAAUAAUGAGCCCGUAAGUUUGAUGAGGAUGGCAGACUAUUGAGUUUUUGAAAUGUAAAAUCUUGUUAAAAACAAGUUUCAAUAUGAUUUUUAUUCUUCAAUAAUAGUUUCUUCUAUUCUACUUCCUGUUCUUUAUCCUUUCUUCUUUACAAUACUCUUAUCAAAAACAAAGCCUCGUUUCCAUAAUCAACUUCUGGCUCUCAGACUGAAUCAUUCCUAACUCUUCCAGUAUCAAAACUAAUGUCAAACUAUCAAGCUAAAAUUUAAAGAUUCUAAGAUUGUCCUGCAUAAUAAUGUCUUUGGAAUGUUCUGAUUGGCACACAAAAACCUCCGCCUGUUAGAGCUUGACCAUGCAGGUCCAGCAUCAUCAUAUUAUUUUUAAAGCAGACUGAACAAUGAAGAUCAACAUGAGAUGCUAGGUUUCAAAUGAGGUCUCUACUUUUGAGCGUAAGACUAACAUAUGCCACUGGUACACACAAGUUUUACAUUUACAAACAUCAAAUGAAACAAAUCAAUGUAUAAUGCAGCUUUGAAUAGUUAUAGUUUCAAACAGCGGGUUGUUGGGGGAUUUGGUCAUUGUACAAACACAGAAAAAGCAAAGAUCCUGUAUCGCCACCAAUUUUAUUGUUCUGUACACUCUACACUGCCUUGUUUUGAUUCUAUUAUUCUAAAAUCAACUCUCAGCCUUAAUUUGAAUCCCCAUCUCUACAAAAUACUUUUGAUACUUGAACUUCAUUCCAGUUAUUUCUUUUAAAAAAAGUUUCCUCCGACAUCUUUACAUGCAAAAUCCCCAGAUAUUCACUAUCUAGUGAACACAAAACAUGCUUAUUCCAACAAUUUUGAAUUGACUGCAUGUAUCAUAAAACAAAGGUACAACAAGUAUACAUUUUAACUCACUUUUCCAAUACUCCAAUUAAUCUAUUUCCUUUCUUAUAACAACAGUUUUAAAGGCAUUUAUGGGGGGAGGAAGGCAUCUGUGAUUAAAAUGAAAAAGAAGAAAUAAUAAUUUAUUCAGCCACAGAUGAUAUUCUAAAUAACAGCAAGGCAAGAUAUGAUCAAAUUUAGAAAUCACUACAGGUUGCGUGAAUGGUGAAGUCUUGCUAUUUACCAUUCCUCAAGACUUUCGUUAAUGCAGUUUCACUGGGUUUUCACAUGGACCAGACAUUAUUGAAUUUAAUUAAUCUUUGGAACAAUUACUCACAGGUCGAAGGGUGAUGGUGAAAGCAUGCUCUUCACCAUUUCUCAAGACUUUAACUAGAGCAGUUUCAUUGGGUUUCUUCAUAGACACCAAAUGAUCAAAUGUUAUCCGCUCCCUGUUUCGAAAAGGAACUGCAAUGUGUGUAAAUUAGACACCAAAUUAAAAAUUAAAAAAAAAUUAUGAAUACUGAAAUGAUUAUCACCCUAGCAAAAUAUUAUCCAAAAGAAAAAGCAAACAAAAUUUCAAUCCUCAAGUGUCUCACUUUCAUGAAAUCAAACAAUUUUUCCUCCUUAUAGUCUCAAAGGUAUGUCUCCUUCUUUAGUCAUGUUACUGGGAAAUAAAACAAGCAUCAGUAGGAAAAAGGACUCAAUGAUAUCCAUACGUGGGUGUCAGAUUAUUUUAUCAUUGGAAUCCUUGAUUGUUGAGUAUCAAUCACACUUGCAAAAUGUUCAUAGGAAAAGUGUUGAAUCUCACUUGAAAUUUAAAAAAAAAAAACAAACAAUAAUGAGUAAAGACUAUAAAGCAAGUACCAGUUCCAUCAUUUGCUAUAGGCACACCAUCAAAUUCAAGGAUUAUAUCAUCCUUGUUUAGAACUCUGUGUGCAUCAGACAAAGGAUUAAUUUUGCUCACAAGUACACCAGUCAUCUGAGGUUGCAUUUUGAAGUGAUUACGAAGCUGGACAUUUUCUGUAGGCUGGCAUGAGAGACCCAUAGAGCAGAAUCCCACAUAUUUUCCACUUUCCUCUACACCAGCUAUAAAAUGCUUUAUUACGGGAACAGGAAUUAUAUAGCUGCAUAUCAUAACAAAUAAAAUAAAAAAUAAAUCAAUAAUUAAACAGACAGAAUUGUCCAUCAAAUGCUUUUGAAGUGGUAAAAAGUUAAUUUAAGUUUCAAUAACGUAUAGUGUAGACAUGUCUUCCUUAGUUUUGAUCUGAUAUUUAUGUAAGUUGUUGCACUUUCAGAUAAUAUAUUCUAAAUAACACCCUUGUUUAUUAACUUUAAAGAGCCAAAUUCUACAGUAUAUCAUAUUUCAUUAUUGAAAUAUCAGAACAUAUAGUCUUUGAAUUCUCAAAGCAUUGUUUUGAGCGCAAAAUACAUUAAAAGCUUCCUUCUAAUCAUUAUGGCCAAAAUGUCUAGCAUUUAGCAAGCCUUAAAUGGUUUUUCUUUAAAAAAAAGAGUUCUUUUUCCAUUCUUUUAUUUAUUUGUUUACUUUCUCUUUCUUUCUUUUUUUUUUUUUUUUGGUGGUCCUUGUUUUCAUCCACAGUUAAGAAGACCUGAAACGUAUGAUGCAUGACUUGGGAACUGAUUGCUAAAUAGUGAGUAGACUGAUAUAGCAAAGGAGUAAAUAAACACGUAGGCAACAAGUUAAAACUACAAGCUUCAUGUUUAAAACAUUGUACAGUGUUUAGCACACACCAGGAUUAAUAAUAGGAUUGGCUAAUAAUUGUUAUAUGCUAUCAAAACUAUUUGAAAAAAAUUGAAGCAACAACAAAGAGGAAUGCAAGCACUUGAACACCCCACCAAAUACAGUGCCAAAUUGUAGAAACCCUUAAUAAAGAAAAGUUUUACCGCCGUAAGUAUCAAAUGGUCAAUAUUAGAAAACCCAAAAGCUAAAUGCUACUUGCCAAAAAGGCAAACUCACAACUCACCCUAUAUUUUCAGCACCUGAAAGGUUUUGGAAAGCUACACCAGCAACUUUGUUGCCCAUGAUUGCAGGGCCCCCACUAUUCCCUGGGUUUAUAGCUGCAUCUAUCUGUAUUGCCAUCAGCUGGGUAGCACCAUGUACAUAUUGUGUAGGCUCAACUCUAGAAACAACCCCUUUAGUAACAGAAAUGUUGUCCCCUCCUGCAUCCAGGGAAGAAGUGCACAGCAUGUGAAAGUAAAACAUUAAGUAAUUCCUAAAUGAAUGUUCAACAUCCUGUUAUUUGCCUACGAGGAAAGCUUCAAAGCCUAAUAACUUAUUGUCAUAUAAAGAAAAAAUAUUCUUCCAUGGCCAUGAAAUUACACAAAUGGGACUUACUCAAGUAAUACUUCAAAUUACAGCAUGCUGAGGUAAAGACUUACAAAUGAGGUUCUAACAAAUGAAAAAGACUAAAAACAGGCAAGAUAGGAUCUCAGCUCUAACAAUUACUAAGCAUUGAAAAGUGAUACCUCAUCAAUAUAGAGACUGAUGUGUGUUUGCUAGUUUUUCCCAGUUGCUUUACUAUGUUAAAUAUAGUCUUAAUCCCCCUAGCUCACAUGGGACAUAUUUAGAAUUGCAAUAACUAUCAGAUGGUCCUAGCCGGCAAAUACAAAUAGUCAUUGUAGCUUCAUUAACUCAAACAAGGCAGGAAAGGGAAAAGCAGAGAAUCAGAAACUUGAUACUAUUAAUUAGGAAAUUAAAAAGGUGGAUUUUUUUUUUCCAUGGUUACCUUGAGGAUACCCAACAACAGCAACAGCUUCUUGCAAAAAUGGAAUGUCUCCGAGCUCCAAGAAAUUCACACCCUCCCAGAACUCUUGGCUUUCCACAACAAGAAUAGCUAAGUCACAUUCAUGACCAACAGCUAGAACCUCCGCUCUAUAUUUAGUGGGAGAGCCGUGUUUUCUAACAAGUACAAAUGUAUGAUCAGCCACCACAUGAGCAUUUGUAAGAAUCUUUUUUCCCGGAAUGACAAAUCCUACAGUUAAGAAAUAAUGAGUAAGCAAAGCUCAGAAGAAAAUGGAGACGGGGUUCUUUUUCUACUUGCCUGAGCCCAUGGUUUCGCGUUGUGACUUAUUCUGCCAAGGAAGGAAAUAGUUGGGGCUGCUGGUAACCGUGAAGAUCUUCACCACAGAGUCCAAUGCCAGCUCUAUUGCCAAAUAUGCAUCUGUUUCUGUAUGGAGAGACCGUUUGCUUCUAACCACGUACCACCGCUGAAUGCUACUCUGUCUCUCACCAAUAUCAAAAAUACUAAUGCUGCUUUCACCCUUGCAACAUAAAGGAAGGACUUUGCGUUUACUGACGGUGAUGCCAUUCCUACAACAAUCUCUCCCCAACAACAACAAAGACGACGAGUUAUUACAACAUCUUAGCCUCCGCAAUGUACGGACUGAAGAACCCAGCAUCCUUUUUGCUUCUUCGCCGAUGGAGGAUGAAAGGAGGCCAAGAGGGGCAAAGGUAUGCUUAUGUAAACUUUUGCCAACCCUGCAACUAUUAUGUGCAAAGUGGGCCGAGGCUAAACCUCGUACUGGCAUCGUCAUUUUGGGUUAGCAUUUGGGUCCAUUUGUGCCAUCUCGAGGCAGAAUCAUUUUAGGUCAUUUCCAGGAUCGUCAAAUUGAAGAAGUUGUAGCAGAUAGAAGAGGCGUGGUCCAAAGUUGAGAAUUCAGAGGCAAUGGGUUGAGAUAGUUAAAAGGAGUUGAAGCUUUUCUUAUCCUUUUGAAAUUAGAAGACAUACGAUUAGAAAACCCUUAAAUUAUUUAAAAAUUUUAAAUAAAUUUUUAUUCUUUUAUAAUAUUUAAUUAAAUUUUUAUAUUUUUAUUAUAAAUCAAAUAAGUCUUUAUAAUUAAUAGUUGAUUAAUUAUCAUUAUUUAAAAUAUCAUUUAUCAUUUUAUAUUCAAUGACAUUGAUGUGAAAGUAAAAAAUAUUACAUGUUCAUGUCAACAUACCACGUCAUCGUCUAUUAUAACAUGUUAACAUACUAUGUCCACAUCACAUGACAUAAAAUAACAAUUGAUAUUUUGACUAAUAAUAAUUAGUCAGCCAUUAGGUAGAAAGGAUUUUUCGAUUCAAAAUAAUAAUAUAAGGACUUGAUUAAUUGAAAUAAAAAAUAAAAAUUUUUAAAAUUUUUUUAAAUAGUUCAAAAACUUUUUUAAGUAUUAUGUCAAAUUAAAACAAAACAUUCAAUAAAAACAAUAAAUGAGAUGUUCAUUACUAUGCAAUAAAUACAAACUCAAAGAACGUUGGAAGUACAACAAUGGAAGGAUUUGAGAGGCAAAAGGGUGGACGGUGUGUUUAGGAAAGAUUAAUUGCCAGGCAAAAAGUGGAAUAAUUGAGCAAAAUAAUAGUAUUGAAAAAGUUGCUUGAUAACUCUAUUAUAUAAAGUUAUUUUGACACAUUUUGAGAGCUUAAGUAGUUAGAUCUGUGAGAUUUUAGGUUCAAAUCGUAGUAUUUUCAAUGUUUUUCUAGUUUAAGUUUGAUUAUAUGUUGAAUAGUUAAUUUAAGUUAUUUUAGUUAAAUUUUAUGUUAUUUUAUUUUAAAUUACUUUAAGAGUAGUUAUUGCUAAUUUUUCUUAUUGCUUUUGUAGGAAAUUUGAUAAAAAAGACUAGGUGAUGAAAAUCAAUGCAAGUAUGGUGAUGGCUUCAUUCGUAUAUGUUUCGGUAUUUUGACCAUAUCUCUCUCUACAAAACUCUAAAUGAGAUCAUUCUUAGGCCACUAGAAUUCUAACAAGAAGGGAUACAACGUUUGUGUUUACCAAUUUGCCCAGUUCUGAUUAGAUUGUGGUCAAAAUAUUUGUCUAAGUCGAAGUAAUGCUGCAGUUUGCAUGGACUAAACAUGAUUUGGUAUUUGGACCAUAUCUUUCAAUCCAAAAGUCUAAUUGAUAUGAUUCUUAAUCCAUUGGAAAGAUAAGAGAUAGGGCUAAAACUUUUAUGUUUAUCACUUUGCCUAGUUUAGAACAUUUCAGGGUGAAACUCACAUUUGAAUUUGAUAGACCGCCACAAUGCUAGGAGAACAAGGCUAUAGCAUUGAUGACAGGAAGCACACAUACAAUUUUCCAAAGAGCUCAGCGCUGCAGCGUUGGAGAAGUAGCGCUGCAGUGCUAGACGAUUUUCCAAAAAUAAAAAGUUAACGAGAUUUUAGAAAUUAGGUUACUUGGAGCCUAUUUAAGGGGCCUUUUUCAAAAGUUUCUAGAGGGCGGCAAAAACAACUAUUAUGAAGAUUUGGAGCCAAGAACAAAGCAAGAAAACUAGAGAAUUGGAAGGAGAAUCAAGAUCAAAAAGCUCCAACUAUUAGUUUUCUCUUUUUACUUUUGUGUUUUUCUUAUUUGCUUUGACUUCGAUUAAUGGCUAAAUUUCUUUGAAUAUUGUUUUUAUUAGAUAUUAUGAGCUAAAUUAUUUUUUUAGGAUUGCAAUUGAACUCACAUGUAAUCUAAACUUUCAAUCUUUUUCUUGCUUAUCUUUAAUGGGAUUUGAAUUGUUUAUUCCAAUUUGUUCUUAAUGCUUUUAAUUGCUUGAUCACCAAUUAAAUUGAUUUAGGAACGCAAACAAACUUGGGAAAAGGAGUUUAAUGUAGACUAAAAUUGAGAUAGCAUAUAAUCAUAUUAAUUGAUUUGCGUAUAGGAUAGGUAUAUACCCAUAGGCCUUAUGUAGCUAGAUUAGAGCCAAAACUUAAUAAGUCUAUUUUAAUCUCAAUUCAUAUAGGAAUAUAGUGUUUUGAUUAAAAUAGAUAUUUUUAUAAGAUGAGUCGGAAGACAUUUAUAAAUAAUUGAGAACUCUAAGUUAGCAAUUUAACCCAUUGAAAUAAGUUAAGGAAGAGAGUUAAGAUUUAGAUAAAGUGUGAAGAAUAUUGUAAUCCUAGGCUUAUUUGAUUUGAUUUUUAUCUAAUUAUUUUGUUGCUUUGAUUUCUCUUUUUAGUAUAAAUUUUGGUUAAUUAGUUUUAGUUAAUUAAUUUAGUUAUUUGAAUUUGAUUAUUUGGAUAAGAUUAAAUUGUUCUAAUUUUAGUACUUAGUAAAAUUUUAUAUCAAUUCUCUAUGGAAUCAAUACUCUACUUACUUAUAUACUAUCUAUUUGAUACGUAUACUUGUGUAGUAGAAUUUUAACUGACAUUGCUUGCUGAUUAUUGAAGUACUUUUGGAGGAGCCUACUUAUAGGCAUUCUUAGUUGAUCAGAUUACCCACACAUUCCUCCCUUGUCCAAGUCAUUAACGUUGAUGAAGCUUAUUGCCCUUGGCCUCAAAAUUACUAUUAUAAUAGGAAUUAGGAUGGUGCCUGUAGCUACUCUAUGAAAAAGUUCACAAAAAAUAUAGAUUAUGUUGUAAUAGACUUCAAUUUGGUACCUUUAAAAGAGUUUGUAGGGAAAGCUAUAUUGUAUUAGUCAACUAUAUGUAUGUAUGGUUUUUGCUGGUAGAAGAAAAAAUAAACUGAUAAUAAUUGAAGAUAGUUAUUUGCUUUGGUUUCAAUCGAUGGAAAGCUUCUCCUGAAUAUAUGUUUUUAAAACAAUACUUAUCCAAAGAAGAUUGUAGUCAUGUUACACAUGCAAUAAUUUUUUUCUAUUAAAAAUAUAUUGUUUAAACAAAAUGAAUAAUAUUAGUGAUUUGGAGGUCUGCUCUUCAUUUUGUCAUAUAAUUUGUCCCUAUUUCUUUGAUUUCUGUUAUGCUAUAUUGUGUUAGUCAACUGCAUGAAUGUAUGGUUCUUGUUGGUAAAGGAAAAGAUAAAGUGAUUUUAAUUGAAGAUAGUUAUUUGCUUUGGUUUCUUUGGUUCUUGAUGAUCAAUUUUUGUCAUUUGUAGGUUUUUAUUGUCUGUAAGUUGCUUGUAAGAUUUGCUUUGACUCACUAAUUUCAAGUAAAACCAUAUUUCUUGCUUAUACUUACAUGGAAAAGAAACAACCGUAUUUAUGUCAGUAGUAUAUAUAAUAGCAAUAGUUCAUUAAGUAAAUGAGACAAUAAAAUAAUUGAAAGAAAACCUCAUACGCAAAUCGAAUAGUUAAGAAAGAGGCUCCCAUAUUGGUUAAACAAAAUGAUUAAACUGUUGCAUAUCUGUUAGAUAUAUUUAACUAUAGUGAUAGUUUCUUGUUUCUUUUGCCAUACACAUUUCCUCUUAUUUCUUUAGUUUUUGUUGUUGUGCUCCUUCUGUUGGACUUGUUGUACAUAUAAGAAGAUAAAAUUUGUUUAGUGCCUAAUUUUUUAAAGGCUUUUAAGUUAAAUCAAUAAAAGAUUUGUAAAGUAAUCUAAUUAACAUACAUGAUUUUCGAUUUUUUCACUAGUGAUUCUUCUAGGAUUAAUUCCUUUGUGAUUUGUGAAUCUAUUGGUGAUGGAGACACUUCAAUUUCAGAGUUUUCAAUUGUGAGUUAUGGAUUUUUAGUUGCUAAGGCAAUAAUAGUAUUUCUUGUUGUACCUUUUUCUAUUUCGCAACGAACAAGCAAGGUUUCUUUGACAGUGUUACAGUAAAAAACCUUGAAUUUCAACAAUCCCUGAUCAAUAGCUUUUGCAGUCAAUCUUAGUUGGAAUGUUCUUUCUGUGUUUAUCAAGGCUUUGACAGGAGUUGGAAUAAUCAUUUUGUCAAUUUCCUUGAUGACAACAAGCUCUGCUAUAGUUGCUCUAGUCAACUUUCUGCUUGCUGAUCGAACACUUGCAGUUGAAUUUCACCAGUUGUAUCUUGUAUUGUUAGCUCCAAAAUCAUCCUGUUAGAAAUAAACAAAAAUAUCAUUAUUGUUAUGUUGUAGAAUAAUAUUUUGUUUGAUUUAAAGAUAAAAUUUUAGUUUUCUUACAUCAGUACUAGUACUUUUUCAUCAUGGGUUCUAUACCAUAAUCUGUUAGAUAAAUAUUUCAAUCCUUCUGCAUAUUCAUUGCAUGCAUUGUAGUACCAUCCAUUUGGUGCUUCUAUAUUGACUAUUGUUCUUGUGAUCUCAAACUUUUUAUUUUGUAGGAAGAUGUAAAUGUUAUUGUUAAUUUUGAUAGUAUGACGAAUUGAUUUAACUUGAUGUCAUAGUUAGGAAUUUAUGUUUUUGUAGUUAAGAGCUGUUUUUUUUCAUAAAUGAUUAUAAGUAAAGAAAUCCUUGUUGCUCAAAAUAUAGUAGUAUAGGUAGUUAGAUUUUUACCAUUGUUUUUCCUGAUUUUAUUGCCAACAAGUCUCCAAUUGUCGCAUUUUGUAUUGGAGUUGGUUGAGUAAUUUGUAGGAGAUUUCCUUUCUUUAUUUUUUGCAAUUGGGCUUCAAUUAUUUCAUGUUGGUACCUGUAAUUUUUUUUGUUAGUGAUAAGUAGGAUGCUUUCAAGGUCGUUUUAAAUUAGAUAAUGUAAUUUUCAAUUUGUACAACAUUACCUGGCCUUUAGUUCUUCUACUUGAAGAAUAAUAGGAUCAAUAUAAACUCCGGUUGCAAAAUAGAAAAAUGUGUAUAAUGAUCCUACAAAAUGUAAUUAGUUGAAUAGCUAUAGUUUUUUUAUGGUAAAUAGUUAUUGUUAUUGUUAAAAACAUUUAUAAUGAUCAACUUACGCAUAUAGGUCUUGAUCAUCAAUCCAACAAUAGCAAGAAUAGUGUUUGGCUUGUUUUGAAGUAUUUCAUCUUCAUUUAUUUCCAAUGCCAACUUUUCAUAUAACACAACUUUGAUUAUUCAUGUAGAAAUAUUGAUGUAAAAAUGAACUAUAUAUUCAUCAUAGUAAUUGCCUAAGAUUUUGUAGAUACAUGUCCCUUUUUAAGAACAAGAGUACUUUUGUGAUUUAGCUGAACUUUGUUUACAGAAAUUAUUGUUUUCACCACUCUAAUGACAUUUACAAUUUUGGUAUUGAAACAACAUAGUAUAAAAGUUAGAAGUUAAAUAAUUGAAUGCAAUUUGAUUAUGUAGGAUAUUUUCUUUUAAUAUCUGUCAAGACAUUCUCUUGGUGUAUCCUGUCAUGAAGUAUGGUAUACUCUAUAAAGUUAAAAUGAUGAGUAAGAUAUGCAAUUCCAUCUUCAUGAACUUGCUUCACUUCUGUUGCUUUUGAAAAUACAAUCAUCAGAUCGCCAGGCAAAGCAUUGUAGUUGUUUUUGCUUUUCAUAACUCGAAAUUUGUCAAUCAAGCAUACAAAGCCUUCUUUCAGUAUAGAUUUAAAUUGUUGUGCAUUUGAACUUCUAAUCAUUACUUGCAUUACAUUUUUCUUUCAAAGAUAAAUACAAUAAAGUUGUAUUUUAGUAUUUUUAAAAGGUAUAUAGUAAGAAAAAUUUAAGUAAAGGUUUUUAUUUUUAAUAAGUUACCUUGAUAUCGGCAACUAUGAAAUCAAAAUUCAGAAGUGUUUAUGGAUUAUCUAGUGUUGUUGACUACCAGAUUCGAAUGACCUUCACUUUCACUAGUUUUGGUGAUUUAUACAAUUCCAAGUCACUUAGAUAUUGUUGGUCCAUUUCUACUUGUUGUAGUAGACUUUAAUAAAUAUAAUACACCAAUGCAUAAUGUAAAUACAGUAAGAACAAAUGAUGUAAUGCAAAGAAGUUAAAUAUUGAAACCAUGAUGUAAAUCAUUUUUACAAUAAGUUGAUUAUACAAAGAUGGUUAAAUGUAGUGUAAAAUAUUGAGAAAUGAGAGAAUAUAUAACCUGUUCUUUUGACAGAUUAAGAUAAACAAUUGUAGAAUGUAGGGUAACAGUAUAGUGUAAAGAUUCUAUCAAUAUAAACUAGUUACUAAUUUCUAGCAGUAUUUGUCUUUUAUAUAUAAAAUAAAUGGCUAAAGGUUAUCAAAUUCAAUGUAUUUGUUUAUUUAAUGAUGACUAUGUGCUACGUAUAUUGAGAAACAAGUAGACCUUUUUGACUUUUUUAUUUUGUUUAAUAAAUUUGAUGGAUAUUUAUUAUAAUUUAAACAUUCAUGUAUAAAAGAGAUGUCUAAAUUGUACAGAUUCAAGUUCAUGUAGAAUAAGAGGAUAUAGACAGUAAAUAAUAUUUAAUUACAAUUAAUAAAUAUUGAAUGAAUCAAUCCUCUAGGUAUUAAAAGUUAGAAAUUAUUGUUUUCAAGUAGUUUUUACUAAAAUAAAUAAAAGUAAACUAAAAAAUCCUGAAAAAUUUAAUGAUGACAUUUAGUAAAUGUUGUCUUUUAAAUUAAAAUUAGCUUUAAACUGUGCCUUUGUAACCUGUUUAAUUACCUAAUCAAAACAAAUUUAAUAUCUGGAACAUAUGGGAUAAAGCUUAAAAUUGAAAAUGACAAUGUGAAAACCUCUAUAUCUAACAUUCUAAAGCAAUUGUGAUUUUUUUUUUAUAAUUGGGGGAAGGGGAAUUCGAACCUUACUCUUUAGGCAGGGGGAACAUGCAUCACUCAAUGAGCCAAAUGCUCAGGUGCUAAAGCAAUUGUGACUUUGAAGUUUGAUCAAAUAAAGAAAAAAUAUCUAGAAGCAACUAUCUACACAGCUUGACAACUUAGUAAGUUAGUAUAAUUUAUGCCUUACGUGAGCAUUUUAGUGAAUCCAAAUUAGCCUCAAAAUUGAUGAGCACCCUUAAUAAAAUCAAUAUGAAUGUCAAGAGUAAUCAUCAUUAUAACAAAAAUAAGUAAAUAAUGAAAAGAAAUAAAACGGAUAAGAUCCAUGUGCCAACAAAAACAUCAUAAUCUAAUAUAAGCAAAAUAUACUCAUAUCAUGAAAAUCAAAGUAAAAUGCAAAUUUUGGAACAAAAAUUUAAUGCAAUUAUUCUUUUUACCAAAAUUUUUUCUUUUAGAUAGAAUAUUUAUCAUCAUGUAAUAUUACCGUUUCUCUAGGCUCAAGCGCAUUGGUAAUACAUCUUUUCAUUAUCCCAAUGUCUUAGAAGGAAACAUCUUAUGUCCCAACUUCAUUAUUAUCUUCAUUGUUUGUUAUUGCAUAUGUUUUUCUUGUAUAUUUUAUUUCAGCUUAAACAUUAUCAAGCCAUGCAUCCUACAAUAAAAUCCAUGUGGUAGUCAAUAGAAGUUUUGAUAUAAUAAUUUAGAAGCUUUAGGUCAAUAAGAUAAUUUACAUUGAUUUCAUUGUCAUUAAAAUAUUCAACAAAGUUUCCAUCUACAUCAAAUAUCAACCAUACCAUCUAUUAUUGACCCUUUGGAAGGUUUAGGAUAACACUCUUUAUCAGAUAUACCAAAUGGAGGAAUUGAUUGUCUAAUGAUGUGGUGUUUUACAACAUUUUUUACCAUGUUAGUUUCCAAAUUUUACAAUAAUUCAAAGAUUUUAGUUUUAAAUUACUUAAACCCAUUACCUGCUAUCUUGGUCCCAAUAUAAAAACAGUCCUACCAUGUCGAUCAUGAAAAUUUGCUUUAUAUACUUUUUUGGUCUCACCUUCUACUACAACUUCAUGUUGACAACAAUACCAUUCAUGUGGUUAGGUAAAAAUUAAUCUCAGCAACUUAUAGAGGAGCUAUUUAAUAUAAUUAUAUCAAUUAACCACCAUCAUUAACCCUCUUUUAUUAACAUUAAAAGGAAGAAAAAUAUGUUACACAACUUAGUAACUCACCCAACAUAUUUCCUCAAGCUUAUAAAUUAAUCUCCAUUUGCGUGUCUCUUCUAGCAUUUUCUUUGAUUUGUCAACAUUUCGGUUUUGUGCUUCCAAGUAUCUCCUCAAGUAGGCAUCAAUGUCAUACUUCAAACUACGCCCAGAUAAUGGUGCCAAUGCAGCUCUAAGCUCAUUGACUUGCUUUUAUUUUUAUGUAAAAGCAAAUAUUAACCAAAAAGUGAUCACAAUUUAAAGACAGAAUUACACAAAUUUUCACAAAUACUAUUGGUAGGUAGAUCACAUAUUUACUAGUGCAACAUUUCUCAAGAUAAAAAGCAGCGAAGGGAGAUCUUAGUAGACAACACAAAGGUUAUGCCAUAGUUAAAUAUAAAUUCACAAACUAUUUAGACUUUAUUACCUUGGAUUCAUGUUGCAAUGAAUCAUUCUCUUGGUCGUGAUGAGAAUUGCUCCAUCUACUAAACAUCACGUCAGUGUACUGCAUUAGCAUUAUAAGUUGCUACUCAUACUAAUUUGAUCUAUUAAUAGAAAUUAAACAACUUGCAUUGCUUUCAUCUCUGUAGAUUGUUAAGUAUUUUUUAGAUGCUAAAAUCUUCCAAAAGGUGAAGUUUGUGUACCCAAGAAUAAAGACAGCGUGGAGCUCAUGAGAUCAUAUUUUGAUGAGGAAAAUUUGCCAACUGGGUUUGGAAGAAAGGUUGUAUUGCAGUACAACCGUGGAAAAUUCUCCAAACAAAUGAUAUAGGAUAACAUCUGUCACGACCCAAAUUUCAAGCCAUGACUGGCGCAUGGGCCCAAUGGAUGUAGUCCACUAAGCCCAAACAAGCCUAUUAAUUUGACAUGUUCAUCAUUCCGUCAUAAACUGCUAAGUCAUAUAUCAUAACUUAGAAUCAAAAUACUAUUAAGCAUUGCCACUUCAUACUGGCAUACCAAACAAGUGUAUAUACACUGUCUACACAUGUAUCUUAAUAAUUCACAUUAGGUUCGUCUAUACACAACAAAAGGAGACUCGAUGUCCAGCGGAAAGACUCAGACGAAUGUACAGCUACUGAAUGCCGAGACACCUACUAAAAGAUGGAUACAAGUCCACGAGGACACCUCAUCCUAGUUACCGACUGUCUCUUAAUCUGAAAACAUGAAGUUGAAAGCGGUAAGCAUAAACUCAGUGAGUGAACAAGAAAGGAACAAGCAUACCAUAAGGAAUGUUUAUUGAAAUCAUGAUGCACUUAUUUUCUCAAAACAAUGCAAUUUGUUCUAGUUCUUAGUAGAACCCCUCAUGUAAACCCCUCCUGAGUAAAUCACUUAAAAGAUCCAUACUCAACUAUGGUACCAAAGAAUCGAAAAAUAUAGCAAAACCCACAAAUUAGCCAAAAAAGACAAAAAGUUUCUCGCUGCAGUGAACUUUAUUCUCGCUGCAGCGAGAACCAGGUCUGAGGAAGGCCCUCAAACCUGAGAGUUUCUCACUGCGGUGAGAGUGAAAACGUCCAGGAAAAAGUCUCAUUUUCCUUUAAAACAAGCCAUCCUGCUAAAAUAACAAUAGCAACAUGUAACACAUGUAAACUGCCAAAUUUCAACAAAUCAAAUGCUCACAUAUAUGCAUUAACAACCAUAUACCAUAUAUGUAUGUAUAUAUAUAUAUAUAUAUAUAUAUCAAUCAUCAUAUACACCCUCCCAUCAUCAUCAUCUCAUAUGCAACGUCUUAUGCGUACUCCCACUCGCAUAUAGUCAGGUCAGCAACGGCUUAUGUGCACUCUCACUCACACAUAGUUGGGUCAACAACGGCUUAUGUGCACUCCCAUUCACACAUAGCCGGGUCAGCAACGACUUAUGUGCACUCCUACUCGCACAUAGUCGGGUCAGCAACGACUUAUGUGCACUUCUACUCGCACAUAGCUGGGUCCACAUCAACAUGCAAAGAAGCAUCCAAUGCAUAUCAUGCAUUUUAUCAUAUUAUGAUAACACAUAAACUAUUGUAUAACACAUUUUCACAAUAUAAAAUCAUUUUACUAAAAGCUUGUUCCCAAGGUACAUUUUCUAAGACAAGUUGGAUAGAAUCUUUCAUAUUUCCCAAAACAAGUUUGAAAUGCAAGUCCACUCACCGGUAUUCGUUAAGCCUUUAGCCGACUCUUAAUCCCCCUAAUGAUCCAAUUGGGGUGAUGGGGCUUCAUUAGCACCUACUAUCAAAUUAACAUUUCCAUAAUGUCAAUUUACAUACUAUAAACGCUAAAAGUUAUCUUUUAGCUAGCUUUCAAUUGCCAUUUAAAUGGCCAUCCAUUUUCACUUUCCUAUCACUUCAAAGUGAAUUAACAAUCUCAACUACAAAAUAUUCACAAAUCAAAUCUCUAGUCAUUCUCAACACUUAAAACCCAAUACUAGUUUACUACUCACCUUGAUAGCUUUGUAACUUUGAACUUCUUUCCAAAAGCUCUCAAGCUAUUAAUAAAGCUUCCUCUUUCUCUCNNNNNNNNNNNNNNNNNNNNNNNNNNNNNNNNNNNNNNNNNNNNNNNNNNNNNNNNNNNNNNNNNNNNNNNNNNNNNNNNNNNNNNNNNNNNNNNNNNNNNNNNNNNNNNNNNNNNNNNNNNNNNNNNNNNNNNNNNNNNNNNNNNNNNNNNNNNNNNNNNNNNNNNNNNNNNNNNNNNNNNNNNNNNNNNNNNNNNNNNNNNNNNNNNNNNNNNNNNNNNNNNNNNNNNNNNNNNNNNNNNNNNNNNNNNNNNNNNNNNNNNNNNNNNNNNNNNNNNNNNNNNNNNNNNNNNNNNNNNNNNNNNNNNNNNNNNNNNNNNNNNNNNNNNNNNNNNNNNNNNNNNNNNNNNNNNNNNNNNNNNNNNNNNNNNNNNNNNNNNNNNNNNNNNNNNNNNNNNNNNNNNNNNNNNNNNNNNNNNNNNNNNNNNNNNNUUUACCUUUAUUAGCUUAAUCCCUUGAAAUCCCACACUUUUUCUUUAAUUUUCCCGCCUAGGGUUUGUGUUCUUUCCUUUCCUCUUCACUUUAUGCUUUGACCGGCCAUAUGGGUGAGACUAAGAGAGUUUUAAAUAGAUUUUACAAGGAAAUUCUAGAAUAAUCCAAGCUUGACACAUGGCAUGUUUCCAUUGGUCCAUGUGUAAUACUUAUCCAUUAAGCAAUCUCUCUCCAUCACAUAAAAUGUUUCAAUUAUCCACAAUGUAAAAUGUUAAUGGCUUAAAUCCAUGGGCAUGACAAGUGUCAGGUGGUGUAAAAUUCUAAAAAUUUCCAUUUUGUCCUUGGGUGACAAAAUUACCAUUUUGCCCCUAGAUCAUAAAAAUCUUCAAAAAUUUUAUUUCCUUGUCAUUUCACCCAUAUUUUCAUCAUUCAUUUAUGCUUUAUGCCUACUUAAGCCAUAAUAUUGUUUAAAACUUACUUUUAUGGGCUUAUUGAGAAAAUGACGAAAUUAUCCCUUAUUAGGGAUAUCGCGUAUAUUUCUAUCUACGAGUCUAUAAAGGUCAAGGUCUCACAACAUCAAUCCAAGCAAAAUGACAACUUGUCCAUCAUAACCACUGAGGUGGCAAAUUGGGAUUGACAAUAGAGAUAAAUACCAAUGUUUGCAUAUUAAUAAAUGAUGGGGAUUUGGGUAUUUGAAACUUAAAUGCUAAGUAAGAAAGUUGAAACAAAAAAGGGAAUUCCAAGGGGAGUUUAAUUGAUUAACAUAAAAACUUAUCAAUUUUUCAAAAUAGUAAUAUUAAUGCAAUCCACUCAAUCUCAAAAAGGCCCAUCACAACUAUAACCGUACAAAAAAUCAAUUACAAAGGAAAGAAAUUUACAUGUUUAAAAACUCAAAAAGGGGUCUUGCUUCUUGAUCUUCCAAACUCAAGAGAGAAAAAAAGGAAUAGUAGGAUAAUAUAGUAUAGUAUAAGUGUCAUUGACAAAGUCAAUAACUUUCUAUAUCUUCCAAACACAUGCCCAUGAGAAUGUGAUCCCAAAGAAACACAAAAGAAAAAAUUUAUGUAAGUCACUAAUAUCAUUGUCAUUCGAUCUUUUUAAUCACUUAGAAGCAAAACUUCGAAGGACCAUUUUCUCUGAAAACCUCUCAUUUAGGUGAAGAGAACCCAAAUUGGUUCUUUCGUAAAAAGGUAUUGCCCAUUAUUCUUUACAAUGCAAAGUGUGUUUCUUAUUUUUUUUUUUAAAUUGAUUUCGUCAACUAUCAUUUUGAAGAAAAAAAAAACUCUAUUUUGUUUCUCUAUUUCUAAUUCCUGUUGAGUUUUAUGGGAUAUGUUACUUAAAUUUUAGAUAAAUGAAAAAAAAAAUAAGUGCUUUCUGUGAGACCUUGACCUUUAUAGACUCAUAGAUAGAAGUACACGCGAAAUCCCUGAUUAGGGGUAAUUUCGUCAUUUCCUUAGUAAACCCCUAAAAGUAAGAUUUUAAACAAUAUUAUGGCCUAAGUAGGCCUAAGGCAUAAAUGAAUGAUGAAAAUAUGGGUAAAAUGGCAAGGAAACAAAAUUUUUGAUGAUUUUCAUGAUAGGGCCAAAAUGGUCAUUUUUCACCUCGAGUUAGAAUUUUUUAAGUUUUCAUGAACCCGAGCAUUUCUAGACUAUUAUGGAUCUUGUCCCAAUGUCAAAAGAGUAAAAGGAUUGCAUAAAGGAUUGGAAGAGAACAAGCUAAUUUGUGGAAAGGCAUUUUCGUAAUUUAAGGGAAGUGGAUAAGCAUGGGCUAUAAAUAUCUUGUUCUUCCAGCAGCUUCUUCAUUCUCUAGCAGCUUUUCUCCUUCUGCUUCCUCUCAUCUCACGUUGCUUUCAUCCCCCAUGAAAGCUUGAUAAGAAAGCUCCACAAUCUUCCUUAAAAUAGCUCCACUUUUCAUGCCUUGGUGUAAUCCUUUCAUAAACCUUUGUGCUCUUCCACUCUCUCACUUUAAAACCCUUGAAAAAAUCUUAUUUCCACACACUCUCUCACUAGUUAGGUGUUUUAGAGAGAGAAAGAGGAAGCUUCAAAAAUAGCUUGAAAGUUUUGGAAAGAAUUUCAAAUACAAGCUACCAAGGUUCCAAAGAAGCCCCAUCACCCCAUUUGGACAAUUAGAGAAGUAGAGUCGACUAAAGGUUCAACAAGAUACCGGUGAGUGAACUUGCAUUUCAAAAUUUGUUUUGGGAAUGUAAACUUAUUUGCACAAUAUACUUGAAUGAUUUUAUCCAACUUUCCUUAAAAACAAGUGCCUUAAGAGCAAGCCUUUGAUAAAUUGAUUUUAUGUUGUGACAUGCGAUUGUUAUGAAUUCGUGCACUACUACAUUAUGUUGGUAUAUAUAUAGAUAUAUAUAUAUAUAUAUAUAUAUAUAUAUAUGUUGUGUNAUUAUGUUGGUAUAUAUAUAGAUAUAUAUAUAUAUAUAUAUAUAUAUAUAUAUGUUGUGCAUGAUGGUUGAUAUUUUGUGAUGAUUAUAACUGUGUGUGUGCACGAUGUGGGGGGAUGCACAUGCCAGUAAUGAUGGUGGUGAGGGAGAUGGACGAUGAUAGUGCCCAUGUGCAUGAUGUGAGGGGAUGUACACGAUGACAUUGAUUGUGCACGAUGUGGGGGAUGCACAUGAGCUGGAUGUGAUGAUAGUGGUAUUGGUAUUUAUCCAUGUAUGUAUAUGUAUAUAUGUUUAGAGAAUGAAAACUCGUGUAUAUGGUUUAUGGUUGAAAUGCAUAUGAAUUUGGCAUGCUGAACUUUGGAAACCUUUAUGUGUUUUAUGUUGAUUUUGUCAUUUCAGAAGGAUGGCUUUUUUUCUUGAAAGGAAGGAAACUUUUUUCUCACUGCUCUGUUUCUCGUUGCAGCAAGAAACUCUCGGGUUGGAAGGGUAAGGUUGGCUGAAAAUCUCACUGUAGCGAGAAUGUUACUGUAGCUUCUCGCUGUAGUGAGAAACUUUCUGUUUUGUGACAAAAAAUUUUGCUACAGCGAGAUUCAAUCUCGCUGCAGCGAAAAACUUUAUGUUUUGCUCCUUAUUUGGUUUGGUUGCUACCCUAUUUUCUAUUUCUUUAAUACCAUAAUUGAGCAUGGACCAACAUUAAGGAAUAAAUGAAUUAAGUUUAAAAUGAGGAGGUUUGGUGAGAAACCCUCGGCUAGUUGAUAAUUUAAGUCAAGUGUUGCUGUAGCAAAAAUUCAUUCUUGCUGCAGCGAGGAUCCGUCGUUUAUUUGACUUGAUUCGCAUGAAUGCUAUUAAAGUUUUCACUUUCCAAAUCCUUUGUUGAGCAUGGACCCUUUUCAUAAAGUGAUUUACUCAUGUGGGGUUUACAUAAGGGGUUUUAAUAAGAACUAAAACAAAUUGCAUUGUUUUGAAAACUAAAUGCAUCAUGAUUUCGUUAAACAUUCCUUAAUGUUUGCUUGUUCCCUUCUUGUUCACUCACUGGGUUUAUACUCACCGUUUUCAACUUCAUGUUUUCAGAUUAGGAGGUAGUUAGUAAUUAGGUCAGGGUGACCUCGAAGAUUCGACUAUUGGUAGGUGUCUCAGCAUUCAGUAGCUGUACAUUUACCCCGAGUCUCUUGUUGGAAAUCGAGUCUUCUUUUUGAGAUGUAUAGACAACCCUGAUGUAAAUUAUUAAGAUACAUGUUAUAGACAAUUUAUAUAUAUAUACUUGAUUGAUAUGCCACUAUGAGUUGGCAAUGUUUAGUAUUAUUUUGAUUCAAAGUUAUGAAAUAUGACUUUAGUAAUUUUGAUGGAGUAAUGAGCAGAUCAUGUAAAUAGGCUUGCUUGGGCUCAGUGGGCUAUGUCCAUUGGGCCAAUGCAUCGGUCAUGGCCCGGAAUUUGGGUCGUGACACUUUCUUUUGCUAAGUUUUUCAUCAGAAUCCCUGGUGGCACACUUUAAAUUUCUAUCCAAGAGUAACUAUUCAAAAAAAGUUCAAAUUAGAAAGGCAAUAGAAAAAACACCUAUCUUCCCUUUUUCAUGCUCUAAGACAACGUUUCUCUACAACAAAGAAAAGAACUGAAACUAUCUUUUUACAUGAAACUCUAAAUUGUUGCAAAAGAUUCACAUUGAAACUGAAAUAAUUGGACAAAGUCAAUCCAAGCAAAAUUACAACUUGCCCAUCAUAAGAAAUGCUUGAUGGGAAAAUCAGUCAAUUAAAAAGCAAAAAAUUGACAAAAAAAAAAAACCAAGAACUAAAACACAAAUAUUAAGAUAAUCUUUUACCUUGACUAUUCAUUCAAACUACAUAAGGGAGACAUAGAUAGAGGAAAGACAAGUGGCAGUGUGGCGUCAAAAUAAAGAGUGGGAAGAGAGAGAAAAGAGGUAUUGGCGGAGGAGAGAGAGUCUAACGACGGUUGGGAGGCUAAUCGUCAAAAGUAAAGAUGCCAAAAAUAAUAAAAUGAGAAUAAGAAAAUGGGAUAGCAAAAACCAAGGCUAAGAGAGGAACCGACUCAGUCUGGGAAAAAAGGAAAUGCCAAAAAAACCAUUCAAAUGCCAAAAACACUGCCAUUUUGGCAUAAGAUGUAAAAAAAAAUUCAAUUGAGAAUGACAAGUGUCAAGCAAUUGACCCAAUCAAUUAUCUUACUUUUAUAUAUAUUAUAGAUAUAUUGGCUAGAGACUUUAUUGGUGUAGAAAUAUAUAUUAUAGAUAUGACAAGUGUCAAGCAAUUGACCCAAUUAAUUAUCUUACUUUUAUAUAUAUUAUAGAUAUGUUGGCUAGAGACUUUAUUGGUGUAGAAAUACAAUUUUGUAACCUUGUCUAAUGGUGUGACCAAUUUAAGUAGGAUUGUUCAAUAAUAAAAUUUCUUUUAUAAAUUAUCCUCCAAAUCAUGAGGGAUUAAGGAUAUUAUAAAUUUUUAUCUCAAGUUUACAAGAAUUUCUUUAAACCCACCUUUUUUCCCUAUAAAGCAAGAAAGGUUUUUUUAUUUAGUUUCCUUCUUUCUUUUCAAGUAAAGGCAAAGCCAUUAUUUCAACCUUAGAGUCGAGUUAGCACUUAAGCAUUUGACUCUUUAGUUGGAGUAUGAUCCACUUGCUUAGAGAGUAAGGUUCGAAUCCCUCUUCCUUCAAUUAAAAAAACCAAAACCUUACAGUCGAGUUAAAAAUUGUUGGGAAACCAAGCAAACAAGAGGUCAUUCAUGCAACAAAAUUUAAAUUUUUUUCUUAAAAACAAGAAUAGUUUUGAAUUGUUUAACAUAUAUUACCUAAAUUACAAGGAAUAAGACAAGUAUACCUUUAAAAUCUUAUAAGUCGGAAUCAACAAGGUUCUAAACCCUUGAAUGUUGGAAUCUCCAAGAACCAUAAUUAGGGUUGUAACAAAUCACAAGUUGUCCAAGUAUUCAACCUGCAAUGGUAAUUUUAUUGAAAAAAGGCAUGCAUUCAUAAUACAUAUGUAGUGAAAAUUAAAAUUUUUUUUCCUUUAAUAAGAUCAUUCUUUGGUUUAUUUAAUAUAAAAGAAGUAACUAGAGGAGAUGGAUUAUUAUACCUUUAAAACUUUGGAGUCAAAAUGAAAAGGUUAUCAAACCUUAAAUCAAUUUCCUCUUGCAGACCAAGCUUGCAUUGUAAUAAAUCACAAGCUGUCCAAACAUUUAGCAUCUAACGAAGACCUACACAAAUGUCAAUUGUGAACAACUCCAUAAAAAGGUUAAAGCUACUUAUGCUUUCUAAGGUCUAGCACUAACUAAAGAAGGCACUCUUGGUUUCUCAUUUCUCUAAGGGAAUCCCAAAAACGGCUAAAAACCAAAGGAGGAAGAAUACAAAAUGAUACCUAGAGUUUUGAAGCUGAAAACUAAUUCAUAAGGUUUCCUAUAUAGGACUAUUGGUACCAAGGUCAAGGUUAUAAAAGGCUAUUGAUUUCUCUCCUUUCUUAUCUUCCUUAUCUCUCAAGGUUUGGAUGUAUUACCUUUAAUUUGUAGCAUAAGCAUUGUAUUUAUAGACAAUUGUAAUCCAAAACGGUUUAACAUAACUUUUAUGUCAAUUACCAAAAUUGCCUAUUGUUUAUUGAACCAUUCAAUUAAACCUUUGAAGCUCCAAACAUUUUUCAAUUAAAUCCAACUUAAUUUCUCCACCUUUACAUUCUCAAUUGUCACUCUAUGAUGUGUGUGACCUAUAAGGUUCUUAACAUGUUGGUAAUAGAUACAUAAUAUAAUCCUAAGCAAAAUAGAAUUAUAUGGAUCAAUGCCCUUUGCGUUCAUCAUUAAUUCCAAAUUGAUUAUUUCAUAUUCAUAAGUCAAAAUUUAAAUCUAGCCAUAUAUCAUGACUAUCCAAAUAUUAAAAAGAGUUAGAGUGGUUUGACUCAUCCCUUUAAUGCAUAAUCUUACCAUUUAAUUAAUAUCAUUUCGUCAUUCAAUAUCUUGACAAGUUAGAGCAUGGUAUAGUGUUUACUCUUUUUUGUCGUAUUAACACUUGAAGCAAGUAAUCAACUUAUUCUUAUGAGAAUCGAAAAAAUCUUUUGCCAAUUACUCAUCAUGCCUUGACUAAGGGUUUCCCUGAGCCAUUACAUGUCAAGAUACGAUAGGAUAUUCCCCUUAGUUUCACUUAAGGUGAUGAAUCUUGUAUUGUUCAUAGAUUUACCUUUAUAUGUUUCAUGCUUUUGGAAAAAGCCAUACAAACCAUUUACAUACACAACAAAAAAUUAAAAACUUUAUCCUUAAGCAAGAUCAUAUUUGAUUGUUUAAUGUAGAUUACCCUAAUCCCUUUGUGCAUUUGAUGUUGAAAUCAAGAGACCUUGAACUCCUAGGUAUCAAAUACCAUCUCAUCAAGCGUAGGUUGUCACAAACCUCAAGUUGUACAAGUGUCCAACCUCUAACGAUGAUCCACACUAAUUCCAAGCUUAAUAACAUCAAAUGUGUUGAGGUUUGCUUAUGCUAGUUAGCCUAAUGCCUGUAAGGUACAUAAGGUUUCCUCACUUCCCAAGUGAAUCCUGAAACAACCAACAAGGAAAAGAGGAAGAGAAGUUAACUUUAAGAAAGGCACAUAAAAAUCAAUUUCCAAGUAUAUGCAACUUGUUUGCUAAUAUGCAAGGAUUUAUAGGCUUGUGGACUUGCAAGAUUUGCUCUCUAAGGUUUUCAAUUCUUCUGAUAUUCUCUCAAGUCAUAAAUGUGAUUGUCCUGCCUAUCAAGUGUACAUAAAGUAGUAUUUAUAAGCAACUUAACCUAACAUAACAAUUAUAUUAAUUACAAAAUUCCCUAAAAUAAAUUGAACCCUUUAAAAGAAUCCUUUAAAGUUCAAUUUUUUUUUUUGGAAUUAAGUCCAACUUAAUUAGCCCAUUUUACAUGCAAUCUUGUCACCUUUUGUGUGUGUGACCCAUUAGAUUCUUAUAUGAAUAAAACUAUAAUCCAAAGCCAAUUAAGAUAAAAUGAAUCAAACAAUUUGCAUUCAUCAUUAAUUCCAACAUUGAUUAGCUUAUAUUUAUAUUUCAAGAUUGACAUAAAGCAAUGUGUCAUGACUACCUAAAUAUCAAGAAAAGUAAAAAAUGUUUUACUUAACUCUUCUUUGCCCAAUCUAUCAGUGAAUUCAAGUUUUCAUCAUCCAUAAUCCUAAUAAGACUCAGAGUAUAGUGUACUAUAUACCCUAUAUUUGUCUUUAUCAUUUUAGUUCUUGAAGUUUUUUUUAACUCCUUAAUGAAAUUAAAAAAAUACAUUUUCUGAAUCUUCAUUCUACCUUAGCCAUGGAUUUCCUUGAGUUAAGACAUGUCAAAAAACAAUAGAAAUCUUUCUUAGGAUCACUUAGGGUAAUGUAUCCAUUAUUGAUCAUUCAUUCAUCUUUAUGUCCUUCAUGCUAUACCCAAUGUAUAUCCCAUUAUACAUCUUUAGCUAGGACUACCUAAAGUAGUAUUGAUAACUCUAUGAUAUAGAGUUAUUUGGACUUAAUAUUGAUAAUAAUUUAGCUUAGUUCUUGUAGUAAUGCAUAAAAAUUAUUGAGUUUUAUUUAAUUAUUUUAAAUUAGUUAAUUAGGUGAGUCAAUCUAAUUUUAGUUAAAUUUAUGCUUAAAUUCGUGUCUAUGUGCCUAAGAUAUGUGAUUAUUGGUUAAUUUGCUGAUUUGUAAGUGUGCAAUUAAAAUGGUGAAAAGUUGUCAAGUUAGGUGUUCAUGAGAUGUACAUCUUCAUUGCACAUGUCUCGGUAUUUUAAUUAUAACUUUUUCUACAAAACUCUAAAUGAGAUGAUUCCUAGACCAUUGGAACGAUAAGAGAAAAAUAUACAACUUUCAUGUUUUUUACUUUUCCCAGUUAUGAUUGGAAGGUGGUUUAAAUCUUUGUCAAAGUUGAAAGAUUGUAUUAGGAGAGUGGAAGUCAAGAUAGAACAAUGAGAGCUGCGGCUCUGGAUGAUGAUGGCCACUAUGCUGAAAAGGACAAGGAAUGUGGAGACCAACAUAGAGAAGUGAGGGUCGCAGCUCUAGGGAAUAAGAGUUGCGGCGCUUGAAGAAAAUACUAUAAAAUCCUUUUUUGAUUAGACUUCUUUUUUUUACAUGAACUUAUACCCUAUUUAAGCAACCUUUUAGAAGACUUCCAAAGGAAUGAAACACCAGAUUUAAAGCUGAGAUUUAUCCACAAAAAAUCAUUGAAAAAAGUCUCAUUGGAGCUGAGAAGAAAUUAAAAGAUUCAAGAAGAUCGAGGAGAUAAAACCUUGCACUAUUGGAAUUUUUUAUCUUUUUGUUAUUCUUAUAUUUACUUAGUUUGGUUUUUGUAAAGCCUGACCUUAUAAAAUACUUGUCAUGACAUACAUGUGAUGGAUAGCAUGUUUGCAUACUAGAAAAGUCCUGAAGAAUUUACAAAAUGCGGUAUUAUACCUAGAGGUACAACAAAGUUAAUUUAAGCCUCGAACUAGAUCAAAUAGAGAUUUUAGAGUGAAAUCAAAAUUUUAAAGUCCCAAAAUGACUUAGAAUGGUGAUUCGGAGUUCGAGAACCAAUUUGGAGUCAAAUUGAAAAUUUCACUAUCUAGGGGUAAAAUGGUAAUUUUGCCACUCGAGGACAAAAUGGGAAUUUUUUUGAAAGAUUUUGAUCAUAUUUGACUUAUUGGAGUAUGAUUUGAGGUUGAGAAGUGAAAAAUUUGUAAUCUCGAUAUUUUUCAGAGCAUAGGGGUAAAAUGGUAAUUUUGUCACCCUAAGGGCAAAAUUGUAAUUUUACACACCCAACACUUGUCCAGCAUAUGGAAUGUACCUAAUUUUAUCAUGGAUAAUUGAGGAAAUUUAAGUGGUGAAGAGAGAAAGCUUAAUAGUUAAGAAUUAAAAAUGGACCAAUGAAAUGGUGACACAUGGCAUAUUUAUAACCAUUAAAUAUUUGGCUUAUAAAUUAACACAAAUCAGCCCAUUUUCUCUUCAUAUGGCCGGCCAAACCAAGAGCAAAGGAAAAACAAAGGGAGAAAAGAAAAACAAGAACCCUAGGUUGGAAAAUUCAAAGAAAAAUUGGUGGAUUUCAAGGAAUCAAGCAAUUAAAGGUAAAAUUUCUUGAUUUUGACUUGUGAUCUACCUUUUCCAUGCAUUUCUCCUUAUUUUUCAUGGUUAGAUUUCAUGUUUUCAUUAUGAAUUCAUGGCUGAUCAAAAUGGGUAUGGAGAGAGAAAAAUGUUGGAUUGAUUUGAUUUUAAGUUAUGUUAGUGUUUUUAGUUAGUUUAGCAUAUUUAGAAACAAAACAACAAGAAAAGAAUUCAUUUUCCCCCAUCACCAUCAUUGGCCGAAUUUUCUAAGGAGGAUAUUGUGGCUGAAAUUGAUGAUAUUUCAUGAUAUUUUGGUGAUAUUUGAUGUUUGGUGAGGCUAGAAAUUAAAUGAGAAAUUUUGGUGUGAAAAUCUGAAUAUUUACCUAAUGUAUAGACAUGAGUGAUUAUUGAUUCGGGACUAUAAAUUGAAUCUCAUUCACAGUCACUAAGGUAAUUUAGGUAUAAUUGGAGUGUAGAAAGUGAAAGAAAUUGAUUUGGAGUUAAAUUGGAGGUUUUAGCCAAUUACACCAAGAAUAGUGCGAAUUAGGUUGAAUACCGUAUUUAAACGGCUAUUCGAACAUUUUGCAUCACAUUUCGUGCAUUCAUAUAGAUUUAUAGAGCCUGAAAUAGUUUAUGAUAAAUUGAUACAAUUUAUUGAAAUUCGUGUCACGUAUGAUGUAUAGGUGGUGAGCCCUCUAACAAAGGUAAAGAGAUUGUGCCCGAAGAUCGAGAAUAGGAGUAUAUCGAACUCCUAGUACUGUGAGUAACCUUACCAUCAUUUUAAUUAUCUAAAGUAUGUUUUUAAUCGAUUUUGGUGAAAUUUUAUGAAAAUGAGUUUAAAUGGUAAAUCUUUGUGUUUUACAAACAAAAUGUAUUUACAUGAAAGGAUUUUAUAAAUUGUCUUGAAAUUGAAUAAUGAUUUUGAAAAAUAGAGUAAUUGGAGACCACUUGUUAUGUUGUAAAAUUUAUUAUUUGAAUUGAAUGGCUUAUGACAAUAUUUGCAUGAAUGGCUAAAUUGAUAUUUGUGUUGAAAUAUAUGAAAUGUGUAUUUAGCCUUGAAAGGUUGUGAAUUACAAUAAUUGUCAUAUCAUGUUAUUGAAUUUUAUUGAUUGGUGGGAUAAUUAUUAGCUUACUGCAGUAGACGGAUUUUCGUGGACUAGCCUAUUAGAGGGGUACGGUAAACCCUGUUAUAUUUUAUCUUGGUUUGAGAGGUGAGUCAAGUAACUCCCGAGGUAUAACUUUUAGAGUUCACUUCACGUCAAACCACCAUGUGAGGGAGAACUCGGCCAAUGCCAAGGAACGACUAUAUUUUUAAAAUAAAAACAUGUUAAUGCGUACGUAACUUUUUAAUAGCCUUGGCCAACUCAGUUUGGGAUAGCCCUCGGCCAAGGUAUCCCUGAUAACUGAGUAUGAGAAUAAUUUUGGUACGAGCCAUGCUUUUAAGAAAUUCAUAAGCCAUACUAAUUACUUGAUUUAAAUAAAUCGAUUUCAUUUGGUUGAAAUAAGUUGAAAGGUGAUAAAUUACAGUUUGAUGAAAUGUUUUAAUAGUCUCAUUUUACUCGACUUUAGAUAUUUUGAAUGAUGUUUGUUUACUCACUAGGAUUUCAUAAUCUCACCACCCUUAUUUCCACCCAGUUCAUGCUCAGAAUAGAUUGUAGAUAAUUGAUAUCGGUGAGGACUACAGUUGGACUUGCCACAUCCAAAAACUGCAGGUUCAUUUUUUUUAUACUUUUAAUCAUUCAUGGGCCCAUGUGUCACUGUAAAUUAAAUUUUAUACUUUGGUUAUCUAUAUUACAACAUGUAUGAAUUUAUUUUGCUUUUACGCUGUAAAAAUUAUUUACAGAGUAUUCUAAAAAUAUUGUUUUAUUAGAAAAUUGAAUAUUUUAUUCUAAUAGUCAUAAUUUCAUUUUAAAUGAAUGUUUUAGACAUCCAAAAUUAUUUUUGAUUAUGAAAUAUGUGUUUUCCACUUAUAUACUACAUUUUUAAAUGAUUUUGAGAUUUUUGGGAAAAAUGACCAAAAUACCUCUAUGAGACAAAAAUUAUUAUUUUAUUUGUUUUAAGUUGAAAACAGCUUAAAAUCUUUUAGAAAACGAUAUUUAGCAACGGUUACUCACAGGGGAAAUAAGAAGUUGAUAUUAAAGCCUUACGGGGUUACAGUUGACAUUCUGGGUAAUGAGUGUCGAUCGGGACGACGUGGCGGUUGUCACGGGCUCGAAGGGAGUACCGAGUCGUGAUAGUUUUAAUGUUUAAACUUUUUUUGAUGAUGAUUUGGGAUAUUAUGGAGAAGUAAUUUAGUUAUCUAAGAUUAUGAUUGAAAUCAAUACAUAGUCUGAAUUAUUUAUCUCUCUUUUACUUAUGUUUAAUGAUUUUAAGUUGUUUAUUCUAUCAUGUUCUUAAUCCUUCUAAUUGUUUGAUCAACAAUUAGAUUGAUCUGGAAACCUAAGUUAAGCCUUGACAAAAAAGAUUUAGGGUAGACCUUGAAUAGAAUAGCGUAUGAUCAAAUGCACUUAGUUGAUUAGGUGGUUUGAUUUGCAUAUAAGGUAGACAUAUAACUAUAACUCAUACGUAGCUAGGAUUAGAGCACGAACUUAAUGAAUCUUCUUCUAUUUAAUUUGCAUAUAUAUAUAAUAAGCUACUUGCAAGAGAUAUUUUUAUAAGAAACUCGACAGAGACUUGUAAAUAAUUUAAGACUCUAAGUUAGCAACUUAAUCCAUUAAACUAAGUUAAGAGAAAGAGAUAAUAAUCAGAUGAAGCAUUGAAAGAUAUCAUAAUCUUAGAUCUGGUAGUUAAUUGAAUUUUCUAAACAAAUUUGUUGAUUAAUUGUAAAUUAGUUUAGUUUUAAGUUUGUUAGAUUUAAUUUUGCUUUUUAAUAAUUUAAUUUGUAUUGUUUGGAUAAAAUUAGGUUGUGUUAAUUUUAGUAAUUAACAGUAAGAAUUAAUUCAAUUUUCUGUAGAAUCGACACUCUACUUAUUAUUAUAUUGUCUGUUUGAUAUGUAUACUUGCGUGGGUAGAAAAUUAAACAAGUUUUUAGCGUCGUUACUAGAAAAUUGAUUUUUAAUUCUUUCUUGUUAAUAUUAAUACCAAGCAUUCCUAAUCUUACUUCAAACUUUUUCUUUUAAUUUUCAGGUACUAUUGGUCAUUAUAUGUGAAGCACCAGAAAUUUGGAAAUUGUUCGUUUUGAUUCAAAAAUUGAAAAAACUUUUCAAAGACUUUAGAGGAAAAAGCAACAAGUUUCUACUCCAAGGAAAACAAUGGCUGAUUAACAAAGGGAAAAGACCAAGUCUUUGAGGGAAUAUGUUGUCCCACUGGUACAAGGUCUCCACUCUAGUAUCCAAAGACCUCCUAUUCAAGCCAACAACUUUGAAAUUAAACUAGCCAUUAUUCAGAUGAUUCAGACUUUUGUUUAUUUUAGGGGUUGGCCUAAUGAUGAUCUUAAUGCUCAUAUUGUGAAUUUCUUAAAAAUUUGCGACACAUUCAAGGCUAAUGGUGUUUCUAAUAAUGCCAUAAGAUUGAGGUUUUUCUUUUUCUUAAUGAGAGAAAUAGCAAAGAGCUGGUUAAAUUCGCUUCUUACUAGUUCCAUUAAUACUUGAGAUAAUUUGGCUUAGAAAUUCUUAGCAAAAUUCUUUCCACUUGCCAAGAUAGCAAAGAUGUGGAAUGAUAUCACCUCUUUUAUGCAGUUUGAUUCUGAAUCACUAUAUGAGUUUUGGGAGAGGUACAAGGAUUUGUUAAAAAGUUGUCCUUACCAUGGGUUACCUAAGUGGCUGUAAGUUUAGACUUUUUAUAAUGGGUUGUUAAGACCUAUUAGAACCACCAUUGAUGCUAUAGCUAGAGGUGCACCUAUGGGUAAGUCCAUUGAUGAGGCUUAUGACUUGCUUGAGAAAAUGACUUCUAAUAACUACUAGUGGCCAUCAGAAAGAUUAGGUGUAAGAAAAGUUGCUGGAGUUCAUGAGCUUGAAGCAAUUAAUGCUUUGACUUCAUAAUUGGCUUCUCUUAUAAAGAAAAUUGAUAAAUUGAGUUAAUGUUGUUCAGAGCCGCUUUGUGACUUGUGAACUUUGUGGAGAAGGUUAUUCCAAUGAUAAUUGCCUUACCUAUUCUAAAUUUUGUCAGUUUGUUGGAAAUAAGCAACAAAACAACAAUCCCUAUCCCAACACUUAUAAUCUCGGUUGGAAGAAUAAUCCUAACUUCUCAUAGAGCAACAACCAAUGAUCUUCAUUAACAUCUAAGCUAAACUUGCCACUUGGAUUUCCACCUAGAGCUCCUAUGCUAGAGAAAAAGCCUACAAUGAAGGAGAUGUUCAUGCAAUUCAUGGCAAAGACAGAUGCCUACAUGAUAAAGAAUAACGCCUUGAUGACAAAGACUGAUGCCUACAUGACAAAGAAUAAUGACAUCAUUUAAAGUCAACUAGCAUCAAUGAAAAAUUUUGAGAUACAAGGGGCCAACUUGCUAGUGCUAUCAAUAAUAAACCUCAAGGUACCUUACCAAGUGACACAAAGCCCAACUUAAGAAGAGAAGGUAAAAAACAUUGUCAAGUAAUUGCUCUCUAAAGUGGAAAAAAGAUAAAUAAAGAAGUAAGUGGUAAGGAUUUAAGUUCUGAAAUUUCAAUUCAAUUUGAUGAAAAAGAAAUUGAAAAAUAUGCUAAAAAAUAAAUUGUGGUUGAAAAAUCUAUUGAAAAGUCAAAAAAAGAAAAAUCACAAUUAAAAACUACUCCCACGCCUCCACCACAUUUUCCUUAAAAAUUUUAAAAAAAAAAACUUGAGAAACAAUUUUAGAGAUUUCUUAUUGUGUUUAAAAAGUUGCAUAUUAAUAUUCCUUUUGUCAAAGCUAUGGAGCAAAUGCCAAGAUAUGUUGAAUUCAUGAAAGAUAUCCUAUUUAUAAAGAAGAAAUUGGGUGAGUUCGAAAAUGUAGCACUUACUGAGGAGUGUAGUGCCAUUAUUCAGAAUAAACUUCCUUCAAAACUUAAAAAUUCAAGUAGUUUUACUAUUCCUCACACUAUUGGUACUCUUUGUUUUGCUAUAACUUUAUGUGAUUUGGGUGUAAGUAUAAAUUUGAUAUUACUGUCCAUUUAUAAAAAAUUGGGCUUGGAAGAGAUUAAGCCAACUUUUGUGACUUUACAGCUUGUUGAUCGAUCCCUCUCCUAUCCUUGUGGCAUUAUGGAAGAUGUUUUGGUGAAAAUUGGUAAGCUAGUUUUCCAGUAGAUUUUAUUAUACUUGACAUGGAAGAAGAUUAUGAAAUAUUGAUCAUCCUUGGGAGACCAUUCUUGAGAACUGUCAGAGCUUUAAUUGAUGUGGAAAAAUGUGAGCUUACCUUAAAGGUUGAAGAUCAAAAGGUAACAUUCAAUAUUUUAGAGCUUUAAAAUUUUUCAUUGAACAUGGUGAGUGUUUCUCAAUUAAUGUGGUAGAUAGCAUUACUAAUAAUGUGUUUAUUGAGAAUUAUUCUAAUGAUCCACUUGAAGCAUGUAAUAAAGAUUAUAUUAUCUUAAUUAAGUUUAUUGGUCAAAUUUUAAAAAUAUGGCCACCUAAUUAGAUUAGGCAAAUUUAAUUAAGGAAAGUUUUACUAAUUUGUUGGAGAUUCUAGUAAAAUUAGUAAUCUAAAAUUAGUAAGAAUAUAAACACAAAAUUAUAAAAUGGAUAAAACUAAUUCCUAAAAAUGUUUAGGACUCAUGAUCAAAUUUAGAAAGUUUCUUAAUUUGAUUAGGACCAAAUUUGGAAAGUUUCCUAAACUGUUAGGACAAAUUUGGUAAGUUUCUUAAAAUGUUUAAGGCGUAUAAAAUGAUCAUAAAUCCUUUUUAAAAUGUUUAGGAUGGAUUUCUAAAUUAGUGAAGUUUCCUAAAUCGUUUGAGAUUUUAAUUAAAAAAGUUGAAUUAAAAUGAACGUACUAUUCUAAAAUAAAUUCAAAUGAGAUUUGAAUUGGCUAAAGUUAUUAAUUAGAUUACUCUCUUUAGUGAGUGAUUUCAAAUAUGUGUUUUCCAAAUCAUCUUUUAUAUUAGAGGACAUCAAAUUGUUUAAACUUUUAUCUUCAAAUGUUGAAUGAUAAUUUUUGAAUGAAAUGCAAGAUCAUCAUCAUAAAGAACAUGUCUACUUUUACAUGUUCAUAAUUAGAUUACGGAUGUAUGAGGAUGGUUAUGGACUAUAGACCCAAUGUGAUUGUGGAUGUUUGGUUAAAUUGCUAUUUAUGGUUAAAUUGCUAUCUUUUAUUCUCUAGAUUUGUAAAAUUCUCUCAUCAUCUUACUCUCCUUGAAUAUAAAAUAAGGUUUCUAAAUUCUCUUAUAAUUUGAAAAUAGGAUUAGAUUAGGAAAAGAAUUUUGUAAUCCAAAGAUGGAGAUCUAAAGCACCAUGAAGAUUAAAGGAGGAUGCAAGCUAAGGCUUAUAAUGCAUAAUGUAUUUUAUCACUUUGGAUUUGACCAACAAGUUUCCUUUGGUGACUAAAGGAAACUAGAGUAGAAAAGUUCACAAUCAUCUUAGUAGAAUAGCAUAUGAUAGAUUUACUUUAUGCGAUAAAUUAAAUGCUAUACAUGUUAAAUAAAUGAAACCCGAAAAGAAAUAAUAAAAUCCCUCAUGAAAUAUUGAGUCACAUGCCACGUAUGAUCAAGAUGCUUUACACCUUCAUAGAAAAAAUUAGAGUUCUUCAUAUCAGAGACUUGUUGAGUAAACUCCAGGUCAAACAUUAUUAAGAAUAUGUUUAUACUAUGAAAGGUGGGUCUUACUUAACUAGUUUUAUAAAAUCUGAAUGCUUAGAAACUUGAUUAUUAUGAAACUAGAGGCAAUGACUAGGCGAAACAUUUACGAUAUGUUUUGGCAAAGAGUUGCCACCACCUAAUUGAAUCUAUGAGUCACAUAAGUGAUGUGAUCAAUAAGCUAAAUUAUCCACCUAACUAGGCUUAUCAUGGCUUGUUGGGCAAACUUAAGGUCAUGGUAAGUUGAACGGGGUUCUAGCCCAUUAGAAAGAUUCUAGUAAAGACUUUUUGAAAUGACUUUGAAGGUUAUCAUUUUAAAUAAAAUAGUGGGAGAGCUAUUUAAAAUAUUAAAACCUUAUUUUAAAUAGUCCAUGCAUAAUAUUUACAAAUCAUUUAUUUAUUAAGGCUUACUUAUAUACAUUGCUAUGGCUAAAAACCUAUCACUCCAGAGCAUCUUGGAUGCAAAGCAAACCCACUAGACCAAACCUAAUGGAAUGUUACUAAGAUUGAAGAAUUGCUCUCAAGAAAAAGGUUGUUUAUCUGUAGUAAGCUUUGCCAUAAACCCUUGUUGAGGUCAAUGGAAAUAAAGCAUGGAAUGCUCAUUAAACUCAUUAAGCCACAUAUAUGAUAUUGGCUACUAUGACUCCAAAGCUUCAAAAGCAACAUAAGAACAUGUAUGCUAAAUGUAUGACUUUGCAAGCAAAAAAAUUGUUUUAUAAAAAAGGUCAUUCCAAAUAAAAUCAUAUGAACUAUAUAGUAUGAGAUAAUAUCGAAAUUGUUUUUAUGUGGAAAAAAAAGAUAAUUUUGUUAGAACUAUGAUUUAAGGUUGCUAUGCUUUGCAGUGAAGUUAGAGUAACGAGAUUUUGUUAUGAGUAAUGAACUAAUUUUCGAUUUAGUUAUAUAGUCUCUACCAAAUCUAUUCAUAGUUAAAAAUGAAUUUCCAUUUGAUGGAACUUUCAUUACCUUAAUUAUUGAAUACGAAAGACAAUUACAAUAAGGACACAAGCUUGGGAAGUGUUCUCAAGUAUCUUUAUGGUAAAGAUGGACAAAUAAGGAACUAAAGUUGUUUCCUUGACAAAGUUAAACAAGAAAAAACUUAUAGAAAUUUUGCUUUGACCAAGUUCAUGAUUGAGCCAUGAGUUGCUAGUAUUGUACCAACAUCAUAAGUAUUUAAUAUUAGAUGUGGGUUACAUUUAAGUAAUGACUAAAGUGUUAAACAAUAGUAGUAAAUCACUGUUUAAUAUAAAUGUCAAGAAAAACUUAUAAUCUCAUAUGAUCUCGAUUAUAGCAUUGGAUUCUUAGUCAUUAAAGUAAGAAUUGAAGUAUGAAGAUAAUUAGAUCCUUUUGAUUUGGUAUCACUAGGAGGUAGUAAUUCUUAUCUACAUGACUAAAUCAUUUUUCAUGUAAAUUGAAUGACUUGGUAUGUUUUAAAGGUCUUAUACAUAUAGAUGUAUAUGAACCAUUAAACAUAAAAUGUUAUGGAAAUGUUCCUAUUUCAUUAAGUUUACACAAGACCAAAUUAAGAUUUUGUCCUGUAUACUUAUAGAAAUAUAAUUUGGAUUGUUUGAAAUGUUCAUAGAAUUAAAAGUACUCUUAUUAAGAUCUUAUAUUAAUAAGGACUACUCUUACUUGUAAUUAAUUGAUUGAUUAAGGAUGAAUGUAGAUUCAUAAUAAAUGGAAAAUUCUUAUGAAUAGAACAUAGAUAUGUUUAUUCAAAGAAAAAAAUGAAUUCAUAGAGUGAUAUAAUUCGGUCCAUACUUAUGUAAUACGUUAAGUCCGUUAUAACAUUCCAAACUAAUAAGAUUAUAAUACAUAUGUAGCUUCGUGGAAUAUUCAAGAGGGUUUGAAUAUUACUCUCACCAAGAAUCUUAGAUUUAGUGGGAGCAUGAUGAUACUUGGAAAGAAGUUUUUUAAGUAUCACUUAGUUAUAAAGGAAUCCAACAUUUACGAUUUUACAUAAAGAUGUAUAAUCUAUAUGUUUUCAAUGUAUAAUAACUCUAUGGAUUUAAUAAGAUACAUUGAAGAUGUAUUAUUUAUAUUAGAUGUAUCUACUAAAUAUGACUUUGUCAUUGAAGUUGUAUACUUCAUUUUGUCAAAAGUAAUCUAAAAGAGUUGGAUUUGAAAGAAUGUACGAAUGUAUUUGUCUCAUACACAUAAGGAGAUUAGUGGGAGUGAAUUUAAUUCUUUGGUAAUACAAUUACAUGGAAUGCAAUGUGUAUAUAAAGAAGCUGUCAAAAUCUAAAUGGAUUAAGUGGCACAAUGCAAAGUGACAUGUGCAUAUGAUGCACAUAACAUUGUCCAAUUGGAAUGGUUCCAAGGUUUAAAAGGGACUACUCAUGUAUAUAAUGACAUAUACAUCUUAUUACAAAAAGCUUUAAUAGAAGAAUAUUUAGAUCAUUAGUUCUUAGAACUAAUAAAGGGUUCAAAACAUCGUCAGUGUAACAAUAGAGCCAUAUCAAUAGAACACAAGUCUCAUGUUAGCUUUAAAAUUAUUAUAGUUUUGAUUAUGACAAAAUGAUCAAAUUUUGCUUGAACAUUAUUUGAGUAAUCCUUGGUAAUUUUUUGAAAUGAUUUAACUCCCAUACAUUUGUUCUUACAUAGACACAAACUUGACUCUUGAAGUUAUUGAACUAUAUCUAUGAGCUUGCAUGACUUAGGUGUAUGAGUGUUUAUGAUUCUCAUUCAUUAAAGUCUAAUUUAAAGAUUAAAGGAAAAUCUAGAUGCACUCAUUAAGGAGGAGUUUUGAAUAUCUUGUUCGAUGAUGAAAAAGGAGAGAAUAAAGACUAAAUGAAAUAGAGUUUAAUAGGUCUUCAUGUUUAAUUUAUGUGUGUGAUGCUCAGUUUUGGUUUUGUUGAAUAUUAUGUAAAGAAAACUAGAUGCGUUGAUUAAGGGGGAGCAACUCAUUACGCAUAAAGAUUUGAAGCAUUCAUAUUAAACAUAGACAUUGUACUCUUAAUCUAGGAGUGUUUUGUCAUCAUAAAAAUUAAGAGAUAGAGAAUGUUGACUCUAAAUGUUUUUUAUAAUAGCAAAAUAUUCCCAUUUAUUAGUGUCUAAUAUUAUUGUUUAAGUGUGCAAGAGAAAGCUAAAAUUCAUUAAUAUAUUUGGUAUUCGAAAGCAAGUCAAGGUGCUUGUUCAGUUGCAAGAUGGGUUAAUUGGUUAAACAAGCAAACAAGAAAAAGCUUUAAUGAAAGCAGAUUAGUCUUAACCGAUUAACACAAAUCCUUAAUUGAUUAAAGCAAUUCUGGGCACUGUACUAAGGACAGACAUAAAGGUCUUAAUUGAUUAACACAAGAUUUACUCAGUUAAGCGGGUGCCGGAUACAAAUAGAAGCCUCUUAGUCAGUUAACCAAGGAAGUUAGUUAACUAAAAUCCAAAAGUGAAGAUCCAAAAUGAAGGCAGUCAAAUUUGUAAAGAACAAUUCAAGAAGUCUUUGAUGACUAACAUAUCUCAUGGCUAUUUAAGGAAAAUGGAAGAUCAGCGUUACCAAGCUAAAAAAAGAAUUAAUCAAAUAAAGAAAAGUUGGUGAAGCUAGUUGCUCUAGAAAUAGUAAGCUCUUAAUCGAUUAAAGUCUUUCUUAAUCAAUUAACAGAGUAAAGCAAACUGCGAGACAAAGAAGACUUAAUUGACUAAGAAGUAAAGUUAACCAGCUAAAAGCUUACUGUUAGAAAAUUUGAAUUCAAGCAAAAAAGGAUAAAAUAACCGCAAAAAACAACUAGUUUUUGUCUCCAACGGCCAGAAGUGAAUUCACAAGGAUUUAAAGGCUCUUCAAUUGUCACGACUCGGAACUCCCCUCGAGCUCGUGACAAUUUUCGCGAUGCCCCGAUCGACACUCAUUACCCGAAAUAUCAACCGGAACCCCGCAAGGUUUUAAUAUCAGCUUCUCAUUUCCCCUGUGAGUAACCAUUGCCGAAUAUCGCGUUCAAAAAGAUUUUAAGCAAUUUACAACUUAAAACAAACAAAAUAAUAAUUUUCGUCUCACAGAGGUAUUUUAGUCAUUUUUUUCAAAAAUAUCAAAAUCAAUUAAAAAUGUAGUAUGCAAGUUAAAAACACAUAUUUCAUAAUCAGAAAUAAUUUUAGAUGUCUAAAACAUUCGUUUAAAAUGAAAUUAUGACUGUUAGUAUAAAAUAAAAAUAUUGAAUAAAAUAUUUAAUUUUCUCAUAAAAUAAUAUUUUAAGAACACUGCAUAAAUAAUUUUUUUUACAGCGUAAAAGUAAAAUAAAUUCAUAUAUAUUGUAAUACAGAUAAUCAAAGUAUAAAAUUAAAUUUACAGUGACACAUGGGCCCACGAACGACCAAAAGUAUCUAGAGAGAUAAACCUACAUAUUUUGAGGAUGCCAAUCCAAUUGUAAUCCUCGAAGAAAUAAGCUAUCUACUGACUAUCCUGAGCCUGAAAUAGGUGAAAAGGAGGGUGGUGAGAUUAUAUAAUCCCAGUGAGUAAACAAAUAUCAUUUAAAAUAUCUAAAGGCGAGUAAAAAGAGACUAUUAAAAUAUUUCAUUAAAUUGUAAUUUAUCAUCUUUCGACUUAUUUCAAUCCAAUGAAAUCAAUUUAUUUAAAUCAAGUAAUCAGUAUGGAUUAUGAACUUCUUAAAACUUUGGCUCGUGCCAAAAUCAUUAUCAUACUCACUUAUCAGGGAUACCUUGAUCGAGGGCUAUCCCAACUGAGUCCGCCAAGGCUGUUAAAAAGUUUUGAACACAUAAAUCAUGUUUUUAUUUUGAAAAUAUAGCCGUUCCUUGGCGUUAGCGGAGUUCAUCAUCACGAGGUGGUUCGGCGUGAAAUGAACUCUAAAACUGUUAGCCUCAGGAGUUAUCCACCAGCGUCUCUCAUACUGAGGUAAGAUAUAACGGGGUUUACCCUGCCCCUUUAAUAGGCUGGCCCAUGAAAACCCGCCUACUGUAGUGGCUAGUUAAAUAACCCACCAUACAAUAAAAUUCAUUCUAGCAUGACAUGGCAAUUAUUGUAAUUCAUAACCUUUCAAGGCUAAAUACACAUUUCAUAUAUUUCAACAUAAAUAUCAAUUCAGCCAUUCAUGCAAAUAUUAUCAUAAGCCAUUUAUUCAAAUCAUAAAUUUACAACAUACCAGUGGUCUCCAAUUACUCUAUUUUUCAAAAUCGUUAUUUCGUUUCAAGACAAUUUAUAAAAUCAUUUUAUUUAAACAUAUUUUAUUUGUAAAAUCAAAAAUUAACCAUUUAAACUCAUUUUCAUAAAAUUCCAUCAAAAUCGAUUAAAAUCAUACUUGAGAUAAGUAAAAUGAUGAUAAGGUUACUCACAGUAUCAAGAGUAGAAAUACUCAUAUUUUCAGUCCGCGGGUAUAGUCCUUUACCCGUAUCCAAUGGCUCACCACUUAGCCAUAAUCCAUGACACAUAUUCUAAUUAAAUUGUGUUUAACAGUCAUAAGCUAUUUUAGCCUCGAUGUAUAUGCAUGAUAUGAUAUGCAAAAAUGUCUAAAUUUUGCCUAAACGCGGUGUUAGCCUAUUUCGAUCUUUUAUCCGAUAAAUCGAUAUACGCGUCCGUUUAAACUCCAAAUUAAUUUUUUUCAGUUUCUAUACCUCAAUUGCACCCAAAUUGACUUAAUGUCCCCUAGUGUGGUUCAAAUUAUCAGUCUCGAUAGUAAAUUAUGAAAAUACCCCUAGUGGGUAAAAAUUCGUAUUUUUGCUCUGAAAAUUCCCAUUAUUUUUCUAGGCUCAUAAUUCAUCAUUAUUCAUCAUAAUUCCUCAAAUAAACAUCAAGAUCAGCAGCUAGGGUAGUAAAAAUGCAUGGGUAGUAAAAAUCACAAGGAAAAUCAAUGAAAUUUACCUUUUUAAUGCUUGAUUUCUUGAUUUCUCUUGAUUUUCCCCAAAUUUUUCAGCUAGGGUUCUUAUUUCUUUUCCCCCCUUUUCUCUCCUGGUUUGGACGGCUUGAAGAAGAUGAGAAUUCUUGAAAUUUUGACAUUUUUAAAGGCUAAAAUAAUAUAAUAUUAUUUUAUUUAUUUAUUUUUUGUUUUAUUAAUUCCUUAAAUUCUAGUCAUCCAUUUAUUUCCAAAUUUUCACCAUACACUUGUCCCACAUAUCCAUAGCUUAGAUAAAAUUCUCAGACUUAUCCAAAGUCUUGGUGGAGUAAUUUUUUCAAAAUUUACACUUUUAUCCCCGUAAAAGUCAAAAAUUACAUUUUUACCCCAAAAAUUGAAAAAUUGCCCAUAGAUAUAUUUUUCAUCCCUCAUACUCAUACCAUUCGCCAAUUUGUCAAAUUUUAUCUAAAUUCUCUCAAAAUCGCAAAUUUUGUCCGUGGGUGUCAAAAUUAUGAUUUUGCCCCUACACUUUAGAAAUCACUGAAAUUAAACUUUUUCACUGCCAAACCCUCAAAUUAUACUCCAAUAAGUCAAAUCGGGCCAAAAAAAAUCUUUUUUAAAAGUUCCCAUUGUGUUCUUAGGUGGCAAAUGACCAUUUUACCCCUAGAUAGUGAAAAUUCCGGUUUGACUUCAAAUUGAUCCACUAACUCCAAAUCACCAUAUUAAACCAUUCUAGGACUUUAAAAUUUUCAAUUUCACCCUAAAAUCUCUAUUUGAUCUAGUUCGAGGCUUAAAUCAACUUUAUUGUACCUUUAGGUGUAAUACCGAAUUUUGUAAAUUUUUCGGGACUCUCCUAGCAUGCAAACAUGCUAUCCAUCACAUGUAUGUCAUGAAAAAUAUUUUACAAAGUCAAACUUGACAUCUUCUCCCACAAUUGGAUCAACCAUGUGAUCUUUCUUCAUGACUGAUUUCGACAUCCGGCUAAAUAUUAAUAUUUUAAUAUUAUUUCAUUAAUAAAAUAUUAUUUUAUUCCAAAAAUUUUGUCUUGUCUCUUUGGUUCCUAAAGUUCCUUAUUAUGCCUCAAUUUGCAUCCGACCAACUUUAUUUAUCACCAUAUCAAAGUAUGGGGCAUUUCAAUCUCCCCCACUUAAAUAGAAUUCGUCCUCGAAUUCACGUCGAUGUUGCGUUAACAAUCUCCUUCUAUGAUCUUAUUCCUCUUUCCUUCUAUAAGGACAUUCAAUUUAUUUACCUCGUUCACCUUCAGUUCAAUUAAAUGUUGUAUUUAUGGCAAUUAUCAUCCUUUGAAGCCAGAUCAGUAGUACCUUUCACAAUCAUGAUUUCUUAUAUCGAGUCACUAAGCAUACCUUUAUCACUCUUAUUAAAUUUGAACCGUAACUUCAUCUCAAUUAUACCGAUUUCGAUCACAUAUCAUACUUACUUAUGUAUACCUAAUCAUCAUUUUAUUAAUUUGCUCCAUACCAAAUUUCUCAACCUUAAUUCAUUCAUCUUAUACUGGUCCAUACCCUUCCUUUAAUAGAGUUCCAUUAAGAACUUAAACAAUCCAAGGUUUACCUUCAAAGUCACUCAUAACUUUAAUCGUUCAUUGCAUGUCUGUUAACACUUUAGUUUGCUGACCUCUCUGGACACUAUUUCAAAAUCUCCCAAUUACUGAGAAUCAUUCUUCACUUUAGUUAGUAAAAUUAUCAAUUUCAUAUAUACAUAUGUACAUGCAUUUUCAAAUGUCGACAUCUCUCAUUAUGUAUAGAGAUCCAUGUGUUCACAUGCCUUGGACUACAUUCCCCUUUAUUCAUUAUCAAGCUUCAUUAUCCAAAUUAUCUUCAUUCAUCCUUUAUUCUGUUCUUCCAUACUAAUGUGAUAUCAUUCUCCCUAGACCAAUCUGUAGUUUGUACUUAAAACUGUAAACUUGAAAUAAGGUUCUUCUAAGUACUUUUCAAUGUCAAUACGAAUUUCACUUCCAACUUACAGCUUCUUUUUUACAGCCACAUAAUUUAGUGCUAGCUUCCACAAAAUCCGUAGCAAAACUCUUCUUGAGUAUUUCCUUGGAAAUAUCUACCUUAGACUUAUGUCUCACAGCAUAUGAUCACUUAACUUGUGACUUAGCCAUUUGGCUCCUUAGCAAAUUUCAAAAUCACACAUCUCAUACUAAUCUCGUAUAAUUUUAUAAUUCUUCCUGAAAGAUGUUUAAAUAUUCUUGAAACAUUUAAUCACUUAUUUACUCUUUCAUACUCCAAGUAUAUCAUUUCCAUAAAGGCAUGCCCAGCUACUCAUGCUUCAACUUAUCUCCAAGGGUUUUUAUCAUACCCCGUAAUUUACUUAUGUUGUCACUAAUCCUUUCCUUUCAACAAAGUCAAGACAAGAUUAGUACAUUCUCAUAACAAUAUUUCAUAUAAACUCAUUUGCUAUAUCAUUCUUGAAAUCUCCAUUCACACUCUCAUCACUUGGUAUUGACAUCUCUUAUCAACAUCUCAUAUAUUCAUCUAACCUUUCCCUCACUUCCUCUUUAACCUUUUACAAGAUUCAUGUUAUUCCUUAAGAUUUGACUUUAGUCAACAUAUUAUUUCUUUUUAACAUUCCACAUGUUAAUUUUUUUUUUGUAGCCAUCUCAAAAACUCUCUAACUUUUCUUUCUCUUACAUGCCCAAAUAUAAGGCAAUAAAGAAACUCUGUAAUUUCACUCAUCAUUUUUAUCUUAAUACCUCCCCAAUGCACUUAAGACUCCAACAACAAAGCUUAGCAUCAAAACCAACAACCAUAUUUCAACUCGUGAGUUUCAUCUUUAUGCCGCUCAUAAUUUAUUCUUGCUUUCUAGCCAUUAGGGGUUCUUAACGCGACAGCAUUUGAUAGUCAGUACUAUGGCAUUGCAACUAUUUGAAUUCACUUUAUUCUAGCAACUCUUUCACCUUUAAAACUACUACCUCAAUUAUUCAUACUCGUGUGGCUUCCCUCUGAGUCUAUACCACAAUUAGCAAGACUAGCUUUCUAUCACAAGUGGGCGAUCAGAACAUUGAUUUAACGUAUUUAUUUUGCAGCUACCAUUCAUAUAACUUUACCAUAUCAUUUAGUACGAAUUUGAUUAAGCAAAAAUCUCUAAAUUUAUUUAUCGCUACAUGUAUCUCAGAUUGCACAUCACUUAUCAUCAGUCAAUAAAUCUCACUUUAGAACACUCUUUCCAUAUUGUAUAGUAACUUCACCAUAUAGUAUCACGACACUAUUUUCCUCCAUUCUACUAUCAUGCAUACUCCAUAGAAUUUAAUUAAAAGAUUUAUGUACCUUAACUAAUGCCAAUUCCAUUUAAUCAUAUCUUAAAUACUCCAAACUUGUAAAUUACAACUCCAAGUGUAUGUCCAUAUAUUGAUAAUCUUUAUAUAUUUCAUGAUCAUGAAAACUAUAACUUACAAACUAGCUUUCAAUCAUAUGCACACUAUUAGAACAUUAAUUUCAACAUGUUUAAUUCUCCUUUGGUGAUAUGUUAAGAUCAUUCCUGGAUACAUUUCCAUAUUGACAUUGAUAUGCCUUUACCAUAGCAUUUAGUGCAAAUUUGAUGAAGGAAUUGUCUCCAAAUAACUCUUAAAUACAUAAUUAUCAAAUUGUACACCACUAAAUGUUAAGAUCUUGACUUUAUCCAUCAAUAACCAAUCACAUUUGUUAAGCGAAAAAUUUACUUAGUUAUUACAUCUUGCCUUUGCGAUCAUAAGAUCAAAGUUGUCUUAAACUUAGGAUGAAGAAGUUCUCUCUCGUAGAGUAUAUCCAAGCAUCAACAUUUUCUAAAUUCCUUACUCUGGGGAGAUCACCUUCAAGAUUGAUCAUUCGUAUCAUAGGCUACACUUUGAACCGAAUAAACUUUUAAAUUGAUCUUUCAAGUAAUUCGUAAUCAAUCUCAAUUAUAGAACUUCAUAUGGCACUUAGAAUAGAUUCGACAUUUCCAAGUCAUUUAACCUCAAGCUACCAAUUCCACAUUUAGUCCUUUAAUCCUUUGGCUCCCUAUUUUUCUAUGCAUAGCUAAGUUCAAGCCCAUCCUUAGAGUAGAUUUGUUUACUAACUUCUUACUUCAUGACCACACAUCAAUUAUAGUAAUCAUUGACACUCACUCUCGAGUUAAUUCACGUGCUUAUAUCCAUGAACUAUAAUAGGUCCAAUCAAUUCUUGAAAUCUCAUAGUCCCCAAAUCUUUUUCCAAUUGACAACCAUGAGUUCAAUUAUAACUCCACCAAAUGAAUAAAUUAUCACGGCCUAUUAGUCCAACUUCAAAUUUCUCCAUCCUUAAUCGGAGGGAUAUAUCAUUUCAUUAAUCUUUCAUUAAGAGCAUUCGUUUUAAGAUCUCUCUAACACUGGCUAGUGUCACGGGUAGCAUCUUAAACCCGGACGAUGACCCUACUUAUGACUUUUGCAUGACAUUAACAAAGAAGUGGAUUACUGGGAACAAGAGUUCAUAUAGCUCCCUGUUUAUGACUUAUGCUCCCAUAAGAUCUAUAAGAAGAAAUAGAACGAGUCUAAACAGCUCCAAAUUCUAUGUGCAGAUGCAUGUAUUCUAUUCUAUCUAGCCUAACUUAACUUAACUCGGGCCACACUGACACUGUAGUUUUUAAAUAACUUUAAAACCAAAAACAAUUACCUUUAAAACCAAAAGCUCUGAUAUCACCAAAAUUGUCACAACCCAGAACUCUCAUCGAGCUCGUGACAACAGCCGCGAUGCCCCGAUCGACACUCAUUACCCGAAAUGUCAACCGGAACCCCACAAGGCUUUAAUAUCAACUUCUCAUUUCCCUUGUGAGUAAUUAUUGCCGAAUAUCGCGUUCUAAAAGAUUUUAAGCAAUUUCCAACUUAAAACAAAUAAAUUAAUAAUUUUCGUCUCAUAGGUGUAUUUUGGUUAUUUUUUUUCAAAAAUCUCAAAAUCAAUUAAAAAUGUAGUAUGCAAGUGAAAAACACAUAUUUCGUAAUCAGAAAUAAUUUUGGAUGUCUAAAACAUUCGUUUAAAAUGAAAUUCUAACUGUUAGUAUAAAAUAAAAAUAUUGAAUAAAAUAUUCAAUUUUCUCAUAAAAUAAUAUUUUAAGAACACUACAUAAAUAAUUUUUUUACAGCGUAAAAGUAAAAUAAAUUCAUAUAUAUUGUAAUACAGAUAAUCAAAGUAUAAAAUUAAAUUUGCAGUGACACGUGGGCCCACGAACGACCAAAAGUAUCUAGAGAGAUAAAUCUACAUAUUUUGAGGAUGUCAGUCCAAUUGUAAUCCUCGAAGAAAUGAGCUAUCUACCGACUAUCCUGAGCCUGAAAUGGGUGGAAAUGAGGGUGGUGAGAUUAUAUAAUCCCAGUGAGUAAACAAAUAUCAUUUAAAAUAUCUAAAAGCGAGUAAAAUGAGACUAUUAAAACAUUUCAUUAAACUGUAAUUUAUCAUCUUUCGACUUAUUUCAAUCAAAUGAAAUCAAUUUAUUUAAAUCAAGUAAUUAGUAUGGCUUAUGAACUUCUUAAAACUUUGGCUCGUGCCAAAAUCAUUAUCAUACUCAGUUAUUAGGGAUACCUUGAUCGAGGGCUAUCCCAACUGAGUCCGCCAAGGCUGUUAAAAAGUUUUGAACACAUAAAUCAUGUUUUUAUUUUGAAAAUAUAGUCGUUCCUUGGCGUUAGCGGAGUUCAUAAUCACGAGGUGGUUCGGCGUGAAGUGAACUCUAAAAUUGUUAGCCUCAGGAGUUAUCCACCCGUGCCUCUCAUACUGAGGUAAGAUAUAACGGGGUUUACCGUGCCUCUCUAAUAGGCUGGCCCACGAAAACCCGCUUACUGCAGUGGCUAGUUAAAUAACCUACCAUACAAUAAAAUUCAUUCUAGCAUGACAUGACAAUUAUUGUAAUUCAUAACCUUUCAAGGCUAAAUACACAUUUCAUAUAUUUCAACAUAAAUAUCAAUUCAGCCAUUCAUGCAAAUAUUAUCAUAAGCCAUUUAUUCAAAUCAUAAAUUUACAACAUACCAGUGGUCUCCAAUUACUCUAUUUUUCAAAAUCGUUAUUUCGUUUCAAGACAAUUUAUAAAAUCAUUUUAUUUAAACGUGUUUUAUUUGUAAAACCAAAAAUUAACCAUUUAAACUCAUUUUCAUAAAAUUCCAUCAAAAUCGAUUAAAAUCAUACUUUAGAUAAGUAAAAUGAUGAUAAGGUUACUCACAGUAUCAGGAGUAGAAAUACUCAUAUUUUCAGUCCACGGGUACAAUCCUUUACCCGUAUCCAAUGGCUCACCACCUAGCCAUAAUCCAUAACAUAUAUUCCAAUUGAAUUGUGUCUAACAGUUAUAAGCUAUUUUAAGCUCGAUGUAUAUGCAUGAUAUGAUAUGCAAAAAUGUCUAAAUUUUGCCUAAACGAGGUGUUAGCCUAUUUCGAUCUUUUACCCGAUAAAUCGAUAUAUGCGUCCGUUUAAACUCCAAAUUAAUUUUUUUCAGUUUCUAUACCUCAAUUGCACCCAAAUUGACUUAAUGGCCCCUACUGUGGUGCAAAUUAUCAGUCUCGAUAAUAAAUUACGAAAAUACCCUUAGUGGGUAAAAAUUCGUAUUUUUACUCUGAAAAUUCCCAUUAUUUUUCUAGGCUCAUAAUUCAUCAUUAUUCAUCAUAAUUCCUCAAAUAAACAUCAAGAUCAGCAGCCAAUAUUCCGUUAGAAAAUUUGGCAUAAUGGGUUUCAAUGGGAGAAAAUUAUAUCUCUAGCUUAUUUUUGCUAUAUUUCAAUAUAACNNNNNNNNNNNNNNNNNNNNNNNNNNNNNNNNNNNNNNNNNNNNNNNNNNNNNNNNNNNNNNNNNNNNNNNNNNNNNNNNNNNNNNNNNNNNNNNNNNNNNNNNNNNNNNNNNNNNNNNNNNNNNNNNNNNNNNNNNNNNNNNNNNNNNNNNNNNNNNNNNNNNNNNNNNNNNNNNNNNNNNNNNNNNNNNNNNNNNNNNNNNNNNNNNNNNNNNNNNNNNNNNNNNNNNNNNNNNNNNNNNNNNNNNNNNNNNNNNNNNNNNNNNNNNNNNNNNNNNNNNNNNNNNNNNNNNNNNNNNNNNNNNNNNNCUUUUCUCUCCUGGUUUGGACGGCUUGAAGAAGAUGAGAAUUCUGGAAAUUUUGACAUUUUUAAAGGCUAAAAUAAUAUAAUAUUAUUUUAUUCAUUUUUUUUGUUUUAUUAAUUCCUUAAAUUCUAGCCAUCCAUUUAUUUCCAAAUUUUCACCAUACACUUGUCCCACAAAUCCAUAGCUUAGAUAAAAUUCUCAAACUUAUCCAAAGUCUUGGUGGAGUAAUUUUUUAAAAUUUACACUUUUGCCCCCGUAAAAGUCAAAAAUUACAUUUUUACCUCAAAAACUGAAAAAUUACCCAUAGACAUAUUUUUCAUCCCUUAUACUCAUACCAUUCUCCAAUUUGUCAAAUUUUAUCUAAAUUCUCUCAAAAUCUCAUAUUUUGUCCGUGGGUGUCAAAAUUACGAUUUUGCCCCUACACUCUAGAAAUCACCGAAAUUAAACUUUUUCACUGCUAAACCCUCAAAUUAUACUCCAAUAAGUCAAAUAGGGCCAAAAAAAUCUUUUCUAAAUAUUCUCAUUGUGUCCUUAGGUGGCAAAUGACCAUUUUCCCCCUGAACAAUGAAAAUUCCAGUUUGACUUCAAAUUGAUUCUUGAACUCCAAAUCACCAUAUUAAACCAUUCUAGGACUUUAAAAUUUUCAAUUUCACCCUAAAAUCUCUAUUUGAUCUAGUACGAGGCUUAAAUCAACUUUAUUGUACCUUUAGGUGUAAUACCGAAUUUUGUAAAUUUUUCGAGAUUCUCCUAGCAUGCAAACAUGCUAUCCAUCAUAUGUAUGUAAUGACAAAUAUUUUACAGAGUCAAGCUUAACAUCUUCUCCCCCACUUGGAUCAACCAUGUGAUCCUUCUUCAUGACUGAUUUCAACAUCCGGCUAAAUAUUAAUAUUUUAAUAUUAUUUCAUUAAUAAAAUAUUAUUUUAUUCUAAAAUUUUGUCUUGUCUCUUUGGUUCCUAAAGUUCCUUAUUAUGCCUCAAUUCACAUCCGACCAACUUUAUUUAUCACCAUAUCAAAGUAUAGGGCAUUUAACCAAUAGUCAAAAAUCAUAAAGAGAAGCCAUCCAAAGUGAUUUUGAACUUAGAAAACCAAAAACUUUCUCUUUACACUUGUAUUUCACUCUCAUCUUUUGAAAAAGUGUGUAAGCUUAACUUUGUACAUAUUAGAUCGACUAAGUGAUCAGUUGAACUUCAUUUUUUCUCUAUUUCUUAUUUACUUAGAGUGUGAGAAACACUCUAAGGGGUAGAUCAAGCUUGGAUUAGCUUGGUUGUUGUUAUAGGUUCUAACUUAGCCUUUGAAAAGUUAAUUUUGGGUUUUGGUUGAUCCCAUGAAAAAUCACUGUUAAAGGCUGUGGCUGAGCCUGUGAAAAGCCAUUGUAAAAUCUUAGUGGAAGCUUGGAAGUUCCACUGAUUUUAGUGAAUUGGUUUGAAAUCCCUUGAUUAGGAGAUCAAGGUAGUGGAUGUAGGUCAAGGGGACCAAACCACUAUAAAUCAUUGUGUUUUAUCUAUCUUUUUUUAUUUUCUUCUUACUCUUAGCACUUAAAUCAUUCAUUCAACAAGCUUUAAACUUCUAUUUUCAAAUUCCUUUAAUCAUCUCUUUACUUAGAAAAAUUUUUUGUGUCAUUCUAAAAGUGCUAUUCACCUCUCUUUAGCACGCUAUUUGAGACUAAUAAGGGGUAUCAAAGUCUAACGCUCAUUUUUAAAGCUUAACAUCUUUAGGAGAGAUCCAAAUGGCUCUAUAAAAAUCUUUUCUUGCCAAGGGUCAAUACACAAAUAGACCACCUUUAUUUGAUGGAUUAAACUAUCCUUAUUGAAGUACUAGAAUGUCCAUUUAUAAGGAUGUCAACGGGUAGGGUACCUGUUAAUUUUCAGAUACAUGAACCUUAAUCCUAUUAAAAAUCAAAUACCCUAACCCUAUUAACUACCCUAAUAAUUUUAAAAAUUACUAUCCUAACCCUAACCCUAAUAAAUUUCCACUACCCUAUAAUUACCCUAACUUGUUUAAAUACCCGAUUAGAUAAAAAAAUUAUUAAAAUUUUCUUCAUGAAUACCUAAUUAUCCAAUUAACUAUUCUAAUCUAAUCCAAUUAACAUAUGUUAUAAAUUAAUGUAAACAAUGGUAUAUAUAUUGUAAUUAAUAAUUUUAUAAAUUAUAAUUUUUGUAAUGUUAAUACAAAAUAGAAAGUAAAUAUGUUUAUAUUUAAAGUACAUAUAUAUACAUAUACACACACGCACACAAAUCAAAAAUAUUUUAAUAUAUAUAUUAGCAAUUAUAUUCUUUAUAAAUGAAUCUAAUAUAUAUAUAGAUAAAGUAUAUAUAUUAAAAGACAUUACAAGUUAAUUAAUAAUUAUAGUUUUAUGAAU
Molecule: long non-coding RNA, 367909 nt
Filed under: Theobroma cacao (cacao)
Lineage: Eukaryota; Viridiplantae; Streptophyta; Magnoliopsida; Malvales; Malvaceae
Source: RNAcentral